This 410108-nucleotide long non-coding RNA is filed under the name Gossypium barbadense (sea-island cotton). RNAcentral's name for it is "long non-coding RNA (GBAR_LNC016635)". The record is from RNAcentral. Lineage: Eukaryota; Viridiplantae; Streptophyta; Magnoliopsida; Malvales; Malvaceae.
AUUGAAAAUUUUAGAAGGAAAUAAAGAGAAAGACUUAGAAAAUACUUGAAAACAGGUAAAACUUAUAUGUCAUUUAAAAUAAAAAAUUUCUAUAUAAGCCAUUUAAAAUUUUUAAGAUUUUUAAAAUUUUAAAAUGAUAAAGGUAAAAUUGUACUUUGGCAUCCCAAAAAUGACAAAACUUUGAUUUAAUUCUUUAGAAAUUAUAAAAAUAUAGGCUAUUAAAAUGGUGAAAUUAUAUUUUUACUAUAGUAAAAAAUUACAAUUUAAUUUCACCCCUAAAAGGACUUUCUCACUUCGCCCCUAAUAAAAUCUUUUGCAAAAGAUUAAAAUAAAAUUAUACAUAAGAAAAUCCAAUCUAACAAAGAAAAUAACUUCUUGUCCAAAAGCUACCAUAAACCGUAAUUCAUGGGAAGGCUUGUUGCUUAUUUUAUUGGUUUCCAUUUCGAUUUUGCAAAAGAAGUUUGAAUUUUGAAGAGAGCCUACUACGUGAGAGCAAAAGAAAAAAAAAGUUUAUAUGAUUAAAUUCCAGAAUAGAUUAAAAAUGUUGAAUUAAAGAUAAAAUUAAGUGUGAAUUAAAAAAAUUUCUAUUUAGGCCCUUUAAAAUUUUAAAAUGAUAAAGAUAAAACUGUACUUUGGCACCCAAAAAAAAUAAAAUUUUAAUUUAAUCCUUUAAAAUUUAUAAAAAUAUAGGUUAUUAAGUGUGAAUUAAUAACCACAAGUGUAUUCAUUACUCACCAUCUCUGUUAAAAAUGUUGGAUGUUGUUUAGCAACCUUUGUUUGAUUUUCUUCAGCUCAACCACAACAUCUUUCAUAUCUUUUCUUUCUUCUGGUAACUCAGCUGAACAAUUCAAAGCCAACUCCAUGAUAGAUGAAAUACAAUUUGCUUUAACAACAAUGUACUCAUCCUCUCUUCUUAAUAAAUCAACAUCUGCAAUUUCUAUCGCUCCUUUAGGCAAUGAUCUUUCCAUCCAAUGCCUUAUACUCUCUUCUUCAACAAAAACAUUAUCAGUUGGCUUUUUCUUUGUGAAAGUUUCUAUAAGGACGAUCCCAUAACUAUAGAUGUCAGAUUUUAUAGAAACAAUUCCUACUGAUCCAAAUUCUGCAUUUCAAGUAUAAUUAGAACAUCAUCAAUCCUCAAUUAUUUCUAAAAUGCUUAUUCAAAUAUAUAUCCACAUCCACAUGAAACAAAAAUAUAAAAUGCAUAUUAGGAAAAUAAUCAUACAAAAAUAAAAAAGAAUUCACCUGGUGCUAUAUACCCGAUAGUUGCAAGAGUCAUGGUUUGCUUCAUUACUUCACCUUCCCCCAACAAUUUGGCAACGCCACAAUCUCCAACAUGUGCAACCAUGUCUUCAUCUAGUAAAAUAUUGCUUGGUUUUAUGUCACAGUGAAUUAUAGGUGUUGGAUGUCCAUUGUGGAGGUGUUCUAUGGCUACCGCAACAUCUAUCAUUAUGUCGACCCUUUGUAUGAUAUCAAGGAAACAAUUUUCAGAAUGUAACCAUUUCUCAAGGUUUCCAUUAGACAUGUAAGCAAGCACCAAGGCUUUGAAGUCAACACUUGAGCAGCAAGUAAUGACCUUCACAAUAUUACGAUGAACUAUAUUACGCAUAGCAUCACAUUCAAUGUCAAAACUGCUAAAUGCUCCCUCUGUUUGCAAAUUAAAAACUUUUAUUGCAACUUCCAUUCCAUCUGAAAGCCUCCCUUUAUAUACAUAUCCAAAACUCCCUGAACCAAGCAUAUUGCUUUCCUCAAAUCCAUUAGUUGCUCGUGAAAGCUCAGCAUGUGAAAUUCUUCUCGGUGUUAUCAAAGACAACAAAUCAUCUUUAAUUGGUAGACUUGUACUCCUUCUUCGGCAUCUUCUAUACAUAAUAGUUAAGACUAUUAGUACUACGACAAUACCAAUUGUUGGUAAACCAUACCUAAAAGCAUGCAAUAUAAUCAUUUGGGAGUUUUUGUGGAUGUCAUUUUUGCAAGGGGGGACUAGCAAUCUAGGUGGACCACAAAGUGCAUAAUUCUUCAUGAAUGAUGUGCUAGAAAAGUUUGAAAAACAUCCUUUGCUUGGAAUUUCCCCUUCAAGUCUAUUGAAAGACACAUUAAAAUACUUUAGAUAUAAAAGCUUUUCCAAAGAUUUGGGAAUGACUCCAGAGAGAUUGUUAUUGCAUAAAUCCAAGAAUUCCAAACUAAUCAACCCAUCAAAUGAUUUAGGGAUAUAACCAUGUAGUAUAUUAUUUGAUAAAUCUAAUGAAACCAAAGUUUGAAGACCCCCAAAUGAGGAUAGGAUAUCGCCCGAGAGAAGAUUCCUUGAUAAAUUUAGUUUCAGUAGACUCCUCAAAUUUCCAACAUCAAUAGCAUGUGAAUUCUGAAGAUGGUUUGAUGAUAAAUCUAUUUCUAAGAUAUCUUUAAGAUUCCACAAAGUUGAGGGUAUUGUAGAACUCAAUUUGUUGGAAUUUAAGUAAAGAUAUCCCAAAGAAGUAAUAUUACCCAAACAAGAGGGUAUGGAUCCAUGCAGCUUAUUCAACCCUAAAUACAUCUCGUAUAGUCUCUCCAAAUCACAAAGGCUUUCUAAGAUGUGCCCUCCUAAUUUAUUAGAGGAAAGAUCUAGAGCUUGGAGAUUUCGCAGUCCUCCUAUUGAUGCUGGAAUGAAUCCACUUAAUUUAUUAUGGCGAAGUUGUAAAAGCAAUAGGUUGGUUAUGUUACCUAUUUCCAUAGGAAUAAUGCCUUGAAGCUCACAAUUAGAGGCAUAAAAGUAUUGAAGGGAUUUUGAAAGGUUCCCGAUAUAAGUAGGAAGAACGCCACUCAAUGGAUUUCCUGAAACUCCUAUGGUUUUCAAAUUCUUACAAUUCGUCAAAGAAGAAAGAAAGCUCCACUCAUGAUCAGUAGCAGACCCUGUGAUCAAAUUAUUGUUCAUGAUUUGGAACCAUUCAAGGUGUCUUAAGUUGCCAAGCGUUUUAGGGAUUGGGCCAGAGAAUAAGUUAUCUUCCAAGUCUAGUAUCUUAAGCAUGGAAGCAUUGGAGAUAGAGUUGGGAAUGUUUCCUCUAAGUUUAUUUCCCCACAAUGCAAGAAUCUCAAGCUUUGGAGCAUUGGUGAUGGGUGGUAAAUUACCUGUAAAAUAGCAUCUUUUAGUAUACAUAUUCAUUGAAUACCAAAUUCACAAAAUAUAUAAUACAUUAAUAAUAUGAAGUUUCGAGUACUAAUUAGUCCUUGUGAUUUGUAUAGAAAAACAUAUAAUACGCUAAUAAAUUUUUAAAAUAUUGUAAAACUUGAAAUAAAAUAAAAAUAAAAUGUUGGUAUGAGAAUGUGGCAUCUAAUCAAUUUUAAAAAUGAGACUGACACUGAAUAAUAAAUAGUUAUGAUUUGGGAAACAAAAAUAUUAAAGCCAUUGUUUAUCUUUAUUAAAUUAUAGUGUAAAAUUUAAAGAUUACUAUUUGCUCAAAAUUUUUGUAUUUUUCGUAUAUUUGAAAUUUAAUCUUUAUAUUUUUAUUUUCUGUGAUUUAGUCUCUCUACUUUUUGAAUUGAAAAUUUUAAGUUUAUUUAUUAAAACUGUUAAGAAGUUUUUGGGUUAGUAUGGCAUUUUGAAAAAUAAAAUAAACUUGAUAUCUAUGUUUUUAAUUAUUUCAAAUAAUGUUUUACUAUUCCAAGAUAAAUUAUUUGUGUCUAGACCAAUAUCUUAAGAACUAUUGUUGCAUGUUUAAUUAUUCAAAAGAAUUGUUGAUUGAGUCUUAGCUUGAUUGACAUGUGUAUUGUUACCAAUGUAAGAGAAUGUGGGUUCAAGUAUGCUAAAGUGCAUUAUCUUCUUAUUUAUAAAUUGGGGAGUUGGUAAGGUAUUAAAUUUUGAUAUAUUUUAAAAUAUUAAAAUUUUAUUAAAAUAUUUUUUAUAAAAAUUGAUUGCACCACAAUAUACAAUUUUAAUAUCAAAUUUUUAAUUUUUUUAAAAAAUAUUAGCGACUAUAUACUUUAUUUCAAGUUACACAAAUUUUACUAGUUUUUAACUUUUUUUUAAAUAUUUACCGUCUUUUAUAAUUUUUUACAAUAUUUAAAAAUUUCUGCCAAUUUUUAAUAAUUUUAUUAUUUAUUACAAAUUUAAAAAUUAACAAAUUUAAAAAUUAACAAAUUUUUAUUUUUUAAACAAUUAUAUAUUUAUAAUGUAGUUAUUUUUUAUAUAAUUUCACUUUAAAUUUUAAAGAUUUUUUGGGUUUUUUUUUAGAUGAUGAUGCCGUUAUGAUGUCAUCAUAUACCACAUGGCAAUUUAUGAUUAGUUGGAUAUCUCAAUCUAUUUUUUAAUUUCCAAUGGACUAAACCAAGAACACCUGAUAAUGUUAGAGACUACACUAGCAAUGUUUGAUAAUAUUAGGUACUAAAGUGGGCAAAAAAAUAUUAAGAACCAAAGUAAAAAAAAAAAAAAGAAGAAGAAGCAAUAUGCUGUAGAGAAUAAACUAUGCAUUAAGCCAUUAAAAAUAUAUCUAUAAUAUAUAUAAAUGCAUGGAUUUUGAGAAACUUUUGAAGUGAUAAUUAUAUAGUCUUUGUUGUUUACUAUAUUAUUGAAUUUGUUAUUUUAAAUAUUUUUUUAUUACUUUUAAGAUUUAUUGGAUAAGAAUUUUGGUUUUUACUAAAAUAUUUGGUUAAAUAAAUUAACUUCAUAAGAAAAUUUAGCAUCCUUAUAAAUAACAAUUUUGAUUCUAUUAAAAAAUUAUUUUAAAAAGCAUAUAAUAAAAAUUUAAAAUUUAUAUUGAAUUACUUUAUACUUAAAUUAUUAUUAGAAAUUUUAUACUUAAAUUUAUGAGAACCACAAAUUUAGAACUUAAAUUUGUGUUUUAAAAUAACUUAUGAUAAAUAAUGAAAUGUAUAAUUUGAAACUAUUUAAUAAUAACACAUGGCAUAUCUACCAUAUUGAAAUAAAAAUAGAUUAAAUUGUAAGUAAAACAUAAUUUAAGCAUAGGUAUACAUCAAAUUAAGAAUACUAAAUGAAUACAGUUAUUUAUGAUGAUGUUGUUGUCAAUUCCUAAGUUGGUGUCGAGUUAAUUUGUGACAUCAUAAAUUUAAGUGAUAAAUUUAAGGUUUUACGUAUUGAUGUGGAUUGAAAUAUCACCAUACUUUUUUUAAAAUAAAAAACUAAAAUACCCUCAAAUAAUAUAACUUAUAUUAAAUAUGAAAGGGUAAUUUUGUAAUUUCUCUGACUGAGUUGGUGCCAGGUUGACUCAUGACACCAACUAAAUCGAAAGCUUCAAUAAUAAUAUAGAUAUUCACAUUAAAAAAAAGUACUUUAGUUCCAAAUAAUUAUAUAACAAGUAAAUUUAUAAUUGACGAAUAAAUUUAUAGAUAAUAUAUUUAUAUGAUCUAAUAUAUUAUAUUUAUAUUAAUUAUAUAUCAUCUACAAACUUUGAAAAUCAAUUUAUUAAGUAUCAGGAAAAGAAAAAAAUGAAAUUGAAUUAACACUAAAUCAAUUUUUGAAUUAACAAAAAAUUAGUGAUAUAUUUUAAUUAUAUUUAUUAUUUAUUUUUUUAAUAAUAUUUUUUUAAUUAUAUGAAGUAAAAUUAUAUUGUAUGAAGUAAAAAAAAUAUAUUUUCCGCAUUGGUUUCUUUUAUUCUACAGACAAAGGAUUUCUAAUGAUUUUUUAAAAAAAAAUUACUUAUAUAGAAUAGAUUAGUUUAUGCAAUAAAAAAUAAUUUCUUUUUUUAAAGUUUAAUGGAAAUUAAAAAAUUAAAAAUAAAUCAAUUCAUAUAAAUCUUAUUGUUUAUUAUCAUAUUAAAAUGAUAAAAAGUAUAUGACCAAAAUAGAAGAAACAAAUUCAACACAAUGUUUUUGGAGUUUAUUAUCAUAUUUCUAAUUUGUUGUUAAAUAGAUCUAUUUCUUCCAGCGUAGUUGAAUUAAAAAUAUUUGAUGGAAUCUGACCUGCACACAUAGUCGAAAAUUGAAGUGAAAAUUAUAUCUUCUAAACUGUUCAACUAAAAAUACUUUAAGCAUAUUUUUUAAGGUUAUUGCAUUUACCCAUGCCAAAUGGAAUGCUACCAAAUAACUCAUUGCUAUGCAAGUAAAGCCCUUCAAGCUUGGGAAGAUGUUGACACAUAUCAUUAGGAAAUUACCUGAUAGGCUAUUUUUGGAGAGAUCAAUGGUCUUCAGAGAAGAAAUGUUGAAGAUCAAAGUUGGAAUCUGACCUGUAAGGCCUUUAAUUGCUUGAAUAUUAAGCAAUUCCAAACCAUGAAGAUUACCAAUUUCCUCAGGAAUUUGACCUGCACACAUAGUCGAAAAAUCAAGGUGUCAAACUACCUAUUUUGUUAGCAUAAGUCAAAGAGGUUUUCUUUUCUGUUCUAUGGUAAUUUGGAGAUGUUAGAUUUUCAUAUAUUUCAGCAUAUGUUUUUCAUCAAAUGAAAUAAAAACUUUUUCCUUUUGUUAUCUAUUACAAAUCAAACUCUUUUAUAAAAAAAAUACUUAAAAUUCAAGAAAUCAAGGAAAUUGAUUACCUUCUAGAUUAUUAAAUCCCAAAUAUAAUUCUCUGAGUUGUGUCAGAUUUCCAAUACUUCUUGGAAUGAUCCCCGUCAAUUGAUUCAAGGACAAGGACAAAUUAUUAAGGUUGCUGCACUUGCCCAUACUUGACGAAAUGUUACCAGAUAACUCAUUGCUCUGCAAGUAAAGCCCUUCAAGCUUGGGAAGAUGUUGACACAUAUCAUUAGGUAAACUACCUGGUAGGCUAUUGCUGGAGAGAUCAAUGGUCUUCGAAGAAGAAAUGUUGGAGACCGAAGUUGGAAUCUGACCUGUAACGCCUUUAAUUGCUUCAAUAUUAAGCAAUUCCAAACCAAGAAGAUUACCGAUUUCCUCAGGAAUUUGGCCUGCACACAUAGUCGAAAAAUCAAGGUGUCAAACUACCUAUUUUGUUAGCAUAAGUCAAAGAGGUUUUCUUUUCUGUUCUAUAGUAAGUUGGAGAUGUUAGAUUUUCAUAUAUUUCAGCAUAUGUUUUUCAUCAAAUGAAAUAAAAACUUUUUUCUUUUGUUAUCUAUUACAAAUCAAACUCUUUUAUAAAAAAAUACUUAAAAUUCAAGAAAUCAAGGAAAUUGAUUACCUUCUAGAUUAUUAAAUCCCAAAUAUAAUUCUCUGAGUUGUGUCAGAUUUCCAAUACUUCUUGGAAUGAUCCCCGUCAAUUGAUUCAAGGACAAGGACAAAUUUUUAAGGUUGCUGCACUUGCCCAUACUUGACGGAAUGUUACCAGAUAACUCAUUGCUAUGCAAGUAAAGCACUUCAAGCUUGGGAAGAUGUUGACACAUAUCAUUAGGCAAACUACCUAAUAGGCUAUUGUUGGAGAGAACAAUGGUCUUCAGAGAAGAAAUGUUGAAGAUCGAAUUUGGAAUCUGACCUGUAACGCCUUUAAUUGCUUGAAUAUUAAGCAAUUCCAAACCAUGAAGAUUACCGAUUUCCUCAGGAAUUUGACCUGCACACAUAGUCGAAAAAUCAAGGUGUCAAACUACCUAUUUUGUUAGCAGAAGUCAAAGAGGUUUUCUUUUCUGUUCUAUAGUAAUUUGGAGAUGUUAGAUUUUCAUAUAUUUCAGCAUAUGUUUUUCAUCAAAUGAAAUAAAAACUUUUUCCUUUUGUUAUCUAUUACAAAUCAAACUCUUUUAUAAAAAAAAUACUUAAAAUUCAAGAAAUCAAGGAAAUUGAUUACCUUCUAGAUUAUUAAAUCCCAAAUAUAAUUCUCUGAGUUGUGUCAGAUUUCCAAUACUUCUUGGAAUGAUCCCCGUCAAUUGAUUCAAGGACAAGGACAAAUUAUUAAGGUUGCUGCACUUGCCCAUACUUGACGGAAUGUUACCAGAUAACUCAUUGCUAUGCAAGUAAAGCACUUCAAGCUUGGGAAGAUGUUGACACAUAUCAUUAGGCAAACUACCUAAUAGGCUAUUGUUGGAGAGAACAAUGGUCUUCAGAGAAGAAAUGUUGAAGAUCGAAUUUGGAAUCUGACCUGUAACGCCUUUAAUUGCUUGAAUAUUAAGCAAUUCCAAACCAUGAAGAUUACCGAUUUCCUCAGGAAUUUGACCUGCACACAUAGUCGAAAAAUCAAGGUGUCAAACUACCUAUUUUGUUAGCAUAAGUCAAAGAGGUUUUCUUUUCUGUUCUAUAGUAAUUUGGAGAUGUUAGAUUUUCAUAUAUUUCAGCAUAUGUUUUUCAUCAAAUGAAAUAAAAACUUUUUCCUUUUGUUAUCUAUUACAAAUCAAACUCUUUUAUAAAAAAAUACAUAAAAUUCAAGAAAUCAAAGGAAAUUGAUUACCUUCUAGAUUAUUAAAUCCCAAAUAUAAUUCUCUGAGUUGUGUCAGAUUUCCAAUACUUCUUGGAAUGAUCCCCGUCAAUUGAUUCAAGGACAAGGACAAAUUUUUAAGGUUGCUGCAUUUGCCCAUACUUGACGGAAUGUUACCAGAUAACUCAUUGCUAUGCAAGUAAAGCACUUCAAGCUUGGGAAGAUGUUGACACAUAUCAUUAGGCAAACUACCUGAUAGGCUAUUGCUGGAGAGAAUAAUAAUCUUUAGAGAAGAUAUGUUGAAGAUGGAAGAUGGAACCUGACCAGAUAAUUGAUUGAGUCCCAAGUUCAAAAUCUCUAGAUUAGAUAUGCUAACAAGUGUUUCAGGGAUUGUGCCUGUAAAGUAAUUAUUUUUCAUUUGUAGCCUUCGAACUCUCUGUAAGUUCCCAAGCCAUGAUGGAAUUUCCCCAUUCAGACGGUUGUAGCUUAAUUGAAGGAUCCUCAAACGAUGCAAUUGGCCCAAUUCUUUAGGGAGAUGGCCAUAGAAAUGGUUGCUACUCAAGUCGAGAGAGAGUAGAAAUGAAAGAUUUCCAAGGUGUGGAGGGAUAGUACCCCUAAGAUUCAUGCUUGUAAGAUUCAAAGCUAUAACUCUUUUAUGGAGGAUGCCACAAGAGACACCAAUCCAAUUGCAAACAGAGGUUGAGGCCGUCCAAUUGUCUGCCAAGACAAUUUGAGGACCGCCAAUACGAUCCUUAAACUCAAGAAGUGCAAACUGAUCGGAGUUGAGAUUCCUGACUGUCAUAGCCAUGCAAAGUACGAAACAUGGUAUGAAUAAAGCUAAGAGAAGAUGAAAGCAAGUUUUGUAGUUCAUGAUUGCAAGACAGAAUAAGGCAAGAAAAUAAAAAAAGUAGGAAAAGGGCAGUUGAGUUGAUAAAAUAGUUUGGAUGAUGAAGAAAAGCCCAGAGAGCAUGCUUUAAUAUGUUUCAACCCUCGCACACUUGAUAAACUUGAUAAAAAUAUUUUGAUCUAAUAAAUGUAAAAAAAAAUUAAACAAAAUAAGGUUGAAAUAAUCUAUUUGUCCUUAUAUUUUGAUAAAGGUUGAGAUUAGUCCUUAUACUUAAAAGGUUAAAAAUAAAGUUUUCUUGUUUUUAUUUAAAAAUCUUAGUCCUAUCGUUAAUUUUUUUUGGGCAAAAUUUGUCAACUGGACAUAUUAAUUUGGUUUCCCUUAUAUGUCGUUGUAUAUGACUAACACAAAAUAAGCAAGUUGACAAAUUAUGACAAAAAAAUAUCAAAGAUGAUAAUAAUUUGAUUAAAAUUUUUAAAUUGAAUUAAUAACCUUUAACAUAUAAGGAAUGGAUAUCAAAUAUUUAUAGGAAUAAAGGGACAAACAACAUAUUUUAACCACAAAAUAAUAUGAGUGAUUAGAAUGAAUCUAAAAGAGACUAACAACAUAUUGAUAACUUUGAAAUCUCCUACGAUCAUCCUUUUUCUACGUAGAAAAAGAAAAUUAAUUAGCAUCUAAAGUGUCAAUUAAUGAAACCUUCAAAAGAAAAUGUGAAAGUGAUUUACCAAACAAUAAUAUUCUAACUUAUAAUAUAUUUAAUUACAUUUAGUACUUUAUCAAUCAAAACUUAAUUAACAUCCAUCAAUACUUCAUACAUAAGUAAAUUUACCAUUUAACUCAGAUUUAACUUUGCAAGUAAACUUGAAAUUUUAUUUAAUUUUGUCACUAAAUUUAAUUUGCUCAAUAUAGAUUUUGGUGACUUAAAACAAAAUUAAUAAAAAAUUAUUCUUUCAGACAUCUUUUUAAUGUUUAAUAAUAAGUUAAUUUAUAAAAUAUACUUUCAUUGGACACAAGCCUCCAAGGCAGUGAACCACUAAUCAAAUUAAUUUGGAGAUAUCUUUUUUUUCCAAAUAAAAUGGAUAUCAAGAGAUACCAAAAAUUAUUUCACUAAGAAAUUUUAAUUCACUCGAAAAGUUAGUGUUUUAUUUCAAGGGGUCAUAAUUAUAAAUUUUGAACUUUUUGACAAUUGCGUAAAUAAUAAAUACCAAUUUUGAGUGCUGUAGGGCUAGGACAAUCUCCCUUACACAUAACCGACUCUUGAACCUACUCUUUUCUCUAGAAUUCAACUCAGACCUCAAAUUUAUCUUUUGAAAAGAAUUUUAAAAUCUUUGUAUAAAAGGUGUAAAAAUAUAUAUUUUAUUAAUUACUAUAUAUUCUUUUAUUUUCAGAAUAAUAAAUUGUUUAAAAUAUGCUACUAGUCCCUAUAAUUUAAAAGUUAAAAGUAAUUGGGAUCUUGAGUGCAUCAAAUUCCUCCUUUUAUUAUUAAAUGUUUUAUUUUAGUUACUCUAAUUAAAUAUAUCCAAAUUGUAAUAAACAUUUAUUAUAUAAAAAAUAUUUUAAAUUUAUUUCAAUUGCAAUUUAAUUUUAGUAGAAAUAUUUCAUUUAUAAAAUCAUAAAAUUUUAAAAUAUUAACUUUAUUAAAUAAAAAAUAAUUUUUUUUAAACAGUAAAUGUUGACUUUAUUAACACAAAUGGGUCUUUAGGGUUAAACUUCAGUAACUGACGAGCUCUUCCACAAACUGUGGAUGAUUUGGGGAUAAGAACUUCAAUAAUUCUAGAGUUAAAGUGUAAAUUUACUACUAUAUUAUAAGUAAAUAUUGAAAUUUAUCACUAAAUUUUAAUUGAUACUUGUCAUUACACUUUGAAAAUAUAAGUAAAUUUACCAUUUAACUCAUAUGUGAUUGAGCUUUGCAAAUAAACUUAAAAUUUUAUUUAAUUUUGUCACUAAAUUUGAUUUAUUUAAUUAAAUUUACAACUCAAUAUAGAUUUUGGUGACUUGAAUUAAAGUUAAAAAAAAAACUAUUCUUUCAAAUAACUUUUAAUGUUUACUAAUAAGUAGAUUUAUAAAAUAUACUUUCAUUGGACACAAGCAUCCAAGGCUGUGAACAAACCACUGGUCAAAUUAAUUUGGAGAUAUCCUUUUUGCGUUUUUCUUUUUUUUUAAAUAUUUUUAAUAUUUUUGUGGGUAUCAACAGACACCAAAAAUUAUUUCACUAAGGAAUUAAUUUGUAUUUUAUUUUAAGGGUUCACAAUUGAACAUUAGAUUUUUUAUUUUUAAAUUUUGAAUUUUUUGACAGUUGCGUAAUUAACAAGUACUAAUUUAGGGUGUUGUAGGGUUAUUACAACCUUCCCUACACGUAACAGACUCUUGAACCUACUUUUUUUUCUCUAGAACUCAACACAAACCUUAAAUUUAUCUUUUUAAAACAAUUUUAAAAUAUCUUUAUAAAAGGUUAUUUUUUUACCCAUCACACUUAACAAAAUUUUAAAAAUUAUUAAUUUCUUUUUGAAAUUUAAAGUGAUCUAAAAAUAUAUUUUUAAGUGCUUUAGACCCUGCGGUGCUGAUUUCUUUAUUGUAUUAAAUGCUUGCAAUCACUCCUGAUAUCUUAUACUUGAGUUGUAACAAAACCAAUUAUCAUGUUCCAUAAUGUUCUAUUGAUGCUGAAACUGAAGUUUUUGUUAUAUUAAUAGAGCUUGUCCUUCAACACGUAUAACGGGUGUUUGUUAUUUUUUUCUUCAAAUUGUAUGAUCUCAUUCAUUAAAUGAAUUAAUGAAUUUCCCUUUAAAAAAUAUAAUUUUAAAAAUUAAAUACUUUAUAAGAUAUUUAAAACUAUUUAAAAAUUGUAAGCGUUAAAACAAUCAACAAGAUAUAUUUUUCUUUAAAAAAUCAAUAAAAAUAUGUUUAAAAUUUUAUAUGAAAUUUACAAUUUUUUAACAAUAAUAUAUUUUAAAAUUAUUUACACCUUUUUUAUAUAUUUUUCCUAACAUAUAUUUUCAACACUAUCGUAAUCCUGUUUUGAUAACUCCCUUUCCAUACAUCCUUUUUCUACAUAGAAUUUCGAAAGAAAAUGUGAAUUAAUGCAGACGUGAGAAGACUUAGAGGUAAGUCACCCAAUGAAAGUGACCUACUUAUGGAAAAAUCAAACAAUAAUUUUGUAUCUUAUAAUAUAUUAAAUUACAUUUAUGAGGUUAUCAAUCAAAACUUAAUUAAAAUCCAUCAAUAAAGUUGUUGAUUGUAUAGCUAAGGCAGAUGGAGGCAUAAUUGAGCAGUUAGUUAUCUUGGAAAAUCCUCCGCAUUAUGUGAGAUGUUGGCUUGAAGAAAAUAUUAGACAGUCGUUGGUCACUGAUGAUAAUUUUUAUUUGGAUUGAAGCUGGCUUAAUUUUCUAAGUUUAUGUUCAACUAGAAAAAAAAUGUCUAAAUUGUAAUUGAAUUAACAUUUAGUGUAUAAAAAAUAUCUUAAAUUUUUUUUUUCAAUUGCAAUUCAAUUCCACAAAUACCGACGAUGAACCCUAAAACGGACAUGAAAAUUACAAAAAGAAAAAAAGCACAUCUAUUAUCAAACCAGCAAUACAUGCCUAAACUAAUAGAGAUGAACCCUAUGAUAGAUUGUGACCCCCCAAAGUCGACCGGGAUAGACCAGCCUGAAUUCAAAGCAUUACAUUAGCCACCUAAAUGACUCUCCAGCUAACGACCACCCAAGGCACACCCCAACCUUAUAACACCUCAAUUUUAUCUAAUUAUUAGUUAUUUAUUAAUGCCAAAGUAAAUUAUGAGCCAAUUUUAAACUUUUCCUAAGUAAUUUAAUCUAUGGGCAUUUACGUUAUUUUACCACCUAUGGUAAAACUAACUUGAUUUUAGAUCUAAGUGUUUACUCACCUUCUUUUAGUCAAAUUAUGCAAGUCUAAAAUUUCCAGGUGAAUUUGAGUUUGUUUACUAUGUCUAAUUCAAGUUUUAUUAUUUAGGAUUAAAUUGUAACUUAAACAAAUUCGAAUACCAAUUUAAAGAGGCAAAAAUUCAAAACCCAAAACAGACACAAGCAUGUGCGUAAAUGACACGGGCGUGUGAAAACUGGAACUAUCACAUACGGACGUGUGGGAUUGAAAAAUAUAAAAUAAAUUAAUCCACUCAAUUUUCCAAUAGCCAUGCUAUACUACCAAACCAAAAAAUGCUUGAAGCUUUGAAUAGGGGUGAAUCUAAAAAAAAAAUUAGAAGAAUUAGAAUUAAAUUAUAAUCUAAAAAAAAUUAGAAGAAUUAGAAUUAAAUUAUAAAACUUUGAGAAGUUAAAAUAUAAUUUUAUCAUGUAUUAAUUUAUUAUUUUUAAAAUGGUCUUAAUUGAAUUUUUUUUUCCAUUUUUGUUGGGCCAAUACCCCUGCUUGCCUCUUUGAAUUUGCUCCAACCCUAAACCCAAUAAUCAAUUUGGAUUAACAACAAUAUAUAGGUUAGUAUUUGUGGGAGUUUGACAAUAAAAUUUUUUUUAAAAGGUUUAAAUUAUAAAUUUUUGAAAGAUUAAAAUAAAUUUGUAUUUUUUAUUAACAAAAUAUAAAAGAAAAAAACAUGUUUAGACAAGCCAAGAGACCUUUGGGAUCAUACGGGUGAUUUUGAUGAUGUUAAUAGUUAUUUUGGUGGAGAGGCUGAGAAAGAAACAAAUGAUUCAUUAUAUAUAAUAUAAUUAUGAAAUUCAAGCCAUAUAUUGUAUGUUUCAUACAUAAAAAAAAUUGGAGCAAUUUAAUCCCUAUCAAUUUUGAAAGUGAGCAACUAAGAACAAUGAAUUAUGGUGUUUCCUUCUUAAUUUCACAAUUGCGCAAAUUAGUCCCUCUCAAAAAAAAUUGGAGCAAUUUAAUCCCUAUCGAUUUUGAAAGUGAGCAACUAAGAACAAUUAAUUAUGGUGUUAAAUUCUUCCAUCAAUUGUACAUAAUUUUGAUUGGUAUAGUAAUAAAUUUAGCCUUCAAUGUUUAAAUAUUUUGUCAUUUUGGCCUUAAUUUUUUUUUAAAAAAAAUUCAAGCAUUUCAACCUCAACAUUUAGAUAUUUACACAAACGUUGCGGGAAAUUUUUGUUAAAUUUAGACCAAAUUGCAAGUAUAAAUUUUGAAGGCUAAAUUUAUUAUUAUACCAACCAAAAUCAUGUACAUUUUAUGGAAAAUUAACAUCCUGAUUAAUUAUUCUUAGUUACUCACUUUCAAAAUUAAUAGGGACUAAAUUGCUCUGAUUUUUUAAGGGUGACCAAUUUCCUCAAUUUGGAAAUUGAGAGAGACUAUUCAGAUAUUUUACAUAUUUUUUUAUAAAUAUAUUUUUUUAAUAUAAAAUAUAUUUGUUCACACAUAUUGUGAGUAUGAUAAAAUAUUUUUAUUAUUGAUUGAGUUGGUGUCAAAAAUUAACUCGACACCAACUCAAGAUUAAUAAUAACAAUAUGAUAAAUAAUUUAUUUAUUUAAUAUUCUUAAUUUAACAUAUUGAUGUAAAUUUUAAGACAUGCAUGUCUUGUAGAAUUGAGAUUAUACUAUUUGAGUAUUGAGUCAGUUUUCCACAAUGGUGGGUCUCGAGCAACAGCACAAUUUCAACAUUUCUUCAUCUCGCUUAAUCCAAAUGCAUUUAGGAUUUUUUUUUUAUAUCAUUGUUUCAAAAACGAUAAAAAAAAACGUGGACAUUGAAUUUUCUGUUUCACAUUCAAUUUUUGGAGAAGUAGAAUUUUCUAACUUAUUUUCCAUCAACUUCACUUCAAUUUUCAAUCACAAUCUAUUGUAUUCAAGAGUACCACAUCUUUUUGGAUGAAACAAACCUCUCAAUCUUAAGAUAAACGGAAUCUAUUGCAUUCAAGAGCACCACAUCUUUUUGGAUGAAACAAAGCACUCAAUAUUAAGAUAAACGGGUCUUUAGGGUUAUUAACUGAGGGCAUUUUCCACAAAUGGCAUCGUUAUUUGAAGGUGAUUCGGGGAUAAUAACAUCAACAUUUCUGUAUCACAUUUAAUUCAAUUCCACAUUUAACUUUUAAUUUUUGGAGAGAUGAUUGGGCUACAACAAUGGUUUGAAGUGAAGAUAUUUCAAAAGAAGGCAAAUAUAUCAAUUUUUUUAAGGGGUCUUUGGAGUUAUAUGUGACUUUAGCAUUAUUGACCGAUUUUUUUAUGGUUAAUCUUUUAUAAUAAGGUAAAUAUAUCAAUUUUAAUAACAUCGGCAUGUUUUUUAGUAGGGUCGAGCAAAACCCAAUUAAAACCUUUCAUCACUGCAAAAAUGAAAAUAAUAGAAAUGAAAGACUAGCCAUUGUAUGAGAUUUAUAAUUGUAACUGUCAACGAAAUUGGGAGAAAUUUUUAAAUUUUAUGAAAUUUUAAAAUUUAACUGUCAAUAAUAGAAAAUUGCCUGAGUAACUUGAGAUAAGAGGUUGAACAUUUCUGGAUCACAUUACAUUUAAGAUGGGUCUUUAAGGUUAUACUUUAGUUAUUGAGAACAUUUUCCACAAGUUACCGUCGUUAUUUGUGGGGUAAGUGGUUGAACACUUCUGGAACACAUUGCAUUUAGGACGGGUAUCAUUCAUAGACUGACUUUUCUAUAAUUAGUCCUUGCUUUACUUUAGGUGGAUUCUUCCAACUAGUCCAAGAAUUAUUGUACAGUUACAAUUAAUCUUUUUAAAUGAGACAAACAUUUCAAAUUUGUCGUUACUAUUUGUGAGUGAUUUGGGGGUAAGAAGUUUAACACUUCUGGAUGUCUUAUAGAAUUGUGAUUAUACUUUUUGAGUAUUGACUCAGUUUUCCACAAUUGUGGGUCUCUAUUUGAGCAAAACAAUUUCAACAUUUCUUCAUCUCGUUUAAUCCAAAUGCAUUUAUGCAUUUCUUAUAUCAUUGAAUUUGCUGUUUCCCAUUCAAAUUUUGGACAAGUAGAAUUUUCUAACCUAUUUUCCAUCAAGAAUUUUCUAACCUAUUUUCCAUCAACUUCACUUGAAUUUUCAAUCACAAUCAAUUGCAUUCAAGAGCACCACAUCUUUUUCGAUGAAACAAAACUUUCAAUUUUAAGAUAAACGGGUCUUUAGGGUUAUUAUUCAUUUAUUGAGGGCCUUUUCAACAAUUGCCAUCAUUAUUUGUUGGUGAUUUGGGGAUAAUAACUUGAACAUUUCUGGAUCACAUUGAAUUCAAUAUUCUUAUACAAUAGUAUUUUAUAUAUAUACGUACAUAAUUUAUAUUAAACUAUUUUUAUUUUAUAUAUUAUUGAUUUCGUAUUAUUAUAACUAUUGACCUUAUGUUUAUAUGUUUUUUUAAAACCUAUUUUUUACAUAUACAAUUUACUUCUUUUAAAAAAACCCUACUUCAUAUACUUGGUUUAUUUCAAAUUUCUACAUAUAUUAUUAUGCAUAUAUAUAUAUAUUAUCAUUUGUAUUGUUAUUAAGCUUUUCAUUUCAUAUAUAUUAAUUAUUUAGGUUAAUACAUACAUUAUUUUGUACAUUACCUAUUUUGAUUUUAUUCUUAUGCAAAAUUUACUUUAAAAUUUGUUUACAUAUUAUUGUUUCACAUAGUAUUUAUUUUUAACUCUAUUUUUGGUCUAUUUCGAAUUUUCAUGUACAUUAUUUAUUUUUAUACUUUUUGGAUUUACAAUUUCCUUUCUUUCAUGCCAUUUUUUAAUUAUUUCAAAACUUAUACAUUGGAUUUGCAUUUGUGUUAAUUUGUUUGCUUUUUAGGUUUUACUAGCUUUUAAAUAUGGAUGUUAGUAGUUGCAUAAUGUGUAAUAUAAGAUUGUUGCCCUUAUGUAUGUUGUAUUGUUUAUUUGUAUUUUAUUGAUCCUUUGUUGCUCAUUAGCUUACAUUUAGCUUACAAAUUGUAAGUGUAACUUUUGAGGGCUAAAUUUAUUAUUAUACCAACCAAAAUCAUGUACAUUUUAUGAAAAAUUAACAUCUUGAUUAAUUAUUCUUAGUUGCUCACUUUCAAAAUUUCUCUGAUUUUUUUUGGGUGACCAAUUUCCUGAAAUUGGAAAGUGAGAGAGACUAUUGAGAUCUUUUACGUAUAUUUUUUUAUAAAUAUAUUUUUUAAAUAUAAAACAUAUUUGUUCACACACAUCAUGAGUGUCGAAACCAUUUUUUUAAUAAAUGGGGGUCGACUUUUAUUUUGAAAAUGAAAAUAAACAAAUGGGACUCGCCACUGAUCUUUUGUUUAGUGUGAUCAGAUCACCUUGAAAGCGAUUUUGGUCUACGAAAUUUGAGAAAACAGGUUGGGGAGUCGAUUACGCACGAGGAAGGGUUAGCACCCUCGUAACACCCAAAAUUGGUACCUAAUUGAUUAAUUAAUGUCUUAAUGUCGAAAUUUUAAAAAAAAAAUUUAAAAUACAAUCCUUCUAUUCAAAUGAACACUUGUAUGAAUCAGAUUGCGUACUAAGACCCUCUUGUUUUGGAGAAAUAGAAUGCCACACACAGUGAGUUAGGAUAUGACAUUUUCACAUCUUCCAAAAAUGAGCUGGCCUUUUGAUUUUUUUUUUUAAAAAAAAAACUCUUGCAGUGAAGUUUAAAAAAAGGAUACUCUAUUGUUUUGGUUAGAUGAAAAUAAAUGAAUAAAUGAAUAGCAUACAAGAAAGGAAAUUUAAAAUUAUCAAUACAUAAACAAUAAAUUAUAUGCAUUAACUUUUAAAAUAAACAAUAUAUAUACGAGUUUGAAAUAGAUCAAAAAUGAAGAUAAAAAAUAGAUACUAUAUGAAAUGAUAAUAUCAAAAUGAAUUUUAAAGUAAAUAUUGAAUAAAAAAAAUCAAAAUAUGUAAUAUACAAAAUAAUAUAUAUUAAUCUAAAUAAAUAAUAAAUAUGGAAUGAAAAAUUCGAAAUAGAUAAUACUAUAUAUAUAUAUAUAUAAAUAUAUGUGAAAAGUCGAAAUAGGUAGAAUAUAAUAAAAUAGGUUUUUUAAAGAAAUAAAUUAUAUAUAUAUGGAAAUAGGUAACAAAGAUAUAUAUAACAGCAUGAAAUCAAUAAUAUAUUAUAUAUGCAUAUAUGUAUAAUAAAAAUAGUUUAAUAACACUUGUAUAUAUAUGUAUAAAAUAGUAAUAUGAAAGAGCAUUAUCGUAUAAAUCUUUAAAACAAAGAAGUAUAUAUAAGUGCAUUUUAAAAAUGUAUUUAAAAUAAAACCAUUAAAAACGUAUAAAUUAUAUUGAAAUUGCAUAAAAAGUAUAUAAAAUAAUAGAUGGAAAUUAAAAUAAUAAUAUAUGAUAAAUUUUAAAAAAAAAGUAAUUAUACAUGAAAAACUUAGAAUAAUAAUACAUAAAAAACUUAAAAUAAUAAUACAUGAUGAAUUUAAAUAACAAAUACAUGAUAAAUUUAAAUAAUGUUAAUGAUAAAUUUAAAAUAAUAAUAUAUUACAAAUUGAAAUAAUAUUGAUGAUAAAUUUAAAAAUAAUGUUAAGCUUAAACAUAAAAAUAAUAUUAGAUUUAAAAUUAAAUAUAUAUUUUUUUAAAAAUAACAGGAUAAUAAAUAUUUAAAAAAAUUGAACACGUUAAAUUAAACAAAUACGGGUUAAAUUGUAUUUAAUACAAAAUUAAAAGAAAAAAUGAAAAUAAAAUAAAAUAGAGGGCCAAAAUGCAGCACACGAAUAACAUGGGGGACUAAAUGGGGAAUAUUCCCUGCCCACCAAAACGCUGUGUUGCAAUAUGGAUCAAAAUGAACAGUAUUCAAAUUAAACGAGGUAAAUUUAAAAAUAAAAAAUGAAAUUAAAAUAGUGAAAGAAAAUAAAAGGGUCAAUGGUGCAAAUAUCCCCUUUUAGACCCAAAACACGUGGAUCUGACCUUGCUCGAGUCGGGUCAUUAGAUCUCUUAAACCUAAACCAUUGAAGCAAGGCCCAAACGGUACCAUUUCAUGGUCUUCUUAAAACAAAAACCUAAACCACUAUUUGGUUGUUCUUAAAUCAGAUUAGCCAAAACCCUAGCCGCUCGAAUGCUUUGCCGAUAUUCAACCUUACAGUCCUCGCUUGAGCUCCGAUUACGACAAAGUGAAUGGGGAUACAAUGGCGCUAUCUUAUAGGUAAAUCCCUCUCCUCUCAUUCAUUUCUCUUUCACAAACAAGUAUAACAAACAAAGAUUGAGGAAACAGAAAAGAAAAAAGAAAUCUAAAGAUAAAGAAAUGGGAUUUUUUUUCAUAACGGCUAAAUCAUUCAACUCAUAGUUUUUGUUAAAUGAAGAGGUCAAUUGAUUUUUUUGGAAUCAUUGAGUACUCAAUUGGUGCACUUUUUUCAUAAAGGCUAAAUUAAUUUUUUAAUUUGUUACUGUUGAGGGCUAUAGCAAUAAAAAAAAUUGAGGUAAAAUGGAAAAAAUGUUAGAGCUAAAUUUAUCACUAUGCCUAAAACCAAAAUUUUUUGAAAAUAAAAAAAAAUGGAAAAUCACAAAUUUUGUCACUUAUGUUAGCUUAAAAUUAUAGUUUUGGUCACCAAUCUUUUGAAGUAAAUAUCUGGUCAACAAUAUUAUCCAUUUGUUACUUUGUAAUAACUCACCUUAAAGUUAUAUCCCUGCGCAAGAAAGGAUUAAAUGACAAACUUGUAUCUUUUUUUAUUCAUCCAAUGUCAUUUCAACAUUUUCAUUUAAAAAAAUUGACAUAUCAUUUUGAAUUCCAUCUUUUUCAUGAUGAAACUAUUGAAAUGAUGUUAAAUUACUGGAAAGAGAUACAAGUUUAAUCUUAUCUAUCUAAGAAAGCUGAUGUAACACAUUAAUGACAUCAUUCCAAACAAAGUUUUAGGUCCAAUUGUUCAUCUAGCCCUUGUAAUUGUUUUUAGGUGAAUUUCAUUAUUAAUCUUUUAUUUUCUUUGGCUUAAAUACACAUUUACCCUUAAUUUUAUCACAUUCUCCUUCACUGGUAUUUAUGGUUUAGAAAAUUUUACAAAUAUAUUAUUUUUUAAGAAAUUAUAAGAAGAUUACAAAAAUUCCAAAAUAAUAUAAAAAAGCUAAGGAAAACCUAGAAAUUCAAAAAAAAAAUCAUGUUUUUACAAAUUGGGAAAUACCUAAAUUUGUUUUCAUCAAUUAAGAAAUUAAAAAAAUUGUUGAGAAAUAUCUUUUUAGAAAUAUCAUAAUUGCAUUUAAGACCUCAUGAUUAUCUUUUAUAAUUUCAAGGUUAUCAACUAUUUUGAAAACAAAGACAAAAACAAAAACAAAAACGUCGACAUAUCACUUUAGCAUUGACUUACUUUUCUACAGUUAGUCUUCUCCAACAAGAUAAAUAUUUCAAUUUUAACAACAUUGACAGGUCUUUGGGGUAGGGUCGAGCAAAAGUCAAUAGAAACAGAUGAUAUAAGUUUAAAUCGGCCCGGUCAAGCCGAUGUCCUGGUAAAAUCAAUUUUAAAAUUAAUUAUAAUAGUUUAAGCGAAUUGAUUAUUAAGUAAUGAAAUACUUAAUUCAAACAAUUGAUGUAAUCAAAUUAUAAUAAAUAUAUAUUUACUUUUAUGGGAUCCUUCAUCUCCUUUUUAGAGUUUGUGGCAAUAUUUAUUUUAAGCUUCAAAUUUAUAUUUUUUAUUUAUGAGUACAAUGUGUUUUACAAUUACAUCUACAGUGUAUAUUUUUUAUUUUAAAACAUAUAUUAUAAUAUAUGAAAAACAUAUAUGUCGAAACCAUUUUUAAUAAUUUUGAAAAACGGGGAUCGACUUCGAAAAUAAAAUGGGAGUCACCAUCGAUCUUUUAUUGAGAUAUGAUCGGUUCACCAUUAGACGUAAUUUUGGUCUGCAAAUUUUGAGAAAACAAGUUCAGGAAUCUGUUAAGCACGAGGAAGGGUUAGCACCCUCGUAACGCCCAAAAUUGGUACCAAAUUGAUUGUUUAAUGUCUUAAGGUCGAAAUUUUGAAAAGAUUUUAAAAUACGAUCCUUUGAAGUUUAAAUUUGAAUAAACCAAAUUGAAUAAUAAGACACACUCAUUUCGAAUAAAUAAAUUGUCACACUCAGUGAGUUAGGAUGCAACAAUUCAAUCAUCAAAAUUAAGUAUGUCUUUUUUAAUUUUAAAAUUUUAAAAUUCAUGCAUUUUGAGAAUGUUGUUCGGUUAUUUAAGUCAAACGAGAAAUCAGAAUUCAGUAAGUUAGGUUUCGAUUUCUUGAAGUUCUUAAACAUCAAAUAUUGUCUUUAUUUUAAAAUCAGGAUAUCAGAAUGUCACAUCCGGUAAGUUAGGAUCCGACAUUUUGAAAUCCUAAAUGCUUAGUUUUAAAAUGGUAUGGUUUUAAUAAAAUAAGCAUAUAGCUAUUUAAAUUCAUCGAGAAAAAUUGGAACCCAAUAAGUUAGGGCACAAUUCUCUCGAAAAUUAUAAAUGCUAGACCUUUUUUAAUAUGAAAUAGAAUAAAAAAUUUAAAAGAAGUAUGAAAUGUAAAAGAUGAUUGAUAAUUCAAACUUAAACUAAGAAGUAGCAAAUAAGUGAUAAAUAAAUACAAAUAAGGAAUAGCAAUAAUAGUUUUAAUAAUAUUAUAUUAACGCUAACAUUGACAAUCAAACAUCAAAUUCUAAAGUAUAUCCAAGAUGAUAAAAGGGGAAUUUCACCUCACGAAACUUAUGCACACAAGUUCUAAAAGAUUUAUUCACAAAAUCAAAAUAGAUUCGAAAUAAAAUAAUAAUAACAUUGUAUAAUAGCAUUUCGAAAUGAGCUUGAAACAAAUAAAAUAUAUUUAUUAAUCCACCUUAAAUAAUACACAUAAAAUAACUAUGAAAGGGUCUCAAUGCAUGUAUGAUUUAAAAGAAAUAAGUAAUUACCCAAAUAGGUUUUCAAAGAAAUAAAUUAUAUAAAUGAAAUCGACUUAAAAUUCAUAUAUGCAUAUAAAAAUACUUUGAAAAUUUAUAAUCAUGAUGAUAUUAAACAUCAAAACAAUAAUAUAUAUAUUUUUUGAAAUAAUUUAAUAUCACAUAUAGUAGCAUUUAAAAACAUUAUAUUAAAAGAAAAUUAAGUUAUAACACAAAAUGAAUUACUAAAAUAUGUUCAAAGUAUGUCAAAUUGCUAUAAAACAUUUUUACAUAUAUAGAUGAUGAAACAUAUAAUGAUAUAGAGUUUUAAAAUAAAAAGGAUAAAUUUUAAAAAAAUGUUAAUAAACUCAAAACAUGUUAAUAAUAAUUUUAAAUAACAAUAUGUUGUACCUUAAAAUUAUAAUAAAAAUGUUUGAAAACAGUGUUAAUCCUAAUAUUUAAAACUUAUUAAAAAUAAACAUAUUAAAAAUACUAAGCUAACUUUACAUUAUGUUAUAUAUAUAAAAAAAAACUAAAUUUGAAUGAAAUUUGUAGAAGCCCAAAUUUGCCGGGCCCAUACCAACAAAAUAACCCAAACAAUAAACCCGAAGCCCAACUACCCCAGCCCAUUAACCUAAGCUCAGCAUUCAGAAACCCUAAUCCCACUAACCCUAGCCACCUACCCCCACUUGCCCACUUGCCCACUUGCGCCGAACACCACCAUGCCACUAUCGGCCAUGGCCACCUGCAAGAAGCCAAGUAGAAAUAAACAAAUAGAAAAUAAACAUUUGUAAUUGGUUAUAAAAACCGAAAAUCUCACCAUUGAUAAAGGGGAUUUUUUAUUUUUUGCUAUGAAAACAAAAGAUUUUCUUUCAAUAUUAACAGAUUCAAUACAAGAACCAUUCGAAAAUAUAUAUACUAUCAGGGGCUCUAACACCAAAUCGGAGAAUCAAAUCUAAAACCUAAGGUGAACCUAAGGUGACUCUUUCUUUUUUUUUUCUUUACUGUUUUGAGUUUAUUUUCUACAUAAAAAUACUAAAAAAUAUUAAAACAUAAAAAUAUAUGCAUUAUUAAGCAAAAAAAAAAAGAAAAAAAGAAAAAAAAUAUUUUUUUUACCUUUUCCGGCCACCGCCGGCGAGCCUCCGGUGGCCGUCCGGUGACCGGCCCCCUGGCCGGAUUCCCCUUUCCCCCUCCCUUCUCUCUCCCUUCUCUCUUCCCUCUCUCUCUUCUUUUUUUUCUUUCCCUCUCCCCAAAGGAUUUUUUUGGCUAUUUUAGGCCUUUAUAUAGCCCUCCAAAACGAUGUCGUUUUGGGGGCUACACUUAAGCCUCAAAACGACGUCGUUUUGACCAUUGCCCGACCCAUCCGACCCGACCCGCUAGAGGAUCCGCGUGUUUUCGUUUGAAUGGGAUAUUUAUGCGCGCAGUCCUUCCGCUUUUUCAAGGUUUUGCAGUUAAGUCAUUUUUCUUGUUUCCAAUUUGGCCCCAUAAUUUCUCGCGCUUUUCGAUUUAGUCCCCGCUAAUGUGCUGUGUUUUAAUGGAAUGGAAUAAUUGUUGUUUCGGUCCUCCUAUGUUUUGUGCGCGCUCAAAUAAGCCCAUUUCUCUUUAUUUCCUUUCACAUUUGCCCCACAACUUUGUUUUUAAUUCAAUUUUAGUCCUUUUUCGUUUAUUUUUAUAUCUUUAUUAAAUAUCAUUGUUAUUUUAUAUUAUUAGUAUUAUUAGUAUUACUAUUAUUAUUAUUAUGUAUUAGUAUAUAUUUUUAUUAUGUACGCGUAUACAUGUAUAUAUAUUUUCAUAUUUAAUAUUUUUAUUUCAUUUUUUUCUAAUAUUUUAUUAUAAUUUAUAUAUAUAUACAUAUACAUAUUCUUUAUUUAUUUUAAGUAUAUAUUUUUUAUAUUUCAUAUUUUCUACAGGCAUAUAUAUACUUAUAUAUUUACAUAUUUUAAUUCAUAUACUUAUAAAUGUAUGUACAUACUUACGUUAUUUUAUUUUUAUAAUAUACAUAUUUAUAUUUUUUUGUCUUUAUGUAAUAUAUAUACAUACAUGCGCAUGUUAUUUAUAUAUAUGUAAUUAUGUUUUCAUAUUUUAUAAUUCUUGUACAUACAUAUAUAUAUAUAUAUGUAUAGACAUACAUAUUUUCAUUAUAUAUAUAUACCUACAUAGUUUUUUUUUUGUAUUUUAAAUCUUUUAAAAUUCAUACAUGCAUUUUUAAAACUUUUAUAAUUUUAUUCAUUUCUUUAUUAUUAUUAUUGUUUUACUUUAUGUUUAUCUAUUUAUUUAUGUGUCCAUUAUUAUUUUUUUUAAAAAAUGUUUUAGUUUUUUUUAUUUUGUUUAUUUACUUGUUAUUGUAUAUAAUUGAUUUUUUAUAUAUUUAUUUUUGUUAUCUUCGCUCGUAUUAUUUUUACUCGCAUUAUCGUAAUUGUUAUUCCGUCACAUCAAUUUUUACCCAAAUUCGUAAAAAAGGGAAAAUUUUGGAAAUAAAGGCAAUACUCGAUACUUGGGAUCUUCGAGAGAAUUGGGCCCUAACGUGCUGGGUUCUAAUUUUCUGUUGAAUCUAAAUGCUCGAGAAUGCUCUUUAAUAUAAAACAUAAAUAAAAACUCAUUAUCGGGAUUUCAAUAUGUUGUGUCCUAACGCAUUGGAUAUGACACGUGGUUUUCUCGAUAUGAGGAUUUUUUUUUUCGAAAGUAAAGACAAUAUUCCGUAUUUAGAAAAUUCGAGAAAAUCAUGCCCUAACUUACUGAGCUUCGAUUUUUCUCGUUGAUUCUAAGUAAUCGGAUAUCCUUUUAAAAUUAAAAUAAAUGAGGUUUAAAUAAAAAAAUGAAAGGCAAGUUUACUCUCGAAAAUACGAGGUGUCGUGUCCUAACUUACUGGAUGUAACAUCUUGUUACUUCGAGAUAAAGAGGCAUUUUCCAUUUUGAUUUAUUCGAGUAUUUUUAAAAUAACACGAUAUAAGGAGGGAUCAUAUUUUUAAGAUUCUUUUCGAGUUUUUAAUUUUCGACACUAAGACACUAAUUAAUCAACUAGGUACCAAUUUUGGGUGUAUCGAGGGUGCUAAUCCUUCCUCGUGCAUAACCGACUCCCGAACUCAUUUUUCUGAAUUUCGUAGACCAAAAUCGUUGUUUUAAUAAAAUUAAAUCAUUUAUUAAAAACAACCACUUUUUGAGGUGACCCGAUCACACCUCAUCAAAAAAGGAUUGGUGGCGACUCCCAAUUUCGUUUCAUUUUCAAAAUCCAAGUCGACCCCGUUUUCAUCCAAAAAAUGGUGUCAACAGCUUGGCGACUCCACUGGGGACAAUAAGAGAGUCAAGCCACGUGUUGAUUAUUUCUUGUCUUUCUGUUGAAAGUGGAAAAUUCGAUUUAAAUUUACGAUCCUCUCAUUACAUCUCUUUUGUUUUGAGUUAUAUUUUUAUUGUGUUCUGUAUUUUAUUUUAUACCUCUGCACAUUGCAUUGCAUGACCGCUGGUCAUACCCUUUUUAAGUGGGAGUGAGAAGCUACGCCUUCGUGAGGUUUUCACCUCCGCAUGGGAUAGUGAAUCGCUUUCGGGAUAUAUCCGUACCUAUGUCUUCGUGAGAUUUUCAUCUCCGCAUGGCCAUAGGGAAAUGUAUCCCCCUGAAUCGAACUCGGUCCAUAUGAGCCUAUAAUGGGUGAGGAUCGAGGAAUCUGCUGGUUCAGGUACCCUUACUUUAGAACCAAACCUCAUGUAGUGAACCUUAGGAGCCCACCCUAGGUAGAACCACCUCCAAACCCCUAGUGGUCACCCGAAUUGCUUUAUUUGUUAUUUAUUCUGCACUAACGUGUUUUGUUUUUUUUUUGUUUAUAAUUGCAUUGUAUUACAUCAUCCUAGGAAGGAGGUGUUGAUUUAUAUUUGAUUGCUAAAUAGAACAGUUUGUCAUAAGAAAACAAAUUUUUUGAUAAAGUGGAUUAUAACACGGUUGUCUAAAUAUGGUCCAAGUGAAUACAUGAAAGAAGGCUGAUAGUCCGUGAAGAAAUACAAGACUUUGCUUCAUUGCCUGAAGACAGAAACUAACAAAGAUUAUUCGAGAGCUGUCAUGUCUUGACUUUCUUAAAGGAGCUGAAAAGUAUCAUAGAAAUAAGUGAGCAACGAGUCGCUGCCUGGAUCCAGCAAAAAAGCAGUUAAUAUAGACAUCUCUUGGAGAAUUCGUCAGACUCGACCAUAAGAUCCAGAUAUGAAGAGGAAGAAAGGUGUCUUCACUUGGAAUAUGAGAGAAAGACCGUGUAUGUAGUCCGUUUUAUGUAAAGGAAUUUGUUUUCUAGAAAAGUUGUUCCAAUGAAAUUAAAUUUAGAAUCAAUGUCUUCCUUUCUUUUUGCAUUCAUGCAUUUGCAUUACAUUACAUCAAAGAAAAGAAUGUGUUGAUUCGAAAUUCGAUUCCUAAAUAGAAUAGUUUGUCAUAAGGAAACGAAUUUCUUGAUAAAGUGGAUUAUAGUGCGGUCACCUGAAUAUAGUCUGAGUAAACACGAUGAGAGAAAGCUGGUAGUUCACGGAGGAAUACAUGAUGUAAUUUCUAGAGAUUCAAGCCAACGAAGGCAUGACGAGAGAAAGCCGGAAGUCCACGAAGGAAUACAUGACUUGAUUUAAUUGCCAACGAAGAUUAUCCAAGAGCCGGCACUUUUUGAUGAAUAUCAUGGAGAUAAGCGAGCAAGAGAUCGAGGCUCAGGUUAAGCAGUAAGGAGCUAGCAAAGGCAUCUUUUGGAGAAUUUACAGGGUUUAACCAUGAAGAAAAUAUCAGCGUUUACUUGGACUAUGAAGGGCAAUACCACAUAUGUAAACUAUUUUCAUGUAAAAAAAUUUGUCUUCUAGAAAAAUUAUUCUAAUAGAAUUAAAUUUAGAAUCAACGCAUUCUUUUUCUUUGCAUUCUUUUCAUGCAUUGCAUCACAUCAUAUGCAUUAAUGACCAUUUAAAAAGAACUUAAUCGAAUAAAAUCAUUUCAGUUAACCUGGAAAACCAACAAAGUUACGGCACCCGAGCUAAGGCAAAAGUUAUGGACCAAAGGUUGGAGAAGCUAGAGCGACUUCAAAAAGAAAUGCAAGACCAGUUGCAGGCGCAAAUGAAAGAGCAAAUGGAAAAGAUUCAGCGUGACAUGGUGCAAAAGAUGGAGGAGUCCCAAAAUGAUCUGGUGGCUAAGAUGACGCAAUUAUUGAAGGGAGUAGAUAAGGGUAAAGGUCCUGUGAUUGUUAGUGAAGAAGAAAACAAUGGUGAACCACUUUAUCCUCCAGGUUUCACGCCUCCGCAUGAGCAAGUACAGACUGAGCUGCAUCUGCGGAGACCCUCUGUGUCGGUUAGGCCCCAGCAGUUCCAAGGCGAUGCUUCAAUCCCAAUGAAUUUUCAACCCGGAGCGGGCUUUAAUCCCAGUGAUAGCCCGAAUAAUAUUGUUGUCCCAGAUCUUGAUGAGAUGGUUGAAAAGGACAAGGCGAAGGAGGAAUUUCCAAAACAAUUUGAGGAGAAAUGGAAAUGGAUAGAAGAAAAGUUUAGGGCAAUAGAAAGCAUCGAAAGCUACGGAAUAGAUGCAAAGGAUCUGAGCUUGGUUCCGGACUUGGUGCUCCCUUACAAAUUUAAGAUGCCGAAAUUCGAGAAAUACAACGGGACUAGUUGCCCAGGAUCCCAUAUUACUAUGUUUUGUAGAAGAAUGACGGGGCAUAUUAAUAAUGAUCAAUUAUUAAUACAUUGCUUUCAGGAAAGUCUUACGGGAGCGGCGUCAAAGUGGUACAAUCAGCUGAGCCGAGCUAAAAUUGCUACUUGGAGGGAUUUAGCACAGGCUUUCCUGAGACAAUACAAUCAUGUCUCAGAAAUAAUGCCUGACAGGAUAACUCUGCAAAAUUUAGAGAAGAAAUCAAACGAAAGCUUCAGACAAUAUGCGCAGAGGUGGCGAGAGGUGGCAGUUCAGGUGCAACCACCGCUUUUGGAAAAAGAGAUGACAACGCUUUUUAUUAAUACUUUGAAAGCCCCGUUCAUCACUCACAUGUUGGGAAGCGCUUCAAAAAAUUUCUCGGAUAUAAUCAUGAAUGGUGAAAUGAUUGAGCAUGCCAUUAAAAGUGGAAAAAUAGAUGGAGGAGAAAAUAAUAGGAGGGCACCCCUGAAGAAAAGAGAAAAUGAAGUGAAUAAUGUGAAUGCUUAUGGUAGGUCAAUUACCGUGAAUCAACCAAAGAAAGUGGUUGCUAAUCAACAGGGAUCAUCAAGACAAGAGUCGGGAGCUAGGCAAACUACUGAAAAGCCCUAAUUCACGCCAAUCCCGAUGUCAUACAAGGAGUUGUAUCAGACUUUAUUCGAUGCACAUGUUGUUGCUCCUCGUUACUUGAGUCCUCUACAACCCCCGUAUCCAAAAUGGUAUGAUAUGAACGCGCAAUGUGAUUAUCAUGCGGGAAUUUCUGGGCACUCGAUAGAAAAUUGUACUGCCUUCAAGAAGGUAGUAGAAGGACUUAUCAAUUUAGGUGUCGUCAAACUUGACGACUCACCUAACGCAAAGAAUCCGUUACCUAAUCACGCAGAUAAAGGGGUGAAUAUGGUUAGCGAAGAUACGGGAGAAGAAGCCAAGACUGACAUUGCUGAAGUAAAAACUCCAUUGAAACGGGUCUGGAAAGAAAUGGCGAAAAGAGGUUUGGUUAUUUCAGAUUCUGAGGAAGGGCAUGAGAUGGGAAAUUAUUGUGAAUUUCACCAUAAAACAGGGCACGAAAUCCAAGAAUGUGAAGGAUUUAAGGCUUUGGUUCAAAGCAUGAUGGAUAACAAGGAGAUGAGGUUUUACGAAGAUGCGAAAGAAAUGAGGAGCAUAUGCGCGACAGAGUUGGGAACAAAGGCUCCAAAUCAUCCUGUGGUCAUUAUCUCACGCCCUAAGGGUAAGGAGGUUAGGGCUCAGGUAACACCGAAAAUUGUAAUCCAGAAACCAUCAAAUUUCUCUUAUAGGGAUAACAAAAUGGUACCGUGGAAUUACGGGUGUAAUGUGACCAUUUUGGGAAAAGAAGCAGAAAGAAAUCAGGAAAUAGGUUCUUACACGCGCAAUAGAAAAAGAUAUGACGCUCAAGCAGAGUCGUCCAGGGAAGAGAAUUGGAAGAAAGAACAGAGGAAAGGGAAAGCAGUAGAAGUUGAGCCAUUGGUAAAUGAACCAAAAAAAGAAGAGGAGGCAAAGGAGUUUUUGAAGUUUUUGAAACACAGUGAAUACAGUGUUGUGGAGCAACUACACAAACAGCCAGCCCGCAUUUCUGUAUUAGCUUUACUCUUAAACUCGGAAGUACAUCGGAAUGCACUAUUAAAGGUGCUAAACGAAACAUAUGUGGCUGACGAUAUUUCGGUAAACAAGCUGGAUCGGCUGAUCAACAAUAUUGGUGCUGACAAUUUUAUCUUCUUCAGUGAUGAUGAAAUACCAUCCGGAGGAAGAGGUUCUACUAAAGCCCUGCAUGUUACUGUCCGAUGCAAAGGGUACACACUCCCGGGGGCCUUGGUUGAUAAUGGAUCUGCACUAAAUGUAUUGCCUUUGUCCACUCUUAGUCGAUUACCAAUAGACAGUUCGCACAUGAAAGCAUGCCAGAACAUAGUAAGGGCAUUUGAUGGAACAAAAAAGGAGGUUAUGGGGAGAAUUGAGGUACCAUUAAGGAUUGGCCCAGUCACUUAUGAGGUGGAUUUCUUGGUAAUGGAUAUUAAACCCUCCUACAACUGUCUAUUGGGGAGACCGUGGAUACACUCAGCAGGGGCAGUACCUUCAUCAUUACAUCAGAAGGUGAAGUUGGUAUCGGAGGAUCGGUUGGUAACAAUAGAUGCAGAGGAGGAUAUUAUCGCAAUGAUGACUAGCGAUGCACCUUAUGUGGACAUCAACGAUGAGGCACUAGAAUGUUCUUUUCGGUCGUUAGAAUUUGUGAACGCGAUGUUUAUUGCGGAGGGAAAUAGAAUUCCAGUACCAAAAAUAUCCAGGACCACUGAGAUGGGAUUGCGAUUGAUGGUAGGAAGAGGAGCCUUACCCGGGAAAGGAUUGGGAAAAUAUCUUCAGGGAAGGAUUGAGGCACCAAUGCCGAAGGAAAAGUUUGAUAGAUUUGGUUUAGGGUACAAGCCAGACAUGAAGCAGAAGAAGAAAGAAGUAGAGAAGAGACAAGAGAGAAGAAGGGCGCGUUUGAAUGGACAUGAAGCUAAGUGUGAGCCUUUAACCUUUCCCCACAUAUCUACAUCUUUUGUGUCGGGAGGAUUUAUUCAUUCUGAAUGUGGAGUGUCCGGUAGCGGCAUGGGAGGAAUGUUGGAAAACGUUUAUACCAACGCCAUAGAAGCAACGGAAAGGAGGGCCUUGUUGGAGAUCUGCCCUUAUGAGCCUGGAAGCGAGCUAAACAAUUGGACUGCUGAAGAAAUCCCUGUAGUCUUUAGGGCUUAUUCAGAGUAAUGCUCAAAACAUUCCUGUUGUUUGUUGGCCUAGAAACGAUAUGAAAUCUUUUGUGAAAUAGGCAUUGGGCCUAAAUAUCAUUAUUUUAAUGAAAUACGUGUCUACGUUCAUCUCGAUCAGUCACUUUUUUUUCCUUUCAUAUUUUUCAUUUGGUUGAUUGUCUUACAAAUAAUUCUUUCAUUUGUAAUUCUUUUGCACAAACAUAUUCAUAAAUUUAUAUUCUUGGUAUAUUCUUUGAUGCGCCCUCAUAGGUCUUCAGAUAUCAAUGACAUGAGUGACGCUGCCUCAAACACGGAGCCUAUUUUUGAGCAAAAAGUGUGUUCAGAGGGAUCCCACGACUUUGACGAAGAUUAUGAUGCAUCUCCGGACUUGUUAAGAAUGAUGGAACAAGAGGAUAAGCAUAUCCUACCUCAUAGGGAAUCGUUAGAAAUAGUGAGCCUAGAGGAUGGAAAGGAGGUGAAAAUUGGAUCUGAAAUCACCGCAAAGACAAGGCAAGACCUCAUUAAUUUGCUCCGAGAGUUCAAGGAUGUUUUCGCGUGGUCGUACCAAGAUAUGCCUGGGCUAAGUACUAACAUUGUGGUGUAUCGUCUGCCCAUAAAGGAGGAUUGUAAACCCGUUCAACAGAAGCUUAGGAGAAUGAGACCUGACAUUGUGUUGAAAAUAAGAGAAGAAGUCAAAAGACAAUUCGACGCUGGAUUCUUACAAGAAGUCAAGUAUUCGGAUUGGGUAGCCAACAUCGUCCCAGUUCCCAAAAAAGAUGGAAAGGUACGAAUGUGUGUGGAUUAUAGGGAUUUAAACAAGGCUAGUCCAAAGGACAACUUUCCACUGCCUCAUAUUGAUACUUUGGUAGAUAACACGGCGGGCUAUUCAUUGUUUUCUUUCAUGGACGGUUUUUCUGGAUACAAUCAAAUAAAGAUGCAUCCUGGAGACAUGAGGAAAACCACAUUCAUUACCUUAUGGGGAACAUUCUGUUACAAGGUAAUGCCCUUCGGAUUGAAGAAUGCGGGAGCAACAUAUCAAAGAGCUAUGGUGACUUUGUUUCACGACAUGAUGCACAAAGAGAUCGAAGUCUAUGUUGACGAUAUGAUCGCGAAGUCUAGAACGGAAGAAGAGCAUGUUCAGGUCUUGAAAAAGUUAUUUUUGAGAUUAAAGAAAUUUCAGCUCAAGCUUAACCCGGCCAAAUGCACGUUUGGAGCCAGAUCAGGGAAGUUAUUAGGCUUCAUAGUUAGCAAAAAGGGGAUCGAGGUUGACCCAGACAAAGUAAAGGCAAUACGAGAUUUACCUCCCCCGCGCACUCAGAAGGAGGUUCGAGGUUUCCUAGGGAGGCUGAAUUACCUUGCUCGGUUCAUCUCAUAACUGACAGAGAAAUGUGAUCCAGUAUUCCGGCUCUUAAAGAAACAUAAUCCGGGUGAAUGGGAUGAAGAGUGUCAGAGGGCUUUCGAUAAGAUAAAGCAGUACUUGGCUAAUACCCCAGUCUUAUCACCUCCAAGUCCAGAUAGGCCAUUGAUAUUGUAUCUAACAGUGUUGGAGAAUUCCAUGGGAUGCGUAUUGGGCCAACAUGAUGAGAUAGGAAAGAAAGAAAGGGCAAUAUACUACCUCAGUAAGAAAUUUACCGAUUGCGAAAUGAGGUACUCAUCAAUUGAGAAGUUGUGUUGCGCUCUAAUCUGUGCAACCCGAAGACUGAGGCAGUAUAUGUUGUAUCACACGACUUGGCUGAUUUCAAAGUUAGAUCCUUUAAAGUAUAUGAUGGAAUCGACUGCUUUGAACGGGAGAAUGGCUAGAUGGCAGAUCUUGCUCUCAGAAUUUGAUAUAGUAUAUGUCAGUCAGAAGGCCAUAAAGGGAAGUGCAAUAGCCGAUUUCCUAGCUAGUAGAGCCUUGGAGGACUAUGAAUCUUUGAAUUUCGAUUUUCCAAACGAGGACUUGAUGUAUGUGGCGAAUACUGAAGAAAAUCCUUAAAUGGAUCGCGUAUGGAAGUUAAAUUUUGAUGGAGCUUCAAAUGCUACGGGUAAUGGAGUUGGGGCAGUUUUGGUAUCCCCAAGUGGAGAUCAUUAUCCUGUUGCUAGCAAGUUGGACUUCGAUUGUACAAAUAACAUGGCAGAAUAUGAAGCAUGUAUUAUGGGCAUUCGUGCAGCCAUUGAACGGAACAUCAAAGUACUGAGAGUAUACGGGGAUUCAGCGUUGGUGAUAUACCAACUCAAAGGGGAGUGGGAGACUAGGGAUCCUAAGCUAAUCGGUUAUAGAAAACUAGUUCUUGAAUUGGCUGAGGAGUUUGACGAUAUCACCUUCUAUUACCUCCCACGGGAGGAAAACCAAAUGGCUGAUGCUUUAGCUACUCUAGCUUCGAUAAUUCAGGUGAAUAGACUUGAGGCAAUGAGGCCUGUUCAGAUGAGUAUCUCUGAGACCCCGGCUAAUUGCUGCAAUAUUGAGGAGGAGGGAAAAGAUGAUUGUCCUUGGUAUCAGAGUAUCCUACAAUAUGUGAAGAAUCGGGAAUACCCUGAUCAAGCGACAGAGAAUGACAAAAGAACUCUGAGAAAGAUAGCCAUUGAAUAUGUCUUAGAUGGAGAAGUGUUAUAUAAAAGAAGGAAGGAUCAAGUACUGUUAAGGUGUGUGGAUGCUGUGGAAGCCAAGAAAAUUUUGGAAGAAGUCCAUGAGGGUAUUUGUGGGACGCACGCCAGUGGUUUCACGAUGGCCAGACAGAUCAUGAGAUUUGGGUACUAUUGGCCCACCAUGGAAGGAGAUUGUAUUGAUUAUGCCAGGAAGUGCCACAAAUGCCAAAUUUACGGAGACAAAAUGCACGCGCCCCCUUCACCUCUUCACGUCAUGACCUCUCCUUGGCCGUUUUCCAUGUGGGGUAUGGAUGUUAUUGGGCCAAUAUCACCAAAGGCUUCUAAUGGGCAUCGCUUCAUCUUCGUAGUAAUUGAUUACUUUACUAAGUGGGUGGAGGCUGCUUCAUAUGCAAAUGUCACGAAAGCAGUAGUCAGCAAAUUCUUGAAGAAGGAGAUCAUUUGUCGAUAUGGAAUGCCUGAGAGGAUCAUAUCCGACAAUGCGAUGAACUUGAAUAAUAGCACAAUAGCUGAAGUUUGUAGCAAAUUUAAAAUUAAGCAUCAUAACUCAUCGCCGUAUCGUCCCAAAAUGAAUGGUGCAGUGGAGGCGGCCAAUAAGAACAUUAAAAGGAUUGUGGGGAAAAUGACUGAAACCUACAAGGAUUGGCAUGAGAAAUUAUCAUUUGCUCUCCUUGCCUAUCGAACAUCUGUUAGAACUUUUACUGGGGCAACGCCUUUUUCUCUGGUUUAUGGAAUGGAGGCAGUAUUACCUAUUGAAGUUGAAAUCCCUUCUCUACGGGUGUUAUCUGAGCUACAGUUGGAUGAAGCCGAUUGGAUCCAAUCUCGGUACGAUCAGUUGAACCUAAUAGAAGAAAAGAGGCUAAGAGCUAUUCACCAUGGGAAAAUGUACCAGAAACGAAUGAUGCGAGCCUAUAAUAAAAAGGUUCGCCCCCGAGAAUUUCGUGAAGGGGACUUGGUACUAAAAAAGAUUCUUUCUAUGCAAAAAGAUUUUAGAGGAAAAUGGAUGCCAAAUUGGGAAGGCCCUUAUGUUGUAAAGAAGGCCUUUUCUGGUGGAGCUUUGAUCCUAUGCGAGAUGGAUGGCAAAAGUUUACCAAAUCCUGUAAACGCAGACUCCGUCAAGAAAUACUUCACUUGAAAGAAAGGGGAACCAAAGUGAAAACCCGUGAAGGGCGCUUUGCUUCCUAAAAAAAAAAGAAAAAAAAAAACUUUGGGGAGGCUAAGGUGAAAACCCGUAAAAGGCACUUUGAGACCAAAGAGGGCUGGAGUCGAAAACCUGAAAAAGGUGACUCAAGUACUGGGCAGGAUUGGAACAUCAGGAUUUGAGCGGAUCAAAUUUUGAUCGGGGGCAUAUGAUUAUCUUGCUUUACUUGAACCAAUAAGAAAGGAUAUGCAACGUCUUGGAACAUGGACAGAGUAUUCCAGAUCUCCUGAACACAUGUCAAACUCAGAAGGGUCUUCGGAAAGUUUGUACAGAGAAACUCAAGCUGCGAUAACUGGGGCACCUAGUUCUUAUGUGUAUUCUUGAAAAUACAUUUUUUUAUUUUCUUUCUUUCUUCCUUUCUUUUGGUGAAAACGCACAUUCUCAAUCCAUUUCUUUGUUACCUUGCUUUCGCCAUCUUUGAUGUUUUAUUCGAGUUAUGAUCAGAACUAGCUUUAUUCUUAUCCAUUGUUAUGAUCUUUUUGCAAACAUGUUGCAUAGGAAUAAUGAUUAACGAACUAAUAAAACUUUCAGGAAAGAAGUUUUGCACAUUACUCUGGAAAAUUUCUAAAUAAUAUAGGGACCUGAAUCAUGACUAUUGUUUAGAAAAUACCAAGUUUAAAGGGUGAAAUAUCUAAGAAGGAAGAGUCUAAUUUAAAGACUAUCCUUUCAGAUUUUGUUGUCUAAACAUUGAUUGAACAAAAUGACAAGCUGUCGUGUUACAAAGCUUAAAUGAACAAGCAAGCAAUGAUCAUCAGGCAAUAGGAAGAGGUUACCUCGGAGAAGAGAGCCUUCACUUGCGCAUAAGACUUUGGUACGACACCUUGAGAAUGGUGUAGGAAACCAGAACGGUUCAGAUCCUAUAUCCCCGAAUUGUGAUAAAAGAGGACAGAGGAAAAGCCACAUAUUUCUACCCUUAGAUUACUGUGAGAGAAUGAUGGUACAAAUUUUGGCGUCCCAGUGGAUAUAACUUUGAGGUUUACAAUGGGGACAGUCUGGCUAAAUGUUUCUUCAGAAAAAAAAAUCAGUCAAGCGAGAAGGCGUUGCAGCACGUCAGUCACAAAGCCUUAGUAAACUUCGAGUAAUGACAACCUAAGCGAGAUCAUUCUCGGAAAAAUAAAAUUCUGCAUUCAUGCGAACACCAUUCACAUAUGUCUAGUUAGGAGCAUUUGUUUCAUUUUGAUCAUGUCAUCCUAAUCAUUAGGCAUAAUUAGGUUUAUUAUACAGGUCUUAUCUCCCUGAGAUUACAGUGGAACAGACCAAAGAAUUUCAGAUCCUAUCUCCCUGAGAUUACAGUGGAGCGGAUUAAAAUAAAGGAUCUUAUCUCUCUGAAGUUACAGCAGAGUAGAUCGCAUCAAGUCUUAUCACCCUGAGGUUACAGGGGAGUAGACCGAAGAAUUUCAGAUCUUAUCUCCCUGAGGUUACAGUGGAGCAGAUUGAAGCCAGAGAUCUUAUCUCUCUGAGAUUACAGCGGAGUAGAUUGAAGCUAGUAAUCCUAUCUCUCUGAAGUUACAGUGGAGCGGAUUAAAAUAAAGGAUCUUAUCUCUCUGAAGUUACAGUAGAGUAGAUCACAUCAGAUUGAAGCCAGAGAUCUUAUCUCCCUGAGAUUACAGUGGAACAGACCGAAAAAUUUCAGAUCUUAUCUCCCUGAGAUUACAGUGGAACAGACCGAAAAAUUUCAGAUCUUAUCUCCCUGAGAUUACAGCGGAGUAGAUUGAAGAUAGUAAUCCUAUCUGCCUGAGAUUACAGUGGAGUGGAUUAAAAUAAAGGAUCUUAUCUCUCUGAAGUUACAGUAGAGUAGAUCACAGCAGACAAAACCACAGAUCUUAUCUCCCUAAGCAGUUAGUGGAACAGAUCACAUCAAGUCUUAUCUCCCUAAGUAGUAGUGGAGCAGACUAAAAACACAAAUCUCAUCCCCAUGGAGUCGUAGCAAAGUAUAUUGAAGCUACAAGGCGUAUCUGAACUUGAAGUAGAGUGGAUCGAAGCAACAAGAUGUAGCAGGCUGGAAUAAGGCUACUUGAAGAAGAGAAGCACCCAAAGAAGUCAAGCCUCGGUGAGACCAGGCAAAUUUGGUCUUUUUUAGUCUUUGCUCUGUUCUUGUUACACAAAAACGAGCAAAGAGGGGCAGCUGUAGAAGCCCAAAUUUGCCGGGCCCAUACCAACAAAAUAACCCAAACAAUAAACCCGAAGCCCAACUACCCCAGCCCAUUAACCUAAGCUCAGCAUUCAGAAACCCUAAUCCCACUAACCCUAGCCACCUACCCCCCACUUGCCCACUUGCCCACUUGCGCCGAACACCACCAUGCCACUGUCGGCCAUGGCCACCUGCAAGAAGCCAAGUAGAAAUAAACAAAUAGAAAAUAAACAUUUGUAAUCGGUUAUAAAAACCGAAAAUCUCACCAUUGAUAAAGGGGAUUUUUUAUUUUUUGCUAUGAAAACAAAAGAUUUUCUUUCAAUAUUAACAGAUUCAAUACAAGAACCAUUCGAAAAUAUAUAUACUAUCAGGGGCUCUAACACCAAAUCGGAGAAUCAAAUCUAAAACCUAAGGUGACUCUUUCUUUUUUUUUUCUUUACUGUUUUGAGUUUAUUUUCUACAUAAAAAUACUAAAAAAUAUUAAAACAUAAAAAUAUAUGCAUUAUUAAGCAAAAAAAAAGAAAAAAAGAAAAAAAAUAUUUUUUUUACCUUUUCCGGCCACCGCGUGCGGUGGCCGGCGCCGGCGCCGGCGAGCCUCCGGUGGCCGUCCGGUGACCGGCCCCCUGGCCGGAUUCCCCUUUCCCCCUCCCUUCUCUCUCCCUUCUCUCUUCCCUCUCUCUCUUCUUUUUUUUUCUUUCCCUCUCCCCAAAUGAUUUUUUUUGGCUAUUUUAGGCCUUUAUAUAGCCCUCCAAAACGACGUCGUUUUGGGGGCUACACUUAAGCCUCAAAACGACGUCGUUUUGACCAUUGCCCGACCCAUCCGACCCGACCCGCUAGAGGAUCCGCGUGUUUUCGUUUGAAUGGGAUAUUUAUGCGCCCAGUCCUUCCGCUUUUUCAAGGUUUUGCAGUUAAGUCAUUUUUCUUGUUUCCAAUUUGGCCCCAUAAUUUCUCAUGCUUUUCGAUUUAGUCCCCGCUAAUGUGCUGUGUUUUAAUGGAAUGGAAUAAUUGUUGUUUCGGUCCCCCUAUGUUUUGUGCGCGCUCAAAUAAGCCCAUUUCUCUUUAUUUCCUUUCACAUUUGCCCCACAACUUUGUUUUUAAUUCAAUUUUAGUCCUUUUUCGUUUAUUUUUAUAUCUUUAUUAAAUAUCAUUGUUAUUUUAUAUUAUUAGUAUUAUUAGUAUUACUAUUAUUAUUAUUAUGUAUUAGUAUAUAUUUUUAUUAUGUACGCGUAUACAUGUAUAUAUAUUUUCAUAUUUAAUAUUUUUAUUUCAUUUUUUUCUAAUAUUUUAUUAUAAUUUAUAUAUAUAUACAUAUACAUAUUCUUUAUUAUUUAAGUAUAUAUUUUUUAUAUUUCAUAUUUUCUACAGGCAUAUAUAUACUUAUAUAUUUACAUAUUUUAAUUCAUAUACUUAUAAAUGUAUGUACAUACUUACGUUAUUUUAUUUUUAUAAUAUACAUAUUUAUAUUUUUUUGUCUUUAUGUAAUAUAUAUACAUACAUGCGCAUGUUAUUUUUAUAUAUGUAAUUAUGUUUUCAUAUUUUAUACUUCUUGUACAUACACAUAUAUAUAUGUAUAGACAUACAUAUUUUCAUUAUAUAUAUAUACCUACAUAGUUUUUUUUUUGUAUUUUAAAUCUUUUAAAAUUCAUACAUGCAUUUUUAAAACUUUUAUAAUUUUAUUCAUUUCUUUAUUAUUAUUAUUGUUUUACUUUAUGUUUAUCUAUUUAUUUAUGUGUCCAUUAUUAUUUUUUUUAAAAAAUGUUUUAGUUUUUUUUAUUUUGUUUAUUUACUUGUUAUUGUAUAUAAUUGAUUUUUUAUAUAUUUAUUUUUGUUAUCUUCGCUCGUAUUAUUUUUACUCGCAUUAUCGUAAUUGUUAUUCCGUCACAUCAAUUUUUACCCAAAUUCGUAAAAAAGGGAAAAUUUUGGAAAUAAAGGCAAUACUCGAUACUUGGGAUCUUCGAGAGAAUUGGGCCCUAACGUGCUGGGUUCUAAUUUUCUGUUGAAUCUAAAUGCUCGAGAAUGCUCUUUAAUAUAAAACAUAAAUAAAAACUCAUUAUCGGGAUUUCAAUAUGUUGUGUCCUAACGCAUUGGAUAUGACAUGUGGUUUUCUCGAUAUGAGGAUUUUUUUUUUUCGAAAGUAAAGACAAUAUUCCGUAUUUAGAAAAUUCGAGAAAAUCAUGCCCUAACUUACUGAGCUUCGAUUUUUCUCGUUGAUUCUAAGUAAUCGAAUAUCCUUUUAAAAUUAAAAUAAAUGAGGUUUAAAUAAAAAAAUGAAAGGCAAGUUUACUCUCGAAAAUACGAGGUGUCGUGUCCUAACUUACUGGAUGUAACAUCUUGUUACUUCGAGAUAAAGAGGCAUUUUCCAUUUUGAUUUAUUCGAGUAUUUUUAAAAUAACACGAUAUAAGGAGGGAUCAUAUUUUUAAGAUUCUUUUCGAGUUUUUAAUUUUCGACACUAAGACACUAAUUAAUCAACUAGGUACCAAUUUUGGGCGUAUCGAGGGUGCUAAUCCUUCCUCGUGCGUAACCGACUCCCGAACUCAUUUUUCUGAAUUUCGUAGACCAAAAUCGUUGUUUUAAUAAAAUUAAAUCAUUUAUUAAAAACAACCACUUUUUGAGGUGACCCGAUCACACCUCAUCAAAAAAGGAUUGGUGGCGACUCCCAAUUUCGUUUCAUUUUCAAAAUCCAAGUUGACCCCGUUUUCAUCCAAAAAAUGGUGUCAACAAAAUUUUCUUUAAUAUAUUCACUAUAAGAGCCAAUAAUAUUUAUGAAACUUAACAAAACAUUAUGACUAAUGAGAAAUAAAGAUAAAAUUAAAAAAAGAAGAAGCAAUAAUUGAAUCGAAAUUACAGCACUUGGAAGACUAAAUUUGCAAUCAAUCGAAAACAUGAGGACUAAAACCAUAAUUAAACACAAUGGUUCAAACAUUCAAAUUCAGAUAAUGGAAACGUCGCCGUUUAACUAUGAACCAAAUUGAAACCAGAUUAAAUCAUACGGUAUAAAUCGAAAAAUUGCAGAAAAUCGAAUUAGAACAAUACAAGAUAAAAGAGGACUGAUUGCGGAAAUAGUCCAAUGAACCAGAAUGCGCGGAUCCUGCCCCGGGUCGGGUCACCGCGUGGGUCCAAGGACGCUAAACGGCGUCGUUUCUUUCACACUAUAUAAGCUAAAAUAAACCUAAAACCUAAAGCUCUCAGUCAUUUUUUAAGAAAAAAAACCUAAAAGAAAACUAAACUCCUGGCGCCGCUUCAGCGUCGAAAACCCCCCUCGCCUAUUCAAUCUUGGCCUGAACGGGGGAGGGAUUCGGCGACUCACCGAUCCAGGUAAGGUUUCUGAACUGUCCUCCCUUUUUAUUUUAUAUAUAUGCUUAUAUAUGUGAUUACUAGCAAACAGAAAAAAAGAAAAAGCAAUCGGAAAAGGAACAGAACCGAAAAGAGGAAAAAAGAAAACCUUUUUUGUAUUGAUUUCGUUUUUUUUUUAUACAGUCUCCCCUUCCGGAGUACAUGAGAAAAUAAGGCUCUCAUAGCCCGAAAAAUAAAAAAUAAACCCUCUUUUCUCCUUUUUUCUUUUGUUGUUAUCGUUUUUUGCUUUUUUUCUUCUUCUUUUGCUGUUGUCUUGUUAUUUGCUGCAGGUACGGGUACGCGUGACGUGGCUCAACGCGUAUGGAGGCAGAGGCUGGCGUGGAGCGGCUCGGAGGCGUGGCUGCAGCGCUGGAGGCUGAAUGUUGCUAGGGUUUGCUGCUGUGCAUUCUGGUGUUGGGCCAUUUGGGCUGAGUUGGUUUGCUGGGCUUAGAAUCAGGUUUAGGUUUGGGCUAGGGUCUAGGCAAAUUGGGUUUGGUGAAUUUUUUUGUAAUUUGGACUGUUAUUUUAUUUGUUUUUUUAUUAUUUAUUUUAAUAGCGGGCUGGGCAAAUUGGGCCUAUUACAAUAUAUAUAACCAAAUUUUGUAACACCCAUUUUAUGUUAAAAAUAUUUUCUUUAAAAUUAAGUAUAGGUUGGGUGGUAAAGUACUUAUAUUUUAAUACUAGUAAAUACAUGUUCAAUCUUUAGAUUUAUAAUUUAUAAUUCUUUUAAUUAAAGAUGAUAUACAAGUAUGAAAAGACAAAAGUGACAUAGUAAUAAUAUUAAUUAUAAAUUUUAUAAUUUCAUAAUUGAGUUGAUGACGUGGUUGAAGGUGGCACUAACUCUAAAACACUUAAAUAUAAUAAUAGCUUAAAAAUAAGGGGCUUUUGGAAAAUACAUUUCUGAGUUGGUGACCUGAGGGUCACACCAACUCAAUAAAACUCUUAAAUAUUGAUUACAAAUCCUAUCACACACUUAUGUGUAUCAAUAUCACAAAUUUAGAAUAUAAAGAUGUGUUUAAAAUUAACAUACAAUAAAGAAUGAAAUUUAUGGUUUGAAACUAAUUAGUAAUAACACAUGAAAUAUGUAUGAUAUUAAAAUGAAAAAAGAGAGAUUAAAUUGUGCAUAAAACAAAAUUUUAUCCUAUUACAUCAAUAAAGUUAUAUUUAUUACCCUCGCCAAUUAUUUGUCAUUAAGAACAUUAAAGUAUCCUUGAAUGAUAUAACUUAUUCUAAAUAGAGUUGAUGUAUGGUUGGCUUGGGAUACCAACUCAGUCAGGAGCUUAAGAUUAUUAAAAUAUUCUUAUUUUAAAGAGAAAUUAAUAUUAUUAUAAGAGCACGUUUGGUUCGUUGUAUUGGAUUAGAGGCGUAAUGGAAUAGAGGUGUAAUGGAUUAGAGGUGUAAUGGAAUAGAGGUGUAAUAGCAAAUCAACUGUUUGGUUAAAUGUAAUGGAAUAGAGGCGUAAUAGUAAUCUUGUAUUUGGUUGAAUGAAAUAGAGGUGUAAUAGCAUAAUGGGAAAAACUAAAAUGACUAGAAUACCCUUAGCAUAAAUUUGUUAAUGAUUAUUGUUAUUGUUAUUUAAAUUUUAAUAAGAUUAUUAUUAUCAAUAAUAAAUAAUUUAAUCAUAUUUAAACAUAAUUAUUAUUAAAUAUAUUAUAAUUAAAAUAUAUAAUUUAAUAAAAUUCUUAAUAAUCAAUAUUCUUAUAUGAAUUUACUCAAAUCAUAAUAUAUGAUACUAUAAAAUUUAAAUUAACAUAAUUAUUAUUAAAUAUAUUAUAAUUAAAAUAUAUAAUUUAAUAAAAUUCUUAAUAAUCAAUAUUCUUAUAUGAAUUUACUCAAAUAAUAAUAUAUGCUACUAUAAAAUUUAAAUUAACAUAAUUAUUAUUAAAUAUAUUAUAAUUAAAAUAUAUAAUUUAAUAAAAUUCUUAAUAAUUAAUAUUCUUAUAUGAAUUUACUCAAAUCAUAAUAUAUGAUACUGUAAAAUAUAAAUUAAAAUAAUAAUUAUUACAUAUAAUUUAAUAAUAAUAUAUAAUUUAAUAAAAUUCUUAAUAAUUAAUAUUCUUAUAUGAAUUUACUCAAAUCAUAAUAUAUGAUACUAUAAAAGAUAAUUUGAAAUAAUUAUAACUAAUAAAUUAUAUUUUAUGAAUUUGUAUAAUUUAAAAUAAUAAUUAUUACAUAUAAUUUAAUAAUAAUAUAUAAUUUCAUAAAAUUCUUGAUAAUAAAUUUUCUUAUAUGAAUUUAUACAAUUUAAAAUAAUUAAUAUUAAAUAUAAUUUAAUAGUGAUAUAUAAUUUCAUAAAAUUCUUAAUAAUAAAAUGUUCUUAUAUGAAUUUACUAAAAUCAAUAUAUAACUUGAGAAUUAUAUUCUGCAUAAACAUAAUUAACUUAUAUUAAGAAAAGGUUAGAUGAAAAUGAAAUUCUACAUCAUAAUCCAUAUGUUAUAUAGUUUUACAACAUCAAAAAGUUUGAACAUUGAUAUUUAAUGGUGAGAAAGAAAUCUUCUGACCCAUUCCAAUCGGGCAACAGAAGGUAAACUAAAGAAAACGAUCAUUUGAGUUGGAUGAUCUGGAAUUUUACUCAAAGCAUCAUACCGCUGAUCGUCAGUUAAACCUUCAAUUGACCAUAGGGCUGAAUAUAAAUUUGAAGCUUUCUCUUCCAUCUUUUGAUAUUCUUCUGACUUCUGCUGAACUACCACCUCGAAGGCAAUACUCCUACUGAUUUGAUCGCCAACGGCCUGGAUUUUUUCCCCCAACAAAGUGGCAGCCUCAUCAAAUGAAGAAUACACAUUAUCACGAGCAUCAGAUUUCUUCUUUCUCUUGUUUGAAGAUGAGGAACCCCCUUGGUCUCUAUCUCCUCACGGAUCUGUACCAGAAACAUCCAUGUCGUCUAAAGAGACGUCAGCUUCGCAGUCAUAGAAUGUGUUUCUCUCUUCAUUCAUAUCUGUAGUACGUACAUCCUCAGCAUGUAUUUCUUCAAGAACAUCAGCAGCUGUUUGAGCGUCUUUCCCAGUUGCUCGAUCUCUUGCUUAUAUGGUAGUAAGCUGGUCAUAGUAAGAGAAAGUACGAUAUUUGAAUUGAGUGGCUUCUCUGUGACUCUAAAAAAAAUGAGGAAAUCAUAUUAGUCAUAAGUUUGGUAUAAAUAAGAUAAUAAAGACUUGAAAUAAUCUUACCUUUAAAUAGGACUCCCAAACCGUAUCUUCAGCAACAACGAGCUGCCUAUGCUCGUCCCAACCAAAACCGCUAUUGUUUUGGCCAUUAAGCAUGUCAUAAACGAUUGACCACUCCCUUUUUAGUAACCUAACCCUUGAUUCAAUAUUAGGUUUCGCCUUCAACAUUGCAUUUAGUAAAACCGUUUGUAGCAUUCUUUCCAACUCGUUCAAAUAACCGGCUUUGAACCCGGUAUCAGCAUUAAAUGUUCCAACAUUGUGCAGGUCCACCAUGCAGGAAACUAAUGCUGCAUCUUCUUCUGGAACCCAUUUUCUUUUGCUUCCUCGAGAAGCUUGAGAAGAAGCAUUUGAUUCUGGAACACCUGACAUAAUGAUCUUAAGAACAAAAAAAAAACAAAUUAUAUUAAUUACUAUUUUAAUAUCAUGAUUCAAAAGGUCAACACUAUAUAAAAUCUAAGGAAUUAAGUUGAAUAUCAUGAAUCAAAAGCUCCAUACCACAAAAAAUUUAAAAUUAUAACACAUGCUGAAUUAGAAGAAAUUAUAUUAUAAUUCAACAAGUUUAGUACAAUACAAAAAUCAAUACAAAAGUUUCACAAACUAAUUUCUAGAUGCUUGCCAUUCAUCGAACAUUUGGUUGGCUAGUUCCAUCCUCCAAGUAGCCCAAGCAUCUGAUGGAUGAAUAUUUGUGAUAUUCGGUUCAUCGUCAUCCACCACAUUAAUUGUAGGUAAUCCUUCUCCCACCUCCGCUUCAAUGGGAUCAAUACUCAUAUGGGUUCGAAUAAAAUUAUGGAGCAAACAACAUGCAAUAAUAAUUCUAUUGUGCACCCUUACAGGAUAGAACGAUGGACUCCUAAGUAUUCCCCAUCUAAGUUUUAAUAAGCCAAAGCAUCUUUCAAUAACAUUACGUGCUGAGGCAUGUUUCAUAUUAAAAAACUCUUGCGGAGAACUUGGCUGAUAACCCUGACGCCACUCGUUCAAAUGAUAUCGCUGUUCUCUAAAUGGUGCAAGAAAUCCCUCACAAUUUGUGUAUCCAGCAUCAACUAGAUAAUAACAACCUAUAAAAUAAAUUUUUUUUUAAAAUGAUUAAUUCAGCACACAAAGUUUACUAAAAAAAUAAUUCAAAGUCCUCUAACUAUACACUUUACCAUGAGGAACUUUUAAUCCAUGUCUUCUACUAAUGGCAUCUCGAAGAACCCGUCCAUCAGCAACUAAACCUUCCCAACCAGGAAGAACAUAAACAAAUUGCAUCUCAGGUGUACAAACACCUAGCAUAUUUGUUGCUAUGUCACCUUUUCACGUUCGAUAUCUAGGUUUAUCAACUGUUGGAACCCUAAUCUUGAUGUGGGUUCCAUCAAGAGCACCUAAGCAAUUCUAUAUCACAUGAUAUAAAACCUUGAGUUAGAAUACUAAUUUAAAUCUAAAUCAAGUAAAUGUUGUUGAAGAUAUAUAUAAAACUUAGUCCAAUACCUUAAACCAUUUCCACCUUGUGUCAGAAGAAUCAGCUGUAAUUAGCUCUGGCUUUUUAAAUAACACAUCUUGUAAGCGUAUGACAGCAUUUAAAACACUAUGAAAUGCUCUGCUAACAGUUUCCCCGGACCUUCUAAAGUGAUGCUUGAUAACUCGAUUUUUCAGGUGAUGGGAGAUGAUAAGUAAAAACAUUGCUACUUGCUCGUCAACAAGCAUGAACCUUGUCGACUUCAAUCCCCUAUCGAUUCUAACAUCUCACAUUGUUUAAAAAAGGCAGCUCUAUUCAUCCUAACUUGUUCAAUACAGGUCUCGUCACUAGCAUAUACAAGCCUCUUCACAUAAUCCCGUUUUGCAUAAAAAUCUACGGUAUAGGACCUAAUCCUUGGUCUAUGUAGCCUAAGGCUGGCACCCAUUCUAAAUAAGAACCAAAUCGCGAUUCUACAGAUUUCCAACCAUAUUGUCACAGCAAUACCAAUUCUUUUACGCCUCACACUUUGUGCAAUUAAAGGCAGACGAGCCAUUACUGCAACAUUUAGAACACACAUAGUUUAAACUCACGAAUUUAGAACACACGAUAGUUUGAACAUUAAUUAGUUUGAACAUUUCAUUUCGUAUAAAUAUAUUGAUUAGUUAAUUAAAGCAUGUUCAAUGUUUGAACAUUGAUAGUUUGGACAUUUAAAUUUAAAUUUAAAUAUAAUUUCGUAUAAUGAAAUUUAAGAUUUAAUAAAGGUGAGUAUCAAAGUUUGAUCAUUGAAUAAUCUUUUUUAUUGAUGAUUAGUUUAAUUAAGGUUUUCUAAUUUCAAAAUAAAUAAAAUGAAGAAUGAAGAUUUGGUUUAAUAAUGAAGAUUUGGUUUAAUAAAUAAAAUGAAGAAUGAAGAUUUGGUUUUCUAAUUUCAAAAUAAAUAAAAUGAAGAAUGAAGAUUUGGUUUAAUAAUGAAAAUGAAGUUUUAAAAUUUUUAUAACAUUUUAAAUGGUAAUUUUAUUUUGUAAAAAUAUAUAUAACUUUUAUCUCAUUUACAUGUACAAAUUAAUAUUAACAGUAUUGUAUUUGCAAUUAUGAUUGGAAAGAUUGAAAUCUAGUAUUGUAUUUACAUGUACAAAUUAAUAUUAUUUAAGCCCAUUAUUUGUAGGCAUAAUGCUCUUUAAGAUUGAACAUAAUUAAAGGUUGAACAUAAUUAUUAUUAUUUGAAUAAUAUCAAUUAAAGGUUGAACAUAAUUAUAUAUUAGUAUCAAAUUUGUAUGUACUCUUUAUAUGUACUCUUUCACUAAUAAAUUAUAUAUCAAAUUUGUAUCACAUUGAUUUUAUGUACGCUUUCAGUAAUAAGUUAUAUAUUAGUAAAAAGUUGGUGCAUUGGUACACCAAAUAAUUUGAAUACAUACUACUUUCUUUAAAAAAAAUGUUACCUAUUAGUAAAAACAUAUAACCUAUUUGGGAAACAACAAAAGCUGUAAUGACCAUAAUUAUGCAAAUUGGUGAUAAAAAAGAACAAUAAUUAUGCAGCAAUAACCAUAACCAUACAAACAAAAGCUGUAAUGAGCAAUACAAACAUACAAACAAAACCAUAUUCAUUUGGGAAACAACAGAAGCAGCUACAGCAAUACAAACAUAACCAUACAAGGAAAACAUACUAAUAAACCAUGAAUACCAAUGGAAAACUAACCUGUAAUGAGCAAAUCGGGGACGACUGCGAUGUAGAAGUGUUGGAACAAAGAACCUGUAACCAGUAAAGGGAAAUCAAUGUUACAAAAAUAAUCAGUUUAUAAAAUUGAUCAUACACUUUACCAAAGCAGCCUCUCAUUUAGUAACCAGUCCUUUAGAUUAUUAAAUAUACCAACUUGGCAGCUUUGAAUAUAUAUGCAAAGCCAUUUUACUUUAAAAUACAUCCCUCCAUUUAUCCUCUUUAAUGUGGUUCACUAGCACCAAGGAAGGCUUAGCAAUGAGGACUUUACAUUCCCUUUCGAAUUUUAAAAUCCCAGGGUUUACCAUCACAAGAAGAUACAUCCUUAUUCAAUCACACUCACCAACUAUUAUGUAAUUACUAAAAAAUGCAACCAAAAUGGGGUUGGCCUAACAUAAAUCAUACACCACACCAUCAAUUGAAGGUUAAUUCAUGGUAACAUUAGUAUUGAAAGGUUGCGUUGUGGGCAGCCUAAGAGGACUCGCAACACUAGGCUUAAUUGCUGUAACAUAUCACAUUCGGAGGCUGGUUCGGACAGCAUCAAUAAUACAAUAUUUAGACAUCAUUAACAACGCAAUAUUCGAACAACAUCAAUACCACAAUCGGACAGCAUAAACAGGGCAGCAAUUAACAAUACCAACAAGGUAAAAUUCGGACGGCAAUUUAACAGUUUCAACAAUUAUCAAACACAAGAAAAUAGAAGUUCAAGGAAAACUCGCCAAGGUUCCCAACACCAAUUUUACCUAUUUAAUUUACUUCUUCCCUUUUCCGCUACAGCCUUCUCCCACCUUGUUAGCUAAAUACAAUGAACCCAAAAGUUACAAAAAUGGUGUAUAACAACUCAAGCAUUCACUAAAUUCUUUUAACACAAGUGAGAAACUCCUCAUCUUCUAGACAUGCAACGUUUACAACUAGAAAAGAAACUCUUCUCUUCUCCCACACAUUCGGUCAAGCUCAAUUCAACAAUGCAACCAGAAUUUGUCAACGAAAAGCUAUGGGCAAGGGAGAGCUUAGAAGAGUUACAGUUCUACUUGAAAAUUUUAACUUCUAAGCAAGCAAAUUUCAUGGUUUUCCAGUACAUGUAGCCGGCCUCUCCUCUCUAGCUUCAUUUGAAAGAGACAAGGAAGCAAGAUAGAAAAAUAAAAAGUCGAAGUCUUUCUUUCUUACUUACCGUCCAUUUCUCCACCCUUUACCCAUCAUAAAAUGAAAUUUAGCCAAUCAACAAAUCUUAGCCGGCCACCAACCAAAAACCAAAAACCAAAAACCAUAAAAUGAAAAGAAUCAUGUAAAAGUUUAUUCAUACCUCAAAAACCAAACGCCGAGACCGAGAGAAGAAACGAUGAGGACUGAAUCAUCAACGAAAGCAGUGGGAAAUGGGAGGAGAAAUUAUGAGGACAGAAGAUGAGAGGGUCGGGUAGGGAGGGAGGGUAAAACAGAGAGUUGGGGAGGGAAGCCGGACGUAAUACCUAUUACUCGAUUUGGGAAGGGAUUAGAAAAGCAGGGAAUUUGGGGAUUAGGUCGGGAUUGUAUUACGCGCGUAAUACCUAUUACAGCGAACCAAACGCCAGAUUAGGGGCGUAAUGUAAUAGCCGCAUAAUCAGUCAGUAAUGGAUUACCUAAUACACUGAACCAAACAUAGUGUAAGUGUAUUUUCACCUUUUCAUACUUUGAUAUAAUCUUCAAGUAAAACGAUUGAAAAAUAUUAUUUGACGACACAAGACUAAAAAAAUUCAUAUAGAAAAUGCUUACCACUCCACUAGUAAUCAUUUGUCAAUGUAUUUUUGGUAAAAAGACCUCUCCAAUCCCUCUUAAUUUCACAAUUGCGCAAAUUAGUCCCUCUCAAAAAAUUAAAGCAAUUUAAUCCUUAUCAAUUUUGAAAGUGAGUAACUAAGGAUAAUUAAUUAUGGUGUUAAAUUCUUCCAUCAAUUGUACAUAAUUUUGAUUGGUAUAGUAAUAAAUUUAGCCUUCAAUGUUUAUAUAUUUUGUCAUUUUGGCCUUAAUUUUUAAAAAAAUUUUAAGAAAUUCAACCUCAACAUUUACAAUUUACACAAACGUUGCGGGAAAAUUUUGUUAAAGUAAGACCAGCUAAAUUUAUUAUUAUACCAACCAAAAUCAUGUACAUUUUAUGAAAAAUUAACAUCCUGAUUAAUUAUUCUUAAUUGCUCACUUUCAAAAUUAAUAGGGACUAAAUUGCUCUGAUUGUUUUAGGGUGACCAAUUUCCUCAAUUUGGAAAUUGAGAGAGACUAUUGAGAUCUUUUACAUUUUUUUUUAUAAAUAUAUUUUUUAAUAUAAAAUAUAUUUGUUCACACACAUCGUGUGUAUGAUAAAAUAUUUUUAUUGUUGAUUGAGUUGGUGUCAAAAAUUAACUUGACACCAACUCAAGAUUAAUGAUAACAAUAUGAUAAAUAAUUUAUUUAUUUAAUAUUUUUAAUUUAAGAUAUUGAUGUAAAUUUUAAGACAUGUAUGUCUUGUAGAAUUGUAAUUAUACUUUUUCAGUAUUGACUCAGUUUUCCACAAUUGUGGGUCUCUAUUUGAGCAAAACAAUUUCAACAUUUCUUCAUCUCGCUUAAUCCAAAUGCAUUUAGGAUUUUCUUAUAUCAUUGCUUCAAAAAGGGUAAAAAAAAACGUCGACAUUGAAUUUUCUGUUUCACAUUCAAUUUUUGGAUACGUAGAAUUUUCUAAUUUAUUUUCCAUCAACUUCACUUCAAUUUUCAGUCACAAUCAAUUGCAAUCAAGAGCACCACAUCUUUUUGGAUGAAACGAAGCUCUCAAUUUUAAGAUAAACGGGUCUUUAGGGUUAUUAAUUGAGGGCCUUUUCCACAAUUGCCAUCGUUAUUUGCGGGUGAUUGGGUUACGACAAUGGUUUGAAGUGAAGCUGUUUCAAAUGAAUAUGAAUACUCUACCAGUAAGUCAUAAUUUAAAAUUCAGGUUAUGUUUCAUUUCAACUAAGUUAAAUGUUAAGAUUGAAGUUAAACCUUUUAGAGGUUGCUCACAAAAGGAUCAAACCUUUAUAAAAGUGCUUAAAUGAAUGCCAAAUUUUUUAAAAUAGACAAAUAAGGCCCUAACCUUUUAAAAGGUGUUCAAAUAAGGGCUUCUCAAAUGUUGUAUAUCAGGUUAUGUGUUUUACUCUAAACAUAUCAGUAUUUACUAUUUUUUCUACAAAUUGGGUUGAAGUGCAUGAAAAAUUUUAUUUUAGCACUUUUGUAAAGGUUAAACUCUUAUUUGACAAUUUUGAAAGGUUUGAUCCUUAUGUGAGCAACCUUUAAAAGAUUGAGCACUAAUUUAACAAGUUGAGAAAUACCUAAAUUUGUUUUCAUGAACCAAGAAAUUAAAAAAAAAAAAAAAACAUGUUGAGAAAUAUUUUAGAGAUUCUUAGCCUUGACAAGUUCCCUCCACCAUCUCCCUGCCUCCAGUCCCACCUCUUCUCUUAUGCUCCUUCCAGGUUCUUGUUUUUUGUGUAUUGAAAAUUCGACGGAACAAAAUAUCAACCUACAUCAUAAGGCACGAAGGCCAGAACUUUACUUUCUAGCCCGUCCGAUCCAAUGAAAGAAGAACAAAGAGUAUUGAGAUCUGACAACUUUAUUUCAUUUUCAUUUUCUUUGUUAUUUUCUAUGUUUCAUGUCAAAUACAAUGGAAGAAGAACAUAGAAAAAUGUUGCCUAUUUAUUUCCCAAUCAUCAUGAAAUUACUUGCCAUAGUCUUAGAAUUUUCUCACCAAUUUUCAAGCAAUCUCACAUGAUUUCUCAAUCACAAUUAAUUGAAUUCAAGAUCUUUUUGGAUGACACAAACAUUUCAAUUUUAACACAAACCAAUAUUUAGGUUAUACUUCAGUGCUUGACAAGCACUUUCACAUUUGUGGGAUAAUAACUCUAGCAUUUUAGGAUCACAUUUAAUUCAAUUGCAUUUAAGACCUCAUGAUUUUAUUCUAUAAUUUGAGUCUUAUCAACCUUUUGGGAAAUAAUAAAACAUCGACAUUAAACUUGUUGUUGAUGCAUUCAAUUUGAUUUUUUGAGGGGUCGUUGGAGUUAUAUAUGACUUUAGCAUUGAUUGAUUUUUUUAGAAUUAAUCUUUUAUACCAAUUUAAUAACAUCGACAUGUUUUUGGGUAGGGUAGAACAAAACCCAAUUUAAACCGAUUAUAGUGGUUUAGUUGACUCGGUCAAGUCCAUUAGAUGGAUAAAAUCAAUUUUAAAAUCAGUUAUAAUGGAUUAAGGUAAUUAAUUAUCUAGUAAUGAAAUACAUAAUCAAAUCAGUUACGGAAUCCGCCAUGUUAGAUAAUAUGAACAUCCCAUAUAUAAUAAGAAAAAAUUACGUACGAUUAUUUAUUAUCAUAAAUGGUUAGCUUAAAUUUAAAGUAAUCUAAUAUUUUUAUUGAUCUUCAACUAUUAACUAAAGUAUAAGCUAAAUAUGUGUAAAUAUUCUAGAAAUCAUUUCUAAUUGAUGAUAGGCUAAUUCGGAAUUAAGAUUAAUAUAUAAAAACUAGAUAGUAGGGUUAUAGUCCUCAAACUACACCUAAUUUAGUUUUUCCGACAUAUUUUUGAAAAAAUAUCACCUUCUUUAAAAAAAAUUGGUACAAAUUUCAAAAAUUAAAACUAUCAAUAAAUUCAGAUAUAUUAAUAAGUACCAACUAAACAAUACUUAAAUAUAGAUGUGUUUUAUAAAAAAAAAUUAUCAGCUUAAAGAAGUUGCAACAAAAAUUUAAAAUUCAUUUAUCAAAUGAAUAUUUAAAACUUAUAAUCUAAACUCUGACAUAAUAAAAUACAUAAGCAUAACUUGGAUUUACCAAAAAUCUAUGAACUUUUCUAAAACUUAAAUUUUAGUCCCUAUACUUUAAUUUAGAGACAUUGAGUCACUAUACUUUUUUAUUUAAAAAUCUUGGUCCCUUCAUCAAUUUUAUCAUUAUAAUUGUUGAUUUACUUGUUAUAAAAAAGGUAGAAUAACUUUUUUAGCCUUAAACAUUUAUAGUUUUUAUUAAUUUGGUCCUUACUCUUUAAAAUUACAUAAAAAUUCAAAAAUAUUUUAAAAAUUAAAUUUUUUCGUAUUUUUAAAAACAUUUAUAGUUUUUUUUUGUGGUUUGGUAACUUAUCAACUCGACUCUUAAUUGUGACAAACUUUUUUGACCUUUUUCGUACCCUUAACCUAAGUCCCGCUACAACUUUCUAAAGACCUCUUGAUUGGUGUAUCAUCUCGAUUUGUUUUUAUAGUGGUGGAGAUUUGGUUUUGAAGCAAGCCUAUGAUAAUCACAUUUUUCAUUCAACUGUUGAGCACACAAUACUUGAACCUUAAACACUUAGAGUGCUUUGAGUGAAUCUUAGAUAGGGUAUUGAUUAUGGUUGAGUUUGAAUUUCAGGUAAUUAUUGAGAUAGAGGAGACGCCUAUGUUUUUUGUGCUUUACAAAUUUUUGCUUAGAUUGCUUUUAUUCUUUAGUGUUAUGCUAGUUUCAAUUUCUAGUGCGUGAUUAUCUGUAGAUUAUUCCUAAGGAAUUGUCGGUGAAAACAAUAAAUUGAGGGAGAUUAACUUGAAUAAGGGUUGAGAAUUUUGCUUAAGGACAAACAAAUGCUUAAGUGUGGGGAUAUUUGAUAAGUGCUAAAAUUAAUAUGUUUUAACAUCAUUCUUAAUGUGUUUUUGGUUGAUUAUUUGAUGUUAAUUAUGAAUUUUAUGCUCCUAAUUCGUGUUUUUAUGCUUAAUAGAACAUUUGGGAGGAAAAUGAGCUAAAAUGGGGGCAACUAUAGGACCCACACAGGCUGACCUAUUCCAUAUGACCAUGUGGGUCAUGUGGCAGGCCAUUCGAUUUCGUAAAUUUUCACUCUGAACUGCGAAAAAAAAACGAAUUUUAGGUUUUUCAAGCAUUUUAAGGCGUAUAUAUGAAAAACAUAAGAAUAUAGGAGAGAACCUACCUAGAAUAUUUAAGAAAACAACUCCAAAAACACCAUUGAAGUCGGCUCUGAAGUAGAUUUUCAUCAAGAUUGAAGAUUCCCAGUUGAUUUCUUAGGAGAUUAUCAUGAGUUUCUUUAUUUCUUUCGGUUAUACUGCCCUUUGGAUGUUUUUAUUUUUAAGCAUGAACUAAUUUUCUAAAUACCUAAGAGAGAUGAACCCUAUGAUAGAUUGUGGCACCCCAAACCCGAUCGGGAUAGACCGGCCCGAAUUCGAAACAUUACAUUAGCCACCUAAGUGACUCUCCAGCUAACGACCACCCAAGACACAACCCAACCUUAUAACACCUCAAUCUUGUUUAAUUAUUAGUUAUUUAUUAAUGUAGAAGUAAAUUAUGAACCAAUUUUAAACUUUUCCUAGGUAAUUUAACCUAAGGGCAAUUUCAUCAUUUUACCACCUAUUGUAAAACUAACCCGAUUUUAGAUCUAAUUGCUUAUCAACCUUUUAAUCAAAUUAUGGAAGCCUAAAAUUUUUAGAUUCAUUUGAGUUUGUUUACUAUGUCUAAUUCAAAUUUUAUUACUAGGGACUAAAUUGUAACUUAAACAAAUUAGAAUAUCAAUUUAAAGAGACAAAAAUUCAAAACCCCAAAACCUACACGGGCAUGUGGAGACUGGAGCUAUCACAUACGGGCAAGUGAGAUUGAAAAAUAUGAAAUAAAUUAAUCGACUUAUUUUUCCAACAACCAUGCUAUGCUACCAAACCAAAUAAUGCUUGAAGCUUUGAAUAGGGGCGAAUCUAAAAAAAAAAAAAAUAGAAGAAUUAUAAUUAAAGUAUACAAUUUUGAGAAGUUAUCAUGUAUUAAUUUAUUAUUUUUUAAAGGGUCUUAAUAGAAAUUUUUUCCCAUUUUGGUUGGGCCAAUACCCUUGUCUGCCUCUUUAAAUUUGCUUCAACCCUAAACCCAAUAUUCGAUUUGGAUUAACAAAAAUAUAUAGGUUAGUAUUUGUGGGAGUUUGACGAAUAAAAAUUUCUUUUCUAGAGGUUUAAAUUAUAAAUUUUUGAAAGAUUAAAAUAAAUUUGUAUUUUUUUAUUAACAAAAUAUAAAAGAAAAAAAACAUGUUUAGACAAGCCAAGAGACCUUUGGGAUCAUACGGGUGAUUUUGAGAUGUUAAUGGUUAUUUUGGUGGAGAGGGUGAAAAAGAAACAAAUGAUUCAUUAUAUAUAAUAUAAUUAUCAAAAUUCAAGCCAUAUAUUGUAUGUUUCAUCCAUAAAAAUUUGAUGGGAGGUCCAAAGGUAAUUAAAUGACUUGUGGGCUUGCUGAAUUUCUUUGAAAGGCCCAAAGGCAAUUUAACAUUCACAAAAUAAUCUCUAAACACUGUAAAGACAAAUCAAAUCCACAGUAGCAUAAGAGUUGAUUAAGCUAAGCAUUGGUAAAUAUUACUUUGAUUUUGCAUGCAAUAUUGACAAAACCCCCUCCUACAUUAGAAAAACAACAUAAUCCAUGGAACAUUGAUAGCCCAAUACAAAUUUAUUCGAGAAAAAAGUCUCUUUGUUUUGUAGAACAUGAUAGUAAAGAUGUGGAGUUUCGUUCUUCUUAUUGGCCUCCUUUAGUUUUCCUUGAUCAACAACCACUAGCCAAAAACACAAUUAGAUUAGAUUAUGAAUGAUACUUUCAACUAUGACAAUAUUAAAUACAAACCCACUCUAAAUAACUUUAAAUAAAUGGAAAGCAGCAAAUUACCUGACCAGGCAAGCUAGUUUAAUUAAGACCAUUGUGUUAUACUUGUCUCUGAAUUGAAAAAUUUAGAAGGAAAUAAAGAGAAAGACUUAGAAAAUACUUGAAAACAGAUAAAACUUAUAUGUCAUUUAAAAUAAAAUAAAAAAUUCUAUUUAAGCCAUUUAAAAGUUUUAAGAUUUUUAAAAUUUUAAAAUGAUAAAAGUAAAAUAAUACUUUGGCACCCAAAAAUGAUAAAACUUUGAUUUAAUUCUUUAGUAAUUAUAAAAAUAUAGGAUAUUAAAAUGGUGAAAUUACAUUUUUACUAUAGUAAAAAUUACAAUUUAAUUUCACCCCCUAAAAGGAUUUUUUGGCUUCGCCACUAAUAAAAUCUUUGGCAAAAGAUUAAAAUAAAAUUAUACCGUAAAUGGAAAAAGAAACUAAGAAAAUCCAAUCUAACAAAGAAAAUAACUUGUUGUAACCAAAAGCUACCAUAAACCGUAAUUCAUGGGAAGGCUUGUUGCUUAUUUUAUUGGUUUCCAUUUUGAUUUUGCAAAAGAAGUCAGAAUUUUGAAGAGAGCAAAAGAAAAAAAAGUUUAUAUGAUUAAAAUUCUAGAAUAGAUUAAAAAUGUUGAAUUAAAGAUAAAAUUAAGUGUACUCAUUACUCACCAUCUCUGUUAAAAAUGUUGGAUGUUGUUUAGCAACCUUUGUUUGAUUUUCUUCAGCUCAACCACAACAUCUUUCAUAUCUUUUCUUUCUUCUGGUAACUCAGCUGAACAAUUCAAAGCCAACUCCAUGAUAGAUGAAAUACAAUUUGCUUUAACAACCAUGUACUCAUCCUCUCUUCUUAAUAAAUCAACAUCUGCAAUUUCUAUCGCUCCUUUAGGCAAUGAUCUUUCCAUCCAAUGCCUUAUACUCUCUUCUUCAACAAAAACAUUAUCAGUUGGCUUUUACUUUGUGAAAGUUUCUAUAAGGACGAUCCCAUAACUAUAGACGUCAGAUUUUAUAGAAACAAUUCCUGCUGAUCCAAAUUCUGCAUUUCAAGUAUAAUUAGAACAUCAUUCACCCUCAGUUAUUUCUAAAAUGCUUAUUCAAAUAUAUAUCCACAUCCACAUGAAACAAAAAUAUAAAAUGAAAAUUAGGAAAAUAAUCAUACAAAAAUAAAAAAGAAUUCACCUUGUGCCAUAUACCCGAUAGUUGCAAGAGUCAUGGUUUGCUUCAUUACUUCACCUUCUCCCAACAAUUUGGCAACGCCAAAAUCUCCAACAUGUGCAACCAUGUCUUCAUCUAGUAAAAUAUUUCUUGGUUUUAUGUCACAAUGAAUUAUAGGUGUUGGAUGUCCAUUGUGGAGGUGUUCUAUAGCUCCCGCAACAUCUAUCAUUAUGUCGACCCUUUGUAUGAUAUCAAGGAAACAAAUUUCAGAGUGUAACCAUUUCUCAAGGUUUCCAUUAGACAUGUAAUCAAGCACCAAGGCUUUGAAGUCAACACUUGAGCAGCAAGUAAUGACCUUCACAAUAUUACGAUGAACUAUAUUACGCAUAGCAUCACAUUCAAUGUCAAAACUCCUAAAUGCUCCCUCUGUUUGCAAAUUGAAAACUUUUAUUGCAACUUCCAUUCCAUCUGAAAGCCUCCCUUUAUAUACAUAUCCAAAACUCCCUGAACCAAGCAUAUUGCUUUCCUCAAAUCCAUUAGUUGCUCGUGAAAGUUCAGCAUGUGAAAUUCUUCUCGGUGUCUUCAAAGACAACAAAUCAUCUUUAAUUGGUAGAGUUGUACUUCUCCUUUGGCAACUUCUAUACAUAAUAGUUAAGACUGUUAGUACUACGACAAUACCAAUUGUUGUAAACCAUACCUAAAAGCAUGCAAUAUAAUCAUUUGGGAGUUUUUGUGGAUGUCGUUUUUGCAAGGUGGGACUAGCAAUCUAGGUGGGCCACAAAGUGCAUAAUUCUUCAUGAAUGAUGUGCUAGAAAAGUUUGAAAAACAUCCUUUGCUGGGAAUUUCCCCUUCAAGUCUAUUGAAAGACACAUUAAAAUACUUUAGAUAUAAAAGCUUUUCCAAAGAUUUGGGAAUGACUCCAGAGAGAUUGUUAUUGCAUAAAUCCAAGAAUUCCAAACUAAUCAAUCCAUCAAAUGAUUCAGGGAUAUGACCAUGUAGUAUAUUAUUUGAUAAAUCUAAUGAAACCAAAGUUUGAAGACCCCCAAAUGUGGAUAAGAUAUCGCCCGUGAGAAGAUUCCUUGAUAAAUUUAGUUUCAGUAGACUCCUAAGAUUUCCAACAUCAAUAGCAUGUGAAUUGUGAAGAUGGUUUGAUGAUAAAUCUAUUUUUAAGAUAUCUUUAAGAUUCCACAAAGUUGAGGGUAUUGCAGAACUCAAUUUGUUGGAAUGUAACCAAAGAUAUCCCAAAGAAGUAAUAUUACCCAAACAAGAGGGUAUAGAUCCAUGCAGCUUAUUCAACCCUAAAAACAAGUUGUAUAAUCUCUCCAAAUCACAAAGGCUUUCUGAGAUGGGCCCUCCUAAUUUAUUAGAGGAAAGACCUAGACUUUGGAGAUUCCGCAGUCCUCCUAUUGAUGUUGGAAUGAAUCCACUUAAUUUAUUAUAGCCAAGUUCUAAAAGCAACAUGUUGCUUAAGUUACCUAUUUCCAUAGGAAUAGUGCCUUGAAGCUCACAAUCUUCGGCAUAAAAGUAUUGAAGGGAUUUUGAAAGGUUCCCAAUAUAAGUAGGAAGAACGCCACUCAAUGGAUUUUCUGAAACUCCUAUGGUUUUCAAAUUCUUACAAUUCGUCAAAGAAGAAAGAAAGCUCCACUCAUGAUCAGUAGCAGAUCCUGUGAUCAAAUUAUUGUUUACGAUUCGGAACCAUUCAAGCUGUCUUAAGUUGCCAAGCGUUUUAGGGAUUGGGCCAGAGAAUAAGUUAUCUCCCAAGUCUAGUUUCGUAAGCAUGGAAGCAUUGGAGAUAGAGUAGGGAAUGUUUCCGCUAAGUUUAUUUCCCCCCAAAAAAAGAAACUCAAGCUUUGGAGCAUUGGUAAUGGGUGGUAAAUUACCUGUAAAAUAGCAUCUUUUAGUAUACAUAUUAAUUGAAUACCAAAUUCAUAAAAUAUAUAAUACAUUAAAAUAAAAACUGUAAAACUUCAAAUCAAUUAAGAAUAAAAUUUUGGCAUGGAAAAAUGUGAUGAAAUCAAUUAGAAAGUUGAGACAUAAUAAGAAGUUUUGAGUAGUAAUUACUCAUGAUUUCUAUAGACAAAACAUAUAAUACACUGAUAAUUUUUUAUAAUUUUUACAAUAUUUACAAUUUCUAACAAUUUUUAAUAAUUUUAUUAUUUAAUACAAAUUUAAAAUUUAACAAUUUUUUAUUUUUUUAAAACAAUUAUAUAUUUAUAAUGUAGUUAUUUUUUUUAUAAUUUUUUUUGAAAUUUUAAAGAUUUUUUUGGUUUUUUUUCUAGAUGAUGAUGCCAUCAUGAUGACAUCAUAUGCCACAUGGCAAUUUAUAAUUAGUUAAAUAUCUCAAUCCAUUUUUCUAACGUCAAAUGGACUAAAACAAGAACACCUGAUAAUGUUAGAGACUACACUUGGAAUGUUUGAUAAUAUCAGGUACUAAAGUGGGCAAAAAAAUUAAGGACUAUAUUAAAAAUAUAUCUAUAAUAUAUAUAAAUGCAUGGAUUUUGAGAAACUUUUGAAAUGAUAAUUAUAUAGUCUUUGUUUUUUUUACUAUAUUAUUGAAUUUUUUAUUUUAAAUAUUUUUUAUUACUUUUAAGAUUUAUCAUAUGUAUGUAUAAGAAUUUUGGUUUUACUAAAAUAUUUGGUCAAAUAAAUUCACUUUAUCAAAAAAUCUAGCAUCCUUAUAAAUAAAAAUUUUGAUUCUAUUAAAAAAAUUAUUUUAAAAAAUAUAUAAUAAAAAUUUAAAAUUUAUAUUGAAUUACUUUAUACUUAAAUUAUUAUUAGAAACUUUAUCAUACACAUACGUGCAUUAGAACCAUGUAUUUAGAACUUAAAUUUGUGUUUUAAAAUAACUUAUGAUAAAUAAUGAAAUGUAUAAUUUGAAACUAUUUAAUAAUAACACAUGACAUAUCUACCAUAUUAAAAUAAAAAUAGAUUAAAUUGUAAGUAAAACAUAAUUUAAACAUAUGAAUACAUCAAAUUACGAAUACUAAAUGAAUACAGUUAUUUAUGAUGAUGUUGUUGUCAAUUCCUAAGUUGGUGUCGAGUUAAUUUGUGACAUCAUAAAUUUAAGUGAUAAAUUUAAGGUUUUAUGUAUUGAUGCGGAUUCAAAUAUCACCAUAAUUUUUUUUAAAUAAAAAACUAAAGUACCCUCAAAUAAUAUAACUUAUAUUAAAUAUGAAAGGGUAGUUUUGUAAUUUCUCUAACGAGUUGGUGCCCGGUUGACUCAUGACACCAACUCAAUCAAAAGCUUCAAUAAUAAUAUAGAUAUUCACGUUAAAAAAAAAGUACUUUAGUUCCAAAUAAUUAUAUAACAAGUAAAUUUAUAAUUGAUGAAUAAAUUUAUAAAAAUAUAUUUAUAUGAUCUAAUAUAUUAUAUUUAUAUUAAUUAUAUAUCAUCUACAAACUUUGAAGAUCAAUUCAUUAAGUAUCAAGAAAGGAAAAAAAUGAAAUUGAAUUAACACUAAAUCAAUUUUUAGAUUUUGUACAGAUGAUUUAAUGAUGAUAAAAAAAUUAUUAGCACUAUUUUUGAAUUAACAAAAAAUUAGUGAUAUAUUUUAAUUAUAUUUAUUAUUUAUUAUUUUUAAUAAUGUUUUUUUAAUUAUAUGAAGUAAAAUUACAGUGUAUACUAAAUAUGGUACAUAUACUUUAAUUAUAACUAGAAAAUUUAUUAUAUAAAUUAAUAUAUUUUAAUUAUAUUCAACCAUUUGAACAACAAAAUAAAAAAAAUAAUUAGAAUAAUUUAUUUUUUAAAGUUUAAUGGAAAUUAAAAAAUUAAAAAUAAAUCAAUUCAUAUAAAUUUUGUUGUUUAUUUCAGAUGAAAAUGAUAAAAGUAUAUGACAUAAAUAGAAGAAACAAAUUCAACACCAUGUUUUUGGAGUUUGGAAAAAAUUAAAGUGAAAAACAUACCUUCUAAUUUGUUGUCAUGGAGACCUAUUUUUUCGAGCAUAGUUGAAUUAAAAAUACUUGAUGGAAUCUGACCUGCACACAUAGUCGAAAAUUGAAGUGAAAAACAUACCUUCUAAAUUGUUCAACUAAAAAUACUUUAAGCAUAUUUUUUAGUAAAGCCCUUCAAGCUUGGGAAGAUGUUGACACGUUGACACAUAUCAUUAGGCAAAGACUAAUAGCUUUCAAAGAAGAAAUCUUGAAGAUGGAAGAUGGAACCUGACCAGAUAAUUGAUUGAGUCCCAAGUUCAAGAUCUCUAGAUUAGACAUGUUAGCAAGUGUUUCAGGGAUUGUGCCUAUAAAGUUAUUAUUUUUCAUUUCCAGCCUUCGAACUCUGUGUAUGUUCCAAAGCCAUGAUGGAAUUUCCCCAUUAAGACGGUUGUAGCUUAAUCGAAGGAUCCGCAAACGAUGCAAUUGGCCCAAUUCUUUAGGGAGAUGGCCAUAGAAAUGGUUGCUACUCAAGUCGAGAGAGAGUAGAAAUGAAAGAUUUCCAAGGUGUGGAGGGAUAGUACCCCUAAGAUUCAUGCUUGUAAGAUUCAAAGCUGUAACUCUUUUAUGGAGGAUGCCACAAGAAACACCAAUCCAAUUGCAAACAGAGGUUGAGACAGUCCAAUUGUUUGGCAAGACAUUUUGAGGACCGGCGAUGCGAUCCUUAAACUCGAGAAGUGCAAACUGAUCGGAGUUGAGAUUUCUGACUGUCAUAGCCAAGCAAAGUACGGAACAUGGUAUGAAUAAAGCUAAAAGAAGAUGAAAGCAAGUGUUGUAGUUCAUGAUUGCAAGACAGAAUAAGAAAAGAAAAUAAAAUAAAAAAAAGUAGGAAAAGGGAAGUUGAGUUGAUAAAAUAGUUUGGAUGAUGAAGAAAAGCCCAGACAGCAUGCUUUAAUAUGUUUGGAUGAUAAAUUUAAACUUGAUAAAUUUAAGACUACCCUAAAAAUACGUACAAAGAAAUUUCAAAAUUUCAAAAUAAAUACGUACAAAGAAGCGAAUUUUCAAAAUUUCUCCUAAAUUUUCUUCACAUUACUCUACAUAAUCCAUUAAAAAAAACUUAAAAAAUAUAUUUUAUUAAUUACUAUAUAUUCUUUUAUUUUCAGAAUCAUAAAUUGUUUAAAAUAUGCUAUUAGUCCCUGUAAUUUAAAAGUUAAAAAAAUUCAAUCCUCCUAUUUUUCUAAUUUAAAAAUUCUAGUCCAAUCAAUUUUAAUUCCAUUAAAAAAUUUCAACUUAAUAGAUUUUUUAUUAUCAAUCAUAUGCAACAUUAUAUGAAGACAGUCUACUCAGCAUAUAUCCAAGUUUACAGAUUUUAAUAGAAAAUACUUACAAUCCUAAUGGUAGGACUAAGUUUUUUAAACUAGAAAAGUAAGAAGACUUAAUUUUUAACUUUUUAAGUACAAGGAUUAAAUUUUAAAUGUUGUCAAAGUACAAGCACUAACAAAAUAUUUUGAUCUAAUAAAUGUAAAAAACUUUUUAAACAAAAUAAGGUUUGAAAUAAUCUAUUUGUCCUUGUAAUUUUAUAAAUUUGAGAUUUAAUCUUUAUACUUAAAAGGUUAAAAAUUAAGUCUUCUUGUUUUUAUUUAAAAAUCUUAGUCCUAUUGUUAAUAUUAUUUUUUUUUUGCCAAAAUUUGUCAACUUUACAUAUUAAUUAGGUUUCCCUUAUAUGUCGUGGUAUAUGACUAACACAAAAUAAGCAAGUUGACAAAUUCUGACAAAAAAUAUCAAAGAUGAUAAUAAUUGGAUUAAAAUUUUUAAAUUGAAUUAAUAACCUUUAAUGUAUAAGGAAUGGAUAUCAAAUAUUUAUAGGAAUAAAGGGACUAACAACAUAUUUUAACCAGAAAAUAAUAUGAGUGAUUAGAAUGAAUCUAAAAUUUUAUAGAAAUAAAAGAGACUAACAACAUAUUGAUAACUUUCAAAUCUCCUUCGAUCAUCCUUUUUCUACGUAGAAAAAGAAAAUUAAUUAGCAUCUAAAGUGUCAAUUAAUGAAACCUUCAAAAGAAAAUGUGAAAGUGAUUUAUCAAACAAUAAUAUUCUAACUUAUAAUAUAUUUAAUUACAUUUAGUAAUUUAUCAAUCAAAACUUAUUUAACAUCCAUCAAUACUUCAUACAUAAAAAACGCAAGCAUAAAUUACCAUUUAACUCAGAUUUAACUUUGCAAGUAAACUUAAAAUUUUAUUUAAUUUUGUUACUAAAUUUGAUUUGUUCACUAUAGAGUUUGGUGACUUAAAAUAAAAGUAAUAAAAAGUUAUUCUUUCAGAUAUCUUUUUAAUGUUUAAUAAUAAAUUAAUUUAUAAAAUAUACUUUCAUUGGACACAGGCCUCCAAAGCGGUGAACCACUAAUCAAAUUAAUUUGGGGAUACCUAAAUUUGUUUUCAUCAAUUAAGAAAUUUAAAAAAUUGUUGAGACCUCAUGAUUAUCUUUUAUAAUUUCAGUCUUAUCACCAAAAACUAAAAAAUAAAAACGUCGACAUUAAAUUUGUUGGUAUGCAAUCAAUUUUAAGAUGGUUUUUGGGGUUAUAUAUCACUUUAGCAUUGACUUACUUUUCUACUCUUAGUCUUCUCCAACAAGUUAAAUAUUUGAAUUUUAACAACAUUGGCAGGUCUUUGGGGUAGGGUCGACCAAAACUUAAUAGAAACAGAUGAUAUAGGUUGAGUUGGCUCGGCCAAGUCGAGUCGACUUGUUCAAAUUAUUUAAAUUAGUAAAUUUUAGGGUGCAGUUAGAAUUUUUUGUUUUGAGAUGCUAAGAUUAAAAAAUUUCAGUUGCUAAAACAAAAAAUUUGUAUUUAAAAAGGCAUAAAUUAAAUAAUUAAGUUUUUCAAGUUUCCAUUUAAUCAAAGGUUAAAAGGACUAAAUUGAAGCUUUUUAUUUUUAAGAAAGGCUGAAUGCCAAAUUGCCCAAAGCCCAUGCCCCUAGCUAUACAACUAACUUUUCUAUGAUUAGUCCUUGGUUUGCUUUGGGUGGAAUCUUCCAACUAGCCUCAUCCUUCGUUUUACUUUCCAACAAUUAGUUUAUCAUGAGUUUUGUUUUCUUUAAAAAAAUAUUUUUGUGGAUAUUAGGAGAUAAUGAAAAUUAAUUUAGUAUGAAAUUUUAAUAAAACUGGAAAAUAAGUAAUUUAUUUAAGAGAUCACAAUUAAACGUUAGAUUUCCAAUUUUUAAAUUUUAAAUUAUUUUGACAAUUGCAUAAUAUUUUGAGCAUUGUAGGAAUGCCAUAAUCUUCCCUACGCAUAAUCGACUCUUGAGCAUGAUGGAUCCUAGGCCUUCUCCUCUAUUCUCGUACCACAAACUGCUUCGAGUGUGGAUUCGAACAAUCACAAAUUAAACACAAAACCAGAAAUGAUUUAUUACUUUCAAUAGCAAAGUAAUUCUCUCUCAAUAGAAACCAAUAGAAUUGUAAUUCCUAAAAAAUAAAAUUUAUUUUUGGAAAAUAUAUUCCCACUACUUUCUAGCAGAAUAAUAAUAUGUGAAACUUAUGUCUUGUGUUAAUAGCUCUACCAGCACUAUCUAUUUAUAGGGAGAGACGAGAAUCCUGGUUGACUUAGUAAAACACGAAUAAUAUUUAUUUCAUUGAAAACAAUAUUCCACCCUAAGUAGAUCAAGUUUGUAUGACGCAUGGAUCGAAGCUCAAUCUAGGAGAAAAAAAAAAGGAAUUUUCUUUGUAAAGAAAAUCUGAGAUUGUACUAUUUUCAAAGUUAUAAAUAAAAUUAUAAGCUAAAUUUUCAAGUCAAUUUUCAACUCCAAUUUUGUAUGCACAAAUUUCUAAUACACUUGGUGGGACAUUCUUUGACUUUUAUCUAUUCUCUCAAAAAGUUAAAGUUCAAAGUUGCAUUAAACUCAAAGAAGAUAAUCAUUAGUAAACCAGCUCACAAGCCUGCUCAAGCUAAUCCUACAACUUGUUCCACUUCAUCAUCAAACACCAAUGUUCUUGCUUAUCCUUAUGGAAUUAAACAGUCUCAUUUUCUGCAUUUUGGAUACACACCUAGUUUUGUUUGAUGCUAAAACAGUCCCUGAGCACUCCAAAGCCUAUAAUUGAACAAAUAACACUAAUUUAAUCUUACAUAACGUGAUCCCAAAUUGAACUUGUAUCGAGGUUUUAACCCAUAAGUGACUAAACUUUACCUUCAACCGAUGAACAGUAAUUCCCACAUAAACUAAGACUCCGAUUGGCGAUUACGAGCCCUUGAAUCCUCCCCUAAUUGGCAUAAACAAAACACUUCAGAAGAAAGUUAACAAACAGAGACAAAUCACUUAUCUAAAACUUACUGAAUGAUCACAGACAAACGUGGAGCGACACAAGGCAGAGUGGGAAAAGAAAAAUCAAGAGGAUGAAGGGUGAAAGAGAGCAGAAAUUCGGUAGCAAUAAAGAGAAAACGGUAAGAGGGUGGAGGGAUUUUGGGGAAAGUAAAAAAAAAAGAUGAACAGAAUAUUUGAUAACUACCCCAAUCCCUUAUUUCUCUCCAUCAAACUCUCCACUAAAUCCACUACUCGAAUUUUUAGUCCAUCUCAAACUCUCCUGGACGCAUGAGCAAAAAAUAAUGCCCAUGCCAAAAUUUGAACACAUGACCUCCUUCACACCAACACUCCACUUAUCCACUAGACCAACAGGCUCAUUCUUUUAAUUAUUUGUCAACUUUUACUUAAAAGCCUACUGACCAAAAAAUACCAAAAUUUGCCCAAGUCCUAGAUUGAACUUGGGACCUCCCAAACACACCCAGAACACAUAGCCAAUUUUCAAGCAAUCUGACAUGAAUUCUCAAUCACAAUUAAUUGAAUUCAAGAUAUAUUUGGAUGAGAAGACAAAUAUUUCAAUUUUAACACAAACCAAUGCUUGGGAUGAUUUGGGAUAAGAACUCCAACAUUUUAAGAUCACAUUUUCUUUUAUAAUUUCAGGCUUAUCAACUAUUUUGAAAACAACAAAACGUCUUACACCAAAAACUAAAAAAUAAAAACUUCGACAUUAAAUUUGUUGGUAUGCAAUCAAUUUUAAGAUGGUUUUUGGAGUUAUAUCUCACUUUAGCAUUGACUUACUUUUCUACUCUUAGUCUUCUCCAACAAGUUAAAUAUUUCAAUUUUAACAACAUUGACAGGUCUUUGGCCGAAUAAUUUUAAACGUCUCAUCAUUGCAAAAAUGAAAUAAUAGAAAAGAAAGAGUAGCCAUUUUAUGAAAUCUAUAAUUCCAACUGUGAAUAAAAUAUAAAUUUUAUGAAUGUGGACAAGCCAUUUUAUUUAUAAUUUUCUGUGUUUUUCUGACUUUUUUUAAGUCAUUUUCUUUGUUUCCUAACCAAAAAAUUUGCCCAUCACUUUAAAUAUAAAUUUAAAUAUAAAUUUUCUUUUUAAAAUAUAAAUUACUUGUCACAAUUCAUAUUUCUAAGUCAAUUUGCCAUCACUUUAACAUACACUAACUGUUCUAUGAUUAGUCCUUGGUUUGCUUUGGGUGCAAUCUUCCAACUAGCCUCAUCCUUGGUUUUACUUUCCAACAAUUAGUGUAUUACGGGUUUUGUUUUCCUUAAUAAAUAUUUUUGUGGAUAUUAGGAGAUACUGAAAAUUAUUUCACUAUGAAAUUUUAAUAAAACUGGAAAAUAAGUAAUUUCUUUUAAGAGAUCACAAUUAAACAUUAGAUUUCCAAUUUUUAAUUUUAAAGUUUUUUGACAAUUGCAUAAUUAAUAAGGUACCAAUUUUGAGAGUUGUAGGAAUGCUAUAAUCUUCCCUACGCAUAAUUGACUCUUGAGCAUGAUGGAUCCUAGACCUUAUCCUCUAUUCUCGUACCAGAAAUUGUUUCGAGUGUGGUUCGAACAAUCACAAAUUAAACACAAAACCAGAAAUGAUUUAUUACUUUCAAUAGCAAAGUAAUUCUCUCUCAAUAGAAACCAAUAGAAUUGUAAUUCCAAGAAAAUAAAAUUUAUUUUUUGAAAAUAUAUUCUCACUACUUCCUAACAGAAUAACAAUAUGUAAUACUUAUGUCUUGUGUUAAUAGCUCUACCAGUACUAUCUAUUUAUAGGGAGACACACGAGAAUCCUGGUUGAAUUAGUAAAACACGAGUAAUAUUUAUUUCAUAGAAAACAAUAUUCUACCUUAAGUAGAUCAAGUUUGGAUGACGCAUGGAUCGAAGCUCAAUCUAGGAGAAAAAAAUAAAGUAAUUUUCUUUGUAAAGAAAACCUGAGAUUGUACUAUUUUCGAAGUUAUAAAUAAAAUUAUACGCCAAAUUUACAAGUCAAUUUUCAACUCGAAUUUUUUAUGUACAAAUUUCUAAUAGACUUGGUGGCACAUUUUUUGAAUUUUAUCUAUUCUCUCGAAAAGCUAAAGUUCAAAGCUGCAUUAAACUCAAAGAAGAUAAUCAUUAGUAAACCAGCUCACAAGCCUGCUCAAGCUAAUCCUACAACUCGUUCCACUUCAUCAUCAAGCACCAAUGUUCCUGCUUAUCCUUAUGGAAUUAAACAAAAGACAAAAGCUCUCUAAGAGUUAUUUGAACAGACAAAAUAUUCAGAUGUGUUGAGAUGGAAAGUGACAACGCAAAGUUGAUUGAAACUAUUUGUAACGGGUUGGCUACAAUAAGUAGUGUUGUGAAGUAAGAUAGAUUCACGAUUGGUGUUCCAAAAUUGAGUAGCUAGUUAUCUUGGAAGAUCCUCCACAUUAUGUGAGAUGCUGGCUUGAAGAAGAUAUUAGACAAUUGCUAGUGACUGAUGAUAAUUUUCAUUUGGACUGAUGCUUGCUUAAUUUUCUAAGCUUAUGUUCAACCAAAAAAAAAAAAAUUAAAUAUGUCUAAAUGAUCAUAGAGUUAACAUUUAGUGUAUAAAAAAUUAAUAUAUAAUUUGUUUUCAAUUGUAGUUUAGUUCUAGAAAUACCAACGAUGAACCUUAAAACGGAAAUGAAAAUUACAAAAAAAAAAACAAACCACAUCUAUUAUCAAACCAACAAUCCAUGUCUAAACUUAAAUUAACAAAAUUCGUUACGCAACUCGGUACACUAUUUUAUAUAAUCAAUAUAUUAGAUUUAUUCUUGAUGCACAUGUUUUAUUAUAGUUAAAAAUUAAAAUAUAUGAUUUACUAAGUUUUAAUUGAAUUAGUAUUGGUAUUAUAUCAGUGUAGGAAAAUGUGAGUUUAAUCGUACUUAAAUAUGUAUCCUCCAACUCAACAGUUGGGAAAAGGUUAUUGAUAAUUAAAUUAUACCAAUUUUUACAAUAUCUAAAAAGCAUUCAUAAACAUAUUCAUAUUGAUGGGCUCUUUCAUUAUUAAACUUUUUUUCUCUCACAAGUAAAAGUACUUGUGGUGAGGAUCAUGUAAAAUAAUAAACUGAAUAAUUUUAAACGUCUCAUCAUUGCGAAAAUGAAAUAAUAGAAAAGAAGCCAUUUUAUGAAAUUUACAAUUCCAACUGUGAAUAAAAUAUAAAUUUUAUGAAUGUGGACAAGCAAUUUUAUUUAACUUUUUUUAAAGUAAUUUUCUUUGUUUCCUAACCAACAUGAAAUUACUUGUCACAAUUCAUCUUUUUAAAUGAGAAACAUUUUCAACAAUUUGCCAUCACAUCAACAUACACUAACUUUUCUAUGAUUAGUCCUUGGUUUGCUUUGGGUGCAAUCUUCCAACUAGCCUUAUCCUUGGUUUUACUUUCCAACAAUUAUUGUAUCCUCCUCAUUACUUUUACUUACCGACGGAUGAAAAAUUCACUGAUCAAAUUAAUUCAAAGAUUUUUUUUUUCUAAAUCAAGUGAAUUCACGAGUUUUAUUUUCUUUAAAAAAUAUUUUUGUGGAUAUUAGGAGAUACUGAAAAUUAUUUUACUAUGAAAUUUUAAUAAAAUUGGAAAAUAAGUGAUUUAUUUAAAGGGAUCACAAUUAAACAUUAGAUUUUUAAUUUUUUAAUUUUAAAUUUUUUUGACAAUUGCGUAAUUAAUAAGGUACUAAUUUUGAGCAUUGUUGGAGUGCUAUAACCUUCCCUAUGCAUAAUCGACUCUUAAAUUCACUUUUUUCUCUAGAAUUUUAACAAACUUACAAAAUGAUUUAAUGAUAUUUAAUUAUUGAUGGGUAAAAAAAUUAUAUCAUAUAAAUUCCGAAUAAUUAAUUAUAUAUCUACAUAUUAUAACCAAUUCAUCUUUCAAAAUUAUUUCCUUAUAAUUAAAGCAAAAAUUAUAUUUAUAAAAUUCUAAAUAUAUUAUAAUUCUUGUAAAUAUAUAUAUUUACAUAUAUAAGUCCAAAUUGUAAUAGAGUUAACAUUUAUUGUAUAAAAAAUGUCUUGAAAUUUUUUUUUUCAAUUUCAAAAGAACUAUUCCAUUUAUAAAACCAUAAAACUUUAAAAAUAUAAACUCUAUUAAAUAAAAAUAAUAAUAUUUUUAAACAAUAAAUAUUGACUUUAUUUUAAAUUGACAUUAUCUAAUUCUUUUUAAUAUGUAUCGCUAAGCUUUACAUUAAUAUACAUGAUUUAUUUGUUCGUUAUUAUUAUUAUUAUUAUUAUUAUUAUUAUUAUUAUUAUUAUUUCUAUGAUUAUUAUAUUAUACUUAUCGGACUACAAUCAUAACCAUGUCUAUUAUCAUUCGAUAAAAAAAAAUUAAGUGUUGAGUAUAAUGACAAGGCACAUUACACUCUGAAGGGGAGAUUAAGGUUUGGACAAAGGAAGAAUAUGAUUCAAAUUUUGGAGACAACAUUCUUGAAAUGAGCAACCAUAAACCCCGAUUAUGAACCAUAAAACGAUCAUGAAAAGUACCCAAAAAAACACAUUUAUUACCAAAUAGUAAUCCAUCUAAGGAUUAAAUUAACAAAAUUCACCAUCCAACCGUGUAGACUAUUAUAAAUAUAUAUACUAUAUUUAUUCUUCAUGCAAAUGUUUAUUAUAUUUAAAAAUUAAAAUAUAUGGUUGAUUGAGUUUUAGUUGUGUUAAUAUUGAAAUUAUUGUCAGUGCAAAAGAACAUGAGUUCAAUCAUGUUUAAAUACGUUUUAUACUCCAAUUUAGGAGUUGGAGAGGAUUCUCAAUAGUUAAAUUAUAUUAGUUUUUGUCUAUUUAAAAAUGAUUUAUAAAUAAUAUAAGUAGAAAAUUUUAAAAAAAAUACAUAUUCAUAUUGAUCGGCUUUUUCAUUAUUAGACUUUUUUCCCCACAGUUAAAAGUAUUUAUCGAAUUCAAAUUUUGGGUUUUAAAUAAGGGUUUCGGAUUUUUUUUAAACAUUUGUGUGAGUUUUUGCCAAAUUUUAUAUUUUCGGAACGAAUAACUAAGUUGAUUUUUAAUUACUUUUUCAAACAAGUCGAUGUAAUUCCUCAAAAAUCUAGUCAAAGCGUCUAGGCUGGGUUUGGAGGUGUUACACUAACGUUACUAAAGUUAAUCUUAAUCUAUUUAGUCUAGAUCUAAACAUCAAUAUUCUCUUCCAAGAAAAAUCAAGAUUAUCAAAUUAUUACAACUGUGUAGCCAGACAAUCAUAUUAAAUAUGCAUAAAACAUAAUAAAUAAUUAGCGAAGAUUGAAACAAUCAAAGAAAAAAAUAAAUAAAUAAACUAAGAAAUAAGGAUCCAUUAUUGUUUCAAGAAAACAGAGUUUAGUUCAUAUUGAGUUGAGAAAACCAGAAAGGAGAUUCAAAACAAACUUGUGAUAAGGGGAACAAUGUCAAUAGAUCAUAUUCAAGUUGUUCGACUUCAGAUUUGACCUGAAAAGAAGAAACCAAACAUAUUUAGGAAAACAAGAAAAAACAAAGAAAAAAAACUAAAAUGAGAAAUUUAAGAAUAAAUAAUAAAUAUUAAAAAUAAAUAAAGAAAUUAUAGAAUAAAAAGUGGCAGAUGGAAUGAAGAAAUGAUGGAUAUAAAUAAAAGAUGGAUAUGACAUAUAGAUGAAUAAGUGUCUGAUAACUCUUGAAAAAAAGUUAUAUUUCAUGCCUUUAGACCUAGCUAAUUGCUUGUACUUAAGUAUAUUUUGUUGCUUUUUAAGACAUUUUAGUGAGCAUUUUUAAUAUUGUAUUAGGACUUAGACUGAGUUGGAAUUAGGUGCUUUUAAUCGCUUGUGGUGGAGUUUUUUGUGUGUUGGUAUGGCAGGAACAGGUUUUAGAUCGAGGAAAUAAAUGAGUGAAGUUUUGUUUGGGCAAAAGUGCAUAUAGUUUUCCAACAAGGAUGCCGUGGCAAUGCCGAGAAGACCAAGUUCAUAUUUUUUGUGCAACAGUCCUAGUUCAAAUUCAAACUUGUAUGAGAUAAAUCCCCCUAAAAGAGGAGAAGAUAAUUACAUUGAUGUUAGUUGACCCUAGCCUAAUCUAUCUAUUAAAUCCAAUGAAAGGGAUCUCACAAAUGGUAGAAAAAAGUGAGAGAGAUCUUUAGGGGUGAAUAAGGGUUUGGCUGUGCAAAGGAAAAGAAGUCAAGGGCAAUCAUUCUUAGCCUUCACAGGACGUUUUGUUGCCAAAGUGUGGACUGGGCAAGUGAAAGCUGUUUCCCAAAGUUCUUCUGUUAUUUCCAUCAGUGUUCCUUCGAAAGAUUGAAUUGAAGUAGUUGAACACAAUGUCAGAUAAUAUUUUGGUUUGAAAUUCUAUUUCCCAGUUUAUGAGCUAAAUCUCAUAAGGUUGGGAUUACUUUCGAUGAAACCUUUAAUUUUUUUUAUGGAUGCAAUAUAUAUCUAAUUUACAUUACAGUUUCAUUUGAUUGUUCUUAUUUCUUAAUUAAAAUGCAAAUGAUCUCUAGACAUAGAAGACUAUUCACAUACUUAUAAACUGAUUAUAAUUCUAAAAGGGUUGGAUUAAAAUUAAAUGAAAUGAGCAAGUAUUUGAUAGACACUUGUAGCCGACUCCAGACAUAGAGUCACGAUCAUACAGAAGGAACCCAUGCAAGAUAUCUGAAAAGCCUUUAGACACAGGCAAGGCAACUUGAGGUUAUUCUCUCACACGAGGCAGACCAUUUUAGAACUCUUCUGUGUUGUAAAGUAGAUACGAUUUUGCCAAGGCAUUAUUGACAAUAAGGGUUGAUUCUGGGUAAUCCCGACCUUCCAAAUCCACAUCGUAUAUCCUUCAUUAUUUUCCAUAGUAUCUUUUCCACAUCAUUAUUAAUUAUUUAUUUGUUCAUUUACAUAAUAUUCCCAUAGUAAUUCUCAUAAUUGCCAUUACAUUUCUACUCUCGAUUUGCCAUAGCAUUACCAAAUAUUCAUUAAUUCCACAUAUUGAUUACAUCAUUACUCUACUCAUUGCCAUUGCAUAUUUAUCAUUGACUUUGUCACAACAUUAAUUGUAUUUUAUGAUAAUAACUUGAUCGAUUUUGUGCCUCAAUCUGAUCAUCGUGGGAAUGAUACUCACUCAUCAUUUAUUACUUGAUUCAACGUGUAUACUUGCACAAAUCGCAUAUCAUUUCACAUGCGACAAUGUCCAAUUGAACCCUUUAAGAUAUAAACUCAAACAAACUCAAUUAAUGGCUUUAAUCAACCCACCAAGAAAUAAUCCUUGGCAAAUUGAAGGAUGAAUAAUGAAUUCCCAUGACUCCUUAAAGAAAAUUGAGAAGAAAACUGCUUCUAAAAAUUACAAGAAACAAUCUUGCACAAAGAAACUAACCUUGAGAGUUGGAAAUUUUAGUAACGAACAAAGACAAUUGUGUCUCUAAUGACCAUGAAAGAGCUUUACAUAGGCUAGAUAAGUACAUCCAAAUAAAAUUUCGAAGUAUCUUAAAACUUUAAUUAAUGUAAGCAAAAAGUAAUUUUCAACUAAAAUAGUCAUAAUUUCCGUAAUAAUCCCGUCUAGAAAUUCUACUCACAUAGUCAUCACUAAAAUAGUCAUCAUUUGAGCUCUUGAACUAGAAAUUGAGUGAAUAAAAGUGUGUUUGAUAGACCUUAGAACUCCAUCAAGACAUAUCAAUCGAAAAAUAUUUGGAUCCCAUCCAAAAAGUCAUUGCAAGUUAACUGAUUUUCCAAACUUGAAAAUUGGCAGCUUCAGUGAAUGAAAUUUAAUAAAGUUCACCCCAUCUGCUCAUGUAUAAACUUGCAGUGGUAAAAAGUAAAAAGAAAUAAUCUAUAGAGAAAAUAGUUGAAGAAUUUAUGACAAUUUAUUCAGACCUUUUUUUCUUCUAGCCUUUGCAAGCUUGAAGUUUCCGUUGGUGUGUGAGAGUUGUUCCUUACCCUUUAAGUUAUUUCUUUUCUUUUCCUUCUUUUUCUUUCUCUUCGAUCUCAUCACCUAAGGGUGCUCAAACAACUGAUUCAGUUAAUACCCGAACAAAGCUAUCAUUAAAUGAAAUUUUGAAACCCUUAAUCAUUAAUGAAACCAAUUUUUUGUUGAAACCUAUUAACCGGCCGGAUUGAUUUCGGUUAAUUUGUGCAGUUAACCAGAAUUUAUACAUUGUUUGUUUUUUAUCAAACAAUUUUAAAACAAAGAACAAUCCAUGACAACUUUUUCCUUGUUUUUUAUUCAAAAAUUAUUAAAAGAACUAAAAAAAAUAACAUAAUAACAACACUAAAUUAAAAACAUAAUAGCAUUCAUUACAGUACAAAUCUUUUUUCUUUUUUUUCUUUUUGUUGACUUUUUAGUUUAAUUUUAGUUUUUUUUCAAAUAUUUUAGUUUUCAUAUUCUUGUUAAGCUUAUUAUAAGAAAACUUAUAAAUCCAUUAGUUUUUAUAUAUUAGGUUUGUAUAAUGUAUUGGAGCUAUCUCUAUAAUAUAUUUUUAUUGAUUUCGGUUAAUCAAUUAAUUCGGUUAAUUAGUCGAUUUCAAACGAAACUAAUUGAUAAACAAAAUCUUCAAAAACAUUUAACCAACUCCCAACCAAAUUAGAUUCGUUGAUCGCCUGCUUAAUCAAGUUAAUCAUAUGGUAAAAUGGCAUAGUUUUGGAAUGGUUUUUUGGAAUUAUUGGUAUAGGUUUAAGUUAUGAUCUUGAGAUGUUGAGUUGAAUUAAGUUUGAUAUGUAUAUUGUGAUGCCUUCAUUGGCAUAUUGGUUAGAUAUUAAAGGAUGGUUGAUUUGGUAUGUUUUUAAAAUGGUUGUUGGUAUGUGUGAUCUAAAUUGAUUAAAUGAACUUGUAAUGUUGAAUGGUAUAAUAUUUGUUGGUACAUUAGUUAGUCUUAUAGGUUGAUGGAAUUGGUAUGUUUUAAAUGUGUUUAAAAUGUGUUUUGAUUGUUUAAAUGUUUGUGGAAAUGGUGUGUCUUGGUGUACAAGAUUUGAAAUUGAAAUGGCUUGAUUUAGAAGCAACUUAUGUUGUACACCACCUGGGACACUGGUUGUCACAUGGUUGUGUGUCAUUAUUGUUUUAGGUACAGGUUUCACACAAUCUGAGACUCGGCUCACGACAUAGCUGUGUAUCACAAGUCAGUAUGUAACACGGUUUGGUACAUGGCCUGCGACAUGACCGUGUGUCCAAACUUCGAAUGUCCACACGGUCUGGGCUAUGUCACACGGGUUGGCCACAUGGCCGUGUGACCCUUGUUUUCAAGUUUUCUAAAAUUUUCUAUUUUAUUUCAAAUUGAUCCUAGAAUAUUCUCAAACUGUUUUUAGGGCCCGUAGGUUCGAAUUAAGGCCCAUAAGUGUAUGUUUGCUAUAAUUAAGUUGUGUUAAUUAAUGUUAUUAAUUAAAUGGCAUGAAUAUUUUAUUGUAAGUUAAAUGUUUUAAUUUGAACUAUAAUGCUCCGUAACUCUAAUCUGGCGACGGAGACAGGUUUGGGGUGUUACAAUUUUGGACUUGAAAUUUGUUUUGGGGCUUUGUUCGAUGUUUGUUGGAUUUUAGUGUUUUAACAUUAAACUACAAAAUUGUAUGAUUUAACAAACUAAAAAUUAGGUUUUCAAAAUUAAAACUCUGGAAGUUUCUGUUUCAAAGAUUAAGUAAUCACUUAAGUGUUUUCCCAUAAAUAAUUAAAUGGUUUUUAACAAAUGUUUUCCUUAGUUUUGGAAAUGAUAUGCCAACAUUAGUACUUUUAAAACACAUGAUUUCAAAUUCAAAUUCUUGGUUUUAAGUAAGGGUUUUCAAACUUUGAUUUUUUUUAACAUUUGUGAGAGGUUUUUGCCAAAUUUUAUGUUUUCAGAACGUGUAACUAAGUUGAUUUUUAAUUAGUUUUUCAAACAAGUCAAUGUAAUUCCUCAAAAAUCCAAUCAUAGCGUCUAGGUCGGGUUUGGGUUGUUACACUGACGUUACUAAAGUUAAUCUUAAUCUAUUUAGUCUAGAUCUAAACAUUAAUAUUCUCUUCCAAGAAAAAUCAAGAUUAUCAAAUUAUUACAACUUGGUAGGCAGACAAUCAUAUUAAAUAUGCAUAAAAGUUAAUAAAUAAUUAGCGAAGAUUGAAACAAUCAAAUAAAAAAUAAAUUAAUUAACUAAGAAAUAAGUUCCAUUAUUGUUUCAUGAAAAUAGAGUUUAGUUCAUAUUGAGUUGAGAAAACCAAAAGCGAGAUUCAAAACAAACCUGUGAUAAGGGGAACAAUGUCAAUAGAUUAUAUUCAUGUUGUUUGACUCAAGAAAGAAAUAUUCGAAUCUAACUUGAAAAGAAGAAACCAAAUAGAUUUAGAAAAAUAAGAAAAAAAAACAAAGAAAAUAACUAAAAUGAGAAAUUUAAGAAUAAAUAAUAAAUAUUAAAAAUAAUAAAGAAAUAAAGAAAUUAUAGAAUAAAUAAUGGAAGAUGGAAAUGAAACGACGGAUAUGACAUAUAGAUGGAUAAGUGUCUGAUAAUUCUUGAAAAGAGUUAUAUUUCAUACCUUUAGACCUCACUAAUUGCUUGUACUUAAGUACAUUUUGUUGCAUAUUGAGACAUUUUUGUUCGUAUUUGUAAUAUUGCAUUAGGACUUAGAUUGUGUUAGAAUUAGGUGUUUUUGAUCACUUGUGGUGGAGUUUUUAGUGUGUUGGUAUGGUAGGAACAAUAUUUAGAACGAGGAAAUAAAUGAGUGAAGUUUAGUCAGCGCAAAAGUGCAGAUAGUUUGCCAACACGUAUGCCGUGGCAAUGUCGGGAAGACCAAGUCAACAAAUUUUUGCGCAACAGUCCUAGUUCAAAUUCAAACUUGUACUAGAUAAAUCUCCUUAAAAGAGGAAAAGAUAAUCACAAGUUGUUAACCGACCCUAGCCUAAUCUAUCUAUAAAAGCCAAUGAAGGGGAUCUCACAAAUGGCAGAAAAAAGUGGAAGAGAUCCUUAGGUGCGAAUAAUGGUUCAGCUGCGCAAAGGAAAGGAAGUUGAAGGCAAUCUUUUUUAGCCAUCACAAGACGUUGUGCUGUCGAAGUGUGGACUAGACAAGUGAAAGUUGUUUCCCAAAGUUCUUUCGUUAUUUCCGUCAGUGUUCCUUCAAAAUAUUAAAGUAGUUGAACAUAAUGUUGGAUAAUAUUUUGGUUUGGAAUUUUAAUUCCUAGCCCAUGAGCUAAAUCUCGUAGGGUUGGAAUUACUUUUGAUAAAACCUUAAACUAUUUUUAUGGAUGCAGUAUAUAUGUAAUUUACUUUACUGUUUCAUUUUAUUAUUCUUAUUUCUUAAUUAAAAUGCAAAUGAUCUCUAGACAUUGAAGCCUUUCACAUACUUAUAAACUGAUUUUAAUUCUGAAAGGGUUGGAUUGGUUGGAUUAAAAUUAAAUGAAAUGAGCAAGCAUUCGGUGGACACCUGUAGUAGACUUUAGACAUAGAGUCACGCUCAUACAGAAGGAACCCAUGCAAGAUAUCUAAAAAGCCUUUAGACAUAGGCAAGGUAACUUAAGGUUUUGCUCUCACGAGAGGCAGGCCAUUUUAGUACUCUUUUGUGCUUUAAAGUAGAUACGAUUUUGCCAAGGCAUUAUUGACAGUAAAGGUCGAUUAUGGGUAGUCCCAACCCUCCAAAUCCACAUCGUAUAUCCUUUACUCUUUGCCAUAGUAUAUUUGCCACAUCAUUAUAAGUUAUUUAUUUGUUCAUUUACAUAAUAUUUCCGUUGUAAUUCUCAUAAUUAUCAUUACUUUCUACUCUCGAUUUGCCACAACAUUACUAGUUAUUUAUUAAUUCCACGUAUGGCUUACAUCAUUGCUCUACUAAUUGCCACUGUAUAUUUACCAUUGACUUCGCCAUAGCAUUAAUCAUAUUUUAUUAUAAUAACUUGACCAAUUUUGUGCCUCAAUUCGAUCCUCAUGGAAAUGAUACUCACUCAUCACUUUAUUUGUAACACCCCAAACUCGGCCUAGACGUUAUGGCCGAAUCUGGUGAUGUCACAUGGAGAGGGAUUUGAAGACAAGAUUGUUGAGUUUAAAAACCGUUACAGUAAGUUAGCUUUUAUUUAGGGAAAAUCGUGUUUUGUAGAGUUGUAGUUUUUAGGAAAAAAAUCGUGUUUUGUAGAGUUGUAGUUUUUUUAAAAAACCCAAUAAAAAAUAGUAUAAAGUCCCAAAUUUAAAACCAAUCAGUCCAUAGUCCAGAAGAUACAUCAAAAACUCAAAAUAAGUAAUAAAUUCUAGGCAUUAACGGAAAACAAUCUAAAAUUUACGUGUGGCCACCAUUGAGUCCUCUGCUGCACCGAUUCGUCAAGUCUGAGGAUUACCUAUACAAAUUAAAUAGAGAAAGGGUGAGUUGUCGCAAACUUAGUGUGUAAUCCCCACAGAAAACAUGCAUAGAGAUAAUUAACAAAAUUUAGUUAGAUACAGUCUAGGGCCUGUGCCCAUCAUAGAAUCAGUUUGGGCCUUAGCCCAUUCAGAUAUAGUCUUAGAAAUACAUUAGGGCAUUGACCAGCCUCUACAAACCACCUCCAUCCAACCAUACACACCAUGUGGGGAUUAAAUCAACCAACCCAUCCCUACACACCAUGCUGUACCGAAAUGCGGCACAUAAUUAGAAGGUUGCAGCUGGGCUGCCAGAUAACAUAAGUCAUGCUCGGUAUAGAAAUCAGACAGACAGAUCACACAUAUAGGUGUCUAAGUAAAGCUUACUGACCCUACAGUAGGUCCACAGUUAACUUGGGCGACCCGUGCAAAAUUACAGAACUUUUUAGAAAAAUGGGCUUACACGCCUAUGUGGCCCACUCGGCCCAAAUUGGCCUUGACCACGUGAUCCAUUUUUAAUGUAACCAGUGCUAGUUAAUUAUUCAUAUAUGUUUUCACUAUUUACUUAUAUGUUAAUUUAAAGCUGUCUACUUGAGUCACUGUUACUAAAUUAUUUAUAUCUUGAGCUACAGAAUUUCAAAUUAAGAUCCGCUUAAUGUCUUUGAAACUAGACUCAAAUAUCUUUCUACUAUAAAAUUUUUAUAAUUUUUGGUUGAGCCAACAAGUACAGUAAAAUCUUCAAACCUUCCCCUAUUCUGCUGUCUGACAACUUCAACCCUUCUUUGCUAAGAAUUAAUUAUCUCUUAGUACAAGAUUUGGAUGAUGUUUACAUUUGUUUCUAUUGAAAAUAAACUCAUUAAUAAUUUAAAAAUGUAAAUUUUAAACCCCUAAUUAUUUUUCUCCAAUUUUUGAUGAUUUUCCAAAUUUAGAACAGGGGAACCUUAAUUCUUUCUGACCUUGUCUCACGAAGUUUAUUAUACCUCACAAUUUACAAUUCCAUUACUUACAUCGUUUAAGAUUUAAUUCCAUAUUUUUUUCAUCCUCUAAUUCAAUUUCCACAAUUUAUGGCAAUUUUUCAAAGUUAACCUACUGUUGUUGUCCAAACAGCAAGCAAUUUUGGCUUUUCGCCGAAUCCUUUUUUUUGCAUUUCGGGUACACACCUGGUUUUGUUUGAUGCUAAAACAAUCCCCGAACACUCUAAAGUCACCAAUGAUAACCAUCCAUUUAAAUAUUGUUAACACGAGAACACUGAAUUCACUAGUCCGAGUCUCCCCCUACGCCCAAAUCGCAGAGAAAAUACGUUACCACUUUAGUCGCUAAAAGAUUCAUGAUAGAAAAGAAGAGAAACACUUACCGAACUAAGCGAGCACUAACCGUGUGUGAAAAUGAAGGAAAAUAAAUGGAUUAGGGAAAAAUCAAGAACAAGAAAAAGAAGAAAAAGAAAAACUCAGAGAAUUUCAACAAGAGGAGAGGGAGAAGAAUAGACGGCGAAUAAAAUUCUGAUAACCCCCAAAAUCCCUUAAUCUUCUCCCCUAAUUCCCACUACACAUCCACUAUUCAUAACCCCCUAUUACAUAACUCUAUCCGAAAUCUGAUAAAAAAAAACAUAAUACCCUUGCCUGCAUAGGGGUUCAAACACAAAACCUCUACUAUAAUAACACAUCAUUUAACCACCAGACCAGCAGGCCCAUUCUGAUGUAAUUUACCCAAAAAUCAAAUAAAAGCCUACUCAACAAGAGUAAAGCCUAAUUCAUUCAAAAUACCAAAAUUUGCCCAAGCAAAAGCUUGAACUUGGGACCUCCCAAACACUCCCAGAACACAUAACUACUAAAGCUGACAAAUAUUUGUGUCAUAUUUUCACAAUAAUGAAAUUAGAAAUUUUGGGACAUUACAUUAUUACUUGAUUCAACUCUUGCACAAAUCGCAUAUCAUUUCACACACAACAGUGCUCAAUUGAACCCUUUAAGAUAUGAAAUCUAACAAACUCAAUUAAUGGCUUUAAUCAAUCCACCAAGAAAUAAUCAUUGGCAAAUUGAAGGAUGAAGAAUGAAUUCCCAUGACUCCUUAAAAAAAUUGAUAAGAAAACUACUUUUAAAAAUCACAAGAAACAAAUCUUGCAUAAAGAAACUAACUCUCAGAGUUGGUAAUUUUAGUAAUAAACAAAAACAAUUGCGUCUCUAAUGAACAUGAAGGGGCCUUUACAUAGGCUAGAUAAGUACAUCCAAAUAAAAUUGUCAAAUAUCUUGAAACUUUAAUUAAUGUAAGCAAGAAGUAAUUUUAAACUAAAAUAGUCAUAAUUUUCGUAAUAAUCCCGUCUAAAAAUUCUGCUCACAUAGUCAUCAUUAAAACAAUCAUAAUUUGAGCUCUUGAACUCAAAAUUGAGUGAAUAAAAGUGCGUUUCGAAGUUAAGUGAUAGAUCCUAGAACUCUAUGAAGACAUAUCAAUCAAAAAAAUAUCUGGAUCCCAUCCAAAAAGUCACCGCAAGUUAACUAAUUUUUCAAACUUAAAAUUUGGCAGCUUCGGUGAAUGGAAUUUAAUAAAGUUCACUCCAUCCAUUCAUGUAUCAACUUGCAUUGGUAACAAGUAAAAGAAAAAAAUCUAUAGAGAAAAUAGUUGAAGAAUUUAUGACAAUUUAUUCAAAUCUCUUUUUCUUCUAGUCUUUGCAAGCUUGAAGUUUCCCUUGGUGUGAGAGAGUUGUUCCUUACCCUCUAAGUGAUUUUUUUCUUUUUCUUUCUCUUCGAUCUCGUCACCUAUUGGUGUUCAAACAAUUGAUUCAGUUAAUACCCGAACAAAACUAUCAUUAACUGAAAUUUUGAAACCCUUAAUCGUUAAUCAAACCAAUUUUUUUAAAAAAAACCUAUUAACUAGCUGGAUUGAUUUCGAUUAAUUUUAGCGGUUAACCAGAAUUUAUACAUGGUUUUUUUUUGUUCAAAAAAUUUUAAAACAAAGAACAAUCCAUGACAAUUUUUUCCUUGUUUUUUAUUGAAAAAAUUAAAAGAACUAAAAAAAUAACAUAAUAACAACAAUAAAUUAAAAACAUAAUAGCAUUCAUUACAUUACAAGGCAUAUAUAUAUAUUUUUACUUUUUCUUCACUUUUUAGUUUAAUUUUAUAUUUUUUAAAAUAUUUUUAGUUUUCAUAUUUUUGUUAAGCUUAUUAUAAGAAAACUUAUAAAUCCAUUAAUUUUUCUAUAUUGGUUUUGUAUAAUGUAUUGGACUUAUCUCUAAUAUAUUUGGCCUAUAAUAUAUUUUUAUUGAUUUCGGUUAAUCAAUUAAUUCGGUUAAUUAGUCGAUUUCAAACUAAACUAAUUGGUAAACAAAAUCUUCAAAAACCUUUAACCAACUCCCAACCAAAUUAGAUUUGAUUGCUUAAUCAAAUUAAUUAGGUUUGAUAAAUUAAUUCGUUAAAACCAAAAAAUCCACACCCCUAUCAUCACCUUUAUUUUUAGGGAUUUUAAUCAUGUUGCUGCACCUGAUGCAGAAGUUGAGGUGGAACGAACUGCUUGCUACCACAAUUUAUGAAUUAUAGAGCAUGCUCCACCGUAGUGAAUCAAAUUCGGUGGAGUAGAAGACUUUUCUUCACUACUUUAUGCUCUAUGCUCCAAGUCUUCUAUUCUUCUUCUGAGACCUACAAUGGGAAAAUAAAAACUAAGAAACAAGUCUAAACUAACUUUGAAAAUUAGAAAUUUUCAACAAAAUUGAAAUAAAAUAUAAUUAAUCCAUAAAAAACUAUAAAAUGCAAUAAAAACAAACCUAAAUACUAAAAUUACCUCCUAAAAUGCUGUGGAAACUAUACUAAAAUAACUCUAAAUAUGAUAGUUAUCAGAAGCGACUUGAAUAAGCCAAUCGAGUAGAUGAUUUCAACUAUUGCAAAUAGCAUCAGUCGAUUAACCAUCCUCUUGAGAAGAUCAUAGAGUUGAAAGAAAAAAUCAUACAACUCCAUGAAGAAGAAAAAAUCAUGUUUGAAAAAGAAGUGGCAUUAUCAAACUUGACAUCAAUGCUUUGGUUUCUCAAUACAAUAUUAAGGAGAAAUUCAUCAAAUUUGGCUCUUUCACUCCUAUUACACUAGCUCUAAGUAGAAGUAAGAUGGUGAAUUUCGAAGGGAUUGGGGACAAUCAUCUAUUUUUGGAAUAUCAGAAUGGUCAUGAUUGGACUCAAAGAAGCCAAUGAAAUGCAUCUCUCCUAGGUAUAAGCUUAUAUUGUCACAUUGCUCCUAAGCACGAGCAUAAAUUGUUCAUCCAAAAUGAUGAUGCUCCUAAGCAUGAGCUUAAACUGUUCAUCUAAUGCUCCUAAGAAGGAGCCUAAACUAUUCAUAAAAAAUAAAUGAUGAUCCAGUGAAGCACGAGAUUAAACUAUUCAUACGAAAUAAAUGAUUACCUCCUAAGCAUGAAUUUAAAUUGUUCAUACAUAAUAAAUGAUGAUACUCCUAAGCAUGAGCUUAAAUAGCAGUCCAAAAAAAAUUGAACAACAUUAUAACUUUAUCUUUUAAAAAUGAAGGUACGUAGAUAGCCUGGUUUCAUUGCCAAGUUCAGUCAGUGAAACAAAUUCUUGAAAGUAGGAAGCAAAUAAAAUUUCAAGACUUGUACCCUUUCUACGCCCAACAAAAUUCAGAAUUCAGCAUUUGUUAUUACUGUUUAUCUCUAACUAAAUUAAUGAAAAGAUAAAUCAAGAAAUUAAAUCCUUUUAGAACUGUCUUAUAAAGAAACCAUAUUCUUUAAGGAUUACUUUAUCUAUAAUUAAUUAAAUUAAUAAGAUAUGAAUAAUAAUAAUAGAGUUUAAAUUCUUAUAGAACACUCAAAUGAAAAAGCUAAAUUCUACAACAACUCUCUUAUAUCAAAGUGAUUGGGCACUAUAAAAAUGGGUCACCUCCAAGUCAUUCUACACAUUCACAAGUUCAAGAAGUUCAAAAAUUCUUUACGAAAAUAUGAAGAAACUAAAGAAGUAGAAGAAAUUCUGAUGAACAUCAUAUCAGUUCUAAAGAAAAACUGCCUCCUAUCCAAUUCAAUUGAGAGGAGGAUGUCAACAGAAGAGAAGAAUCGAAGAAGUUUUGUUUGUAAAUAAAUUCAAAACUAUACACUCUUCGAAAUAAUAAAUAAAAUUUGACGCAAAAUUUUCAAGUCAAUUCUCAACUUAAAAUUUGCGUGUACAAUAUAUAUAGGAAAGAAUCCAUUUACAUUAUAUAAAACUAGUGUAUGUAUAAUACAGAAAUAUUUAGUACAUUAUCAAUAAAGUUUUUAAACUAUGCACUGUGAUUAAAACCAAAAUAAUAAUAAUAAUAACAACCAAUCACUUUAUUUGACUAACUUUUCCCUACAAGUCUUUAGUAUGGAGACAAAUCAGUUUAAUCAGCCUUUGGAGCUAUUAACUGACAUUUCCACCAUUGAUUUGAAAAUCCUAACCCAUCAAUUCACUUUAAAUGAAACGAGAUCCACUAGUGUUUGGUGUUAUAUUUUUAAAAUGUAUUUAGAUUAUUGUUUAUUAAUUUUAUUUGUUUAUAUUUAAAUCAAAUGUAAUAAAUUGUUGAAUUUAUAUACUUCAUAUUAUAACAAUAUAUUUUAACUUGCUACUUCUCUUUUUAAUUUAAUUUUUUGUAACUCUUCACAAUUUAUUUUGAAAAAAAUUGAAAAAACUAAAUGAUUAAAUUAAGGCUCAACUUUUCACUAACCUUAGUUUAUUUAGUCUAACUUUUCACAAAUUAAUAUACUCAUUUCAUGUUUCAUACCAACAACUUUUCUUUUUGGUAAAAAGAAAAAACAACUAUACGUUUUUUUUAAUCCCAAAAUUAAGGCUUUAUGAAUGAAAAUAAUAUUAUAUUAACUAUGAUAAUUAAGUCUUUAUUUUUAAUAUGAUUAAUAUUAUAUAUAAUAACUUUAAAUAUGCUUCCACUAAUCAGAUAUACUAAAGGAAAGAGUAACUUUCUUUUUAUGGUAACUAAUUUUCAAUUAUGUAUUUUAAUCUAUCACUAAAUAAUUAAUUAUAAUCAAGAUGUUAAUUUUCCAUAAAAUGUACAUAAUUUUGGUUGGUAUAUUAAUAAAUUUAGCCCUAAAAAUUUACACAUGCAAUUUGGUCUUAAUUUAACAAAAUUUUCCCGCAACAUUUGUGUAAAUAUGUAAAUGUUGAGGUUAAAUUUCUUGAAUUUUUUUUAAAAAAUUAAGGUCAAAAUGACAAAAAUAUAAAUAUUGAAAACUAAAUUUAUUACUGUACCAAUCAAAAUGACAAAAUAUAGCUAGGGACAUGGGCUUGACCGAGCCAACUCAACCUAUUUCAUCUGUUUCUAUUGACUUUUGCUCGACCCUACCCCAAAGACCUGUCAAUUUUGUUAAAAUUGAAAUAUUUAACUUGUUGGAGAAGACUAACUGUAGAAAAGUAAGUCAAUGCUAAAGUGAUAUGUCGACGUUUUGUUGUUUUCAAAAUAGUUGAUAAGCCUGAAAUUAUAAAAGAUAAUCAUGAGGUCUUAAAUGCAAUUAUGAUAUUUCUAAAAAGAUAUUUCUCAACAAUUUUUUUAAUUUCUUGAUUGAUGAAAACAAAUUUAGGUAUUUCCCAAUUUGUAAAAACAUGAUUUUUCUUUGAAUUUCUAGGUUUUUCUUAGCUUUUUUUUAUAUUAUUUUGGAAUUUUUGUAAUCUUCUUAUAAUUUCUUAAAAAAUAAUAUAUUUGUAAAAAUUUUUAAACCAUAAAUACCAAUUAAGAAGAAUGUGAUAAAAUUAGGGGUAAAUGUGUAUUUAAGCCAAAGAAAAUAAAAGAAUAAUAAUGAAAUUCACCUAAAAACAAUUACAAGGACUAGAUGAACAAUUUGACCUAAAACUUUGUUUGAAAUGAUGUCAUUAAUGUGUUACAUCAGCUUUCUUAGAGAGAUAAAAAUUAAAUGAAUAUGAGAUACAUGAAACUUGUAUCUCUUUCCAAUAAUUUAACAUUAUUUCAAUAUUUUCAUCUUGAAUUCACGAGUGAAGCGUACAUCAUAUACCAACUCAAUUGGAAAAAAGUCUUUAAAUUAUUUUUAAAUUGUAACAAAUAUUAUUAUUAAGAUGUUUUUCUUUUUAUAUUUUUUAUAAAAUAUAUUAAAAAACAAUUAAAAUAAUUUUAAGAGAAAAAAACUCAUACAAGGUAGAAUUUAAUCUAAAGAUGUCAAAGUUUUAAAGCCUCAACUUUAACAUUUCAACCGAAAUUCCAUUAGUAUAUAAAUAUUUAUAAAUAUAGAUUUUAUAUAAAAAAUUUUAUGUAAACUUUUUUUUAACCCGCAUCACAAGUACACCAUAUUUAGAGAUAUUCAUAGUUAGGCAGUCCACUUUGAGUCAAGCUUGAGCUUAGGUUUUCAAUCUCAAGUUGGCCCAAUUCAACUUAUUUUACUACUUAAAAAUAUAAAUAUAUGUUAUAUUGAUAUUUAUAUAUGUCUAUAGUUAAAAAAUUAUUAAAAAUAAAUUCAACUUAUUUAUUAAUUAAAAAUAUAAAUAUAUGUCUAUAAUUAAAUUUUAAAGAAAUUUAUUGUUAUUUUCUAAACAUAAAACAAAGAAAACUUUCACCCAAAUUAUAAGUUUGUGGUCAGGCAGCCCACUUUGGGACUGGAAUCAGCUUACUUUUUUAAUCUUGGGCUUUAAAAAUAAUAAAAAUAUAAAAAUAAUGUUCUAUUAAUAUUUAUAAAUUUUAUAAAUUUAAAUUUAAUUAUAUUUUUUAAACAGUAAAAUCAACCAUUUAUAUGGGCUAAAUUGAGUUAAGUUCGGUUUGCAUCAAGCCUUAACUUUGACCAAAUCCAACUAAAAACACCUCUAACCAUAAUCUAGUAUUGUUUUUAUGAAUUCAAUUUUAACUUGUAAUUUUCAAUUCUAUUACAAAAUUUCUUUGCCUACGAUAAGAAAAUAACAUAUUUGUAACUAAGUAAUUAAUUAAGUUAAUGUCACGAGUGAAUCAUACAUUAUAUGCCAACUCAAUUGGAAAAAGUUUUUAAAUUAUUUUUAAAUUGUAACAAAUAUUAUUAUUAAGAUGUUUUUCUUUUUAUAUUUUUUAUAAAAUAUAUUAAAAAACAAUUAGAAUAAUUUUAAGAGAAAAAAACUCAUACACGGUAGAAUUUAAUCUAAAGAUAUCAAAGUUUUAAAGCCUCAACUUUAACAUUUCAACUAAAAUUCCAUUAGUACAUAAAUAUUUUAUAAAUAUAGAUUUUAUAUUAAAAAAAUUAUGUAAACUUACAUAUAUGGUUCGUCAUGCAAAUGUUUAUUAUAUUUAAAAAUUAACAUAUAUGGUUAUUGAAUUUUAAUACUGGCUUGAGGAGUCGACUCUAUUGUAGAUUCUAGAUUAAUCUAAUAUUUCACCCUCUUUUAAUUUUCUUUAUUGGAAGAGUCUUUAAGAGAUAAGUUAAGUAGUAUAGCAGUUUCAUCUAAAACAACAUCUCUGCUAAUCACAACUUUUCUAUUUUUAGGACACCAUAACUUAUACCCUUUUACAUCAGCUUUAUAACCAAUAAAAACACAUUUAAUGAAUCUCGGUUCCAAUUUUUCAUUAUCAACAUGAGCUUACGAAGGACACCCAAAGAAUUUAAUCUAAAGAUAUCAAAGUUUUAAAGCCUCAACUUUAACAUUUCAACCGAAAUUCCAUUAGUAUAUAAAUAUUUUAUAAAUAUAGAUUUUAUAUAAAAAAAUUUUAUGUAAACUUUUUUUUAACCCGCAUCUCAAGUGUACCAUAUUUAAAGAUAUUCAUAGUUAGACGUCCACUUUGGGUCAAGCUUGAGCUUAUGUUUCCAAUCUCAAGUUGGCCCAAUUCAACUUCUUUUACUUUUUAAAAAUAUAAAUAUAUGUCUAUAAUUAAAUUUUAAAGAAAUUUAUUGUUAUUUUCUAAACAUAAAACAAAGAAAACUUUCAUCCAAAUUAUAAGUUUGUGGUUAGGCAGCCCACUUUGGGACAGGAUUCAGCUUACGUUUUUAAUCUUGGGCUUUAAAAAUAAUGUUCUAUUAAUAUUUACAAAUUUUAUAAAUUUAAAUUUAAUUAUAUUUUUUAAACAGUAAAAUCAACCAUUUAUAUGGGCUAAAUUGAGUUAAGUUCGGUUUGCAUCAAGCCUUAACUUUGACCAAAUCCAACUAAAAACACCUCUAACCAUAAUCUAGUAUUGUUUUUAUGAAUUGAAUUUUAACAUGUAAUUUUCAAUUUUAUUACAAAAUUUCUUUACCUACAAUAAGAAAAUAACAUAUUUGUAACUUCUCCAAUUCGACGUAAAUGUUCAGUCUGAAUUCAGAAGAUUACAUCAGCCAUAAAGAUGGCCUAGCAAGGUUAUUAGAGUUUUCAAAAACAGGCAUCUUUAAAAUGCUUGUUUAAUUUAUACAAAAACUUAUUUAAUUUCCAAAUUAUUUAUUACUUGAAAUCUUAAUUAUACUUUGAAAGCAAGAAGUGGUAACUAUUUAUUUUUAAUAAAAAUCAGGGUUCAUGUAUAAUUGAUUAAUAACUGUUAGAAUUAAGCGACCCGAAUCUUUAUUUAAAUGAAAUACAGUGGUAAAAUAAAAUAAAAUUAAAAUCCCUAUAGAACUACACUUAUUUUAUUUUAUUUUAGAAUAAGGAUUUUUAAACCUUAUUAAACUCCAUCCAUUUGAUAUUGAUUAGAAUAAGGUGUUUCAAUCUUACUACACUCCUAUUAGAAUAUGGUUUUACAAGCCUAUAAAUAGACAUAGUCUACUCCUCUUGUAAUUAUUCGAAUUCGACAUAGGGAUUUAUCUUCUCCUCUACCAAUAGCUUUUUCCCUGAAAGGGUUUCCACGUAAAAUCUGUGUGUUUUUUUUAUUUUUCUCCCUUUUAUUCUUUGCAAUACAUUGUCAUUACCAACAUUCUAUUUUUAGCAAAUUGGUAUCCAAGCUUCCAAUUUGUUCAUCUCAAUCAUGGUAAUGGCGUCUUUGAAGUAUGAAAUUCUGCUAUUGGAUCGCAACACCAGAUCCGCAUUGUGGCAGAUAAAGAUGCAGGCAGUUCUUACACAGAUAGACUUAGAGGAAGCCUUGCUAGGGGUAGAUAAAAUGUAUUCAACAUUAACAGAGGAAGAGAAGAAGCACAAGGAUCGAUAGGCGUUAACACAAUUACAUCUUCAUUUGUCCAACGAAAUUUCACAGUAUGGAGAAGACCGUCGCUGGAUUAUGGAAGAGGUUGGAACAAAUAUGUACGUCGAAUACUCUAACUAGCAAGUUGCAUAUGAAGCAGCUUCUUUAUGCUCAUCGUUUGGAGGAAGGUGUCUCUAUGCACGAACACUUAAUAGUGUUUAAAGGAAUUCUCUCGAACUUAGAGGUCAUGAAGGUUCAGUAUGAUAAUGAAGAUCUACGAUUGAUUCUACUUUGUUCGUUGCCUCUAUCUUAUUCAACCAUUAGAGAUGGGAUUUUAUAUAGCCGCGAGUCUCUCACAGUUGAUGAGGUUUAUGAUUCUUUAACCUCGUAUGAUAAGAUGAAGCAUCUUUUUCGUAAAACUGACUCUUAGGGAAUGGGUCUCAUUGUUCAUAGUAGAUAAGAUCAGAAUGCUGAUGAUGAUCGUGAAAGGACACAGGAAUAGAAUUCUCGCGAUAAAUCUAAGGAUAGAUCAAAGAUUUCAAGCAGAGGUAAAACUUGUAACUUCUGCAAGAAGAAAGGGCACAUUAAAUCUGACUGUUAUAAGCUACAAAUCAAUAUCAAAAGGGAGGUUGUGAAACAAAAUGGAAAACAACUAGAAUAUGUUGGUAAAGCUGAUGUUGUAGAAGACUAUAGCGAUGGUGAACUUCUAGUCACUUCUAUCAACAAUUCUAAAAUAAGCGAGGAGUGGAUCCUUGAUUUGGGCUGCACCUUUCACAUGAGUCCCAAUGGAUAUUGGUUUAUAACUUACGAAAUAGUGUUUGAAGGUGUUGUUUUGAUGGGAAAUAAUGCUUUAUGUAGAAUUGCAGGUGUUGGGACAAUAAAAGUUAAGAUGUUUGAUGGAGUUCUCAGAACACUUAAUGACGUACGACAUGUUCUAGAAUUGAAGAGAAAUUUAAUUUCAUUGAGUACUCUUAUUCAAAAGGUUAAAAAUACAUAGCUAAAAGUGGGGUUUUUAAUAUUUCCAAAGGUUCUCUCGUUGUGAUGAAAGGGCAGAGAAAGACUGCCAAGUUAUAUGUUUUGUAGGGUUUAGGAGUUCUUUGGCAUAUACGCCUAGGGCAUAUAAGUGAGAAUGACAUGGCAGAAUUGAGCAAAAGAGGACUUCUUGAUGGGCAAGGAAUUUGCAAACUGAAGUUCUGUGAUCACUGUAUUUUUGAGAAGUAAAAGAGAGUUCGAUUCAUCAGAGGAAUCUAUAACACGAAGGGAACAUUGGAGUAUAUUCAUUCUGAUCUGUCGGGGACACCCAGAGUGCAUUCAAGAGGUGGAGCUAAUUAUAUGCUAACUUUUAUUGAUGAUUUUUCUAGAAAAGUUUGGGCGUUCUUCCUAAAGCAGAAAAUCGAUGUGUUUUUCGCAUAUAAGUCUUGGAAAACUAUGAUUGAAAAACAUAUGGAAAAACAAAUAAAAUAUCUCCACAUAGAUAAUGGCUCAAAGUUCUGUUCUAAUCACUUUAAUAAACUGUGCAAGUCAGAAGGGAUCGUGAGACACUUGACAGUUUGCCACACUCCACAACAAAACGGUGUUGCAGAACGAAUGAACAGAAUGAUCGUGGAGAAGGUUUAAUGUAUGUUUUCAAAUGCCAACUUAACAAAGUUGUUUUGGGCCGAAGUAGCCUCUACUAUAUAUUUUUUGAUCAACCGAUCUCUAUCUAUUGCCAUUGAGAAAAAGACUCCACAAGAGGUAUGGUCUGGUAAUCCUGCUAACUGUUCUGAUUUAAAGAUCUUUGGGUGUCCUGUGAAUGCUCAUGUUGAUAAUGGAAAAUUGGAACUGAGAUCCAUUAAGUGUGUUUUUCUUGGUUAUAAAGCUGGUGCAAAAGGGUAUAAGUUAUGGUGCCCUAAAAAUAGAAAAGUUGUGAUUAGCAGAGAUGUUGUUUUUGAUGAAACUGCUAUGCUACCUAACUCAUCUCUUAAAUACUAUUCCAAUAAAGAAAAUAAAAAGCAGGUGGAGUAUCAGAGUAAUCCAAAAUCUACAACAGAGUCGACUCCUCAAGCCAAUACAAAAAUUCAAAAUAGAGUUGCUUCUUUACCACAAUACUCUAUCGUAAAAAAUAAAACUAGAAGAGAUAUUAAACCCUCAAAGAAAUAUGCCGAGGCUGAUCUAGUUGCUUAUGCUUUAAAUAUUGCUAAAGAUAUAGAUGCAAACCAAGAGCCAUCUAAUUAUUUUGAUCCGGUUAGCUAUAAAGACUCAGAAAAAUGGAUGUUUGCUAUGUAAGAGAAGAUGGAAUCACUCUACAAAAACAAAACAUGGGAUCUUGUAAAACUUCCUAAAGGUAAAAAGGUUGUUCGUUGUAAAUGGGUGUUUAAAAAGAAAAAGGGGACUCUGGGAGUUGAAGAACCCAGAUUUAAAGCAAGGCUUGUUGUAAAGGGUUACAGUCAAAUUCCAAGAGUGGACUUCACAGAUGUGUUCUCCCCAGUUGUGAAGCAUAGUUCGAUUUGAGCUUUGCUUGGUAUUGUGGCCAUGCAUGAUUUGGAGCUAACUGUAAAAACUACAUUUUUGCAUGAAGAACUUGAGGAUGAUACUUACACGCAACAACCAUAGGGUUUUAUAGUCUCAGAAAAAGAGGACUAUGUUUGCCUGUUGAAAAAGUCCUUUUACGGUUUGAAACAGUCACUAAGAAAGUGGUACAAGAGGUUUGUUUCCUUUAUGACUUCUUAUGAUUUUAAAAAAAGUAGCUUUGACAGUUGUGUUUACUUUAAGAAAAAUAGUGAUGAUUCUUUUGUGUAUCUACUUCUUUAUGUUGAUGACAUGUUGAUAGCAACAAAAGAUAAAUGAGAGAUAAGAAAGGUUAAAGCCCGACUAAGUGAAGAUUUUGAGAUGAAAGAUUUGGGACCAGUAAAGAAGAUACUUGAUAUAGAGAUUCUCAGAGAUAGAAAAGUAAGUAAAUUGUACCUAAGUCAGAAGGGGUACAUUGAGAAAGUUCUUUGCAAAUUCAAUAUGCAGAAUGCUAAGCCUGUUAGUACUCCUUUAGCAGCCUAUUUCAGACUUUCAUUGGCUUUGUCUCUACAAUCAAAUGAUGAGAUUGAGUACAUGUCAUAUUUUUCAUACUCUAGUACAAUGGGAUCUCUCAUGUAUGCUAUAUUUUGUUCACGUCCAAAUUUAUUAUAUGCAGUCAAUACAGUUAGUAGAUAUGUGGCAAAUCCUGGUAAAGAACAUUGGAAAAUACUGUUUCCAAAAAUUUAUGGAUUUCUGGUGAGUGAACUUCUAGUGAAAUUAUUGUGCUAAGUCCAUUGGGGCAGUCUGUUUGAGUAAGUACACUUUAUAGGAAUGUACCUUUGGAAGUACAAGGGAUUGUGUUUUCGGCAGAUCUGGUGAGGUUACUUCUAGUGAAAUUAUUGUACUAAGUCUGUUGGGGUAGUCUAUUCGAGUAAGUAGACUUUAUAGGAAUGUACCUUUGGAAGUACAAGGGAUUGUGUUUUCGGCGUUUUAUUCACAUAAAAGCAGCAAAAUUUAGCGACAUUGUCUACAGCGGCAUUUUUUACGGCGCUUGUGAAAGCGCCGCUAUAGGCCUAAAAAACACCGCUAAAAGCCUAUUUUGCUGCAGUGAAUUAAUAUUAUUAUAAGUAUAUUUUCACCUUUUCAUUCUUUUAUAUAAUCUUCAAGUAAAAUGAUUGAAAAAUAUUAUUUGAGAAUCAAACACAAGACUAACAAUAUUCAUAUAGAAAACGCUUAUCACUCCACUAAUAAUCAUUUGUUGAUGUAUUUUUGGUAAAAAGAGCCCUCCAAUCCCUCUUAAUUUCACAACUUCUCAAAUUAGUCCCUCUCAAAAAAAUUGGAGCAAUUUAAUCCCUAUCAAUUUUGAAAGUGAGUAACUAAGGACAAUUAAUUAUGGUGUUAAAUUCUUCAAUCAAUUGUACAUAAUUUUGAUUGGUAUAAUAAUAAAUUUAGCCUUUAAUGUUUAUGUAUUUUGUCAUUUUGGCCUUAAUUUUUUUAAAAAAAAUUCAAGAAAUUGAACCUCAACGUUUACAUAUUUGCACAAAUGUUGCAGGAAAAUUUUGUUAAAUUAAGACCAAAAUGCAAGUGUAAAUUUUGUUAAAUUAAGACCAUAUUUUCCCCCUUUAUUUUUUCAGUGCCGACCGGAAAAAAAAAUUUCAGUCUCAUCUAAAUAAGACAUACUUCAGCAGACCAAUAGACUGCAGAUCAGACCCAAUUCAAGGGUAAUGCAGUCCAAAGUUCCUUGAACUCCCUCCUCCAAAGUGAAAAACAAAUCUAUAUAUUUCUGCAUGAUUCAAACAGAAAGGACUGUUGGACAUGUAACUCAGAAAGAAUGCAAAUACAUUGAAAGUACCAUAGACUUUAUAAAUUAGUUUCAUGUUGUUAAAUUUCAACACUAUAAACCUAAAAAUUCCCAGAACGAAAUGCGGGAAUCAUGCCUUAAACUCCAAUACUCAAAUAAGAGACAGAUAAAUUGCACAUUUUUUAAUAUAAUAUUUACAGACUAGAGAUAAAAAUAUAGAAAAAUAUAAACAUGGACAUCGACAAAAAGACUAAUUGACUGUGCAUGUGUGCUAGAGAGUGGCAAUUAAACAUUAUCCAAACACAAUCAUUUCUCAACAUUUGUAAAACAAAAAGAAGAUUAAGAUUAGCAGUAAACUAAAUAAAACCAAAGAAGUGAGAACCACAAGUAAAUGAGAAAGAAAACAAAAUAGAGAUCCUAGUAGCUUUCCCAUUGAACUUCGUAUAAGAGAAAUAACAACAUUUGAACUUUAAGCAAAUAAAAAUGUAAAAUAUUCAGAAUCAAAACAAUCUUUUAUCAAAAUUCAAGCCAAAAACAAUGAGCUUCACUCUAUACAAGAAGCAUGUUAAAGUCAUAGGCUUUCUCGUUUCUGGAAACCAAAUCCAGAAACGUCUCCCACCAAAAAUCAAGAAAAUAACUUCUGUUUUUGAAAAUCACAUUCAAAUCGUGAAAUAGGAGCAAGGUCCUUCAAAUUCAAGCAAAGUUGGUAGUAAAAGCUUAACUUUCAAAGGUCAAACAACACAGCAUUAAGUAUAAAACUAACCCAAUCUCCACCAAUUCAAAAACAAGAAACCAAACACGAACCCGAAGAUCCAAACACGAUUUCGAAAAAAAAAAAUAGAUAUUCCUGAAAAUCGGAUAAAAAACUAGCAUAUACUUAAUGAAAAGAGAAAUUGACGAAAAAUCACAAGAGAUCUGCAUGCAAAUAUAGGCACACUUUUGCUUGAUUAUUCGCUUAAAAAAGUAACAAUGGAAAACAAGAUGCAAGUGUCACGGGCCGCAGUUCAAAGCCCGUGACCAGCGCACCAAAUGCAUCCAAUAGAGAUCUAUUGCUCAGAUAGGGAUCAUUUGGCCCACAAGAACUGGCUCGAUUCAAGGAGCUAUUGGACAAGCCUGUCAGAUUGAAGCCUGGUUGGCCCGAAAACGAAGAGAUGGCAACUUAGGCUAAUAUGGUAACUAAUCUUAGAAGAUAGAGGGAAUCUUAUCUUGUAAAGAUUAGAUUAGAUUAGAUAAGGCUUAUCUUGUAAAUCCCUAAAAUUAAGGGAUAUGGGUUAAUCUCAUCCGUCGAUGUAAAUGUAUAUUGACCGUCGAUUUUGGGGGAGAUCAACUAUAAAUAGAGAGCCUCCCCCUCAUUUGUACUCACUCUUGUAAUUAUUUCAUUAUUCUUUGUGAAUAAGAGAAUUGAGAGCAUUUACUCAAACACUUUACGAGCGUCCUUUCUGUUGUUCUUUUGUUUAGCUUCUUUUGGCACAAUCGCUUCCGCUAUACAAAUUGGUGCCUUGGAGGAGUUCUAAAAGAAUCCUCACUUGAGUUAAGCCUGACUUGGGCGAGUUUGGAUGAACAAAUUGUCUAAGGCUGCACGAAUUACGAGACGAAAGGUCUAGCCCUGUGACAAGUGGUAUCAGAGCCAAGUUUUGAACCAAGUGACAUUCGAGUUGGUUUGAAGGCACCGUUGGGAUGUCAAGAGAAGAGUUCGAACAAAGGUGGGAGAAGAAGUAUUUGAGGGAGACAUUAUCGGUAGUAGAGAAACGUGUGGGUAAACUCGAGGGAUCCAUGGAGGAUGUAAAGGAGGCACUCGAUGGGGUCGAGGAUCACAUUGCAAACUGGAAGGAGCAGUCUAGAGACUAUGUAAAGAUGUCUCUUAGUUCCAUCAUGGAUAUGGUAAACGAGUUGUUUAAUUCACACAGGGAUAAGCUGUCGGAAAGGAAUGAUGCUCUCGAGGCCAAAAUGAUGGCUUUGAAAGAGGAAACAAUGGCCACGACGAGGGCUUUGAGCACAAGAAUAGAGGAGCUCGAGGGAGAGCUGGCCUUGUGUUGAGCAGCCGUGAGGAAAGGAGUGGCAAAUGUAGCACUCAGUAACGAGGAUGUCCCAAAGCUGAAAGAGUUUGUGGGGACAAGGUCUGCGUGCGAUGUGGAUAAUUUCUUAUGGAGGAUGGAAAACUACUUCCGUGCCAAAGGCGUCAUGGAUGAUACGGUUAAGGUAAACACUACUUCAAUGUUUCUUACUGCCAUUGCACUUUUAUGGUGGAGAGGUAGGACCACAAAUAAAAGGCAAGGUGAGAUUGGGACGUAGCAAGAGUUCCAAUGCGAAUUGAAGGGACAGUUUUACCCAGAGUUUACCGAGGAAGAAGCUCGGGCAAAGUUGCAAGGGAUAACGUAACAGGGCACAGUGGGGGAGUAUGUUCGAGAGUUCAAGGAACUCAUGCUCCAAGUUUUAAAGGUGACCGAAAGAGAGGCAUUGCUUGCUUUUCAAAAUGGAUUGAAGCCGUGGGUCAGACAGGAGGUGGAACAAAGAGGUGUCCAAAAGCUAUCGGAAGCCAUGACGGUAGUUGAGUCUGUGGUUAAGCUUAGUCUAGGGAAAGACAAGCUUGGAUCUUCCAAGUCCGAUGGAAGGGGUAUAUGUGAAAUGGAUCAAAAGGAAGAUAGUGUUGAUGGCAAUGGCAACGGCAACAAUGGUGGUAAUGGGAAACCAUGAGUUGGGAAGAAGAAACCCAAGAGGAAAAGGGACAAGCUAAAAUGCUUUCUCUGCGACGGUCCACACAUGCUGAAGAAAUGUCUGAAAAAUUUGAGCUCAAGGAGAAGCCGGUGGGUAAGGCCUUGGUACUUGGUUCGAGCGCAAGGGGUGUCGAAGCCAAGAAGGCCAAAAGUAAGAAGAAGCCAGUGGAGUGGUUCUUGUGUCAUGGUCCGCAUAGGUUACGAAAGUGUCCGAGGAAGUCUAUCAUCGAGGGGAAUGAUGGAGCAGACAAGGAGCCCAAGAAGCUUGGUUCGAGCAAGGGAAAAGCCGAAGCCAAAGGGGCAAAAGGGAGCAAAAAGAAGCGAGUAAAGUGCUUCUUGUGCCGUGGUCCGCAUGAGUUACGGAACUGUCCAAAGCAAGCCGGAGUCAUAAGAAAGGCAACGUCUGAGCUUGGUGAGUCAUCGGAGGGGCUUCCACCCAAGGAAGAGGUGAGUUUGUCAUCGAACUUAAAGGAAAUAGUUGCGAUGAAAACAGUGAAGCUGGGACCAAUGAGGCUCAAGUUGAGUGAAGCGUCGGAGUUGGCCGAGUCAUCGAUAAGGCUUCCACCUAUGGGAGAGGUGGGUGGUGCAUCAGACUUCAAGGGAAAAGAAGGGAUGCAUGUGGGACAGUUGACCAGAGUAAAUGCGACGAGUAGGACGGUUUGAGUUAAGAAGCGACGUAAGCCGAGGCAAAAAUCCCGAAGGAAGGGAAAGGCUAAGGCAUUGAGACAAGACCGAGGUGAAUCGAGUCAGUGCCAUUCAAAAGUCACAACGAGGACGGUGCAAGAAUGUGUGGGGGAGAAUGUCACGGGCCGCAGUUCAAAGCCCAUGACCAGCGCACCAAAUGCAUCCAAUGGAGGUUUGUUGCUCAGAUGUGGAUCAUUUGGCCCACAAGAACUGGCUCGAUUUAAGGAGCUAUUGGACAAGCCUGUCAGAUUGAAGCUUGGUUGGCCCGAUAACGGAGAGAUGGAAACUUAGGCUAAUAUGGUAACUAAUCUUAGAAGAUAGAGGGAAUCUUAUAUUGUAAAGAUUAGAUUAGAUUAGAUAAGGCUUAUCUUGUAAAUCCUAAAAUUAAAGGAUAUGGGUUAAUCUCAUCCGUCGAUGUAAAUGUAUCUUGACCGUCGGUUUUGGGGGAGCUCAACUAUAAAUAGAGAGCCUCCCCCUCAUUUGUACUCACUCCUGUAAUUGUUUCAUUAUUCUUUGUGAAUAAGAGAAUUGAGAUCAUUUACUCAAACACUUUGUGAGCGUCCUUUCUAAUGUUCUUUUGUUUAGCUUCUUUUGGCACAAUCGCUUCCGCUAUACAAAUUGGUACCUUGGAGGAGUUCUAAAAGAAUCCUCACUUGAGUUAAGGCUAACUUGGGUGAGUUUGAACGAACGGAUCGCCUAAGGCCUCACAGAUUGUGAGACGAAAGGUCUAGCCCCGUGACACAAGUGCUAGGUAAAACCAUCAUGUCUGCUUACUCACCACAAACAAAGGCCCUCUAGGACCUUCAUGAAUUUUUGUCUUAUAAGUGCUUCCAUUGUGAGCCUGAACAGCUUGAUAGCCCACAAGAUAAGGAUAUCGAUCUUUACCCUACAGAUUAACAAGGUUAAAUCCACUUAAAUGAAGCACCAUUAGUCUAUAACAAUUUACUUCAAUUUUCUGCUGUUAGUUCAAAUAUUUAUUUUUUUAAUUUGCCAAAACUUGCUAGGAUCGAAGAUUUGGAAUUCCUAAAUUUCAAUUACAAAUUUACACCGUACUUGCAGAAAAAUAUAUUACUAUUAGAGACACCAGCAAUCAACCAGAGUUCUUUAGUUUUCAAUCAAGUUAUUCGACAGGUAUCUAUAUUGAUUACACAAAAAAAAUCAUACACCGUGAGAAUGUCGAGUAAAUUACAAAUACAAAAGCAAACGAACCCUAAAGGAGCUCCAAUACUUCUUCUCCCAGGGGCCUUUGUAUAGAGAUCCAAUGGAAACGAUCUCUAGAUCCUCUAAUUUCGUUGUUUGUUCUCCUUUUUUUGUUUUCGCCAUUCAAAGAAAUGAGAAGAAAGCAAGAUUUCCAAACAACUAACAAUAAGAGAGUAGAGAGGAUUUUCAAGAUAGACGAAGACAUGGCAUUUUAAAAUAGGGGAACUAAAAUCUUAAAAUGCAUGAUUUCCCUUGAAAUUCUAAAUAAAAACUUUAUUUGAUUAGGAAAAAUGUGAAUUGAUUUUGGGAAAAAGAAGGGAAAAAAAAGAAAAGAUUUCAUUUGAAAUAUUGGGAUAAAAAAAUAUAAUUACAAAACGACGCCGUUUUGAAAAAAACAUAUUCGUGGCGUUUGGAAAAAAAAGUCACUAUUGCUCGACUUUUAGCGACAUUUGGACCAAAAACGCUACUAUUGUUCAACUUUUUUCUGCAUUUACAACAAAAAAGCCGCUAUUGCUUACCUUUUGCGGCGUUUUUUUUAUAAAUGCCGCUAACACUUGACUUUUUUACAAUUUUUAUAUUGAAUUAUUGUAUCUUUCAUAUAAAUUUUAAAUGAAUAAUUUUUAGUUUUUGUAUUUCAUUUUUAUUUUUGUAUUUCAUUUUUAUUUGUUAUAAUUUUGUCCUAUCCAAAAUAGAUAGUUACCUAUCCAUAUCAAUCUGUUACUUUUUUUUAUUUAUUUAUCAAUAUUUUUUUAAAUUUAAUAGUUAAAUAUAUUAAAUGGUUUAGAUUUAAUAUUUUUAAAUAUAAAAGCAUUAAUUGAUUGUAUAAAAUUUUAUCAUUUAACAAAUCUCAAGUAAACCUUAAAUCCUAAACCAUUUAAUAUAUAUAAAGUUUAUCUAUUAUCUCUUAAAUAAUUUAAACUAUAAUCAUAAUUUUAAUAUAUUAAAAUUAAAAUUAAAAUGAUCUCUUUUACAAUUAUAUAAGAAAUUAUUUAAUAUAUAAAUUAAAAAACACUAAUUAACCUAAACCCUAAACCCUAAACCCCUAUCCCCUAAACCUUGAAUUAUAAAACAUAAAACAUAAACCCUAAAUCCCUGAAUCCCUAACCCUUAACCCCUAACCCCUAACCCCUAAACCUUAAACCCCAACCCUUAAACCAUAAUCCCUAAACCCAUAAUCCAUAAUCCAUAAACCUUAAAAUAGUAACUCUUAAACCUUAAACCCUAAACCAUAAACCCUAAACUAUAAUGAUAAUUAAUUCAAUAUUUUAAAAUUAAUACUAUCUCUUUUACGAUUAUAUAAGAAAUUAUUUAAUAUAUAAAUUAAAAACAAUCAGUCAUGUACCCAAGAAACUUUAAAAUUAUUUUAAAUAAUAUAUUUUAAUUUUUUCAUUUUUAACAAAUAUUUUCUAUGUUUUUACUUUCAAAAUUUCUCUACGUGUCAUUAUUUUUUUCUGAAGAAUUUAAAUAUUCAAUUAAAAAUAAAUUUAUUUUAAUUAAUAUAAAUAAAGCGGUUAAAUAAUAAAUAGACAGAUAAAAUACUUUUUGCGGUGAUUUUCAUAAAGUGCCGCUAAAGCUCGAUCUACAGCGGCGUUUUACGAAAAAGAGUCUUACUGAAUUUUUUGGGGCAUUUUUCAAAAAGCGCCACUAAUUCUCGAUCUAUAGUGGCGUUUUUCAAGAAGCGCCGCUAAUGCCACUAAAGCUCAACAUAAAACACCAGCAUUGAGCUUAAUUUUUUUGCGGCGUUUUUCAAAAAGAGCCGCUAAUGGUAGACCUAUAGCGGCGUUUUUCAAAAAGCGCCACUAAAGCUCAACAUAAAACACCGGCGUUGUGCUUAAUUUUUUUACGGCAUUUUUCAAAAAGCGCCGCUAAUGGUCGACUUAUAGCAGUGGUUUUAAAAAAGACCCACUAAUGCUCGAUCUAUAGCGGCAUUUUUCAAAAAGCGCCGCUAAUGCUCGAUCUAUAGUAGCGUUUUUUAUCCAAACGCCGCUAAAAAUGCCACUAAAAACCUAUUUUGCUGUAGUGAUUUGUGGGGUAAGUGGUUGAACAUUUUAAUAUAGACUGACUUUUCUAUAAUUAGUCCUUGCUUUAAUUACUUUGGGUGGAUUCUUCCAACUAGUCCAAGCAUUAUUGUACAAUUACAAUUAAUCUUUUUAAAUGAGACAAACAUUUCAAAUUUGUCAUUACUAUUUGUGAGUGAUUUGGGGGUAAGAAGUUUAACUCUUCUGGAUGUCUUAUAGAAUUGUGAUUAUACUUUUUGAGUAUUGACUCAGUUUUCCACAAUUGUGGGUCUCUAUUUGAGCAAAACAAUUUCAACAUUUCUUCAUCUCGUUUAAUCCAAAUGCAUUUAUGCAUUUCUUAUAUCAUUGAAUUUGCUGCUUCAUAUUCAAUUUUUGGACAAGUAGAAUUUUCUAACCUAUUUUCCAUCAACUUCACUUGAAUUUUCAAUCACAAUCAAUUGCAUUCAAGAGCACCACAUCUUUUUGGAUGAAACAAAAAUUUCAAUUUUAAGAUAAACGGGUCUUUAGGGUUAUAAUUUCAAUUUUUAAAAGUUUAAAAUAAAUUUGUAUUUUUAUUAACAAAAUGUAUAUAAAAAAAAACUUGUUUAGACAAGCCAAGAGACCUUUGGGAUCAUACGGGUGAUUUUGAUGAUGUUAAUGGUUAUUUUGGUGGAGAGAGUGAAAAAGAAACAAAUGAUUCAUUAUAUAUAUUAUAAUUAUGAAAUUCAAGCCAUAUAUUGUAUGUUUCAUACAUAAAAAAAAUUGGAGCAAUUUAAUCCCUAUCAAUUUUGAAAGUGAGUAACUAAGGACAAUUAAUUAUGGUGUUAAAUUCUUCCAUCAAUUGUACAUAAUUUUGAUUGGUAUAGUAAUAAAUUUAGCCUUCAAUAUUUAUAUAUUUUUUCAUUUUGGCCUUAAUUUUUUUUAAAAAAUUCAAGAAAUUCAACCUCAACAUUUACAUAUUUACACAAACAUUGCGGGAAAAUUUUGUUAAAUUAAGACCAAAUUGCAAGUGUAAAUUUUGAGGGCUAAAUUUAUUAUUAUACCAACCAAAAUCAUGUACAUUUUAUGGAAAAUUAACAUCUUGAUUAAUUAUUCUUAGUUGUUCACUUUCAAAAUUAAUAGGGACUAAAUUACUUUGAUUUUUUUAGGGUGACCAAUUUCCUCAAAGUGGAAAUUGAGAGAGACUAUUGAGAUCUUUUGCAUAUUUCUUUUAUAAAUAUAUUUUUUAAAUAUAAAAUAUAUUUGUUCACACACAUCGUGAGUAUGAUCUCAAUAGUCCACAUAAUCCAUUAAAAAAACUUAAAAAAUAUAUUUUAUUUUUUAACACCUAAGUGAUUCUCCAGCUAACGACCACCCAAGACACACCCCGACUUUAUAACACCCCAAUCUUAUUUAAUUAUUAGUUAUUUAUUAAUGCAGAAGUAAAUUAUGAGCCAAUUUUAAUCUUUUCCUCGGUAAUUUAACCUAAGGCCAAUUUCAUCAUUUUACCACCUAUUGUAAAACUAACCCGAUUUUAGAUAUAACAACAUGUUUGGUUUGGUGUAAUAGAUUAGCCAUUACACCCCUAUUUCGUGGGCCCCACUAAUCCCCACUUAUUCUUGUGUUUGGUUUGAUGUAUUGCCUAUUACAGGCCUAUUACAACACGAAUGUAUUCCUCAUUUUCUCUGCUUCAACAAUGAUUAGCCAUUCCGUUCCAAAAGUAAGGAUUAGCUAAUCGUCUCUGUUUUACCCUCCUCAGCCAAAAUCUACUGCUCCACCCCACCCUCUCCCUCCCAACAUCAACAGCAGUUUUCUUCGAACCAAAUCUCCACCGUCUCAGAUCGCCUGUGAGUAAUCUCAACAGCAGUUGCCAGUGAAAAUUGCCCUUUCUUCAAAAACCCAGCCCUAAACCCUUCUUCUCUUUCAAUACUCCAUUCGAACAGGUUGCGGUGUCUCCCUCCUCUGAGGUAUGGCUCUGUUUCUUUAACUUUAGCAUUGAGCGACUCUUUUCAAUUCCAAAAUUAGUCUACUCUGCUAAGGGUUCUUGCUUUUCAAACCAUUUUUUCACCAUUUUUCUUGUAAUUCUUUUUCUUGUUAGAGUUCAGAUUUUAGAUUUUUUUUAAAAAAAAACGAUUAGAUUGUGAGGUUCAGUUAAUUAUUAGGGUUUUCUGUUUUGGGUUUCCCUGUUGCGUGGUAAUUUUGAAGUGCAUAUAAAAUGGAUGCUUUUGAGGAUCUUAAGCAAUUCGGCGAUACUGAUAAAGGUUGAUAUUCGAUUCAUUUUGCUUUAAUUUACUUGGUUUAUGCAUUUUGGGGAUAAAAUUAGCUUUGUUUUCUUCUCUUUUGGUUGGCUUUAAGCUGAGAGUAAAAUUUGAAACCUUUGUGGUGGAGGAGUUACCGUUCUUCUGAGAUCAAAUGUAUAACAGGUUAGAAGGAAAUGAAAUUAGAUCCUUAAAUAUUGUGUUUUCAAUGUUAAGGGCAGGCUUUUGUUGCUAAAACAAUUGUGGUAACACUGUUUGAUUCAGUUAGAAGUCAAAUGUCGUUUCCAUGUGUGAACAAUUUCUGGUUUUUAAGUAGCGACUUUGUUUCAUGUUGGCCUGGACAUUUUCCAAAUUAGUAAUUAUAAGUUUGAAUUUGGCUACUAAAUCACGCCAAUUAAUGAUUUCAGUGUGCUGGUGUUUCAGACUUUCAGUUGAAUUGACUUUGGUUUCGAAUAUUUUUAGUGAUGGAAAUAAGCACGAUUUAUUUAAAUUAUGAUUGAAUUGGAGAAACUGCUUUUUGUACAUUUUGAGAAAUAUCAGGCCCUUGGAUACACAAAGGGUGUUAACUUGCGCCUAUCUCAAUUACCCCAUUCCUGCCCAUUGAAUUGGAGAAAGUUCUUUUUUUUAAUGAUUCUGCGUUGCUACUGAUUUUUAGUGAAAUGGUAUUUUUCUUAUGAUGUGUUUUCUUCUUUAUGAAGAGCUCAUUUCAGUAAAGUUAACCUUUCUAUUAUGCAGAAGGUGCAGUAUUUGAUGCAUCACAAUAUGCAUUUUUUGGAAACAAUGUUCUCGAGGAAGUUGAAUUGGGGGGGCUAGAUGAUGAGGAUGAGGAUUUACCUGCAGCUGGACUUGAUGAAGAGGAGUUUUUGUUUGAUCAAGAGGAGGUUAAUAUUCUUGUUUCUUUCAGUUUUAUUUUUCCUGUUUCGAUUGUUCUUGCAAGUUUCUGCAGCAUAGCACAACCAGUGACUAUUCGAUCGAAAAAUAAAUGUAUCCCUUCCAGGCGUCAUGCUAAAAAAUAGCCUUUUGGAUUAGUGUUGGAUUUUUUCUCCAUGUUCUUUAACAGAUAGAUUCCACUGCAUUCAAUUAGUGGUUGGCAUGCGAGUUUUAUUUGUGGAAUAAAGCUCUGUGGGAGUUCAUAUUAUAUAUUGUUCUAUUUGUCUGUGCAAAACAUUGUGAACCUUGUUCUCUGUAUUUAUAAGUUGACAAUGUAGCCAUCUUGGUUGGCUGCUUUCCGAAGUCAAUUUAUUUGAUUCGUUCUCUUUGCUCUUCACAAUGAGAGGUAGCUCUUUUGUACUUUUUUAAUAAGAUCAUAUUAUACAUGCUCUUUUGCAGUGGUCUAGUGGUUUAGUAUCUUGUUAAUAAAACCAUAUUGUAUAUUUGAAUAGUUUGGAGAUUGUGUUAACUGUAUUUGGUGCAUCUUGAAGUAAUGUUUGUUGUAUCUUAUAUGCUUCCUGAAUCAAAUAUGGAGAGAAGGUAGUAUAUGGAGUUUAUAUUUUCAAGUAUUUUUCACACAAUUGAUUUAUCUGUUCCCUUCAUUGAGGGGAAAACAUGGAAUGAAUUGACUUACACCUCACUUCUUCCUCAAACAUCUUUUGUACCACUUAUUUUCAUAAAAUGAUAAGAAUCUUUUUAGAUUACAACUUCCAGAGGUCUAUGUCACCUUCUUGACAAUCAGGUUUUUAGGAAUAUUUUUACCCAUCAUGCAGAAGUUUUAGACAAAAUCUUGUUCGUGGUUGCUGCUAGAUGCAUGAUACUGCCUCAUUUCCUUUGUGGUGGUUCUUCGCUCUCCCCCUUCUUAGUAUUUUUGGUUGUUGAGUCUUGGAGGCAGUUGUAUUCAGUAAUGGCUGGCUUGCUUUGAUGCAUUGCUUCUGUAUAUCUUUGUAGAAAACGAAUCUGUAUCUAUUAUUAACACAAAUUUGAUUAGUUCAUGCCAAUGGAUUUGUAAAGUUAAAUUAGUUAUUGGCGUUAGAAAUUUACUCUUAUGCCUGGAAGGAGAUCUGGCUUACAGAUCAACUACUGGAGUUAAUUGUGGAAAUUUGUUUGAUUUGGUUUCUUAUAAAAUUGUUACCCUGUUCUAUUUAUGUUGGAGUAGCUGAAAUCUGAGGUUGCAUUUGUCAUUAACAAAUAGAAAUCCAAAAAGAGAGGAAAGUGAUAUCAUCCCCUCCACUUUUUCCUUGGAAUUGCGUACUUCAAACUUUUUUAAUUGUAUAAAUUCAUAUAAGAAAAUUUAUUAUGAUGUUGUAAAACUAUAAAACAUAUGGAUUAUGAUGUAGAAUUUCAUUUUCAUCUAACCUUUUCUUAAUAUAAGUUAAUUAUGUUUAUGCAGAAUAUAAUCUCAAGUUAUAAUUUGAUUUUAGUAAAUUCAUAUAAGAACAUUUUAUUAUUAAAUUAUAUUUAAUAUUAAUUAUUUUAAAUUGUAUAAAUUCAUAUAAGAAAAUUUAUUAUCAAGAAUUUUAUGAAAUUAUAUAUCAUUAUUAAAUUAUAUUUAAUAUUAAUUAUUUUAAAUUAUAUAAAUUCAUAUAAGAAAAUUUAUUAUCACGAAUUUUAUGAAAUUAUAUAUUAUUAUUAAUUAUAUUUAAUAAUAAUUAUUUUAAAUUAUACAAAUUCAUAUAAGAAAAUUUAUUAGUUAUAAUUAUUUUAAAUUUUAUUAAAUCAUAUAUUUUAAUUAAAAUAUUUUUAAUAUUAAUUACUUCAAAUUAUAUUUUAUAGUAUCAUAUAUUAUGAUUUUAGUAAAUUCAUAUAAGAAUUUUGAUUAUUAAGAAUUUUAUUAAAUUAUAUAUUUUAAUUAAAAUAUAUUUAAUAAUAAUAAUGUUAAAUUAUCUUUUAUCGUAUCAUAUAUUAUGAUUUGAGUAAAUUCAUAUAAGAAUAUUAAUUUUUAAGAAUUUUACUAAAUUAUAUAUUUUAAUUAUAAUAUAUUUAAUAAUAAUUAUGUUAAAUUAUAUUUUAUAGUAUCAUAUAUUAUGAUUUGAGUAAAUUCAUAUAAGAUAUUGAUUAUUAAGAAUUUUAUUAAAUUAUAUAUUUUAAUUUAAUAUAUUUAAUAAUUAUUAUGUUAAAUUAUCUUUUAUAGUAUCAUAUAUUAUGAUUUGAGCAAAUUCAUAUAAGAAUAUUAAUUAUUAAUAAUUUUAUUAAAUUAUAUAUUUUAAUUAUAAUAUAUUUAAUAAUAAUUAUGUUUAAAUAUGAUUAAAUUAUUUAUUAUUGAUAUUAUUAAUCUUAUUAAAAUUUAAAUAACAAUAACAAUAAUCAUUUACCCAAACAAAUUUAUGCUAAUGGUAUUCUAGUCAUUUUAGUUUUUUUCCAUUAUGCUAUUACACCUCUAUUCCAUUCAACCAAACACAAGAAUACUAUUACGCCUCUAUUCCAUUACGCCUCUAUUCCAUUCAACCAAACAAUUGAUUUGCUAUUACGCCUCUAUUCCAUUACACCUCUAUUCCAUUACGCCUCUAUUCCAAUACAGCGAACCAAACGUGCUGUAAGUGUUUACCAACCUUCUUUUAGUUAAAUUAUGCAAGCCUAAAAUUUUCAGCUUUAUUUGAGUACGUUUUCUAUGUCUAAUUCAAGUUUUAUUAUUAAGGACUAAAUUGUAACUUAAACAAAUUAGAAUACCAAUUUAAAGAGACAAAAUUCAAAACCCCAAAACCCACACGGGCAUGUGGGUAAGUGGCACGGGCCAGUGGAGACUGGAGCUAUCACAUAAGGCGAGUGAGAUUGAAACAUAUGAAAUAAAUUAAUCCACUUAAUUUUCCAACAACCAUGCUAUACUACCAAACCAAAUAACGAGUGAAGCUUUGAAUAGGGGCGAAUCUAAAAAAAAAAUUAGAAGAAUUAGAAUUAAAUUAUAAAAUUUUGAGAAGUUAUCAUGUAUUAAUUUAUUAUUUUUUUAAAGGGUCCUAAUAGAAUUUUUUUCCCAUUCUGGUUGGGCCAAUACCUUUGACUGCCUCUUUAAAUUUGCUUCAACCCUAAACCCAAUAUUCGAUUUGGAUUAACAACAAUAUAUAGGUUUGUAUUUGUGGGAGUUUGACGAAUAAAAAUUUCUAUUUAAAAGGUUUAAAUUAUAAAUUUUUGAAAGUUUAAAAUAAAUUUGUAUUUUUUAUUAACAAAAUAUAAAAGAAAAAAAACAUGUUUAGACAAGACAAGAAACCUUGGGAUCAUACGGGUGAUUUUGAUGAUGUUAAUGGUUAUUUUGGUGGAGAGGGUAAACACGAAACAAAUGAUUCAUUAUAUAUAAUAUAAUUAUGAAAUUCAAGCCAUAUAUUGUACUUUUGGUUUUUCUGCAAUAUGAUACAUGUAUUUGGUAAAAAGUUAUAUAUUUUGAUACUUAAAAGUAACAUUGUUAAUUUUUUUAGUGCUUAAUCUGAAUUUUAGAGUUUAUUUAAUGAACAUUAAUUGUUAAUAUUGUUAUGUUUAUUUUUUUAUGAUUUUGUUAAUAAAAUAAAUUUUAUGUUUAUCUUGUUAUCUUUUUUAUUUUAGAAUUGAUUACAUGAAAGUUAAUUGCUAAUAUUAUUAGUUAACUAUUAGUUUUCUUCAAAUCAAAUUAAAACCCGAAAGAUCCCACUUUUUUUUUAUAUUAGUUUUAGUUAUCCAUUAAAUUUGUUUCUUUGUAAUAAAAUUAAAUUAUAGAAAUAACAUUAAAAUUUUAAAUAAAAUUAAUUCACAAUAAUUAUACAGAAUUUAAUUUUCUUUCAAAUACUGCAGUUAAUAAGGAAAGUGAAUAUAGUAAAAAGAAAUAUUGUUUAAUUAGUUAAUUUAAAAAUCAAUAGCGUCUAAAAACUGUCAGAAUGGAAUAUUAGAUUUUAUAAGAUUUCAUUAUUCUAAAAAAUAAAAUAUGACAAUGCUUAAAAAUUUUAUCAAAAAAGUUUUAAAUUUUAUAUAAAAUUUUAAAAAAUAAAAAAACAGUAUUAAAAAUUUUUAUAAGCAAAUUAAAUAUUAAUUAGUAAAUUAUUUUUGUAAUAUUUAUAUGUAUUUUCAUUUUUAUAAAUACUAUUAAAACUUUUUUUAAAAAAAUUGAAUGCUAUGUAAAAACAUUAUUAAAAAUAAAAUAUUAUAUGAAAGUUAAAAUGAUGUAAAAACAUAUUUUCAGUGUUGGCGUUGCUCGUUCGUAAAUGGGUUAGUUUCCGUUUUGAUGUGUUUUUACGUGGAUAGUAAAAGAAAUGUGUUAAUUUUUGGAUUAUGGAGUUGAUCGUUUUUAAUCAAUUCUCCAGUAAGUUGACUCGUUUGUUGUUGUUAUGUGCUAGGAUAAGAGAUUAAUUCUGAUUUGGGCCUGUGUGGUUGUGUAGAUUUUCCAUGUGAAAUCGUUUGGUAUUUUUAGGAUAAAUCAUUCUUUAAAUCGUAUUGCUACCAUCGCGAAUGUGAUGUUUUAAUUUAUGCAUUUAGGAUCUGGUAGUCUUAUAGGUGUUUUCGCAUAAAAAAUUGAACCAUGUGUGUAACGAAAGCUAAAAAAUUGCACUGUUGACGCCACACGGCCAUGUGACAAGUCGUGUGCUGGAUCAUGUGUAACACACGAUUUGAGCUAGUUGAGCCAUGUGGAAAACAAAGGUGUGUGUGAAGGCGUGUGCCACACCAUGUGGGCCACACAGGCUGGCCAUUUAGGCCGUAUGGGACCAAAAUUCUAAUUUUUUUCCUAGGGUUAUACACAGUGUGUAUACUUGUCUUUGAAUUGAAAAAUUCUAAACAACUCUAAAUAAAUGGAAAGCAGCAAAUUACCUGACGAGGCAAGCUAGGUCAAUUACGACCAUUGUGUUAUUCUUGUCUCUGAAUUGAAAAUUUUAGAAGAAACUAAAGAGAAAGUGUUAGAAAAUAAUUGAAAACAGAUAAAACUUAUGUCUCAUUGAUUGGAUAAACUACGAUCACCCAUAAUAGACCUUGUACUUGACUUUUUGUUUAGGGAGAUUGACUCUUUUAGGAGAAGUCUUUUGAGUGUUGUUUGCUAGGCAAUCGGUGCUGCCCUCAACAACUAAUGGUAGUGUCCCCAUGUUGGGAUUUUAUCCCCAGCCUCUGCGGAAUAAUCAUUGAGGAUAUGUGCGUAGGGAUUCAAACUACCAAUCAAUGCAUGUGUAGCCUUUACCUUGCAACCAUCUCCAUGAACCCAUAGGGUUCUUAGCGGGAUCAAGAGACGAAACCCUAAUGUGGGAACAAUACCAUUUGUUGAAGGCUUUGUUAAUAGGGUCACACCUAGGGGAGUUGGCAGGGGUCCCAACCCCCCUUAAAAUGAAAAAUUUUCCAUUUAGGCCCUUUAAAAUUUUUAAAAUUUUAAAUUAAUAAAAGUAAAAUUGUACUUUGGCCCCCCAAAAAGUGAUAAAACUUCGAUUUAGUCCUCUAAAAAUUAUAAAAUAUAGGCUAUUAAAAUGGUGAAAUUGCAUUUUUACUAUCAUAAAAAUUAUAAUUUAAUUUCACCCCCUAAAAAGAUUUUCUGGCUUCGCCCCAAAUAAAAUCUUUGCCAAAAGAUUAAAAUAAAAUUAUACCGUAAAUGAAAAAAUAAACUAAGAAAAUCCAAUCUAACAAAGAAAAUAACUUGAUGUCCAAAAGCUACCAUGAACCGUAAUUCAUGGGAAGUCUUGUUGCUCAUUUUAUUGGUUUCCAUUUUGAUUUUGCAAAAUAAGUUUGAAUUUUGAAGAGAGCCUACUACGUGAGAGCAAAAGAAAAAAAUUCUAUAAAGAUUUUGAAUUUUGAAUUUUGAAUUUUGAAUUUUGAAUUUUGAAUUUUGAAGCAGAUUUUCAUUAAGAUUGAAGAUUCCUAAUUGAUUUCUUAGGAGAUUAUCAUGAGUUCCUUAUUUCUUUCAGUUAUAUUGCCCUUUGGAUUUUUUAUUUUUAAUCAUGAACUACUUUUCUAAAUACGUAAGAGAGAUGAACCCUAUGAUAGAUUGUGACACCCCAAAGCUGACCGGGAUAGACCGGCCUGAAUUCAAAGCAUUACAUUAGCCACCUAAGGACCACUCAAGACACACCCCGACCUUAUAACACCUCAAUCUUAUCUAAUUACUAGUUAUUUAUUAAUGCCGAAGUAAAUUAUGAGCCAAUUUUAAAGUUUUCCUAGGUAAUUUAACCUAAGGGCAUUUACAUCAUUUUAUGACCUAUGGUAAAACUAACCUAGAAAUACCGAAAACAUUCCAAAAUAAUAUAAAAAAAAAGCUAAGAAAAACCUAGAAAUACAAAAAAAAAUUCAUGUUUUUACAAAUUGGGAAAUACCUAAAUUUGUUUUUAUCAAUUAAGAAAUUAAAAAAAUUGUUGAGAAAUAUCUUUUUAGUGAUUGUUAGCUUUGACAAGUUCUCUCCACCACUUCUCUUACGCUCCUUCCAGGAUCUUGCUUUUUGUGUGUUGAAAACUCAAAUGAACAAAAUAAAGUGAAUUUACGAGUUUUGUUUUCUUUUAAAAAUAUUUUUAAUAUUUUUGUGGAUACCAAGAGAUACCAAAAAUUAUUUCACUAAGAAGUUUUAAUUCACUCGAAAAGUUAGUGUUUUAUUUCAAGGGGUCAUAAUUAAUCAUUAGAUUUCUCAAUUUUAAAUUUUGAAUUUUUGACAAUUGUGUAAUUAAUAAGUACCAAUUUUGAGUGGUGUAGGGCUAGUACAAUCUCCCUUACACAUAACCGACUCUUGAUCUAAUAAAUAUUUAUCCUUAUACUUUGAUCUAAAUAUUUUGAUGUAAUCAAUGUAAAAAACCUUUUAAACAAAAUAAGGUUGAAAUAAUCUAUUUGUCUUUAUACUUUGAUAAAAUUUGGGAUUUAGUCCUCAUACCUAAUGUUGACACCAUUUUUUUGUGAAAACGGGGUUGACUUGGAUUUUGUAAACGAAAACGAAAACGGGGGUCGCCACCAAUUCUUUUUGAUAAGGUGUGAUCGGGCCACCUUGAAAAGUGGUUGUUUUUAAUAAACAAUUUAAUUUUAUGAAAACAACGAUUUUGGUCCACGAAAUUCAGAAAAACAGGUUCGGGAGUCGGUUACGUACGAGGAAGGAUUAGCACCCUCAUAACGCCCAAAAUUGGUACCUAGUUGAUUAAUUAAUGUCUUAGUGUAGAAGAUUGAAAACUCUAAAGAGAUUUAAAACACGAUCCUUUACUGAAAUGAUAAAAAUUUUCGGCAAAAAGGGCAUAUUUCACAUUAAUCGAGAAAGAGAAUUAUAUCCAAUAAGUUAGAACACAAUGUCUUGAAUUCCGAUGCGCGAAUGAAUACCAAAAAUUUACUUAUUUAAAAGAUAUUUAACUAUCUCGGAUUUAAAAAAGGGAUCAUGCCCAGUAAGUUAGGACACGAUCUUUUCUUAAUUCCCGAGAUCGUUUAAAACUUGAGAAAAAAGGGAUCAUGCCCAGUAAGUUAGGACAUGAUCUCUUCUUAAUUCCCGAGAUCGUUUUAAACUUGAGUUUGAAAAGAUUCGUGUAUUUAAAUUUAUUGUGAAAAUUGAAACCCCGUAAGUUAGGGUACGACCUUCUCGAAUCUAAACAUGAGAUUUUGCUUAUUCAAAAAAUCAUAAUUUAUGCAUUGAAUAAAAUUAAUCUAACACGAAAUAGUAGAAAUGCAACACGGUGUCAAUAUGUGUAACAAGACAAAAAUGAAUAUGAUAAUGUAAGCAUAAAUAGUACGAACGACAUCGUAAAUGAGAUAAAUAAUAGGAGAGACAAAUCCAUCAUAUCACAACAAAUAAAUAAAUGCAAUAUUAAGACAUUCUUUUCAAAUGAUAAUGAACAUAUACGCAAAUAAACAAAUUAACAUCGAGUGAAACAAAAAUGCAAUAACGAAAUUAAUAAAACUAUAAAAAGUAUAAAAAUAUGUGUGUAUGUACGUGUAGGUAUGCAUUAUAAAAAUAUAUGUGCAUAUAUAUAUAUAUAUAUUUGAAAUUACAAAAUAUAAAAGAUAUAUAUAGGUAUGUAUAUGUAUGAGUUAUAAAAUAUAUGUAUGUAUAUGUGUACAUAACUAAAUUUGAAAUAAAUAGAUAUAGAUAAACAUAAUAAUAAUAUAGUAAGACAGAUAUAUUUAAUAUUUAAAUAAGUGAACAUAAUAAAUGGGAGUAUAAUAAAUAAUAAUAAUAAUGCAAAGCUAGUAAUAUGAUAUAAUGAUAUAAUAUUAAUGACUAAGUAAAUAUAAGAAGAAAAUAUUAAUAGAUAAUGUAACAACCCGGUUUUGACCCUAAUCGGAAUAGUGGUUUCGGGACCACAAAUCCGAACUAGAAAAAUAUUAUUAAUAUUAUUUAGUGUGUUUAUAUUGUGUGCAUUUGAAUGUGUGAAAUUUUCGUGUUUUAAUUUCAUCGUUUAAGUGUCCGAUUUAAUAAAAGGGUUUAAUCGCGUAAAAUGAAAAAUUAGGGGUUAAUUAUAAAAGCACCUAAUUGUUGUUGGCUUUAUAAUUUAGAGGUUUUACUAUGAAAUUAGUCCACUAUAUAAGUUAGUGGGUGGCAAAAGACUAAUGUAACCUUAUUAUAUAUGUUUUAUAUAUAUAUUAGUAAAGGUUAAAAUAGUAAAUUAAUUAUAAAGUUAAUAUAUGUUUAAUAUAACAAAUUAAAUGGCUAUGUUCUUCAUCUUUUGGCCGAAUGGGUGAGAAAAUAAAAGGGGUUUAAAGCUUUUUGUAUUUCGGCAGAUUCAAGCUUUGAUUUAGGUAUGUUUUUGCUUCGGUUUUUGAUGAUUUUUACGUUUUUGAGAUCGUUGCUUUGAAUACUUCAAAACCCAUGUCUUAAUUUUGUGAAUUGAUGAAUAUUUUGAAUUAUGUCAUUGAUGAAUAUUUGUGUUUUGGGAUGUUUGAUGAUGAAUAAUGGAAGAUAUGUCUUAGAUUAACAUGUUUUGUAUUGGUAUUUUUGAUGAAUUUGAGUAUUUAGGGCUAAAUUGUGAAAAUAAAUUUUUGAGGGAUUAAAAUGUGAAAUAAAUGCAAUGUGUGGACUUGUAUGAGAACCAUGAAUAUUCGGCCCUUGUGUGGUAUGGGCAAAUUUUGUGUAUUUUGUGUUUUGUGCAAAAAGGACUAAAUUGCAAAAAGUGCAAAAUGUUAGGGGCAAAAUGGUAAUUUUCACAUUUAUGUAUUGAUGGACUCAAAUGAAUGUUUUGAUGAAUAAGAAGGUUAAAUUUGACUAUGUUUAGAUCAAGGAACGAAGAAAACGAAUUUGGAUCGGGGGAAGUCGAAAGUAAUCGAAUAGUCGAUCGUGUUUGCUGAUAUCCGAGGUAAGUCUAUUAGCAACUAAAAGUUAUUAAGUUAAUAUUUAUACAUGCAUACUAAUUUUAUCUUAUGAUUGAGCUAUAAUUUAAAGUAUAAAAGUUGAAUAAACUUUGGACUAUAGAUAUUGUAUAUAACAUGUUCGAAUAUACAAGUAUGAUCUUGUAUAAAUUAUUGGAUUAAUCAAAGAUAUGUAUAAGAUAUAUGUAUAUACAUAUAAGGUUUGAAUGAUUAUAUGAGUAUGUAUAUAUAUGUAUAAACUCUUGGAUUUGAUUUGUGAUAUGUAAUUUAUAAUUGUAUAUAUAUAUAUAUAAAGUCGAAUAAGCAUGCAAUUAUACAUGUAUGUGUUGUGUAUUGAAUUUAGAUAUGUCAUUAUAUAAGUAUAUGAGGAUUGAUUGUGAAUUUAUAUAUGUAUAAGUUUUUGUUUUGAAAUUAAGUAUGAAAUUAUACAUUCAUAUGGUAGAUUCGAAUAUGUAUAAAUGCACAUGUAUAAUUUCUUGAAUUGAAAUUAGGUAUGGAAUUAUAUAUGUAUGUGAAAGUUUCGAUUUGUAUGUAUAUUCACGUAAAAUUUUUUGAAUGGAAGUGAAGAUAUGAAAUUAUUAGUUUGGAUCAUUAUAAAGUGAUUGAAUGUAAUACAGACGUUACGUCUAGCAGGCUUGAUGCCGGUGAAGUAAUUCAGACUUUAAGUCUAGCAGGCUUAAUGCCGGUGAUACAUUUCAGACUAUAUGUCCAGCAGGCUAAGUGCCGGUGUACUGAAUCAGGCUUUAAGCCUAGCAGGCAAAAUGCUAGUGAAUCUUUUUAAAUUAUGUGAGAAUAUGCAAUUGAUAUAUCUAUGAUUUUGAUUAUACGAAAUAGAUGAAUACAUGAACAUUCGGUUUUUUUUUAUAUGCCUGGUGAGCUUACACCUACAUUCGGGUUUUAUAUUGGUUAAACAUAAUUGUAUGGAUUCGGUAUAUACAAUUAAUAAAGGCAUAUGUACAUUAGGUAUAUGCGAUUGCUGAAAUUAUAAAUGCAUAUGGUGAUAUGUGAUUGUUAAAUAUACACGUUGAGCCUAUGUGUUCGAUAAUUAAUUAUGUAUGCAAUUGAGAUAUGUAUAUAUAUACAUGUACUCAUUUAUAGGUAUAUAUAUUCGAAUGUAUAUACUAGCUAUGUAUUCAGGUAUAAAUCCAUAAUGAGUAUAUAUAUAUACAAACGAAUAUAAAAUGUGAUUGAUACAUAUGUGUUAGAUUCGAAUUGAUUUAAAGUUUACCAUGAGUAUACAUACACAUUCGGUUAAGAUAUGUGUAUAAUAUAUAUAUAUGCUCGAUUGUAUACAUUGGGUUGUAAUGUUGUUUUGUAUAAUAUAUAUUCAAUUGAUUUCAUUCGACAGGUAUACAUAUCUGACUAUAAAUAAAAUGGUCUGAGUACAAUAAUGUAUGAAUGUUAGUUGGUCGUGUUAGUUGAAAUUUCAGUAAAAUAGAUUAAAAGGUUAUAUUAAUUAUGUGUUUAUAUAUACAUUUAGUUAUGCUGUAGACUUACUAAGCUAUAAAAGCUUACUUCAUUUGUUUUCGUUCAUUUGUUUUUAUAGAUUUUGGAGACGCGUUACGAGCUCGGGGAUCAUCAGCAUAGUCCAUCACACUAUCGACUUCUUUUGGUAUUUUGUUAAAUAUUUGAACUCGAUCUUAUGGCAUGUAUAGGCUUGAUAAUGUUUUGGUUAGUUUUGGAUCCUAAUAUGUAAAUAGUCAUGCGAAAAGGGUUUAAUUUCCAUGCUUGAAUUUGACUACAUAUGAUCAUGAUUUGGGCUUGCAUUUGAAUGAGAUAUUCAAGUUACAUGUAUGUUAUAAAUUUUGGAUUAUGUUAGGUAUUAAAGUCAUGUUUAUGUGUGCUUUGUUUCGUAAUGCCUCGUAACCCUAAUUCGGCGACGGAGACGGGUUAGGGGUGUUACAGAUAAUAGCUAGGUUAAUAAAAAAAACAAAAUGGACUAAUUCAUGAUAAAAAUUAAAUUUAAAGGUUCAAUCUAUAAUAAAAUAAAUAAAGUGGGUCCAAAAUGAAAAGGCACGAAAGGGCGGAGGGCCAAAUGAGCAAUAAACCCAAAUUCCAGGCCACGCCCAGGGGUCCAACGAAUUGAGGAACGAAUUGAAAACCGCAACAAACCUACGGUCCAAAUUACAAAACGAGGGAAAAAAGAAAAGGAACUAAAUCAAAACAAAUCGAUAAUGCGGAGGGGCCAAAGGAGCAAAUAACCCAACACUUAACAAUGCACGGAUCCUCUGGUCGGGUCGAGUCGACGAGUGGAUCUGGGGGGCAAAACGACGCCGUUUUGGUACCUGGGAGGCCUGCCCAAAACGACGUCGUUUUAGGGCCUAUAUAAGUAAAAAAACAUAAACAAAAAAAUCAUUUUAAAUCCAUUUCAGAAAAAAAAAACUUUCCCUUUUUUAUUUUCUCUCUAGCCCCACUCCCUUCGAUCCAGACUCCGACCGAUGGCCGUCGCACCGCCCACCGACCACCGGCGACGGUGCCGCCCACUGACCACCGAUGACGGCGCCGUCGUGCACAGUUGUCGGAAAGUUCAAAACCCCUUUUUCUCUUCUCUUUUCGAGUAAAGUACCUAUUUGGGUUUAAGACAUCCCAAAAGUCCUUCAAAAUAAAAAAAGAAAGAGAGAAAAAUCUAGAGACCUUUCGGUUUCUCAUCACCGCCGAUGGAGUUUUUGGCGAACCCGUUGGUUUGACCACCCCAAGACCGGAGGUACCUCCGUCCGCGGCAAUAAAGGUAAUAGAUUUCUCUUUUUAUUUACUAUUAUAUUUAUUUUCGAAAUAAAUAAAUAAAUAAAAAUAUAAAAGAGGCACCUUUGUUUUUUCCAAAUCUGUUUCAAACUUUUUUAUUUUCGAAAAAAUCCCAAAAAUCCCCAUGAUUACAUUGAAUUUGUGGCUUUUAUAGCCCAAUGCAUAUUUUCUUUUUUCUUUUUGUUUAUCACUGCUUCUCUGCUAUUUGUGCUGUUGUUGCGUGUUUUUUUCAUGUUUUGCAGGUCUUGACGGAGCAGGUGGGCAGGUGGCAGAGCAAGUGGCGGUGGGUGGUGUCAGAGGUGGCAGAGGCAGAAGGUGACGCCAGAAGAUAGGAACCCCUAGGUGUGGCGCACCUAGGGUUUGACAUUGUUGUUUUUUAUUUGAUUUUUUGGGCUAGGUUUAGACAGUUGGGCCUGUGCAUUUUGCUUCGGGUUUGGGUUUAAUCUCGUUGGGCCGGGUGUAAUUGUGUUAGUUAGGCCGGGGCAUAAAUUGGUUAUUACACCUAAAAGGUUAAAAAUUAAGUCUUCUUAUUUUUUUUUAAAUCUUAGUCCUACCGUUAAUUUUUUUUUGUCAAAAUUUGUUAACUUGACAUAUUAAUUAGGUUUUCCUUAUAUGUCGUGGUAUAUGACCAACACAAAAUUAAACAAGUUGACAAGUUCUGACAAAAAAUAUCAAAGAUGAUAAUAAUUUAAUUAAAAUUUUUAAAUUGAAAAAGUAAGGGAUUAAAUUUAUAACUUUUGAAGUGUAAAGAAUGAACUUAUUGAAAUACAAGAACUAACAACACAUUUUAAAAUAUUACUAGUAAAUUAUAUAUCUACAACGUAAGCUCUUAUAUUAUAUUCUUGUAUCUAUUUUGUAUCUUUCAUUAUAAUAUGAUUUAUUAAUUUUAAUAUUUUUAUAGAAUAAUAUGCUUUAAACUAUUUUUUGUAUAAUUUAUAAAAAUUAUAAUAAACUUGCAAAAUGAUUUAAUGAUAUUUAAUUAUUAAUGGAAAAAAAAAUGAUAACAUAUAUAUUCUGUAUAUAUUAAGAUUUUGAGUCAUUAAUUAUAUAUCUACACAUUAUAAUAAAUUCAUCUUUCAAAAUGUUCCUUAUAAUUAAAGCAUAAAUUAUAUUUAUAAUAUUAUAAAUAUAUUAUAUCAUAAAUAUUCUUUCAAAUAUUUUUUAAUGUUUAAUAAUAAGUUAAUUUAUAAAAUAUUCUUUCAAUAAAUUAACGUGAUGCGAUCGUUAGGUGCUUGGAUUUGGUGAUGGGGGAUGAAGAGAAAAGGGAUGGAAGUGAAGAAAAAUGUUGAGAAAUGGAAAGGGUUAGCAAGGGAAGCUGCCAUGAAAGUUGGUUCUAUGGAUAUGAACCUUCAAGCUUUUGUGGAUGAUGUUACUCAAGGUUGUUGGAAGUAAAUUUUAAAAAAAUUGAGGUAAAAUUAAAAAAAUGUUAGAGCUAAAUUUGUCAUUAUGACUAAAAUGUAAAACCAAAAUUUUUUGAAAAUAAAAAAAAAUGGAAAAUAACAAAUUCUGUCACUCAUGUUUGCUUAAAAUAUAGUUUUGGUCACCAAUCUUUUGAAGUAAAUAUAUGGUCACCAAUAUUAUCCAUUUGUUACUCUGCAAUAACUCACCUCUAUGAAAUUUGGCAGGCCGUGUCAAUUUUGUAGAUUUGCGCUCUGAACUGUGAAAAAAAUGCAAAUUUUAGGUUAUUCAAGCAUUUUAAUACGUAUAUAUGAAAAAAAGAAGAAGAUAGGAGAGAACCUUCCUAGAAUAUUUAAGAAAAUAGCUCCAAAGACACUAUUGAAGUCAACUUUGAAGCAAAUUUUCAUCAAGAUUGAAGAUUCCCAGUUGAUUUCUAAAGAGAUUAUCAUGAGUUUCUUUAUUUCUUUCGGUUAUACUGCCCUUUGGAUGUUUUUAUUUUUAAGCAUGAACUAAUUUUCUAAAUACCUAAGAGAGAUGAAUCCUAUGGUAGAUUGUGGCACCCCAAACCCAAUCGGGAUAGACCGGCCCGAAUUCGAAGCAUUACACUAGCCACCUAAGUGACUCUCCAGCUAACGACCACCCAAGACACACCCUGACCUUAUAACACCUCAAUCUUGUUUAAUUAUUAGUUAUUUAUUAUUGCAUAAAUAAAUUAUGAGCCAAUUUUAAACUUUUCCUAUGUAAUUUAACCUAAGGGCAAUUUUGUCAUUUUACCACCUAUUGUAAAACUAACUCGAUUUUAGAAGUUUUUACCAACCUUAUUUUAGUCAAAUUAUACAAGCCUAAAUUUUUUAGCUUAAUUUGAGUUUGUUUACUAUGUCUAAUUCAAGUUUUAUUAUUAAGGACUAAAUUGUAACUUAAACAAAUUAGAAUAUCAAUUUAAAGAGAAAAAAUUCAAAACCCAAAAACCCACACGGGCAUGUGGGUAAGUGACACGGGCGUGUGGAGACUGGAGCUAUCACACACGGGUGAGUGGGAUUGAAAAAUAUGAAAUAAAUUAAUCCACUUAAUUUUCCAACAACCAUGCUAUACUACCAAACCAAAUAACGCUUGAAGCUUUGAAUAGGGGUGAAUCUUAAAAAAAUUAAAAGAAUUAGAAUUAAAUUAUAAAAUUUGAGAAGUUAUCAUGUAUUAAUUUAUAAUUUUCUAAAGGGUCUUAAUAGAAUUUUUUUUUUCCCAUUUUGGUUGGGCCAAUACCCCUACCUCUUUAAAUUUGCUUCAAUCCUAAACCCAAUAUUCGAUUUGUUGUGGAAGUUUGAUGCAUAAAAUUUCUUUUUUUAGAGGUUUAAAUUAUAUAUUAUUGAAAGUUUAAAAUAAAUUUGUAUUUUUUAUUAACAAAAUAUAAAACAAAAAAACAUUUUUAGACAAACCAAGGAACCUUUGGGAUCAUACGGAUGAUUUGGUGAUGUUAAUGGUUAUUUUGGUGGAGACAAGCCAAGAAAAGAAACAAAUGAUUCAUUAUAUACAAUAUAAUUAUCAAAAUUCAAGCCAUAUAUUGUCUGUUUCAUCCAUAAAAAUUUCAUGGGAGGUCCAAAGGUAAUUAAAUGACUUGUAGGCUUGCUGAAUUUCUUUGAAAGGCCCAAAGGCAAUUUAACACUCACAAAAUAAUCUCUAAAUACUGUAAAGACAAAUCAAAUCCACAGCAGCAUUAGAGUUGAUUAAGCUAAGCAUUGGCAAAUAUUACUUUGAUUUUGCAUGCAAUAUCGGCAAAACCCCCCUCUUACAUUAGAAAAAACAACAUAAUCCAUGUAACAUUGAUAGCCCAAUACAAAUUUCAUCAAGAAAAAAGUCUCUUUGUUUUGUAGAACAUGAUAGUAAAGAUGUGGAGUUUCAUUCUUCUUAUUGGCCUCCUUUAGUUUUCCUUGAUCAACAACCACUAGCCAAAAACACAAUUAGAUUAGAUUAUGAAUGAUACUUUCAACUAUGACAAUAUUAAAUACAAAACACUCCAAAUAACUCUAAAUAAAUGGAAAGCAGCAAAUUACCUGACGAGGCAAGCUAGCUUAAUUAAGACCAUUGUAUUAUACUUGUCUCUGAAUUGAAAAAUUUAGAAGAAAAUAGAGAAAAAGACUUAGAAAAUACUUGAAAACAGAUAAAACUUAUAUGUCAUUUAAAAUAAAAAAAAAUUAUUUAAGCUGUUUAAAAUUUUUAAGAUUUUUAAAAUUUUAAAAUGAUAAAGGUAAAUUGUACUUUGGCACCCCUAGAAAUGAUAAAACUUUGAUUUAAUCCUUUAAAAAUUAUAAAAAUAUAGGCUAUUAAAAUGAUGAAAUUAUAUUUUUACUAUAGUAAAAAUUACAAUUUAAUUUCACCCCCUAAAAAGAUUUUCUGGCUUCGCCCCUAAUAAAAUAUUUGGCAAAAGAUUAAAAUAAAAUUAUACCGUAAUUGAAAAAAGAAACUAAAAAAAUCCAAUCUAACAAAGAAAAUAACUUGAUGUCCAAAAGCUACCAUAAAUCGUAAUUCAUGGGAAGGCUUGUUGCUCAUUUUAUUGGUUUCCAUUUUGAUUUUGCAAAAGAAGUUUGAAUUUUGACGAAUACCGACAUAUUAUAUAUAUGACUAAAAUUCCAGAAUAGGUUAAAAAUGUUGAAUUAAAGAUGAAAUUAAGUGUGAAUUAAUAACCACAAGUGUACUCAUUACUCACCAUCUCUGUUAAAAAUGUUGGAUGUUGUUUAGCAACCUUUGUUUGAUUUUCUUCAGCUCAACCACAACAUCUUUCAUAUCUUUUCUUUCUUCUGGUAACUCAGCUGAACAAUUCAAAGCCAACUCCAUGAUAGAUGAAAUACAAUUUGCUUUAACAACAAUGUACUCAUCCUCUCUUCUUAGUAAAUCAACAUCUGCAAUUUCUAUCGCUCCUUUAGGCAAUGAACUUUCCAUCCAAUGCCUUAUAGUCUCUUCUUCAACAAAAACAUUAUCAGAUGGCUUUUUCUUUGUGAAAGUUUCUAUAAGGACGAUCCCAUAACUAUAGACGUCAGAUUUUAUAGAAACAAUUCCUGCUGAUCCAAAUUCUGCAUUUCAAGUAUAAUUAGAACAUCAUUCAUCCUCAAUUAUUUCUAAAAUGCUUAUUCUAAUAUCUAUCCAUAUACACAUGAAACAAAAAUAUAAAAUUCAAAUUAGGAAAAUAAUCAUACAAAAAUAAAAAAGAAUUCACCUGGUGCCAUAUACCCGAUAGUUGCAAGAGUCAUGGUUUGCUUCAUUACUUCACCUUCUCCCAACAAUUUGGCAACGCCAAAAUCUCCAACAUGUGCAACCAUGUCUUCAUCUAGUAAAAUAUUGCUUGGCUUUAUGUCACAAUGAAUUAUAGGUGUUGGAUGUCCAUUGUGGAGGUGUUCUAUAGCUAACGCAACAUCUAUCAUUAUGUCGACCCUUUGUAUGAUAUCAAGGAAACAAUUUUCAGAAUGUAACCAUUUCUCAAGGUUUCCAUUAGACAUGUAAUCAAGCACCAAGGCUUUGAAGUCAACACUUGAGCAGCAAGUAAUGACCUUCACAAUAUUACGAUGAACUAUAUUAAGCAUAGCAUCACAUUCAAUGUCAAAACUCCUAAAUGCUCCCUCUGUUUGCAAAUUGAAAACUUUUAUUGCAACUUCCAUUCCAUCUGAAAGCCUCCCUUUAUAUACAUAUCCAAAACUCCCUGAACCAAGCAUAUUGCUUUCCUCAAAUCCAUUAGUUGCUCGUGAAAGUUCAGCAUGUGAAAUUCUUCUCGGUGUUUUCAAAGACAACAAAUCAUCUUUAAUUGAUAGAGUUGUACUCCUUCUUUGGCAUCUUCUAUACAUAAUAGUUAAGACUAUUAGUACUACGACAAUGCCAAUUGUUGGUAAACCAUACCUAAAAGCAUGCAAUAUAAUCAUUUGGGAGUUUUUGUGGAUGUCGUUUUUGCAAGGUGGGACUUGCAAUCUAGGUGGACCACAAAGUGCAUAAUUCUUCAUGAAUGAUGUGCUAGAAAAGUUUGAAAAACAUCCUUUGCUGGGAAUUUCCCCUUCAAGUCUAUUGAAAGACACAUUAAAAUACCUUAGAUAUAUAAGUUUUUCCAAAGAUUUGGGAAUGACUCCAGAGAGAUUGUUAUUGCAUAAAUCCAAGAAUUCCAAACUAAUCAAUCCAGCAAAUGAUUCAGGGAUAUGACCAUGUAGUAUAUUAUUUGAUAAAUCUAAUGAAACCAAAGUUAUAAGACCCCCAAAUGUGGAUAAGAUAUCGCCCGUGAGAAGAUUCUUUGAUAAAUUUAGUUUCAGUAGACUCCUCAAAUUUCCAACAUCAAUAGCAUGUGAACUGUGAAGAUGGUUUGAUGAUAAAUCUAUUUCUAAGAUAUCUUUAAGAUUCCACAAAGUUGAGGGUAUUGUAGAACUCAAUCUGUUGGAAGCAAAGUAAAGAUAUCCCAAAGAAGUAAUAUUACCCAAACAAGAGGGUAUGGAUCCAUGCAGCUUAUUCAACCCUAAAAAAAAGUUGUAUAAUCUCUCCAAAUCACAAAGGCUUUCUGAGAUGGGCCCUCCUAAUUUAUUAGAGGAAAGACCUAGACUUUGGAGAUUCCGCAGUCCUCCUAUUGAUGUUGGAAUGAAUCCACUUAAUUUAUUAAAGCCAAGUUCUAAAACCACCAUGUUGCUUAAGUUACCUAUUUCCAUAGGAAUAAUGCCUUGAAGCUCACAAUUAGAGGCAUAAAAGUAUUGAAGGGAUUUUGAAAGGUUCCCAAUAUAAGUAGGAAGAACGUCACUCAAUGGAUUUCCUGAAACAUCUAUUGCGGUCAAAUUCCUACAAUUCGUCAAAGAAGAAAGAAAGCUCCACUCAUGAUCAGUAGCAGAUCCUGUGAUCAAAUUAUUGUCAUUGAUUUUGAGCACUUCAAGGUGUUUUAAGUUGCCAAGCAUUUUAGGGAUUGGGCCAGAGAAUAAGUUAUGUGACAAUUCUAGUUGCUUAAGCAUGGAAGCAUUGGAGAUAGAGUUGGGAAUGUUUCCGCUAAGUUUAUUUCUCCACAAUAAAAGAAUCUCAAGCUUUGGAGCAUUGGUGAUGGGUGGUAAAUUACCUGUAAAAUUGCAUCUUUUAGUAUACAUAUUCAUUGAAUACCAAAUUCACAAAAUAUAUAAGACAUUAAAAUAAAAACUGUAAAACUUUAAAUCAAUUAAGAAUAAAAUUUUGGCAUGGAAAAAUGUGAUGAAAUCAAUUAGAAAGUUGAGACAUAAUAAGAAGUUUUGAGUAGUAAUUAGUAAAACAUAUAAUACAUUAAUAAUUUUUAAAAUAUUGUAAAACUUGAAAUAAAAUAAAAAUAAAAGUUUGGCAUGAGAAUGUGGCAUCUAAUCAAUCUUAAAAAUGAGACUCACAUUGAAUAAUAAUUAGUUAUGAUUUGGGAAACAAAAAUGUUAAAGCCAUUGUUUUUAAUGUAAGCUGGUAUGACUUUUAUCUAUUGGGUUAAUUAUUUAUUUUUAUUAAAUUAUAGUGUAAAAUUUAAAUAUUAUUAUUUGCUUAAAUUUUUUGUAUUUUUCGUAUAUUUAAAAUUUAAUCUUUAUAUUUUUAUUUUCUGUGAUUUAGUCCCUCUACUUUUUGAAUUGAAAAUUUUAGGUUUAUUUAUUAACACCGUUAAAAAGUUUUUGUGUUAGUAUGGCAUUUUGAAAACUAAAAUAAACUUGAUAUCUAUGUUUUUAAUUAUUCCAAAUAUUGUUUUACUAUUUCAAGAUAAAUUAUUUGUGUCUAGACCAAUAUCUUAAGAACUAUUGUUGCAUAUUUAAUUAUUCUAAAGAAUUGUCGAUUGAAUCUUAGCUUGAUUGGCAUGUGCAUUGUUGCCAAUGUAGGAGAAUGUGGGUUCAAGCAUGCAUGCUGAAAUGCAUUAUCCUCCUAUUUAUGAAUUGGUAAAGUACUAAAUUUUGAUAUAUUUUAAAAUAUUAAAAAUUUAUUAAAAUAUUUUUUUAUAAAAAUUGAUUGUACCACAAUAUACAAUUUUAAUAUCAAAUUUUUAAUUUUUUUAAAAAAUAUUAGCGAAUAUGUACUUUAUUUCAAGUUACACAAUUUUUACUAGUUUUUAAAUUUUUUUAAUUUUUAUCGUCUUUUAUAAUUUCUAAUAAUUUUUUAUAAUUUUUUACAAUAUUUAACAAUUUCUAAAAUUUUUUAAUAAUUUUAUUAUUUAUUACAAAUUUAAAAAUUAACAAAUUUUUAAUCUUUAAAACAAUUAUAUAUUUAUAAUGUAGUUAUUUUUUUUAUAAUUUUAUUUGAAAUUUUAAAGAUUUUUUUGGUUUGUUUUCUAGAUUAUGAUGCCAUCAUAAUGUCAUCAUAUGCCACAUGGCAAUUUAUGAUUAGUUGGAUAUCUCAAUCUAUUUUUUUAACGUCCAAUGGACUAAGCCAAGAACACCUGACAAUGUUAGAGACUACACUACGAAUGUUUGAUAAUAUUACGUAUUAAAGUGGACAAAAAAAAUUAAGGACCAAAGUUAUAAAAAAAAAAAAAAAACAGCAAUCGGCUGCAGGGAAUAAACUGUGCAUUAAGCCAUUAAAAAUAUAUCUAUAAUAUAUAUAAAUGCAUGGAUUUUGAGAAACAUUUGAACUGAUAAUUACAUAGUCUUUGAUGUUUACUAUAUUAUUGAAUUUGUUAUUUUAAAUAUUUUUUUAUUACUUUUAAGAUUUAUCAUAUGUAUGGAUAAGAAUUUUGGUUUUACUAAAAUAUUUGGUUAAAUAAAUUCAUUUAAUAAGAAAAUUUAGCAUCCUUAUAAAUAACAAUUUUGAUUCUAUUAAAAAUUAUUUUCAAAAAUAUAUAAUAAAAAUUUAAAAUUUAUAUUGAAUUACUUUAUACUUAAAUUAUUAUUAGAAACUUUAUCAUACACAUACGUGUAUGAGAACCAUGUAUUUAGAACAUAAAUUUGUUUUUUAAAGUAACUUAUGAUAAAUAAUGAAAUGUAUAAUUUGAAACUAUUUAAUAAUAACACAUGUCAUAUCUACCAUAUUAAAAUAAAAAUAGAUUAAAUUGUAAGUAAAACAUAAUUUAAACAUAUGAAUACAUCAAAUUAAGAAUACUAAAUGAAUACAGUUAUUUAUGAUGAUGUUGUUGCCAAUUCUUAAGUUGGUGCCGAGUUAAUUUGUGACAUCAUAAAUUUAGGUGAUAAAUUUAAGGUUUUAUGUAUUGAUGUGGAUUCAAAUAUCACCAUAAUUUUUUUAAAUAAAAAACUAAAAUACCCUCAAAUAAUAUAACUUAUAUUAAAUACGAAAGGGUAUUUUUGUAAUUUCUCUAACCGAGUUGGUGCCCGGUUGACUCAUGACACCAACUCAAUCAAAAGCUUCAAUAAUAAUAUAGAUAUUCACGGUAAAAAAAAUUACUUUAGUUCCAAAUAAUUAUAUAACAAGUAAAUUUAUAAUUGACGAAUAAAUUUAUAAAUAAUAUAUUUAUAUGAUCUAAUAUAUUAUAUUUAUAUUAAUUAUAUAUCAUCUACAAACUUUGAAGAUUAAUUUAUUAAGUAUCAAGAAAAGAAAAAAUGAAAUUUAAUUAACACUAAAUCAAUUUUUAGAUUUUGUACAGAUGAUUUAAUGAUGAUAAAAAAAAUAUUAGCACUAUUUUCGAAUUAACAAAAAAUUAGUGAUAUAUUUUAAUUAUAUUUAUUAUUUAUUUUUUAAUAAUUUUUUUAAUUAUAUGAAGUAAAAUUAUAUUGUAUACUAAAAAUGGUACAUAUACUUUAAUUAUACUUGAAAAUUUAUUAUAUAAAUUAAUAUAUUUUAAUUAUAUUUAACCAUUUGAAUAACAAAAUAAAAAAAAACUAAUUAGAAUAAUUUAUUUUUUAAAGUCUAAUGGAAAUUAAAAAAUUAAAAAUAAAGCAGUUCAUAUAAAACUUAUUGUUUAUUAUCAGAUUAAAAUGAUAAAAGUAUAUGACCAAAAUAAAAGAAACAAAUUCAACUCAAUGUUUUUGGAGUUUGGAAAAAAUUAAAGUUAAAAACAUACCUUCUAAUUUGUUGUUAAAUAGAUCUAUUUCUUCGAGCGUAGUCGAAUUAAAAAUACUUGAUGGAAUCUGACCUGCACACAUAGUCGAAAAUUGAAGUAAAAAACAUACCUUCUAAACUGUUCAACUAAAAAUACUUUAAGCAUAUUUUUUAGUAAACUGUGCAACAGGUGAUAUGAGAAUCUAUGUAUAUAAAUGUAUAUGUAUAUAUAUCGUUGUUUCAUUUUGUAAAAUAAAUAUAUUUUCCACAUUGGUUUCUUUUCUUCUACAGACAAAGGAUUUCUAAUGAUUCUUUUUUAUUUUUACUUAUAAAAUAGGUUAGUUUCUGCAAUAAUAAAAACAAUUUCUAAUGAUUAUUGUUGUUACCAGAUAACUAAUUUUCAUUCAAGUAAAGCCCUUCAAGCUUGGGAAAAUGUUGACACAUAUCAUUAGGCAAACUACCUGAUAGGCUAUUGUUGGAGAGAUCAAUGGUCUUCAGAGAAGAAAUGUUCGAGAUCGAAGUUGGAAUCUGACCUGUAAGGCCUUUAAUUUCUUUAAUAUUAAGCAUUUCCAAACUAAGAAGAUUACCAAUUUCCUUAGGAAUUUGACCUGCAGACAGUCAAAAAAUCAAUGUUUUUCAGCAUAUGUUUUUCAUCAAAUGAAAUAAAAAGUUCUUCCUUUUGUUAUCUAUUACAAAUCAAACUCUUUUAUAAAAAAAAAACUUUAAAUUCAAGAAAUCAAGGAAAUUGAUUACCUUCUAGAUUAUUAAACCCUAAAUAUAACUUCUGGAGUCGUGUUAGAUUUCCAAUACUUCUUGGAAUGAUACCCAUAAAUUGAUUAUAGGACAACGACAAAAUUUGAAGGUUGUUGCAUUUGCCCAUGCCAAAUGGAAUGUUACCAGAUAAUUCAUUCAAACUCAAGUAAAGCCCUUCAAGCUUGGGAAGAUGUUGACACAUAUCAUUAGGCAAACUACCUAAUAGGCUAUUGCUGGAGAGAUCAAUAAUCUUCAGAGAAGAAAUCUUGAAGAUGGAAGAUGGAACCUGACCAGAUAAUUGAUUGAAUCCCAAGUUCAAGAUCUCUAGAUUAGACAUGUUAACAAGUGUUUCAGGGAUUGUGCCUGUAAAGUUAUUGUUUUUCAUUUUCAGCCUUCGAACUCUUUGUAAGUUCCCAAGCCAUGAUGGAAUUUCCCCAUUCAGACGGCUGUAGCUUAAUUGAAGGAUCCUCAAACGAUGCAAUUGGCCCAAUUCUUUAGGGAGAUGGCCAUAGAAAUGGUUGCUACUCAAGUCGAGAGAGAGUAGAAAUGAAAGAUUUCCAAGGUGUGGAGGGAUAGUACCCCUAAGAUUCAUGCUUGUAAGAUUCAAAGCUAUAACUCUUUUAAGAAGGAUGCCACAAGAAACACCAAUCCAAUUGCAAACAGAGGUUGAGACUGUCCAAUUGUUUGGCAAGACAUUUUGAGGACCGACGAUGCGAUCCUUAAACUCGAGAAGUGCAAACUGAUCGGAGUUUAGAUUCCUGACUGUCAUAGCCAAGCAAAGUACGAAACAUGGUAUGAAUAAAGCUAAAAGAAGAUGAAAGCAAGUGUUGUAGUUCAUGAUUGCAAGACGGAAUAAGCCAAGAAAAUAAAAAAAAGUAGGAAAAGGGAAGUUGAGUUGAUAAAAUAGUUUGGAUGAUGAAGAAAAGCCCUGAGAGCAUGCUUUAAUAUGUUUCAAUCAUCGCACACUUGAUAAACUUGAUAAAUUUAAGACUACCCUAAAAAUUAAAAAGGAAAGCAAAGUUUUGAAGAAAUUUCAAAAUAAAUGUCAAGUCUUCUUCUUUUAAAAAUACGUACAAAGAAGCGAAUUUUCAAAAUUUCUACUAAAUUUUCUUCACAUUACUCCACAUAAUCCAUUAAAAAAACUUCAAAAAAAAAUAUUUUAUUAAUUACUAUAUAUUCUUUUAUUUUCAGAAUAAUAAUUGUUUAAAAUAUGCUAUUAGUCCCUGUAAUUUUAAAGUUAAAAAAAAUCCAAUCCUCCUAUUUUUCUAAUUUAAAAAUUCUAGUCCAAUCAUUUUUAAUUCCAUUAAAAAAUUUCACCUUAAUAGGUUUUUUGAUUAUCAAUCGUAUGCAACAUUAUAUGAAGGCAGUCUAAUCAGCAUAUAUCCAAGUUUAUAGAUUUUAAUAGAAAAUACUUACAAUCCUAAUGGUAGGACUAAGUUUUUUAAACUAGAAAAGUAAGAAGACUUAAUUUUUAACUUUUUAAGUACAAGGAUUAAAUUUUAAAUGUUGUCAAAGUACAAGGAUUAAAUUUUAAAUGUUGUCAAAGUACAAGCACUAACAAAAUAUUUUGAUCUAAUAAAUGUAAAUGAACUUUUUAAACAAAAUAAGGUUGAAAUAAUCUAUUUGUCGUUGUAUUUUGAUAAAAUUUGAGAUUUAGUCUUUAUACCUAAAAGGUUAAAAAUUAAGUCUUCUUGUUUUUAUUUAAAAAUCUUAGUCCUAUCGUUAAAUUUUUUUGUCAAAAUUUGUCAACUUUACAUAUUAAUUAGGUUUCCCUUGUAGGUCGUGGUAUAUGACUAACACAAAAUAAGCAAUUAAGUUGACAAAUUUUGACAAAAAAUAUCAAAGAUGAUAAUAAUUGGAUUAAAAUUUUUAAAUUGAAUUUAUAACCUUUAAUGUAUAAGGAAUGGAUAUCAAAUUUUUAUAGGAAUAAAGGGACUAACAACAUAUUUUAACCACAAAAUAAUAUGGGUGAUUAGAAUGAAUCUAAAAUUUUAUAGAAAUAAAAGAGACUAACAACAUAUUGAUAACUUUGAAAUCUCCUUCGAUAAUCCUUUUUCUACGUAGAAAAAGAAAAUUAAUUAGCAUCUAAAGUGUCAAUUAAUGAAACCUUCAAGAGAAAAUGUGAAAUUGAUUUACCAAACAAUAAUAUUCUAACUUAUAAUAUAUUUAAUUACAUUUAGUAAUUUGUCAAUCAAAACUUAAUUAACAUCCAUCAAUACUUUAUAUAUAAAAAACGCAAGCAUAAAUUACAGUUUAAAGUAAUUGGGAUCUCGAGUGCAACAAAUUCCUCCUUUUAUUAUUAAAUGUUUUAUUUUAGUUACUCUAAUCAAAACUUAAUUAACAUCCAUCAAUACUUCAUACAUAAAAAACGCAAGCAUAAAUGACCAUUUAACUCAUAUUUAACUUUGCAAGUAAACUUCACUAAUUAUAGAGUUAUAGUGUAAACUUUGAAAAUAUAAGUAAAUUUACCAUUUAACUCAGACUUAACUUUGCAAGUAAACUUAAAAUUUUAUUUAAUUUUGUCACUAAAUUUGAUUUGUUCAAUAUAGAUUUUGGUGACUUAAAACAAAAUUAAUAAAAAAUUAUUCUUUCGGAUAUCUUUUUAAUGUUUAAUAAUAAGUUAAUUUAUAAAAUAUACUUUCAUUGGGCACAGGCCUCCAAGCCGGUGAACCACUGAUCAAAUUAAUUUGGAGAUAUCUUUUUUCUGAAUAAAGUGAAUUUACCAGUUUUGUUUUCUUUUAAAAAUAUUUUUAAUAUUUUUGUGGAUAUCAAGAGAUACCAAAAAUUAUUUCUCUAAAAAAUUUUAUUUGACUCGAAAAGUUAGUGUUUUAUUUCAAGGGGUCAUAAUUAAUCAUUAGAUUUCUCAAUUUUAAAUUUUGAAUUUUUUCACAAUUGCGUAAUUAAUAAGUUCCAAUUUUGAGUGUUGUGGGGCUAGUAAAAUCUUCCUUACACAUAACCGACUCUUGAACCUACUCUUUUCUUUAGAAUUCAAUGCAGACCUCAAAUUUAUCUUUUGAAAAGAAUUUUAAAAUCUCUGUAUAAAAGGUGUUUCUUUUUGUUACCGAUCACAUUUAACAAAAAUUUAAAAAUUAUUAAAAAAUAAUUUCUUUUUGAAAUUUAAAAUGAUCUAAAAACAUAUUUUUAAUUGCUUUGGACCAUCUAUUGCUGAUUUCCUUAUUAUAUUAAGUGUUUGCAAUCACUCUUAAUAUAUUGUGCUUGAGUUGUGACAAAGCCGAUCGUCAACGUGCCAUAAUGAUCAAUUGACGCUGAAACUGAAGUUUUUGUUAUAUUGAUAGAGCUUGUCCUUCAACGCAUACAACGUGUUUGUUAUUUUUCUCCCUUCAAAUUGUAUGAUCUUAUUCAUUAAAUGAAUUAAUGAAUAUCCCUUUUAAAAAGAUAUAUUUUUAAAAAUUAAAUACUUCAUAAAAUAUUUAAAACCAUUUAAAAAUUUGUUAGCCUUAAAACAAUCAACAAAAUAUAUUUUUCUCUAAAAAAUCAAUAAAAAUAUGUUUGAAAUUUUAUAUGAAAUUUAAAAUUUUUUAACAAUAAUAUAUUUUAAAAUUAUAGUAACGCUACAAAAUAUAUAUAUUUACUAAUUAUAUACACCUUUUUUAUAUUUUUUCCUAACAUAUCAUUAUUUUCAACAUUAUCGUAAUCCUGUUUUUAUAAUUCCCUUGUCAUACAUCCUUUUUCUACUUAGAAUUUCAAAAGAAAAUGUGAAUUAAUGUAGACGUGAGAAGACUUCAAGGUAAGUCACCCAAUGAAAGUGACCUAAACCGACUUAUGGAAGAAUCAAACAAUAAUUUUGUGUCUUGUAAUAUAUUUCUUGUAAUAUAUUUAAUUACAUUUAUUAGUUUAUCAAUCAAAACUUAAUUAGAAUCCAUCAAUAUUUCACACAUCAAAAACCCAAACAUAAAAUUCACUUCUAAAUUAUUUGGGAUAUAUUUGUAUUAUAGGAAAUGGAUUAAAUUAGUCUUUUUAUUAUAAAAUGUAUUAUUUUAAUCUUUGUAUUAGGUAUGAAUGAUAUCUCCUAGAUUGAACCCAAAGCUAUUCUUGAAAGACUGAAAUUAGGAUUUAGAUGUGUUGAGAUGGAAAGUGACAACACAAUGUUGAUUGAAACUAUUUGUAAUGGGUUGGCUACAAUAAGUAGUGCUGUCGAAAUAAGACAGAUUCACGAUUAGUCUUCCAAAAAUUGGGAAGUCAAAUUUCGACAUAUUUAGCGGAAUGCCAAUAAAAUUGUUGAUUGCUUAGCUAAGGCAAAUGGAGGGGUAAUUGAGCAGCUGGUUAUCUUGGAAGAUCCUCCGCAUUAUGUGAGAUGCUAGCUUGAAGAAGAUAUUAACAGUCACUGGUCUGAUGAUAAUUUUCAUUUGGACUGAUGAGCGCUUAAUUUUCUAAGCUUAUGGUCAACAAAAAAAAAUUAAAUACGUCUAAAUUGUAAUAGAGUUAACAUUUAGUGUUUAAAAAAUAUCUUAAAAUUUAUUUUUUCCAAUUGCAGUUCAAUUCCACAAAUAUCGACGAUGAACCCGAACAUAAAAAUUACAAAAAAAAACACAUCUAUUAUCAAACCAACAAUCCAUGUCUAAACUUAAAUUAACAAAAUUCACCACGCAACCUGGUACACUAUUUUAUAUAUAUAUAUAUACUAGAUUUAUUCUAGAUGCACAUGUUUUAUUAUAUUUAAAAAUUAAAAUAUAUGGUUGACUAAGUUUUAGUUGAAUUAGUAUUUGUUAAAAAUAUAAUGUUGGUAAUGACAAUAUAUAGCAAAGAAAAUAGAAAUAGAAAAAUAAAGAACACACAUAUUUUACGUGGAAACCCUUUCGGGAAAAAACCACAGGCAAAAGAGAAGAAAAUUCACUAUGUCGAAUUCAAAUCAAUUACAAGAGGAGUAGACUAUGCCUAUUUAUAGGCUUGGAAACCUUAUUCUAAUAGGAGUGAAACUCUUUAUUCUAAUAAUAUCAAAUAGAUGGAGUUUAAUAAGGUUUAAAAAACCUUAUUCUAAAAUAAAAUAAAAGAAGUAUAAUUCUAUAGGGAUUUUACUUUUAUUUUAUUUUACCAUAGUAUUUAAUUUAAAUAAGGAUUUGGGUCACUUAAUUCUAACAAUCUCAACCUUGACACGAAUUCUUAAUGAACAAGUUCUUCAUCGCGAACUCUCAACGAACAAGUUUCUCCACCUCUUCCAUAAAACCCCUUAAGGGUUUAUUUUCAACAAUGAACACCAACCAAGUCUAAGCAGUGCUCAAACUUGGUUAUAGGAAGUGACUUAGUCAUCAUAUCUACAGGAUUUUCAUGAGUACUAAUUUUGCUCACAACAAUAUCACCACGAGCAAUAAUAUCACGAACAAAAUGAUACCGAACAUCAAUGUGUUUUGUUCUCUCAUGAAACAUUUGAUCUUUUGUAAGGAAGAUGGCACUUUGACUGUCACAAAAUACUGUAUUAAUUUGAAGGUCUUCAUUGAGUUCACUAAAGAGUCCGUUCAACCAAAUAGCUUCUUUGCAAGCCUCAGUAAUCGCCAUGUGCUCAGCUUCAGUGGUAGACAAAGCGACUGUAGUUUGCAAAGUGGCUUUCCAACUGAUUGCACAACCUCCGAUUGUAAAGACAGAACCUGUGAGAGAUCUUCUUCUAUCCAGGUCUCCAGCAAAAUCAGCAUCAACAUACCCAAUGACUCCAUCUCUAGUUCUUCCAAACUGUAAGCAAACAUCGGUAGUACCUCGUAAGUAUCUUAAAACCCACUGAACUACUUUCCAAUGUCUUUUAUCGAGAUUCGCCAUGUAUCUACUAACUGCACUAACUACAUAUGAUAAAUCUAGAUGUGAACAAACCAUGGCAUACAUGAGAGAUCCUCCUGCACUAGAGUAUGGAACAUGUGACAUGUACUCAAUCUCAUCAUUUGAUUGUGGAGACAAAGCUGAUGAUAGUCUGAAAUGGGCUACUAAAAGAGUACUAACAGGCUUAGCAUUCUGCAUAUUGAAUCUAGAAAGAACUUUCUCAAUGUACCCUUUCUGACUUAGGUACAAUUUACUUGCUUUUCUAUCCCUGAGAAUCUCCAUACCAAGUAUCUUCUUUGCUGGUCCCAAGUCUUUCAUCUCAAAUUCUUCACUUAGUUGGGCUUUGACCUUUCUUAUCUCUCAUUUAUCUUUCGCUGCUAUCAAUAUGUCAUCAACAUAAAUGAGUAGAUACACAAAAGAACCAUCAUUGUUUUUCUUAAAGUAAACACAACUGUCAAAGCUACUUCUUUUAAAAUCAUGAGAAGUCAUAAAGGAAUCAAACCUCUUAUACCACUGUCUUGGUGACUGUUUCAAACCGUAAAGAGACUUUUUUAGCAAGCAAACAUAGUCCUCUUUUUCUGAGACUGUAAAACCCUCUGGUUGUUGCAUGUAAAUAUCCUCCUCAAGUUCUCCAUGCAAAAAUGUAGUUUUUACAUCUAACUACUCAAGCUCCAAAUCAUGCAUGGCCACAAUACCAAGCAAAGCUCGAAUCGAACUAUGCUUCACAACUGGAGAGAACACAUCUGUGAAGUCCACUCCUGGAAUUUGACUGUAACUAUUUGCAACAAGCCUUGCUUUAUAUUUGGGUUCUUCAACUCUUGGAGUCCCCUCUUUCUUUUUAAACACCCAUUUACAACGAACAAUCUUUUUAACUUUGGGAAGUUUCACAAGAUCCCAUGUUUUGUUUUUGUGGAGUGAUUCUAUCUCCUCUUGCAUAGCAAACAUCCACUUUUCUGAAUCUUCACAACUAAUCGCCUUAGAAUAAUUAGAUGGCUCUUGGUUUGCAUCUAUAUCUUCAGCCACAUUUAAAGCAUAAGCAACUAGAUCAGCCUCAACAUACUUCUUUGGAGGUUUAAUUUCUCUUCUAGUUCUAUUUUUGGCGAUAGAGUAUUAUGGUGAAGAAGCAACUCUAUUUUGAAUUUUCGUACUGGCUUUAGUAGUCGACUCUGUUGUAGAUUCUAGAUCAAUCUGAUGCUCCACCUGCUUUAGAUUUUCUUUAUUGGAAGUCUUUAAGAGAUAACUUAGGUAGCAUAGCAGUUUCAUCUAAAACAUCUCUGCUAAUCACAACUUUUCUAUUUUCAGGACACCAUAACUUAUACCCUUUUACACCAGCUUUAUAACCAAGAAAAACACAUUUAGUAGAACUCGGUUCCAAUUUUCCAUUAUCAACAUGAGCAUACGCAGGACAACCAAAGAUUUUUAAAUUAGAAUAGUCAGCAAGAUUACCAGACCAUACUCUUGUGGAGUCUUUUUCUCAAUGGCAACGGAUGGAGAUCGGUUGAUCAAAAAACAUACAGUAGAGGCUGCUUCUGCCCCAAAAUGACUUUGAUAAGUUGGCAUUUGACAACAUAUAUCAAACCUUCUCCAUGAUCAUUUUGUUUAAUUUUUCUGCAAUGCCGUUUUUCUAUGGAGUAUGACGAACUGUCAAGUGUCUCACGAUCCCUUCUGACUUGCACAGUUUAUUAAAUUCAUCAGAACAGAACUCUAAGUCAUUGUCUGUGCAGAGGCAUUUUAGUUGCUUUCCUAUCUAUUUUUCAAUCAUGGUUUUUCAAGACUUAAAUGAGGAAAACACAUCACUUUUCCGCUUUAGGAAGAAUGCCUACACUUUUCUAGAAAAAUCAUCAAUUAAAGUUAGCAUAAGUAGCUCCACCUCUCGAAGGCACUCUGGAUGGCCCCCACAGAUCAGAAUGAAUAUACUCUAACGUUCCCUUCAUGUUAUGGAUUCCUCUGGUGAAUCAGACUCUCUUUUGCUUCCCAAAAAUGCAGUGCUUACAGAACUUCAGUUUGCAAAUUUCUUGCCCAUUAAGAAGUCCUCUUUUGCUCAAUUCUGCCAUGCCAUUCUCACUCAUAUGCCCUAGGCGCAUAUGCCAAAGUUUAGUAAUAUCAUCAUCUGACAAGGAAGAGGAUGAGACAGUUGCAUCACCAGUAACAGUAGAACCCUGCAAAACAUAUAACUUGGCAGUCUUUCUCUGCCCUUUCAUCACAAUGAGGGAACCUUUGGAAAUCUUCAAAACCCCACUUUCAACUGUGUAUUUGUACCCUUUUGAAUCAAGAGUACUCAACGAAAUUUAAUUUAUUUUUAAUUUUAGAACAUGUCGUACGUCAGUGAGUGUUCUGACAACUCCAUCAAACAUCUUAACUCUGAUUGUUCCAACACCUGCAAUUCUACAUGAAGCAUUAUUUCCCAUCAACACAAUACCUUCAGACACUAUUUCGUAAGUUGUAAACCAAUCCCGAUUGGGACUCAUGUGGAAGGUGCAACCCGAAUCAAGGAUCCACUCCUCGUCACUUUGGAAUUGUCGAUUGAAGUGACUAGAAGUUCACCAUCGCUGUAAUCUUCUACAACAUCAGCUUUACCAGAAUUUUCUAGUUGUUUUCCAUUUUGAUUCGCAGCCUCCCUUUUGAUCUUGUUCUGUAGCUUAUAGCACUCAGUUUUAAUGUGCCAUUUCUUCUUGCAAAAGUUACAAGUUUUACCUCUGUUUGAAGACUACUUUUAGAUUUACUGCGAGGAUUCCGUUCCUGUGUCCUUCCAUGAUCAUCAUCAGCAUUCCGAUCUUGUCUCCCAUGAACAAUAAGACCCUCUCCCCGAGAGUCGAUUUUAAGCACAAGAUGCUUCAUCUUAUCAUACGAGGUUAAAGAAUCAUAAACCUCAUCAACUGUGAGAGACUCGCGGUUAUAUAAAAUCGUAUCUCUAAAGGAUGAAUAAGAUGAGGGCAACGAACAAAGUAGAGUCAACCCUAGAUUUUCCUUAUCAUACUGAACCUCCAUGGCCUCCAAGUUUGAGAGAAUUUCUUUGAACACUAUUAAGUGUUCGUGCACAGAUGCACCUUCCUCCAAACGAUAAGCAUAAAGACGCUGCUUCAUAUGUAGCUUGAUAGUUAGAGUUUUCGACAUACAUAUCUAUUCCAACCUCUUCCAUAAUCCAGCAGCAGUCUUUUCCUUCAUCACAUCCUGCAAAAUUUUGUUAGACAAAUGCAGAUGUAACUGUGUUAAUGCCUUUCAAUCCUUGCACUUCUUCUUUUCUUUCGUCAAUGUUGAAGGCAUCUUAUCUACCCCUAGUAGGGCUUCCUCUAAGUCCAUCUGUGCAAGAACUGCUUGCAUCUUUAUCUGCCACAAUGCAAAUCUAGUAUUGCGAUCCAACAGCAGAAUUUUGUACUUCAAAGACGUUAUUACCGUGAUUGAGAUGAACAACCCAGAAGCUCUGAUACCAAUUUGUUAAAAAUAUAAUGUCGGUAAUGACAAUAUAUAGCAAAGAAAAUAGAAAUAGAAAAAUAAAGAACACACAGAUUUUACGUGGAAACCCUUUCGGGAAAAACCCACGGGCGGAGGAGAAGAAAAUUUACUAUGUCGAAUUCAAAUCAAUUACAAGAGGCGUAGACUAUGCCUAUUUAUAGGCUUGUAAACCUUAUUCUAAUAGGAGUGAAACUCCUUAUUCUAAUAAUAUCAAAUAGAUGAAGUUUAAUAAGGUUUAAAAAACCUUAUUCUAAAAUAAAAUAAAAGAAGUAUAAUUCUAUAGGGAUUUUACUUUUAUUUUAUUUUAUCACAGUAUUUAAUUUAAAUAAGGAUUUGGGUCACUUAAUUCUAAUAGUAUUGAUAUUAUUGUCAGUGUAGGAAAAUAUGAGUUUAAUCAUGCUCAAAUGUGUUUUAUCCUCCAAUUCAAGAGUUAGGAAAAGGUUAUUGAUAAUUAAAUUAUACCAACUUUUAUGAUAUUAAAAAAGGGUUUAUAAAUAAUAUAAGGAAAAGAAAAAAAAGCGAGAAACAUAUUCAUAUUGAUAUUAGACUUUUUUUUUUCUAUCACAAGUAAAAAUAUCAAAGGUGAUAAUAAUUAAAUUAAAAAAUUUAAAUUGAAAAAAUAGGGGAUUGAAUUUAUAACUAACAACAUAUUUUAACCACAUAAUAAAAGUAGUUAUGAAGAGGAUCAUGUAAAAUAAUGACCUGAAUAAUUUUAAACGUCUCAUUCUUGCAAAAAUGAAAUAAUAGAAAAGAAAUAAGUGUUGGGUGUAGUGACAAUGUACAUUAUACUUCUAAGGGGAGAUCAGGGUUUUAGGCAAGGGAAGAAUUUAAUUUAAACCUACUUUUUUUUCUCUAGAACUCAACCCAAACCUCAAAUUUAUCUUUUUAAAAGAAUUUUAAAAGAUCUAUAUAAAAGGUGAUUUUUUUUUAUCGAUUACACUUAACAAAAUUUUAAAAUUUCUUUUUUUGAAAUUUAAAGUGACCUAAAAACAUAUUUUUAAGUCCUUCAGACCAUCCUGUGCUGAUUUCUUUAUUAAUUUGAUUUGUUCAAUAUAGAUUUUGGUGACUUAAAACAAAAAUAAUAAAAAAUUAUUUUUUCAGAUAUGUUUUUAAUGUUUAAUAAUAAGUUAAUUUAUAAAAUAUACUUUCAUUGGAUACAGGCCUCCAAGGCGGUGAACCACUGAUCAAAUUAAUUUAGAGAUACCUAAAUUUGCUUUCAUCAAUUAAGAAAUUAAAAAAAAAUUGCUGAGACCUCAUGAUUAUCUUUUAUAAUUUCAGGCUUAUCACCAAAAACUAAAAAAUAAAAACGUCGACAUUAAAUUUGUUGGUAUGCAAUCAAUUUUAAGAUGGUUUUUGGAGUUAUAUAUCACUUUAGCAUGGACUUACUUUUCUACAGUUAGUCUUCUCCAACAAGUUAAAUAUUUAAAUUUUAACAACAUUGACAGGUCUUUGGGGUAGGGUCGAGCAAAACUCAAUAGAAACAGAUGAUAUAGAUUGAGUUGGCUCGGCCAAGUCGAGUCGACUUGUUCAAAUUAGUUAAAUUAGUAAAUUUUAGGGUGCAGUUAGUAUUUUUUGUUUUGAGAUGCUAAGAUUAAAAAAUUUCAGUUGUUAAAACAAAAAAAUUGUAUUAAAAAAAGGCAUAAAUUAAAUUAUUAAGUUUUUCAAGUUUCCAUUUAAUCAAAGGUUAAAAGGACUAAAUUGAAGCUUUUUAUUUUUAAGAAAGGCUGAAUGACAAAUUGCCCAAAGCCCAUGCCCCUAGCUAUACGCCCCUGGUAAAAUCAAUUUUAAAAUUAGUUAUAAUAGUUGAAGCGAAUUGAUUAUUGAGUAAUGAAAUACAUAGUUCAACAAAAAAAAUAAGUUGACAAAUUUUGACAAAAAAAUAUCAAAAAUGAAAUAAUAGAAAAGAAAGAGUAGGCAUUUUAUGAAAUUUAUAAUUCCAUGAAUAAAAUAUAAAUUUUAUGAAUGUGGACGAGCCAUUUUUUUAUAAUUUUCAGUGUUUUUCUUCUUUUUCUUACUUUUUUUAAAGUAUUUUUCUUUGUUUCCUAACCACCAUGAAAUUACUUGUCACAAUUCAUCUUUUCAAAUGAGAAACAUUUUCCACAAUUUGCCAUCACUUCAACAUACACUAACUUUUCUAUGAUUAGUCCUUGGUUUGCUUCGGGUGCAAUCUUCCAACUAGCCUUAUCCUUGGUUUUACUUUCCAACAUUUAGUGUAUCACGAGUUUUGUUUUCUUUAAAAAAAUAUUUUCGUGGAUAUUAGGAGAUAAUGAAAAUUAUUUUACUAUGAAAUUUUAAUAAAACUGGAAAAUAAGUAAUUUAUUUUAAGCGAUCACAAUUAAACAUUAGAUUCCAAUUUUUUAAUUUUUUUUUUACAAUUGCAUAAUAUUUUGAGCAUUGUAGGAAUGCCAUAACCUUCCCUACGCAUAAUAUACUCUUGAGCAUGAUGGAUCCUAGACCUUCUUUAUUCUCGUACCACAAAUUGCUUCAAGUGUGGGUUCGAACAAUCACAAAUUAAACACAAAACCAGAAAUGAUUUAUUACUUUCAAUAGCAAAGUAAUUCUCUUUCAAUAGAAACCAAUAAAAUUGUAAUUCCUAGAAAAUUAAAAUUUAUUUUUUCAAAAUAUCUUCUCUCUACUUUCUAGCAGAAUAACAAUAUGCGAAACUUAUGUCUUGUGUUAAUAGCCCUACCGGUACUAUCUAUUUAUAGGGAGAGACACGAGAAUCCUAGUUGAAUUAGUAAAACACAAAUAAUAUUUAUUUCAUAGAAACCAACAUUCUACCCUAAGUAGAUCAAGUUUGGAUGACGCAUGGAUCGAAGCUCAAUCUAGGGGAAAAAAAUAAAGGAAUUUUCUUUGUAAAGAAAAUCUGAGAUUAUACUAUUUUCGAAGUUAUAAAUAAAAUUAUACGCCAAAUUUUGAAGUCAAUUUUCAACUCAAAUGUUGUAUGUACAAAUUUCUAAUACACUUGGUGGGACAUUCUUUAACUUUUAUCUAUUCUCUCAAAACGUUAAAGUUCAAAGUUGCAUUAAACUCAAAAAAGAUAAUCAUUAGUAAACCAGCACACAAGCCUACUCAAGCUAAUCCUACAACUCGUUCCACUUCAUCAUCAAACACCAAUGUUCUUGCUUAUCCUUAUGGAAUUAAACAAAAGACAAAAGCUCUUUAAAGUUAUUUGAACAGACUUCUUUAAUGGUAAAUGAUAAUCCACUCUAUGAUGCUUCUUCGCCCAACUCAUGAUUUAAAAGAAGUUUCUACUCAUAGAUCAAGUGUAGCUCGCCAGUUAUCAUUAAGGAGAAAAAGGAGUCAAUCAAGUGAAAAUUAUAUUCCAACAUCUCCCCAGAACCAAAUUUCAUAGUGAUGAAUGUCAUGACAACUGACACUACAUUCUUAGAAGAAUAAGUAGAUUUCUAGCAAAAACGAUGGAGAGUUUUACUACAAGCAUAAAAGAAAUGGAUGAUCAAAUUGAACAUCUUAGUGGAAGUAACCAAACCUUUUCCAACGAAACUCAACAUCCUCUUCACAAAGUUGUUGGAAUCUUAAUUGUUGAAGGACUUUAAAGUGUUUCUUUAGAUCAACUCAAGGAGUUUAUUAAAAAAACCAUCAAAGAUCAAGUCAAAAGUGUUACUUUGCCUUCAUAUACAUACUCAAAGUCAUACAUCUGAAGGAUUUAUCAUUUGAAUAUGCCUGAGCAUUAUCCACCUUUAAAAUUGUAAUAGUUUGAUGGUAAAGGAAAUCCAUGUAAACAUGUCGUUCACUUCAUGGAAACUUGUGAUCGCGUCGAUGUAACACCCCACUCGUGACCCAAUCGCUGGAUUCAAGAAGAGAGAUACCAAAAUCAUGUUGGAAAAAAUCUUCGAUAAGUGUAGCAUGAGUGCUCACACUCUCCAAACACUCCAUACUAUCUUUGGUAUUGAAGUUAAGCUUGACACUCCCUUAUCUCUCUAAUGUUAUCUUCAGGCCAUAAUGCCCUAUCACAUAGUAAAAAAGGUGAGUACUCACAAUCCUAUGGCAUGCCAAUGAUAUCUAAUGGUUUCAAGUGUUCACAAUGCCAACAUAUGUUUUGUAUCACAUUCACUUUACACAAUUUAAAAGGGCUCACAAUACAGCAGAUCUCACGUAUAAUAGUUUUUAAUAACACAAUUCACAUUUCUGUAGGGCUCGUAUUAUAUAUAAGUUCGUAAUAACAUGGAUUCGCAUAACACUUAUGGCUCGCAUAUAUUUAGGGCUCAUAUGUAACAGUUGGGAUCCUAUAUAUUUAAACUCGCAUAAUACAGGGGCUCGCACGACAUAUUUUGGCUUGCAUGCAAUAUAGGGCUUGAUCACAUAUAUAGGUUCACAUGAUCUUAGGGCUCGCAUCACAUAUAUAAGCACGCAUGAUACAUGGGUUCACUCAACAUGUAUAUAUCAACUCGUGCAUCAAAGUAUAGGCUCGCAAGCAUUAAGGUGAUAGAGUUUGCAAACAAUUUAGAGCUCGCACACAUCAUAGGCUUGCAUACAUACAUGUUAGCAAGGUCUGCAGGUUACAAAUCGAGGCUCACAUAACUAUAGAGGCUUGCAUGGAAAUAUAAAAUUGUUCAGAUAUCAUUUUAAUCGGCUUCACACAUUAAAUCAAAUGGUUUGCAUGCAUUCCUUGGCUUUCAUUAGCAUGCGAACUCGUGUUUUUAACACAGUGUGCAAGGACACUCACUAGUUGUUUGUUGAUACUGUCGAACCUAUACCACCUUUUGCUUGACUUUUUCCUUGCUCAUGGAUGCACCUUCACAUUGAAAGGAUUUGCAUAAAACAAGAAAUAAUACAGAUUACUACUUUCACAGACAUAAUAACCUUCUUAACAAACAUAGUAGCGAAUCUUCCAAUCUUCCUUAAUAAUUCCUUAAAUGAAGCUAAACCAAAAUGCAUUAUAAAUUCAAUCAAUUUACCAUUAAACCAGCCCCCAAACACCCACUUAUAAGUUCAAACUGAUCAUUGAAAUUAUAAUUAUUUUAUGAAUCCAAACUAGUUAGAUUCCUUAAACUGUAUUGAUGCGAAUUGUAUGUACAAUCGUUCUUCACCUUUACGGAUGAUUUGGGGUGUUUGGGUCAACACCUAAUUCAAUAAUAUACUGGAAAACUAGUAGUUAACCAAUUCAUAACCUUUACCCAACAACUAUGUCGAAAUAACAAACUAGUUUAUAAUUAAUCGUACUUAUACCAAAUUGCGAGAUCUGAAUGGCUAAUUGAUCAAGAAUGUGUUUUGUAACAUCCCAAAAAUUAGGUUAGAAGAAAUGGGGCUUUGAAACCAAGAGUGGUCAUCCCCCGAUUAUGAGUUUAGAUCUUGGAAAAUUUGACAAGUAAACUGAUCUGGUUAAUGGUUAAGUGUCUUGGUUAUAUGUGUCAGGUUUUGGGUUCAAAUCUUGUUUUUGGAAAUUUUGUUACUUUGCUUAAACUCUUACCUUGAAUGUUUGGUUUAUAAGUUAAAUUUAGUCAAUUGAUGUCAAGAAUGAGUCUAUUGGUUCAAUGGUUAAGUUUUUGUAUAAUCAUUGGUCUUGUGUUCGAAUCUCAACAAAAGUAAUAGGGAAUGUUUUGUUUUUAAAUUUUUUUUAUAGGGUAGUUAGUUUCGAUUGGUUAUUUAAAGCCUUCCAGAAACCUCUAUUGCUUUUAUUUUUAUUUUGUUCUUUCUUUUUCUGCGACAUUUUCUAUCAUUUUGUUUCUGUUCUUUAGUUUCGUCAUAUUGGUUUUUUAUUUUCAAGCAACUUUUUUUUUGUUAUGUUACAUUACGCCGAUUGUGUACGGAGUCUAACUUCACCCUCUAGUUAAUUCGCUGGCCGGUAAGUUCGAUUUAAAGUUUUGGUGUUGAAAGUUUUUUAACGUAAAUUUAAUUUUGAAAUGUUAGUUUUUAGUGGUUUAGCUGCAAAUUAAUCGUUUGUUGGAAAAUUGCUUGUCGUUCAGGGACAUGAAUUUAUCCUUGUUACUCUUGCAUCAAGUUCGUAUCAAGUGGGUAUCAGAAAACCCUUCUUCUUUAAAUUUUAGUUGUCAAAUAAUGGCACUAUCGAUGCCACAUAGCUGUGUGGCAGGCCGUGUAACUUACUGUUCAAAAAAAUUAGAGGCAUACGAGCGUGGGCCCAAAUUGUGUGUGGUUAUGAAUUGUGUAGGGUUCACACAGGCCAGUGACACUAGCAUGUGUCAGGUCGUGUGGGACACACGGGCAAGUACACGAGCGUUUACCAGACUGUGUGGAGUCACAUGGGCCAGUUCUCUAGGCCGUGUAAAACCAUAUAGGUAUGUGAAGCAAUAUUUGGAAUUUUUCCCUUGGGUUACAAGAGUUGUUUGAAACAAACGCAUAAAUACUGUAGGGUCCGUACGAUUUGGAUUAGGCUAUAUAACUUGAUAUUUGAUGAUAUGAUGAUGAACAACUUGUGAUCUAUACGUAUAUUUGUUAUGUUUGAACCUAUGUGAGUAGGAUCUGUUAGAAUGUAACAUGUUAUUUUUUGUUGUGUGUGAACUAUCCAGGUACAAUUUGUAUUCUAUUAAGUUUUUUGGUACGCCUAUGUGUUACUCUAUUGAUGAAGAAUAUGUGACAUUUGAUUAUGUUAGAUUGAUUGUUACUGAUUAUAAUUUAUAACCCUCUACGUUACUUCAUUGAUGAGGAAUACACGUAUAUGAAAAUGUUAGAUUGAUUGUUACUGAUUCUAAUUUAUAGUCGUGUAUGUGACUUCAUGGCAAAUAUGAUAUGAUUUGUUGAGGUUUGAUAAGUCUAUUUUACAAAACAUGGACCCUCAUGUCUCCUGAUUCUGUUAUUGAAAGAUAUCAUGACUUACAUGCUCAUCACUCUAAUUCUUCAUAUGUAUGUCAUGACACGUUGCAUGGGAUUUGGGUUGAUGUGAAAGGAGGAAGUUUUUGGCAGUUAAUGAUCUGUAUUAUCUGGUGGUUUAUCCAUGAUUCUGUUCCGGCAACUUAGUUGUACUAUAGUGGCUUGACCAAAUGUAACCGAUCUGGCAGUCUUAACUGCAAAAUUUUGGUGGCACCAUUCACAAUUAUCUAUUGGUGUAAUUUGGCCGGAUGAGUUAUGGGGGAACUCUAUUUUGGUUAGUAGCAAAGUUUGGGUAUGAUGUUUUCUGAUAAUUUUGCAUUCUAAUCUAUUUGAAAAAUACAAUAUUUGCAUAACACAUUUUCUACUCUGCUCUAUUCUGUUCUACUCAGUUCUAUUCUGCUUGAUUUAUUAUGUUCUGCUUCAUUCUGUUGUGUUCGGUUCUGUUGGACUGUUGUUGUGAAAAUUUUCGUGAUACUCUAGAUCUAUUCCAUACUGGUUAUAAAUUUGUUAUUAAGUUCUUUGCGUUACUUUGAUUUAUAUAAUAAAAUCUGUUUAUUUGUAUCUAAGUUUCAUUAUACACGACGCUUGGUGUUUCACCCUUUGUCUUAUCUUAAUCUGUUCAAGUGCACAUCUUACUUACGACUAGAUGUACAGGAGCUCAGAUUGUUUUGCAUUGAUAUAACUAUGAUUUGAUCUUUUAGGUUGUAAUUUGUUUUUGGACUUGUCUUGCUUUUCUUUUGAUAAUCUCGUCAAUAUCUGUCAUUUUCUAACACAAAAAUAAAAAACCACCUAAGUCGACUAAAAUGAAUUUCUGGUUUUCAAAGUUGAAAUUUUGAAAAGAAACUAGUUUUCUGCACGUUGGCGUAACUCGUCCAAAUUUGGCUUAAAUUUGUAGGUCGAGUUUGGGGUGUUACAUCUUUCCCUAAUUAACAUGUGAUUAAAUAUUUAUUAGAAGGAUUCAAAAACUCAACUUAAUGCUGGAAAAAUAUGGGCAAGAACCAAGAAACAAAACAACCCCCUUUCUUACACAUAGCCGUACGAACCACCACCCAUGAUGGCCAAAAUUGGGGUUGAAUUUUAAAAUGGUUUGAGAUCUCAUUAAAAAUAUAGAAAAACACAUUUGUGUCGAAACCACUAUUUAUUUUUGAAAAAUGGGAAUCAACUUUAAAAAAUGAAAAUGGGAGUCACCACUGAUCUUUUAUUGAGGUGUGAUCAGAUCACCUUAAAAAUGAUUUUAGGUCUACGAAUUUUAAGAAAAUAGGUUUCGGAGUUGGUUACACACGAGGAAGGGUUAGCACCCUCAUAACGCCCAAAAUUGGUAUCGAAUAGACUGUUUAAUGUCUUAGUGUCGAAAAUUUGAAAACAUUUUAAAAUACGAUCCUUUUUUAAAGAAAAUUUGAAUAAGUUGACUUAGAAGAUAAGACCCUUUUAUUUCGAAGAAGUAAAAUAUCACAUCCAGUGAGUUAGGGUGCAACAUUUCUAAUCCUUAAAAUUAAGUUUGUCUUUUGAUUUUUAAAACUCAUGCAUUUAAAUUUGAAAAGGAUAUUCAGUUAUUUGGGUCAAAUGAAAAAUCAAAACCCAAUAAGUUAGGGUUCAACUUCCAAAAAUUGCUAAAUACCGAAUAUUGCCUUUAUUUUUUUUAGAAAUCCAUAACUCAAGAUAACCAAAUGACAUAUCCAGUAAGUUAGGAUCCAACAUUUUGAAAUCCCAAUAGAGAACUUUUUAUUUAGGAUUUGUAUGGUUUUAUUGCAAAAGAGAUACUUGGCUAUCUAAAUUCAUCGAAGAGAAUUGAAGCCCACUAAGUUAGGGCAAAAUCUUCUCGAAAAUCGUGAAUACCGAGUAUUUUGAAAAUUUACGAAAUAAGAUGAUUUUAAUGCUUUAAGGAAACAUAAUUUUUAAAACAAAUGUAGUGUGAUUGAACGACAAUGUACAAUGCAAAAGGAUAAUUAAAAAAAAACAUGUAUACAUUAGUGAAUAACUAUCAAUCAAUAAAUAUAAAUAAGUAAAAUGAUACAUACGAGAACAAUAAUCUUACAUUCCAGAUUAUGCAAAUACUAAAUUUUAAAACUAAUGAAUUAUAAAUUAAUUUUGAAAGAAAUGCCAAGCAAACUAACACAAAUAAAAUAUAACAAGUUUUAAAAAUAAAAAGAAAUAAAAAAAGUACACAGAAAGAAAUUUAAAAUCAUCAGUACAAACAAUAAGUUAUAUGAAUAAUAUUUCAAAAUAAACAAUAUAUAUAUGAAUUUGAAAUAGUUCAAAAAUAAAGGUAAAAAAAUACUAUGUGAAAAGAAAUAAUAUCUAAAUGAAUUUUAAACAAAUAUUGUAUACAAAGAAAAUCAAAAUAAGUAAUACACAAAAUAAUACACGUAUAUCAAUCUAAAUGAAUAAUACAUAUUAAAAAAUCUUUAAAUCAUAGAAAUAUAAAUAAGUGAAUUUUUUAAAAAAUUUAAUUAUACUGCAAAAUAAAACCAUUAAAGAAUGUGUACAAUUCUAUUGAAUUUAUAUAAAAUAAUAUAUGACAAAUUAUAAUAAUAAUACAUAAUAAAUCUGAAAUAACAAUAUACAAUAAACUUAGAUAAUAUUAAUGAUAAAUUUAAGAUAAUAAUAAGUUUUAACAUUCAAAUAAUAUUAGAUUUAAAAUUAAAAAUAAAAAAUAGCAUAAUAAAAAAUACUUAAAUAAGUAAAAAGCAAGCAAAUUAAAAUAAAGUAAUGAGGAUUAAAUUGAAUUUAAAACAAAAUUUAAAAUAAAAAAAUGAGAAUAAAACAAAACUGAGAGCCAAAAAAAGACGCGCGGAUAACAUGGGGACCAAAUGGGAAAUAUUCCCUUCCUUCAAAACGCAGCGUUUUGACACGGACCAAAUUGGAAUGAAACAUAGAAUGCGUGGCCAAAUCUAAAUAAAAUAAAAGGAUAAAUUUGAAAGAGUUAUAAAAAGAACGGGGACCAUUUGCGCAAAUUUCUCCUACGCUAUAAAACGCGCGGAUACUUCUCCGGGUAGGGUCACCGGGCGCGUAUAGGCCAAUAUAGUGUCGUUUUGAAGCCACUGAAGCAGGCUGAAAAUGACAUCAUCACAAAAUUAGUAUAAGAUUAAAAUUAAAGCAAACAUUAAGCCAUUUAACCACAGAAACCCUAGCCCCUUUCGCCGUUCUGAACUUUGCUAAUUCUUUUAGCCUUGAAACCCUUGCCAAACUCUGAUCACGGCGAAGCAAACAAGGAUUUCGCGGCGGUUUUAUUAAGGUAACUUAUUCUUUUGUUAAUCGCCUCUUUUUUAUAUCUAGUAAUAAACAAAAUAAGGAUUCAAGAGCAGAGAAGAGAACUAUCAAGAGAAAAAGAAAAAAAUGAAAACUCAAAUCACCUUUCGAGAUUUCGUAUUUUUUGCCUAUUAGAUUUCUUUUUCUGAAUCAGUAUAUGUAAUCCUUUUACAAAUGAAUCAAUCGGCUUUAUAUAGCCGAAUAAAACCAAAAAAUUACAAAAUUAUUAUUUUUGUUAUUUAUCACUGCUGCUAUUCUCGUUUUUUCUUUUAUGUUAUUGCCUUCCUUCGUUUGCUUGUUUGUUGCGUCUAUUGUAGGUACCAAACCAGCUGGAGCACACGCAUGGAGGCACAAUGGAUGGGGGGCACACGCGUGUGGGGUUGGAGCUGCUGCGGCGUUGGGGCAACAGGCUAGGGUUUUUGGAAACUGCUUAGGUUUAUCUAGGUUUGGGCUUGUUGGGCCAAAUGGGGUUAGUUUUGGGUACUUUAAGUUAAAAUGAUUUGGGCUAUGUAUUUGGGUAUGGGUUUUAGGCUAAUACUGGACUACUAUUAUUUUUAUUUUAUUUUGGUUUAUUAUUGAUUGGGCCUAGGUUUUAUUAGAUUUGUAAUUGUAUUUGGUUUUUUAGUAUUUGGUUUGGGCUAGGCAAAAUUUGGUAUUACAAUUUGAAUUCAUUUAAAAUCCCCCAAAUUCCAGAUCUAAAAUUUUUUCUUUUUAAUUGACAAGAUUAAUUAAGAAAUUGAAGAGAAAAGAGAUCUUACCCAAGCCAGUUGAGAGAAAUGACGAUGACACUUUCUUUGCAAUGCUCAAGAUCGAUCUUAGGGUUCAAGAUUUUAGAUUUGGGGAUGAUUUAAAUGAGGAUAAAUGAUAGCAAUAGAGUAAAGGAGAUGGUGCACAAUCUUGAUGCAAAAAGAAGAAGAAAGAGAUGGUAAAUGGGAGGUGUAAGCAAUGACAACAAUGGGAGAAAGAAAGAAAAUAAGAGAAAAGUGGGGAGGAAGAUGCUGAACAGAUAGGGUAGGGAAAAAUUGAAUUUUAGGCUAAAAAUAUACUUAGGGUUCAAGGUUAUGGACAGCACACACAUUUAAAAAACAAAGGAUUUUGCAAAAUUUACUAUUUUGCAAGGGAAAGGAUUCGAAAUUGGGACCUCAUUUAAUUUUCAUGUUUUCUCAUAUUUCUUUUAACCAUUAGGAUUUUUCCUCAUUCUUAAAAUCAUUUUGAAAUAUUUAUUUUAAAAAUAAGGCAUGUCACACUAGGGUUUAAGGCAAAAUUAGCAAAAUAAUAAAAAAAAUGAGAGAGAAGGGGGUUUCAAGGAACGCUUCACUAAAACUUAUCCAACAAACCAACACCUCAUUAUUUUCCUAAAUAUGCAUAGGUAAUCAUCAAAAUUAAGGCAUCACCACUCUUUCUCGAUUCACAAACCCGAUUCUACUAACCCUUGAUUUUUGGGAUGUUAUAAGGUGAGUUCGUAGUGUAACAAUAUAUAUGUGUGUGUUUUGGGGAUACGAUUGGCAUGCCAAUAGGGUUAGUUACACUUCAAUGCCUCUCUUUACAAUUUGGUGCCACUGUAUUUGCACUACAGUGCCUCUGUUAGUAUUUCGAUGUUUAGGGGAAACCCGAGUAUCCAAGUCAUUUUAAUAUAGUUCAAAAGGCCAUGAAAUUUUAUGUUUAAAUGUUAAAUUACUCUUGAGUUUGAUUUAUGUAUAAAAUGAUAUAUUUGUGUAUAUACGUAUAUAAGCAUGGAUUGCUUUGGUUUGAGCCAUUGUUUAUAUUGAAUCAUAUGAGACAAAUGUUUUGAUUAGUAUAGUUUGAGAAUAAAUAUUAAUGCUUUGGUGUAAUUAUAUGAUUCAUAUGUCUAUAAACAUGAAUCUAAUUAUGUUUAUGGUGUGUUUAGAGAAUUAAAUGGUUAUAUGAUUAUUUUCCAGGUAUUCGAGGUUGUUUAAUUUGGUUUAAUGGGUAAAUAAAGCUUUAAAGGGUAUGUGAUUACAUGAAAUGAACUAUCAUAUUUGAGUAAUGAUAUGGAUUAUGAUGAAAUGUUUAAUUGAAAAGAAAAUAUGGUUUAGUAUAUAUGUAUGAGUGGUGAAUUAUGAAAGUGAAAUGUAGAUAUGUUUUAUACCAUGUUUUGAUUUGAAUUAUAUAUGAUAUGUUACACCAACUAACCUUGUGAGGUGGUGUGUAUAGGAAAGGAAAGUUGGCUUAAAACAUAAUGAAAUUAUGCUUGGUUUUUUAACUUAAAAUAUUCAAUAAGUUAAGUUUCAUUUAUAUGAACUUACUAAACAUUAAUUGCUUACAUAGUUAUUUUUCUUUAUUUUGUAGUUCAUCAGAAGCUCGGCCGGUUGGAAUCAUGUCAGAGCACGAUCACACUAUCCAUUCAACAUUUUGAUAGUUUUUGGUUAUUUUGGUAAAUGGUUAUAAAUGACAUGAAAUAGGGUUUAAAGGUCAUUCCAGUGAUUUGACUUGUUUUGAGUUGUGUCAAGCUUAUUGUGAUUAAUGUUGUUAGUUGCUGGCAUGUAAAUAAUGGUGUAAAUAUGUGUGGUCGGACCCUUAUGCAUGCUUUAUUGAUUAAAGAUAUCAUAUGUUAAAAUGGCAUGUUUUUGGAAUGGUUAUUUGGCAUGAUUGGUAUAGGUUUAAGUUAUGAUCUUGAGAUGUUGAAUUGAAUUAAGUUUGAUAUGUAUAUUGUGAUGCCUUCAUUGACAUAUUGGUUAGAUAUUAAGGGAUGGUUGAUUUGGUAUGUUUUUGAAAUGGUUGUUGGUAUGUUUGAUCUAAGUUGAUUAAAUGAACUUGUAAUGUUGAAUGGUAUAAUAUUUGUUGGUACAUUCAUUAGUCUUAUAGGUUGAUGGAAUUGGUAUGUUUUAAAUGUGUUUUAAAUGUGUUUUGAUUAUUUGGAUGUUUGUGGAAAUGGUGUCUCUUGGUGUACAAGAUUUGAAAUUGAAACGGCUUGAUUUAGAAUCAACUUAUGCUGCACACUGCCUGGGACAUGGAUUGUCACAUGGCUGUGUCAUAAUUGUUUUAGGUACGGGUUUCACACAAUCUAAGACUCGGCUCACGACACAGUUGUGUAUCACAAGUCAGUAUGUAACACAGUUUUGCACAUGGCCUGCGACACGAUCUUGUGUCUAGACUUCGAAUGUCCACAUGGUCUGGGCUAUGUCACAUGGCUUGGCCACAUGGUCGUGUGACUUUUGUUUUCAAGUUUUCCAAAAUUUUCUAUUUUAUUUCAAAUUGAUCCUAGAAUAUUCUCAAACUAUUUUUAAGGCCCCGUAGGUUCGGAUUAAGGCCCCGUAAGUGUAUGUUUGCUAUAAUUAAGUUGUGCUACUGAAUGUUACUAAUUCAAUCACAUGAAUAUUUUGUUGUAAGUUAAAUGUUUUAAUUUUUACUAUAAUGCUCUGUAACCUUAAUCUUGCGAUGAAAACAGGUUUGGCGUGUUACAAUUUUGGAUUGUAAAUUUGUUUUGGGGCUUUGUUCUUUGGUUCUUGCGAUGUUGGUUAGAUUUUGGUGUUUUAACAUUAAACUGCAAAAUUGUAUAACUUAAUAAACUAAAAAUUAGGUUUUCAAAAUUAAAACUCUGGAAAUUUUUCUUGCAAAGUUUAAGUAAUCACUUAAGUGUUUUUCCAUAAAUAAUUAAAUGGUUUUUAACAAAUGUUUUCCUUAGUUUUGGAAAUGAUCUGCCAAUAUUAGUACUUUUAAAACACAUGAUUUCAAAUUCAAAUUCUCAGUUUUAAAUAAGGGUUUUCACACUUCAGUUUUUUUUAAACAUUUGUGAGAGGUUUUUGCCAAAUUUUAUGUUUUCAGAAUGUGUAACUAAGUUGAUUUUUAAUUAGUUUUUCAAACGAGUCGAGUAAUUCCUCAAAAAUCCAGUCAUAGCGUCUAGGCCGGGUUUGGGAUGUUAUACUGACGUUACUAAAGUUAAUCUUCAUCUAUUUAGUCUAGAUCUAAACAUUAAUAUUCUCUUCCAAGAAAAAUCAAGACUAUCAAUUUGUUAAAACUUGGUAGGCAGACAAUCAUAUUAAAUAUGCAUAAAACUCAAUAAGUAAUUUGCGAAGAUUGAAACAAUCAAAGAAAAAAUUAAUUAAUUAACUAAGAAAUAGGAUACAUUGCUGUUUCAAGGAAACAGGGUUUAGUUCACAUUGAGUUGAGAAAACCAAAAGGGAGAUUCAAAAUGAACUUGUGAUAAGGGGAAUAAUGUCAAUGGAUCAUAUUCAAGUUGUUCAGCUCGAGAAAGAAAGAUUCAGAUUUAACUUGAAAAGAGUAAACCAAAAAGAUUUAGAAAAACAAAGAAAAUAACUAAAAUGAUAAAUUUAAGAAUAAAUAAUCAAUAUUAAAAAUAAUAAAGAAAUUAUAGAAUAAAUAGUGGAAGAUGGAAUGAAUAAACGAUGGAUAUGACAUAUAGAUGGAUAAGUGUCUUAUAAUUCAUGAAAAGAGUUAUAUUUCAUGCCUUUAGACCUAACUAAUUGCUUGUACUUACGUACAUUUUGUUGCAUUUUAAGACAUAUUAGUUAGCAUUUCUAAUAUUGCAUUAGGACUUAGAUUGUGCUGGAAUUAGCUGUUUUUAAUCGCUCGUGGUGGAGUUUUUUUUGUGUUUUGGUAUAGAAGGAACAUGUUUUAGAUCGAGGAAAUAAAUGAGUGAAGUUUUGUCAAGGCAAAACUGCAGAUAGUUUGCCAGCACGGAUGCCGUGACAAUGCCGGGAAGACCAAGUCAACAUUUUUUUGUGCAAUAGUCUCAGUUGAAAUUAAAACUUGUACCAGAUAAAUCUCCCUAAAAGAGGAAAAGAUAAUCACAAGACCCUAGCCUAAUCUAUCUAUAAAAGCCAAUAAAGGGGAUUCUCACAAAUGGCAGAAAAAAGUGGGAAGGAUCCUUAGGUGUGAAUAAGGGUUUAGCUGCGCAAAGGAAAGGAAGUCGAAGGCAGUCCUUUUUAGCCAUCACAGGACAUUGUGUUGCCGAAGUGUGGACUAGGCAAGUGAAAGUUGUUUACCAAAGUUCUUUUGUUAUUUCCAUCAGCGUUCCUUCAAAAUAUUGAAGUAGUUGAACACAAUGUUGGAUAAUAUUUUGCUUUGGAAUUUUAUUUCUCAUCCCACGAGCUAAAUCUCGUAGGGUUGGGAUUACUUUUGAUGAAACCUUAAACUAUUUUUAUGAAUGCAGUAUAUAUCUAAUUUACUUUACUGUUUCAUUUGAUUGUUCUUAUUUCUUAAUUAAAAUGCAAAUGAUCUCUAAACAUAGAAGACUGUUCACAUACUUAUAAAUUGAUUCUAAUUCUGAAAGGGUUGGAUUGGUUGGAUUAAAAUUAAAUGAAAUGAGCAAGUAUUCGAUGGACACUUGUAGUAGACUCUAGACAUAGAGUGGCGAUCAUACAGAAGGAACCCAUGCAAGGUAUCUAAAAAGUCUUUAGACACAAGCAAGGUAACUUGAGGGUUUGCUCUCACGAGAGGCAAGCCAUUUUAGUACUCUUCUGUGCUUUAAAGUAGAUACGAUUUUGCCAAGGCAUUAUUGACAGUAAGAGUCGAUUUUGGGUAAUCAACCUUCCAAAUCCACAUCGUAUAUCCUUUAUUCCUUACCAUAAUAUAUUUGCCACAUCAUUAUUAGUUAUUUAUUUGUUCAUUUACAUAAUAUUCCCGUAGUAAUUCUCAUAAUUGUCAUUACAUUUCUACUCUCGGUUUGCCACAACAUUACCAGUUAUUUAUUAAUUCCACGUAUUGCUUACAUCAUUACUCUACUAAUUGUGACUAUAUAUUUAUCAUUGAGUCUGCCAUAGCAUUAAUCAUAUUUUAUUAUAAUAACUUGAUCAAUUUUGUGCCUCAAUUCGAUCCCCAUGGGAAUGAUUCUCACUCAUCAGUUUAUUACUUGAUUCAACUGUAUACAUGCACAAAUCACAUAUCAUUUCACACACGACAGUGUUCAAUUGAACCCUUUGAGUUAUAAACUCGAACAAACUCAAUUAAUGGAUUUAAUCAACCCACCAAGAAAGAAUCAUUGGAAAAUUGAAGGAUGGAGAAUGAAUUCCCAUGACUCCUUAAAAAAAUUGAGAAGAAAACUACUUCUAAAAAUCACAAGAAACAAAUCUUGCACAAAGAAACUAACUCUCAGAGUUGGAAAUUUUAGUAAUAAACAAAAACAAUUGCGUCUCUAAUGAACAUGAAAGGGCCUUUACAUAGGCUAGAUAAGUACAUCCAAAUAAAAUUGUCAAGUAUCUAGAAACUUUAAUUAAUGUAAGCAAGAAGUAAUUUUAAACUAAAAUAGUCAUAAUUUUCGUAAUAAUCUCGUCCAAAAAUUUUGCUCACAUAGUCAUCAUUAAAAUAGUCAUAAUUUGAUCUUCUAAACUCAAAAUCGAGUGAAUAAAAGUGCGUUUCGAAGUUAAGUGAUAGAUCUUAGAACUCUAUGAGGACAUAUCAAUUGAAAAAUGCCUGGAUUCCAUCCAAAAAUUCACCGCAAGUUAACUAAUUUUUCAAACUUGAAAAUUGGUAGCUUCGGUGAAUGGAAUUUAAUAAAGUUCACCCCAUCUAUUCAUGUAUCAACUUGCAUUGUAAAAAGUAAAAAGAAAUAAUCUAUAGAGAAAAUAGUUGAAGAAUUUAUGACAAUUUAUUCAGAUCUCGUUUUCUUCUAGUCUUUACAAGCUUGAAGUUUCCCUUGGUGUGAGAGAGUUGUUCCUUACCCUCUAAGUGAUUUUUUUUCUUUUUCUUUCUCUUCGAUCUCGUCACCUAAGGGUGUUCAAACGAUUGAUUCAGUUAAUACCCGAACAAAACUAUCAUUAACUAAAAUUUUGAAACCCUUAAUCAUUAAUCAAACCAAAAUUUAUUUGAAACCUAUUAACCAGCCAGAUUGAUUUCGAUUAAUUUGAGCGGUUAACCAGAAUUUAUACACUGUUUGAUUUUGUUCAAACAAUUUUAAAACAAAGAAUAAUCCACAACAAUUUUUUCCGUAUUUUUUAUUCAAAAAAAUUAAAAGAAUUAAAAAAAAUAACAUAAUAACAACACUAAAUUAAAAACGUAAUAGCAUUCAUUACAUUACAAAGCAUAUAUAUAUAUUUACUUUUUCUUGAAUUUUUAGUUUAAUUUUAGUUUUUAUUCAAAUAUUUUUAGUUUUCAUAAUUUUGUUAAGCUUAUUAUAAGAGAACUUAUAAAUCCAUUAGUUUUUAUAUAUUGGGUUUGUAUAAUGUAUUUGACCUGUCUCUAAUAUAUUGGGCCUAUAAUAUAUUUUUAUUGAUUUCGGUUAAUCAAUUAAUUCGGUUAAUUAGUCGAUUUCAAACUAAACUAAUUGGUAAACAAAAUCUUCAAAAACCUUUAACCAACUCCCAACCAAAUUAGAUUCGUUGAUCAACUGCUUAAUCAAAUUAAUUAGGUUUGAUAAAUUAAUUCGUUAAAACCGAAAAAUUGACAUCCCUAUCACCACCUUUGUUUUUAGGGAUUUUAAUCAUGUUACUCCACUUGAUGCAGAAGUUGAGGUGGAACGAAUUGCUUGCUACCAAAAUUUAUGAAUUAUAGACCAUGCUCCACCCGGUGAAUCAAAUUCAGUGGAGUGGAAGACUUUUUCUUCACUACUUUGUGCUCUAUGCUCCAAGUCUUCUAUUCUUCUUCCGAGACCAACAAUGGGAAAAUUAAAAAUAAGAAACAAGUCUGAACUAACUUUGACAAUUAGAAAUUUUCAACAAAAUUGAAAUAAAAUAUAAUUAAUUAAUAAAAACUAUAAAAUUCAACAAAAACGAACCUAAAUACUAAAUUUACCUCCUAAAAUGCUAUGGAAACUAUAUUAAAAUAACUCUAAAUAUGAUAGUUAUCAAAAGCGACCUGAAGAAGCCAAUAUUCGAGUAGAUGAUUUCAACUAUUGCAAAUACCAUCAGUCGAUUAGCCAUCCUCUUGAGAAGAUUAUAGAGUUGAACGAAAAAAAUCAUACAACUCCAUGAAGAAGAAAAAAUCAUGUUUGAAAAAGAAGUGGCAUAAUCAAACUUGACAUCAAUGCUUUGGUUUCUCAAUACAAUAUUAUGGACAGAUUCAUCAAAUUUGGCUCUUUCAAUCCUAUUACACUAGCUCUAAGUAGAAGUAAGAUGGUGAAUUUCGAAAGGAUUGGGGGCAAUCAUCUAUUCUUGGAAUACCAGAAUGGUCAUUAUUGGACUCUAGCCACAUGUCAAAGAAGCCAAUGAAAAGCAUCUCUCCUAGGUAUAAGCUUAUAUUGUCACAUUACUCCUAAGCACGAGCAUAAAUUAGUCAUCCAAAAUGAUGAUGCUUCUAAGCAUGAGCUUAAAUUGUUCAUCUAAUGCUCCUAAGAAGGAGCCUAAACUAUUCAACCCAAAUGGUCAUGCUUUAAGAAAAAUCUUAAACUAUUUUUAAGGCCUUAUAGUUCGGAUUAAGGCCCGUAAGUGUAUGUUUGUUAUAAUUAAGUUGUGUUAUUGAAUGUUAUUAAUUCAAUCACAUGAAUAUUUUGUUGUAAGUUAAAUGUUUUAAUUUGUACUAUAAUGCUCCAUAACCCUAAUCUGGCAAUGGAAACAGGUUUGGCGUGUUACAAUUUUGGGUUCUUGCGAUGUUGGUUGGAUUUUCGUGUUUUAACAUUAAACUGCAAAAUUGUAUGAUUUAACAAACUAAAAUUAGGUUUUCAAAGUUAAAACUCUGGAAAUUUUUGUUGCAAAGUAUAAGUAAUCACUUAAGUGUUUUUCCAUAUAUAAUUAAAUGGUUUUUAACAAAUGUUUUCCUUAGUUUUGGAAAUGAUCUGCCACCAUUAGUACUUUUAAAACACAUGAUUUCAAAUUCAAAUUCUUUGUUUUAAAUAAGGGUUUUCACACUUCGUUUUUUUUUAACAUUUGUGAGAGGUUUUCGCCAAAUUUUAUGUUUUCAGAACGUGUAACUAAGUUGAUUUUUAAUUCGUUUUUCAAAUGAGUCGAUGUAAUUCCUCAAAAAUCCAGUCAUAGCAUCUAGGCCGGGUUUGGAUGUUAUACUGAUAUUACUAAAGUUAAUCUUCAUCUAUUUAGUCUAGAUCUAAACAUUAAUAUUCUCUUCCAAGAAAAAUCAAGAUGAUCAAAUUGUUAAAACUUGGUAGGCAGACAAUCAUAUUAAAUAUGCAUAAAACUUAAUAAAUAAUUAGCGAAGAUUGAAACAAUCAAAGAAAAAAUAAAUUAAUUAACUAAGAAAUAGGAUCCAUUAUUGUUUCAAGAAAAUAGAGUUUAGUUCACAUUGAGUUGAGAAAACCAAAAGGGAGAUUCAAAAAAAACUUGUGAUAAGGGGAAUAAUGUCAAUAGAUCAUAUUCAAGUUGUUCGGCUCGAGAAAGAAAGAUUCAGAUCUAACUUGAAAAGAAGAAACUAAAAAUAUUUAGAAAAACAAGAAAAAACAAAGAAAAUAACUAAAAUGAUAAAUUUAAGAAUAAAUAAUCAAUAUUAAAAAUAAUAAAGAAAUAAAGAAAUUAUAGAAUAAAUAGUGGAAGAUGGAAUGAAUAAAUGAUGGAUAUGACAUAUAGAUGGAUAAGUGUCUUAUAAUUCAUGAAAAGAGUUAUAUUUCAUGCCUUUAGAUCUAACUAACUGCUUGUACUUAAGUACAUUUUGUUGCAUUUUAAGACAUUUUAGUUAGUGUUUCUAAUAUUGCAUUAGGACUUAGAUUGUGUUGGAAUUAGGUGUUUUUAAUCGCUCGUGGUGGAGUUUUUCUGUGUGUUGGCAUGGCAAGAACAUAUUUUAGAAUGAGGAAAUAAAUGAGUGAAGUUUUGUUAGGGAAAAAGUGCAGACAAUUUGCCAACACGGAUGCCGUGACAAUGCUGGGAAGACCAAGUAACAUUUUUUUGCGCAAUAGUCUCAGUUGAAAUUAAAACUUGUACCAGAUAAAUCUCCCUAAAAGAGGAGAAGAUAAUCACAAGAUGUCAGCUGACCCUAGCCUAAUCUAUCUAUAAAAGCCAAUAAAGGGGAUCUCACAAUUGGCAGAAAAAAGUGGGAGAGAUCCUUAGGUGUGAAUAAGGUUUUAGCUGCGCAAAGGAAAGGAAGUCAAAGGCAGUCCUUUUUAGCCAUCAUAGGACGUUGUGCUGCCGAAGUGUGGACUAGCCAAGUGAAAGUUGUUUCCGAAAGUUCUUUUUUUAUUUCCAUCAGCGUUCCUUCAAAAUAUUGAAGUAGUUGAACACAAUGUCGGAUAAUAUUUUUCUUUGGAAUUUUAUUUCUCAGCCCAUGAGCUAAAUCUCGUAGGGUUAAGGUUACUUUUGAUGAAACCUUAAAUAUUUUUAUGGAUGCAGCAUAUAUCCAAUUUACUAAACUGUAUCAUUUGAUUGUUCUUAUUUCUUAAGUAAAAUGCAAAUGAUCUCUAAACAUAGAAGACUGUUCGCAUACUUAUAAACUGAUUCUAAUUCUAAAACGGUUAGAUUGGUUGGAUUAAAAUUAAAUGAAAUGAGCAAGUAUUCGAUGGACACUUGUAGUAGACUCUAUACAUAGAGUGACGAUCAUACAGAAGGAACCCAUGCAAGGUAUCUAAAAAGUCUUUAGACACAGGCAAGGUAACUUGAGGUUUUGCUCUCACGAGAGGCAGGCCAUUUUAGUACUCUUCUGUGCUUUAAAGUAGAUAAGAUUUUGCCAAGGAAUUAUUGAGAGUAAGGGUCGAUUUUGGAUAAUCAACCUUCCAAAUCCACAUCGUAUAUCCUUUAUUCCUUACCAUAGAAUAUUUGCCACAUCAUUAUUAGUUAUUUAUUUGUUCAUUUACAUAAUAUUCCCGUAGUAAUUCUCAUAAUUGUCAUUACAUUUCUACUCUUGGUUUGCCACAACAUUACUAGUUAUUUAUUAAUUCCACGUAUUGCUUACAUCAUUACUCUACUAAUUGCGACUGUAUAUUUAUCAUUGAGUUUGCCAUAGCAUUAAUCGUAUUUUAUUAUAAUAUCUUAACUAAUUUUGUGCCUCAAUCUGAUCCCCAUGGGAACGAUACUCACUCAUCACUUUAUUACUAGAUUCAACUGUAUACUUGCACAAAUCGUAUAUCAUUUCACACACGACAAUGUUCAAUUGAACCUUUUGAGUUAUAAACUCGAACAAACUCAAUUAUUAGCUUUAAUCAACCCACCAAGAAAGAAUCAUUGGCAAAUUGAAGGAUGAAGAAUGAAUUCCCAUGAAUCCUUAAAGAAAUUGAGAAGAAAACUACUUCUAAAAAUCACAAGAAACAAAUCUUGCACAAAGAAACUAACUCUCAGAGUUGGAAAUUUUAGUAAUAAACAAAAACAAUUGCGUCUCUGAUGAACAUGAAAGGGCCUUUACAUAGGCUAGAUAAGUCCAUCCAAAUAAAAUUGUCAAGUAUCUAGAAACUUUAAUUAAUGUAAGCAAGAAGUAAUUUUAAACUAAAAUAGUCAAAAUUUUUGUAAUGAUCUCGUCCAAAAAUUCUGCUCACAUAGUCAUCAUGAAAAUAGUCAUAAUUUGAUCUCUUGAACUCAAAAUCGAGUGAAUAAAAGUGCGUUUCAAAGUUAAGUGAUAGAUCUUAGAACUCUAUGAGACAUAUCAAUUGAAAAAUGUCUGGAUUCCAUCCAAAAAUUCACUGGAAGUUAACUAAUUUUUCAAACUUGAAAAUUGGUAGCUUCAGUGAAUGGAAUUUAAUAAAGUUCACCCCAUCUAUUCAUGUAUCAACUUGCAUUGUAAAAAGUAAAAAGAAAUAAUCUAUAGAGAAAAUAGUUGAAGAAUUUAUGACAAUUUAUUCAGAUCUCUUUUUCUUCUAGUAAUAUAUUGGGCCUAUAAUAUAUUUUUAUUGAUUUCGGUUAAUAAAUUAAUUCGGUUAAUUAGUCGAUUUCAAACUAAACUAAUUGUUAAACAAAAUCUUCAAAAACCUUUAACAAACUCCCAACCAAAUUAGAUUCGUUGAUCGACUGCUUAAUCAAAUUAAUUAGGUUUGAUAACUUAAUUCGUUAAAACCGAAAAAUGCACAUCCCUAUCAUCACCUUUGUUUUUAGGGAUUUUAAUCAUGUUGCUCCACCUGAUGCAGAAGUUGAGGUGGAACGAACUACUUGCUACCAAAAUUUAUGAAUUAUAGAGCUUGCUCCACCGCAGUGAAUCAAAUUCGGUGGAGUGGGAGACUUUUCUUCACUACUUUAUGCUCUAUGCUCCAAGUCUUCUAUUCUUCUUCCGAGACCUACAAUGGAAAAAUAAAAAAAUAAGAAACAAGUCUGAACUUACUUUGAAAAUUAGAAAUUUUCUACAAAAUUGAAAUAAAAUAUAAUUAAUCAAUAAAAACUAUAAAAUGCAAUAAAAACGAACCUAAAUACUAAAAUUACCUCCUAAAAUGCUAUGGAAACUAUACUAAAAUAACUCUAAAUAUGAUAGUUAUCAGAAGCGACCUGAAGAAGCCAAUCGAGUAGAUGAUUUCAACUAUUGCAAUAAUAUUGGUCGAUUAGCCAUCCUCUUGAGAAGAUCAUAGAGUUGAAAGAAAAAAAUCAUACAACUCCAUGAAGAAGAAAAAAUCAUGUUUGAAAAAGAAGUGGCAUUAUCAAACUUGACAUCAAUGCUUUGGUUUCUCAAUACAAUAUUAUGGACAGAUUCAUCAAAUUUGGCUCUUUCAAUCCUAUUACACUAGCUCUAAGUAGAAGUAAGAUGGUGAAUUUCAAAAGGAUUGGGGGCAAUCAUCUAUUUUUGGAAUAUCAGAAUGGUCAUGAUUGGACUCUAGCCACAUGUCUUCGGAACAUCAGAAUGGUCAUGAUUGGACUCUAGCCACAUGUCAAAGAAGCCAAUGAGAAGCAUCUCUCCUAGGUAUAAGCUUAUAUUGCCACAUUACUCCUAAGCACAAGCAUAAAUUGUUCAUCCAAAAUGAUGAUGCUUCUAAGCAUGAGCUUAAACUGUUCAUCUAAUGCUCCUAAGAAGGAGCCUAAACUAUUCAACCCAAAUGGUCAUGCUUUAAGCAAAUAUUAAACUAUUCUUAAAAAAUAAAUGAUGAUCCAAUGAAGCACAAGCUUAAUCUAUUCAUACGAAACAAAUGAUGACCUCCUAAGCAUGAAUUUAAAUUGUUCACACAUAAUAAAUGAUGAUACUCCUAAGCGCGAGCUUAAAUUGCAGUCCAAAAAAUAUUGAACUACGUUAUAACUUGAUCUUUUAAAAUUGAAGGUAAGUAGAUAGCCUGGUUUCAUUGCCAAGUUCAGUCUAUAUGAUAAAAAAAAUUUGAAGGUGAUCUUUGAAACAAAUUCAUCAAAGUAGGAAGCAAAUAAAAUUUCAAGACUUGUCCCCUUUCUACGCCCAACAAAAUUCAGAAUCCAUCAUUUGUUAUUACUGUAAUAAUAUCUCUAACUAAAUUAAUGAAAAGAUAAAUCAAGAAAUUAAAUCCUUUUAGAACUCUCUUAUAAAGAAACCAUAUUAAGGAUUACUUUAGAUCUAAUUAAUUAAAUUAAUAAGAUAUGAAUAAUAAUAAUAGAGUUUAAAUUCUUAUAGAACACUCAAAUGAAAAUGUUAAAUUCUACAAGAACUCUUAUAUGAAAGUGAUUGACACUAAAAAAAUGGGUCACCUCCAAGUUAUUCUACACAUUCACAAGUUCAAGAAGUUGAAAAAUUAUUUACAAAAAUAUUUGAAGAAACUAAAGAAGUAGAAGAAAUUCUAAUGAACAUCAUAUCAAUUGAGAGGAGGAUGUGAACAGAAGAGAAGAUUGAAAAGAGUUUUGUUUGUAAAGAAAUUCAAAACUUGUUAUAAAAUUUGACGCAAAAUUUUCAAGUCAAUUUUCAACUUGAAAUUUGUGUGUACUAUAUAUAUGGGAAAGAAUCCAUUUACAUUAUAUAAAACUAUUGUAUGUAUAAUACAAAAAUAUUUAAUACAUUAUCAAUAAAGUUUUUAAACUAUGCACCUGUGAUUAAAACCAAAAUAAUAAUAUUAAUAACAACCAAUCACUUUAUUUGACUAACUUUUCCUCACAAGUCUUUGGUAUGGAGACAAAUCAGUUUAAUCAGUCUUUGGAGCUAUUAACUGACAUUUCCACCAUUGAUUUGAAAAUCAUAACCCAUCAAUUCACUUUAAAUGAAACGAGAUCCUCAAGUGUUUGGUGUUAUAUUCUUAAAAUGUAUUUAGAUGAUUGUUUAUUAAUUUUAUUUCUUUAUAUUUAAAUCAAAUGUAAUAAAUUGUUGAAUUUAUAUACUUCUUAUUAUAACAAUAUAUGGACUAUCUUCCUACUUCUUUUUUUAAUUUAAUUUUUUGUAACUCUUCACAAUUUAUUUUGAAAAACAUUGAAAAAAAACUAAAUGAUUAAAUUAAGGCUCAACUUUUCACUAAUCUUAGUUUAUUUAGUCUAACUUUUCACAAUUUCAUAUACUCAUUUCAUGUUUCAUACCAACAAUUUUUCUUUUUGGUAAAAAGAAAAAAACAACUAUACUUUCUUUAAUCCCAAAAUUAAGGCUUUAUGAAUGAAAAUAAUAUUAUAUUAACUAUGAUAAUUAAGUUUUUAUUUUAAAUAUGAUUAAUUUUAUAUAUAAUAACUUUAAAUAUAAAUAUAUAUAUAUCUAUAAUUAAAUUUUAAAGAAAUUUAUUGUUAUUUUCUAAACAUAAAACAAAGAAAACUUUUUACCCAAAUUAUAAGUUUGUGGUUAGGCAGCCCACUUUGGGACAGGAUUCAGCUUACGUUUUUAAUCUUGGGCUUUAAAAAUAAUAAAAAUAUAAAAAUAAUGUUCGAUUAAUAUUUAUAAAUUUUAUAAAUUUAAAUUUAAUUAUAUUUUUUAUACAGUAAAAUCAACCAUUUAUAUGGGCUAAAUUGAGUUAAGUUCGGUUUGCAUCAAGCCUUAACUUUGACCAAAUCCAACGAAAAACACCUCUAACCAUAAUCUAGUAUUGUUUUUAUGAAUUGAAUUUUAACUUGUAAUUUUCAAUUUUAUACAAACUUUCUUUGCCUACGAUAAGGAAAUAACAUAUUUGUAACUUCUCCAAUCUGGCGUAAACAUUCAGUCUGAAUUCGGAAGAUUACAUCGGCCAUAAAGAUGGCCUAGCAGGGUUAUCAGAGUUUUUGAAAAUAGACAUCUUUAAAACGUUUGUUUAAUUCAGUAAAAAACUAAUUUAAUUUCCAAAUUAUUUAUUACUUGAAAUCUUAAUUACACUUUAAAAGAAGGAAGUGGUAACUAUUUAUUUUUAAUAAAAAUUAGGGUUCAUGUAUAAUUGAUUAAUAACCAUAAUUCGAAAACAUUAAAACUUAAAUUAAAUGUCAUGCAAAAUAAAACAAGCUUAAACCUAAAUCUCAUGCCACAGUUCAAAAUAAUUUAUUGUAGUCUUCAAAAAUAAAAUAAAUCAUAUAAUCAACCAAAAAUAAGUUUUGUAAUUUAGCAAUGUAUCGAGACCUUCUAGAUGUCAUGCCCGCGUCCUAACUUGGUUAUUUGUAAGUGUAACGACCCGAAUAAUUUAUCUCUAUUUCUGUAAAUAUUUGACGCAAAUACUUGUUUGCUUCAGUGGUUAAAUGUUUUGGGUGUGUUUGAGAGGUCUUGGGUUCAAGUCUCAUUUUUGUAAAAUUUUGUUAUUUUUAUGAUUCAAGCCUUAGCCUUGUUGAGUGGGCUUUUAUGAAAUUGUUUGCUACUUCAUAUUAGAAUGAGCUUGCUAGUUCAAGUGGUAAGGAGUUGGUGUGAAGGAGGUUCUGUGUGUGAAUCCCUGCACGAGCGUGGGUAUUAUUUUUUUGCUCAGUUAUAUGGUAGAGUUUCGGUGCUUUUGGGAUUAUAGGGUAGUUGGAUGUGAAUUAGUGGGGAGUUAGGAUAUUAGUGGGUUUUUAAUUAGAUUUUAUUUAAUUUUUAUUCUUUUUGUUUUUCCCAAUUUUUCUCUUAGCUUUUGACGUUCUGUUUCCCUUUUCUCCUCUGCUGAAUUUUUGCCGCUCCCUCUCAUUUUUGAUUUUUCCAAUUCGUCUCCUUUUUGUGCAAUGUUUGAUUGCAUUCGUUCGGUAAGUCUUGUAUUGUUACGAUCUUAUUGUUUGGUGGUUAAUGUUUUAAUGGGGGUUUUGUGUUUACUCUCGAUUAAGGGAAGGGCAAGAAGAGUUGGUACUCCUGCAAGAUUUGAGCGUUAAGGGUGUCUGUUCGUUGGCGGUAAGUUUUCAAAUUCUUUGUUGGUUAUUGUAAGGCUCCGUUUGUGGAAUGGUUUCGGAUUGAGUUUCGUAAGUGUGUAUCGAAUUUGGGCUUCUGGAUACUGUUUCUUAGGUUCGGUGGUCUCAGGGGUGCUUGUGCAUCAAAAUGAUAUCAGGUGUGUACCCGAAACGUAGAAAAUCGAGUUUCGAUGAAAGGUAAAAAACCUUAUUUUCGAUGCCACACGGGCGUGUGCAUGGCCGUGUGGUUGGCCGUGUGCAGGACACAGUCAUGUGUUCGACGAGGGUAGGGCCGUGCGCAAGACACGGCUGUGUGACGAUGUGGGUGUGGCCGUGUGGGCCACAUAGGCUAGGCCAAGUUGGGCUUGUGGGUUUUGGGCCACACGUGCAUGUGCCUUUUAAACAAGUCCGUGUGGACCACACGGGUAGGGCUAAUAUGGGCGUGUUGGCCACAUGGGCAUGUGGGCCGAAAAUUCUAAAAUUUUCCUUAAGGUCGCACAGGUCGUUCUAGUCGACUGUGGGCCUACCGUAGGGUCGGUAAGGGCUAACCAAACCCUAAAACUAUGUGAUCUGUUAGUUUGAUAUUUUGUUCUGAAUAUGAUACUGCUAUGCAUGUUUGAUUAGUUUGGUGUAUGUAUAUAUAUAUAUAUCUGAUAUCUAUGUAUGAGCAUGUGAGCAUGGUAACUCUAAUUAUCUAUAUCUGAUUGGGGUGGGAUUUGUAUAUGUGGAGGAAGUGUUCUGUAUGGCGGUCAUCGCUUAUAUUCUGGCAGCUUGGCUGCACAUUAUCUGACAUGUGUCGUAAUGGCACGAUAUGGUGUGUAGGGAUGGGUGGGUGUUUUUAACCCCACAUGAUGUGAUGGGAUAGUUGGAGUUGGUGUGUAGAGGAUGGAGUUAGGAUUUUGUAUUUCUGAUCUGAUCUGCAUAUCUGUUAUGUUAUCUGAAUCUGUAAAGGACUUAGGUCUGAAUCCGAAUCUAAAAUUGUAUCUGACUAUGUAUGAGUUUACUGCAUGUAUUGCAUGCAUUUUUUUAUUGGCUUACACACUAAGUUUACAAAAACUCACAUUUGUUUGUCUGUUAUGUUCAGGUAAUCCACAGAUUUAGGCGGGUCGGUGUGACGGAGGCUCAGUGGUGACCACCUGAUUGAGAACUAUUUUACUUAGUAAAUUAUGUUUUAUUUAUAAUUUCUAUUUCAUUUGAGAGUUUUUAAUUUUUGAGACUCUCAGUACUGCUGGUUUUUAUUUUGGUUUUGGAUGCGAUUUUAGACUAUUUUGUUGCGAUGCAUGAUGGAAAACACGAUUUUAUGAAAAAAAGUUAUUCUGAAAAUACGAACUGGAUUUCUAAAAUAUAACGGUUCAAAAACUUUCACUAAAAAUCACGUUUUGGUAAAUAAAUGAAUUAAAUAAUACUUUCAAAAAUGGUUAUAAAUAAUUAUGAACUAUGAAUCUUUAAUGAUUUGAUGAAACGACCUUAUUUUCAAAACCAUACCUUGUGACCACUCCGGAUUCAGCCAUAACGUCUGGGCUGGUUUGGGGUGUUACAGUAAGGAUGAAAAUUUAAGGGAAUGAGCUAUGACGCUUACUAUGAGUUCAUUCACAAUAAAUUCAACGCAAACGGUUGGUAGGACACAUUAAAUAAUAUCGCAUAAAAUAAUCACAAUUAGAUAAUAGUUCAGAAUGUCGGUUUUACAAUUUAACCACCAAUAUAAUCACAGUAUUCACAGUUGUAAUUUUAGAAUAUCAAAUUUCCACAUCAUUCACAAUAUUCAGAUAUAUAUAAAUAUAUCAUAACAGAAUUCUGGAUUUGUAUGCACAUGAUUUAGAAGAUGCCAUACAAUUUCAGGUUUUAACAGAAUAAAUCCUACCCCACGUUACAUACCAUAAUGGGAGUUCCCCUAAACUCCCUUCUGCAACACACUGGGUUAUGGAUAAACCACUACCGGUUUACAGAUAAUAACUAUCAUUUGGUUGUGGACACACAGCAAGUCUCCACAAUUGGAUUCUAGAUUUGGUUGUGGGUUCACAGCAAAAAAAAUCUACAAAUGAAGCCUGCUUUUGCCUGUAGAUUAUACAACAUAUACCCAUAGUUGGAAUCUGCCUUCGGCUAUGGAUGCACUGUAACACCUCAAACCUGACCUGGACGUUAUGACCGAAUCCUGAGGAAUUACUUUAACUCACUAGAAAACCCAAGAGUUUACUAUGAAAUCAUGUGGUUAAACUAGUGUUCACUUUGAUAAAUCGUUUUCCAGUUUUAGGGAAAAUUAUUGUUAAAACUGUUACUUUAUUACAAUAAAACAUUAAAGUGAUUAUAUCAUUUUGUAACGGAAUCUACUGAGCUAUAAGGUUAUGAAAAUCGUGGUUUAAUUUGCAACAAAUCAUUUUGUAAAUAGAAAUUUAAUACUACUUAAUUUGGAAAAGCAUGCUAAAACGAAAGCAAAGUCCAAACUAAUUUAUGAUUUAAAAUUCUAAAAAGUCCAAAUUAAACAUAAAGUCAAUUUAAACCAGUUUAUCGAACGUGUAACACCCCAAACCUAGCCUGGAUGUUAUGGCUAAAUCUGGAUGUGUUACGAAAAAAAAGUUUAUAAAACGACUUCCUUAUUAUUGGCAAAUCAUCGCAACCAUUAUUACUUAGUAUGCUCGAUUUGUUUGGAAAACUUAUUGAUAUACUUAUUUGAUUUAAAAUCAUUGCUCGCUUAUGCCUUUCUAUUAAACUGAAUGUUUUGUAGUGGAGUUUCUUUAAAACACCAUAUUUUGGCAAAUCAAUUUGUUUCUUGAAAAUCGUUAUUUCAAAAAAAUUGUCAUUUUUAGAAAAAACUAUUUUAUCAGUUGUUACGCUUAGAAACCAAAAUAAAAUCCAAAACCAAAAAUAGUCCCAAAAAGUCCAGAGAGUCCCGAAAUUACAAAACUCUCAAAACCAGAAAAGUUUGAACUAAUUUAAAAAGAAUGAAAUUUUACGGAAAUAUGGUUAACACUGAGCUUCCAUCACACCGACCCACCUAAAUCUGAGGGUUACUUGAAUAGAACAAACAAAUAGAGAGAGUUUUGAAACUCAGUGUGUAACGCGAAUAUAAACAAAAAUUCAGAAUCAAUCUCAUGCAGAACAUAUACAAAUGUAAACCAUUUAUAGAAUAAGAAUUAUACAGAUACAAAUAUGCAACAUCCUACCCUCAUCCUAUACACACCAAUUCUGACCAUCCCAUCACACCACGUGGGGUAUAAAACACCCACCCAGCCCUACACACCGUAUAGUGUUUAUACAACACUUUUCAAAAUAAUCGCAGCAGAGUUGCCAGUAUAUAGGUGAGAUAUCGCUUCACACAGAACACUUCCUCCUCAUAAUACAAAUCCCGCUCCAUAGCCAGAUACAGAUAGAAUAUCAGGUAAAACAAAUUAAUAGAUACCAGAGUUAACAUAUCACGCGUGAGCGUAUAACAGAUAUUACACAUGCUUAUACAUAACAGAACAAAUCAUACAUACCGUAUUCCAUAAUACUCAUAUAAAUGUUAUUUUUUAAAUUGUAACAAAUAUUAUUAUUAAGAUGUUUUUCUUUUUAUAUUUUUUUAUAAAAUAUAUUAAAAAACAAUUAGAAUAAUUUUAAGAGAAAAAACACUCAUAAACAGUAGAAUUUAAUCUAAAAAUAUCAAAGUUUUAAAGCCUCAACUUUAACAUUUCAACCAAAAUUCCAUUAGUAUAUAAAUAUUUUAUAAAUAUAGAUUUUAUAUAAAAAAAUUUUAUGUAAACUUUUUUUUAACCCACAUCACAAGUAUACCAUAUUUAGAGAUAUUCAUAGCUAGGCAGCCCACUUUGGGUCAAACUUGAGCUUAGGUUUCAUCUCAAGUUGGCCCAAUUUAACCUAUUUUACUAUUUAAAAAUAUAAAUAUAUGUUAUAUUGAUAUUUAUAUAUUUCUAUAAUUAAAUUUUAAAUAAAUUUAUUGUUAACUUUUAAACACAAAACAAAGAAAACUUUCACCCAAAUUAUAAGUUUGUGGUUAGACAGCCCACUUUCGGGGCAGGAUUCAGCUUACGUUUUUAAUCUUGGGAUUUAAGAAUAAUAAAAAAUAUAAAAAUAAUAUUGUAUUAAUAUUUAUAUAUUUUAUAAAUUUAAAUUUAAUUAUAUUUUUUAAACAGUCAAAUGAACCAUUUAUAUGGGCUAAUUAGAGUUAAGUUUGGUUUGAAUCAAGCCUUAACUUUGACCAAAUCCAACUAAAAACACGUCUAACAAUUAUCUAGUAUUGUUUUUAUGAAUUGAAUUUUAACUUGUAAUUUUCAAUUUUAUUACAAAAUUUCUUUGCGGACGAUAAGAAAAUAACAUAUUUGUAACUUCUUCAACCCGGCGUAAAGGUUAAGUCUGAAUUUGGAUUACAUCAGCCAUAAAGAUGGCCUAGCAGGAUUAUCGGAGUUUUUAAAAACAAACAUCUUUAAAACGUUUGUUUAAUUUAUAGAAAAGCUUAUUUAAUUUCCAAAUUAUUUAUUACUUGAAAUCUUAAUUACACUUUAAAAGUAGGAAGUGGUAACAAUUUAUUUUUAAUAAAAUUCGGGGUUCAUGUAUAAUUGAUUAAUAACCGUAAUUCGAAAACAUUAAAACUUAAAUUAAAUGUCAUGCAAAACAAAACAAGCUUAAAUCUAAAUCUCAUGCCGCAGUUCAAAAUUAUUUAUUGUAGUCUUAGAAAAUAAAAACAAUCAUAUAAUGAACCUAAAUUUUUUAUUUUACUUUAAUAAUGUGUCAAGGUCUUACAGAUGUCACGCCUGCGUUCAAUCUUGGUGGGUUAUCUGUAAGGAUGAAAAUUUAAGGGGGAGUGAGCUAUGACGCUUAGUGUGAGUUCAUUCACAAUAAAUUCAAUGCAAACGGUUGGUAAGACACAUUAAAUAACAUUGCAUAAAGUAAUCACAGUCAGAUAACAGUUUAGAAUGGCGAUUUUACAAUUUAACUACCAAUAUUAUCACAAUAUUCACAGCUGUAAUUUCAGAAUAUCAAAUUUCCACAUCAUUCACAAUACUAACAUAUAUAUAAAUAUAUCAUAACAGAAUUCCAGAUUUGUAUGCACAUGAUUUAGAAGAUGCCAUACAAUUUUGGGUUUUAACAGAAUAAAUCCUACCCCACAUUACAUAUCAUAAUGGGAGUUCCCCUAAACUCCCUUCUCCAACACACUAGGUUGUGGAUAAACCACUACUCGUCCACAGAUAAUAACUAUUAUUUGGCUGUGGACACACAACAAAUCCCCACAGUUGGAUUCUAGCUUUGGCUGUGGGUUCACAGCCAAAAGUCCUGCAAAUGAAGCCUGUUUUUGCAUGUAGAUUAUACAACCUAUACCCGCAGUUGGAAUCUGUCUUUGGCUAUGGAUGCACUAUAACACCCCAAACCCGACCUGGACGUUAUGGCUCAAUCUUGACGUAAUGCCCCAAAAUUUCUAAUUUCGUUAUUGUGAAAAUAUGACACAAAAUAUUUGUCUGCUUUAGUGGUUAUGUGUUCUGGGAGUGUUUAGGAGGUCCCAAGUUCACGCCUUCACAUGGGAAAAUUUUGGUAUUUUGAAUGAAUUAGGUAUUACUCUUAUUCAGUAGGCUUUUAUUUGAUUGUUGGGUAAAUUAUAUUAGAAUGGGCUUGCUGGUCUAGUGGUUAAAUGGUUUAUUAUUAUGGUGGAGGUCUUGUGUUCAAGUCCCUAUGUAGGCAAGGGUAUUAUUAUUAUUAUUAUUUGCUCAAAUUUCUGGAUAGAGUUGUGUAAUAGGGGGAUUCUGAGUAGUAGAUGUGUAGUGGGAAUUAGGGGAGAAGAUUAAGGAGUUUCAGGGGUUAUCGAGAUUUUAUUUUAUUUUUUCCCAUAACCGAAUUUUGACUUUCUUUUUCCAAAAAAAAUCUGCCAUCUAUUCUUCUCCCUCUCCUCUUGUCGAAAUUCUCUUAGUUUUUUCACCUUUCUCUUCUUUUUCUUCUUCUUGAUUUUUCCCUAAUCCAUUUAUUUUUCUUCAUUUUCGCACGCGGUUAGUUUUCGCUUAGUUUCGAUAAGUGUUUCUCUUCGUUUCUAUCAUGAAUCUCCUAGCGACUAAAGUGGUAACUUUUUUUCUCUGUGAUUUGGGUGUAGGGGAAGGCUCGAACUGUUGAAUUCAGUAUUCUCGUCUUAACAAUAGUUAAAUGGAGGGUUAUCGUUGGUGGUAAGUUGGGUUUCUGUUCAUUCUUAGUUGUCAAUUUGCUUGUAAAUCUGUUAAAUUGAUGUUGAGUAUCUUGAUUAUAGGCUUUGGAGUGCUUGGGGACUGUUUUAGCAUCAAACAAAACCAGAUGUGUACCCGAAACGCAAAAAAAAAGGGAUUCGAUCGAAAGCCGAAAUUGUUUGCUGUUUGGACAGUAGCAGUAGGCUAACUUUGAAAAAUCGCCAUAAAUUGUGGAAAUCGAAUUAGAGGAUGAAAAAAAUAUGAAAUUAAAUCUUAUUGAGUCUAGUUUCUCAUAGAAGAACGGUGUAAGUAAUGGAAUUUUAAAUCGUGAGAUAAUAAACUAUGUGAGACAAGGUUAGAAUAAAUUCGGGUUCCCUUGUUCUGACUUUGGAAAAUCAUCAAAAAUUGGAUAAAAAUAAUUAGGAAUUAAAAUUUACAUGUUUAAAUUAUUAAUUAGUCUUUUUUCAAUAGAAACAAAUGGGAACUUCAUCCAAAAUUUUUACUAAGAGAUAAUUAAUUUUUAGCAAUGAAGGGUCGAAGCUGUCAAACAGCAGAACAAGGGUAAGUUUGAAGAUUUUACCAUACUUAUUGGCUGAGCCAAAAAUUUAAAAAUUUUAUGGUAGAAAGGUAUUUGAGUCUAUUUUCAAAUACAUCAAGUGAAUUUUAAUUAGGAAUUCUUUAGCUCAAGAUAUAAAUAAUUUAGUUACAGUGAGUCAAGUAGAAAGCUUUGAAGGAACACAUAAGUAAAUUGUGAUAAGAUAUAUGAAUAUUUAGCUAGCACAGGUUACAUUGAAAAUGGAUCACGCAGCCAAGGCCAAUUUGGGCUGAGUGGGCCACAUGGGCAUGUGAGCCCAUUUUUCUGAAAAAUUCUGUAAGGUUGCACGGGUCGCCCAAGUCGACUAUGGACCUACUGUAGGGUCGGUAAGCUUUACUUAGACGCCUAUAUGUGUGAUCUAUCUGGCUGAUUUCUAUACCGAGCAUGACUUAUGAUAUUUGAAUGUAUGUACUUUUAAUUACAUAAUGGCAUGACAAAUUUUGUAUGUUGCAUUGCAUCGGAGUGGGUUGAUGAUAUUUGGAGGAAGUGUCUAAAAGGCUAUUAAGCCUGUUAUCUGGCAGCUCAGCUGUAACCUUCUGAUUAUGUGCGCAUUUCAGUACAACAUGGUGUGUAAGGAUGGGUGGGUUGAUUUAACCCCCACAUGGUGUGUAAGGUUGGACAAAGAUGUGCGUAGAGGCUGGUGGGUAGGAUUCUGAUUUCUGUAUCUACAUUAUGUAUCUGAUAUGGGCCAAGGCUCUAAUGUAUUUCUGAGACUGUAUCUAAACGGGCUAAGGCCCAAACUGAUUGUGUGAUGGGCCUAGGACCCAGACUGUAUCUAACUAAAUUCUGUUGAUUAUUUGUAUGCAUGAUUUCUAUGGGGAUUACACACUGAGUUUGCGAAAACUCACCCUUUCUCUAUUUAAUCUGUACAGGUAAUCCCCAGACUUGAUGGGUCAGUGCAACAAAGGAUUCGACAGUGGCCACACGUAAAUUAUGGAUUGUUUUCCGUUAAUACCUAGAAUUUAUUAAUUAUUUGGGGUUUUUGAUGUAUCUUCUGGACUAUGGACUGGUUGGCUAACAUACCUUUUUGCAUUGCAUCAUGUGCACGACAUAUUUGAAUAUUAUUGGUUUAUGCUACGUAGUGUAUUUUGUUGUAUUGAAUGGUAUCAAAAUUAAUGAUUGUCACUCGAAUGAAUUAUGACCUAUGCUCAUACACUGUUUGACAUCAAUUUGAUAAUGGCUAUGUAACGAUAUGAAAUUCCUAUAAUGGUUCUAUUUUCUUCUGUUAAAGCUAAUUAGUUUUACUGUAUUUGAUAUUUAUGUUUGUUUCAAUAAUUGUUCGACUCACGCUGAGCUUUUCAUAAGCGCACCCCUAAUAUGUUAAACUUUUCAGGUAAACCUCGAAAUUAAGACCAGACUUGGCAUUCGAAGAAUCACCUUAGACCUUGAAUUAUUUUUCUAAUAAGUAUUAAUCAAUCUCUAAUGGUUUUCGUUUGUAAUUUUUAAUUAUAUCUAGUCUGUGGCUUGAUAACUUUUCUUCUGGGAUUUUUGCAUGCAUGGAUUACUCAAGCAUAGUAACCGGAUAAUGCAUGAUAUUAGGCUUAAGUAAAAUUUGAUAUUGUUCCCUAGAUUCCGCUGCAUUGCAAAGGAUUUGUUUUUGAAAAACAAAUUGAUAAGGUAACUAAGUUUUCAAAAUGACUUGAAAAAUGGUUUUUCCCCUGCAUUAGUUUAACAUCGAAUUUUUUUUAAAGGAGAGCAACAAGCAAAUGAUUUUUCUAAAACAACACUAUCAACAAUAAAAUGAAUUCUAAGUAUACACAACCUAAUGAAUGAAUGCUUUUAAGCUAACUUAAAGUACAACUAUGGUUUUCUCUAAAAUGAGUUUAUUUAAAGUUUUCAUAAGUAAUGUAAGUUAGCUUAGCCAUUUCGGUGGCUAAUGUAGCCUUCUCAUUCUAGCCAUAACGUCUAGGCCAGGUUUGGGAGGUUACAGUAUUGAUAGGAACUGUGGUAUAAAUUUUAUUUUGGACAUUCUUAAAUUGUUAUUUGGACUAAACUUUAGAAACUAUGGAUUUUAUACUGAGCCUAAAUUUACGAAGUUCAUGCGUGGUUUUUACGAAAAUGAAACUCAUAUGAAAUUUCAAAACCGUGAUGUUUUUUUUAACGCUCCAAUUUGAAAUUGUACAAGAAAUGUCAAUUUGAAUUAUUUUUGAAUGUUUUUUAUGCCAAUUAAAUAUUGUUUCAAAACAUAGCUAAGUAUUAUUUAAUUUCGUAAAGAUGAAGCAAACUCCGAACAAUCUAAAACUUCAAGGACUAGUUUGCAAUUUUUUUUUCCUCAAUUGUCUCCGGUUUGAUUCAAUUCUUGAUCUAUACAAUUAUUCCAUUCAAUUCAUCAAUAUUAAACAUUUAUACAUUAUGUCAUGUCAUGAAUGAACCUAGAUAAAUUCAUUUUUUGAUACCCUUAAAGUUUUACAUUUAUUUCAAUUUAGUCUCUAAAAUCGAAAUAGUCAUAACUUUAAAUUCUGAACUUCGGUUUGAAAAUCGACCUCAAUUUCAUUAUAGACUCUCUACUAUCCAUUAUUAUCAAAAUUUCACAUCAAUUUCACAAUUUAUUUACUUUAGUUAUUAUGUACAAAAUUAACAACCAAACAUCACAAUUUAGUCAUUUUUCAUAAUUUAAGCUUAAAAUCUAUCAAUUUAAUACCAAUUUCUUCAAGAAAUCAACCAUGAUAACUAUAAAAAAAAAUUAACAGUUUUGCAAAUUGAUACAUAGGUCAUUUAAAUCAAACUUUCAUGACCUCAGAAACACAAAAAAAAAUUAUACGAAAAUGAUUUAGAAAUGCAUACCAAUUGAGGACCGAAAGCUUGAAGCUCAAAAUGGCUUUUUCCCUUGAGGUUUUAUGUUGAUUAAAUGAUGAAGAAGAAGAAAUAAAGAUGACAACUUGCACUAAGUCACCUUUAUAUACUUAGAUUAAAUCUUAAUUAAUCAAAUUUAAUUAAUUAAAUCUUAAUUAAUUAACCUUAAUCACAAUUAAAAAAAAUUAGUGGAUGUUAACAUCAUCCUACACUAUUUCAUAUAACCAAAUGAUCUAUUUACCAUUUUGAACCUUUAGCUAAUUAGAAAUCUAUAGCGAUAAGACUUUUAAAAUUUAGUUUCUGUAUCUUAAUUAUGCAAUUAAUAGACAAAGUUGAAGGUUUAAAAUUUAAUGUUCUAUUAUACCAACUCUGUAAAUAUUCAUAUUUAAUAUUUACAGACCCGAAUUACGAAAAUGAGAUUUUGAAAUUGUAUUUUCCAAUACCACUGAAAAUCGAACAAUUAUGUAACCUAUUUGCACCAAAGGGCCAAACAUGGCAAAUACUUGACAUGUAUGUCUUAAUAUCCUCAUCUAUUCUCUUCAAUAUAAUAACAUCCAAUAAUUGUUUCAUCCACUGUAACUAUCACGAAGAUUAGAUUUACCAAUACAGCCUACAAUUUGCAGAAGCGCGACAUUUUCAUUCUAGAGAAAGGUAUAAUUGAAACAAAAUUGAAAUAAAGAUUUCAAUACAGAAUCAACAGACAUUCCAGCUAAUACUUAUCAAUUAUUUGCAGCUUCAUUGCUCCAACUAAGAUGGUUUUUAGUCGAAUAUGGUAAAUGAAAUCAAUGAACACCAGCUACUUGAUGAACGAGUGAAUCAAAGUCCUGAUAUGUGCCGGCUUAUUGGUGAAAAAAUACAUGGGUUAGUUUUGCAGCAAUUCAUGAUCUUACAUUUUAUAACCUUUGCUUACAAUUAUUCACUGACUAAUCAUUCAAUGAAUGUAGGCCUCAAAUUUAGCCACUAAACUUUGUUCUUUAUUUUUAGAUACAUAUUAUUUGAUCACUUCAUACAGCCUAUUACUCAUAAUAACUUCCAAUUUCCCUUCUUUAGGUUAGUUGCAAAUGUACAGCUUUUUCUAGAAGAAGAAAAUUGUCAAGAGCCACCUGUUCAAGAGAGGCGCAAACAGAAUGUAACAAUACCUGACCUACUUACGGUACAGCCAAGUAAUCAUGUGUUUCUAUGCUAGAACAUUAAAUCAAUGACUACAAAUUUCAUGUCAUGGUUGUGUAUCAUUUAUGCCACUGAUGCUGCUAUUUUCUAUUCUAAUGCAUAAUAGGGAUUUAGUGUUUUUACCGUUAAAAUUGUGUCCUUUAAUUUUGGCUUUUUUCAAUUGUUGAUCAUGUCCACCUAUGCUUUAUUUUACUACUAUUGCUUUCUUCAAUGAUAGAUGAUUGAAUCGGUAGAAUUUUAUUAAUCCUCUACAUGUUUUAGCUUGAUAUGUGGAUCCUAAGCAUUCCUUGGAUUGUGCCCUCUUUGUUCAUUUAUUUUUUUUCCUGGAACCUUAUUACAUGUUGUAACACUCCAGUUUUUUGGAGACAUUGAAGACGACUAACUGCUGAAUUCUUUCUUCUGCAGAGGAACCAAUGGCAAGAGACUCUAAAACUCCUACUCUUUUUUAUACCUUCCUCACCUCUUUGUGACAUUAUAGCUGAAAAAUGAUGUAUGCUAAUACAUGAAAUGUUUCCUCUUGCCUUUCUUUUUGUAGUACUAAAACUACAAAUAGUGUCUGUAAAUCUCUUUUCCCGUAAUCUUAUCUUUUCCUCAUUGUAAUAGUUGGAAAACAGCUUUGUUGAAGACAAUGUCAACUACUGGGAUAAGUUACAAACACUGUUAUUGUUUAUUUUGUAGUCUAAAUUAUGAUAAUUUCUGCACAAAAUUCACAUAAAUGGUUACCCUCCCGAAGCGGAGCGAGGGUGAUGCUUACUAGUUAUUAAGAAAACAGGACCUUGUAGGGCUUAACUGUUGAAUCGAGAAAGAAAUUUCUUUUAAUGCCUUCAAUUUUUUUUAAAGCUGAUUUUUUUUUACAAAUUAAAGUUUUGAUUGUAUGUUAAUUGCUUGAGGGAAGGUCGGAUACUUUAUUAUCCCUAUUUUUAUUUGUUAUAUAUUUUAACCAUAAUGAUUUUUUUGGCCCUACAAUUUUACCAAAAAAAUCAUAUUAGCUUUCAUUUAAUUUUCGUCUCUUUUAACCCUUUAACUUGUAUUUUUUUUGUCAAAUCACCCCAAAAUGGAUCGAAAACUUUAACAUUUGUGAACUUUGAUUAUGUGACAUACACAUGAAUUGUCACAUGGAUGACAAGUCAACAUUUCUUUUAAAAAAAAACUUAAAAAAUAUUAAAUAAAAUAUUUUUGAUAUUUUUUAAUGAUUUUUAAAUUAAAAAAAGUUUUUAAAUAUUUUUUAAUUUUUAAAAAUUAAUUAGACGCAGGCAUGGAAAUUCACAUCUAUGUGUCACAGGCCGUGGAUUAAAGCCUGUGACCAUUGCGCAUAGAACACCCCAUAGAAUUUUGGCUUUUUAUUUGGUCAAUCAUGUCCACCUAUGCUUUAUUUUACUAUUAUUGCUUUCUUUAAUGAUAGAUGAUUGAAUCGGUAGAAUUUUAUUAAUCCUCUAUGUAAUAACCAAAUUUUGCCCGGGCCCAAUGCCAAACAAAUAAAACCCAAACCAAAUAAAUAAAAUAAGAGUCCAAAUUACAGUCCAUUAGAGCUCAAUUCAGACCAGCCCACUAUUCAAUCAGACUGGCCCAACACCCAAAUAACCUAACAACCCUAGCCCAACAAAAUCAGAAAAAUGAACAGCAAAAAAACCUUAGGUGCGCCGCACCUAGGUCUUUUGGCCUAACCGCCGCUGUUCGCCUAUCACCAGCCUCCUCGCUGCCACCGCCGCAUGCGCACCAGGCCUCCUCCAUGUGUGUCUGACACCUGCAAAGAGAGUCACACGCAACAGUAGAAACAAAAACAAAAAACAAAUAGCAAAACGACAAAAAAAAUAAUGAUUAAGGAGUUCGUAAUCCGACUAUAAAAGCCCUAAUCUGUGACUUGUAAUUUUUUGACACACAUUAGAAAAUAAAAACCAAAAAAAAAAAACUUUAAGGUGAUACUCAUUUCAUUUUAUUUUUGUUUUAUUUUAUUUUAUCAUUUUUAUCUUUUUAUUUCGAAAUAACAUAAAUAAAAAGGGGAGGCUGGGUUGCCGUUGCCAGAGCAUAUUUUGUGCUAAAGGGGGUUGCGCAGGAGGAAAAGAGGAAACUUUUCAGUUUCCCGCCGCCGUGAUGGCCGAACCUCUGACUGGCGCUUGGAGAAAGAAGGGGAGAGUUUGAGAGAAUUUUAGGUUUUUUGUUUAAGAAAAGUGAAAAAUGAAGAAUUCUGAAAAAAUUAAUAUUUAUAGCACCUAGAAAUGGCGUCGUUUUGGCCAGUUUCAUUUGGCCCCAAAAUGACACCGUUUAAUGGCCUAUACCGGCACAGUGACCCGACCCGGGGAAGGAUCGGAGUGUUUUGUGCUAUUGGGUAAUUUUCGCAUUUGGUCCCUCUUAUUUUGUAGUGUUUUCAAAUUAGAUUUUAUUUAUUUUAAAUUUCAACAUACAUUUUUGUUUUUGUUUCACUUAGAUCCUGAACAAUGCGCAGCGUUUUGGGGGCGAGGAAAUAUUUCCAAUAUGGCCCCAUGUAAUCUGCAUAUUACACUUUAACCCCUCGUCUUGUUUAUAAUUCUAUUCUUUUCUUGUUAAUUUAGAUUCAAUUGCGAUUUAAUCUUUUGUUAAAACAUUUGUUUUCUUUAUUAAUUUAUUAACUAUUUUAUUAUUAUUUUAGUGGUAUAUUCGGUCAUAUUUUCAUUAUCUUAUUAUAUAUUAUCAUUUUGAGUUUUACUUAUAUUAUUAUUAUAAUUUUAUAAUGUGUUAUUUUAUUAACUCAAUAUAACAUAUAUAUAUAUGUAUUUUUUUGUGGUUUUAUUUUUAUAAUAUAUUUUUUUAAAUCCAUUUUUAUGCACUUUAUAUUUAAGUAUUUAUACAAUAAUAUUCUUAUAAUAUUUUUAUACAUGUACAAUUUAUAUAUAAUUAUUUCUUAUACGUGUAUAUAUACAUAAUAAAUCAUCGAUUACAUGUUAUUAUAUUAUUUCCACUUAUUUCAUAUAUAAUUUAUUUCUUUUAAAAUACUCUAUUAUAUACUUCAUUUAUUUCAACCUUUUAUGUGUAUCAUUAUAGAUAUACUAUUAUAUGAAGUUUUUCAAUCCCUAUGCAUUACUUAUUUAAAUUAAUAUAUGUAUAUUAUUUUAUGUAUUUAGAUUUAUUUUGUAUAUAAUAUCUACUUUUAAAUUUAUUUGGAUACUAUUAUUUUAAGUGGAAUUUAUUUUUAACUAUAUUUUUUUAUUUAUUUCAAUUUUUCAUAUAUGUAUAUAUUAUUUAUUUUAAAUUUAUUUUAAUCAUAAUUUCCCUUCUUUCAUAUUUCUUAAGUUUAAAAAAAAAAACUUGUACAAUUUCAUGUGCGUCAAUUUGUUUGGUGCUUUGAUUGUUUUUUAAUUCAUUAGCCUUUGAAUGUUAGCAUAAUACAUUAUGUGAGAUUAUUGCUCUUAUACGUAUUAUAUUGCUUAUUUUUAUUUACUAAUUAUUCGUAGAUCAUUAGAAUACAUUUUGGUUUACAAAUUAUCGCUUUGUAUUGUACAUUAAUAUUCAAUUGUUUUUUUAUUCGUUCGAAAGAUUACGUUUAAUAUCAUUUAAGUAUCAAAAUCGAUUUAUUCAAAAACUUUCAAGAUAACGUAAUAUUCUGUAUUUGGGAUAUUCGAGAGAAUUGAGCCUUAAUGUAUUGGGUUCCAAUUUUCCUCGUUGAAUCUAGAUAAUCGAGAAUAAUCUUCAAUCAAAAUACAUACAUAAAAAGCUCAUUAUCGGGAAUUCGAUACAUUGUGUCCUAACGCAUUGGAUACGACAUGUUGUUUUCUCGAGAUGAGGAUUUUUCUAAAAAAAAUAAUAAAGGCAAUAUUCCGUAUUUGGGAAAUUUGAGAGAUCGUGCCCUAACUUACUGGGUUUCGAUUUUUCUCCUUUAACCCAAAUAAUCAAAUAUCCUUCUCAAAAUGCAUAGGUUUUAAAAGUCAAAAGAUAAACUUAAUUUUGAAGAUUAAGAAUGUUGCGCCCUAACUCACUGGGUGUGACAUUUUAUCUCUUUGAAAUAAGAGUGUCUUAUCAUUUAAUUCAAUUUAUUCAAGGUUAAAAGGAUCGUAUUUUAAAACCUUUUCAAAAUUUCAACACUAAGACAUUAAGUAAUCAACUAGGUACCAAUUUUUGGGCGUUACGAGGGUGCUAAUCCUUCCUUGUACGUAACCGACUCCCGAACCUAUUUUUUUGAAUUUCGUGGACCAAAAUCAUUAUUUUAAUAAAAUCAAACCAUUUAUUAAAAACAACCACUUUUCGAGGUGACCCGAUCACACUUCAUCGAAAAAGAUCGGUGGCGACUCCCAUAUUCAUUUUCAUUUUCAAAAUCCAAAUUGACCCUGUUUUAUCAAAAAAUGGUGUCAACACUGCACAUGUUUUAUCUUGACAUAUGGAUCCUAAGCAUUCCUUGGAUUUUGCCCUCUUUGUUCAUUUAUUUUUUCUUGGAACCUUAUUACAUGUUGUACCAUUCCAGUUUUUUGGAGACAUUGAAGACGACUAACUGCUGAAUUCUUUCUUCUGCAGAGGAACCAAUGGCAAGAGACUCUAAAAAUCCUACUCUUUUUUAUACCUUCCUCACCUCUUUGUGACAUUAUAGCUGAAAAAUGAUGUAUGCUAAUACAUGAAAUGUUUCCUUUUGCCUUUCUUUUUGUAGUACUAAGACUACAAAUAGUGUCUGCAAAACUCUUUAGAGAAAAACAAAUGUCUGUAAAUCUCUUUUCCCGUAAUCUUAUCUUUUCCUCAUUGUAAUAGUUGGAAAACAGUUUUGUUGAAGACAAUGUCAACUACUGGGAUAAGUUAUUGUAAGCAUCUUUUCUUUAAGUGUUUCAUAUUAAAAACAAACACUGUUAUUGUUUAUUUUGUAGUCUAAAUUAUGAUAAUUUCUGCACAAAAUUCACAUAAAUGGUUACCGUCCCGAAGCGGAGCGAGGGUGAUGCUUACUAGUUAUUAAGAAAACAGGACCUUGUAGGGCUUAACUGUUGAAUCAAGAAAGAAAUUUCUUUUAAUGCUUUCAGUUUUUUUAAAGCUGAUUUUUUUUACAAAUUAAAGUUUGGAUUGUAUGUUAAUUGCUUGAGGGAAGGUCGGAUGCUUUAUUAUCCCUAUUUUUAUUUGUUAUAUAUUUUAGCCAUAAUGAUUUUUUUGGCCCUACAACUUUACCAAAAAAAUCAUAUUAGCUUUCAUUUAAUUUUCGUCUCUUUUAACCCUUUAACUUAUAUUUUUUUGUCAAAUCACCCCAAAAUGGAUCGAAAACUUAACAUUUGUGAACUUUGAUUAUGUGGCAUACACAUGAAUUGUCACAUGGAUGACAAGUCAACAUUUAGUUUUUUUUUUAAAAAAAAAAACUUAAAAAAUAUUAAAUAAAAUAUUUUUGAUAUUUUUUAAUGAUUUUUAAAUUAAAAAAAGUUUUUUAAUAUUUUUUAAUUUUUAAAAAUUAAUUAAAUGCAAACAUGGAAAUUCACAUCUAUGUGUCACAGGCCGCGGAUUAAAGCCCGUGACCAUUGUGCAUAGAACACCCCAUAGAGGUCAACUUAUUAAACAAGGUUCAUUUGACCCGCAUGAACUGGCCCGACCCAUGGAACCCGUGGAGAAGCCCAUCUACUUGAAGCCUUGGUGGUCUAGUGAAAUAUAGUUUAAUUUUUUUUAAACAUAGGGUAAGGGAAGAAGAAUGCCUUAAAAUUAAUUUUUGUUAGAAAACUAAUAAGAAUGAGUUUGUUGGUUUAGUGUUAAGGCCUUAUCCUAUCCAUAGAUCCCAAGUUUGAAUCCCUUGGUGAGCAUUCAACCAAAAUAUUUUUAUUUCCUUGUUUUUACCACACUAAAAGUGACAAAUUUUAAAAUAACCCAGCCCAAAAACUAUUUUUUUUUAAUUUUAGUCCUUAAUUUAAAAUUUUCCCAAACCUACAUAAAUUUUUAAAACCUAUUCCAAUUAGGAAAAAUAAGUAUUAUAAAUAGACAAUUUCAAAACAAACUCUAGAAUUUCAUCUAGCAAAUUUUCAAGAAAACAUCCAUAAACACUUUCUUUUCCAAAUCAAACUUUCAAGCUAAAGAAAUCAGAAUCUUCAAAAUCAUCCCUCAAGUAGAUCUUCAAUCUUUUCUCCAGCACUAAGGUUUCUAAGUAUUCAAAAUAGGUGUGGGAACUAAACCUAAAUCUUUGUGUAUAAUUGAAUCUAAUAGCAAGUAGAGAACCAGUAUAGGCUAACCCUAGGAGAAACCCCCUGUAUGUGCAAUCAUGUAGGUGUGAGCCUAUAGAUGCAAAACCCAUUGUACAUGAAAACCCCAUGCAUGCAAACCCUUACGUGAAACCCCCCUUUCAUGCGAACCCUGUAUGAAUACCAUGUGAACCCUAGAUUAUAGUUGCGAACCCUAGGUUGUUAUGUGGAUACCCAUACUGUGAACCCAAGUGCACAAACAUAUAGGAAUAUUCAUGCGAGCCCCCUUGCAUGCGAACCCUAGUUAGUGUACAUACGGGUCUCAUAUUUACAUGCAAACCACUACUAGUGCGAGUCAAUUAUAUGAUAUCACAUACGAACCCUACUAUUACAUGCAAACCUUUAUACAUGUUAUAUUCGAACCUUUUUUUGUUAAAACUGGUGAGACUUGUCUAGUAUUACAUACGACCUAAUUUGCGAACUCAUAUGUUAAAAGUAUGUGAACCUAUCUAUGUUUGUUAUGCGAGCUCACAUGUUAGCAGUAUGUGAACCUAUAUAUAUCAGUUAUGCAAACUCACAUGUUAGCAGUAUACGAACCAUAAGUCUGUUAUGCAAACUCACACGUUGGCAGUAUGCGAACCCUAUAUACACCUUUAUGCAAACUCACACAUUAACAGUAUGCGAACCCUAUAUACGCCUUUAUGCAAGCUCACACGUUAGCAGUAUGCGAACCCUAUAUACGCCUUCAUGCAAACUCAUAUGAUUUGCAGCAUGCGAUCUCUAUAUUUAUGCGAACCCUUGUAAUAAAAAAUAUGCGAACCUUAACUUGCGAACCCUUGGCAGGAACCCUGCACUCGCAAAGCCUUCUUCCGGACCUGUACAUAUGCUAGAUAACCAAGCCUAUUAGUUUACAUUAAAUCACUGUACAUAUGAGACUGUUUGUUUACUUGCACAAGUUAUAUGUGUAUUUACUAUUCGAUACAAGAGUACCUAUCGACCUUUUGAUGAGAAUUCAGAGAUUAACGAUGAUAAUUCCAACAAUCGGUGUAAGAACGAGUUAAAUCGAGAGUUGAUGUAAUUUAAGGUAAUAAAGUUAAUUUUUCAGUAAUAAAUGUAAAAUUGUUAUGGAAAGAAACGAUGGGUAAAAAAAAAAAUGAGAGUUUUAAAGAAAAGAGAGGAAAACUUCAAUUUAGGGUUGAAGAGGAACUAAAAAUCUACGUGAAAUUAGGAAAAAAUAUAAAAUACCUAGGAUUAAGAAAUUUGAGGGGGUUGAAUGGUAAAAUACCCUUUUUUCUUAAAAAUGAAAAAAAUGGAAAUGGGUAUUAAGUUUGGCACGACUUGAAACUUGGAAGCAAAGGAAAAAAUUACAAAGGCCUUACCAUUUGGGUUGCUACCCACAUUUGGCAUAUUUUUACACUAUUUAAAAUAUAUCCUAGCUUAGUUUUGAUCAUAGGUUGUUGAAAAAAAAAAACAAGGGGUAAGAGUGUGGCUUCAACCUUAAUUCUCUAGUUAGUAUACUAAGCUCUGAACCAUUAAAAUUAAGGCUCAUGUCUUAGUCAAUUAAUUCAUCUAACUCUAUAUAUUUUGAGGUAUUACAUCUUGAAUUAGAAAAACCCAUAAAAUGCAUGUAGACUUGUAUUGCUCGGUACUUGGUACUAUAUAUGUAGACUUGUAUGUUGAUUAAGCUAGCUUAAUUAAGACCAAUGUGUUAGACUUGUCUAUGCAUUGAACAAUCUAGAAGAAAAUGAAGAAAAAGACUCUGAAAAUACUUGAAAACAGAUAAAACUCAUAUGUCAUCGACUAGUUAAACUAUGAUCACCCAUAAUAGACCUUGUAUUUGACUUUUUGUUGAGGGAGAAGUUUCGUGAGUGUUGUUUGUCAGGGAGUCAGUGUUGCCCUAAACAACUAAAGGUAUUGUCCCCAUGUCGAGAUUUUACCCCCAGCCUCUGCAAAAUAAUCAUGAAGAAUACGUGCGAAGGAAUUCAAACACCAACCAAUGCAUGUGUAGCCUUUACCUUCCCACUAUCUUUGGGAACUCAUAAGGAUAAAAUCCCAACAAGAGAAUUGUAUCAGAGGGGUCUGUCAACACAAUGAAUGAAAUUUCAUACUUUUUUUUUAAUGAAAGUAAAUAUCAUAUUUAGUUAGAGAAAAGCAACGAAAAAUCUAACAAUAAAAUCCUUAGCAAAAGAUUAAAACACAAUUGUACCAUAAAUUAAAUAAGAAAUUAAAAAAAUUCAAAUCUAACAAAGACAGUAACUUGAUUCCUCAAAGCUACCACAAACAGUAAUUCAUAGGAAGGCCUGCUGCUCAUUUAUAACACAAACUUCAUGGUGACGGAUACCAACAUACUAGAUACUAUGAUUAAAAUGCUAGAAUAGAUUAAAAAUGUUGAAUUAAUGAUAAAAUUAAGAGUGAAUUAACACAAAGUACUCAUCCUCUCUUUUUAAUGAAUCAACAUCUGCAAUUUCUAUCACUCCUUUAGACAGUGAACUUUCCAUCCAAUGCCUUAUAGUCACUUCUUCAGCAAAAUAAUUAUCAGUUGGCUUUUUCUUUGUGAAAGUUUCUAUAAGGACAAUCCCAUAACUAUAGACAUCACAUUUUCUAGAAACAAUUCCUGCUGAUCCAAAUUCUGCAUUUCAAGCAUAAUUAGAGCAUCAUUAAUCCUUAAUUAUUUCUAAAAUGUUUAUUCAAAUAUACACAUGAAACAAAAAUAUAAAAUGAAAAUCAAGAAAAUAAUCAUAAAAAGAAUUCACCUGGUGCCAUAUACCCGAUAGUUGCAAGAGUCAUGGUUUGCUUCACUACAUCACCUUCUCCCAAAAGGUUGGAAAAGCCAAAAUCUCCCACAUGUGCAACCAUGUCUUUAUCUAGUAAAAUAUUGCUUGGUUUGAAGUCAGAAUGAAUCAUAGGUGUUGGAUGUCCGUUGUGGAGAUGUUCUAUAGCUGUCGCAACAUCUAUCAUUAUGUCAACCCUUUGUAUGAUAUCAAGGAAACAGUUUUUACAAUGUAGCCAUUUCUCAAGAUUUCCAUUUGACAUGUAAUCAAGCACCAAGGCUUUUUUAAAAAUAAAAUAAAAUAAACUUGGUAUCCAAAAUGUUUUUGUGUUGACAUGGCAUUUUUAAAAAUAAAAUAAACUAGGUAUCCGUGUAACAAAAAUAAAAUUGUAAUAUAUAGGCCUAAUUUUAGUAAAGAAUGUUAAUGAUGUUAAGAAUUCUUUAAAUUUCACAUAAUCAUUUUUAUUAGAAUAAAGUAUUUAGACUAACUAAUUAUAUUAUAAAAAUUAAGAUACCAAAUUAUGUCAAAAUUAAAGUUAUAGAUUAAAUCUCAAUUUUAACAUUCUUAUAAUUUAAAAAAGUAGAAGAUUGGAAUUAAAUAAAUUUAUAAUCCUUAAUUGUAAAUUUGAUAAUUCCUAUUAAUCUAAAUUAUUACAAUAAUGUGCUUACUAUGCUUGGUUUUACUCAAUGAGUGAUAUUAAAUUAAUUAAAAAAUUAGAUAAAAAUCAAAUAUCUUAUUUCUAAUAAUAAUAUUAUUACUCCCUCACAAAACUAUAUUUCACUUGAAAGAAAUUCUAUUCCCUUCAAAAAAAAAUUACCAUCUUAAAACACUUCCAUCUUUUAAAAAAUCUUAAUGCACACUUUAAUCCUUGAAUUAUAUCACUUUUUCAACUUUAGUCUUAAAUUUUUUUUAUUGAUUUUAGUCCCUAAUAUUAUUAAACGUUUCCAAUUUAGUUCAUUGGACAAUAAAAAUUGAUUGUCGUUGGGAUAUCCAACCAAUCAUACACUACCAAAUAUUGUACGAUGAUAUCAUUAUGACAUCAUCAACAAAAAAACCUUAAAAAUCUUUAAAAAUGAAAAAAAUUAUUAUAAUUAUUUAAAAAUAGAAAAAAAAUAAAAUUGUAAAAAUAAAAAAUCUAUGUAAAAUAUAAAAAUUUACAUAAAAUUUAAAAAUAUAUUAGAUAUUUUAAUAUCUUUAAAAUUUUAUAAAUCACAUUUACUAGAGUUUGAACCUAUGAUUAUUGUCAACAAUUGUUUUAUGACUCAAUUAAUCAUAAUUUAUAAUUGGUAGAUCUUUUUAUGUGAUAAACUUGGAUAAUUUUUUUUUCAAAUUAUUUAAAUAAUGAAAAGUAAUAUUAUUUCAAAUAAAUAAUAAAUUAUAUAAUAUUUAUAAUUAUUCCAAAUAUUUUUUUUUACUAUCUUAAGAUAAAUUAUUUGUCUCUAGACCAAUAUCUUAAGAACUAUUGUCGUGUGUUUAACUAUUCUAAAGAACUUUGGUAUAAAAUAGAAAAAGCAUGUGCACAAUGGUAAAUAGGGAGUCGAGUCAAAUAAACUUGUUGCCAGUAACGCUGGUAAAGUACUAAAAAUUGAUGUAUUUUAAAAUAUUAAAAUUUUGAUAUAAAAAUUUAUUCAAAUUUUUAUUAUAAUAAUUUUAAAUAAUUUUUUAUAAAAAUUGAUUGUAUUACAAUAUACAAUUUCAAUAUCAAAUUUUUAAUAUUUUAAAUGUGAUUAGCGAAUGUAUACUUUAUUUCAAGUUACAUAAUUUUUACCAGUAUUUUAAAUUUUUUAUUUUUUUACAAUCUUUUAUUAUUUCUAAUAUUUUUUAUAUUUUUUACAAUAUUUAAAAAUUUAUAAUAACUUUUAAUAAUUUUAUUGUUUUUAGAAAUUAAAAGAAUUAACAAUUUUUUAUUUUUUAAAAAAAUUAUAAAUUUAUAAUGUAGUUAAUUUUAUUUAAGUUUAUUUGAAUUUUAUGAUAUUUUUAAAAAAUAUUUUUUUAUUUUUGCAAUCGUGACAUCAGCAUAUGACACGUGGUAAUUUAUGAUCAGAUGAAUUUUUAGUUUUUUUUUUAACGUCCAAAGGAUUAAGCUGAGAACACCUGGUAACGUUAGGGACUACACUAAGAGCAUUUGAUAAUAUUAGGUACUAAAGUGGGCCAAAAAAACAUUAAGGACCAAAGCAAAAAAAAUGCUAUACUUGAACUUUCAAAAUUAUCUUUCAUUUAGUUAGGAUUAAUAUUUAAUGAUUUACUUAAAAAAUAGAAAUUUAAAAAUUUGUAGUAUUGAGGUUAAAAAAUGAGUAAGAGGUGGUGGAUGGUUCAUACAAUGGUGAGGCACAAAGAACCAUUUUAAAAUAAGAGAAGGGAGGGGUGCUUAUUCUUGAGGUUAAGAAUGAGUAUUUAUAGGUGAGGUUAAUCAUCCUUGAUCAUUAGACCUUGACAAGUGUUUGAUGCCAGUCUUAUCGUGGUUGGCCACUAAGGGAAUGAUGGACCUCUAGGUAGUGAUGGAAUUGACAUGAAUUAGAUGAGAUUAGGAUGACAAUUUGGAUUUUGAAUUCGGAUAAUAUUGGAAUUAAAAUUUUGAAAUUACUAUCUGUUGCAUAUUUGAAGUGAAUGCGGAAAGAUAUUUCAGAAUUAUAUUAGUCGAAUCUACUUUACUUAUUCGAAUAGAUGUAGAUUGGAAUUUAGAUAUCUGAAUCAACUAGUCACGAAAUGUGUAUAGUUUUGAUUAUAUAUAAAAAAAAUUUGGUGGAUUCAAUUUUGAAUUUUCGUGGAUUUGGAUAUCCAAAACAUGAUUGAAAUUUUUAAAAUUACUCCUUUUCUGUUGAUUCAGAUAUUUGACGAAUAAUAGUACUUAACUUAAGCCAAAUUUAGACAGUAAUACUCGGAUAAUUUGUAUAUAAUAAAUAAAUUUUGAUUUUCAAGCAAAUAUGCAUAUUCUAAUUCAAAAAAUGUAGUUACUAACCUAUUGCCAUUCCUAGGCAAGAGUACCCUACGUGUGAUCCAUGCACAGAAGGAUCCAACAUCUUUCACUGACGAGGUAGAUUAGAAGCGUCACGUACCAGGCAUAUAUGUAUCAAUGAGGUCUAUAGCUGGCAAAGUGUAGCCCACAACUGAAAUCAUAGUUGACGAGGUAGUAGUUGGGCGACAUGAUGGUGACAAAAGCCACUCUGGUAAAAUAUUAAUAGCAAUCACCCUCCAAUUAAUGAGAAGUUAUAAAAUGACCUAAUUAAAUGGUAGCAUAGUUUACCAUAAGUGUCAUAUGUGUUGUAAGGCAUGAGCUCAAACCCUACCAAACUCAAAUGAUCAAAUUUCCUUGGUAGGUGGUCAUACGUCACGUACCGUUUGUCCCAACAAGGCGCUCCCACUCUGUUGAACCUGUCACCUCUUUAGGUAGCUUUAGGCACUUGAGAUCUUUACAAAGUCGAGAGGUAAAAUUAUUGGAAAAAAAAAACUCGGUUUGAAAAUAGUUUUCUUACACAGUAGAAAAAUAAAAUUUUGAAAAUCGACCUGGUUUGUGAUAUUUAUAACAAAAAAACCUUAACUGAAUUCAUACAUGUGUUUUUGGAUAAGUGGAUCCUUGAUGUUUUCAGGCUUUCAACCAAAUGAUCUUUUGCACUAUUCUCGUACCACGAACUGCUUCGAGUGUGGCCUCGAACCAAUUGAAUCAAAACACAAAACUAGAAAAGGUUUUCCUUUUUGGGUGAAAACCAAAAUUCUCUCUUCUUUAAUAGAAAUCAGUAAAAUUAUUAUUAUGAAAAAUAUGUUUAUAAGUUGAGAAUAAAUUCUCUCUAUUUUUCGACAGAAUAAAAAUCUCUCAAAAGUUGUGUAAAUAGCUCUACUGGUGCCAUUUAUUUAUAGGAAGAGAAAGUAGAACCCUUGUAGAGUUGUAAAAGUUUAUAUCCACUAGAAAAAUAAUAUCCUAGCCUAUCUAGGAUAUAGGGAGCAACAACCGUAGUUAAUGAUACUAGGGUUUUGUCAUCCCACCUCUUUAUAUGAGGGGUUUUAGGCCUCUCUCACAUCAGAUCCAAGUACAAGUACUUCUUAAAUAUAAAUUUGAAUUUGAUAUAUUGAUUACAUAUGAAUUUAUAUAUUGUGAGUAAAAUUUUUAUUUGAUAUAUUAAUAAUGUAUAAAUUUAUAUAUUGUUAAUACAUCAUAUGUUUAAAAAAUCUAAUAAUUAUAUAUUAUUUUCAAUAAUUUUUAAAUUUAUUAAUUGAUUUAUUGGUAUAUUAAUAUUAUUUAUUAGUAAUAUGUAAAUUUAUACCCUGUCAAUUUAUGAAAUAACAUUUAGUGAGUGGAAUAUAUAUAAAAGAAGAUAUUCUAAAUCUUUCUAAAUUCUUCCUUAAAAUAGAAAAAGAAAUAAAUUGUUGAUAUAGAUAUGUUGAUAAGAUUUUCAUGUAGGGCUUUUCUGUAAUUCAUGAUUUUGUUACAUGCAUAAAUUGUAAUUGUGAUAUUUUAUAUUUUAUUUAUAUAAAUCAUGUUAAAUUUGAUUUAAAUUCCUUUUUUAAUUAUUUAUUCUUUUAAGAAAUUUCAAGUAUUCAAUAAAUAUUAAUGUAUACUUUUUCUUAAAUUGAUAUAAUAGUGAUAUCAGAUUAGUUUAAAAUUUUGCGUGUAUGACAAGUACAAUUAUAUCGAUAGAUUCAAUAGUCGGAUUAUUCAAAUAUUACUCCUACAAAUAUAUAUAUGAAGAAGUAUAAACUGCUUUAAUUUUACAUUGGUAUAAGUAGAUCUCUCUCUUACAUCUGUUGUAUAUAUGAAAUUUUGAUUUUGAUUCAAACGUACUCAUUUAAAGAAAUAAAUACAUCAAUUUAUUUUUAUAUUGAAUAAGUAUAAUUAUUUGGAUAUGCUAUAUAUAGAUGUAAAAUGAUGGUAUAUAAAUAACGAUGUUAGAUGUUUGUAAAAAUUGAAUCAAAUCAAUAUUUCAUGUAUAAAAUUGCACAAUGGACCAAAGUUCAUGUACAAUUUUGAUCUUUAUAUCUGAAAUUUAUUAAUGCAAAUUAUUUUCCAAAAGAUCACAUUGAGUAAGAUUAAUUUAAAUUUCAAUAUUUAAAUUUUUUCUCAUAUAGAAAUAUAAUUUUUUUAAAAGAAGUGUAUACUAAUUGUUGAAAGAUUUCCGACUCUUUUGGAAAGUCUUCGAAGUGGCAUAUUUUGAAGAUGGUGGACCCUCAACACGUCCAAUAUUAUCAUUGGUUAAGGUUUUUUUUGGAUCUAGUGUCCUAAGUGUAGUACUUUUCAUCAAUAUACAGUUGUAAAUUUUUUUAACAAAUUGGUUAAUAAAACAAAUUUAUUGAUUAUAUUAAUAUACUUUAUAUAAUUGUCCUAACAUAGUUUUUGCACGCAAAGCAAAAUGGAAGUAAAUGUUGCUCAUUGGUUGCCUAAAUAUUUAAUUAAUACUAAGCGGUAUUAUGUGUAUAAAAAGACAGCUUGUAUUAGUAGACAAACCUAAACAUGUCCUUAGCAUAAUUGGAAAUUAGUAAAUUGAUUGAAAGACUAAUAUGUCGUCUAUCAAGUGUAUUUGGGGAGAUGCCUUGUCUUGGGCAUCGAAGCAGAUGACUCCCAAAAGGUAGAGACAUAGAUGUGACUGACUGGACUGGUAGUAAAUUGGAUAGCACACAAACAGAAUAGAUCCUGAAUUCGUUUAUGGACUUAUUCACUUGUGAUGUCCAUAGUGUGGCAUACAUAAAUCUUGAAUGGAUAGCGGAGUACGUAUGUGUGACUUUUACACUUUGAUGUAAGUAAAAACAUAAGUUCAAUUAGAUAAGGAACCAGAAUCUGGUACAUUUGGUUUACGACUUCUAUAGUAUGUAGCAUCAUUCAUAAUAGUGAAAUUCAUAGCGCAAAACAUGGGUAAAUGAUAUCCUCUCAUUGACAUUACAUGGUUAAUGAAAAGUAAACGUGGCCACGGGUUGUCCGUCUUUGUGAUGGAAACUUGAUCACUAAUUGAUAAUGAUUGAUUUUUCACGAAAGAAGAUGUAAUGGCUACCAUGAGAUAAAAUAUGAUAUAUUGGGAGAACAAAUAUUAUCCCAAAGAGAUCAAGGAUAUCCUAUGAGGGUAACACACUAAUGACAAGGUUAUUGGACGAGCAUUAAGUAGUUGCUUUCGUAAUGGUAUGUCGUUGGGGAUAUUUCAUUCACGACACUAUAGUGGAAUGACUUCAUCACUAAAUGAUUUUAUAAUUAAUAGGUGAAAAAAAUAGAAUUUAAAUAUAAAUCAUUUGAGCCUCAACUUUAUAUGUCUACUCGGUCCCCCAACUGUUAGUUCAUUGAAACCAAAAAUUAAUUGCACGUUUGAAUGGAAAUCAGCGAAAUGGAUAGAAAAAGAGAAAUGAGAAACAUUCAGGAAUGAUUAUGGUUUCCUCUAAAAUGGAGAAAUGGAAUAAUUUGAAAAUGAAUGUAGGUUUCCAAAAACGGAAAUAGAAAUGAAAAUGGAAACUUGCAAUUUUAUAUAUGAUUACUUAAAAAAUGAUGGAAGAAUGAGUUUAUAUUUUUGGACUAUUUUGAAGCUCGAAAAUGAAAAUAAAUCAUUCAGUCAUAGUGAACAUAUUGAGUUGUGUCAUAUUAAACGAAUUUUCUUGAAAUUUUAUUGGAGGUAAAAUUGCCAAAAUUUUACUGGGUAAAAUUGUCGUGAGAAAAUAAUUUAAUAUGUAAAUAUUAAAAUUUAUUUUGGAAAUAGAAAAAUUGAAUCGGGUUGGACCAUAUUACAAAGUACUAGAUCAAAAAGGCCCAGAAAGUACUCGUACUUGGACCCGAUGUGAGAGAGGCCCAAAACCCCUCAUGUAAGGUGGGACGGCAAAAACCUAUUAACUAGGGUUGUCGACCCUUAUAUCUUAGAUAGGCUAGGAUAUUAUUUUUCUAGCGGAAAUAAACUUUUACAACUCUACAUGGGUUCUACUUUCUUCUCCUAUAAAUAGAUGGCACCAAUAGAGCUAUUUAUACAACUUUUGAGAGAUUAUUAUUCUACCGAAAAGUAGAGAGAAUUUAUUCUCAACUUAUAAACAUAUUUUUUAGAAUAACAAUUUUACCGAUUUCUAUUAAAGAAGAGAGAAUUUUCGUUUUCACCCUAAAAGGAAAACCUUUUCUAGUUUUGUGUUUUGAUUCAAUUGGUUUGAGCCCACACUCGAAGCAGUUCGUGGUACGAGAAUAGCGCAGAAGAUCGUUUGGUUGAAAGCCUAAAAACAUCAAGGAUUCACCCAUCUAAAAACACAUGUAUGAAUUCGGUUAAGUUUUUUUUGCUACAAAUAUCACAAACUGAGUUGAUUUUCAAAAUUUUAACUUUUGAUGUGCAAGAAAACCAUUUUCAAACUGAGUUUUUUUUUUCAACAGUUUUAUCUCUCAACUUUGUAAAGAGCUCAAGUGCCUAAAUCUACCUAAAGAGGUGAUAGGUUCAAUAGAGUAGGAGUGCCUUGUUGGGACAAACGGUACGUGAUGCAUGACCACCUACCAAGGAAAUUUGAGCAUUUGAGUUUGGCAGGGUUUGAGCUCAUGCCUUACAACAGAUAUGACACUUAUGGACAACUGCUACCAUUUAAUUAGGUCACUUUAUAAAUUCUCAUUAAUUGGAGGGCGAUUGCUAUUAAUAUUUUUCCAGAGUGGCUUUUGUCACCAUCACCUCGGCCAACUACAACCUCGUCAACUAUGACUUCAGUUGAGGGCUACACUUUGCCAGCUAUAGACCUCAUCAAUACAUAUAUGCCUAGUACACGAUACUUCUAAUAUACCUCGUUAGUGAAAGAUGUUGGAUCCUUCUAUGCAUGGAUCAUACGUAGGGUACUCUUGCUUAGGAAUGGCAAUAGGUUAGUAUCUACAUUUCUUGAAUUAUUAGAAUUUGGAUAUGCAUAUUUGCUUAAAAAUCAAAAUUUGCUUAUUAUGUAUAAAUCAUCUGAGUAUUACUAUCUAAAUUUGGCUUAAUUUAAGUACUAUUAUCUGUCAAAUAUCUGAAUUCGCAAAAAAAGAGCAAUUUUAAAAUUUUCAAUCAUUUUUUGGAUAUCCAAAUUCACGAAAAUUCAAAAUUGAAUCCACCAAAUUUUUUUAUAUAUAAUCAAAAAUAUACACAUUUCGUGACUAGUUGAUUUAGAUAUUGAAAUUCCAAUCUACAUCUGCUAUUCGAAUAAGUAAUGUUGUAACACCUUAAAUAAUUUAAGUUUGUUUUUGUGAAAUUUAACACAAAAUGUGUACUUGCUUCAGUGGUUAAGUGUUCUAGGUGUGUGUGUGAGGUAUUGGGUUCAAUUCCCACUUUUGGCAAAACUUUGUUAUUUUAUAUCCAAGCCUAACUCUUAUUGAGUAGGCUUAUGUUAAAUUGUUUGUUAAUCCAUAUCAGAAUAAGCUUGUUGGUUUGAGUGGUAAGGAGUUGGUGUGUAGGAGGUCCUGUUUUUGAAUCCCUACGUGAGCGUAGGUAUUAAUUUUUUCUCGGUUGUCUGAUAGAGUUUGAGUGGUCUUGAAAGUCUGAGGUUGUUAAGGCUGGGUGUUAGUCUGAAGUUAGGAUAUUGUGGGGGGGAUUUUUAUGUUGAUUAUUAUUAUUUUAUUUUAUUCCUUUUUCAAAUUUUCCUCUCUCUUUCCAAAAUUUCCCUUUAAUGUUAUUCUUCAAGUUUUUUUUAUUGUCUCUGAUAUUUUUCCCCCUUUUCAUUAAAUCUUUGUUUUGUUCUUCUUUUUUGAUUAUGUUCGUCAACCUAUCAUUCGAUCGUGCCAUUGGAGUUGUCGGGUUAUCUAAUCGGUUGGUAAGUAAAACUUUGCUUCCCUUUAACUUUUGAUUUGGGAUUAUAGUGAUUUCAAUAUGUAGCAAUUGAUUAGUGGAACUUCGUGUUUAGGAGAAGAUUAUGGAGCAAUGAAUUGCACUCCAACAGUUUAGUGUGCAUUGAAGUGGUUUGUCAUCGACGGUAAGUCAGUUUCGUGUUGUUUCUUGUUGUCAAAUUCAUUAAUCAAACUACUAAAUCAAUGUUGGGUACUUUAAUUUUAGGAUUUGGAAGGCUCGGGAGUAUUUUUGCAUUAAAAUCGUAAUAGGUGUGUCCCCAAAACAUAGAAAGUCAGGUUUCGAUAAAAGUCAAAAAUGCAUUUUGUCGAUGCGACAAGGGCAUGUGCCUGGUCAUGUGGCUAGUCGUGUGUGAGACACGGCCGUGUAUUUGACGAGGGUGUGGCUGUGCGCAAGCCACGGUCAUGUGGUAGUGUAAGUGUCGCUAUGUAGGCCAUACGGGCUAGGCCAGUCUAGGUUUGUGGGCCUACAUAGGCAUGCCACACGGACGUGUAGGCCCAUACGGCCAUGUAGGCCCACAAUUUUGAGAUUUUCCCUUAGGUCGCACGGUUCGUUUCGAACGAUUGUGGACCUACCAUAGGGUCAGUAAGGGCUAAUCAAACCCUAAAUUAUGUGAAAUGAUAUUUUGAUAGUUCGCCUUGUGUAGGAUGUCGAUAUGUACAUCUGUUUUAUUUACGUAUAUAUAUGCUAUCUGUAUAUGAGCAUGUUAUGCAUGAUAUUACUGUAUCUGUUAUUUCUGUAUUAUGUAUUUGUAAAUGGGGUGGGUUUUGUAUAUGUAGAGAAAGUGAUCUGUACGAUAACACUUCCAUUAUAUUUUGACAGUUGACUGCAUAUUAUUUGUAAUGUGUCGUAUUGACACUAUAUGGUGUGUAGGGAUGGGUGGGUGCUUUUAACCCUAUAUGGUAUGAUGGGAUAGUCGAAGAUGUUGUGUAGAGGAUGGGGGUAGGAUUCUGUAUAUCUGUACUACUUAUCUGAUUUUGUUAUCUGUAUCUGGAAUGGAUAUAAGUCCGGAUCUUGAUCUGACUGUAUAUAAGACUUCUAUUUGUAUUGCAUUUCUAUUUUUGUUAGGUUACACAAUAAGUUUACGAAACCUCACAUCUGUUUGUCUGUUCUGUUCAGGUCUAUAGACUUAGGCGGAUCAGUGUGACGGAGCCUCACAGUAACCACGAGAUUGUAAACUAUUUAAUAUUACGGUUUUUAUUUAAUUUAAGGAUUCUUUCUGGAAGUUUGUAAUAAUUGGACUUUCUAGAAUAUUUGACUUUUAUUUCAGUUUUGGAGGUGUUUUAACUUUUAUGGCCACGUUUGACCAAAUUCACGGUUUUACUAAAAUAAAGGAUUUUCUGAAUACACGAAUUAGAUUUCCAAGAUUCAAUGCUUUUUGAAAACUUCCGCUAUAGAUUAUGUUUUGGAAAAUGAAUGAAUUAAAUAACGCUUCUAGUAACAGAUAGUACACUUGGGGUGAUUUAUUGAACGACUAAACAAAGCUUUAUUAAAAGAUCACUAUUUUAAAAACCCUUCCAUGUAACACUCUUAGAUUAGGCCACAACGUCUAGGCCAGGAUUAGGGUGUUACAUUUAAUGGUAUCAGAGUUAGGUUACAAAACUCGAGCUGUGAAUUUUGGGUUUCAAAAUUAUGUUUUGAAAAAGAACAGGUUUUCAAAUAAUUUGGAUCAUUUUGAAUAAGUAUGUGGUACACUGAGUCUCCGGCAUUGAUCCUAUAAGUACUUUUGAACUUAGAUAAAACUUUCUGAAAACACUAUAGUUAGUACUUUCUGAAACUGUACUGAGUUAGUUAAAAAAUAAAAACUUUUGAAAUAUGUUCGAACUUCUGAUAAUUUGAGCAUGAAAUAUAUGUUAAUAAACAUUGGAGCUGAUGCAUAAAAUUUUAUAAUGUAGAUAAAUUUGAAAAUAUACGAUGAGCGCUUAUGGAACUUGCGGUCAUGGUAUUCGUGGGCUCAGUGGGAGCCGUAAGGGGCUGGAGCUGAGUCUUUUUCUCUGGGCAGUAUGCCAAACUUAGAUAUGAGUAAGCCACCAGUGUCACUUGCUACUGAGACAAGGUCUCAAAGCCACUUUGGUGGGGACGACGCACUAUCCCAAGCCAUGUUGAGGGUGUUGGAGAGGGUCAUUGGACCCCAUUCUGGAUCUGUGGGCCGUAGGACGGUAACUGAACGACUCUGGUCCAAUAGAGCUGAGUUGUUUAGGGGUGUCAUUGAAGUCGCCCCUAUUGUGGUCGAGUAUUGGUUGGAGGGCACAAAGAGGAUUAUGAACGACAUCGAUUGUACUCUUAAGUAGAAAUUUAAUGGUGCAGCCUCUCUACUUCGCGAUGAGGCAUAUCAGUGAUGGUUGUCGGUUGAGGAGGGUACUCAACGGGACUGUCUGAACUGGGAUUAUUUUAAGACUACCUUUCAGGGGAAGUAUGUGGGUGCAAGCUAUCUUGAUACUUGUAGGCGUGGGUUCAUGAAUCUCACGCAAGGUGAUAAAUCUGUGGCUAAGUAUGAGGCCGAGUUUCUAAGGUUAAGCCGCUACGCUUAAGGCAUGGUGGUGACUAAAUAUGAGAAAUUCAUCUAUUUUAAGGAUAGCUUGAGGUAUAAUCUGAGGGUAUUGAUUGCUCCACAGAGGGAAUGAGAGUUUGAGUUCUUGUGGAUAAGGUGAAGAUCGCCGAGGAGAUUAAGUGCGUGGAGCGCUAAAAUAGGGAUCGUGAGUGAGGCAAGAAUAAGAGGGAUUCAGAGCCCUCUAGUUCUGUUUAGAGGGCUAUUAGAGUAGGGGUUCCUAUUACUUCUAAUAGGAUUCAGCCACGUGAUGAUUGUGGUAGGCACCAUCCGGGUGAGUGUUAGAGGAGGUUGGGGGCUUGUUUGAGGUGUUGGUCUUUGGAGCACCACAUUAGAGAAUGUUCACUCCAUGCGGAUUAGAUGCAAGCUGUAGGAUCAAGUUUUAUACAACCUUAGAGGGCAGUUCAGCAGCCAUCUAAGGGUCGUGGUCCUACUAGGGGUGGUAAUGGUAUGGGUCGAGGACAUAGAAUAUCGGGAAAAGGUGUUAGUUAGAUUGAAUCCUAAAUUAGAGUUAAGUUUGGUUUGAAUCAAGCCUUAACUUUGACCAAAUCCAACUAAAAACACGUCUAACAAUUAUCUAGUAUUGUUUUUAUGAAUUGAAUUUUAACUUGUAAUUUUCAAUUUUAUUACAAAAUUUCUUUGCGGACGAUAAGAAAAUAACAUAUUUGUAACUUCUUCAACCCGGCGUAAAGGUUAAGUCUGAAUUUGGAUUACAUCAGCCAUAAAGAUGGCCUAGCAGGAUUAUCGGAGUUUUUAAAAACAAACAUCUUUAAAACGUUUGUUUAAUUUAUAGAAAAGCUUAUUUAAUUUCCAAAUUAUUUAUUACUUGAAAUCUUAAUUACACUUUAAAAGUAGGAAGUGGUAACUAUUUAUUUUUAAUAAAAUUCGGGGUUCAUGUAUAAUUGAUUAAUAACCGUAAUUCGAAAACAUUAAAACUUAAAUUAAAUGUCAUGCAAAACAAAACAAGCUUAAAUCUAAAUCUCAUGCCGCAGUUCAAAAUUAUUUAUUGUAGUCUUAGAAAAUAAAAACAAUCAUAUAAUGAACCUAAAUUUUUUAUUUUACUUUAAUAAUGUGUCAAGGUCUUACAGAUGUCACGCCUGCGUUCAAUCUUGGUGGGUUAUCUGUAAGGAUGAAAAUUUAAGGGGGAGUGAGCUAUGACGCUUAGUGUGAGUUCAUUCACAAUAAAUUCAAUGCAAACGGUUGGUAAGGCACAUUAAAUAACAUCGCAUAAAGUAAUCACAGUCAGAUAACAGUUUAGAAUGGCGAUUUUACAAUUUAACUACCAAUAUUAUCACAAUAUUCACAGCUGUAAUUUCAGAAUAUCAAAUUUCCACAUCAUUCACAAUACUAACAUAUAUAUAAAUAUAUCAUAAUAGAAUUCCAGAUUUGUAUGCACAUGAUUUAGAAGAUGCCAUACAAUUUUGGGUUUUAACAGAAUAAAUCCUACCCCACGUUACAUAUCAUAAUGGGAGUUCCCCUAAACUCCCUUCUCCAACACACUAGGUUGUGGAUAAACCACUACUCGUCCACAGAUAAUAACUAUCAUUUGGCUGUGGACACACAACAAAUCCCCACAGUUGGAUUCUAGCUUUGGCUGUGGGUUCACAGCCAAGAGUCCUGCAAAUGAAGCCUGUUUUUGCAUGUAGAUUAUACAACCUAUACCCGCAGUUGGAAUCUGUCUUUGGCUAUGGAUGCACUGUAACACCCCAAACCCGACCUGGACGUUAUGGCUCAAUCUUGACGUAAUGCCCCAAAAUUUCUAAUUUCGUUAUUGUGAAAAUAUGACACAAAAUAUUUGUCUGCUUUAGUGGUUAUGUGUUCUGGGAGUGUUUAGGAGGUCCCAAGUUCACGCCUUCACAUGGGAAAAUUUUGGUAUUUUGAAUGAAUUAGGUAUUACUCUUAUUCAGUAGGCUUUUAUUUGAUUGUUGGGUAAAUUAUAUUAGAAUGGGCUUGCUGGUCUAGUGGUUAAAUGGUUUAUUAUUAUGGUGGAGGUCUUGUGUUCAAGUCCCUAUGUAGGCAAGGGUAUUAUUAUUAUUAUUUGCUCAAAUUUCUGGAUAGAGUUGUGUAAUAGGGGGAUUCUGAGUAGUAGAUGUGUAGUGGGAAUUAGGGGAGAAGAUUAAGGAGUUUCAGGGGUUAUCGAGAUUUUAUUUUAUUUUUUCCCAUAACCGAAUUUUGACUUUCUUUUUCCAAAAAAAAUCUGCCAUCUAUUCUUCUCCCUCUCCUCUUGUUGAAAUUCUCUUAGUUUUUUCACCUUUCUCUUCUUUUUCUUCUUCUUGAUUUUUCCCUAAUCCAUUUAUUUUUCUUCAUUUUCGCACGCGGUUAGUUUUCGCUUAGUUUCGGUAAGUGUUUCUCUUCGUUUCUAUCAUGAAUCUCCUAGCGACUAAAGUGGUAACUUUUUUCUCUGUGAUUUGGGCGUAGGGGAAGGCUCGAACUGUUGAAUUCAGUAUUCUCGUCUUAACAAUAGUUAAAUGGAGGGUUAUUGUUGGUGGUAAGUUGGGUUUCUGUUCAUUCUUAGUUGUCAAUUUGCUUGUAAAUCUGUUAAAUUGAUGUUGAGUAUCUUGAUUAUAGGCUUUGGAGUGCUUGGGGACUGUUUUAGCAUCAAACAAAACCAGGUGUGUACCCGGGACGCAAAAAAAAGGGAUUCGAUCGAAAGCCGAAAUUGUUUGCUGUUUGGACAGUAGCAGUAGGCUAACUUUGAAAAAUCGCCAUAAAUUGUGGAAAUCGAAAUAGAGGAUGAAAAAAAUAUGAAAUUAAAUCUUAUUGAGUCUAGUUUCUCAUAGAAGAACGGUGUAAGUAAUGGAAUUUUAAAUCAUGAGAUAUAAUAAACUAUGUGAGACAAGGUCAGAAUAAAUUCGGGUUCCCUUGUUCUGACUUUGGAAAAUCAUCAAAAAUUGGAUAAAAAUAAUUAGGAAUUAAAAUUUACAUGUUUAAAUUAUUAAUUAGUCUUUUUUCAAUAGAAACAAAUGGGAACUUCAUCCAAAAUUUUUACUAAGAGAUAAUUAAUUUUUAGCAAUGAAGGGUCGAAGCUGUCAAACAGCAGAACAAGGGUAAGUUUGAAGAUUUUACCAUACUUAUUGGCUGAGCCAAAAAUUCUAAAAAUUUUAUGGUAGAAAGGUAUUUGAGUCUAUUUUCAAAUACAUCAAGUGAAUUUUAAUUAGGAAUUCUUUAGCUCAAGAUAUAAAUAAUUUAGUUACAGUGAGUCAAGUAGAAAGCUUUGAAGGAACACAUAAGUAAAUUGUGAUAACAUAUAUGAAUAUUUAGCUAGCACAGGUUACAUUGAAAAUGGAUCACGUAGCCAAGGCCAAUUUGGGCUGAGUGGGCCACAUGGGCAUGUGAGCCCAUUUUUCUAAAAAAUUCUGUAAGGUUGCACGGGUCGCCCAAGUCGACUAUGGACCUACUGUAGGGUCGGUAAGCUUUACUUAGACGCCUAUAUGUGUGAUCUAUCUGGCUGAUUUCUAUACCGAGCAUGACUUAUGAUAUUUGAAUGUAUGUACUUUUAAUUACAUAAUGGCAUGACAAAUUUUGUAUGUUGCAUUGCAUCGGAGUGGGUUGAUGAUAUUUGGAGGAAGUGUCUAAAAGGCUAUUAAGCCUGUUAUCUGGCAGCUCAGCUGCAACCUUCUGAUUAUGUGCGCAUUUCAGUACAACAUGGUGUGUAAGGAUGGGUGGGUUGAUCUAACCCCCACAUGGUGUGUAAGGUUGGACAAAGAUGUGCGUAGAGGCUGGUGGGUAGGAUUCUGAUUUACUGUAUCUACAUUAUGUAUCUGAUAUGGGCCAAGGCUCUAAUGUAUUUCUGAGACUGUAUCUAAACGGGCUAAGGCCCAAACUGAUUGUGUGAUGGGCCUAGGACCCAGACUGUAUCUAACUAAAUUCUGUUGAUUAUUUGUAUGCAUGAUUUCUAUGGGAAUUACACACUGAGUUUACGAAAACUCACCCUUUCUCUAUUUAAUCUGUACAGGUAAUCCCCAGACUUGAUGGGUCAGUGCAACAAAGGAUUCGACAGUGGCCACACGUAAAUUAUGGAUUGUUUUCCGUUAAUACCUAGAAUUUAUUAAUUAUUUGGGGUUUUUGAUGUAUCUUCUGGACUAUGGACUGGUUGGCUAACAUACCUUUUUGCAUUGCAUCAUGUGCACGACAUAUUCGAAUAUUAUUGGUUUAUGCUACGUAGUGUAUUUUGUUGUAUUGAAUGGUAUCAAAAUUAAUGAUUGUCACUCGAAUGAAUUAUGACCUAUGCUCAUACACUGUUUGACAUCAAUUUGAUAAUGGCUAUGUAACGAUAUGAAAUUCCUAUAAUGGUUCUAUUUUCUUCUGUUAAAGCUAAUUAGUUUUACUGUAUUUGAUAUUUAUGUUUGUUUCAAUAAUUGUUCGACUCAUGCUGAGCUUUUCAUAAGCGCACCCCUAAUAUGUUAAACUUUUCAGGUAAACCUCGAAAUUAAGACCAGACUUGGCAUUCGAAGAAUCACCUUAGACCUUGAAUUAUUUUUCUAAUAAGUAUUAAUCAAUCUCUAAUGGUUUUCGUUUGUAAUUUUUAAUUAUAUCUAGUCUGUGGCUUGAUAACUUUUCUUCUGGGAUUUUUGCAUGCAUGGAUUACUCAAGCAUAAUAACCGGAUAAUGCAUGAUAUUAGGCUUAAGUAAAAUUUGAUAUUGUUCCCUAGAUUCCGCUGCAUUGCAAAGGAUUUGUUUUUGAAAAACAAAUUGAUAAGGUAACUAAGUUUUCAAAAUGACUUGAAAAAUGGUUUUUCCCCUGCAUUAGUUUAACAUCGAAUUUUUUUUAAAGGAGAGCAACAAGUAAAUGAUUUUUCUAAAACAACACUAUCAACAAUAAAAUGAAUUCUAAGUAUACACAACCUAAUGAAUGAAUGCUUUUAAGCUAACUUAAAGUACAACUAUGGUUUUCUCUAAAAUGAGUUUAUUUAAAGUUUUCAUAAGUAAUGUAAGUUAGCUUAGCCAUUUCGGUGGCUAAUGUAGCCUUCUCAUUCUAGCCAUAACGUCUAGGCCAGGUUUGGGAGGUUACAGUAUUGAUAGGAACUGUGGUAUAAAUUUUAUUUUGGACAUUCUUAAAUUGUUAUUUGGACUAAACUUUAGAAACUAUGGAUUUUAUACUGAGCCUAAAUUUACGAAGUUCAUGCGUGGUUUUUACGAAAAUGAAACUCAUAUGAAAUUUCAAAACCGUGAUGUUUUUAUUAACGCUCCAAUUUGAAAUUGUACAAGAAAUGUCAAUUUGAAUUAUUUUUGAAUGUUUUUUAUGCCAAUUAAAUAUUGUUUCAAAACAUAGCUAAGUAUUAUUUAAUUUCGUAAAGAUGAAGCAAACUCCGAACAAUCUAAAACUUCAAGGACUAGUUUGCAAUUUUUGUUUUUCCUCAAUUGUCUCCGGUUUGAUUCAAUUCUUGAUCUAUACAAUUAUUCCAUUCAAUUCAUCAAUAUUAAACAUUUAUACAUUAUGUCAUGUCAUGAAUGAACCUAGAUAAAUUCAUUUUUUGAUACCCUUAAAGUUUUACAUUUAUUUCAAUUUAGUCUCUAAAAUCGAAAUAGUCAUAACUUUAAAUUCUGAACUUCGGUUUGAAAAUCGACCUCAAUUUCAUUAUAGACUCUCUACUAUCCAUUAUUAUCAAAAUUUCACAUCAAUUUCACAAUUUAUUUACUUUAGUUAUUAUGUAAAAAAUUAACAACCAAACAUCACAAUUUAGUCAUUUUUCAUAAUUUAAGCUUAAAAUCUAUCAAUUUAAUACCAAUUUCUUCAAGAAAUCAACCAUGAUAACUAUAAAAAAAAUUAACAGUUUUGCAAAUUGAUACAUAGGUCAUUUAAAUCAAACUUUCAUGACCUCAGAAACACAAAAAAAAAUUAUACGAAAAUGAUUUAGAAAUGCAUACCAAUUGAGGACCGAAAGCUUGAAGCUCAAAAUGGCUUUUUCCCUUGAGGUUUUAUGUUGAUUAAAUGAUGAAGAAGAAGAAAUAAAGAUGACAACUUGCACUAAGUCACCUUUAUAUACUUAGAUUAAAUCUUAAUUAAUCAAAUUUAAUUAAUUAAAUCUUAAUUAAUUAACCUUAAUCACAAUUAAAAAAAAUUAGUAGAUGUUAACAUCAUCCUACACUAUUUGAUAUAACCAAAUGAUCUAUUUACCAUUUUGAACCUUUAGCUAAUUAGAAAUCUAUAGCGAUAAGACUUUUAAAAUUUAGUUUCUGUAUCUUAAUUAUGCAAUUAAUAGACAAAGUUGAAGGUUUAAAAUUUAAUGUUCUAUUAUACCAACUCUGUAAAUAUUCAUAUUUAAUAUUUACAGACCCGAAUUACGAAAAUGAGAUUUUGAAAUUGUAUUUUCCAAUACCACUGAAAAUCGAACAAUUACGUAACCUAUUUGCACCAAAGGGCCAAACAUGGCAAAUACUUGACAUGUAUGUCUUAAUAUCCUCAUCUAUUCUCUUCAAUAUAAUAACAUCCAAUAAUUGUUUCAUCCACUGUAACUAUCACGAAGAUUAGAUUUACCAAUACAGCCUACAAUUUGCAGAAGCGCGACAUUUUCAUUCUAGAGAAAGGUAUAAUUGAAACAAAAUUGAAAUAAAGAUUUCAAUACAGAAUCAACAGACAUUCCAGCUAAUACUUAUCAAUUAUUUGCAGCUUCAUUGCUCCAACUAAGAUGGUUUUUAGUCGAAUAUGGUAAAUGAAAUCAAUGAACACCAGCUACUUGAUGAACGAGUGAAUCAAAGUCCUGAUAUGUGCCGGCUUAUUGGUGAAAAAAUACAUGGGUUAGUUUUGCAGCAAUUCAUGAUCUUACAUUUUAUAACCUUUGCUUACAAUUAUUCACUGACUAAUCAUUCAAUGAAUGUAGGCCUCAAAUUUAGCCACUAAACUUUAUUCUUUAUUUUUAGAUACAUAUUAUUUGAUCACUUCAUACAGCCUAUUACUCAUAAUAACUUCCAAUUUCCCUUCUUUAGGUUAGUUGCAAAUGUACAGCUUUUUCUAGAAGAAGAAAAUUGUCAAGAGCCACCUGUUCAAGAGAGGCGCAAACAGAAUGUAACAAUACCUGACCUACUUACGGUACAGCCAAGUAAUCAUGUGUUUCUAUGCUAGAACAUUAAAUCAAUGACUACAAAUUUCAUGUCAUGGUUGUGUAUCAUUUAUGCCACUGAUGCUGCUAUUUUCUAUUCUAAUGCAUAAUAGGGAUUUAGUGUUUUUACCGUUAAAAUUGUGUCCUUUAAUUUUGGCUCUUUUCAAUUGUUGAUCAUGUCCACCUAUGCUUUAUUUUACUACUAUUGCUUUCUUCAAUGAUAGAUGAUUGAAUCGGUAGAAUUUUAUUAAUCCUCUACAUGUUUUAGCUUGAUAUGUGGAUCCUAAGCAUUCCUUGGAUUGUGCCCUCUUUGUUCAUUUAUUUUUUUUCCUGGAACCUUAUUACAUGUUGUAACACUCCAGUUUUUUGGAGACAUUGAAGACGACUAACUGCUGAAUUCUUUCUUCUGCAGAGGAACCAAUGGCAAGAGACUCUAAAACUCCUACUCUUUUUUAUACCUUCCUCACCUCUUUGUGACAUUAUAGCUGAAAAAUGAUGUAUGCUAAUACAUGAAAUGUUUCCUCUUGCCUUUCUUUUUGUAGUACUAAAACUACAAAUAGUGUCUGUAAAUCUCUUUUCCCGUAAUCUUAUCUUUUCCUCAUUGUAAUAGUUGGAAAACAGCUUUGUUGAAGACAAUGUCAACUACUGGGAUAAGUUACAAACACUGUUAUUGUUUAUUUUGUAGUCUAAAUUAUGAUAAUUUCUGCACAAAAUUCACAUAAAUGGUUACCCUCCCGAAGCGGAGCGAGGGUGAUGCUUACUAGUUAUUAAGAAAACAGGACCUUGUAGGGCUUAACUGUUGAAUCAAGAAAGAAAUUUCUUUUAAUGCCUUAAAAAAAAGAAAUUUCUUUUAAUGCCUUCAAUUUUUUUUAAAGCUGAUUUUUUUUUUACAAAUUAAAGUUUUGAUUGUAUGUUAAUUGCUUGAGGGAAGGUCGGAUACUUUAUUAUCCCUAUUUUUAUUUGUUAUAUAUUUUAACCAUACUGAUUUUUUUGGCCCUACAAUUUUACCAAAAAAAUCAUAUUAGCUUUCAUUUAAUUUUCGUCUCUUUUAACCCUUUAACUUGUAUUUUUUUUGUCAAAUCACCCCAAAAUGGAUCGAAAACUUUAACAUUUGUGAACUUUGAUUAUGUGACAUACACAUGAAUUGUCACAUGGAUGACAAGUCAACAUUUCUUUAAAAAAAAACUUAAAAAAUAUUAAAUAAAAUAUUUUUGAUAUUUUUUAAUGAUUUUUAAAUUAAAAAAAGUUUUUAAAUAUAUUUUAAUUUUUAAAAAUUAAUAAAACGCAGACAUGGAAAUUCACAUCUAUGUGUCACAGACCGUGGAUUAAAGCCUGUGACCAUUGCGCAUAGAACACCCCAUAGAAUUUUGGCUUUUUAUUUGGUCAAUCAUGUCCACCUAUGCUUUAUUUUUACUAUUAUUGCUUUCUUUAAUGAUAGAUGAUUGAAUCGGUAGAAUUUUAUUAAUCCUCUAUGUAAUAACCAAAUUUUUCCCGGGCCCAAUGCCAAACAAAUAAAACCCAAACCAAAUAAAUAAAAUAAGAGUCCAAAUUACAGUCCAUCAGAGCUCAAUUCAGACCAGCCCACUAUUCAAUCAGACUGGCCCAACACCCAAAUAACCUAACAACCCUAGCCCAACAAAAUCAGAAAAAUGAACAGCAAAAAAACCCUAGGUGCGCCGCACCUAGGUCUUCUGGCCUAACCGCCGUUGUUCGCCUAUCACCAGCCUCCACGCUGCCACCGCCGCAUGCGCACCAGGCCUCCUCCAUGUGUGUCUGACACCUGCAAAGAGAGUCACACGCAACAGUAGAAACAAAAACAAAAAACAAAUAGCAAAACGACAAAAAAAAUAAUGAUUAAGGAGUUCGUAAUCCGACUAUAAAAGCCCUAAUCUGUGACUUGUAAUUUUUUGACACACAUUAGAAAAUAAAAACCAAAAAAAAAAACUUUAAGGUGAUACUCAUUUCAUUUUAUUUUUGUUUUAUUUUAUUUUAUCAUUUUUAUCUUUUUAUUUCGAAAUAACAUAAAUAAAAAGGGGAGGCUGGGUUGCCGUUGCCAGAGCAUAUUUUGUGCUAAAGGGGGUUGCGCCGGAGGAAAAGAGGAAACUUUUCAGUUUCCCGCCGCCGUGAUGGCCAAACCUCUGACUGGCGCUUGGAGAAAGAAGGGGAGAGUUUGAGAGAAUUUUAGGUUUUUUGUUUAAUAAAAGUGAAAAAUGAAGAAUUCUGAAAAAAUUAAUAUUUAUAGCACCUAGAAAUGGCGUCGUUUUGGCCAGUUUCAUUUGGCCCCAAAAUGACACCAUUUAAUGGCCUAUACCGGCACAGUGACCCAACCCGGGGAAGGAUCCGAGCGUUUUGUGCUAUUGGGUAAUUUUCACAUUUGGUCCCUCUUAUUUUGUAGUGUUUUCAAAUUAGAUUUUAUUUAUUUUAAAUUUCAACUUACAUUUUUGUUUUUGUUUCACUUAGAUCCUGAACAAUGCGCAGCGUUUUGGGGGCGAGGAAAUAUUUCCAAUAUGGCCCCAUGUAAUCUGCAUAUUACACUUUAACCCCUCGUCUUGUUUAUAAUUCUAUUCUUUUCUUGUUAAUUUAGAUUCAAUUGCGAUUUAAUCUUUUGUUAAAACAUUUGUUUUCUUUAUUAAUUUAUUAACUAUUUUAUUAUUAUUUUAGUGGUAUAUUCGGUCAUAUUUUCAUUAUCUUAUUAUAUAUUAUCAUUUUGAGUUUUACUUAUAUUAUUAUUAUAAUUUAUAAUGUGUUAUUUUAUUAACUCAAUAUAACAUAUAUAUAUAUGUAUUUUUUUGUGGUUUUAUUUUUAUAAUAUAUUUUUUAAAUCCAUUUUUAUGCACUUUAUAUUUAAGUAUUUAUACAAUAAUAUUCUUAUAAUAUUUUUAUACAUGUACAAUUUAUAUAUAAUUAUUUCUUAUACGUGUAUAUAUACAUAAUAAAUCAUCGAUUACAUGUUAUUAUAUUAUUUCCACUUAUUUCAUAUAUAAUUUAUUUCUUUUAAAAUACUCUAUUAUAUACUUCAUUUAUUUCAACCUUUUAUGUGUAUCAUUAUAGAUAUACUAUUAUAUGAAGUUUUUCAAUCCCUAUGCAUUACUUAUUUAAAUUAAUAUAUGUAUAUUAUUUUAUGUAUUUAGAUUUAUUUUGUAUAUAAUAUCUACUUUUAAAUUUAUUUGGAUACUAUUAUUUUAAGUGGAAUUUAUUUUUAUCUAUAUUUUUUUUAUUUAUUUCAAUUUUUCAUAUAUGUAUAUAUUAUUUAUUUUAAAUUUAUUUUAAUCAUAAUUUCCCUUCUUUCAUAUUUCUUAAGUUUAAAAAAAAACUUGUACAAUUUCAUUUGGUGCUUUGAUUGUUUUUUAAUUCAUUAGCCUUUGAAUGUUAGCAUAAUACAUUAUGUGAGAUUAUUGCUCUUAUACGUAUUAUAUUGCUUAUUUUUAUUUACUAAUUAUUCGUAGAUCAUUAGAAUACAUUUUGGUUUACAAAUUAUCGCUUUGUAUUGUACAUUAAUAUUCAAUUGUUUUUUUAUUCGUUCGAAAGAUUACGUUUAAUAUCAUUUAAGUAUCAAAAUCGAUUUAUUCAAAAACUUUCAAGAUAACGUAAUAUUCUGUAUUUGGGAUAUUCGAGAGAAUUGAGCCUUAAUGUAUUGGGUUCCAAUUUUCCUCGUUGAAUCUAGAUAAUCGAGAAUAAUCUUCAAUCAAAAUACAUACAUAAAAAGCUCAUUAUCGGGAAUUCGAUACAUUGUGUCCUAACGCAUUGGAUACGACAUGUUGUUUUCUCGAGAUGAGGAUUUUUCUAAAAAAAAUAAUAAAGGCAAUAUUCCGUAUUUGGGAAAUUUGAGAGAUCGUGCCCUAACUUACUGGGUUUCGAUUUUUCUCCUUUAACCCAAAUAAUCAAAUAUCCUUCUCAAAAUGCAUAGGUUUUAAAAGUCAAAAGAUAAACUUAAUUUUGAAGAUUAAGAAUGUUGCGCCCUAACUCACUGGGUGUGACAUUUUAUCUCUUUGAAAUAAGAGUGUCUUAUCAUUUAAUUCAAUUUAUUCAAGGUUAAAAGGAUCGUAUUUUAAAACCUUUUCAAAAUUUCAACACUAAGACAUUAAGUAAUCAACUAGGUACCAAUUUUUGGGCGUUACGAGGGUGCUAAUCCUUCCUUGUACGUAACCGACUCCCGAACCUAUUUUUUUGAAUUUCGUGGACCAAAAUCAUUAUUUUAAUAAAAUCAAACCAUUUAUUAAAAACAACCACUUUUCGAGGUGACCCGAUCACACUUCAUCGAAAAAGAUCGGUGGCGACUCCCAUAUUCAUUUUCAUUUUCAAAAUCCAAAUUGACCCUGUUUUAUCAAAAAAUGGUGUCAACACUGCACAUGUUUUAUCUUGACAUAUGGAUCCUAAGCAUUCCUUGGAUUUUGCCCUCUUUGUUCAUUUAUUUUUUCUUGGAACCUUAUUACAUGUUGUACCAUUCCAGUUUUUUGGAGACAUUGAAGACGACUAACUGCUGAAUUCUUUCUUCUGCAGAGGAACCAAUGGCAAGAGACUCUAAAAAUCCUACUCUUUUUUAUACCUUCCUCACCUCUUUGUGACAUUAUAGCUGAAAAAUGAUGUAUGCUAAUACAUGAAAUGUUUCCUUUUGCCUUUCUUUUUGUAGUACUAAGACUACAAAUAGUGUCUGCAAAACUCUUUAGAGAAAAACAAAUGUCUGUAAAUCUCUUUUCCCGUAAUCUUAUCUUUUCCUCAUUGUAAUAGUUGGAAAACAGUUUUGUUGAAGACAAUGUCAACUACUGGGAUAAGUUAUUGUAAGCAUCUUUUCUUUAAGUGUUUCAUAUUAAAAACAAACACUGUUAUUGUUUAUUUUGUAGUCUAAAUUAUGAUAAUUUCUGCACAAAAUUCACAUAAAUGGUUACCGUCCCGAAGCGGAGCGAGGGUGAUGCUUACUAGUUAUUAAGAAAACAGGACCUUGUAGGGCUUAACUGUUGAAUCAAGAAAGAAAUUUCUUUUAAUGCUUUCAGUUUUUUUAAAGCUGAUUUUUUUUACAAAUUAAAGUUUGGAUUGUAUGUUAAUUGCUUGAGGGAAGGUCGGAUGCUUUAUUAUCCCUAUUUUUAUUUGUUAUAUAUUUUAGCCAUAAUGAUUUUUUUGGCCCUACAACUUUACCAAAAAAAUCAUAUUAGCUUUCAUUUAAUUUUCGUCUCUUUUAACCCUUUAACUUAUAUUUUUUUGUCAAAUCACCCCAAAAUGGAUCGAAAACUUAACAUUUGUGAACUUUGAUUAUGUGGCAUACACAUGAAUUGUCACAUGGAUGACAAGUCAACAUUUAGUUUUUUUUUUAAAAAAAAAAACUUAAAAAAUAUUAAAUAAAAUAUUUUUGAUAUUUUUUAAUGAUUUUUAAAUUAAAAAAAGUUUUUUAAUAUUUUUUAAUUUUUAAAAAUUAAUUAAAUGCAAACAUGGAAAUUCACAUCUAUGUGUCACAGGCCGCGGAUUAAAGCCCGUGACCAUUGUGCAUAGAACACCCCAUAGAGGUCAACUUAUUAAACAAGGUUCAUUUGACCCGCAUGAACUGGCCCGACCCAUGGAACCCGUGGAGAAGCCCAUCUACUUGAAGCCUUGGUGGUCUAGUGAAAUAUAGUUUAAUUUUUUUUAAACAUAGGGUAAGGGAAGAAGAAUGCCUUAAAAUUAAUUUUUGUUAGAAAACUAAUAAGAAUGAGUUUGUUGGUUUAGUGUUAAGGCCUUAUCCUAUCCAUAGAUCCCAAGUUUGAAUCCCUUGGUGAGCAUUCAACCAAAAUAUUUUUAUUUCCUUGUUUUUACCACACCAAAAGUGACAAAUUUUAAAAUAACCCAGCCCAAAAACUAUUUUUUUUUAAUUUUAGUCCUUAAUUUAAAAUUUUCCCAAACCUACAUAAAUUUUUAAAACCUAUUCCAAUUAGGAAAAAUAAGUAUUAUAAAUAGACAAUUUCAAAACAAACUCUAGAAUUUCAUCUAGCAAAUUUUCAAGAAAAAAUCCAUAAACACUUUCUUUUCCAAAUCAAACUUUCAAGCUAAAGAAAUCAGAAUCUUCAAAAUCAUCCCUCAAGUAGAUCUUCAAUCUUUUCUCCAGCACUAAGGUUUCUAAGUAUUCAAAAUAGGUGUGGGAACAAAACCUAAAUCUUUGUGUAUAAUUGAAUCUAAUAGCAAGUAGAGAACCAGUAUAGGCUAACCCUAGGAGAAACCCCCUGUAUGUGCAAUCAUGUAGGUGUGAGCCUAUAGAUGCAAAACCCCUUGUACAUGAAAACCCCAUGCAUGCAAACCCUUACGUGAAACCCCCCUUUCAUGCGAACCCUGUAUGAAUACCAUGUGAACCCUAGAUUAUAGUUGCGAACCCUAGGUUGUUAUGUGGAUACCCAUACUGUGAACCCAAGUGCACAAACAUAUAGGAAUAUUCAUGCGAGCCCCCUUGCAUGCGAACCCUAGUUAGUGUACAUACGGGUCUCAUAUUUACAUGCAAACCACUACUAGUGCGAGUCAAUUAUAUGAUAUCACAUACGAACCCUACUAUUACAUGCAAACCUUUAUACAUGUUAUAUUCGAACCUUUUUUUGUUAAAACAGGUGAGACUUGUCUAGUAUUACAUACGACCUAAUUUGCGAACUCAUAUGUUAAAAGUAUGUGAACCUAUCUAUGUUUGUUAUGCGAGCUCACAUGUUAGCAGUAUGUGAACCUAUAUAUAUCAGUUAUGCAAACUCACAUGUUAGCAGUAUACGAACCAUAAGUCUGUUAUGCAAACUCACACAUUGGCAGUAUGCGAACCCUAUAUACACCUUUAUGCAAACUCACACAUUAACAGUAUGCGAACCCUAUAUACGCCUCUAUGCAAACUCACACGUUAGCAGUAUGCGAACCCUAUAUACGCCUUCAUGCAAACUCAUAUGAUUUGCAGCAUGCGAUCUCUAUAUUUAUGCGAACCCUUGUAAUAAAAAAUAUGCGAACCUUAACUUGCGAACCCUUGGCAGGAACCCUGCACUCGCAAAGCCUUCUUCCGGACCUGUACAUAUGCUAGAUAACCAAGCCUAUUAGUUUACAUUAAAUCACUGUACAUAUGAGACUGUUUGUUUACUUGCACAAGUUAUAUGUGUAUUUACUAUUCGAUACAAGAGUACCUAUCGACCUUUUGAUGAGAAUUCAGAGAUUAACGAUGAUAAUUCCAACAAUCAGUGUAAGAACGAGUUAAAUCGAGAGUUGAUGUAAUUUAAGGUAAUAAAGUUAAUUUUUCAGUAAUAAAUGUAAAAUUGUUAUGGAAAGAAACGAUGGGUAAAAAAAAAUGAGAGUUUUAAAUAAAAGAGAGGAAAACUUCAAUUUAGGGUUGAAGAGGAACUAAAAAUUUACGUGAAAUUAGGAAAAAAUAUAAAAUACCUAGGAUUAAGAAAUUUGAGGGGGUUGAAUGGUAAAAUACCCUUUUUUCUUAAAAAUGAAAAAAAAUGGAAAUGGGUAUUAAGUUUGGCACGACUUGAACCUUGGAAGCAAAGGAAAAAAUUACAAAGGCCUUACCAUUUGGGUUGCUACCCACAUUUGGCAUUUUUUUACACUAUUUAAAAUAUAUCCUAGCUUAGUUUUGAUCAUAGGUUGUUGAAAAAAAAAAAAAGGGGUAAGAGUGUGGCUUCAACCUUAAUUCUCUAGUUAGUAUACUAAGCUCUGAACCAUUAAGAUUAAGGCCCAUGUCUUAGUCAAUUAAUUCAUCUAACUCUAUAUAUUUUGAGGUGUUACAUCUUGAAUUAGAAAAACCCAUAAAAUGCAUGUAGACUUGUAUUGCUCGGUACUUGGUAGUAUAUAUGUAGACUUGUAUGUUGAUUAAGCUAGCUUAAUUAAGACCAAUGUGUUAGACUUGUCUAUGCAUUGAACAAUCUAGAAGAAAAUGAAGAAAAAGACUCUGAAAACACUUGAAAACAGAUAAAACUCAUAUGUCAUCGACUAGUUAAACUAUGAUCACCCAUAAUAGACCUUGUAUUUGACUUUUUGUUGAGGGAGAAGUUUCGUGAGUGUUGUUUGUCAGGGAGUCAGUGUUGCCCUAAACAACUAAAGGUAUUGUCCCCAUGUCGAGAUUUUACCCCCAGCCUCUGCAAAAUAAUCAUGAAGAAUACGUGCGAAGGAAUUCAAACACCAACCAAUGCAUGUGUAGCCUUUACCUUCCCACUAUCUUUGGGAACUCAUAAGGAUAAAAUCCCAACAAGAGAAUUGUAUCAGAGGGGUCUGUCAACACAAUGAAUGAAAUUUCAUACUUUUUUUUUAAUGAAAGUAAAUAUCAUAUUUAGUUAGAGAAAAGCAACGAAAAAUCUAACAAUAAAAUCCUUAGCAAAAGAUUAAAACACAAUUGUACCAUAAAUUAAAUAAGAAAUUAAAAAAAUUCAAAUCUAACAAAGACAGUAACUUGAUUCCUCAAAGCUACCACAAACAGUAAUUCAUAGGAAGGCCUGCUGCUCAUUUAUAACACAAACUUCAUGGUGACGGAUACCAACAUACCAUCAACUGAAGUCAUAGUUGACGAGGUUGUAGUUGGCCGAGGUGAUGGUGACAAAAGCCACUCUGGAAAAAUAUUAAUAGCAAUCGCCCUCCAAUUAAUGAGAAUUUAUAAAGUGACCUAAUUAAAUGGUAGCAGUUGUCCAUAAGUGUCAUAUCUGUUGUAAGGCAUGAGCUCAAACCCUACCAAACUCAAAUGAUCAAAUUUCCUUGGUAGGUGGUCAUACGUCACGUACCGUUUGUCCCAACAAGGCGCUCCCACUCUGUUGAACCUCUCAUCUCUUUAGGUAGCUUUAGGCACUUGAGAUCUUUACAAAGUCGAGAGGUAAAAUUAUUGGAAAAAAAAACUCGGUUUGAAAAUGGUUUUCUUGCACAGUAGAAAAAUAAAAUUUUGAAAAUUGACUUGGUUUGUGAUAUUUAUAACAAAAAAAAACCUUAACUGAAUUCAUACAUGUGUUUUUGGAUAAGUGGAUCCUUGAUGUUUUCAGGCUUUCAACCAAACGAUCUUUUGCACUAUUCUCGUACCACGAUCUGCUUCGAGUGUGGCCUCGAACCAAUUGAAUCAAAACACAAAACUAGAAAAGGUUUUCCUUUUUGGGUGAAAACCAAAAUUCUCUCUUCUUUAAUAGAAAUCGGUAAAAUUAUUAUUAUGAAAAAUAUGUUUAUAAGUUGAGAAUAAAUUCUCUCUAUUUUUCGACAGAAUAAAAAUCUCUGAAAAGUUGUGUAAAUAGCUCUACUGGUGCCAUUUAUUUAUAAGAAGAGAAAGUAGAACCCUUGUAGAGUUGUAAAAGUUUAUAUCCACUAGAAAAAUAAUAUCCUAGCCUAUCUAGGAUAUAGGGAGCAACAACCCUAGUUAAUGAUACUAGGGUUUUGUCGUCCCACCUCCUUAUAUGAGGGGUUUUAGGCCUCUCUCACAUCAGGUCCAAGUACAAGUAAUUCUUAAAUAUAAAUUUGAAUUUGAUAUAUUGAUUACAUAUGAAUUUAUAUAUUGUGAGUAAAAUUUUUAUUUGAUAUAUUAAUAAUGUAUAAAUUUAUAUAUUGUUAAUACAUCAUAUGUUUAAAAAAUCUAAUAAUUAUAUAUUAUUUUCAAUAAUUUUUAAAUUUAUUAAUUGAUUUAUUGGUAUAUUAAUAUUAUUUAUUAGUAAUAUGUAAAUUUAUACCCUGUCAAUUUAUGAAAUAACAUUUAGUGAGUGGAAUAUAUAUAAAAGAAGAUAUUCUAAAUCUUUCUAAGAUUUCUAAUUCUUCCUUAAAAUAGAAAAAGAAAUAAAUUGUUGAUAUAGAUAUGUUGAUAAGAUUUUCAUGUAGGGCUUUUCUGUAAUUCAUGAUUUUGUUACAUGCAUAAAUUGUAAUUGUGAUAUUUUAUAUUUUAUUUAUAUAAAUCAUGUUAAAUUUGAUUUAAAUUCCUUUUUUAAUUAUUUAUUCUUUUAAGAAAUUUCAAGUAUUCAAUAAAUAUUAAUGUAUACUUUUUCUUAAAUUGAUAUAAUAGUGAUAUCAGAUUAGUUUAAAAUUUUGCGUGUAUGACAAGUACAAUUAUAUCGAUAGAUUCAAUAGUCGGAUUAUUCAAAUAUUACUCCUACAAAUAUAUAUUUGAAGAAGUAUAAACUGCUUUAAUUUUACACUGGUAUAAGUAGAUCUCUCUCUUACAUCUGUUGUAUAUAUGAAAUUUUGAUUUUGAUUCAAACGUACUCAUUUAAAGAAAUAAAUAUAUCAAUUUAUUUUUAUAUUGAAUAAGUAUAAUUAUUUGGAUAUGCAAUAUAUAGAUGUAAAAUGAUGGUAUAUAAAUAACGAUGUUAGAUGUUUGUGAAAAUUGAAUCAAAUCAAUAUUUCAUGUAUAAAAUUGCACAAUGGACCAAAGUUCAUGUACAAUUUUGAUCUUUAUAUCUGAAAUUUAUUAAUGCAAAUUAUUUUCCAAAAGAUCACAUUGAGUAAGUUUAAUUUAAAUUUCAAUAUUUAAAUUUUUUUCUCAUAUAGAAAUAUAAUUUUUUUAAAAGAAGUGUAUACUAAUUGUUGAAAGAUUUUCGACUCUUUUGGAAAGUCUUCGAAGUGGCAUAUUUUGAAGAUGGUGGACCCUCAACACGUCCAAUAUUAUCAUUGGUUAAGGUUUUUGUUGGAUCUAGUGUCCUAAGUGUAGUACUUUUCAUCAAUAUACAGUUGUAAAUUUUUUUAACAAAUUGGUUAAUAAAACAAAUUUAUUGAUUAUAUUAAUAUACUUUAUAUAAUUGUCCUAACAUAGUUUUUGCACGCAAAGCAAAAUGGAAGCAAAUGUUGCUCAUUGGUUGCCUAAAUAUUUAAUUAAUACUAAGCGGUAUUAUGUGUAUAAAAAGACAGCUUGUAUUAGUAGACAAACCUAAACAUGUCCUUAGCAUAAUUGGAAAUUAGUAAAUUGAUUGAAAGACUAAUAUGUCGUCUAUCAAGUGUAUUUGGGGAAAUGCCUUGUCUUGGGCAUCGAAACGGAUGACUCCCAAAAGGUAGAGACAUAGAUGUGACUGACUGGACUGGUAGUAAAUUGGAUAGGACACAAACAGAAUAGAUCCUGAAUUCGUUUAUGGACUUAUUCACUUGUGAUGUCCAUAGUGUGGCAUACAUAAAUCUUGAAUGGAUAGCGGAGUACGUAUGUGUGACUUUUACACUUUGAUGUAAGUAAAAACAUAAGUUCAAUUAGAUAAGGAACCAGAAUCUGGUACAUUUGGUUUACGACUUCUAUAGUAUGUAGCAUCAUUUAUAAUAGUGAAAUUCAUAGCGCAAAAAAUGGGUAAAUGAUAUCCUCUCAUUGACAUUACAUGGUUAAUGAAAAGUAAACGUGGCCACGGGUUGUCCGUCUUUGUGAUGGAAACUUGAUCACUAAUUGAUAAUGAUUGAUUUUUCACGAAAGAAGAUGUAAUGGCUACCAUGAGAUAAAAUAUGAUCAUAUUAGGAGAACAAAUAUUAUCCCAAAGAGAUCAAGGAUAUCCUAUGAGGGUAACACACUAAUGACAAGGUUAUUGGACGAGCAUUAAGUAGUUGCUUUCGUAAUGGUAUGUCGUUAGGGAUAUUUCAUUCACGACACUAUAGUGGAAUGACUUCGUGACUAAAUGAUUUUAUAAUUAAUAGGUGAAAAAAUAGAAUUUAAUUAUAAAUCAUUUGAGCCUCAAGUUUAUAUGUCUACUCGGUCCCCCAACUGUUAGUUCAUUGAAACCAAAAAUUAAUUGCACGUUUGAAUGGAAAUCAGCGAAAUGGAUAGAAAAAGAGAAAUGAGAAACAUUCAGGAAUGAUUAUGGUUUCCUCUAAAAUGGAGAAAUGGAAUAAUUUGAAAAUGAAUGUAGGUUUCCAAAAAUGGAAAUAGAAAUGAAAAUGGAAACUUGCAAUUUUAUAUAUGAUUACUUAAAAAAUGAUGGAAGAAUGAGUUUAUAUUUUUGGACUAUUUUGAAGCUCGAAAAUGAAAAUAAAUCAUUCAGUCAUAGUGAACAUAUUGAGUUGUGUCAUAUUAAACGAAUUUUCUUGAAAUUUUAUUGGAGGUAAAAUUGCCAAAAUUUUACUGGGUAAAAUUGUCGUGAGAAAAUAAUUUAAUAUGUAAAUAUUAAAAUUUAUUUUGGAAAUAGAAAAAUUGAAUUGGGUUGGACCAUAUUACAAAGUACUAGAUCAAAAAGGCCCAGAAAGUACUCGUACUUGGACCCGAUGUGAGAGAGGCCCAAAACCCCUCAUAUAAGGUGGGACGGCAAAACCCUAUUAACUAGGGUUGUCGACCCUUAUAUCCUAGAUAGGCUAGGAUAUUAUUUUUCUAGCAGAAAUAAACUUUUACAACUGUACAUGGGUUCUACUUUCUUCUCCUAUAAAUAGAUGGCACCAAUAGAGCUAUUUGUACAACUUUUGAGAGAUUAUUAUUCUACCGAAAAGUAGAGAGAAUUUAUUCUCAACUUAUAAACAUAUUUUUUAGAAUAACAAUUUUACCGAUUUCUAUUAAAAAAGAGAGAAUUUUCGUUUUCACCCUAAAAGGAAAACCUUUUCUAGUUUUGUGUUUUGAUUCAAUUGGUUUGAGCCCACACUCGAAGCAGUUCGUGGUACGAGAAUAGCGCAGAAGAUCGUUUGGUUGAAAGCCUAAAAACAUCAAGGAUUCACCCAUCUAAAAACACAUGUAUGAAUUCGGUUAAGUUUUUUUUGCUACAAAUAUCACAAACCGAGUUGAUUUUCAAAAUUUUAACUUUUGAUGUGCAAGAAAACCAUUUCCAAACUGAGUUUUUUUUCAACAGUUUUAUCUCUCAACUUUGUAAAGAGCUCAAGUGCCUAAAGCUACCUAAAGAGGUGACAGGUUCAAUAGAGUAGGAGUGCCUUGUUGGGACAAACGGUACGUGAUGCAUGACCACCUACCAAGGAAAUUUGAGUAUUUGAGUUUGGCAGGGUUUGAGCUCAUGCCUUACAACAGAUAUGACACUUAUGGACAACUGCUACCAUUUAAUUAGGUCACUUUAUAAAUUCUCAUUAAUUGGAGGGCGAUUGCUAUUAAUAUUUUUCCAGAGUGGCUUUUGUCACCAUCACCUCGGCCAACUACAACCUCGUCAACUAUGACUUCAGUUGAUGGCUACACUUUGCCAGCUAUAGACCUCAUCAAUACAUAUAUGCCUAGUACAUGAUACUUCUAAUAUACCUCGUUAGUGAAAGAUGUUGGAUCCUUCUAUGCAUGGAUCACACGUAGGGUACUCUUGCUUAGGAAUGGCAAUAGGUUAGUAUCUACAUUUCUUGAAUUAUUAGAAUUUGGAUAUGCAUAUUUGCUUAAAAAUCAAAAUUUUUUUAUUAUCUAUAAAUCAUCUGAGUAUUACUAUCUAAAUUUGGCUUAAUUUAAGUACUAUUAUCUGUCAAAUAUCUGAAUCCACAAAAAAAGGGCAAUUUUAAAAUUUUCAAUCAUUUUUUGGAUAUCCAAAUUCACGAAAAUUCAAAAUUGAAUCCACCAAAUUUUUUUAUAUAUAAUCAAAACUAUACAUAUUUCGUGACUAGUUUAUUUAGAUAUUGAAAUUCCAAUCUACAUCUGCUAUUCGAAUAAGUAAUGUUGUAACACCUUAAAUAAUUUAAGUUUGUUUUUGUGAAAUUUAACACAAAAUGUGUACCUGCUUCAGUGGUUAAGUGUUCUAGGUGUGUGUGUGAGGUAUUGGGUUCAAUUCCCACUUUUGGCAAAACUUUGUUAUUUUAUAUCCAAGCCUAACUCUUAUUGAGUGGGCUUAUGUUAAUUGUUUGUUAAUCCAUAUCAGAAUAAGCUUGUUGGUUUGAGUGGUAAGGAGUUGGUGUGUAGGAGGUCUUGUUUUUGAAUCCCUACGUGAGUGUAGGUAUUAAUUUUUGCUCGGUUGUCUGAUAGAGUUUGAGUGGUCUUGAAAGUCUGAGGUUGUUAAGGUUGAGUGUUAGUCUGAAGUUAGGAUAUUGUGAGGGGAUUUUUAUGUUGAUUAUUAUUAUUUUAUUUUAUUCCUUUUUCAAAUUUUCCUCUCUCUUUCCAAAAUUUCCCUUUAAUGUUAUUCUUCAAGUUUUUUUUGUUGUCUCUGAUAUUUUUCCCCCUUUUCAUUAAAUCUUUAUUUUGUUCUUCUUUUUUGAUUAUGUUCGUCAACCUAUCAUUCGAUCGUGCCAUUGGAGUUGUCGGGUUAUCUAAUCGGUUGGUAAGUAAAACCUUGCUUCCCUUUAACUUUUGAUUUGGGAUUAUAGUGAUUUCAAUAUGUAGCAAUUGAUUAGUGGAACUUCGUGUUUAGGAGAAGAUUAUGGAGCAAUGAAUUGCACUCCAACAGUUUAGUGUGUAUUGAAGUGGUUUGUCAUCGACGGUAAGUCAGUUUCGUGUUGUUUCUUGUUGUCAAAUUCAUUAAUCAAACUACUAAAUCAAUGUUGGGUACUUUAAUUUUAGGAUUCGGAAGGCUCGGGAGUAUUUUUGCAUUAAAAUCGUAAUAGGUGUGUCCCCAAAACACAGAAAGUCAGGUUUCGAUAAAAGUCAAAAAUGCAUUUUGUCGAUGCGACAAGGGCAUGUGCCUGGUCGUGUGGCUAGUCCUGUGUGAGACACGGCCAUGUAUUUGACGAGGGUGUGGCUGUGCGCAAGCCACGGUCAUGUGGUAGUGUAAGUGUGGCUGUGUAGGCCAUACGGGCUAGGCCAGUCUAGGUUUGUGGGCCUACACAGGCAUGCCACACGGACGUGUAGGCCCAUACGGCCAUGUAGGCCCACAAUUUUGAGAUUUUCCCUUAGGUCGCACGGUUCGUUUCGAACGAUUGUGGACCUACCAUAGGGUCGGUAAGGGCUAAUCAAACCCUAAAUUAUGUGAAAUGAUAUUUUGAUCGUUCGCCUUGUGUAGGAUGUCAAUAUGUACAUCUGUUUUAUUUACGUAUAUAUAUGCUAUCUGUAUAUGAGCAUGUUAUGCAUGAUAUUACUGUAUCUGUUAUUUCUAUAUUAUGUAUCUGUAAUUGGGGUGGGUUUUGUAUAUGUAGAGAAAGUGAUCUGUACGAUAACACUUCCAUUAUAUUUUGACAGUUGACUGCAUAUUAUUUGUAAUGUGUCGCAUUGACACUAUAUGGUGUGUAGGGAUGGGUGGGUGCUUUUAACCCCAUAUGGUGUGAUGGGAUAGUCGAAGAUGUUGUGUAGAGGAUGGGGGUAGGAUUCUGUAUAUCUGUACUACUUAUCUGAUUUUGUUAUCUGUAUCUGGAAUGGAUAUAAGUCCGGAUCUUGAUCUGACUGUAUAUAAGACUUCUAUUUGUAUUGCAUGUCUAUUUUUGUUAGGUUACACAAUAAGUUUACGAAAACUCACAUCUGUUUGUCUGUUCUGUUUAGGUCUAUAGACUUAGGCGGAUCAGUGUGACGGAGCCUCACAGUAACCACGAGAUUGUAAACUAUUUAAGAUUACGGUUUUUAUUUAAUUUAAGGAUUCUUUCUGGAAGUUUGUAAUAAUUGGACUUUCUAGAAUAUUUGACUUUUAUUUCAGUUUUGGAGGUGUUUUAACUUUUAUGGCCACGUUUGACCAAAUUCACGGUUUUACUAAAAUAAAGGAUUUUCUGAAUACACGAAUUAAAUUUCCAAGAUUCAAUGCUUUUUGAAAACUUCCGCUGUAGAUUAUGUUUUGGAAAAUGAAUGAAUUAAAUAACGCUUCUAGUAACAGAUAGUACACUUGGGGUGAUUUAUCGAACGACUAAACAAAGCUUUAUUAAAAUAUCACUAUUUUAAAAACCCUUCCAUGUAACACUCUUAGAUUAGGCCACAACGUCUAGGCCAGGAUUAGGGUGUUACAUUUAAUGGUAUCAGAGUCAGGUUACAAAACUCGAGCUGUGAAUUUUGGGUUUCAAAAUUAUGUUUUGAAAAGAACAGGUUUUCAAAUAAUUUGGAUCAUUUUGAAUAAGUAUGUGGUACACUGAGUCUCCGGCGUUGAUCCUAUAAGUACUUUUGAACUUAGAUAAAACUUUCUGAAAACACUAUAGUUAGUACUUUCUGAAAUUGUACUGAGUUAGUUAAAAAAUAAAAACUUUUGAAAUAUGUUCGAACUUUUGAUAAUUUGAGCAUGAAAUAUAUGUUAAUAAACAUUGGAGCUGAUGCAUAAAAUUUUCUAAUGUAGAUAAAUUUGAAAAUAUACGAUGAGCGCUUGUGGAACUUGCGGUCAUGGUAUUCGUAGGCUCAGUGGGGGCCGUAAGGGGCUGGAGCUGAGUCUUUUUCUCUGGGCAGUAUGCCAAACUUAGAUAUGAGUAAGCCACCAGUGUCACUUGCUACUGAGACAAGGUCUCAAAGCCACUUGGCUGGGGACGACACACUAUCCCAAGCCAUGUUGAGGGUGUUGGAGAGGGUCACUGGACCCCAUUCUGGAUCUGUGGGCCGUAGGACGGUAACUGAACGACUCUGGUCCAAUAGAGCUGAGUUGUUUAGGGGUGUCAUUGAAGUCGCCCCUAUUGUGGUCGAGUAUUGCUUGGAGGGCACAAAGAGGAUUAUGAACGACAUCAAUUGUACUCCUAAGUAGAAAUUUAAUGGUGCAGCCUCUGUACUUCGCGAUGAGGCAUAUCAGUGGUGGUUGUCGGUUGAGGAGGGUACUCAACGGGACUGUCUGAACUGGGAUUAUUUUAAGACUACCUUUCAGGGGAAGUUUGUGGGCGCAAGCUAUGUUGAUACUUGUAGGCGUGGGUUCAUGAAUCUCACGCAAGGUGAUAAAUCUGUGGCUAAGUAUGAGGCCGAGUUUCUAAGGUUAAGCCGCUACGCUUGAGGCAUGGUGGUGACUAAAUAUGAGAAAUUCAUCUAUUUUAAGGAUAGCUUGAGGUAUAAUCUGAGGGUAUUGAUUGCUCCACAAAGGGAACGACAGUUCGCAGUUCUUGUGGAUAAGGUGAAGAUCGCCGAGGAGAUUAAGUGCGUGGAGCGCUAAAAUAGGGAUCGUGAGUGAGGCAAGAAUAAGAGGGAUUCAGAGCCCUCUAGUUCUGUUUAGAGGGCUAUUAGAGUAGGGGUUCCUAUUACUUCUAAUAGGAUUCAGCCACGUGAUGAUUGUGGUAGGCACCAUCCGGGUGAGUGUUAGAGGAGGUUAGGGGCUUGUUUGAGGUGUUGGUCUUUGGAGCACCACAUUAGAGAAUGUUCACUCCAUGCGGAUUAGAUGCAAGCUGUAGGAUCAAGUUUUAUACAACCUUAGAGGGCAGUUCAGCAGCCAUCUAAGGGUCGUGGUCCUACUAGGGGUGGUAAUGGUAUGGGUCGAGGACAUAGAAUAUCGGGAAAAGGUGUUAGUUAGAUUGAGGCAAGGCAGCCUGCACUGGUUUAUGCUACUCGAUGCCGAGAGGAUAGAGACGCUCCUGAUGUUAUCACAGGUACUUCUUUAUUUUUGGUGUUCCAUAUACUGCUCUGAUAGACAUAGGUUCUACUCAUUCCUAUGUAGGUAGUACUAUUUCUAAAAAUUUAGGGAUUUUUGGUGAGGGUACUUCUAGUGAAAUUAUUGUACUGAGUUCGUUGGGGCAGUCUGUUCAAGUAAGUAGGCUUUAUAGGAAUGUAACUUUGGAAGUACAAGGGAUUGUGUUUUCGGCAGAUCUGAUGGAGUUACUGUUUAGGGAGUUUGACUUAAUUUUGGAUAUAGAUUGGUUGGUUGAGCUUCGAGUUAGCUUGGAUUGCACGACUAAGAGGGUCAGUCUAAGGGCUGUGGAUGAAAGAGAGAUAGUAGUGAUCGGUGAGCAUCGAGAUUAUCUACUUAAUGUGAUCUCUGCUAUUGUGGCUGAAAAAUUGGUUCAGAAAGGGUGUGAGGCGUAUUUAGCUUACGUCAGUGUUCCAGUUUUUGGGGACUCUUCUGUCCGGGAUAUCAGAACAAUAAGGUAAUUUUUGGAUGUAUUUCUUGAGGAAUUAUCGGGUUUACCUCCGAAUUGAGAAGUUGAGUUCGAUAUUGAGCUUCUACCAGGUAUAGCUUCAGUGUCCAUCGCUCCCUAUCGAAUGGCAUCGAAGGAGCUUACAGAGCUUAAGGCUCAACUUCAAGAGCUUUUGCAUUGUGGUUUCAUCUAUCCUAGUGUGUCUCUAUGGGGGGCACCGAUUCUGUUUGUAAAGAAAAAGGAUGGUACCACAAGGAUGUGUAUUGACUACCUGCAGUUGAAUAAACUAACAGUAAAGAAUAAGUAUCCACUUUCGAGGAUUUAGGACUUGUUUGAUCAGUUCCGAGGGGCUGCAGUGUUUUCAAAAAUAGACCUUCGUUCUGGGUAUCAUCAGCUUAACAUUAGAUUUUCAAAUUUAAAAAUUAUUUUUUUUACAGCUGCAUAAUUAAUAAGAUAUCAAUUUUGAGUGCUGUAGAAGUGUUAUAACCUUCUCAACGCAUAACCAACUCUUGAAUUCACUUUUUUCUCUAAAAUUCUACAUAGAACACAAAUUUAUUUUUUAAAAGAAUUUUAAAUCUCACAAUUUUUUUAGGUGAUUCACCAAAGAAUAAAAAGAUAGGAGGUGAUUCCUCCUUUUUCAUAAAACCUUGUGCUUUUGCAAACACCAAAUUAUUGCUAAGCUUUACAUUAAUAGACAUGAUUUAUUUGUUCGUUAUUACUAUUUCUAUGAUUAUAAUACUAAACUUAUCGGACUACAAUCAUAACCAUGUUUAUUAUAAUUCAAUAAAAAGAAAUAAGUGUUGGGUGUAAUGGCAAGGUUCAUUACACUCUUAAUAAGAGAUCAGGGUUUUGGACAAAGGAAGAAUAUGAUUCGAAUUUUGGAGAUGCCAUUCUUAAAAUGAGCAACCACGAAGCCCGAUUAUGAACCAUAAAAUGAACAAGAAAAGUACAAAAAAUACGUCUAUUAUCAAAUUAGUAAUCCAUCCCAAGGCUUAAAUUAACAAAAUUCACCAUGCAACCGUGUAGACUAUUUUACGUAUAUACUAUAUUCAUUCUUCAUGCAAAAUGUUUAUUAUAUUUAAAAAUUAAAAUAUAUGGUUGAUUGAGUUUUAGUUGAGUUAAUAUUGAUAUUGUUGUUAGUGCAGAAGAAUGUGAGUUCAAUCAUGUUUAAACGCGUUUUUCUUUCAAUUUAGGAGUUGGAAAGGGUUCUCAAUAGUUAAAUUAUAUAAGUUUUUUUGUCUAUUUAAAAUUGAUUUAUAAACAAUAUAAAUAAAAAGAUUUAAAAUAUAUAUAUUCAUAUUGAUGGGCUUUUUCAUUAUUAGACUUUUUUCCUUACAGGUAAAAGUAUAUAUGGACAUGAUGAUGUAAAAUUAUGACCUGAAUAAUUUUAAACCUUUCAUCACUGCAAAAAUGAAAAUAAUAGAAAUGAAAGACUAGCCAUUGUAUGAAAUUUAUAAUUGAACUGCCAACAAAAUUGGGAGAAAUUUUUAAAUUUUAUGAAAUUUUAAAAUUAAACUAUCAAUAAUAGAAAAUUGCCUGAGUGACUUGGGAUUAGAGGUUGAACAUUUCUGGACCACAAUACAUUUAAGAUGGGUCUUUAAAGUUAUACUUUAGUUAUUGAGAACAUUUUCCACAAAUUGUCAUUAUUGUUUACUGCAGCAAAACAGGCUUUUAGCAUCGUUUUUUUAGGCCUAUAGCGGCGUUUUCACAAGAGUCGCAAAAAAUGCCACUAUAAAAAACGCUGUUAAAUUUUGCGGCGUUUUAGAACAUGACCUUUAGCGGCACUUUACCCACAAAUGCCACUGAAGAACAUGAUCUUUAGCGGCGCUUUCCCAUAAACACCACUAAAGAACUUGAUCUUUAGCGACACUUUUAUCACAAACGCCGCUAAAGAACAUGACCUUUAGCGGCGCUUUUAUCACAAACGCCGCUGAAGAGCAUGGCCUUUUGUGGUGCUUUUAUCACAAACGCCGUUAAAAGUACCAUUCUUUAGCGGCGUUUAUGAAAAAACACCACUAACUUUGGCAGAUUUGUAACAUCCAAUUUUCAUCCAUAUACAACCCUUCCUGUAGCAUGAAAUCCAACCAAAAACAACAAAUCUAAAUGAUACUUCAAAUUCUACAAAAGAUAUAUGAUAUAAAUUGAUAACUGAAGUAUAAUUCAAAAUAUUCUUACAAUAAUGUUAAAAGUUACAACGUUAAAAAUAUUCUUACGAUAAGAAAGCAAUGUCUAAGAUGGCGGAUUUUGCGACUGCUGAAACAUCUUCAUCAUAUUCUGAAGCUGUAGCUGGAGUGCGUAGUACUUUUUGACUGAAUAAACACAAAUCUAUUUUUCGACAGCUAUAUCAAAUUAGCUAUAAACCUUCAACAGGACCAGUACUUGCAAAAACCUCUUGGAGUAGUGGUUCAGCCCACCAACCUGCAGUUUCUCAAAAAUUAAAAUAAAAAAUUAAAAGUUAAAGAAAAAAUAGAAAAAAGAAGAGAUAAAUAAAACUAUAUAAGUAACUUUCUAAGUUGUUAAAAAGAUGCAAGAACAUGCAAGCAUCUAUCAGAUUCCAAAAACCAUUUAACUAGCAAUUAAAAGAGCCAUUAGCUUAGAAUUUUGCACAGAGGGUCAUAGCCACAUAUCCAAUCAGCAACUCAUGAAGGAAAGUGUCUCUAAUUCAUGCAGUUAUAAGCACAAAAGUGACUAGGGUAUGUGCUUAAGCAAGAAGGGGAAAUAAGAGACUCACAAUAUACAAAUAAAACAAAAUGGAAAAAAGGGGAAAAAGAAGUAAAAAAAACCUAGGCAAACACUCACACACUGCGGCAAGUACUUGGAUCAAAACCAUGAGGCAAAUUUCCACUUGGUAUUGGCUCUGUUUGUAGAAUAGAAAAGUGAAAAAUAAAAAAGAGGAGAAAAGAAGAAACGAUGUACAAAAAAUUCAAAUCCCACUCAACUCAAUUCUAAAGCCUCCAUAUCCAAGAAAAAGGAUGAGUUUUUGAAGAAAUCCAAUAGUCAACCUAAAUGAACAAACAAGAUGCUAACUACGACCAUGACAAAUGUAAGCAUCACUUCUCCUACUUUGGAAACACUUUCCACUUGAAAAGACAACAGACUUCCUUGCUUUUACUAUUAUCACAUUUUCCCCCUUCAUUUUUUUAGUGCCGACCAGAAAAAAAAUAUUUUAGCCUCAUCUAAAUAAGACAAAUUUCAGCAGAACAAUAGACAGUAGAUCAGACCCAAUUCAAGGGUAAUGUAGUCCAAAGUUCCUUGAACUCCCUCCUUCAAAGUGAAAAACAAAUCUAUAUCUUUCUGCAUGAUUCAAACAAAAAUGACUGUUGGACAUGUAACUCAGAAAGAAUGCAAAUACAUUGAAAGCACCACAGACUUUAUAAAUUAGCUUCAUGCUGCUAAAUUUCAACACUAUAAACCUAACAAAGCCCAGAAUGAAAUGCGGGAAUCAUGUCUUAAACUCUAAUACUCAAACAAGAGACAGAUAAAUUGCACGUUUUUUUAUAUAAUAUUUACAAACUAGAGAUAAAGAUAUAGAAAAAUAUAAACAUGGACAUGGACAAAAAGACUAAUUGACUGUGCAUGUGUGCCAAAGAGAUGGCAACUAAACAUUAUCCAAACACAAUCAUUUCUCAACAUUUGCAAAACAAAAUGAAGAUUAAGAUUAGCGGUAAACUAAAUAAAACCAAAGAAAUGAGAACCACAAGUAAAUGAGAAAGAAAACAAAAUAGAGAACCUAAUAGCUUUCCCAUUGAACUUCGUAUAAAAGAAAUAACAACAUUCGAACUUCAAGCAAAUAAAAAUGUAAAAUAUUUAGAAUCAAAACAAUCUUUUAUCAAAAUUCAAACCAAAAACAAUGAGCUUCACUCUAUACAAGAAGCAUGUUAACCUCAUAGGCUUUCUGAUUUCUGGAAACCAAAUCCAGAAACGUCUCCCACCAAAAAUCAAGAAAAUAAAUUUUGUUUUUAAAAAUUACAUUCAAAUCGUGAAAUAGGAGCAAGGUCCUUCGAAUUCAAGCAAAGUUGAUGGUAAAAGCUUAGCUUUCAAAGGUCAAACAUCACAGCAUUAAAUAUAAAACUAACCCAAUCUCCACCAAUUCAAAAACAAGAAACCAAACACGAACCAGAAGAUCCAAACACGAUUUCGAAAAAAAGAAAAAUAGAUAUUCCUGAAAACUGGAUCAAAAACUAGCAUAUACUUAAUAAAAAGAGAAAUUGACGGAAAAUCAUAGGAGAUCUGCAUGCAAAUAGAGGCACACUUUUGCUUGAUUAUUCGCUUAAAAAAGUAACAAUGGAAAAUAAGAUGCAAGUUCUAGGUAAAACCAUCAUGUCUUCUUACUCACCACAAACAAAGGCCCUCUAGGACCUUCAUGAAUUUUUGUCUCAUAAGUGCUUCUAUUGUGAGCCCGAACAGCUUGAUAGCCCACAAGAUAAGGAUAUCGAUCUUCAUCCUACAGAUUAACAAGGUUAAAUCCACUUAAAUGAAACACCAUUAGUCCAUAACAAUUUACUUCAAUUUUCUGCUGUUAGUUCAAAUAUGUAUUUUUUUUAAUUUGACAAAACUUGUUAGGAUCGAAUAUUCGGAAUUCCUAAAUUUCAAUUCAAAUUUACACCAUACUUGCAGAAAAAUAUACUACUAUUAGAGACACCGGCAAUCAACCAGAGUUCUUUAGUUUUCAAUCAAGUUAUUCGGCAGGAAUCUAUAUUGAUUACACAAAAAAAAAAUCAUACACCGUGAGAAUGUCGAGUAAAUUGCAAAUAGAAAAGCAAACGAACCCUAGAGGAGCUCCAAUACUUCUUCUCCCAAGGGCCUUUGUAUAGAGAUCCAAUGGAAAUGAUCUCUAGAUCGUCUAAUUUCGCUGUUUGUUCUGCUUCUUUAGUUUUUGCCAUUCAAAGAAAUGAGAAGAAAGCAAGAUUUCCAAACAACUAACAAUAAGCGAGUAGACAGAAUUUUCAAGAUAGAUGAAGAGAUGGCAUUUUAAAAUAGCGGGAACUAAAAUCUUGAAAUGCGUCAUUUCCCUCAAAAUUCUAAAUAAAAACUUUAUUUAAUUAGGAAAAAUGUGAAUCGAUUUUGGGAAAAAUAAGAGGAAAAAAAAAGAAGAUAUUUCAUUUGAAAUUUUGGGAUAAAAAAUAUAAUUACAAAACGACGCUGUUUUGCAAAAUAUAUAUUCGUGGCAUUUGGACCAAAAACGCUACUAUUGUUCAACUUUUUUGCGACGAUUGCAACAAAAACGCCGCUAUUGCUUACCUUUUGUGGCAUUUUUUUUAUAAACGCAGCUAACGCUCGACUUUUUUACAAUUUUUAUAUUGAAUUAUUGUAUCUUUCAUAUAAAUUUUAAAUAAAUAAUUUUUUAAAUUUUACGUAAUAUUUAAAAGAAUUAGAUAAAAUUAUAAUUUUUUAUUUUUUGUAUUUCAUUUUUAUUUUUGUAUUUCAUUUUUAUUUGUUAUAAUUUGGUCCUAUCCAAAAUAGAUAGUUACCUAUCCAUAUCAAUCUGUUACUUUUUUUAUUUAUUUAUCAAUGUUUUUUUAAAUCUAAUAUUUAAAUAUAUCAAAUGGUUUAGAUUAAAUAUUUUUAAAUAUAAAAGCAUUAAUUGAUUGUAUAAAAUUUCAUCAUUUAACAAAUCUCAAGUAAACCUUAAAUCCUAAACCAUUUAAUAUUUAUAAAGUUUAUCUAUUAUCUCUUAUAUAAUUUAAACUAUAAUCAUAAUUUUAAUAUAUUAAAAUUAAUAUUAUCUCUUUUACAAUUAUAUAAGAAAUGAUUUAAUAUAUAAAUUAAAAAACACUAAUUAAUCUAAACUCUAAACCCCUAUCCCCUAUCCCCUAAACCUUAAAUCAUAAAACAUAACCCUUAACCCUUAACCCUUAACCCUUAAUCCUUAAUCCUUAACCCCUAAACCUUAAACCCCAACCCUUAAACCAAAAAUCAUAAACCAUAAACCAUAAUCCCUAAACCCAUAAUCCAUAAACCUUAAAAUAGUAACUCCUAAGCCAUAAACCAUAAACCAUAACCCUAAACCCUAAACUAUAAUGAUAAUUAAUUCAAUAUUUUAAAAUUAAUACUAUCUCUUUUACAAUUAUAUAAGAAAUUAUUUAAUAUAUAAAUUAAAAAACAAUAAGUCAUGAACCCAAAAAACUUUAAAAUUAUUUUAAAUAAUAGUAUUUUAAUUUUUUUCAUUUUUAACAAAUAUUUUCUAUGUUUUUACUUCCAAAAAUUGUCUACAUGUCAUUAUUUUUUUUUGAAGAAUUUAAAUAUUCAAUUAAAAAUAAAUUUUAUUUUAAUUAUAUAAAUAAACCAGUUAAAUAAUAAAUAGACAAAUAAAAUAUUUUUUGCGGCAUUUUUGAUAAAGUGCCGCUAAAGCUCGAUCUAUAGCAGCGUUUUACAAAAAAGCGUCGCUAAUGCCACUAAAGCUCAUUACUGAAUUUUUUGCGGCAUUUUUCAAAAAGCGCUGCUAAUGCUCGACCUAUAGUGGCGUUUUUCAAGAAGCGCCGCUAAUGCCACUAAAGCUCAACAUAAAGGUACUUGAGUCUAGUUUCAAAGACAUCAAGCGGAUAUUAAUUCGGAAUUCUGUAGCUCAAGAUAUAAAUUUAUGUUAAUCUUGUUAUCUUUCUUAUUUUAGAAUUGAUUACAUGAAAGUUAAUUGCUAAUACUAUUAGUUAAUUAUUAGUUUUCUUCAAAUCAAAUUAAAACCCGAAAGGUCCCUCUUUUUUUAUAUUAGUUUUAGUUUUCCAUUAAAUUUGUUUCUUUGUAAUAAAAUUAAAUUAUAGAAAUAACAUUAAAAUUUUAAAUAAAAAUAGUUCACAAUAAUUUAUUAUUUAAAAAACUCCCUGAAAUUUAAAAUUAUUGUUAUAAGUAUACCAUUAAAUUAUACAGAAUUUAAUUUUUCUUUCAAAUACUACAGUUAAUAAGGAAAGAGAAUAUAGUUCAUAUCAAUAAAACUUUAAAAAAGAAAUAUUGUUUAAUUAGUUAAUUUAAAAAUCAAUAGCGUCUAAAAACGGUCAGAAUGAAAUAUUAGAUUUUGUAAGAUUUCAUUAUUCUAAAAAAUAAAAUAUGACCAUGCUUAAAAAUUUUAUUAAAAAAGUUUUAAAUUUUAUAUAAAAAUAAAAAAAUAGUACUAAAAAUUUUUAUAAGCAAAUUUAAAUAUUAAUUAGUAAAUUUUUUUUGUAAUAUUUAUAUGUAUUUUCAUUCUUAUAAAUACUAUUAAAACUUUUUAAAAAAAUUUGAAUGCUAUUUAAAAACAUUAUUAAAAAUAAAAUAUUAUAUGAAAGUUAAAAUGAUCUAAAAACAUAUUUUAAAAAUUUAAAUACUUUAUAAAAUAUUUAAAACUGUUUAAAAAUUUCUAAACCCUAAAAAAAUAAUAAAAUAUAAUUCUUUCUAAGAAAUCAACAAAAAUAUAUUUAUAAUUGAACUCUCAACAAAAUUGUGAGAAAUAUUUAAAUUUUAUGAAAUUUUAUACUUAAACUGUCAAUAAUAGAAAAUUGCCUGAGUGACAUGGGAUAAGAGGUUCAACAUUUCUGGAUCACAUUGCAUUUAAGGCGGGUCUUUAGGGUUAUACUUUAGUUUUUUAGAACAUUUUCCACAAUUUGCCAUCAUUACUUGUGAGUGAUUUGUGGGGUAAGAGGUUGAACACUUCUGGAUCACAUUGCAUUUAAGACUGGUAUCAUUCAUAAAUUAUAUAUCUACAACAAGAAUGGUAGCCUCUUAUAUUAUAUUCAUGUAUCUAUUUUGCAUCUUUCAUUAUAAUAUGAUUUAGUAAUUUUAAUAUUUUUAUAGAAUAAUAUGAUUUAAAUUUUUUUGUAUUUUUCGUAAAAAUUAUAAUAAACUUACAAAAUGAUUUAAUGAUAUUUAAUUAUUAACGGAAAAAUUAUAUCAUAUAUAUUCUGUAUAUAUUAAGAUUCUGAAUUAUUAAUUAUAUAUCUACAUAUUAUAAUAAAUUCAUCUUUCAAAAUUUUCCUAAACUAUAUUCACAAUAUUAUAAAUAUAUUAUAUCAAAAAUAUUCUUUCAAAUGUUUUUUAAUGUUUAAUAAUAAAUUAAUUUAUAAAAUAUUCUUUCAAUAAAUUAACGUGAUGAGAUCGUUAAUUAGGUGCUUGGAUUUGGUGAUGGGGACGAAGAGAAAAGGGAUGGAAGUGAAGACAAAUGUUGGGAAAUUGAAAGGGUUAGCGAGGGAGGCCAGCGUGAAAGGUGGUUCUACGGAUAUGAACCUUCAAGCUUUUGUGGAUGAUGUUACUAAAGGUUAUUGCAAGUAAAUUUAAAAAUGUUUUUUAAUUAUUUUUUGUUAAAAAAUAUUUUUUUUUCUAUGUGGCUUUCCACAUUAGCAUGCUACCAUGUGGUAACUUCUAGUGAUUUCCGUCUGUAAUAUUAGACAGGUUAACAGUUAAACCAUUCAACUGACAAAUUUCGUUAAAGGAAGAGGUCAAUUAAUUUUUUUUGGACUCAUUGAGUACUCAAUUGGUGCAUUUUUUUAUAAAGACUAAAUUAAUUUUUUUAAUUUGUUAUUGCUGAGGGCUACAGUAAUAAAAAGUUUUGAGGUAAAAUUGGAAUAACGUCCCAAAAAUCUAAUACUUAAUUUUUAAAAUUUUAUCAUUAAUAAAUAUUUGUCUUAGUGAUUAAGUAUUUGAGUCGUGUUUAUAAGAUAUUGUAUUCAAGUUCCUACGUGAAUGGAUUGUUAUUAUUAUUAUUUUUUAAUUUUUGAGUUUGAGUCCAUUUCGAACUCUGGAAAAAGGUGGUUACUUAUCUGAGAUGGGGUUAGUGCUUAGUAGAUUUGGAUUUGGUUUAUUUUAAAAUUUAUUAAUUAAUUUGUUAAAAAAUUAAAUUAGUUUUUUCCUAAUUUUUGGCUCACCGUUCUUUCUCUUGUUUUUCUUUAUGCUUUCUUUUUCUUUUCUUUUUCUGUUACCUUUCAAAUCACGUCGAUUUGUUCCUAUUUCGCUUUUGAGUUUUUCUUUUCUUUCCUUUACGCUCCUCUACGAUCGUGUCUUAAUUCCUUCAUUAUUUUCUCUUUGUUGGCGUUGCUCGUUCGUAAGUGGGUUAGUUUCCGUUUUGAUGUAUUUUUACGUGGUUAGUAAAAGAAAUGUGUUAAUUUUUGGAUUAUGGAGUUGAUCGUUUUUAAUCAAUUCUCCAGUAAGUUGACUCGUUCGCUGUUAUUAUGUCCUAGGGUAAAGGAUUAACUCUGAUUUGGGCCCGUGUGGUUGUGUAGAUUUUUCAUGUGAAUUCGUUUGGUAUUUUUAGGAUAAAUCAUUCUUUAAGUCGUAUUGCUACCAUCGCUAAUGUGAUGUUUUAAUUUAUGCAUUUAGGAUUUGAUAGUCUUAUGGGUGUUUUCGUAUAAAAAUCAAACCAAGUGUGUAACGAAAAACCCGACAACAACGAGCGACGAAAGUCAAAAAAUUGCACUGUCGACACCACACGGCCGUGUGUCGGGCCGUGUGACAAGCCGUGUUUCAGACCGUGUGCGACAUAUUGUUUGGGCUAGUUGAGCCGUGUGGAACACACAGGUGUGUGUGAGGAUGUGUGCCACGCCAUGUGAGCCACACGGGCUGGCCAUUUAGGCCGUUUGAGACCAAAAUACUAAAUUUUUCCCUAGGGUUAUACACAUCGUUAUGAUCGAUCGUAGGCCUUUCGUGGGGUCGAUAUAUAAUCAAAUAGACUGUAAAGUAUGAAAUCCGGUCAACUAAUAGUAUAAAUUCUGAUAUCUGUUCAUAUAUUUGAGAUGUUAUUUGUUCAAUAAACCUUGUAAUAGGCUAUGAGAAACUUGAGAAAUAUUAUGUAUGCUUUGUAUCUGUUAUGUCAUACAUGUAUAACUGUAUUAUGUCUGAUUUUGUUCUAUUCUUUUCUGUAUUUGCAUUUGGGGUGGGUUAUAUUAUGUGGAGGAAGUGUUUCUUUGAAUGGCGAUAAUUCGCCUAUUACACUGGCAGCUCAGCUACAAAUAUUCUGAAAAGUGUUAUAUCGACACUAAAUGGUGUGUAAGGUUGGAUGAGUGUUUCAUACCCCAUAUGGUGUGUUGAGCUGGUCGGAGAUAGUGUGUAGCAGAUGGGGGUAGGAAUAUAUGUUUGUAUCUGUACUGCUCUGAUAUGAAUAUGUUCUGCUAAAUCUAUCUGAUAUAAAUUAACUGUUUAAAGUUAUUUGUUAUACAUUGAGUUUUGUAAACUCACUUUCUGUUUGUUUGAUAUUUUUAGGUAACCCUCAGACUUUGGCAAAUUGGUGCGAAGGAGCUCGGUUAAAUUGAUUUAGUUUCAUCAUCUAUUAUAAUCAAAUUUUGUGUUAUUGUGUUUCAUUAUUUUUGAACUUUUGGGACUUUUUGGACUGUUUUGGUUUUUGAGAUUUUAUUUUCAAUUUUUGCAUGAUAUUAUUAAAAAUGUUUUAUCGGAAAUGUCUGUUUUCUUGAAAAACAACUGAUUUCAAAAAAAUAAACUUAGUUUUCCAAACAUAAUGAUUUGAGAAUUUCCGCUGCUAAGUAUUCAUUUUAGAAAAUGUAAGCAAACAUCGUUUUCAACUACAAAGUUAAGUUAGAUGUAUUUUCUCUUAAAUCGAGGUUUAAGUAAUAAAAGAUUAUGUCAUUUUUCCAAAUUUUACGAAAAAUUGGAUUUACAAUUGUUUUAUGUAACAUCUCUAGAUUUGGCCAUAACGUCUAAGUCGGAUUUCGGGCGUUACAUUUUGUGAUAUCAGAGUCAGGUUGCAAAACUCGGGCUGUGAAAUUUUCGGUUCAAAAUUUUGUGAAAACUAUUUUUCGAGUAAAGUUCAUUUCUGCAUUAAUUUGAAAAAUUAAUUAUAUGAAGUAUCGAGUCUCUAACGUUGAUCCUGUAAGUACUUUUGACUUAGAUAAACUUUAGUUUAGAAAACUCUGAAAUGAUUAGAACUAUACUUGGAUAGUUAGAGACUGAAACAUCUUUAUAAAUUCUUUUGAUAACUUUUUGAGAACAAAAUAUCUGCUAAUAAAUACUAAAAUUGAUACAUAAAAUUCGUAAUGUAAGUAAUAUAUACGAUGAGUACUUGUGGAACAUGUGGAUGCGUUACCCGUAGGCGUGGCGGGCGCCGAAGAGGGGCUCGAGCUGAGUCAUCCUCGAUGGGUACCUGAUAGGCUAUUGCUGGAGAGAGCAAUAGUCUUGAGAGAAGAAAUGUUGAAGAUCGAAGUCAAAAUCUGACCUAUAAAGCCUUUAAUUGCUUGAAUGAUAAGCAUUUCUAAACUAAAAAGAUUACCGAUUUUUUCAGGAAUUUGACCUGCAGACAUAGUUGAAACAUCAAGGUGUUAAAUUACCUAUUUUGUUAGUGUAAAUCAAAGAGGCGUUUUAUUUUUUUCGUUUUGAAAUAAUAUGGAUAUGUUAGAUUCUAAUCAUAUUUAAGUAUAUAUUAGUUCUUGAAAGAAAGAGUUCUUAUUUUUGGUAUUUAUAUUGCAAAUAUAUUUUUUUAAAUUUAAAAAAGGGGGGGGGCAAAUGUGUUUAAAACUAAAGACAUCAAGGAAAAGGCAUACCUUCUAGGUUAUUUAACCCCAAGUAUAAUUGUUUAAGUUGUGUCAAAUUCCCAAUGCUUUUUGGAAUGAUCCCACUAAAUUGAUUAAUAGACAAUUCCAAAAUUUGAAGGUUGCAGCAUUUGUCUAUACUUGAUGGAAUAGAACUUGAUAAUUCAUUUCUACUCAAGUAAAGCUCUUUAAGCUUGGGAAGAUGGACACACUAAAUUGAUUAAUAGACAACUCCAAAAUUUAAAAGAUAUUCUGGCUUCGCCCUUAAUAAAAUUUUUGGAAAAAGAUUAAAAAAAAGUUAUACGGUAAAUGAAAAAAAGAAGAAAAUAACUUGAUGUCCAAAAGCUACCAUAAACAGUAAUUCGUGGGAAGGCUUGUUGCUCAUUUUAUUGGUUUCCAUUUUGAUUUUGCAAAAGAAGUUUGAAUUUUGAAGAGAGCAUACUACGUGAGAGCAAAAGAAAAAAUAUAGUUUAUUAAUUUUUACGAAUACCGACAUAUUAUAUAUACGAUUAAAAUUCAGAAUAGAUUAAAAAUGUUCAAUUAAAGAUAAAAUUAAAUGUGAAUUAAUAACCACAAGUCUACUCAUUACUCAUUACUCACCGUCUCUGUUAAAAAUGUUGGAUGUUGUUCAGCAACCUUUGUUUGAUUUUCUUCAGCUCAACCACAACAUCUUUCAUAUCUUUUCUUUCUUCUGGUAACUCAGCUGAACAAUUCAAAGCCAACUCCAUGAUAGAUGAAAUGCAAUUUGCUUUAACAACAAAGUACUCAUCGUCUCUUCUUAGUAAAUCAACAUCUGCAAUUUCUAUCGCUCCUUUAGGCAAUGAACUUUCCAUCCAAUGCCUUAUAGUCUCUUCUUCAACAAAAACAUUAUCAGUUGGCUUUUUCUUUGUAAAAGUUUCUAUAAGGACGAUCCCAAAACUAUAGACGUCAGAUUUUAUAGAAACAAUUCCUGCCGAUCCAAAUUCUGCAUUUCAAGUAUAAUUAGAACAUCAUUCAUCCUCAAUUAUUUCUAAAAUGCUUAUUCAAAUAUAUAUCCUCAUACACAUGAAACAAAAAUAUAAAAUGCAAAUUAGGAAAAUAAUCAUACAAAAAUAAAAAUGAAUUCACCUGGUGCCAUAUACCCGAUAGUUGCAAGAGUCAUGGUUUGCUUCAUUACUUCACCUUCCCCCAACAAUUUGACAAGGCCAAAAUCUCCAACAUGUGCAACCAUGUCUUCAUCUAGUAAAAUAUUGCUUGGUUUUAUGUCACAAUGAAUUGUAGGUGUUGGAUGUCCAUUGUGGAGGUGUUCUAUAGCUACCGCAACAUCUAUCAUUAUGUCGACCCUUUGUAUGAUAUCAAGGAAACAAUUUUCAGAAUGUAACCAUUUCUCAAGGUUUCCAUUAGACAUGUAAUCAAGCACCAAGGCUUUGAAGCCAACACUUGAGCAGCAAGUAACGACCUUCACAAUAUUACGAUGAACUACAUUACGCAUAGCAUCACAUUCAAUGUCAAAACUCCUAAAUGCUCCCUCUGUUUGCAAAUUGAAAACUUUUAUUGCAACUUCCAUUCCAUCCGAAAGCCUCCCUUUAUAUACAUAUCCAAAACUCCCUGAACAAAGCAUAUUGCUUUCCUUAAAUCCAUUAGUUGCUCGUGAAAGUUCAGCAUGUGAAAUUCUUCUCGGUGUUUUCAAAGACAACAAAUCAUCUUUAAUUGGUAGAGUUGUACUCCUUCUUUGGCAUCUUCUAUACAUAAUAGUUAAGACUAUUAGUACUACGACAACACCAAUUGUUGGUAAACCAUACCUAAAAGCAUGCAAUAUAAUCAUUUGGGAGUUUUUGUGGAUGUCGUUUUUGCAAGGUGGAACUAGAAAUCUAUGUGGACCACAAAGUGCAUAAUUCUUCAUGAAUGAUGUGCUAGAAAAGUUUGAAAAACAUCCUUUGCUGGGAAUUUCCCCUUCAAGUCUAUUGAAAGACACAUUAAAAUACUUUAGAUAUAAAAGCUUUUCCAAAGAUUUGGGAAUGACUCCAGAGAGAUUGUUAUUGCAUAAAUCCAAGAAUUCCAAACUAAUCAACCCAUCAAAUGAUUCAGGGAUAUGACCAUGUAGUAUAUUAUUUGAUAAAUCUAAUGAAACCAAAGUUUGAAGACCCCCAAAUGUGGAUAAGAUAUCACCCGUGAGAAGAUUCCUAGAUAAAUUUAGUUUCAGUAGACUCCUCAAAUUUCCAACAUCAAUAGCGUGUGAAUUGUGAAGAUGGUUUGAUGAUAAAUCUAUUUCUAAGAUAUCUUUAAGAUUCCACAAAGUUGAGGGAAUUGCGGAACUCAAUUUGUUGGAAUCUAAGCAAAGAUAUCCCAAAGAAGUAAUAUUACCUAAACAAGAGGGUAUGGAUCCAUGCAGCUUAUUCAACCCUAAACACAAGUUGUAUAGUCUCUCCAAACCACAGAGGCUUUCUGAGAUGGGCCCUCCUAAUUUAUUAGAGGAAAGAUCUAGACCUUGGAGAUUUCGCAGUCCUCCUAUUGAUGUUGGAAUGAAUCCACUUAAUUUAUUAGAGCCAAGUUCUAAACCGAACAUAUUGGUUAAGUUACCUAUUUCCAUAGGAAUAAUGCCUUGAAGCUCACACUCUUCGGCAUAAAAGUAUUGAAGGGAUUUUGAAAGGUUCCCAAUAUAAGUAGGAAGAACGCCACUCAAUGGAUUUCCUGAAACUUCUAUGUCUUUCAAAUUCUUACAAUUCGUCAAAGAAGAAAGAAAGCUCCACUCAUGAUCAGUAGCAGAUCCUGUGAUCAAAUUAUUGUCAAAGAUUUUGAGCACUUCAAGGUGUUUUAAGCUGCAAAGCAUUCUAGGGAUUGGGCCAGAGAAUAAGUUUUGUGACAAUUCUAGUUCCUUAAGCAUGGAAGCAUUGGAGAUAGAGUUGGGAAUGUUUCCGCUAAGUUUAUUUCUCCACAAUAAAAGAAUCUCAAGCUUUGGAGCAUUGGUGAUGGGUGGUAAAUUACCUGUAAAAUAGCAUCUUUUAGUAUACAUAUUCAUUGAAUACCAAAUUUACAAAAUAUAUAAUACAUUAAAAUAAAAACUGUACAACUUUAAAUCAAUUAAGAAUAGAAUUUUGGCAUGGAAAAAUGUGAUGAAAUCACUUAGAAAGUUGAGACAUAAUAAGAAGUUUUAAGUAGUAAUUAUUCCUUGUGAUUUGUAUAGAAAAAACAUAUAAUACACUAACAAUUUUUUAAAAAUAAAAAUAAAAGUUUGGCAUGAGAAUGUGGCAUCUAAUCCAUCUUAAAAAUGAGUCUGACACUGAAUAAUAAUUAGUUAUGAUUUGGGAAAAAAAUGUUAAAGCCAUUGUUUUUAAUGUAAACUGGUAUGAUUUUUAUCUAUUGGGUAUAUUAUUUAUUUUUAUUAAAUUAUAGUGUAAAAUUUAAAGAUUAUUAUUUGCUCAAAAUUUUUGUAUUUUUCGUAUAUUUGAAAUUUAAUCUUUAUAUUUUUUAUUUUCUGUGAUUUAGUCUCUCUACUUUUUGAAUUGUAAAUUUUAGGUUUAUUUAUUAAUGCUGUUAAAAAGUUUUUGUGUUAGUAUGGCAUUUUGAAAAAUAAAAUAAACUUGAUAUCUAUGUUUUUAAUUAUUCCAAAUAUUGUUUUACUAUUUCAAGAUAAAUUAUUUGUGUCUAGACCAAUAUCUUAAGAACUAUUAUUGCAUGUUUAAUUAUUCUAAAGAAUUGUCGAUUGAGUCUUAGCUUGAUUGGCAUGUGCAUUGUUGCCAAUGUAGGAGAAUGUGGGUUCAAGUAUGCUGAAGUGUAUUAUCCUUCUAUUUAUGAAUCAAGGAGUUGGCAAAGUAUUAUAUUUUGAUAUAUUUUAGAAUAUUAAAAAAUUAUUAAAAUAUUUUUUUAUAAAAAUUGGUUGUACCACAAUAUACAUCAAAUUUUUAAUUUUUUUAAAAAUAUUAGCGAAUUUAUAUUUUAUUUCAAGUUACACAAUUUUUACUAGUUUUUAACUUUUUUUUAAAAAUUUUUAUCGUCUUUCAUAAUUUCUAAUAAAUUUUUAUAUAUUUUUGACAAUAUUUAACAAUUUCUAACAAUUUUUAAUAAUUUUAUUAUUAAUUACAAAUUUAAAAAUUAACACAUUUUUAUUUUUUAAAACAAUUUUAUAUUUAUAAUGUAGUUGUUUUUUUUAUAAUUUUAUUUGAAAAUUUAAAGCUUUUUUGGUUUUUUUAAGAUAAUGAUGCCAUCAUGAUGUCAUCAUAUGCCACAUGGCAAUUUAUGAUUAGUUGGAUAUCUCAAUCUAUUUUUUUAACGUCCAAUUGACUAAACCAAGAACACCUGAUAAUGUUAGAGACUACACUAGAAAUGCUUGAUAAUAUUAGGUACUAAAGUGGGCAAAAACUCAUUAAGGACCAAAGUAAAAAAAAAAAAAGAGCAAUAUGCUGUAGGGAAUAAAUGCAUGAAUUUUGAGAAACUUUUGAACUAAUAAUUACAUAGUAAUUAUUAGUGAAUUUGUUAUUUUAAAUAUUUUUAUUACUUUUAGGAUUUAUCAUAUGUAUGGAUAAGAAUUUUGGUUUUACUAAAAUAUUUGGUUAAAUAAAUUCAUAAAAAAAUUUAGCAUCCUUAUAAAUAACAAUUUUGAUUCUAUUAAAAAAAUCAUUUUAAAAAAUAUAUAAUAAAAAUUUAAAAUUUAUAUUGAAUUACUUUAUACGUAAAUUAUUAUUAGAAACGUUAUCAUACACAUAUGUAUAUGAGAACUACGUAUUUAGAACAUAAAUUUAUGUUUGAAAAUAACUUAUGAUAAAUAAUGAAAUGUAUAAUUUGAAACUAUUUAAUAAUAACACAUGGCAUAUCUACCAUAUUAAAAAUAAAAAUAGAUUAAAUUGUAAGUAAAACAUAAUUUAAACAUAUGGAUACAUCAAAUUAAGAAUACUAAAUGAAUACAGUUAUUUAUGAUGAUGUUGUUGUCAAUUCUUAAGUUGGUGUCGAGUUAAUUUGUGACAUCAUAAUUUUAAGUGAUAAAUUUAAAGUUUUAUGUAUUGAUGUGGAUUCAAAUAUCACCAUAACUUUUUUAAAAUAAAAAAUUAAAUUCAACACAAUAAAAUGAAACAAAUUCAACACAAUGUUUUUGGAGUUUGCAAAAAAUUAAAGUGAAAAACAUACCUUCUAAUUUGUUGUCAUAUAGAACUAUUUCUUCGAGCGUAGUUGAAUUAAAAAUACUUGAUGGAAUCUGGCCUGCACACAUAGUCGAAAAUUGAAGUGAAAAAUACACCUUCUAAACUGUUCAACUAAAAAUACUUUAAGCAUAUUUUUUUUUCCAUCAAAUUAACUAUUUUGCCUUGAAUGAAAUAAAAUGCUCUUACUUUUGUUAUCUAUUACAAAUCAAACUCUUUUGUGAAUAAAAUAUUACCAGAUAAUUCAUUCCAACCCAGGUUAAGCCCUUCAAGCUUGGGAAGUUGUUGACACAUAUCAUUAGGCAAACUACCUGAUAGGCUAUUGCUGGAGAGGUCAAUGGUCUUCAGAGAAGAAAUGUUGAAGAUCGAAGUUGGAAUUUGACCUGUAAGGCCUUUAGUUGCUUCAAUAUCAAGCAGUUCCAAACCAAGAAGAUUACCGAUUUCCUUAGGAAUUUGACCUGCAGACAUAGUUGAAAAAUCAAUGUUUUUUAGCAUAUAUUUUUCAUCAAAUUAACUAUUUUUCUUCGAAUGAAAUAAAAAGUUCUUCCUUUUGUUAUCUAUUACAAAUUAAACUCUUUCAUAAAAAAAUACUUUAAAUUCAAGAAAUUAAGGAAAUUGAUUACCUUUUAGAUUAUUAAACCCUAAAUAUAAUUCCUGGAGUCGUGUUAGAUUUCCAAUACUUCUUGGAAUGAUCCCCAUAAAUUGAUUACCGAACAAUGACAAAUUUUUAAGGUUGUUGCAUUUGCCCAUGCCAAAUGGAAUGUAACCAGAUAAUUCAUUCCAACUCACGAAAAGCCCUUCAAGCUUGGGAAGAUGUUGACACAUAUCAUUAGGCAAAGUACCUGAUAGGCUAUUGCUGGAGAGAUCAAUAAUCUUCAGAGAAGAAAUCUUGAAGAUGGAAGAUGGAACCUGACCAGAUAAUUGAUUGAAUCCUAAGUUCAAGAUCCCUAGAUUAGACAUGUUAACAAGUGUUUCAGGGAUUGUGCCUGUAAAGUUAUUAUUUUUCAUUUGCAGCCUUCGAACUCUCUGUAAAUUCCCAAGCCAUGAUGGAAUUUCCCGAUUAAGACGGUUGUAGCUUAAUUGAAGGAUCCUCAAACGAUGCAAUUGGCCCAAUUCUUUAGAGAGAUGGCCAUAGAAAUGGUUGCUACUCAAGUCGAGAGAGACUAGAAAUGAAAGAUUUCCAAGGUGUGGAGGGAUAAUACCCCUAAGAUUCAUGCUUGUAAGAUUCAAUGCUAUAACUCUUUUAUGGAGGAUGCCACAAGAAACACCAAUCCAAUUGCAAACAGAGGUUGAGGCUGUCCAAUUGUCUGCCAAGACAUUUUGAGGACCGGCAAUGCGAUCCUUAAACUCGAGAAGUGCAAACUGAUCAGAGUUGAGAUUCCUGGCUGUCAUAGCCAAGCGAAGUACGGAACAUGGUAUGAAUAAAGCUAAGAGAAGAUGAAAGCAAGUGUUGUAGUUCAUGAUUGCAAGACGGAAUAAGGCAAGAAAAAAGGAAAAAAAAAGUAGGAAAAGGGAAGUUAAGUUGAUAAAAUAGUUUGGAUGAUGAAGAAAAGCCCAGAGAGCAUGCUUUAAUAUGUUUCAACCCUCGCACACUUGAUAAACUUGAUAAAUUUAAGACUACCCUAAAAAUUAAAAAGGAAAACAAAGUUUUGAUGAGAUUUCAAAAAAAAUGUCAAGUAUUCUUCUUUUAAAAAUACGUACAAAGAAGCGAAUUUUCAAAAUUUCUCCUAAAUUUUCUUCAAAUUACUCCACAUAAUCCAUUAAAAAAACUUAAAAAAUAUAUUUUAUUAAUUACUAUAUAUUCUUUUGUUUUCAUAAUAAUAAAUUGUUUAAAAUAUGCUAUUAGUGGCCGUAAUUUAAAGUUUAAAAAAAAAUCCAAUCCUCCUUUUUUUUAAUUUAAAAAUUCUAAUCCAAUCAUUUUUAAUUCCAUUAAAAAGUUUUCAACUUAAUAGAUUUUUUAUUAUCAAUCUUAUGCAACAUUAUAUGAAGGCAGUCUACUCAGCAUAUAUCCAAGUUUACAGAUUUUAAUAGAAAAUACUUACAAUCCUAAUGGUAGGACUAAGUUUUUUAAACUAGAAAAGUAAAAAAAAAAAAAACUUAAUUUUUAACUUUUUUAAGUACAAGGAUUAAAUUUUAAAUGUUGUCAAAGUACAAGCACUAACAAAAUAUUUUGAUCUAAUAAAUGUAAAAAAGCAUUUUAAACAAAAGAAGGUUGAAAUAAUCUAUUUGUCCUUAUACUUUGAUAAAAUUUGAGAUACCAUAAAAUUUGUAUCUUUUUUCGAAUUAUUUAAUGACAUUUCAACAUUUUCAUUCAAAAAAAAAUAUCAUUUUGAAUUUGAUCUUUUUCAAGAUGAAAUAUUGAAAUGAUGUUAAAUUAUUAGAAAGAGAUACAAGUUUCAUGGUGUCCCAAAUUCAUUUAAUCUUAUCUCUCUAAGAAAGCUGAAUUAAGAUAUUAAUGACAUCAUUUGAAACAAAGUUUUAGGUCAAAUUAUUCAUCUAUUCCUUGUAAUUGUUCUUUAAGGUGAAUUUCAUUAUUAUUCUUUUAUUUUCUUUGGCUUAAAUACACAAUUACUCCUAAUUUUAUCACAUUCUCCUUAAUUGGUAUUUAUAGUUUAUAAAAUUUUAUAAAUAUAUUAUUUUUUAAGAAAUUAUAAGAAGAUUACAAAAAUUCCAAAAUAAUAUAAAAAAGCUAAGAAAAACCUAGAAAUUCAAAAAAAAAAAUCAUGUUUUUACAAAUUGGAAAAUACCUAAAUUUACUUUUCAGCCCGUCCGAUGCUAUGAAAGAAGAAGAAAGAGAGUCUUUGCUAACAUUUUUUUUUCUUCGUCAUCUCUAUGUUUCUUGGCAAAUACAAUGAAAGAAGAACAAAGAAAACUGUUGGCUAUUUAUUUCCCAAUAAUCCUGAAAUUACUUGCCAUAGGCGUAGAAUUUGCUAACCAAUUUUCAAGCAAUCUGACAUGAAUUCUUGUUAAGUAUGACUCCUAUUUUCAGUCAAAUUUGAGAAAUAAUCUUCUAGUUAAUUCUGUUUAUUUGUUUCAAUCAAACACUGAUUAGUUUAGAUUAUUUUAUUAUUAUUUGACAUAUGAAUUUAGCCUAUAAAUAGGUUAUUUUACAACCUUAGAAAAUACACCCAAUAGAGUUUAGAACUCAUAACAUAUUUAGAGAAUUUUGUGUUUACGUUUUGAGAGUUCUUUGUUUUCGGAUUUUCGGGGUUUAGUUUUUAUCUCCAUCUCUUGUAUUCUUUGUUCUUUUGCCAUUAUAAUAAAAUUAUCUUUACCCGUGGUUUUUUAUCCUUUUUGGAGGAGUUUUUUCACGUUAAAUUUGUGUGUUCAAUUUCUCAAUUUAUUCCGCUAUUUUGUUACUUGUUGCUUAAUCGGGUCGAUCCCUAACAAUUCUCAAUCACAAUUAAUUGAAUUCAAGAUAUAUUUGGAUGAGAACACAAAUAUUUCAAUUUUACCACAAUCCAAUGUUUGGGAUGAUUUGGGAUAAGAACUCCAACAUUUUAAGAUCACAUUUUCUUUUAUAAUUUCAGGCUUAUCAACUAUUUUGAAAACAACAAAACGUCUUACACCAAAAACUAAAAAAUUAAAACGUCGACAUUAAAUUUGUUGGUAUGCAAUCAAUUUUAAGAUGGGUCUUGGAGUUAUAUAUCACUUUAGCAUUGACUUACUUUUCUACUCUUAGUCUUCUCCAAUAAGUUAAAUAUUUCAAUUUUAACAGCACUGACAGGUCUUUGGGGUAGGGUCCAGCAAAACUCAAUAGAAACAGAUGAUAUAGGCAGAGUUGGCUCGGCCAAGUCGAGUCGACUUGUUCAAAUUAGUUAAAUUAGUAAAUUUUAGGGUGCAGUUAGAACUUUUUUUUUUUUUUUGAGAUGCUAAUAUUAAAAAAUUUUAGUUGCUAAAACAAAAAAUUUAUAUUUAAAAAGGAAUAAAUUAAAUUAUUAAGUUUUUCAAGUUUCCAUUUAAUCAAAGGUUAAAAGGACUAAAUUGAAGCUUUUUAUUUUAAAGAAAGGCUGAAUGACAAAUUGCCCAAAGCCCAUGCCCCUAGCUAUAUGCCCCUGGUAAAAUCAAUUUUAAAAUUAGUUAUAAUAGUUGAAGCGAAUUGAUUAUUGAGUAUUGAAAUACAUAGUUCAACAAAAUAAACAAACUGACAAAUUUUGACCAAAAAAAAAAAUCAAAGGUGAUAAUAAUUAAAUUAUAAAAUUUAAAUUGAGAAAAUAGGGGAUUGAAUUUAUAAUUUUUAAAGUAUAAAGAAUGAAUUUAUAACUAACAUCAUAUUUUAACCACAUAAUAAAAGUAGUUAUGGAGAGGAUCAUGUAAAAUAAUGACCUGAAUAAUUUUAAACGUCUCAUCCUUGCAAAAAUGAAAUAAUAGAAAAGAAAGAGUAAAGAGUAGCCAUUUUAUGAAAUCUAUAAUUCCAACUGUGAAUAAAAUAUAAAUUUUAUGAAUGUGGACAAGCCAUUUUAUUUAUAAUUUUCUGUGUUUUUCUGACUUUUUUUUAAGUCAUUUUCUUUGUUUCCUAACCAAAAAGUUUGCCCAUCACUUUCAAUAUAAAUUUAAAUCUAAAUUUUCUUUUUAAAAUAUAAGUUACUCGUCACAAUUCAUCUUUCGAAAACAAUUUGCCAUCACUUUAACAUACACUAACUUUUCUAUGAUUAGUCCUUGGUUUGCUUUGGGUGCAAUCUUCCAACUAGCCACAUCCUUGGUUUUACUUUCCAACAAUUAGUGUAUCACGGGUUUUGUUUUCUUUAAAAAAAUAUUUUUGUGGAUAUUAGGAGAUAAUGAAAAUUAUUUUACUAUUAAAUUUUAAUAAAACUGGAAAAUAAGUAAUGUCUUUUAAGUGAUCACAAUUAAACAUUAGAUUUUUAAUUUUAAAAUUUUAAAAUUUUUUGAUAAUUGCAUAAUUAAUAAGGUACCAAUUUUUUGAUAAUGCUAUAAUCUUCUCCACACAUAAUCGACUCUUGAGCAUGAUGGAUCUAGACCUUAUCCUGUAUUCUCGUACCACAAAUUGCUUCGAGUGUGGGUUCAAACAAUCACAAAUUAAACACAAAAUCAGAAAUGAUUUAUUACUUUCAAUAGCAAAGUAAUUCUCUCUCAAUAGAAACCAACAGAAUUGUAAUUCCGAAAAAUAAAAUUUAUUUUUUGAAAAUAUAUUCUCACUACUUCCUAGCAUAAUAACAAUAUUUAAAACUUAUGUCUUGUGUUAAUAGCUCUACCAGUACUAUCCAUUUAUAGAGAGAGACACAAGAAUCCUGGUUGAAUUAGUAAAACACGAGUAAUAUUUAUUUCAUAGAAAACAAUAUUCUACCCUAAGUAGAUCAAGUUUGGAUGACGCAUGGGUCGAAGUUCAAUCUAAGAGAAAAAAAUAAAGGAAUUUUCUUUGUAAAGAAAAUUUGAGAUUGUACUAUUUUCGAAGUUAUAAAUAAAAUUAUAAGCCAAACUUUCAAGUCAAUUUUUGACUCGAAUUUUGUACGUACAAAUUUCUAAUACACUUGGUGGGACAUUCUUUGACUUUUAUCUAUUCUCUCAGAAAGUUAAAAGUUAAAAGUUGCAUUAAACUCAAAGAAGAUAAUCAUUAGUAAACCAGCUCACAAGCCUGCUCAAGCUAAUCCUACAACUCGUUCCACUUCAUCAUCAAACACCAAUGUUCUUGCUUAUCCUUAUGGAAUUAAACAAAAGACAAAAGCUCUUUAAGAGUUAUUUGAACAGACAAAAGAUUCAGACGUGUUGAGAUGGAAAGUGACAAUGCAAUGUUGAUUGAAGCUAUUCGUAACCGGUUGGCUACAAUAAGUAGUGUUGCUGAAGUAAGACAGAUUCACGAUUGGUGUUCUAAAAAUUGGGAAGUCAAAUUUUGAUAUAUUUAGUAGAAUGCCAAAAAAGUUGUUGAUUGCAUAGCUAAGGCAGAUGGAGGAGUAAUUGAGCAGCUAGUUUUUUGGAAGAUCCUCCGCAUUUUGUGAGAUGUUGGCUUGAAGAAAAUAUUAGACAAUCGCUGGUGACUUAUGAUAAUUUUCAUUUGGACUGAUGCUCGCUUAGUUUUCUAAGGUUAUGUUCAACCAAAAAAAAAUAAUUUAAAUAUGUCUAUAUUAUCAUAGAGUUAGCAUUUAGUGUAUAAAAAAAUAGUGUAUAAAAUUUUUUCAAUUGCAGUUUAGUUCCACAAAUACUGACGAUGAACCUUAAAACGAAAAUGAAAAUUACAAAAAGAAAAACAAACCACAUCUAUUAUCAAACCAGCAAUCCGUGUCUAAACUUAAAUUAACAAAAUUCAUCAUGCAACUCGGUACACUAUUUUAUAAUAUAUAUAUUAGAUUUAUUCUUGAUGCACAUGUUUUAUUAUAGUUAAAAAUUAAAAUAUAUGAUUAACUGAGUUUUAGUUGAGUUAGUAUUGGUAUUAUAUCAGUGUAGAAAAAUGUGAGUUCAAUCGUACUUAAAUAUGUAUCCUCCAACUCAACAGUUGGGAAAAGGUUAUUGAUAAUUAAAUUACACCAAUUUUUACAAUAUCUAAAAAGCAUUCAUAAACAUAUUCAUAUUGAUGGGCUCUUUCAUUAUUAAACUUUUUUUCUCUCACAAGUAAAAGUACUUGUGGUGAGGAUCAUGUAAAAUAAUAAACUGAAUAAUUUUAAACGUCUCAUCAUUGCUAAAAUGAAAUAAUAGAAAAGAAGACAUUUUAUGAAAUUUACAAUUCCAACUGUGAAUAAAAUAUAAAUUUAUGAAUGUGAACAAGCCAUUUUAUUUAUAAUUUUCUGUGUUUUUCUUCUUUUUCUGACUUUUUUUUAGUCAUUUUCUUUGUUUCCUAACCACCAUGAAAUUACUUGUCACAAUUCAUCUUUUUAAAUGAGAAGCAUUUUCCACAAUUUGCCAUCACUUUAACAUACACUAACUUUUCUAUGAUUAGUCCUUGGUUUGCUUGUCACCAUGAAAUUACUUGUCACAAUUUUCCACAAUCUUCCAACUAGCCUCAUCCUUGGUUUUACUUUCCAACAAUUAUUGUAUCCUUCUCAUUACUUGUACUUACCCGACUGAUAAAAAAUUCACUGAUCAAAUUAGUUCAAAGUUUUUUUUUUUUUUCUAAAUCAUGUGAAUUCACGAGUUUUUUUUCUUUAAAAAAUAUUUUUGUGGAUAUUAGGAGAUACUGAAAAUUAUUUUACUAUGAAAUUUUAAUAAAACUGGACAAUAAGUGAUUUAUUUAAAGGGAUCACAAUUAAACAUUAGAUUUUUAAUUUUUUAAUUUUAAAACUUUUUGACAAUUGCGUAAUUAAUAAGGUACUAAUUUUGAGCGUUGUAGGAGUGCUAUAAACUUCACUACGCAUAAUCGACUCUUAAAUCCACCUUUUUCUCUAGAAUUAUAACAAAUUUACAAAAUGAUUUAAUGAUAUUUAAUUAUUGACCGGUAAAAAAAUUAUAUCAUAUAAAUUCCGAAUUAUUAAUUAUAUAUCUACAUAUUAUAACCAAUUCAUCUUUCAAAAUUAUUUCCUUAUAAUUAAAGCAAAAAUUAUAUUUAUAAAAUUCUAAAUAUAUUAUAAUUCUUGUAAAUAUAUAUAUUUAUAUAUAUAAGUUCAAAUUGUAAUAGAGUUAACAUUUAAUGUAUAAAAAAUGUCUUGAAAAUUAUUAUUUUUUUCAAUUCCAAAAGAACUAUUCCAUUUAUAGAACCAUAAAACUUUAAAAAUAUAAACUCUAUUAAAUAAAAAUAAUAAUAUAUUUAAACAAUAAAUAUUGACUUUAUUUUAAAUUGACAUUAUCUAAUUCUUUUUAAUAAAUAUAGCUAAGCUUUACAUUAAUAUACAUGAUUUAUUUGUUCGUGGUUGUUAUUAUUAUUAUUAUUAUUAUUAUUAUUAUUUCUAUGAUUUUUAUAUCAUACUUAUCGGACUACAAUCAUAACCAUGUCUAUUAUCAUUUGAUAAAAAAAAUUAAGUGUUGAGUAUAAUGACAAGGCACGUUACACUCUUAAGGGGAGAUCAAGGUUUGGACAAGGGAAGAAUAUCAUUUAAAUUUUGGAGACAACAUUCUUUAAAUGAGCAACCACAAACCCCGAUUAUGAACCAUAAAACGAGCAUGAAAAGUACCCAAAAAAACAAGUUUAUUAUCAAAAUAGUAAUCCAUCCAAGGAUUAAAUUAACAAAAUUCACCAUCCAACCGUGUAGACUAUUAUAUAUAUAUAUACCAUAUUUAUUCUUCAUGCAAAUGUUUAUUAUAUUUAAAAAUUAAAAUAUAUGAUUGAUUGAGUUUUAGUUGAGUUAAUAUUGAUAUUAUUGUCAGUGCAAAAGAAUAUGAGUUCAAUCAUGUUUAAAUACAUUUUAUACUCCAAUUUAGGAGUUGGAGAGGAUUCUCAGUAGUUAAAUUAUAUCAGUUUUUGUCUAUUUAAAAUUGAUUUAUAAAUAAUAUAAGUAGAAAAUUUUAUAAAAAUAUACAUACUCAUAUUGAUUGGCUUUUUCAUUAUUAGACAUUUUUCCCCAUAGGUAAAAGUAUUUAUCGAAUUCAAAUUUUGGGUUUUAAAUAAGGGUUUUCGGAUUUUUUUUUAACAUUUGUGAGAGUUUUUGCCAAAUUUUAUGUUUUCAAAAACGCAUAACUAAGUUGAUUUUUAAUUAGUUUUUCAAAUGAGUCAAUGUAAUUCCUUAAAAAUCUAGUGAUAGCGUCUAGCCUGGGUUUGGGGGUGUUACACUGACGUUACUAAAGUUAAUCUUAAUCUAUUUAGUCUAGAUCUGAACAUUAAUAUUCUCUUCCAAUAAAAAUAAAGAUCAUCAAAUUAUUACAAUUGUGAAGCCAGACAAUCAUAUUAAAUAAGCAUAAAACUUAAUAAAUAAUUAGCGAAGAUUGAAACAAUCAAAGAAAAAAUAAAUUAAUUAACUAAGAAAUAAGGAUCCAUUAUUGUUUCAAGAAAACAGAGUUUAGUUCAUAUUGAGUUGAGAAAACCAAAAAUUAGAUUCAAAACAAACUUGUGAUAAGGGGAACAAUGUCAACAGAUCAUAUUCAAGUUGUUCGACUCGAGAAAGCAAGAUUCGGAUUUGACCUGAAAAGAAGAAACCAAACAGAUUAGGAAAACAAGAAAAAAACAAAGAAAAAAAAAUAAAAUGAGAAAUUUAAGAAUAAAGAAUAAAUAUUAAAAAAUAAUAAAGAAAUAAAUAAAUUAUAGAAUAAAAAGUGGCAGAUGGAAUGAAUAAAUGAUGGAUAUGACAUAUAGAUGGAUAAGUGUCUGAUAACCCUUGAAAAAAAGUUAUAUUUUGUUAGGGAUCGACCCGAUUAAGCAACAAGUAACAAAAAAAGGGAAUAAAUUGAGAAAUUGAACACACAAAUUUAACGUGAAAAAAACCUUCCGAAGAGGAUAAAAAAACCACGGGAAAAGAUAAAUUUACUAUAAUGGCAAAAGAACGAAGAGUACAAAAGAUGGAGAUAAAACUAAACUCCAAAAACCCGAAAAUAAAGAACCCUCAAAACGUAAACACAAAAUUCUCUAAAUGUGUUAUGAGUUCUAAUCUCUAAUGUGUGUCAACUAAGGUUGUAAAAGAGCCUAUUUAUAGGCUAAAUUCAUAUGUCAAAUAAUAAUAAAAUAAUCUAAACUAAUCAGUGUUUGACUGAAAUAAAUAAACAAAGUUUAACUAAAAGAUUAUUUUUUAAAUUUGACUGAAAAUAGGAGUCAUACUUAACAAAUCUCCACCUUGACUCAUAUUUCUACAAUGCCAUCUUUGCCAAAGCCCGCUACGAGCCUAUCUUGAACUAUACAGGGAAUUAACUGAGUCGAAUCUGUGCUUAGAAACUGGAAGACUUCUAGCUUUCGACUUGUACACUGCCAAAUCAAAACUAACCCGAGUUUGAUUUUCACGAACACAGUGUCCUAACUUUUCAAAACCUGCAUCCAAAAGAGAACCUCUCUUCAAUGAAACGGUCAUACAUUUUUCCCUCCUAUGACCAAGUUGCCUCUGCUCCAAACGAGUUGACUUCGACUCUGUAACAGACGAGGGAUGUCCGAUUUCACCGGUCAUUGUAGAACCUUCCAGAAUAUAAAGACUGCCAUUUCUUUUACCUUUGAACAAAAUGAGAGCUCCACGAGAUACUUUAAUGCUGCUCGACUCGAUGUUGAUUCUGCAUCAUUUCAAGUCUAAAAUACUCAAGGAGAUGAGAUUCUUUCGUAAAUUAGGUACAUACCUGACAUCUGAGAGUGUCCUAAUCGUCCCAUCGUGUGUCCUAAUUUUAACAGUACCAACACCAAUUACCUUACUAGAUGAAUUGUUUCCCAUGCGCACAACUCCACCUUCAACCGAACUGUAUGUGGAGAACCAUUCUCUAUUGGGACACAUGUGGAAAGAACAUCCCAAAUCUAGGAUUCACUCGAACGUGAGCUUGGAGUUAUCACUCGUUGACACUAACAAGAAAUCAUCACCACUUUCAUCGAUCAAAUUAGCACUAGCUACAUCUUCCUCGUUACUCUCAGCAGCUCCUUUAUUUCGCAGUUUAUAACAAUUUGCUUUGACAUGACCUAACUUUUUACAAUAGUGACACCUUUUGUCUCGUUUCUUUGAUGCCAUCAAAAUGGAAGAUUGCCUAUCUGCCUUGCUAUCUAAAUGAAACUCAUUUUCGAGUUUGUCUCUACUCAACAAAUGACCCUUCACAUCUUCGAACGAGAGUUUGUCUCUGCCAUAGGGUCUCCUUGAAAGAUUUGUAUGAAGGGGGUAAAGAGCAUAAUAAUAGCAUAGCUUGAUCUUCAUCAUCAAUAUGAACCUCAAAGUUCUUUAAAUCAUUUAAAAGAAUAAUGAAUUGACUGAUGUGAUCUCUAAGAAGCUCACAUUCGUUCCUGCGAAACGUAAAUAGACGUUGUUUCAACAGUAAACGGUUAGCCAGAGACUUAGUCGCAUAAAGAGUUUCUAACCUUUUCCAUAAGGUGGAUGAGGUCUUCUCCAUCAAUACCUCCUGCAAUACCGUAUUCGCGAGGCACAACUGGAUUGCAGACAAGGCAUUUUCAUCAAGCUCUUCCCAUUCUGUUUUAUUUAGAUUCUCAGGCUUUUUUUGGUAACAACCUUUUUCAAACCGGAUUGAACUAGAAUUGCCAUCAUCCAAACUUGCCAUAGAUUGAAAUUGGUCUCACCAUCGAACUUCUCAAUUUCAAACCUUGUUGUUGCCAUAUCUGAAUGGGCUGAUUUAUGAAAAUUGAACUAGCUCUGAUACCACUUGUUAGGGAUCGACCCGAUUAAGCAACAAGUAACAAAAAAGGAAAUAAAUUGAGAAAUUGAACACACAAAUUUAACGUGAAAAAAACCCUCCGAAGAGGAUAAAAAAACCACAGGAAAAGAUAAAUUUACUAUAAUGGCAAAAGAACGAAGAGUACAAAAGAUGGAGAUAAAACUAAACUCCAAAAACCCGAAAAUAAAGAACCCUCAAAACGUAAACACAAAAUUCUCUAAAUGUGUUAUGAGUUCUAAUCUCUAAUGUGUGUCAACUAAGGUUGUAAAAGAGCCUAUUUAUAGGCUAAAUUCAUAUGUCAAAUAAUAAUAAAAUAAUCUAAACUAAUCAGUGUUUGACUGAAAUAAAUAAACAAAGUUUAACUAAAAGAUUAUUUUUUAAAUUUGACUGAAAAUAGGAGUCAUACUUAACAAAUCUCCACCUUGACUCAUAUUUCUACAAUGCCAUCUUUGCCAAAGCCCGCCACGAGCCUAUCUUGAACUAUGCAGGGAAUUAACUGAGUCGAAUCUGUGCUUAGAAACUGGAAGACUUCUAGCUUUCGACUUGUACAUUGCCAAAUCAAAACUAACCCGAGUCUGAUUUUCACGAACACAGUGUCCUAACUUUUCAAAUCCUACAUUGAAAAGAGAACCUCUCUUCAAUGAAACCGUCAUACAUUUUUCCCUCCUAUGACCAAGUUGCCUCUGCUCCAAACGAGUUGACUUCGACUCUGUAACAGACGAGGGAUGUCCGAUUUCACCGAUCAUUGUAGAACCUUCCAGAAUAUAAAGACUGCCAGUUCUUUUACCUUUGAACAAAACGAGAGCUCCACGAGAUACUUUAAUGCUGCUCGACUCGAUGUUGAUUCUGCAUCAUUUCAAGUCUAAAAUACUCAAGGAGAUGAGAUUCUUUCAUAAAUUAGGUACAUACCUGACAUCUGAGAGUGUCCUAAUCGUCCCAUCGUAUGUCCUAAUUUUAACAGUACCAACACCAAUUACCUUACUAGAUGAAUCAUUUCCCAUGCGCACAACUCCACCUUCAACCGAACUGUAUGUGGAGAACCAUUCUCUAUUGGGACACAUGUGGAAAGAACAUCCCAAAUCUAGGAUCCACUCGAACGUGAGCUUGGAGUUAUCACUCGUUGACACUAACAAGAAAUCAUCACCACUUUUAUCGAUCAAAUUAGCACUAGCUACAUCUUCCUCAUUACUCUCAGCAGCUCUUUUAUUUCGCAGUUUAUAACAAUCUGCUUUGACGUGACCUAACUUUUUACAAUAGUGACACAUCUCGUUUCUUUGAUGCCAUCAAAAUGGAAGAUUGCCUAUUUGCCUUACUAUUUAAAUGAAACUCAUUUUCGAGUUUGUCUCUACUCAACAAAUGACCCUUCACAUCUUCGAACGAGAGUUUGUCUCUGCCAUAAGGUCUCCUUAAAAGACUUGUAUGAAGGGGGUAAAGAGCAUAAUAAUAGCAUAGCUUGAUCUUCAUCAUCAAUAUGAACCUCAAAGUUCUUUAAAUCAUUUAAAAGAAUAAUGAAUUGACUGAUGUGAUCUCUAAGAAGCUCACCUUCGUUCCUGCGAAACGUAAAUAGACGUUGUUUCAACACUAAACGGUUAGCUAGAGACUUAGUCGCAUAAAGAGUUUCUAACCUUUUCCAUAAGGUGGAUGAGGUCUUCUCCAUCAAUACCUCCUGCAAUACCGUAUUCGCGAGGCACAACUGGAUUACAGAUAAGGCCUUUUCAUCAAGCUCUUCCCAUUCUGUUUUAUUUAGAUUCUCAGGCUUUUUUUGGUAACAACCUUUUUCAAACCGGAUUGAACUAGAAUUGCCAUCAUCCAAACUUGCCAUAGAUUGAAAUUGGUCUCACCAUCGAACUUCUCAAUUUCAAACCUUGUUGUUGCCAUAUCUAAAUGGGCUGAUUUAUGAAAAUUGAACUAGCUCUGAUACCACUUGUUAGGGAUCGACCCGAUUAAGCAACAAGUAACAAAAAAGUGAAAUAAUUUGAGAAAUUGAACACACAAAUUUAACGUGGAAAAACCCCUCCAAAGAGGAUAAAAAACCACGGGCAAAGAUAAGUUUACUAUAAUGGCAAAAGAACGAAGAGUACAAAAGAUGGAGAUAAAACUAAACUCGAAAAACCCAAAAACAAAGAACCCUCAAAACGUAAACACAAAUGGGUGUCAACUAAGGUUGUAAAAGAGCCUAUUUAUAGGCUAAAUUCAUAUGUCAAAUAAUAAUAAAAUAAUCUAAACUAAUCAGUGUUUGACUGAAAUAAAUAAACAGAGUUUAACUAAAAGAUUAUGUUUUAAAUUUGACUGAAAAUAGGAGUCAUACUUAACAUAUUUCAUGCCUUUAAACCUAACUAAUUGUUUGUACUUAAGUAUAUUUUUUUCUUUUUAAGACAUUGUAGCGAACAUUUUUAAUAUUGUAUUAGGACAUAGACUAUGUUGGAAUUAGGUGCUUUUAAUCUCUUGUGGUGGAGUUUUUGUGUGUUGGUAUGGCAGGAACAUGUUUUAAAACGAGGAAAUAAAUGAGUGAAGUUUUGUUAGGGAAAAAGUGCAAACAGUUUGCCAACACAGAUGUCGUGGCAAUGCCGGGAAGACCAAGUUCAUAUUUUUUGUGCAGCAAUCCCGGUUCAAACUCAAACUUGUAUGAGAUAAAUCCCCCUAAAAGAGGAGAAGAUAAUCACAUUGCUGUUAGCUGACCCUAGCCUAAUCUAUCUAUUAAAGCCAAUGAAAAGGAUCUCACAAAGGGUAGAAAAAAGUGAGAGAGAUCCUUAGGGAUGAAUAAGGGUUUGGCUGCGCAAAAGAACAGAAGUCGAAGGGAAUCAUUCUUAGCCAUCACAGAACGUUGUGCUGCCAAAGUGUGGACUAGGCAAGUGAAAGAUGUUUCCAAAAGUUCUUCUGUUAUUUCCAUUAGUGUUCCUUCCAAAGAUUGAAUUGAAGUAGUUGAACACAAUGUCGGAUAAUAUUUUGGUUUGAAAUUUUAUUUCCCAGCUUAUGAGCUAAAUCUCAUAAGGUUAGGAUUACUUUCGAUGAAACCUUAAAUUUUUUUAUAGAUGAAGUAUAUAUCUAAUUUACAUUAUUGUUUCAUUUGAUUGUUCUAAUUUCUUAAUUAAAAUGCAAAUGAUCUCUAGACAUAGAAGACUGUUCGCAUACUUAUAAAUUGAUUGUAAUUAUAAAAGGGUUGGAUUAAAAUUAAAUGAAAUGAGCAGGUAUUUGAUAGACACUUGUAGUCGACUCUAGACAUAGAGUCACGAUCAUACAGAAGAAGCCCAUGCAAGAUAUCGAAAAAGCCUUUAGACACCAGGCAAGGCAACUUGAGGUUUUUCUCUCACGAGAGGCAGACCAUUUUAGAACUCUUCUGUGUUGUAAAGUAGAUACAAUUUUGCCAAGACAAUAUUGACAAUGAGGGUUGAUUCUGGGUAAUCCCGACCUUCCAAAUCCACUUCGUAUAUCCUUUAAUCUUUUUCAUAAUAUCUUUGCCACAUAAUUAUUAGUUAUUUAUUUGUUCAUUUACAUAAUAUUCCCAUAGUAAUUCUCAUAAUUGCCAUUAUGUUUCUACUCUCGGUUGGCCAUAGCAUUACUAAUUAUUCAUUAAUUCCACAUAUUGAUUACAUCAUUAAUCUACUCAUUGUCAUUGCAUAUUUAUCAUUGACUUUGUCAUAGCAUUAAUUGCAUUUUAUUAUAAUAACUUGACCAAUUUUGUGCCUCAAUCCGAUUUUCGUGGGAACAAUACUCACUCAUCACUUUAUUACUUGAUUCAACGUGUAUACUUGCACAAAUCGCAUAUCAUUUCACAUGCGACAGUGUCCAAUUUAACCUUUUGAGAUAUAAACUCAAACAAACUCAAUUAAUGGCUUUAAUCAACCCACCAAGAAAUAAUAAUUGGCAAAUUGAAGGAUGAAGAAUGAAUUCCCAUGACUCCUUAAAGAAAAUUGAGAAGAAAACUGCUUCUAAAAAUUACAAGAAAUAAUCUUGCACAAAGAAACUUACCCUCAGAGUUGGAAAUUUUAGUAAUGAGCAAAAACAAUUGUGUCUCUAAUGAACAUGAAGGGGCCUUUACAUAGGAUAGAUAAGUACAUCCAAAUAAAAUUUUGAAGUAUAUUAAAACUUUAAUUAAUGUAAGAAAAAAAGUAAUUUUCAACUAAAAUAGUCAUAAUUUCUAUAAUAAUCCCGUCUAGAAAUUCUGCUCACAUAGCCAUCACUAAAAUAGUCAUAAAUUGAGCUCUUGAACUCGAAAUUGAAUGAAUAAAAGUGUGUUUGAAAGUUAAGUAAUAGAUCUUAGAACUCCAUCAAGACAUAUCAAUCAAAAAAUGUCUGGAUCCCAUCCAAAAAGUCAUUGCAAGUUAACUAAUUUUCCAAACUUGAAAAUUGACAGCUUCGGGGAAUGGAAUUUAAUAAAGUUCACCCCAUCUACUCAAGUAUAAACUUGCAGUGGUAAAAAGUAAAAAUAAAUAAUCUAUAGAGAAACUAGUUGAAGAAUUUAUGACAAUUUAUUUAGAUCUUUUUUUCUUCUAGCCUUUGCAAACUUGAAGUUUCCCUUGGUGUGAGAGAGUUGUUCCUUACCCUCUAAGUUAUUUUUUUUCUUUUCCUUUUUUUUUCUUUCUCUUCGAUCUUGUCACCUAAGGGUGUUCAAAUGAUUGAUUCAGUUAAUACCCGAACAAUGCUAUCAUUAACUGAAAUUUUGAAACCUUAAUCGUUAAUGAAACCAAUUUUUUGUUGAAACCUAUUAACCGGCCGGAUUGAUUUCGGUUAAUUCAGGCGGCUAGCCGGAAUUUAUACAUUAUUUUUUUCAAACAAUUUUAAAACAAAGAACAAUCCAUGACAACUUUUUCCUUGUUUUUUAUUCAAAAAUUAUUAAAAGAAUUUUAAAAAAUAACAUAAUAACAACACUAAAUUAAAAACAUAAUAGCAUUCAUUACAUUACAAAGCAUAAUUUCUUUUUUUUUUUACUUUUUGUUGACUUUUUAGUUUAAUUUUAGUUUUUUUUUUCAAAUAUUUUUAGUUUUCAUAUUUUUGUUAAGCUUAUUAUAAGAAAACUUAUAAAUCCAUUAGUUUUUAUAUAUUAGGUUUGUAUAAUGUAUUGGACCUAUCUCUAACAUAUUGGGCCUAUAAUAUAUUUUUAUUGAUUUCGGUUAAUCAAUUAAUUUGGUUAAUUAGUCGAUUUCAAACUAAACUAAUCGAUAAACAAAAUUUUCUAAAACAUUUAACCAACUCCCAACCAAAUUAGAUUCGUUGAUCGACUGCUUAAUCAAAUUAAUCAUAUGGUAGAAUGGCAUGUUUUUGGAAUGGCUAUUUGGCAUUAUUGGUAUAGGUUUAAGUUAUGAUCUAAAGAUGUUGAAUUGAAUUAAGUUUGAUAUGUAUACUAUGAUGUCUUCAUUGGCAUAUUGGUUAGAUAUUAAAGGAUGGUUGAUUUGGUAUGUUUUGAAAAUGGUUCUUGGUAUGUUUGAUCUAAGUUGAUUAAAUGAACUUGUAAUGUUGAAUGGUAUAAUAUUUGUUGUUACAUUAGUUAGUCUUAUAGGUUGAUGGAAUUGGUAUGUUUUAAAUGUGUUUAAAAUGUGUUUUGAUUAUUUAAAUGUUUGUGGAAAUGGUGUGUCUUGGUGUACAAGAUUUGAAAUUGAAAUGGCUUGAUUUAGAAAGCAACUUAUGCUGCACACCGCCUAGGACAUGGGUUGUCACAUGGCUGUGUGUCAUUAUUGUUUUAGGUACAGGUUUCACACAAUCUAAGACUUGGCUCACGACAUGGCUACGUAUCAUAAGUCAAUAUGUAACACGGUUUGGUACAUGGCCUGUAACACGACCGUGUGUCCAAACUUCAAAUGUUUACACGUCCUGGGCUAUGUCACACGACUUGGCCACAUGGCCGUGUGACCCUUGUUUUAAAGUUUUCUGAAAUUUUCUAUUUUAUUUCAAAUUGAUCCUAGAAUAUUCUCAAACUAUUUUUAGGGCCUCGUAGGUUCAAAUUAAGGCCCACAAAUGUAUGCUUGCUAUAAUUAAGUUGUGCUAAUUAAUGUUAUUAAUUAAAUGGCAUGAAUAUUUUAUUGUAAGUUAAAUUUUUUAAUUUGUCCUAUAAUGCUCCGUAACCCAAAUCAAGUGACGGAGAUAGGUUUGGGUGUUACAAUUUUGGACUGUAAAUUUGUUUUGAGGCUUUGUUCUUUGGUUCUUGCAAUGUUUGUUGGAUUUUAGUGUUUUAACAUUAAACUGCAAAAUUGUAUGAUUUAACAAACUAAAAAUUAGGUUUUCAAAAUUAAAACUCUAGAAAUUUUCAUUACAAAGAUUAAGUAAUCACUUAAGUGUUUUCCCAUAAAUAAUUAAAUGGUUUUUAACAAAUGUUUUCCUUAGUUUUGGGAAUGAUAUGCCAACAUUAGUACUUUUAAAACACAUGGUUUUAAAUAAGGGUUUUCAAACUUUGGUUUUUUAACAUUUGUGAGAGGUUUUUGCCAAAUUUUAUGUUUUCAGAAUGUGUAACUAAGUUGAUUUUAAUUAGUUUUUCAACGAGUUUAUGUAAUUCCUCAAAAAUCCAGUCAUAGCAUCUAGGCCGGGUUUGGGGUGUUACACUAACAUUACUAAAGUUAAUCUUAAUCUAUUUAGUCUAGAUCUAAACAUUAAUAUUCUCUUCAAAGAAAAUCAAGAUUAUCAAAUUAUUACAACUUGGUAGGCAGACAAUCUUAUUAAAUAUGCAUAAAAGUUAAUAAAUAGUUAGCGAAGAUUGAAACAAUCAAAGAAAAAAUAAAUUAAUUAACUAAGAAAUAGGAUCCAUUAUUGUUCCAAGAAAAUAGAGUUUAGUUCAUAUUGAUUGAGAAAAUCAAAAGGGAGAUUCAAAAAACACUUGUGAUAAGGGGAACAAUGUCAAUAGAUCAUAUUCAAGUUGUUCGACUCAAGAAAGAAAUAUUUGGAUCUAGCCUGAAAAGAAGAAACCAAACAGAUUUAGGAAAAAAAGAAAAAAAAGAAAAAAACUUAAAUAAUAAAUUUAAGAAUAAAUAAUAAAUAUUAAAAAUAAUAAAGAAAUAAAGAAAUUAUAGAAUAAAUAGUGGAAGAUGGAAUGAAUAAACGAUGGAUAUGACAUAUAGAUGGAUAAGUGUCUGAUAAUUCUUGAAAAGAGUUAUAUUUCAUGCCUUUAGACCUAACUAAUUGCUUGUACUUAAGUACAUUUUGUUGCAUUUUAAGAUAUUUUAGUUAGUAUUUGUAAUAUUGCAUUAGGAUUUAGAUUGUGUUGGAAUUAGGUGUUUUUAAUCACUUGUGGUGGAGUUUUUGGUGUGCUGGUAUGGCAGGAACAUUAUUUAGAACGAGGAAAUAAAUGAGUGAAGUUUUGCCAAUGCAAAAGUGCAGAUAGUUUGCCAGCACAGAUGCCGUGGAAAUGCCGAGAAGACCAAGUCAACAUUUUUUUGUGCAACAGUCCCAGUUCAAAUUCAAACUUGUACCAAAUAAAUCUCCCUAAAAGAGGAGAAGAUAAUCACAACUUGUUAGCCAACCCUAGCCUAAUCUAUCUAUAAAAGCCAAUGAAGGGGAUCUCACAAAUGGCAGAAAAAAGUGGGAGAGAUCCUUAGGUGUGAAUAAUGAUUCAGCUGUGCAAAGGAAAGGAAGUCAAAGGCAGUCCCUUUUAGCCAUCACAGGACGUUGUGCUGCCGAUGUGUGGACUAGGCAAGUGAAAGUUGUAUCCCAAAGUUCUUUCGUUAUUUCCAUUAGUGUUCCUUCAAAAUAUUGAAGUAGUUGAACACAACGUUGGAUAAUAUUUUGGUUUGGAAUUUUAUAUCCCAGCUCAUGAGCUAAAUCUCGUAGGGUUGAGAUUACUUUUGAAGAAACCUUAAACUGCUUUUAUGAAUGCAAAUGAUCUCUGGACAUAGAAGACUGUUCGUAUACUUAUAAACUGAUUCUAAUUCUAAAACGGUUGGAUUGGUUGGAUUAAAAUUAAAUGAAAUGAGCAAGCAUUCGAUAGACACUUGUAGUAGACUCUAGACAUAGAGUCACGCUCAUACAAAAGGAACCCAUGCAAGAUAUCUAAAAAGCCUUUAGACACAGGCAAGGUAACUUGAGGUGUUGCUCUCACGAGAGGCAGGCCAUUUUAGUACUCUUCUGUGCUUUAAAGUAGAUAUGAUUUUGCCAAGGCAUUAUUGAAAAUAAGGGUCGAUUUUGGGUAAUCUCGACCUUCCAAAUCCACAUCGUAUAUCUUUUAUUCUUUCCCAUAGUAUAUUUGCCACAUCAUUAUUAGUUAUUUAUUUGCUCAUUUACAUAAUAUUCCUAUAGUAAUUCUCAUAAUUGUCAUUACAUUUCUACUCUCGAUUUGGCACAACAUUACCAGUUAUUUAUUAAUUCCACGCAUUGCUUACAUCAUUACUCUACUAAUUACCACUGUAUAUUUACCAUUGACUUUCCCAUAGUAUUAAUCGUAUUUUAUUAUAAUAACUUGACCAAUUUUGUGCCUCAAUUCGAUCCUCAUGGAACGAUACUCACUCAUCACUUUAUUUGUAACAUCCCAAACUUGGAUUAGAAGUUAUGACUGAAUCCGGCGAUAUCACAUGGAAAGGGAUUUGAAGACAAGAUUGUCGAGUUUAAAAACCAUUAUAGAAAGUUAGCUUUUAUUUAAUUCGGGAAAAAAACUAGUUGAUUUUCUUUAAAACUUGUCUCUUAGCAGAAGCUUUUGUAACCAAUUAAUUUACGAAAAAUCGUUUCUAUUUACAAAAAACUUUAGUAGGAAAAACUAUGUUUUGUGGAGUUGCAGUUUUUAAAAGAAACCCAUAAAAAAAGUAUAAAGUCCCAAAUUUAAAACCAACCAGUCCAUAGUCUAGAAGAUACAUCAAAAACUCCAAANNNNNNNNNNNNNNNNNNNNNNNNNNNNNNNNNNNNNNNNNNNNNNNNNNNNNNNNNNNNNNNNNNNNNNNNNNNNNNNNNNNNNNNNNNNNNNNNNNNNNNNNNNNNNNNNNNNNNNNNNNNNNNNNNNNNNNNNNNNNNNNNNNNNNNNNNNNNNNNNNNNNNNNNNNNNNNNNNNNNNNNNNNNNNNNNNNNNNNNNNNNNNNNNNNNNNNNNNNNNNNNNNNNNNNNNNNNNNNNNNNNNNNNNNNNNNNNNNNNNNNNNNNNNNNNNNNNNNNNNNNNNNNNNNNNNNNNNNNNNNNNNNNNNNNNNNNNNNNNNNNNNNNNNNNNNNNNNNNNNNNNNNNNNNNNNNNNNNNNNNNNNNNNNNNNNNNNNNNNNNNNNNNNNNNNNNNNNNNNNNNNNNNNNNNNNNNNNNNNNNNNNNNNNNNNNNNNNNNNNNNNNNNNNNNNNNNNNNNNNNNNNNNNNNNNNNNNNNNNNNNNNNNNNNNNNNNNNNNNNAGUUCUACACUUACGCCCAUAUAAUGCUUCAUACGGUGCCAUUCGUAUACUUGACUGAUAGCUAUUGUUAUAAGCAAAUUCAACCAAUGGUAGAUAUUUCUCCCAACUGCCUUUCAAUUCUAAAAUACAACACCGGAGCAUAUCUUCAAGAAUUUGAAUCACUCUUUCCGAUUGCCCGUCAGUUUGCGGAUGAAACGCAGUACUGAAAUUCAAUUUUGUACCCAAGGCUUCCUGCAACUUUAUCCAAAACCUCGAAGUAAAUCUCAGAUCUCUAUCCGAUAUAAUAGAUUUAGGCACCCCAUGUAAUCUCACUAUUUCAGCAACAUAUAAUUCUGCCAACCUGUCAAGUGAGUAAUCAAUGCGUAUCGGAAUAAAAUGAGCCGACUUUGUCAAUCUAUCAACAAUUACCCAAAUAGCAUCUUUCUUCUUUGGAGUUAAAGGCAAUCCUGUCACAAAAUCCAUCGUAAUACUAUCCCACUUCCACUCUGGAAUCGUUAUCGGUUGAAGUAAACCCGAUGGUACUUGAUGCUCAGCCUUCACUUGUUGACAGAUUAAACACUUUGAUACAAAUUCCGAGAUAUCCUUUUUCAUGCCUGGCCACCAAUACAACUUCUUCAAAUCAUUAUACAUUUUCACACUACCCGGAUGAACUGACAAGUCACCACUAUGUGCCUCACAUAAAAUGGUCUGAAUUAACUCAUCAUUUCUUGGUACACAUACUCUAUCCCGGAACAUCAAGCAAUCAUCUGAACCAAUUUGAAAAUCUGAGUCAACACCUGCUUCACACUGAGCUCUCUUGGCUUGCAAUUUACUGUCAUUCUUUUGAGAUUCCCGAAUUUACUGAAGAAAUAAUGGUCUAGCUCUCAAUUCAACCAACAUUGAGCCAUCAUCAGAUAAAGUUAACAUCGUACCCAUAGCUCUCAAAGCAAAUAAAGAUUUUCUGCUCAAGGCAUCAGCAACCACAUUAGCUUUCCCGGGGUGAUAAUCAAUCACUAGCUCAUAGUCUUUGAUUAGCUCGAGCCAUCUUCGUUGCCGCAAAUUCAAAUCUUUUUGGCUCAUCAAAUACUUCAAACUCUUAUGAUCAGUGAAGAUUCGGCACUUUUCACCAUACAAAUAAUGACGCCAAAUUUUUAAAGCAAAAACAAUGGCAGCCAAUUCUAAAUCAUGCGUCGGAUAAUUCUUCUCAUGCGGUUUCAAUUGUCUCGAAGCAUAAGCUAUUACUUUGCCCUCUUGCAUUAACACACACCCAAGACCAUUCAACGAUGCAUCACUGUAAAUUACAAACUCCUUCCCGGACUCAGGUUGCACCAACACUGGCGCCUCAGUCAAUAAUGCCUUCAACUUUUCAAAACUCUGUUGACAUUUAUUGGUCCAUUCAAACUUGACAUUCUUCUGCAGUAACUUAGUCAUAGGAGAAGCAAUCAUCGAAAAUCCCUUGACAAAGCGUCUGUAAUACCCAGCUAAGCCCAGAAAGCUUCUAACUUCUGUCACAUUCUUUGGUGGCUCCCAAUCAACAAUUGCUGAAAUUUUGCUUGGAUCAACCCGAAUACCUUCACUUGAAACUAUAUGUCCCAAGAAUCCAACCUCACGAAGCCAAAACUCACUUUUGCUGAAUUUAGCAUACAAUUUCUUUUCUCUCAGAAUCUGCAACACAGUUCUUAAAUGUUCUGCAUGCUCAGAUUCAUCCCGAGAAUAGAUUAAAAUAUCAUCUAUGAACACCACCACGAACUUAUCCAAGUACGGCCGAAAAAUUUGGUUCAUCAAGUCCAUAAAAAUAGCUGGAGCAUUUGUUAACCCAAAAGGCAUUACCAGAAAUUCAUAGUGUCCAUACCUUGUUCUAAAGGCGGUUUUCGGCACAUCAGACUCUUUAACUCUUAACUGAUAGUAACCAGACCUCAAAUCAAUCUUAGAAAACACUGUUGCCCCUUUUAAUUGAUCAAAUAAAUCAUCAAUUCUCGGCAAAGGAUACUUGUUCUUUAUAGUCACCUUGUUGAGCUGACGAUAGUCAAUACAAAGUCUCAUAGAGCCGUCCUUUUUUUUCACAAAUAACACAGGAGCACCCCAAGGAGAAAAACUCGGUCUCACAAAUCCUUUAUCUGUCAACUCUUGUAACUGAGCUUUUAAUUCCUUCAACUCAGUCGGAGCCAUUUGAUACAGUGCAAUAGAAAUCGGUGCAGUACCAGGUAACAGAUCAAUAGAAAACUCAACUUCUCUAAUCGGAGGUAACCCAGGCAAUUCCUCUGGAAAUACAUCUGGAAAUUCACAAACUACCGGCACUGAUUCAAGCUUCGACCCAGUAAUAUCCGUGUUUAGCACAUAAGCAAGAUAAACUUCACAUCCCUUUCUCAAGUAUUUCUGAGCAGACAUGUGCGAAAUCACCAUAGGCAACUUAUUCGGCUCCUUUGUUUCAACCCGGAGAAUUUCACCGUUUUCACAAUUUAAUUCAAGAAUUUUCUGUCUACAAUUUCCCUUGGCAUCAUGCAAUAUCAACCAAUCCAUCCCCAAAAUAACAUCAAACUCAUCAAAUGGUAACAACAUCAAAUUAGCCGGGAAACAGUGGCCUUGAAUCAUCAGGGGACAAUUCUUGCAAACCUUAUCGACUAAGACAUAUUUGCCUAAAGGAUUUGAUACUUUAACUACAAAUUCAGUUUUUUCAACAGGCAAUUUCUUACUAGACACCAAAUUCAUGCAUAUAUAUGAAUGAGUAGAGCCGGGAUCAAUCAAAGCAAUAACAUCAAUAUCAUGAAGAGAAAAUGUACCAGUAAUCACAUCGGGAGAUGAGGCAUCCUCUCGAGCGCGUAUAGCAUAAGUCCUAGCAGGCGCUCUAGUUUCUGAUCCUCCAGCUGUAUCUUUUAUCACACUCUUACCACUGGCUUUGCUUCCCACAUUUCUCGGUGGUCUGCCUCUACUGACAACAUCACCCGAUCCAGCUCUUUGUAAUCUUUCUUCUUCUAUUCUCUCAGGGCAGUCUUUUACAUAAUGCUCUUGGGAACCACAUCUGAAACAAGCUCGUUUAAAUCCCCAACACUCACCAGUAUGUCGCCUGCCACACUGUUGACAUUCAGGUCUGGUGUUUCCUACAUUACCCACACUUGCCACUGAGGUAGCUCGAGUUGUAGUUCCGGAAUAUGACCUCCCUCGGUCUCUGCGUGAAUACCCAACUGAACCGGUUGGUCGUGGAUCCAUCCCUUUAAACUUCUUCGGGUGAGAUUGAAAUGUUCUGCCCAUUGACCUCUUCCUUACAUCUCGAGCUUCCAUCUCUGCCCUUCUCUUUUCUCUACUCAGCUCUUCAGCUUUGCAAGCACGAUCAACUAAUACCACAAAUUCUUUUAACUCUAAAAUUCCAACAUGUAAUCUGAUGUCUUCAUUUAGCCCCUCUUCAAAUCUUUUACACAUAAUAGCCUCCGUAGGCACACAUUCCUGGGCAUAUUUACUAAGCCGGACAAACUCCCGUUCAUAUUCUGCUACUGACAUUCGGCCCUGUUUCAAUCCGAGAAACUCUUUGCGCUUCUGAUCAAUAAACCGUUGGCUUACAUAUUUCUUUCUGAAUUCUUCCUGAAAGAAGUCCCAAGUAACUCUUUCUUUUGGAACCACCGUUAUUAAUGUUUUCCACCAACGGUAUGCCGAAUCCUUCAAUAAAGACACAGCACAUUUCAAACAUUCCUCAGGAGUACAAGAUAAUUCAUCAAAUACCUGGAUAGUAUUUUCAAGCCAAAACUCGGCUUUUUCCGGAUCAUCAUCAACAUUGGCCCUGAAAUCUUCAACCCCAUGCUUUCGAAUUCUAUCAACGGGUGGUUUACUUGAUCUCACCAAUUCAGCACUUCGUGGAGCUACGGGGACCGGCGGAGGAAUAGGAGGGGGUGGAGGAGGUGGAACAUUCGGAUUUACACGGACAUAUUCUGUAUACCAAUCACUCAUCAUUCGGAGGAAGGCUUCUCGAGCCUCAUCCUGUCCAUGUGUCUCAUGUCUACUCUCUUCAUGCGCGGUCCCUUGUGUGGGAACCGGCGUGUUACUUUCAACAUCAUCUGCCAUACUUCGAUUAGGAUCCAUUUACUAUAUAAAACAAAAUUUUAAAUUGUCAGAAAUCAUCACACUAUCACAAUAUAUUGAUGGCAUGUAUAGACUGACUUUCACACAUAUUUUAUUGGUCCGAGAACUGACUAAACCGUAGCUCUGAUACCACUAAAAUGUAACACCCCUUACUCGUAUUCCGGCUCGGAACAGAGUAUGAGGUAUUACUAAGUUUUUUAAAAAAAAUUUCGACAGCAUUUCUUCUUAAUUUUGCUUAAACCUCCUGCAAAUUUAAAUCACAAUCCAAUAUAUAUAUAUCAACCAAACUCAUUUAUAAUAAUACUCACAAUUUAACUAUUAAUGAACACCACAUUUUAAAUCAAACCAUAACAUAUAUUUACAUGAUGAUUCCAUAUUUCAUAGGUCGUCUAUACAUGCCAUAAUUUUCCGGAACGAUAGUAGCAAAAUACCCCAAGUGUGAAGGAUAGUGUGGAUGAUUGUCUGACUUCGUUCCAAAUUUCCGAGUUGUCGGAAGUCACUAUAAUCAAGGGAAAAAUAAAAUCGAGUAAGCAUAUAGCUUAGUAAGUAAACACAUGAUAAAUAAGUAAUUACUCACAUAACUACACCAAAAUAUAAACUUAUUCAUGAAUAACUUCAUUGUUUAGGCAAUUUCCAGCAAACUGUUUUUCUGCGUCAUAUUCGCUAAUUUAUUUUUAUCCGGAGCUACAGGGCUCCAAAUUGAGUUUCGUAAAUUUUCCCUGAAACUAGACUCAUAUACCAUUUCACCAUAAAAAUUUCAGAAUUUUUUACCCAGCCAAUUAGUACAUUUUAUUCAUUAAAACUUCCCCUGUUUCACUGCCCAACGGUUCUGACCCUUCCUCAAAAAAAUUCACUUAACUCUCUGUACAAAAUUUUAAAAAUGGUUUCGCUUGUUUCUAUUAAAAAUAGAGUCAAUAAGGAAUCCAGGAAUAUAAAUUUCACACCAUAAUUAUUUUUGUACAAUUUUUGGUGAUUUUCCAAAGUUAGAACAGGGGAUCCCGAAAUCAAUCCAGCCCUGUUUCAGUAAAAUUCAGAUAUCUCCAAAAAUACAACUCUUUUGCUUAUUCUAUUUAUUUCAUAUGAAAAUAGACACAUUCAGCUUCAAUUUCAUAUAUUAUUCAGCUUCCCAUUCAUUUUCCACCAUUUAUGGUGAUUUUUCAAAGUUACCCAUCUGCUGUUGUUCAACACAGUUUAUAACUAAAUCGUUCCUUUUUUCGUUUUUGAUAUUUUCUCCCAUCUCAUACAUGGAUCGAUUUAGUAUCCAACUCAAUAUUUGCCCCAUAAAAAUUUCCACCAUAUGGCAAUAUUCACCUUCCACACUUUUUCGUUGAGCACUCGGAAUGUUAACCGUUAUUGGUGGAUCUCGCACUUAGCACCACCACUUAAUCGGGGAAUCAGCACUUAGCAACCCCUUGGGGGAAUCAGCACAUAGCAACCCCCUUUUUAUUUCAGAGAUACGGUGGAUAUCGCACUUAGCACCACCAAUGAACCGGGGAAUCAGCACUUAGCAACCCCUCGGGGGAAUCAGCACAUAGCAACCCCCUUUCACAUUUCAAAGAUACGGUGGAUAUCGCACAUAGCACCACCAAUGAAUCGGGGAAUCAGCACACAGCAACCCCUUUAUGUACAACAUACUUCGGCUUAUUCCGAGUGUUCAACCCAUAAAUCAUAUAUUGCAACCCUUUACCACAUUUCCCGAUUUAACAACAUUUUUAGGAUAUGGCCAAACAUUUAUUUUAAUUCCAAAUAAAUCUCAACAUAUAUCAAUUAAUGUCAAAAUAAUACAUCAAGUCACGUGUUUACUUACCUCGGUGCAAAAUAUCGUAAUUUUGCACUUCACUUCACUCCACUAUCUUUUCUUUUCCUCGUUUGAGAUAAUCUUCACGUCUUUCUUGAUCUAUAAUAGCAAAUUUAACUCAUUUAAUGUUCACAUUCAUUAAAAUAAUCCACCACCCAACUUUUUGAAAAAUUACAAUUUUGCCCCCAAACUUUUGCAUAAUUACACUUUUGUCCCCAAGCUCGGAAAUUAAACUUCAUCACUUAUUCUUAGGUUUUAUGACAUGCUGAACAUUUUUCCCUUCUAUGGCAACAUCAAAUUCUCACUCUAACAUACACUUAUGAACAAUAAUUAUUUUUACCGAUUAUGCCUAUUUACCCGUUUUCGCUUAAAAUCGCUUAGCAAAAGUUGUUUAACAUAAUUUAUAGCUUCAUAUUCCACCAUAAAACAGAAAAAUAAACACAUUUCACCUAUGGGUAUUUUUCCAAAUAUGAGCCCUAACACGAAUUAUUGCUAGAAUAAGCUAAAUCGAGUUACGAGGAUUCCAAAAAUGCGAAGAACAUUAAAAACAGGGCUAGGAUGCACUUACUAUGAGCUUGAGAAAGCAAAGAAAACUUAGCUAUGGCUUCCUUCAAAUUUCGGCAGCAACUAAUGAGGAAGAUGAUGAUUUUUGUCAUCUUUUUCCCAUUUUAUUUUAUUUUAUUACCAAAUGACUAAUAUGCCCCAUUUAAAAAAAUCUAUUUCUCUCAUUUCUUAUGUCUAUUUUUGUCCAUCAACUAACUAAUGGUCUAAUUACCACAUAAAGACCUCUAAUUUAAAAUUUCAUAUCAAUUAGAUACUUCUACAUAUAGAACUCAACUUUUACACUAUUUACAAUUUAGUCCUUUUGACUAAAUUGAGUGCCCAAACGUCGAAAUUUUCGAACGAAAUUUUUACGAAAAUUUUCCGUGAAAUUGUAGACCAUAAAAAUAUAAUAAUAAUCAUAUUUUCCCUCGUCGGAUUUGUGGUCCCGAAACCACUAUUCCGACUAGGCCCAAAAUCGGCCUGUUACAUAUAGGCUAUUAAAAUGGUGAAAUUAUAUUUUUACAAUAGUAAAAAUUACAAUUUAAUUUCACCCCUAAAAGGAUUUUUUGGCUUCGACCCUAAUAAAAUCUUUGGCAAAAGAUUAAAAUAAAAUUAUACCGUGAAUGGAAAAAGAAACUAAGAAAAUCCAAUCUAACAAAGAAAAUAACUUUGUUUAGCAACCUUUGUUUGAUUAAAAAUGUUGAAUUAAAAAUUCCAGAAUAGAUUAAAAAUUAUACCGUGAAUGGCAAAAGAUUACAAUUUUUUUGGUAAUAUUUUAAAAUUCCAGAAUAGAUUAAAAAUGUUGAAUUAAAGAUAAAAUUAAUAACCACAAGUGUACUCAUUACUCACCAUCUCUGUUAAAAAUGAUCGAUGUUGUUUAGCAACCUUUGUUUGAUUUUCUUCAGCUCAACCACAACAUCUUUCAUAUCUUUUCUUUCUUCCGGUAACUCAGCUGAACAAUUCAAAGCCAACUCCAUGAUAGAUGAAAUACAAUUUGCUUUAACAACAAUGUACUCAUCCUCUCUUCUUAAUAAAUCAACAUCUGCAAUUUCUAUCGCUCCUUUCGGCAAUGAACUUUCCAUCCAAUGCCUUAUACUCUCUUCUUCAACAAAAACAUUACCAGUUGGCUUUUUCUUUGUGAAAGUUUCUAUAAGGACGAUCCCAUAACUAUAGACGUCAGAUUUUAUAGAAACGAUUCCUGCUGAUCCAAAUUCUGCAUUUCAAGUAUAAUUACAACAUCAUUCAUCCUCAAUUAUUUCUAAAAUGCUUAUUCAAAUAUAUAUUCACAUCCACAUGAAACAAAAAUAUAAAAUGCAAAUUAGGAAAAUAAUCAUACAAAAAUAAAAAAUAAUUCACCUGGUGCCAUAUACCCGAUAGUUGCAAGAGUCAUGGUUUGCUUCAUUACUUCACCUUCUCCCAACAAUUUGGCAACGCCAAAAUCUCCAACAUGUGCAACCAUGUCUUCAUCUAGUAAAAUAUUGCUUGGUUUUAUGUCACAAUGAAUAUAGGUGUUGGAUGUCCAUUGUGGAGGUGUUCUAUGCCUACCGCAACAUUUAUCAUUAUGUCGACCCUUUGUAUGAUAUCAAGGAAACAAUUUUCAGAAUGUAACCAUUUCUCAAGGUUUCCAUUAGACAUGUAAUCAAGCACCAAGGCUUUGAAGUCAAGACUUGAGCAGCAAGUAAUGACCUUCACAAUAUUACGAUGAACUAUAUUACGCAUAGCAUCACAUUCAAUGUCAAAACUCCUAAAUGCUCCCUCUGUUUGCAAAUUGAAAACUUUUAUUGCAACUUCCAUUCCAUCUGAAAGCCUCCCUUUAUAUACAUAUCCAAAACUCCCUGAACCAAGCAUAUUGCUUUCCUCAAAUCCAUUAGUUGCUCGUGAAAGUUCAGCAUGUGAAAUUCUUCUCGGUGUCUUCAAAGACAACAAAUCAUCUUUAAUUGGUAGAGCUGUACUCCUUCUUUGGCAUCUUCUAUACAUAAUAGUUAAGACUAUUAAUACUACGACAAUACCAAUUGUUGGUAAACCAUACCUAAAAGCAUGCAAUAUAAUCAUUUGGGAGUUUUUGUGGAUGUCGUUUUUACAAGGUGGGACUAGCAGUCUAGGUGGACCACAAAGUGCAUAAUUCUUUAUGAAUGAUGUGCUAGAAAAGUUUGAAAAACAUCCUUCGCUGGGAAUUUCCCCUUCAAGUCUAUUGAAAGACACAUUAAAAUACUUUAGAUAUAAAAGCUUCUCCAAAGAUUUGGGAAUGACUCCAGAGAGAUUGUUAUUGCAUAAAUCCAAGAAUUCCAAACUAAUCAACCCAUCAAAUGAUUCAGGGAUAUGACCAUGUAGUAUAUUAUUUGAUAAAUCUAAUGAAACCAAAGUUAUAAGACCCCCAAAUGUGGAUAAGAUAUCCCCCGUGAGAAGAUUCCUUGAUAAAUUUAGUUUCAGUAGACUCCUCAAAUUUCCGACAUCAAUAGCAUGUGAAUUGUGAAGAUGGUUUGAUGAUAAAUCUAUUUUUAAGAUAUCUUGAAGAUUCCACAAAGUUGAGGGUAUUGCGGAACUCAGUUUGUUGGAAUCUAAGUAAAGAUAUCCCAAAGAAGUAAUAUUACCCAAACAAGAGGGUAUGGAUCCAUGUAGCUUAUUCAACCCUAAAUACAUCUCGUAUAGUCUCUCCAAAUCACAAAAACUUUCUGAGAUGGGCCCUCCUAAUUUAUUAGAGGAAAGAUCUAGACCUUGGAGAUUUCGCAGUCCUCCUAUUGAUGCUGGAAUGAAUCCACUUAAUUUAUUAUGGCGAAGUUGUAAAAGCAAUAGGUUGGUUAAGUUACCUAUUUCCAUAGGAAUAAUGCCUUGAAGCUCACAAUUAGAGGCAUAAAAGUAUUGAAGGGUUUUUGAAAGGUUCCCGAUAUAAGUAGGAAGAACACCACUCAAUGGAUUUCCUGAAACAUCUAUUGUGCUCAAAUUCCUACAAUUCGUCAAAGAAGAAAGAAAGCUCCACUCAUGAUCGGUAGAAGAUCCUGUGAUCAAAUUAUUGUUUUUGAUUCGGAACCAUUCAAGGUGUCUUAAGUUGCCAAGCGUUUUAGGGAUUGGGCCAGAGAAUAAGUUAUGCGCCAAGUCUAGUUCCUUAAGCAUGGAAGCAUUGGAGAUAGAGUUGGGAAUGUUUCCGCUAAGUUUAUUUCUCCACAAUAAAAGAAUCUCAGGCUUUGGAGCAUUGGUGAUGGGUGGUAAAUUACCUGUAAAAUAUCAUCUUUUAGUAUACAUAUUCAUUGAAUACCAAAUUCACAAAAUAUAUUAUACAUUAAAAUAAAAACUGUAAAACUUUAAAUCAAUUAAGAAUAAAAUUUUGGCAUGGAAAAAUGUGAUGAAAUCAAUUACAAAGUUGAGACAUACUAAGAAGUUUCAAGUAGUAAUUAGUCUUGUGAUUUGUAUAGACAAAACAUAUAGAUUUGGGAAUGUGGCAUCUAAUCAAUCUUAAAAAUGAGACUGGCACUGAAUAAUAAUUAGUUAUGAUUUGGGAAACAAAAAGGUUAAAGCCAUUGUUUUUAAUGUAAACUGAUAUGAUUUUUAUUUAUUGGGUUAAUUAUUUAUUGUUAUUAAAUUAUAGUGUAAAAUUUAACGAUUAUUAUUUGCUCAAAAUUUCUGUAUUUUUCGUAUAUUUGAAAUUUAAUCUUUAUAUUUUUUAUUUUUUGUGAUUUAGUCUCUCUACUUUUUGAAUUGAAAAUUUUAGGUUCAUUUACUAACACUAUUAAAAAGUUUUUGUGUCUAGUAUGGCAUUUUGAAAAAUAAAAUAAACUUGAUAUCUAUGUUUUUAAUUAUUCCAAAUAUUGCUUUACUAUUUCAAGAUAAAUUAUUUGUGUCUAGACUAAUAUCUUAAGAACUAUUGUUGCAUGUUUAAUUAUCUAAAAAAUUAUCGAUUGAGUCUUAGCUUGAUUGGCAUGUGCGUUGUUGCCAAUGUAGGAGAAUGUGGGUUCAAGUAUGUUGAAGUGUAUUAUCUUCUUAUUUAUGAAUUAGGGAGUUGGUAAAGUACUAAAAUUUGAUAUAUUUUAAAAUAUUAAAAUUUAUUAAAAUAUUUUUUAUAAAAAAUGAUUCUACCACAAUAUACAAUUUUAAUAUCAAAUUUUUAAUUUUUUUUAAAAAUGUUAGCGAAUAUAUACUUUAUUUCAAGUUAUGCAAUUUUUACUAGUUUUUAACUUUUUUUCAAAUUUUUAUCGUCUUUUAUAAUUUCUAAUAAUUUUUUAUAAUUUUUUUACAAUAUUUAACAAUUUCUAAAUUUUUUUUAAUAAUUUUAUUAUGUAUUACAAAUUUAAAAAUUAACAAAUUUUUAUAUUUUUAAAAAAAUUAUAUAUUUAUAAUGUAUUUAUUUUUUAUAAUUUUAUUUGAAAUUUUAAAGAUUUUUUUGGUUUGUUUUCUAGAUGAUGAUGCCAUCAUGAUGCUAACAUAUUAUGAUUAGAUAUCUCAAUCUAUUCUUUUAACGCCCAGUGAAUGAAACCAAGAACACCUAAUGUUAAAGUGGGUAAAAACACAUUAAGGACCAAAGUUAAAAAAAGAAAAAGAAAAAGAGCAAUAUGCUGUAGGGAAUAAACUGUGCAUUAAGCCAUUAAAAAUAUAUGUAUAAUAUAUAUAAAUGCAUGGAUUUUGAGAAACUUUUGAACUGAUAAUUAUAUAGUCUUUGUUGUUUACUAUAUUAUUGAAUUUGUUAUUUUAAAUUAAUUUUAUUACUUUUAAGAUUUAUAUAAGAAUUUUGGUUUUACUAAAAUAUUUGCUUAAAUAAGUUCACUUCAUAAGAAAAUUUAGCAUCCUUAUAAAUAACAAUUUUGAUUCUAUUAAAAAACUUAUUUUAAAAAAUUAUAUAAUCAAAAUUUAAAAUUUAUAUUGAAUUACUUUAUACUUAAAUUAUUAUUAGAAACUUUAUCAUACACAUACGUGUAUGAGAACCACGUAUUUAGAACAUAAAUUUGUGUUUUAAAAUAACUUAUGAUAAAUAAUGAAAUGUAUAAUUUGAAACUAUUUAAUAAUAACACAUAGCAUAUCUACCAUAUUAAAAUAAAAAUAGAUUAAAUUGUAAGUAAAACAUAAUUUAAACAUAUGAACACAUCAAAUUAAGAAUACUAAAUGAAUAAAGUUAUUUAUAAUGAUAUUGUUGUCAAUUCCUAAAUUGGUGUCGAGUUAAUCUGUGACAUCAUAAAUUUAAGUGAUAAAUUUAAGGAUUUAUGUAUUGAUGUGGAUUCAAAUAUCACCAUAAGUUUUUUAAAAAUAAAAAACUAAAAUACCUUAAAAUACUAUAACUUAUAUUAAAUACGAAAGAGUAUUUUUGUAAUUUUCCUAACCGAGUUGGUGCCCGGUUGACUCAUGACACCAACUCAAUUAAAAGAUUUAAUAAUAAUAUAGAUAUUCACGUUAAAAAAACAAAAAAAAAGUACUUUAGUUCCAAAUAAUUAUAUAACAAGUAAAUUUAUAAUUGAUGAAUAAAUUUAUAGAUAAUAUAUUUAUAUGAUCUAAUAUAUUAUAUUAAUAUUAAUUAUAUAUCAUCUACAAUCUUUGAAGAUCAAUUUAUUAAGUAUCAAGAAAAGAAAAAAAUGAAAUUGAGUUAACACUAAAUCAAUUUUUAGAUUUUGUACAGAUGAUUUAAUGAUGAUAAAAAAAUUAUUAGCACUAUUUUUGAAUUAACAAAAAAUUAGUGAUAUAUUUUAAUUAUAUUUAUUAUUUAUUAUUUUUAAUAAUAUUUUUUAAAAUUAUAUGAAGUAAAAUUAUACUGUAUACUAAAUAUGGUACAUAUACUUUAAUUGUAACUUGAAAAUUUAUUAUAUAAAUUAAUAUAUUUUAAUUAUAUUCAACCAUUUGAAUAACAAAAUAAAAAAAAACUAAUUAGAAUAAUUUUUAGAAAAAAGAAAAAACAUUAUUUAAAGGCUAGUUAAAAAUCACGUGCAACAGGUGAUAUGAGAAUCUAUGUAUAUAAAUGUGUAUAUAUAUAUCGUUGUUUCAUUUUUUUUUUAAAUAAAUAUAUUUUCCACAUUGGUUUCUUUUCUUGUACAGACAAAGGAUUUCUAAUGAUUUUAAAAAAAAAAAUUUACUUAUAUAAAAUAGAUCAGUUUAUUCAGUAAAAUAAAUCAAUUCAUAUAAAUGUUAUUGUUUAUUAUCAGAUUGAAAUGAUAAAAGUAUAUGACAUAAAUAGAAGAAACAAAUUCAACACAAUGUUUUCCGAGUUUGGAAAAAAUUAAAGUGAAAAACAUACCUUCUAAUUUGUUGCCAUAUAGAGCUAUUACUUCGACCAUAGUUGAAUUAAAAAUACUUGAUGGAAUCUGACCUGCAAACAUAGUUGAAAAUUGAAGUAAAAAACAUACCUUCUAAACUCUUCAACUAAAAAUACUUUAAGCAUAUUUUUUUUCCCAUCAAAUUAACUAUUUUGCCUUGAAUGAAAUAAAAUGCUCUUACUUUUGUUAUCUAUUACAAAUCAAAUUCUUCUAUGAAAAAAUAUUUUAAAUUAAAGAAACAAAGAAAAUUCAAUAUCUUCUAAGUAAAGCACUUCAAGCUUGGGAAGAUCAUUAGGCAAACUACCUGAUAUGCCAGUGUUGGAGAGAUCAAUGAUCUUCAGAGAAGAAAUGUUGAAGAUCGAAGUUGGAAUCUGACCUGUGAGGCCUUUAAUUUCUUUAAUACUAAGCAGCUCCAAACCAAGAAGAUUACCGAUUUCCUCAGGAAUUUGACCUGCACACAUAUUUAGUCGAAAAAUCAAGAUGUCAAACUGCCUAUAUUGUUAGCAUAAGUCAAAGAGGUUUUCGUUUCUGCUCUACAGUAAUUUGGAGAUGUUAGAUUUAAUAUAUUUCAGCAUAUGUUUUUCAUCAAAUGAAAUAAAAAAGUUUUUCCUUUUGUUAUCUAUUAAAAAUCAAACUCUUUUAUAAAAAAAUACUUUAAAUUUAAGAAAUCAAGGAAAUUGAUUACCUUCUAGAUUAUUAAACCCCAAAUAUAAUUUCUGGAGUUGUGUUAGAUUUCCAAUACUUCUUGGAAUGAUCCCCAUAAAUUGAUUAUAGGACAACGACAAACUUUUAAGGUUGCUGCAUUUGCCCAUGCCAAAUGGAAUGUUACCAGAUAAUUCAUUCCAACUCAGGUAAAGCUCUUCAAGCUUGGGAAGAUGUUGACACAUAUCAUUAGGCAAACUACCUGAUAGGCUAUUGCUGGUGAGACUAAUAGAUUUCAAAGAAGAAAUCUUGAAGAUGGAAGAUGGAACCUGGCCAGAUAAUUGAUUCAAUUCCAAGUUCAAGAUCUCUAGGUUAGACAUGUUAACAAGUGUUUCAGGGAUUGUGCCUGUAAAGUUAUUAUUUUUCAUUUUCAGCGUUCGAACUCUCUGUAAGUUCCCAAGCCAUGAUGGAAUUUCUCCAUUAAGACGGUUGUAGCUUAAUCGAAGGAUCCUCAAACGAUGCAAUUGGCCCAAUUCUUUAGGGAGAUAGCCAUAGAAAUGGUUGCUACUCAAGUCGAGUGAGAGUAGAAGUGAAAGAUUUCCAAGGUGUGGAGGGAUAGUACCCCUAAGAUUCAUGCUUGUAAGAUUCAAAGCUAUAACUCUUUUAUGGAGGAUGCCACAAGUAACACCAAUCCAAUUGCAAACAGAGGUUGAGGCCGUCCAAUUGUUUGCCAAGACAUUUUGAGGACCGGCAAUGUGAUCCUUAAACUCGAGAAGUGCAAACUGAUCGGAGUUGAGAUUCUUGACUGUCAUAGCCAAGCAAAGUACGGAACAUGGUAUGAAUAAAGCUAAGAGAAGAUGAAAGCCAGCGUUGUAGUUCAUGAUUGCAAGACGGAAUAAGGCAAGAAAAUAAAAAAAAGUAGGAAAAGGGAAGUUGAGCUGAUAAAAUAGUUUGGAUGAUGAAGAAAAGCCCAGAGAGCAUGCUUUAAUAUGUUUCAACCCUCGUACACUUGAUAAACUUGAUAAAUUUAAGACUACCCUAAAAAUUAAAAAGGAAAGCAAAGUUUUGAAGAAAUUUCAAAAUAAAUGUCAAGUCUUCUUCUUUAGAAAAUACGUACAAAGAAUCGAAUUUUCAAAAUUUCUCCUAAAUUUUCUUCACGUUACUCCACAUAAUCCAUUAAAAAUACUUAAAAAUAUAUUUUAAUAAUUACUAUAUAUUCUUUUAUUUAAUAAAUUGUUUAAAAAUGCUAUUAGUCCCUGUAAUUUAAAAGUUAAAAAAAAAAUCCAAUCCUCCUAUUUUUCUAAUUUGAAAAUUCUAGUCCAAUAAUUCUUAAUUCCAUUAAAAAAUUUCAGCUUAAUAGGUUUUUUAUUAUCAAUCAUAUGCAACAGUAUAUGAAUGCAGUCUACUCAGCAUAUAUCCAAGUUUACAGAUUUUAAUAGAAAAUACUUACAAUCCUAAUGGUAGGACUAAGUUUUUUAAACUAGAAAAGUGAGAAGACUUAAUUUUUAACUUUUUAAGCACAAGGAUUAAAUUUUAAAUGUUGUCAAAGUACAAGCACUAACAAAAUAUUUUGAUCUAAUAAAUGUAAAAAACUUUUUAAACAAAAUAAGGUUGAAAUAAUCUAUUUGUCCUUGUACUUUGAUAAAAUUUGAGAUUUAGUCCUUAUAUUUAAAAACUUAAAAAUUAAGUCUUAUUGUUUUUAUUUAAAAAUCUUAGUCCUAUCCUUAAUUUUAUUUUAUCAAAAUUGGUCAACUUUACAUAUUAAUUAGGUUUCCCUUAUAUGUCGCGGUAUCAAUCAAAACUUAAUUAAUAUCCAUCAAUAUCCAUCAAUACGUCAUACAUAAAAAAAGCAAGCAUAAAAUACAGUUAAAAGUCCUCCUUUUAUUAUUAAAUGUUUUAUUUUAGUUAUUUUAAUCAAAUAUAUCCAAAUUACAAUAGAGUUAACAUUUAUUGUGUAAAAAAUAUUUUAAAUUUUUUUUUCAAUUUUAGUUUAAUUCUAGAAGAAAUAUUUCAUUUAUAAAAUCAUAAAACUUUAAAAAUAUUAACUCUGUUAAAUAAAAAUUAUUUUUUUAAAUAGUAAAUGUUAACUUUAUUAACACAAAUGGGCCUCAGUAAUUGACAAGCUCUUCCACAAACUGUGGAAGAUUUGGGGAUAAAAGCUUCAAUAAUUAUGGAGUUAUAGUGUAAAUUUGCCACUAUAUUAUAAGUGUAUUGAAAUUUAUCACUAUAUUUUAUUUGAUGUUUAUCAUUACACUUUGAAAAUAUAAGUAAAUUUACCAUUUAACUCAGAUUUACCUUUGCAAGUAAACUUAAAAUUUUAUUUAAUUUUGUCACUAAAUUUGAUUUGUUCAAUAUAGAUUUUGGUGACUUAAAACUCACUAAAUUUGAUUUUUUCAAUAUACAUUUUGGUGACUUAAAACAAAAUUAAUAAAUAAUUAUUCUUUUGGAUAUCUUUUUAAUGUUUAAUAAUAAGUUAAUUUAUAAAAUAUACUGUCAUUGGACACAAGCCUCUAAGGCGGUGAACCACUAAUCAAAUUAAUUUGGAGAUAUCUUUUUUUCUAAAUAAAGUGAAUUUACGAGUUUUGUUUUCUUUUAAAAACAUUUUUAAUAUUUUUGUGGAUAUCAAAAAAUUUUUCAAUAAGAAAUUUUAAUUCACUCGAAAAGUUAGUGUUUUAUUUCAAGGGGUCAUAAUUAAUCAUUAGAUUUCCCAAUUUUAAAUUUUAAAUUUUUCGACAAUUGCGUAAUUAAUAAGUACCAAUUUUGAGUGUUGUAGGGCUAGUACAAUCUUCCUUACACAUAACCGACUCUUAAACCUACUCUUUUCUCUAGAAUUCAAUGCAAACAUCGAAUUUAUCUUUUGAAAAGAAUUUUAAAAUAAUAUAAAAGGUGUUUUUUUAUGACUGAUCACACUUAACAAAAAUUUAAAAAUUAUUAAAAAAAUUUCAUUUUGAAAUUUAAAGUGAUCUAAAAACAUAUUUUUAAGUGCUUUGGACCAUCUGUUGCUGAUUUCCUUAUUAUAUUAAAUGUUUGCAAUCACUCCUAAUAUAUUGUGCUUGAGUUGUGACAGAGCAAAUCGCCAACGUGCCAUAUUGAUCUAUUGAUGCUGAAACUGAAGUUUUUGUUAUAUUGAUAGAGCUUGUCCUUCAACGCAUACAACGUGUUUGUUAUUUUUCUCCCUUCAAAUUGUAUGAUCUUAUUUAUUUAAUGAAUUAAUGAAUUUCCCUUUUAAAAAGAUAUAUUUUUAAAAUUAAAUACUUUAUAAAAUAUUUAAAACUACUUAAAAAAUUGUAAGCCUUAAAACAAUCAACAAAAUAUAUUUUUCUCUAAAAAAAUCAAUAAAAAUAUGUUUAAAAUUUUAUAUGAAAUUAAAUUUUUUUUAACAAUAAUAUAUUUUAAAAUUAUAGUAACGCUAUAAAAUAUAUAUAUACAUAUAUAUAUAUAUUUACUAAUUAUAUACACCUUUCCAUACAUCCUUUUUCUACAUAGAAUUUCAAAAGUAAAUGUGAAUUAAUGUAGGCGUAAGAAGACUUACAGGUAAGUCACCCAACGAAAGUGUCCUAAACCGACUUAUGGAAGAAUCAAACAAUAAUUUUGUAUCGUAUAAUAUAUUUAAUUACAUUUAUUAGUUUAUCAAUCAAAACUUAAGUAGAAUCCAUCAAUAUUUCACACAUCAAAACCCAAACAUAAAAUUCACUUUUAAAUUAUUCGGGGAAUAUUUGUAUUAUAGGAAAUGGAUUAAAUUAGACUUUUAUUAUUAAAUGUAUUAUCUUAAUCUUUGUAUUAGGUAUGAAUGAUAUCUCUUAGAUUGAAGCUAGAGCUAUUCUUGAAUGAUUGAAAUUAAGAUUAAGAUGUGUUGAGAUGGAAAGUGGCAACACAAUGCUGAUUGAUGCUAUUUGUAAUGGGUUGGCUACAAUAAGUAGUGCUGCUGAAGUAAGACAAAUUUAUGAUUGGUGUUCCAAAAUUUUGGGAAGUCAAAUUUUGACAUUUUCAGCGGAAUGCCAAUAAAGUUGUUGAUUGCAUAGCUAUGGCAGAUGGAGGCAUAAUUGAGCAGCUGGUUAUCUUGAAAGAUCCUCUGCAUUAUGUGAGAUACUAGCUUGAAGAAGAUAUUAGACGGUCACUGGUGACUGAUGAUAAUUUUCAUUUGGACUGAUGAGCGCUUAAUUUUCUAAGCUUAUGGUCAACCAAAAAAAAUAAAUAAAUGCGUCUAAAUUGUAAUAGAGUUAACAUUUAGUGUUUAAAAAAAUCUUAAAAUUUUUUUUUCAAUUGCAGUUCAAUUCCAAAAAUAUCGAUGAUGAACCCGAACAUAAAAAUUACCAAAAAAAAAAACACAUCUAUUAUCAAACCAACAAUCCAUGUCUAAACUUAAAUUAACAAAAUUCGCCACCCAACCCAAUACACUAUUUUAUAUAUAUAUUAGAUUUAUUCUAGAUGCGCAUGUUUUAUUAUAUUUAAAAAUUAAAAUAUAUGGUUGACUGAGUUUUAGCUGAGUUGAUAUUGGUAUUAUUGUUAGUGUAAGAAAAUUUGAGUUUAAUCGUGUUCAAAUGUGUUUUAUCCUCCAAUUUAAAGGUUAGGAAAAUAUUAUUGAUAAUUAAAUUAUACCAACUUGAUGAUAUUAAAAAAAGGAUGUAUAAAAAAUAUAAGGGAGAAAAAAAAAAGGAGAAACAUAUUCAUAUUGAUGGGCUCUUUCAAUAUUAGACUUUUUUUCUCUCACAAGUAAAAGUAGUUAUGGAGAGGAUCAUGUAAAAUAAUAGCCUGAAUAAUUUUAAACGUCUCAUCAUUGCAAAAAUGAAAUAGUAGAAAAGAAAGAGUAGACAUUCUAUGAAAUUUAUAAUUCCAACCGUGAAUAAAAUAUAAAUUUUAUGAAUGUGGACAAGCAAUUUUAUUUAACUUUUUUUAAAGUCAUUUUGUUUGUUUCCUAAUCACCAUGAAAUUACUUGUCACAAUUCAUCUUUUUAAAUGAGAAACAUUUUCCACAAUUUGCCAUCACUUUAACAUACACUAACUUUUCUAUGAUUAGUCCUUUGUUUGCUUUGGGUGCAAUCUUCCAACUAGCCUCAUCCUUGGUUUUACUUUCCAACAUUUAGUGUAUUACGAGUUUUGUUUUCUUUAAAAAAUAUUUUUGUGGAUAUUAGGAGAUAAUGAAAUUAUUUUACUAUGAAAUUUUAAUAAAACUGGAAAAUAAGUCAUUUAUUUUAAGAGAUCACAAUUAAACAUUAGAUUUCCAAUUUUUUAAUUUUAAUUUUUUUUGACAAUUGCAUAAUAUUUUGAGCGUUGUAGGAAUGCCAUAACCUUCCCUACGCAUAAUCGACUCUUAAGUAUGAUGGAUCCUAGACCUUCUCCUCUAUUCUUGUACCACAAAUUGCUUCGAGUGUGGGUUCGGAAAAUCACAAAUUAAGCACAAAACCAAAAAUGAUUUUGUAACACCCCAAACCCAGCCUAGUCAUUAUGGAUUAAUGUAGACCUGAGAAGACUUAAUUACAUUUAUUAGUUUAUCAAUCAAAACUUAAUUAGAAUCCAUCAAUAUUUCACACAUAAAAAACCCAAACAUAAAAUUCACUUUUAAAUUAUUUGAAGAUAUAUUUGUAUUAUAGGAAAUGGAUUAAAUUAGUCUUUUUAUUAGUAAAUGUAUUAUUUUAAUCUUUUUAUUAGGUAUGAAUGAUAUCUCCUAGAUUGAAGGCAGAGCUAUUCUUAAAAGACUAAAGUUAGGAUUCAGAUGUGUUGAGAUGGAAAGUGACAACGCAAUGUUGAUUGAAACUAUUUGUAACGGGUUGACUACAAUAAGUAGUGCUACCGAAGUAAGACAGAUUCACGAUUGGUGUUCCAAAAAUUGGAAAGUCAAAUUUCGACAUAUUCAGCGGAAUGCCAAUAAAGUUGUUGAUUGCAUAGCUAAGGCAAAUGGAGGCAUAAUUGAGCAGCUGGUUAUCUUGGAAGAUCCUCCGCAUUAUGUGAGAUGCUAGCUUGAAGAAGAUAUUAGACAGUCACUGGUGGCUGAUGAUAAUUUUCAUUUGGACUGAUGAGCGCUUAAUUUUUUAAGCUUAUAUUCAACAAAAAAAAAAUUAAAUACGUCUCAAUUGUAAUAGAGUUAACAUUUAGUGUUUAAAAAAUAUCUUAAAAAUUAUUUUUUCCAAUUGCAAUUCAAUUCCACAAAUAUCAACGAUGAACCUGGACAUAAAAAUUACAAAAAAAAAAAAACACAUCUAUUAUCAAACCAGCAAUCCAUGUCUAAACUUAAAUUAACAAAAUUUGCCACGCAACCCGAUACACUAUUUUAUAUAUAUACUAGAUUUAUUCUAGAUGCACAUGUUUUAUUAUAUUUAAAAAUUAAAAUAUAUGGUUGACUAAGUUUUAGUUGAGUUAGUAUUGGUAUUAUUGUCAGUGUAGGAAAAUGUGAGUCUAAUUGUGCUCAAAUUUGUUUUAUACUCCAAUUCAAGGGUUAGGAAAAGGUUAUUGAUAAUUAAAUUAUACCAACUUUUAUGAUAUUAAAAAAAGGAUUUAUAAAUAAUAUAAGGAAAAGAAAAAAAGAGAGAAACAUAUUCAUAUUGAUGGGCUCUUUCAAUAUUAGACUUUUUUUCUAUCACAAGUAAAAAUAUCAAAGGUGAUAAUAAUUAAAUUAUAAAAUUUAAAUUGAGAAAAUAGGGGAUUGAAUUUAUAACUUUUAAAGUAUAAAGAAUGAAUUUAUAACUAACAACAUAUUUUAACCACACAAUAAAAGUAGUUAUGGAGAGGAUCAUGUAAAAUAAUGACCUGAAUAAUUUUAAACGUCUCAUCCUUGCAAAAAUGAAAUAAUAGAAAAGAAAUAAGUGUUGGGUGUAGUGGCAAUGUACAUUAUACUUCUAAGGGGAGAUCAGGGUUUUAUACAAGGGAAGAAUUUUAAACCUGCUUUUUUCUCUAGAACUCAACGCAAACCUCAAAUUUAUCUUUUUAUAAGAAUUUUAAUAUAUCUAUAUAAAAGGUGAUUUUUUUGCCGAUCACACUUAACAAAAUUUUAAAUUUUUUUUUUUGAAAUUUAAAGUGAUCUAAAAACAUAUUUUUAAGUGCUUUAGACCAUCCUGUGUUGAUUUCUUUAGUAAUUUGAUUUGUUCAAUAUAGAUUUUGGUGACUUAACACAAAAUUAAUAAAAAAUAUUUUUUCAGAUAUCUUUUUAAUGUUUAAUAAUAAGUUAAUUUAUAAAAUAUACUUUCAUAGGACACAGGCCUCCAAGGCGGUGAACCACUAAUGAAAUUAAUUUUGAGAUACUUAAAUUUGUUUUCAUCAAUUAAGAAAUUUGAAAAAUUGUUGAGACCUCAUGAUUAUCUUUUAUAAUUUCAGGCUUAUCACCAAAAAACUAAAAAACAAAAUCGUCGACAUUAAAUUUGUUGGCAUGCAAUCAAUUUUAAGAUGGUUUUUGGAGUUAUAUAUCACUUUAGCAUGGACUUACUUUUCUACAGUUAGUCUUCUCCAACAAGUUAAAUAUUUCAAUUUUAACAACAUUGACAGGUCUUUGGGGUAGGGUCGAGCAAAACUCAAUAGAAAUAGAUGAUAUAGAUUGAGUUAGCUCGGCCAAGUCGAGUCGACUUGUUCAAAUUAGUUAAAUUAGUAAAUUUUAGGGUGCAGUUAGAAUUUUUUUUUGUUUUGAGAUGCUAAGAUUAAAAAAUUUCAGUUGCUAAAACAAAAAAAUUGUAUUUAAAAAAAGGCAUAAAGAAAGGCUGAAUGACAAAUUGCCCAAAGCCCAUGCCCCUAGCUAUACGCCCCUGGUAAAAUCAAUUUUAAAAUUAGUUAUAAUAGUUGAAGCGAUUGAUUAUUGAGGAAUGAAAUACAUAGUUCAACAAAAUAAAUAAGUUGACAAAUUUUGACAAAAAAAAUCAAAAAUAAAAUAAUAGAAAAGAAAGAGUAGCCAUUUUAUGAAUUUAUAAUUCCAACCGUGAAUAAAAUAUAAAUUUUAUGAAUGUGGACAAGCCAUUUUAUUUAUAAUUUUCUGUGUUUUUCUUCUUUUCCUGACUUUUUUUUAAAGUCAUUUUCUUUGUUUCCUAAUCACCAUGAAAUUACUUGUCACAAUUCAUCUUUUUAAAUGAGAAACAUUUUCCACAAUUUGCCAUCACUUUAACAUACACUAACUUUUCUAUGAUUAGUCCUUGGUUUGCUUUGGGUGGAAUCUUCCAACAAUUAGUGUAUCACGAGUUUCGUUUUCUUUAAAAAAUAUUUUUGUGGAUAUUAGGAGAUAAUGAAAAUUAUUUUACUAUGAAAUUUUAAUAAAACUUUAAAAUAAGUAAUUUAUUUUAAGAGAUCACAAUUAAACAUUAGAUUUCCAAUUUUUUAAUUUUACAAUUUUUUGACAAUUACAUAAUUAAUAAGGUACCAAUGUUGAGCGUUGUAGGAAUGCUAUAACCUUCCCUAAACAUAAUCGACUCUUGAGCAUGAUGGAUCCUAGACCUUCUCCUCUAUUCUCGUACCACAAAUUGCUUUGAGUGUGGGUACGAACAAUCACAAAUUAAACACAAAACCAGAAAUGAUUUAUUACUUUUAAUAGCAAAGUAAUUCUCUCUCAAUAGAAACCAAUAGAAUUGUAAUUCCCAUAAAAUAAAAUUUAUUUUCUGAAAUAUAUUCUCACUACUUUCUAGCAGAGUAACAAUAUUUAAAACUUAUGUCUUGUGUUAAUAGCUUUACUAGCACUAUCUAUUUAUAGGGAGAGAGAUGAGAGUCCUGGUUGAAUUAGUAAAACACGAAUAAUAUUUAUUUCAUAGAAGACAAUUUCAUAGAAAACUUAUGUCUUGUGUUAAUAAUGUUGAAUUUGUAUGUACAAGUUUCUAAUACACUUGUUGGGACAUUCUUUGACUUUUAUCUAUUCUCUCAAAAAGUUAAAGUUCAAAGUUGCAUUAAACUCAAAUAAGAUAACCAUUAGCAAACCAGCUCACAAGCCUGCUCAAGCUAAUCCUACAAGUCAUUCCACUUCAUCAUCAAGCACCAAUGUUCUUGCUUAUCCUUAUGGAAUUAAACAAAAGAAAAAAGCUCUUUAAGAGUUAUUUCAAUAGACUUCUUUAAUGGUAAAUGACAAUCCACUCUAUUGAUGCUUCUUCGCCCAACUCAUGAUUUAAAAGAAGUUUAUACUCAUGGAUCAAGUGUAGCUCACCAGUUAUCAUUAAGGAGAAAAAAGAGUCAAUCAAGUGAAAAUUAUAUUCCAACAUCCCCCCUGAACCAAAUUUUAGAGUGAUGAAUGUCAUGACAACUGACACUACAUUCUUAGAAGAAUAAGUAGAUCUCUAGCAAAAACGAUGGAGAGUCUUACUACAAGCAUAAAAGGAAUGGAUGAUCAAAUUGAACAUCUUAGAGGAAGUAACCAAACCUUUUCCUACGAAACUCAACAUCCUCUUCACAAAGUUGUUGGAAUCAAAAUUGUUGAAGGACUUUAAAGUGUUUCUUUAGAUCAAGUUAAGGAGCUCAUUAAAGAAACCAUUAAAGAUCAAGUCAAAAGUGUUGCUCUACCUUCAUAUACAUACUUGAAGCCAUACAUUUGAAGGGCUUAUCAUUUGAAUAUGCCUGAACAUUAUCCACCUCCAAAAUUGCAAUAGUUUGAUGGUAAAGGAAAUCUAUGUAAACAUGUCGCUCACUUCGUGGAAACUUGUGAUUGCGUCGAUGUAACACCCCACUCGCGACCUAAUCGCUGGAUUCGAGAAGAGAGAUACCGAAAUCAUGUUGGAAAAAUCUAGUUUGAAAAUGGUUUUAUUUAUAGAGGAAAAUAAAAAUUUUGAAAACUGACUCGGUUUGUGAUAUUUAUGGCAAUAAAUGUUAAACUGAAAUCAUAAAUGUGCUUUUGAAUAAGCAAAUCCUUGAUGUUUUCUAGCUUUAAACCAAAUUAUCUUCUUCACUAUUCUCAUACCACAAAAUGCUUUGAAGUGUGGACUUGAACCAAUUGAAUCAAAACACAAAACUUGAAAAAGCUUUUUAUUCUUUUCGGGGUGAAACCUAAAAUUUUCUCUUAUUUAAUAGAAACCAGUAGAAAUGUUUAUUUUGGAAAAAUAUAUUUAAUAGUUAAGAAUAAAUUCUCCUUAUUUUUCAAUAGAGUAACAAUCUCUCAAAGUUGUAUAUAAAUCCCUACUGAUGCCAGAUAUUUUUAAGAAGAGAAGAUAGAACCCUUGUGGAAUUGUAGAAGCUUAUUUCAACUAGAAAAAUAACUUCCUACUUAGAGUAGGAGCAGGUUGGAUGGCAUCCCCUGUCGCCCCUUCGUUUUCCAUGAAGGGAUUUUGGAUCUCUCUCACAUUAGAUCCAACUAUGAGUGCUUUUCGAGCAUUUAGACUCAGUACUUUGUAAUUUGACCCAACUCAAUUCUAUUUUUUUAUUUCCCAAAAUAAACUUCAAUAUUUUAUAUUAAAUAAUUUUCUCAUCCAAAUUUUACCCUCAAUAGAAUUUUUGAGAAAAUAUAUUUAAUAUUUCACAAUUCAACUUGUUCAUUAUGAUCGAAUGAUUUAUUUUCAUUUUCUAGAUUUUAUAUAGCUGAAAAACAUAAACUCAUUCUCCUGAUCAUUUUUAAGUAUAUUCAUCUACAUUUGAAAAUGAAUCAUUUCUCAUUUUCGUUUCCAAAUGAUUUCAUUUCUCCAUUUCGAAGAAAUGUAUAAUCAUUCCUGAAUGUUUGUCAUUUCUUUAUUUCUAUUCAUUUCGAUUCAAACAUGCAAUUCAUUUAUGGUUUCAACGAGCUAGUGAAGGGACUAAUUGGACAUAUACAAUUAGGGCUCAAAUGAUUUAUAUUUGAAGUUUCAACUUUUCAUCUAUUAAUUAUAAACUCAUUUAGUCAUGAAGUCAUUCCACUAUAGUAUCAUGGCUGAGCUUGUGGUUCCCCAAACUUGGACGAGACAGUCUGACCCAAAAUUUGAAACUUACAUUAGCCACCAAAAUGAUUCUCUGUUAAAAUACUACAAAACAGACCAACCAACCAUGCAGGCCACACAUUUUCAACAUAAAUCAUAAUACAAUUAAUCCUAAUUGCAUGCCUUUCUAAACAUACCAUAAAAAAUGAAGAAAAAAAAUUCAUAUUUAGGUCACCUGUGAACCCACCCACUUAGAAACCUAGUAGCACGCAUCAACUUGGCGAGCACCAGCUGAAGACCUCCUCGCGACCCCCAGCUCAUUGCUAGCCCUACGAACCACUAGUUUGCUACUACCCUGUGAUCCCUAAAUAUUGGCAAACCUAGACACACAACUCCCCUUUUAUUUUAAUAGACUACUCAAGUCGUUGGCUCACUUGCGAACUCCUCUAUUUAGUGAACCUACCUAAUAAGGCAAACUCACUAUCCUGACGUACGCAUUAACUAUGGAGAACCUUCUAUUGCUUGGCGUACUCCCUCCUAAUGGCAAACACUAGGUUAUAUAGGGCUAGUCUAUACUAGCGGACUCCCUAUACUUUGGCGAACACUCUAUUAGGGAACUUAUGGUUUUUGGUGAACACACUUUUGUUUGGCGAAACCUACCUUUGGUGAACUCACCCCUAUUGUUGAACACUGUGUUAUGGUAAGGUCCUAUUCCCUUAUGACCCCUGUCUCACACUAUGCUAGGUUGGCUCGUAAGUAUUCUUUCAAUGCGUUAUUACUUCUAUAACAUGCAUUCUAUGUUAUCACUUUAUCUCAACCAAAAAAUUGGUUCAAGGGCGUACCUCAAAAUUCGGCGAACUCCUUGUUUUACAUAAGUAUGUUAGUUCAUCAAUUUACCUAGCAAAAUCAUGUAUUAUAAUCCAAACAAUCAAGCAUUCAAUCAAGCACUUAUAAAGUCUAAAAAUCCAAAAUUUAAAUAGUUCGUAAUAUCUGUUUACAACUUGUCAAAGUUUAUUUAAAAAUUCUAGGUCUACAUCUGAUUCCUUAGGAUAGUCCCACAUUGCCUUCAACUAUAGGGUUUGUAAAAACAAAUCACGUACUCGAAUGGAUUUGCCUUAUGUUGCAUCACUAGAUUGCCAUGCUUCACAACUAGUCACGUGAACUACUUAUCUGCAAGAUAUAUGCAAGGAGUGUGAGCUUAUUGAAGCUCAGAGAAUGCUUAAGCACACAACACAUAAAACACAUCAGUCAUGCUAAAAUUUAGACAUGUUGUAACAAUUCACAUAAAAUAUAAUAAUCAUGCUCGUCAUAGUAAAAUAAUGGCAAUUUGUGAAUAUGAAACAUAAUCAUAUUAUAUAUGCAUUGGAUAAGUAGAUCUUUAGAAUACUCCAAAUGACAUAGAGAGUCAUGCGCUAUCUUUGAUAAGUGUAGUAUGAAUGCUCACACUCUCCAAACACUCCAUACUAUCCUCAAAAUUGGAGCUAAGCUCGACAUUCCCUUAUCUCUCCAAUGCUAUCUUCAGGCCAUAAUGCCCCAUCAUAUAGUAAAAAUGGUGAGUACUCACAAUCCUAUGACAUGCCAAUGAUAUCUAACGGUUUCAAGUGUUCACAAUGCCAACAUAUGAUUUUUAUUUCAUUCACUUUACACAAUUUAAAAGGCCCACAAUAUAGUAGAUCUCACAUAUAAUAGUUCUUAAUAACACAACUCACAUUUUUGUAGGGCUCGCAUGAUACAUAAGUUCGUAAUAACAUAGAUUCGCAUAACACUUAUGGCUCACAUAUAUUUAGGGCUCGAAUGCAACAUUUGGGUUUCCAUAUAUUUAAACUAGCAUAAUACAGGGGCUCGCGUAACAUGUUUUGGCUUGCAUGUAAUAUAGGGCUUGAUCACAUAUAUAGGUUUGCAUGAUCUUAGGGUUCGCAUCACAUAUAUAAGUACGCAUGAUACAUGGGUUCACUCAACAUGUAUAUAUAAACUUGCACAUCAAAGUAUAGGCUCGCAUGCAUUAAGGUAAUAGAUUUUGCAAACAAUUUAGAGCUAGCACACAUCUUAGGCUUGCAUACAUACAUGUUAGCAAGGUCUGCAGGUCACAAAUCGGGGCUCGAAUAACUAUAGAGGCUUGCAUAGAAAUAUAACAGUGUUCGCAUAUCAUUUUAAUCAGCUUCACACAUUAAAUCAGAUAGUUUGUAUGCCUUACUUGGCUUUCAUUAGCAUGCGAACUCUUGUUUUUGACGUAGUGUGUAAGGACACUCACUAGUUGUUUGUUGAUACUGUCAAACCUAUACCACAUUUUGCUUGACUUUUUCCUUGCUUGUAGAUGCACCUUUAUAUUGAGAGGCUUUGCAUAAAACAAGAAAAUAUACAGAUUGCUACUUUCACAAACAUAUUAACCUUCUUAACUAACAUAGCAGCUCACCACUUCUAAAUUUACCGAACUCACCUCAUGUGACCUUAAACUUUUAGUUACUUUAUUUUAGUUCAAUUAAAUCCCCAAUUAUUACUUCCUAAUCUCAUAAGUAAGGUUUAAUUAUAGAUCUAGGCCAUUAAUUUUAGUCAAUUCUUAAAAUCAACAUUUUUCAAAAAAUCAUGCUCAUUUUCUAUCUCAAGAAGAAAAAUCACUUGAUUCAUGCAAUUCCUUUAAGGAUUUGUUAAAUCAAGUUUAUAAACCUCUUAAUUAUGCCAAAAUGAGUUAAAAAUUAUUUUAAAAUCAUGACUUAGCUCACUAUUAUGAGAUUCACCAUUUUUUUAUAUAAACCAAGCUUUAAAGCCAUAGAUCCAAUGAUUUCUCUUGAAACUUCAGGUGCAGUGCACUAACUAUGAAUAAUGUGGACUGAAUAUGUUUUUGGUACUCCAUGGAACUCCUCCUUCAACCACAAAAUCCCAACCCAAUUUAUAUGCAAUAUGUCACACAAUCUCAUACAUAAUCCUAUCUUAAUACUUUUCACAUUCAUUUGACAUGCUCAGCAUGUCCUCAAUAAUCACAUACUUUCAUACUUUUAGAAAAUGGAAACAGUGUUCCAAAGUUUCAAUUACCAUUGUGUUGGUAUCAAUCAAUAUCAUUCAAUUACACAUACUUUAUAGAUUUCCAUUGUGUUUAAAUAGCACCCUUUUCAAUACACAAUAUAAAAAAUAUCUCAUGCAUUUAAUCAUACAUAAGCUUUAUAUCUCAACACAUUAUAUCAUUCAGUCAAACAUUCUCAUAUCUUAUAAUUCAAAUAUGCAAUUACAAACUCAAUCAAACAUUCAUACUAUCAAACUAGCAAUUUUGCCAACAUGUUAAUCUUUUAAGGCUCAAAACAUAAUUGGUUCAGCCACUCACAAAAUCAAUAAUUUGGCUAUUAAGCCAAUCCAAUCAACAAGCUAAUUUAUCACAUAUAACAUGAUAUUUAACAUUUUCAAAAAAAAUUAUAAGUUUAGGACCCACGCAUUAUUUUUUGCUUCCUCGCAACAUACUAGCGAAUCUUCCAAUCUUCCUUAAUAAUUCCUUAAACGAACCUAAACCAAAAUGAAGCAUAAAUUCAAUCAAUUUACCAUUAAGCCAACCCCCAAACACCCACUUGUGAGUUCAAACUGAUCAUUGAAAUUAAAACUACUUUAUGAAUCCAAACUAGUUAGAUUCCUUAAACUGUAUCGAUGCAAAUCGUACGUACAAUCGUUCUUCACCUUUAUGGAUGAUUGGGGGUGUUUGGGUCAGCACCUAAUUCAAUAAUAUACUGGAAAAUCAGUAGUUAAUCAAUGAUUAACUUUCUUUAUUUAACCAAUUCAUAACCUUUACCCAACAACUAUGCCAAAAUAACAAACUAGUUUACAAUUAAUCGUACUUAUACUUCUCAAAUUAUAAGAUUCGAAUGGCUAAUUGAUCAAGAAUGUCUUUUGUAACAUCCCAAAAAUUAGGUUAGAAGAAAUGAGAUUUUGAAACCAAGAGUGGUCAUCCCUCGAUUAUGAGUUUAUAUCUUGGAAAAUUUGACAAGUAAAUUGAUCUGGCUUAAUGGUUAAUUGCUAUGGUUAUAUGUGUUAGGUUCUGGGUUCAAAUCUUGUUUUUGGAAAAUUUGUUACUUUUCUUAAACCCUUACCUUGAAUGUUUGGCUUUUAAGUUAAAUUUAGUCAAUUGAGGUCAAGAAUGAGCCUGUUGGUUUAAUGGUUAAGUUUCUGCAUAAUCCUUGGUCUUGUGUUCGAAUCUCAGCGAAAGCAACAGGGAAUGUUUUGUUUUUGAAUUUUUUAUAAGGUAGUUAGUUUCGAUUGGUUAUUUAAAGCCUUCUAGAAACCUCCGUUGCUUUUACUUUUAUUUUGUUCUUUCUUUUUCUACAAUGUUUUCUAUCAUUUUGUUUUCGAUCUUCAGUUUCCUCAUUUUGGUUUUUUAUUUUCAAGCAACCUUCUUUUUGUUAUGUUACGUUACACUAAUUGUGUAUAAGGUUUAACUUCUCCUUCUAGUUAAUUUGCUGGUUGGUAAGUUCAAUUUAAAGUUUUGGUGUCGAAAGUUCUUUAACAUAACUUCAAUUUUGGAAUGUUAGUUUCUAGUGGUUUGACUGCGAAUUAAUCGUUUGUUAGGGAAUUGCUUGUCGUUUAGGGACCUGAAUUUAUCCUUGUUACUCCUACAUCGAGUUCGUAUCAAGUGGGUAUCAAAAAUAUCUUCUUCUUCAAAUUUUAGUCGUCGAAGAAUAGGACUAUCAAUGCCACAUGGUCAUGCGCAAACUAUCUAGGUACAAUCUGUAUUCUAUUAAGUUUGUUGGUAUGCCUCUGCAUUACUCUAUUGAUAAAGAAUAUGUGACAUUUGAUUAUGUUAGAUUGGUUGUUACUGAUUCUAAUUUAUAACCCUCUGUUUUACUUUAUAGAUGUGGAAUACACAAUAUCUGAAAAUGUUAGACUAAUUGUUACUGAUUCUGAUUUAUUGUCGUGCAUGUGACUUCAUGGCAAAUAUGAUAUGAUCUGUUGAGGUUUGAUAGGUCUAUUUUCCAAAACAUGGACUCUCAUGUCUCCUAAUUCUGUUAUUGAAAGAUAUCAUAACUUACAUGCUCAUCACUCUGAUUCUGCAUAUGUAUGUCAUGACACGUUGCAUGGGAUUUGGGUUGAUGUGAAAGGUAAAAGUUACUGGCAGUUAAUGAUCCGCAUUAUCUGAGGUUUAUCCUCAAUUCUGUUUCGGCAGCUUAGUUGUACUAUAUUAACUUGACCACAUGUAACCGAUAUGGCAGUCUUAACUACAAAAUUCUAGUGGCACCAUCCACAGUUAUCUGUUGGUGUGAUUUGGCUAGACGAGUUCUGAGGGAACUCUAUUUUGGAUUGUAGUGGAGUUUUGGUAGGAUGUUUUCUGAUAAUUCUGCAUUCUGAUCUAUUUGAGAAAUACAACAUCUUCAUAACACAUUUUCUACUUUGCUCUAUUCUGUUCUAUUCUGUUCUGCUCUCUUCGGUUCUAUUCUAUUUGAUUUGUUAUGUUCUGCUUCAUUCUGUUGUGCUUGGUUCUAUUGUACUAUCGUUAUGGAAAUUUUCAUGAUAUUCUCGAUCUAUUCCAUACUAGCUAUAAAACUAUUAUUAAGUUCUUUGAGUUACUUUGAUUUAUAUAAUAAAAUCUAUUUAUUUGUAUCUAAGUUUGGUUAUACGCGACGCUUGGUAGUUCUCCCUUUGUCUUAUCUUAAUCUAUUUAGGUGGAUGUUUUACAUUGAUAUAACUAUGAUUUGAUCUUUUAGGUUGUAAUUUGUUUUUGGACUUGCAUUGCUUUUCUUUUGAUAAUCUCAUCAAUAUUUGUCAUUUUCUUACACAAAAAUAAAAAAACCACCUAAGUCGACUAAAAUGAAUUUCUGGUUUUCAAUGUUAAAAUUUUGAAAAGAAAUUAGUUUUCUACAUGUUGGUGUAGCUCGUCCAAAUUUGACUUAAACUUCUAGGUUGGGUUUGGGGUGUUGUAUCUUUCCAUAAUUAACAUGUGAUUAAUCUUUUAUUAGGAGGAUUCAAGAACUCAACUUAAUGAUGGAAAAAUAUAGGUAAGAACCAAGAAACAAAACAACCCCCUUUCUUGCACACAGGCGUACGCACCACCACCCAUGGUGGCCAAAAUUGGGGAAGAAUUUUAAAAUGGUUUGAAAUCUCAUUAAAAUCUAGAAAAAUACAAUUGAAUUCAUUUAAAAUCCCCCAAAUUCCAGAUCUAAAAAUUUUUCUUUUUAAUUGACAAAAUUAAUUAAGAAUUUGAAGAGAAAAGAGAUCUUCCCAAGCUAGUUAAAAGAAACGACAAUGACACUUUCUUGGCAAUGUUCAAGAUUGAUCUUGGGUUCAAGAUUUUAGAAUUGGGGAUGAUUUAGAUGAGAAAAAAUGGUAGGAAUAGAGUAAAGGAGAUGGUGUACAAUCUUGAUGCAAAAAGAAGAAGAAAGAGUUGGUAAAUGGGAGGUGUAGGCGACGACAACAAUAGGAGAAAGAAAGAAAAUUAAAGAGAAAAGUGGAGAGGAAGAUGGUGAACGGAUAGAGUAGGGAAAAUUUGAAUUAAAGGCUGAAAAAUACAAUAAAAAUUUCUAUUUAUACUUAGGGUUCAAGGGUAUGGAUCGCACAUACAUUUAAAAAAAUAAAGGAUUUUACGAAAUUUAAAAUUUCGUAAAGGAAAGGAUUCGAAAUUGGGACCUCAUUUAAUUUUCAUGUGUUCUCAUAUUUCUUUUAACCAUUAUGAUAUUUUCUCAUUCUUAAAAUCAUUUUACAAGAUUUAGUUUAAAAAUAAGGCAUGCCACAUUCUAGGGUUUAAGGCAAAAUUAGCAAAAUAAUAAAAAUAGUGAGAGAGAAGGGAUUUGAACUUGGGUUUCAUGGAAUGUUUGACUAACACUUAUCCAACAAACCAACACCUUAUUGAUUUCCUAAAAAUGCAUAGAUAAUCUCAAAAAUUAAGGCAUGACCACUCUUUCUCGAUUCACAAACCCGAUUAUGCUAAACCCUAAUUUUUGGAAUGUUACAAGGUAAGUUUGUAGUGUAACAAUAUAUAUGUGUGUGUUUUAGGGAUACGAUUGGCAUGCCAAUAGGGUUAGUAUGCAUGCUUGUACUGGAUCACACUUUGGUUCUUCUCUUUACACUUUGGUGCCUCUCUUUGCACUUCAGUGCCACUGUAUUUGCACUACAGUGCCUCUAUUAGCAUUUCGAUGUUUGGGGGAAACCCAAGUAUCGAAGUCAUUUUGCUGUAGUUCAACAUGCUGUGAAAUUUUAUGUUUAAAUGUUAAAUUACUCUUGAAUUUGAUUUAUAUACAAUGAUAUAUUUGUGUAUCUAUGUACAUAAGCAUUGAUUGCUUUGGUUUGAGCCAUUGUUUAUAUUGAAUCAUAUGAGAUGAAUGUUUUGAUUACUAUAGUUUGAGAAUAAAUAUUAAUUCCUUGGUGUAAUUAUAUGAUUCAUAUGUCUUUAAACAUGUUAUCUAAUUAUGUUUAUGGUGUGUUUAGAGAAUUAAAUUAUUAUAUGAGUAUUUUCCAGGUAUUCAAUGUUGUUUCAUUUGGUUUAAUGGGUAAAUAAAGCUUUAAAGGGUAUGUGAUUACACGAAAUGCACUACGAUAUUUGAGCAAUGAUAUGGAUCAUGAUGAAAUGUUUAAUUGAAAAGGAAAUAUGGUUUAGUAUAUAUAUAUGAGUGGUGAAUUAUGAAAGUGAAAUAUAGAUAUGUUAUAUACCAUGUUUUAUUCAAAUUAUAUAUGAUAUGUUACACCAACUAACCUUGUGAGGUGGUGGGUAUAGGAAAGGAAAGUUGGCUUAAAACAUAAUGAAAUUAUGCCUGCCUUUUUAACAUAAAAUAUUCAGUAAAUUAAGUUUCCUUUAUAUGAACUUACUCAACAUUAGUUGCUUGCAUAGUUAUUUUUCUUUAUUUUAUAGUUCAUCAGAAGCUCGACCGGUUGGAAUCAUGUCAAAGCACGAUCACACUAUCCAUUCAACAUUUUGAUAGCUUUUUUUAUUUUGGUAAAUGGUUAUAAAUGACAUGUAAUAGGGUUUAAAUGUCAUUCUAGUGAUUUGACUUGUUUUGAGUUGUGUCAAACUUCUUGUGAUUGAUGUUGUUAGUUGUUGGCAUGUAAAUAAUGGUGUAAAUAUGUGACAGCCCAAAAUUGACCCUAGUCGGGAAGUGGUUUCGGGACCGCUAAACCGAGUCACCGAAAGGUUUGAAUGUGAUGUUUAUUAUCUAGAAUAUGUAAUAAUGAAUGUGUGAAAAUUUCAAGCUUCGAUUUAGUCGAUUGCAUGCGAGUUUAGUCAAUAGGACUUAUAUGAGAAAAACUUUAAAAUGUGAUAGGUCAAUGCAUGAGGACCUAUUAGUGCAUGUGGAAGAAAAAGGGGACUUGCAUGUCAAAUUCCCCCUCCCUAAUAUGUAGUGGCCGGCCAUGCUAUGGGUGGAAACAUGUCACCAACAUGUUGUGUUAGUGAUGUAUGGUAAGGAAAAUAAAAUAUUAAGCAUGAUAAUUAAAAUAAAUUAAAGAAAGGAAUUAAACAAUGAAAAGGAAGGGUGAUGAAAAAAAUGGUCUCAUCCAUACCCCCCCCCCUUGUUGCCGUGAGUUGAGGAAAGAAAACAAAAAAAAAUGUGUGUUCAUUCUUGAACACCUUUGGCCGAAUAGAGGAAAGAAAGGAAGGGGAAGAGCUUGAGAAAAUCGGCUAUGGUGGUUUGCUAGACUAAGGUAUGUUUGAUGUUGUUCUUGAGAUGCAUGCAUGUUUUAGUAGUUGACUUGAGUUCUAAAAACCCAUGGUUCAAUUUUGUGGAUUGAUGAAGAUUUUGUGUUUUGCCAUUGAUGAGUGCUUGAGCUUUUUGAUAGUUGUUGAUGAAAAGUGAAAGAUAUGUUAAAGAUUAAUAUGUUUUGUGUUGAAGUUUUUGGUGAUUUUGAGUAGUUAGGGCUAUAUUACAAAAACAAAUUUUUGAAGGACUCAAAGGUGAAAUAAAUGAGAUGUAUGGACUUAUAUGGGCACUAGGAAGAUUCGGCCCUUAAGGAGUGUGACCAAACUUUGUGUAUUUUGUGUUUUGUGGAAUAAAGACUAAAUUGUGAAAGUGCGAAAUAUUAGGGGUAAAAAUGUAAUUUACCCAUUUAUGCGUUAUUAGACUAAAUUGAAUGAAAAUAUGUUAAAUUAAGGCUUGGCAAGCUAGCUAUUAAGGUGAAAUGCUAAUGUUAGUAUUUGAUUCGGUAAUAAUCUGUUUGGGGACAGCAGCAGUAAGGUGAUUUUGGAAAAUCGCCAUAAUUUGUAGGAGUUGAAUUAGAAGCUGAGUGAAUUAUGCCAUUAAAGCUUGAAGAGUCUAUUUUCUUACAAAAGAAACUAUGAAAACAAAAGAGUUACCGAUCUUGAGAUAUUUGAAGUAUUGUGGGGCUGAGUCAAAAUGACUACUAGAUUCCCUGUUCUGUUUUUAGAAAAUCAUUAUAAAUUGUACAAAAAUUAUUAUAAGAUAAAAUUUAUAUGCUUAGACUCCUUAAUGAGUCUAGUUUCAAAUGAGAUCAAAUACAACACAUUUUGAAUUCUGUAAAAUGAGAAAUUUGAUUCGUAGUGAAGAGUGGUCAGAAUAGUCAAACAGUGAAACAGGGGAAACUUUAAGAAAAAUCUGGUAUUGAUUGGCCAAGCCAAAAAUUCUGAAAAUUUUAUGGAUGGAAGAUAUAUGAGUCUAUAUUCAGGGAAAAUUAACAGCUAGUGAUUUGGAGUUUUGUAGCUCCAGUUAUAAACAAUUUAGCGACUACUGCUCAGGAAAACAGCUCGUAGUGAAUAUGUGAUUUUGUUGUAAACAUUAAUGAAAAUUUGCCAAUGAGUUAUUUAUUGACUAUUACAAAGCUUACUAUAAUCUAUGUGUGUGAAAGUCAAAUCAAUAUAUAUAUUAUUCUGAAAGUAAUACUUGAAUAGUCGAUUAAUGACUAUUUUAAGUUAUUGAUUUGGCUCAAGGAGUUAAAGGAGGUGAAUCGAGCAAAGGCAAAGAAAAGGUUAUCGAGUAGCCGAGUUGGAACCGUCUUACCCAACACGAGGUAAGUCAUUAAGCAUGUAGUUGGUAUUAUUUCAAUGGUCAUAAUGUUUAUGUAUUGAUGCUGAAUGGAAUGAAUAAAUAUACAUAUAUAUAUAUAUAUGUGCAUGUACGUAUGUGAUGAUGAGAUUGUUGAAUGAAAGAAAAGAGGUAAGAUGUACUGAGUUGUUGAUCUCGGCACUAAACGUGCGGGAUAACCAUUUAUGACCAUGAGAUUGGCGCUAAGUGCGCGGGAUUAAAUUGUACAGCACUAAGUGUGCGAUUUGACUAUGUUGCACUAAGUGUGCGAAAUGAAUAUGAUGCACUAAGUGUGCGAAUUGACCAUGCGGCACUAAGUGUGCGAGUUUGACUAUGUAGCACUAAGUGUGCGAUUUGAUUAUGUAGCACUAAGUGUGCGAGUUGAUUAUAUAGCACUGAGUGUGCGGACUCGAUAUACAUUCGUGAAUCAUUAUGGACACUAUGUGUGCGACACUAUUGAGUCGAUCGCGGACAGCGGAUCGGGUAAGUGUCUUGAGUACAUGGCUAAUAGGUGCUAUGCUUAUACUUGGUGUUGAGCUCGGUAAGUUUGAACCUAUGUGACAAAUAUACUUGAAGUCACGUACAUAAAAUUUAUCGUAGGAUUGGUGAAAGGCCGUUUAGUCGUUUGAUUGUAACGAAAAUAAAUUGAUUUAUGAAAAUGCUUCAAUGUCCUAUUGAUGAGUAUAUGGAAUGUGAAUGCAUGAAUUGAUAUGAAAUUGAAUUGAUAGGUUGGAGGAACUAUGGUAUGGUUCGGAAUGGAUGGAGUAAUUAGCCUCGUUCCAUUUUGUUUUCUCUUGUGAUAAUGUUAUUGAUGGAUGGUAGUGCAUAGCUUAUGACUUACUGAGUUAUAAACUCACUCGGUGUUUCCUUGUCACCCAUUAUAGGUUGCUUGGACUCAUCUAUUUUUUUGCGUGGUCGGGCCGUCAUCGAAGUCAUCACACCGGAUAGCAAGUUUUGGUACUUUCUUCUUAGUUGGCUUAGAAGAACAUUUUGGCAUGUAUAAGCUAUUACGUUGUGUUUGAACUUUGGCAUGUAAACUUUAAGCCAUGUGAAAAUGGCACGAAUGUUCGAUUGAGUUGGAUCAAGGGUAGGCAUGAAAUGGACCUAGUUACUUUCGUAACAGAUGCUGGCAGCAGCAGUGUCAUGAGAUUGAAAAAUCAUUAAAAAUAGUAGGAGUGGAAUUAAUUGAUGAAUAAAUUAUGUAAUCGAAGCUCGAUGAGUCUGUUUUCAUGAGGAAGUAACGAAAAGAUCAUAUGGGCAGUAUAUUAAGAGAUAAUCAGAUUUUUGUGGGACAGGGCCAGAACGGUUUCUGGAUUCCCUUCUCCGACUUUGGAAAUUCAUUACAAAUUAACCAGAGAUAAUUAGGGGUCGUACCAUAUAUGUACAGAUUCCUCUCUGAGUCUAGUUUUCAUAGAAAUAAACGGCAUCAGUAUUGGAGCCCCGUGCAGGGAGAUAUCCAAGUCGGAAUGGGAAAAGGUCAGUGUAGUCGACCCCUGCAACUGGGGAGACUUUGACUAAUAAACUGUACUAAUUGGCCCGACCAAAAAUUCUAGAAAAAAAUACAUAGAUGGGCACAUGAGUCUAGUUUCUGGGAAAAAUUACGAAACUGAUUUUCGAGUUAGGAAACUCAAGAUAUGAUUUUUAAAACGACUAGUACACGGAUUGGGCAGUGUCUGGAAAAUAAAUUUUGUAAGGGGUUAAAGCCAGUUAACACCUCGUGUUCGACUCCGGUGUCGGUUUCGGGUUCGGGGUGUUACAAAAUAUGUGUGGUUGGACCCUUAUGCAUGCUUUAUUGAUUAAAGAUAUCAUAUGGUAAAAUGGCAUGUUUUUGGAAUGGUUAUUUGGCAUGAUUAAAAUAGGUUUAAGUUUUGAUCUUGAGACGUUGAAUUGAAUUAAGUUUAAGAUGUAUAUUGUGAUACCUUCAUUGGCAUAUUUGUUAGAUAUUAAAGGAUGGUUGAUUUGGUAUGUUUUUGAAAUGGUUGUUGGUAUGUUUGAUCUAAGUUGAUUAAAUGAACUUGUAAUGUUCAACGGUAUAAUACUUGUUGGUACAUUAGUUAGUCUUAUAGGUUGAUGGAAUUGGUAUGUUUUAAAUGUGUUUAAAAUAUGUUUUGGUUAUUUCAAUGUUUGUGGAAAUGGUGUGUCUUGGUGUACAAGAUUUGUAAUUGAAAUGGCUCUAUUUAGAAGCAACUUCUGCUGCACACUACCUGGGACACGAGUUGUCACAUGGUUGUGCAUCAUUAAUGUUUUAGGUGCAGGUUUCACACAAUCUAAGACUCGGCUCACGACACGGUCUGGGCUAUGUCACACAGCUUGGCCGCAUGGCCAUGUGACCCUUGUUUUCAAGUUUUCAAAAUUUUCUAUUUUAUUUCAAAUUGAUCAUAGAAUAUUCUCAAACUAUUUUUAAGGCCCCGUAGGUUCGGAUUAUGGCCCGUAAGUGUAUGUUUGCUAUAAUUAAGUUGUGUUAUUGAAUGUUAUUAAUUAAAUCACAUGAAUAUUUUAUUGUAAGUUAAAUGUUUUAAUUUGUACCAUAAUGCUUUGUAACCCUAAUCUGGCGAUGAAGACUAGUUUGGGGUGUUAUAAUUUUGGACUGUAAAUUUGUUUUGGGGGCUUUGUUCUUUGGUUAUUGCGAUGUUGGUUAGAUUUUGGUGUUUUAACAUUAAACUGCAAAAUUGUAUGAUUUAACAAACUAAAAAUUAGUUUUUCAAAAUUAAAACUCUUGAAAUUUCAGUUGCAAAGAUUAAGUAAUCACUUCAGUGUUUUUCCAUAAAUAAUUAAAUUUUUUUUAACAAAUGUUUUCCUUAGUUUGGGAAAUGAUUUGCCAACAUAUGUACUUUUAAAACACAUGAUUUCAAAUUCAAAUUCUCAAUUUUAAAUAAGGGUUUUCAAACUUUAGUUUUUUUUAACAGUUGUGAGAGGUUUUUGCCAAAUUUUAUGUUUUCAGAACAUAUUAGUAAGUUGAUUUUUAAUUUGUUUUUUAAACGAGUCGAUGUAAUUCCUCAAAAAUCCAUUCAUAGCGUCUUAGUCUAGAUCUAAACAUUAAUAUUCUCUUCCAAGAAAAAUCAAGAUUAUCAAAUUGUUACAACUUGGUAGGUAGACAAUCAUAUUAAAUAAGCAUAAAACUUAAUAAAUAAUUAGCGAAGAUUGAAACAAUCAAAGAAAAAAUAAAUUAAUUAACUAAGAAAUAGGAUCCAUUAUUGUUUCAAGAAAACAGAGUUUAGUUCAUAUUGAGUUGAGAAAUCCAAAAGGGAGAUUCAAAACAAACUUGUGAAAAGGGGAACAAUGUCAAUAGAUCGUAUUCAAGUUGUUCAACUCGAGAAGGAAAGAUUCAGAUCUAACCUAAAAAGAAGAAACCAAACAGAUUUAGAAAAACAAGAAAAACAAAGAAAAUAACUAAAAUGAGAAAUUUAAGAGUAAUUAAUAAAUAUUAAAACUAAUAAAGAAAUAAAGAAAUUAUAGAAUAAAUAGUGGAAGAUGGAAUGAAUAAACGAUGGAUAUGACAUAUAGAUGGAUAAGUGUCUGAUAAUUCUUGAAAAGAGUUAUUUUUCAUGCCUUUAGACCUAACUUGUAAUGCCCCAAAAAUCCCUUAUAUAUUUAUUUUCGUAAGUUUGUAACAGAAAUAUCUGUUAGCUUUAGUGGUUAUAUGCUUUGGGAGUGUUUAGGAGGUCCCAAGUUGAAACCUUAGCUUGGGCAAUUUUUUUUUGUUUUAAAUGAAUAAAACUCUAUCUUUGAUUAGUAGGCUUAUAAAUAGAUGUUGGUAAAAAAUGUCAGAAUGGUUUUACUGGUUUAGUGGUUAAGUGGGGUGUAAAUAUGCAGGAGCUCUUAUGUUCGAAUCUUUGUGCGAUCAAGAGCAUUUAUUUUAUUACUUGUGUCGUGUAGGUAUUUUGGUCCAGCCAAAAUACUGAAGAGGUUGACUAAGGGUUGGUUUCGGUUGUUGAGAGGUUUAUGGUGGGUUAGUAGAGAGGAUUUUAAGGAGAAAUUUUAGAGAUAUGAAGAGAGAGUUAGUGCCGAAUUGAAUUUCUUUUGCUUUCUCAAAUUUCAGCUGGGGUUUGAUUUUUCUUUUCAAUUUGUUUCUAUUGACUGUUUUCCAUUCUAGAGGGUCAAAUAUUGCUGAGGGUUCCUACUAGUUUCUUUUUUUUCUUUUUCUCUCUUCUCUCUUUCGACUUUGUUCUUCCCAACUGCAAAAGUGCUCUUCCCUAAACUGUUACUACCGUCUACUUUCUCUUUUCCUCCCUUGCUUUUUUUAUUGUCGAAUUUUGGGUUCUUUAUGCAUUUAAUUCUAAUGUCAAUUUAUCACUUCUCUACCAAAAGAUUAUUAUUUUCUCUCAUUGAUUUUCGUUUGGUUCAUCCUUGCUACCAGAAGUGUGGUUGCCCUUCUUUCUUGGUUUCGUUUGUCAUCAUCUGCUACAUGUUCUUUAACACUCUUUUGGUAAGUGUUCGUUUCUUCACCGCUCAGUUACUUGAAGUUAGUUUUUAAAUGGUUGUGUAUUGUUUUGAAUAAGAAUCUGAUAAAUCGUGUGUUCCAACCCUAUUUAGAUCAGUUCAUGGUGGUGUUUAUUGAUGAUAUACUGGUGUAUUCGAGAACUAAGGAUGAGCACGAUGAACACCUCAGAGUGGUUCUACAGAUUCUACGAGAAAAAGAACUGUACGCCAAGUUUAGUAAAUGUGAGUUCUAGUUAAGUGAAGUAACGUUUCUGGGACAUGUGGUUUCUACUGAGGGGAUUAGAGUUGAUCAUCGAAAGAUUGAGGCUGUCUUGGAUUGGAAGCAGCCUAAGACUGUAUAUGAGAUCUACAGUUUUCUCAGAUUGGCAGGGUAUCGACAAUUUGUGUAAAGGGUUUUCUCUAAUUGCCGUACCCUUGACUAAGCUGCUACGUAAAGGCUUACCGUUUAACUGGACUGAUUCAUAAUAAGAGAGCUUUGAGAAGCUCAAGACUGUACUGACUGAGGCCCCUGUUCUAAUAUAGCCAGAGUCUGGAAAAGAGUUUACUAUUUACACUGAUGCAUCACAUGUCUGUUUAGGAUGUGUGUUGAUGUAAGAAGGUAAGGUGGUAGUGUACACGUCUCAUCAGCUUAAGAAUCAUGAGGUGAAUUAUCUUACGCAUGACUUGGAGUUGAAGUGAUUGAGUAUAAUAACAUUUAACAUAUUAGAGCCAAUUGGUUGUCCAUAAACAUAAAAAGGUGACCUUAAUGAGAUACGCCAUAGACUCAAAAGUGUAUCAUUUACACUGAUCACAAGAGCCUCAACUACCUCCUCACUCAUAAGGAGCUGAAUCUUAGGCAACAUAGAUGGAUUGAGAUGCUUAAGGACUACGACUGUACUAUUGAAUACCACCCUGGUGAGGCUAAUGUGGUGGCUGACGCACUAAGCCGUAAAACUAUGACUGAACUGAGGGUGAUGUUUUCUCGCCUUAUUUUAUUUGAUAAUGGUAGUCUGUUGGCCAAACUUCAGGUUAAACCGAUUUGGAUAGAGUAGAUUAAGUGUAUACAAGUAGAGAAUGAGUUGUUGGGUCUUCGUUUUUGACAGGUUGAGAGUGGGAAUACCAAGGAUUUUAGACUGAAUAGUGAAGGGGUGCUCUAUAUCUGUGGGAGAAUCUAUGUAAAGACCUUCGUGAGUUAUACUAGUGGCCAGGUCUUAAAUGAGAAUUUACUAAAUUUUUGGCUAAGUGUCUGACAUGCUAGCAGGUUAAGGCUGAACAGCAGUUACCUUCGGGAUUGUUGCAGCCAGUCAAGAUUUCAGUUUGGAAGUGGGAGCAUGUAACUAUGGAUUUCAUUAGUGGGUUACCCCUCACACCCACUAAAAAGGAUUCGAUGUAGGUCAUCGUGGAUUGAUUGACCAAAUCCGCCCACUUCAUACCAAUUUGUACUGAUUACUCUCUGUAGAAGCUGGCUAAAUUGUAUGUGUCUGAAAUAGUGAGAUUACAUGGGGUACCGAUUUUAAUAAUAUCUUAUAGGGAUCCUCAUUUCACAUCUCGGUUCUGGAAGAAGCUAUAUGAAGCUUUGGGUACAAGAUUGGAGUUUAGUACUGCGUUUUAUCCUCAGACUGACGGUCAGUCAGAGAGGGUGAUUCAGAUACUAGAGGAUAUGUUGAGAAGUUGUGUGAUUGACUUUCGAGGUAGUUAGGAGGAUUACUUACCGCUAGUAGAAUUUGCAUAUAACAACAACUAUCAGUCUAGCAUUCAAAUGACACCCUAUGAGGCAUUAUAUGGUCGUAGGUGUCGCACACCUUCAUGUUAGACUGAGUUAGGCGAGCAGCGUAUUUUGGGGCCUGAACCAGUUUCUGAUACAGAGGAUAAAGUUAGACUAAUUCAGGACCAACUGAAAGCGAUAUCUAAUAGGCAUAAGUCCUACACCGAUCUAAAGAGUCGAGGGAUUGAGUAUUCUGUGGGGGACUUCAUUUUUCUCAAGGUCUCACCAUGGAAGAAGGUAUUAAGGUUUGGUCGUAAGGGCAAGUUGAGCCCUAGUUUAUUGGGCCCUAUCGCAUACUAAAACGUGUGAGAUGAGUUGCCUACCAGUUGGAGUUACCUCUAGAGUUAGAUCGGAUUUAUGACGUGUUCCAUGUCUCUAUGUUGAGGUUACCGCUCUAAUCCUACGCAUAUUAUUCCUAUUAAGGAAAUCAAGGUUAGGCUAGAUCUAACCUUUGAGGAGGAGUCAAUUCAGAUAUUGGAGUGAGAUAUAAAGGUUCUAAGAAGAAAAUUCAUCCCACUAGUUAAGGUUAUUUGGCGUAACCAUAGCACUGAGGAGGCCAUAUGGGAGUCUAAGGAUGUAAUGCUUUAGCAGUAUCCUCACCUAUUCUGAUCAGGUAAAUUUUCAAGGCCAAAAUUUUCUUUUAGGGGGUAGAGUUGUAGCGCCCCAAAAAUCCCUUAUAUAUUUAUUUUCGUAUUUUUUAUACAAAUAUCUGUCAGCUUUAGAGGCUAUGUGCUCUGGUAGUGUUUGGGAGGUCCCAAGUUCAAGCCUUAGCUUGGGCAAUUUUUUAGUUUUAAAUGAAUAAAAUCAUAUCUUUGAUCAAUAGGCUUAUAAAUAGAUGUUGGUAAAAUAUGUCAGAAUGGGCAUGCUGGUCUAGUGGUUAAGUGGGGUGCAAAUAUGCUGCAGGUCUUGUGCUUGAAUCUCUAUGUAUAGAGCAUGUUGUUAAACUGUACUACAUGCAUAUAUGAUACCAUGAUAUGACAUGACAUGAUUGUGUGGUGCAUGGCAUGGGGAUAGGUUAUUAUUGAUCGAAGGAAGUGUACUGGAAGGCUUUGAGCCUAACUUACUGGCAGCUCAGCUGCAUAUUACUGUAUAGUGUCGCCAUUGGUACUACUUAGAGUGUAGGGAUGGGUGGGUUGAUUAUAUCCCCACAUGAAGUGUAGGGUUGGUCGGAGUUGGUGUGUAGAGGUUGGCUAGGUAGGACUUGUAUACUGCAUAAUCUGUUAAUGUACUGAUUGCUAAUAUUGUAAUGGGCCAAGGCCCAAAUGCAUGAUUACUUUUGUACUAAGAUGGGCUAAAGCCCAAACCAAUACUGUCACUGAUACUGGAAAGGGCUUAGGCCGGACUGAGUUUAUUCUGUUUUCUGUCUGAUUAUUUUGUGUACUGUCUAUUUGUUUGCACUAGGAAUAUCACACUGAGUUUUGAAAACUCACCCUUUCUGUUAAUCUGUGUAGGUAAUCCCCAGUCGUAGGUAGAUCGGUGUGGCGGAGGAUUCAGCGGUGGCCACACGACUCCUUUUUAUUGUUUCGUAUCUAAUGAUAUUUAUUUUUAAGUCUUUAUUUGGGGUUUUUAUCUGUAAUAAUUGCUGCUAUGGAUUUUUUAUUUAAAUUUGGAUUUAACACUACUUCAUGUUUACAUCUGCUAGAGGUAGAUAUAGCACGGAUUUUUGAAAAGAAAUGCAUGUGUUUUAGCAAAAUACCCCAAUGUCACAAACUGUUUUAAAAAGCUUCCGCAACGUAUAAUGAUUUGCAAACUAACAAUUGAAUAAAAAUCACUAUUUUGGGAUUAACAAAAGAUAACGACGACCUCUAAUCGAAAAAUGUUUUAAGCAAAGUUACCAUUUUUCAACAUGAGCUUCGGUUUUGAAAAAUACCACCAUGUGACAUCGCCAAAUUCGCCCGUAACAUCCAGGCUGGGUUUGGGGUGUUAGAUAACUAAUUGCUUGAACUUAAGUACAUUUUGUUGCAUUUUAAGACAUUUUAGUUAGCAUUUCUAAUAUUGCAUUAGGACUUAGAUUGUGUUGGACUUAUGUGUUUUUAAUAUGGUGGAGUUUUUUUGUGUGUUGGUAUGGCAAGAACAUAUUUUAGAACGAGGAAAUAAAUGAGUGAAGUUUUGUCAGGGAAAAAGUGCAGACAGUUUGCCAGCACGGAUGCCGUGACAAUGCCAGGAAGACCAAGUAAACAUUUUUUUGCGCAACAGUCUCAAUUGAAAUUAAAACUUGUACCAGAUAAAUCUUCAAAAAAGAGGAGAAGAUAAUCACAAGUUGUUACUUGACACUAGCCUAAUCUACCUAUAAAAGCCAAUAAAGGGGAUCUCACAAAUGGCAGAAAAAAGUGGGAGGGAUCCUUAGGUGUGAAUAAGGUUUUAGUUGCGCAAAGGAAAGGAAGUCGAAGGCAGUGCUUUUUAGCCAUCACAGGAUGUUGUGCUACCGAAGUGUAAACUAGGCAAGUGAAAGUUGUUUCCCAAAGUUCUUUCGUUAUUUCCAUCAGCGUUCCUUCAAAAUAUUGAAGUAGUUGAACACAAUGUCAGAUAAUAUUUUGCUUUUGAAUUUUAUUUCUCAGCCCAUGAGCUAAAUCUCGUAGGGUUGGGAUUACUUUUGAUGAAACCUUAAACUAUUUUUAUGGAUGCAGUAUAUAUCUAAUUUACUUUACUGUUUCAUUUGAUUGUUCUUAUUUCUUAAUUAAAAUGCAAAUGAUUUCUAAACAUAGAAGACUGUUCGCAUACUUAUAAACUCAUUCUAAUUCUGAAAGGGUUGGAUUGGUUGGAUUAAAAUUAAAUGAAAUGAGCAAGUAUUCGAUGGACACUUGUAGUAGACUCUAUACAUAGAGUGACGAUCAUACAGAAGGAACCCAUGCAAGGUAUCUAAAAAGUCUUUAGACAUAGGCAAGGUAACUUGAUGUUUUCCUCUCAUGAGAGGAGAGCCAUUUUAGUACUCUUCUGUGCUUUAUAGUAGAUACGAUUUUCCCAAGGCAUUAUUGACAAUAAGGGUCAAUAUUCGGUAAUCCUGACCUUCGAAAUCCACAUCGUAUAUCCUUUAUUCUUUUCCACAUCAUUAUUAGUUAUUUAUUUGUUCAUUUACAUAAUAUUCCCAUAGUAAUUCUCAUCAUUGUCAUUACAUUUCUACUCUUGGUUUGACACAACAUUACCACUUAUUUAUUAAUUCUAUGUAUUGCUUACAUCAUUACUCUACUAAUUGCCACUGUAUAUUCAUCAUUGACUCUCCCAUAGCAUUAAUCGUAUUUUAUUAUAAUAAUUUGACCAAUUGUGUGCCUCAAUCCGAUCUUUAUGGGAACGAUACACACUCAUCACUUUAUUACGUGAUUCAACUGUAUACUUGCACAAAUCGCAUAUCAUUUCACACACGAUAGUGUUCAAUUGAACCCUUUGAGAUAUAAACCUAGACAAACUCAAUUAAUGGCUUUAAUUAACCCACCAAGAAAUAAUGAUUGGCAAAUUGAACGAUGAAGAAUGAAUUCCCAUGACUCCUUAAAAAAUUGAGAAGAAAAAUACUUCUAAAAAUCACAAGAAACAAAUCUUGGACAAAGAAACUAACUUUCAGAGUUGGAAAUUUUAGUAAUAAACAAAAACAAUUGCAUCUCUAAUGAACAUGAAGGGCCUUUACAUAGGCUAGAUAAGUACAUCCAGAUAAAAUAUUCAAGUAUCUUGAAACUUUAAUUAAUAUAAGUAAUAAGUAAUUUUAAACUAAAAUAGUCAUAAUUUUCGUCAUAAUCCCGUCCAAAAAUUCUGCUCACAUAAUCAUCAUUAAAAUAGUCAUAAUUUAAGCUCUUGAACUCAAAAUUGAGUGAAUAAAAGUGUGUUUCGAAGUUAAGUGCUAGAUCUUAGAACUUUAUGAAGACAUAUCAAUCGAAAAUUGUCCGGAUCCCAUCCAAAGAGUCACAGCAAGUUAACUAAUUUUUCAAACUUGAAAAUUGGCAACUUCGGGGAAUGGAAUUUAAUACAGUUCACCCCAUCUAUUCAUGUAUCAACUCGCAUUGGUAAAAAGUAAAAAGAAAUAAUCUAUAGAGAAAAUAGUUGAAGAAUUUAUGAAAAUUUAUUCAAAUCUCUUUUUUUUCUAGUCUUUGCAAGCUUGAAUUUUCCCUUGGUGUGUGAGAGUUGUUCCUUACCCUCUAAGUGAUUUUUUUUCUUUUUCUUUCUCUUCGAUCUCGUCACCUAAGGGUGUUCAAACAAUUGAUUCAGUUAGUACCCGUGCAAAACUAUCAUUAACUGAAAUUUUGAAACCCUUAAUCAUUAAUCAAACCAUUUUCUUUUUUGAAACCUACUAACCAGCUUGAUUGAUUUGGGUUAAUUUGAGUGGUUAACCAAAAUUUAAACAUUGUUUGUUUUUGUUCAAACAAUUUUAAAACAAAGAACAAUCCAUGACAAUUUUUCCUUGUUUUUUAUUCAAAAAAAUUAAAAGAAUUAAAAAAAUAACAUAAUAACAACACUAAAUUAAAAACAUAAUAGCAUUCAUUACAUUACAAAGCAUAUAUAUAUAUUUACUUUUUCUUGACUUUUUAGUUUAAUUUUCGUUUUAUUUUCCUAAUAUUUUUAGUUUUCAUAUUUUUGUUAAGCUUAUUAUAAGAACACUUAUAAAUCCAUUAGUUCUUAUAUAUUGGGUUUGUAUAAUGUAUUCGACCUAUCUCUAAUAUAUUGGGCCUAUAAUAUAUUUUUAUUGAUUUCGGUUAAUCAAUUCAUUCGAUUAAUUAGUCGAUUUCAAACUAAAAUAAUUGGUAAACAAAAUCUUCAAAAACCUUUAACCAACUCCAACCAAAUUAGAUUCAUUGAUCAACUUCUUAAUCAAAUUAAUUAGGUUUGAUAAAUUAAUUCGUUAAAACUGAAAAAUGCACACCCCUAUCAUCACCGUUGUUUUUAGGGAUUUUAAUCAUGUUGCUCCACCUGAUGCAGAAGUUGAGGUGGAAUGAACUACUUGCUACCAAAAUUUUUGAAUUAUAGAGCAUGCUCUACCGCAGUGAAUCAAAUUCGGUGGAGUGGAAGACUUUUCUUUACUACUUUAUGCUCUAUGCUCCAAGUCUUCUAUUCUUCUUCUGAGACCUAAAAUGGGAAAAAAAAAGAAGAAACAAGUCUAAACUAACUUUGAAAAUUAGAAAUUCUCAACAAAAUUGAAAUAAAAUAUAAUUAAUCCAUAAAAACUAUAAAAAAUACAAUAAAAACGAACCUAAAUACUAAAAUUACCUCCUAAAAAGCUAUGGAAACUAUACUAAAAUAAUUCUAAAUAUGAUAGUUAUCAAAAAUGACAUGAGGAAGCCAAUCGAGUAGAUGCUUUCAACUAUUGCAAAUACCAUUAGUCGAUUAGCCAUCAUCUUGAGAACAUCAUAGAGUUGAAAGAAAAAAUCAUACAACUCCAUAAAGAAGAAAAAAUCAUUUUUGAAAAAGAAUUGGCAUUAUCAAACUUGACAUCAAUGCUUUGGUUUCUCAAUACAAUAUUAUGGACAAAUUCAUCAAAUUUGGCUCUUUCAAUCCUAUUACACUAGCUCUAAGUAGAAGUAAGAUGGUGAGUUUCGAAGGGAUUGAGGGCAAUCAUCUAUUUUUGGAAUAUCAGAAUGGUCAUGAUUGGACUCUAGCCACAUGUCAAAGAAGCCAAUGAAAAGCAUCUCUCCUAGGUAUAAGCUUAUAUUAUCACAUUGCUCCUAAGCAUGAGCAUAAAUCGUUCAUCCAGAAUGAUGAUGAUCCUAAGCAUAAGCUUAAACUAUUCAUCUAAUGCUCCUAAGAUGGAGCUUAAUCUAUUCAACCUAAACGAUCAUGCUUUAAGCACAAUCUUAAACUAUUCACAAAAAAUAAAUGAUGAUCCAAUGAAGCAUGAGCUUAAACUAUUCAUACAAAAUAAGCGAUGACCUUCUAAGCAUGAAUUUAAAUUGUUCAUACAUAAUAAAUGAUGAUAUUACUAAGAACAAGCUUAAACUGUAGUCUAAAAAAUAUUGAACUAUAUUAUAACUUGAUCUUUUAAAAAUGAAGGUACGUAGAUAGCUUGGUUUCAUUGCCAAGUUCAGUCUAAUUAAAUAUGUUUAUGGUGUGUUUAGAGAAUUAAAUGAUUAUAUGAUUAUUUUCCAGGUAUUCGAGGUUGUUUCAUUUGGUUUAAUGGGUAAAUAAAGCUUUAAGGGGUAUGUGAUUACAUGAAAUGAACUAUCAUAUUUGAGUAAUGAUAUGGAUGAUGAUGAAAUGUUUAAUUGAAAAGGAAAUAUGGUUUAGUAUAUAUGUAUGAGUGGUGAAUUAUGAAAGUGAAAUGUAGAUAUGUUUUAUACCAUGUUUUGAUUCGAAUUAUAUAUGAUAUUUAAACCAACUAACCUUGUGAGGUGGUGUGUAUAGGAAAGGAAAGUUGGCUUAAAACAUAAUGAAAUUAUGCUUGGUUUUUUAACUUAAAAUAUUCAAUAAGUUAAGUUUCCUUUAUAUGAACUUACUAAACAUUAGUUGCUUACAUAGUUAUUUUUCUUUAUUUUGUAGUUCAUCAGAAGCUCGACCGAUUGGAAUCAUGUUAGAGCAUGAUCACACUAUCCAUUCAACAUUUUAAUAGUUCUUCGUUAUUUUGGUAAAUAGUUGUAAAUGACAUGUAAUGGGGUUUAACGGUCAUUCCAGUAAUUUGACUUGUUUUGAGUUGUGUCAAGCUUAUUGUGAUUAAUGUUGUUAGUUGCUGGCAUGUAAAUAAUGGUGUAAAUAUGUGUGAUCGGACCCUUAUGCAUGCUUUAUUGAUUAAAGAUAUCAUAUGUUAAAAUGGCAUGUUUUUGGAAUGGUUAUUUGGCAUGAUUGGUAUUUAUGAUCUUGAGAUGUUGAAUUGAAUUAAGUUUGAUAUGUAUAUUGUGAUACCUUCAUUGACAUAUUGGUUAGAUAUUAAAGGAUGGUUGAUUUGGUAUGUUUUUGAAAUGGUUGUUGGUAUGUUUUCUCUAAGUUAAUUAAAUGAAUUUGUAAUGUUGAAUGGUAUAAUAUUUGUUGGUACAUUAGUUAGUCUUAUAGGUUGAUGGAAUUGGUAUGUUUUAAAUGUGUUUUGGUUAUUUCAAUGUUUGUGGAAAUGGUGUGUCUUGGUGUACAAGAUUUGAAAUUGAAACGGCUUGAUUUAGAAGCAACUUAUGCUACACACCGCCUGGGACAUGGAUUGUCACAUGGCUGUGUCAUUAUUAUUUUAGGUAUAGGUUUCACACAAUCUAAGACUCAGCUCACGACACAGCUGUGUAUCACAAGUCAGUAUGUAACACGGUUUUGUACAUGGCCUGCGACACGAUCGUGUGUCCAGACUUCGAAUGUCCACAUGGUCUAGGCUAUGUCACAUGGCUUGGCCACAUGGCCGUGUGACUUUUGUUUUCAAGUUUUCCAAAAUUUUCUAUUUUAUUUCAAAUUGAUCCUAGAAUAUUCUCAAACUAUUUUUAAGGCCCCGUAGGUUCGGAUUAAGGCCCGUAAGUGUAUGUUUGCUAUAAUUAAGUUGUGUUAUUGAAUGUUAUUAAUUCAAACACAUGAAUACUUUGUUGUAAGUUAAAUGUUUUAAUUUGUACUAUAAUGCUUCGUAACCCUAAUCUGGCGAUGGAAACAAGUUUGGCGUGUUACAAUUUUGUAUUGUAAAUUUGUUUUGGGGCUUUGUUCUUUGGUUCUUGUGAUGUUGGUUGGAUUUUGGUGUUUUAACAUUAAACUGCAAAAUUGUAGGAUUUAACAAACUAAAAUUAGGUUUUCAAAAUUAAAACUCUGGAAAUUUUUGUUGCAAAGUUUAAGUAAUCACUUAAGUGUUUUUCUAUAGAUAAUUAAAUGGUUUUUAACAAAUGUUUUCCUUACUUUUGGAAAUGAUCUGCCAACAUUAGUACUUCUAAAACACAUGAUUUCAAAUUCAAAUUCUCAGUUUUAAAUAAGGGUUUUCACACUUCGAUUUUUUUUAAACAUUUUUGAGAGGUUUUUGCCAAAUUUUAUGUUUUCAGAACGUGUAACCAAGUUGAUUUUUAAUUAGUUUUUCAAAGUAGUCGAUGUAAUUCCUCAAAAAUCCAGUCAUAGCGUCUAGGCCGGGUUUGGGAUAUUAUACUGACGUUACUAAAGUUAAUCUUCAUCUAUUUAGUCUUGAUCUAAACAUUAAUAUUCUCUUCAAAAAAAAUCAAGAUUAUCAAAUUGUUAAAACUUGGUAGGCAGACAAUCAUAUUAAAUAAGCAUAAAACUUAAUAAAUAAUUACCGAAGAUUGAAAUAAUCAAAGAAAAAAUAAAUUAAUUAACUAAGAAAUAGGAUCCAUUAUUGUUUCAAGAAAAUAGAGUUUAGUUCACAUUGAGUUGAGAAAACCAAAAGGGAGAUUCAAAACAAACUUGUGAUAAGGGGAAUAAUGUCAAUAGAUCAUAUUCAAGUUGUUCGGCUUGAGAAAGAAAGAUUCAGAUCUAACUUGAAAACAAGAAACCAAAAAGAUUUAGAAAAACAAGAAAAAACAAAGAAAAUAACUAAAAUGAUAAAUUUAAGAAUAAAUAAUCAAUAUUAAAAAUAAUAAAGAAAUAAAGAAAUUAUAGAAUAAAUAGUGGAAGAUGGAAUGAAUAAACGAUGGAUAUGACAUAUAGAUGGAUAAGUGUCUUAUAAUUCAUGAAAAGAGUUAUAUUUCAUGCCUUUAGACCUAACUAAUUGUUUGUACUUAAGUACAUUUUGUUGCAUUUUAAGACAUUUUAGUUAGCAUUUCUAAUAUUGCAUUAGGACUUAGAUUGUGUUGGAAUUAUGUGUUUUUAAUAUGGUGGAGUUCUUUUGUGUGUUGGUAUGGCAAGAACAUAUUUUAGAACGAGGAAAUAAAUGAGUGAAGUUUUUUCAAGGAAAAAGUGCAGACAGUUUGCCAGAACAGAUGCCGUGACAAUGCCAGGAAGACAAAGUUAACAUUUCUUUGCGCAACAGUCUCAGUUGAAAUUAAAACUUGUACCAGAUAAAUCUCCCUAAAAGAGGAGAAGAUAAUCACAAGUUGUUACUUGACACUAGCCUAAUCUAUCUAUAAAAGCCAAUAAAGGGGAUCUCGCAAAUGGCAGAAAAAAAUGGGAGGGAUCCUUAGGUGUGAAUAAGGUUUUAGCUGCGCAAAGGAAAGGAAGUCGAAGGAAGUGCUUUUUAGCCAUCACAGGAUGUUGUGCUACCGAAGUGUGGACUAGGCAAGUGAAAGUUGUUUCCCAAAGUUCUUUCGUUAUUUCCAUCAGCGUUCCUUCAAAAUAUUGAAGUAGUUGAACACAAUGUCGGAUAAUAUUUUGCUUUUGAAUUUUAUUUCUCAGCCCAUGAGCUAAAUCUCGUAGGGUUGGGAUUACUUUUGAUGAAACCUUAAACUAUUUUUGUGGAUGCAGUAUAUAUCUAAUUUACUUUACUGUUUCAUUUGGUUGUUCUUAUUUCUUAAUUAAAAUGCAAAUGAUUUCUAAACAUAGAAGACUGUUCGCAUACUUAUAAACUCAUUCUAAUUCUGAAAGGGUUGGAUUGGUUGGAUUAAAAUUAAAUGAAAUGAGCAAGUAUUCGAUGGACACUUGUAGUAGACUCUAUACAUAGAGUGACGAUCAUACAGAAGGAACCCAUGCAAGGUAUCUAAAAAGUCUUUAGACACAGGCAAGGUAACUUGAUGUUUUGCUCUCACGAGAGUCAGGCCAUUUUAGUACUCUUUUGUGCUUUAAAGUAGAUACGAUUUUGCCAAGGCAUUAUUGACAGUAAGGGUCGAUUUUGGGUAAUCAACUUUCCAAAUCCACAUCGUAUAUCCUUUAUACCUUACCAUAGUAUAUUUGCCACAUCAUUAUUAGUUAUUUAUUUGUUCAUUUACAUAAUAUUCCCAUAGUAAUUCUCAUAAUUAUCAUUAGAUUUCUACUCUCAGUUUGCCACAACAUUACCAAUUAUUUAUUACCUCCACGUAUUGCUUACACCAUUACUCUACUAAUUUCAACUAUAUAUUUAUCAUUGAGUUUGCCAUGGCAUUAAUCGUAUUUUAUUAUAAUAACUUGACCAAUUGUGUGCCUCAAUCUGAUCCCCAUGGGAACGAUACUCACUCAUCACUUUAUUACGUGAUUCAACUGUAUACUUGCACAAAUCGCAUAUCAUUUCACACACGACAGUGUUCAAUUGAAACCUUUAAGAUAUAAACUCGGACAAACUCAAUUAAUGGCUUUAAUCAACCCACCAAGAAAUAAUGAUUGGCAAAUUGAACGAUGAAGAAUGAAUUCCCAUGACUCCUUAAAAAAUUGAGAAGAAAAAUACUUCUAAAAAUCACAAGAAACAAAUCUUGCACAAAGAAACUAACUUUUAGAGUUGGAAAUUUUAGUAAUAAACAAAAACAAUUGCAUCUCUAAUGAACAUGAAGGGCCUUUACAUAGGCUAGAUAAGUACAUCCAGAUAAAAUAUUCAAGUAUCAAGUACAUCCAGAUAAAAUAUUCAAGUAUCUUGAAACUUUAAUUAGUAUAAGUAAGAAGUAAUUUUAAACUAAAAUAGUUAUAAUUUCCGUCAUAAUCCCAUCCAAAAAUUCUGCUCACAUAAUCAUCAUUAAAAUAGUCAUAAUUUGAGCUCUUGAACUCAAAAUUGAGUGAAUAAAAGUGUGUUUCGAAGUUAAGUGCUAGAUCUUAGAACUUUAUGAAGACAUAUCAAUCGAAAAAUGUCUGGAUCCCAUCCAAAAAGUCACCACAAGUUAACUAAUUUUUCAAACUUGAAAAUUGGCAGCUUUGGUGAAUGGAAUUUAAUAAAGUUCACCCCAUCUAUUCAUGUAUCAACUCGCAUUGGUAAAAAGUAAAAAGAAAUAAUCUAUAGAGAAAAUAGUUGAAGAAUUUAUGAAAAUUUAUUCAAAUCUCUUUUUUUUCUAGUCUUUGCAAGCUUGAAGUUUCCCUUGGUGUGUGAGAGUUGUUCCUUACCCUCUAAGUGAUUUUUUUUCUUCUUCUUUCUCUUCGAUCUCGUCACCUAAGGGUGUUCAAACAAUUGAUUCAGUUAAUACCCGUACAAAACUAUCAUUAACUGAAAUUUUGAAACCCUUAAUCAUUAAUCAAACCAAUUUUUUUGAAACCUACUAACUAGCUUCAUUGUUUUCGGUUAAUUUGAGCGGUUAACCAAAAUUUACACAUUGUUUGUUUUUUUUCAAACAAUUUUAAAACAAAGAACAAUCCACGACAAUUUUUCCUUGUUUUUUAUUCAAAAAAAUUAAAAGAAUUAAAAAAAACAUAAUAACAACACUAAAUUAAAAACAUAAUAGCAUUCAUUAUAUAUAUAUUUACUUUUUCUUGACUUUUUAGUUUAAUUUUAGUUUUUUUUUUCCAAAUAUUUUUAGUUUUCAUAUUUUUGUUAAGCUUAUUAUAAGAAAACUUAUAAAUCCAUUAGUUUUUAUAUAUUGGGUUUGUAUAAUGCAUUGGACCUAUCUCACAUAGUCAUCAUUAAAAUAGUCAUAAUUUGAUCUCUUGAACUCAAAAUCGAGUGAAUAAAAGUGAGUUUCUAAGUUAAGUGAUAGAUCUUAGAACUCUAUGAAGACAUAUCAAUUGAAAAAUGUCUGAACUCCAUCCAAAAAUUCACGCAAGUUAACUAAUUUUUCAAACUUGAAAAUUGGUAGCUUCGGUGAAUGGAAUUUAGUAAAGUUCACCCCAUAUAUUGAUGUAUCAACUUUCAUUGUAAAAAGUAAAAAGAAAUAAUCUAUAGUGGUUAGUGUUUUAAUGGGGGUUUUGUGUUUACUCUCGGUUAGGGGAAGGGCAAGAAGAGUUGGUACUCCUGCAGCAAUUUGAGCGUUAAGGGUGUCUGUUCGUCGGCGGUAAGGUUUCAAAUUCUUUGUUGGUUAUUGUAAGGCUCCGUUUGUGGAAUGGUUUUGGAUUGAGUUUCGUAAGUGUACUGAAUUUGGGCUUCUGGAUGCUAUUUCUUAGGUUCGAUGGUCUCGGGGGUGCUUGUGCAUCAAAACGAUAUCAGGUGUGUACCCGAAAUGCAGAAAAUCGAGCUUCGAUGAAAUCUAAAACACCUUACUAUCGACACCACAAGGGCAUGUGCCUGGCCGUGUGGUUGGCUGUGUGUAGGACACGGUCAUGUGUUUGACGAGGGUAGGGUCGUGAGGAAGACAUGGCCGUGUGACGAUGUGGGCCCGCAGGCUAGGCCAAGUUAGGCUUGUGGGUUUUGGGCCACAUGUGCAUGUGGGUUUUGGGCCAAGCCAUGUGAACCACAUGGACAGGGCUAAUCUGGGUGUGUUGACCACAUGGGCAUGUGGGCCCGAAAUUCUAAAAUUUUUCGUAGGGUCUCACAGGUCAUUUUGGUCGACUUUGUGCCUACCGUAGGGUCAGUAAGGGCUAACCAAACCCUAAAACUAUGUGAUCUGUUAGUUUGAUAUUUGUUCUAAAUAUGAUACUACUAUGCAUGUCUGAUUAGUCUGGUGUAUAUAUAUAUAUCUGAUAUAUAUGUAUGAGCAUGUGAGCAUGAUAACUCUGAUUAUAUAUAUCUGAUUGAGGUGGGAUUUCUAUAUGUGGAGGAAGUGUUCUAUAUGGCGGUCAUCGCCUAUGUUCUGGCAGCUUGGCUAUACAUUAUCUGACAUGUAUCGUAAUGGCACGAUAUGGUGUGUAGGGAUUGGUGGGUGUUUUUAACCCCACAUGAUGUGAUGGGAUGGUCAGAGUUGGUUUGUAGAGGAUGGAGUUAGGAUUCUGUAUUUCUAAUAUGCAUAUAUGUUCUAUUAUUUGAAUCUAUAAAGGACUUAGGUCUGAAUCUGAAUCUGAAAUUGUAUCUGAUCGUGUAUGAGUUUAUUGCACGUAUUGCAUGUAUUUUUCUGUUGGGUUACACACUGAGUUUACGAAAACUCACAUUUGUUUGUCGGUUUUGUUUAGGUAAUCCACAGACUUAGACGGGUCAGUGUUACGGAGGCUCAGUGGUGACCACUUGAUUGAGAACUAUUUUACUUAGUAAAUUAUGUUUUAUUUAUAAUUUCGAUUUCAUUUGAGAGUUUGUAAUUUUUGGGACUCUCCGGACUGCUGGUUUUUAUUUUGGUUUUGGAUGCGAUUUUAGACUCUUUUGUUGCGAUGCAUAAUGGAAAACACGGUUUUAUGAAAACAAAGGUUAUUCUGAAAAUACGAACUGGAUUUCUAAAAUAUAACGGUUCAAAAACUUCUGCUAAAAAUCAUGUUUUGGUAAAUAAAUGAAUUAAGUAACACUUUCAAAAAUGGUUAUAAAGAAAUAUGAACUAUGAAUCUUUAAUGAUUUGACAAAAAGACCUUAUUUUCAAAACCAUACAUUGUGACCACUCCAGAUUCAGCUAUAACGUCUAGACCGAUUUGGGGUGUUACAGUAAGGAUGAAAAUUUAAGGGGGAGUGAGCUAUGGCGCUUAGUAUGAGUUCAUUCACAAUAAAUUCAAUGCAAACGGUUGGUAGGACACAUUAAAUAAUAUCACAUAAAAUAAUCACAGUCAGAUAAUAGUUUAGAAUGUCGGUUUUACAAUUUAACCACCAAUAUUAUCACAGUAUUCACAGUUGUAAUUUCAGAAUAUCAAAUUUUCACACCAUUCACAAUAUUUAGAUAUAUAUAAAUAUAUCAUAACAGAAUUCCAGAUUUGUAUGCACAUGAUUUAGAAGAUGCCAUACAAUUUCGGGUUUUAACAGAAUAAAUCCUACCCCACGUUACAUACCAUAAUGGGAGUUCCCCUAAACUCCCUUCUCCAACACACUGGGUACCACUACUGGUUUACAAAUAAUAACUAUCAUUUGGCUGUGGACACACAGCAAUCCCCCACAAUUGGAUUCUAGAUUUGGUUGUGGGUUCACAGCAAAAAAAUCUACAAAUGAAGCAUGCUUUUGCCUGUAGAUUAUACAACAUAUACCCAUAGUUGGAAUCUGCCUUCGGCUGUGGACACACUGUAACACCUCAAACCUGACCUGGACGUUAUGGCCGAAUCUUGAGGAAUUACUUUAACUCGCUAGAAAACCCAAGAGUUUACUUUGAAAUCAUGUGGUUAAACUAGUGUUCACUUUGAUAAAUCGUUUUCCAGUUUUAGGGAAAAUUAUUAUUAAAACUACUACUUUAUUACAAUAAAAAAUUAAAGUGAUUGUAUCAUUUUGUAACGGAAUCUACUGAGCUAUAAGGUUUUGAAAAUCGUGGUUUAAUUUGCAACAAAUCAUUUUGCAAAUAGAAAUUUAAUACUACUUAAUUUGGAAAAGCAUGCUAAAACGAAAGCAAAGUCCAAACUAAUUUACGAUUUAAAUUCUUAAAAGUCCAAAUUAAACAUAAAGUCAAUUUAAACCAGUUUAUCGAAAGUGUAACACCCCAAACCCGGCCUAGACAUUAUGGCCAAAUCUGGAUGUGUUACAAAAAAAAAGUUUAUAAAACGACUUCCUUGUUAUUGGCAAAUCAUCGCAACCAUUAUUACAUAGUAUGUCUGAUUUGUUUGGAGAACUUUUUGAUAUACUUAUUUGAUUUAAGAUCGUUGCUUGCUUAUGCCUUUCUAUUAAACCGAAUGUUUUGCAGUGGAGUUUCUUUAAAAUGUCAUAUUUUGGCAAAUCAAAUUGUUUCUUGAAAAUCGUUAUUUCAGAAAAGUUGUCAUUUUCAGGAAAACUAUUUUAUCGGUUGUUACGCUUAGAAAACCAAAAUAAAAUCCAAAACCAAAAAUAGUCCCAAAAAGUCCAAAGAGUCCCGAAAUUACAAAACUCUCAAAACCAGAAAAGUUUGAACUAAUUUUAAAAGAAUGAAAAUUUAUAGAAAUAUGGUCAACAUUGAGCUUCCGUCACACCGACCCACAUAAAUGUAAGGGUUACUUGAACAGAACAAACAAAUAGAGAGUGAGUUUUGAAACUCAGUGCGUAACGCGAAUAUAAACAAAAAUUUAGAAUCAAUCUAAUGCAUAACAGAUACAAAUGUAAACCUUUUAUAGAAUAAGAAUUAUACAGAUACAAAUGUGCAAAAUCCUACCCUCGUCCUCUACACACCAAUUCUGACCAGCCCAUCACACCACGUGGGGUAUAAAACACCCACCUAGCCAUACACACGGUAUAGUGUUUAUACGACACUUUUCAGAAUAAUCGCAGUAGAGUUGCCAGUAUAUAGGUGAGAUAUUUCCUCACACAGAACACUUCCUCCUCAUAAUACAAAUCCCGCUCCAUAGCCAGAUACAGACAGAAUAUUAGGUAAAACAAAUUAACAGAUACCAGAGUUAACAUAUCAUGCAUGAGCGUAUAACAAAUAUUACACAUGCUUGUACAUAACAGAACAAACCAUACAUACCGUAUUCCAUAAUACUCAUAUAAAUGUUAUUUUUUAAAUUGUAACAAAUAUUAUUAUUAAGAUGUUUUUCUUUUUAUAUUUUUAUAAAAAUAUAUUAAAAAACAAUUAGAAUAAUUUUAAGAGAAAAAACACUCAUAAAUAGUAGAAUUUAAUCUAAAAAUAUCAAAGUUUUAAAGCCUCAACUUUAACAUUUCAACCAAAAUUCCAUUAGUAUAUAAAUAUUUCAUAAAUAUAGAUUUUAUAUAAAAAAUUUAUGUUAACUUUUUUUUAACCCGCAUCACAAGUAUACCAUAUUUAGAGAUAUUCAUAGCUAGGCAGCCCACUUUGGGUCAAGCUUGAGCUUAGGUUUUAUCUCAAGUUGGCCCAAUUUAACCUAUUUUACUAUUUAAAAAUAUAAAUAUAUGUUAUAUUGAUAUUUAUAUAUUUCUAUAAUUAAAUUUUAAAUAAAUUUAUUGUUAACUUCUAAACAUAAAACAAAGAGAACUUUCACCCAAGUUAUAAGUUUGUGGUUAGACAGCCGACUUUCGGGGCAGGAUUCAGCUUACGUUUUUAAUCUUGGGAUUUAACAAUAAUAAAAAAUUUAAAAAUAAUAUUCUAUUAAUAUUUAUAAAUUUUAUAAAUUUAAAUUUAAUUAUAUUUUUUAAACAGUAAAAUGAACCAUUUAUAUGGGCUAAUUAGAGUUAAGUUUGGUUUGAAUCAAGGCUUAACUUUGACCAAAUCCAACUAAAAACACCUCUAACAAUUAUCUAGUAUUGUUUUUAUGAAUUGAAUUUUAACUUCUAAUUUUCAAUUUUAUUACAAAAUUUCUUUGCGGACGAUAAGAAAAUAACAUAUUUGUAACUUCUUCACUCCGACGUAAAGGUUAAGUCUGAAUUUGGAUUACAUCGGCCAUAAAUAUGGCCUAGCAGGAUUAUCGGAGUUUUUAAAAAUAGACAUCUUUAAAACGUUUGUUUAAUUUAUAAAAAAGCUUAUUUAAUUUCCAAAUUAUUUAUUACUUGAAAUCUUAAUUACAUUUUAAAAGCAGGAAGUGGUAACUAUUUAUUUUUAAUAAAAAUCGGGGUUCAUGUAUAAUUCAUUAAUAACCGUAAUUCGAAAACAUUAAAACUUAAAUUAAAUGUCAUGCAAAACAAAACAAACUUAAAUCUAAAUCUCAUGCCACAGUGCAAAACAAUUUAUUGUAGUCUUAGAAAAUAAAAAAAAAUCAUAUAAUGAACCUAAAAUAAUUUUUUUUACUUUAAUAAUGUGUCAAGACCUUACAAAUGUCACGCCCACGUUCAAUCCUGGUGGGUUAUCUAUAAGGAUGAAAAUUUAAGGGGGGUGAGCUUUGACGCUUAGUGUGAGUUCAUUCACAAUAAAUUCAAUGCAAACGGUUGGUAAGACACAUUAAAUAAUAUUGCAUAAAAUAAUCACAGUCACAUAACAGUUCAGAAUGUCGAUAUUACAGUUUAACUACCAAUAUUAUCACAAUAUUCAUAGUUGUAAUUUCAGAAUAUCAAAUUUCCACAUCAUUCACAAUAUUAACAUAUAUAUAAAUAUAUCAUAAUAGAAUUCUAGAUUUGUAUGCACAUGAUUUAGAAGAUGCCAUACAAUUUUGGGUUUUAACAGAAUAAACCCUACCCCACGUUACAUAUCAUAAUGGGAGUUCGCCUAAAAUCCCUUCUCCAACACACUAGGUUGUGGAUAAACCAAUACUCAUCCGCAGAUAAUAACUAUCAUUUGGCUGUGGACACACAGCAAAUCCCCACAGUUGGAUUCUAGGUUUGGCUAUGGGUUCACAGCAAAAAGUCCUGCAAAUGAAGCCUAUUUUUGCAUGUAGAUUAUACAACCUAUACCUGCAGUUGGAAUCUGCCUUUGGCUAUGGAUGCACUAUAACGCCCCAAACCUGACCUGGACGUUAUGGCUGAAUCUUGAUGUAACGCCCUAAAAUUUCUAAUUCUAUUAUUGUAAAAAUAUGACACAAAAUAUUUGUCUGCUUUAGUGGUUAUGUGUUCUGGGAGUGUUUGGGAGGUCCCAAGUUCACGUCUUUGCUUGGGCAAAUUUUGGUAUUUUGAAUGAAUUAGGCUUUACUCUUGUUCAGUAGGAUUUUAUUUGAUUGUUGGGAAAAUUAUAUCAGAAUGGGCUUGCUGGUCUAGUGGUUAAAUUGUGUGUUAUUAUGGUGAAGGUCUUGUGUUCAAAUCCUUAUGUAGGCAAAGGUAUUAUUAUUAUUAUUUUUGCUCAGAUUUCGGGAUAUAGUUGUGUAAUAGGGGGAUUCUGAGUAGUGGAUGUGUAGUGGGAAUUAGGGGAGAAGAUUAAGGGGUUUCGGGAUUUUAUUUUAUUUUUUCCCAGAACGGAAUUUUGACUCUCUUUUCCAAAAAAAUUCUGUCGUCUAUUCUUCUCCCUCUCCUCUUGUCGAUAUUCUCUAAGUUUUUUCAUCUUUCUCUUCUUUUUCUUCUUCUUGAUUUUUCCCUAAUCCAUUUAUUUUUCCUUCAUUUUCGCACGCGAUUAGUGCUCGCUUAGUUUCGGUAAGCGUUUCUCUUUGUUUUUAUCAUGAAUCUCCUAGGGACUAAAGUGGUAAUUUUUUUCUCUGCGAUUUGGGCAUAAGGGAAGGCUCGGACUGGUGAAUUCAGUAUUCUCAUCUUAUCAAUAGUUAAAUGGGGGGUUAUCGUUGGUGGUAUGUUGGGUUUCUGUUCGUUCUUGGUUGUCAAUUCGCUUGUAAAUCCAUUAAAUUGAUGUUUAGUAUCUUGAUUAUAGGCUUUGGAGUGCUUGGGGACUGUUUUAGCAUCAAACAAAACCAGGUGUGUACCCGAAACGCAAAAAAAAAGGGAUUCGGUGAAAAGUUAAAAUUGCUUGCUAUUUGGACAGCAGCAGUAGACUAAUUUUGAAAAAUCACCAUAAAUUGUGGAAAUCGAAUUAGAGGAUGAAAAAAAUAUGAAAUUAAAUCUUAUUGAGUCUAGUUUCUCAUAGAAGAAACGGUGUAAGUAAUGGAAUUGUAAAUCGUGAGAUAUAAUAAACUUUGUGAGACAAGGUUAGAAUAAAUUCGGGUUCCCCUGUUCUGAUUUUGGAAAAUCAUCAAAAAUUGGAGAAAAGUAAUUAGGAAUUAAAAUUUACAUGUUUAAAUUAUUAAUGAGUCUUUUUUUUCAAUAGAAACAAAUGGGAACUUCAUCCAAAUUUUGUACUAAAAGAUAAUUAAUUUUUAGCAAAGAAGGGUCAAAGCUGUCAGACAGCAGAACAAGGGUAAGUUUGAAGAUUUUACUGUACUUAUUAGCUGAACCAAAAAUUCUAAAAAUUUUAUGGUAGAAAGGUAUUUGAGUCUAUUUUUAAAGACAUCAAGCGAAUUUUAAUUAGAAAUUCUGUAGCACAAGAUAUAAAUAAUUUAGUAACAGUGACUCAAGUAGAAAGCUUUGAAGGAACACAUAAGUAAAUUGUGAUAACAUAUAUGAAUAUUUAGCUAACACAGGUUACACUGAAAAUGGAUCACGUGGCCAAGGCCAAUUUGGGCCGAGUGGGCCACGUGGGCGUGUGAGCCCAUUUUUUUGAAAAAUUCUGUAAGGUUGCACGGGUCACCCAAGUCGACUAUGGACCUACUGUAGGGUCAGUAACCUUUACUUAGACGCCUAUAUGUGUGAUCUGUCUAGCUGAUUUCUAUAACGAGCAUGACUUAUAAUAUCUAAAUGUAUGUACUAUUAAUUGCAUAAUGGCAUGGCAUAUUUUGUAUGUUGCAUUGCAUCGGGGUGGGUUGAUGAUAUUUGGAGGAAGUGUCUAAAGGGAUAUUAAGCCAGUUAUCUGGCAGCUCAGCUGCAACCUUCUGAUUAUGUGUCGAUUUCAGUAUAGCAUGGUGUGUAAGGAUGGGUGGGUUAAUUUAAUCCCUACAUGGUGUGUAGGGUUGGACGGAGAUGGUGUAUAGAGGCUGGUGGGUAGGAUUCUAAUUUACUAUAUCUACAUUCUGAAUCUGAUAUGGGCCAAGGCCCUAAUGUAUUUCUGAGACUGUAUCUGAACGGGCUAAGGCCCAAACUGAUUGUGUGAUGGGCCUAGGACGCAGACUGUAUCUAACUGAAUUCUGUUGAUUAUUUGUAUGCAUGUUUUCUAUGGGGAUUACACACUGAGUUUGAGAAAACUCACCCUUUCUCUGUUUAAUCUAUACAGGUAAUCCCCAAACUUGAUGGGUAGGUGCAGCGGAGGAUUCGACGGUGGCCACACGUAAAUUUCAGACUGUUUUCUGUUAAUGCCUAGAAUUUAUUAAUUAUUUGGGGUUUUUGAUGUAUCUUCUGGACUAUGGACUAGUAGGCUUUAAAUUUUAGACUUUAUACUAUUUUUUAUGUUUUUUUUAAAACUGCAACUCCACAAAACACGGUUUUUUUCUAAAAAAUAAGGAUUUUCGUAAAUAGAAAUGAUUUUCCCUAAAUUAAUUGGUUACAAAAGUUUUCUCUAAGAGACAAGUUUUAAAGCAAAUCAACUAGUUUUUUUUCAUAAUUAAAUAAAAGUUAACUUACUAUAACGAUUUUUCUUAAACUCGACAAUCUUGUCUUCAAAUCCCUUUUCAUGUGACAUCACCAGAUUCGGCCAUAACGUCUAGGCCGGGUUUGGGGUGUUACACCUGAUGAGUUACUUUAAAUCGCUUGAAAACCUAGAAAUUUACUUUGAAAUCAUAUGGUUAAACUAGUGUUCACUUUGAUAAAUCGUGAAAGUAUGUGAUUAUUGAGGACAUGCUGAGCAUGUCAAAUGAAUGUGAAAAGUAUUGUGAUAUGACUAUGUAUGAGAUUGUGUAACAUAUUGCAUAUGCAUUGGGUUGGGAUUUUUUGGUUGACGGAGUAGUUCUGUGGAGUACCGUCGGCAUAUUAAGCCCGCAUUAUUCGUAGUUAGUGCACUGCACCUGGAGUACUGAGGGGAUUGGUAAUUUUAUCGCAUAUUAUAUGUUAUUGGUGAUUGUAUAGCACUAUUUGAUAUCCGACAGAUUUUUUGCAUUAUUGAUUAUUCGGUGGUUUUACCACAUUGAGCUAUGCUCAGAAUGUUUUAGAGUUUGGUAGACGGGUUCUAGGGAACACGUGGUGUGUAGCGGAUGGUAUGGGUAGGAACCUUUUUGCAUUGCAUCAUGUGCACGACAUAUUCGAAUGUUAUUGGUUUAUGCUACGUAUUGUAUUUUUUUGUAUUGAAUGGUAUCAAAAUUAAUGAUUGUCACUCGAAUGAAUUAUGAACUAUGCUCAUACACUGUUUGACAUCAAUUUAAUAAUGGCUAUGUAACGAUAUGAAAUUCCUAUAAUGGUUUUAUUUUCUUCUAUUAAAGCUAAUAUGUUUCACUGUAUUUGAUAUUUAUGUUUGUUUAAAUAAUUGUUCGACUCACACUGAGCUUUUCAUAAGCUCACCCCUAAUAGUGUUAAACUUUUCACGUAAACCUCGAAAUUAAGACCAGACUUGGCAUUCGAAGAAUCACCUUGGACCUUGAAUUAUUUUUCUAAUAAGUAUUAAUCAAUCUCUAAUGGUUUUGGUUUGUAAUUUUUAAUUAUAUCUAGUCUGUGGCUUGAUAACUUUUCUUUUGGGAUUUUUGCAUGCAUGGAUUACUCAAGCAUAAUAACCGGAUAAUGCAUGAUAUCAGGCUUAAGUAAAAUUUGAUAUUGUUCCCUAGAUUCUGCUACAUUGCAAAGGAUUUGUUUUUGAAAAACAAAUUGAUAAGGUAACUAAGUUUUUAAAAUGACUUGAAAAAUGGUUUUUCCCCUAGAUUAGUUUAACAUCAAAUUUUUUUUAAAGGAGAGCAACAAGCAAAUGGUUUUUCUAAAACAACACUAUCAACAAUAAAAUGAAUUCUAAGUAUACACAACCUAAUGAAUGAAUGCUUUUAAGCUAACUUAAAGUACAAUUAUGGUUUUCUCUAAAAUGAGUUUAUUUAAGGUUUUCAUAAGUAAUGUAAGUUAGCUUAGCCAUUUCGGUGGCUAAUGUAGCCUUCUCAUUCUAGCCAUAACGUCUAGGCCAGGUUUGGGAGGUUACAGUAUUGAUAGGAACUGUGGUAUAAAUUUUAUUUUGGACAUUCUUAAAGUGUUAUUUGGACUAAACUUUAGAAACUAUGGAUUUUAUACUGAGCCUAAAUUUACGAAGUUCAUGCGUGGUUUUUACGAAAAUGAAACUAAUAUGAAUUUUUAAAACCAUGAUUUUUUUUAAAGCUCCAAUUUGAAAUUGUACAAGAAAUGUCAAUUUGAAUUAUUUUUGAAUGUUUUUUUAUGCCAAUAAAAUAUUGUUUCAAAACAUAGCUAAGUAUUAUUUAAUUUCGUAAAGACGAAGCAAACUCCAAACAAUCUAAAACUUUAAGGACUAGUUUGUAAUUUUUGUUUUUCCUCAAUUGUCUCUGGUUUGAUUCAAUUCUUGAUCUAUACAAUUAUUCCAUUCAAUUCAUCAAUAUUAAACAUUUAUACAUUAUGUCAUGUCAUGAAUGAACCUAGAUAAAUUCAUUUUUUGAUACCCUUAAAGUUUUACAUUUAUUUCAAUUUAGUCUCUAAAAUCGAAAUAGUCAUAACUUUAAAUUCUGAACUUCAGUUUGAAAAUCGACCUCAAUUUCAUUUUAGACUGUCUGUUAAAAAUUAGUGCAUCUUACUGGAUUUUUUAAUUUACUUGUUUUCUUUAUCAAAUAAGUUGGUUCCUAUUAUAUAGGGAUAUGAUCAGAUUAUGUUUUGUUAGUUGAGGUUUUAGUGGGCUAUUAGUUGCAGGUUUUUUAACUUUAACGUUACAUGUAGUUAAGCUAUUUAUAUGUCAUUUUAUCUAAUGUAAUUUUGUGUGUUUUUUUUAGUAAUCAAAAACGUUCUUUAAUACUUUAAGCUUUUCUUGUUAUUAUUUCUUUCAUUACCUCGGUCAUUCUUUUUUGUUUUAUGGUGUCAGUGCCAGGUUAUUCAUUGGUUAAUUGUGUGAAAGGGUGUUUUGCUAGUUGCUGCAAUGGAGGUUUCAAAUGGAGGAAAUAAUCAGAUUGGUAUGGAGAAGCUUGUAGGCACUAACUACAAGUAUUGGAGGAUGUGUAUGGAGGCAUUUCUUCAAGGCUAGGACUUGUGGGGAUUGGUUGUUGACCUGAUGCAACAAUCCCUCCCAAUAUUCUCGAGAAUGCCAAGUCACGAAGGAGGUGGAAGGUCAAAUGCGGUAAAGCUUCAUUGAUCAUGUUCAUGAUGUUAACUCUCCAAAAGAAGUUUGGGAAACGCUUGAAAGGUUGUUUACCAAGAAGAAUACUGCAAGGUUGCAAUUGUUGGAGAACGAAUUGGCCGGGUUAAAACAAUGAGGUAUGUCAGUUUUAGAAUAUUUUUUACGAGUUAAAAAUAUUUGUGCUGAAAUUUCAGAGAUAGAUACGGAUGAGAAAGUUAGUGAAGCUCGUUUGCGUCGUUAUCUUAUCCGCAGUUUGAAGAAGGAGUAUGGGCCUUUUGUCACUUCUAUUCAAGGGUGGUCGACACAGCCUUCGGUGGAGGAGUUAGAGAAUUUUCUCUCUAAUUAAGAAGCUUUGGCAAAGAAGAUGGUGAAAAGUUUCGAAUCUGAUGCCAGUCUCUUCUCAAAAGGGAAGCCAAACAAGAAGAAUGAGUCUGGAAAUAAAGGCAGAUCUGAAGACUCUAGUUCGAAAAAAGAUGGCAACUCACAAAGCAAAAAGUCUUUCAAAUGCUUCAGAUGCAGAAAGACUGGACAUAUCAAGAGAAAUUGCCGUGUGUAGAUUUCCAAGGCCAAUAUCGUGUCCACGGAAGAAACCGAUGAUCGACUCAAAUGGGAGCAUUGCUUUACUGUUGAAGCUAUUGAACAAAAGUCAUCAAAAGCUUUUGUCAAUUAUGCUGAUAACAAGAAGGAGGAGUGGAUCAUUGAUUCUGGUUGUUCUCACCAUGUAACCGGAAAUGAUACUUUGUUCUUAGAGAUGCAUGAACACCAUGGAGAUCGAGUUAUUGUGACUGCAGAUAACUCCACUCAUCCGGUAGCAAAAGAGGGCAUUGUGGUGAUCGAUGUUGUCGACGAUACGAGAACCGAAAGUGUCAAAUUGACUGAUGUGUAUCAUGUUCUAGAUGAAGCUUAUGUGAAGAAAACAAGCCAAACCGAUAACGCUGCUAUUUGGCAUGCUCGAUUGGGUCAUGUGGGGUACCAAAUGCUGCAACAAAUUUAUUCGAAAAGGUUGUUAGAUGGGAUGCCGAUCUUGAAGAGUGUACGUGAAGAUGUGAUUUGUCAAAGCUGUCAAUAUGGUAAAUCUCAUCGUCUUCCUUUCAAAAGCUCAUCAAAUCGGAGAUCUUCUUUGCUCGAAUUGGUUCAUACAGACUUGACGGGACCAACGAGAACACUGAGUUGUAGCAGCCACUGUUAUGUUAUGGUUUUGGUGGAUGAUUACUCAAGGUUCUCUUGGGUGAAAUUUUUGAAAGAGAAGAGUGAAGCAUUAUCCAAGUUUGUGGAGUUCAAAGCUGCUGUUAAAAAAGAGUUUGGAAAGAAGAUUAAGUGUCUUCGAAGUGACAAUGGCGGAGAAUACAUGUCCAAUAAUUUUUUUCAGUAUUGUGUUGACAACGGCAUCUGUCGUCAAAUGACUUGUCCAGAUACUCCAUAGCAGAACAGAGUUGCAGAAAGAAAGCUUGGUUAUCUUGCUUCGAUUUGCCUUUCAUGGCUGCAUGACAAGAAUCUUCCUCGAGAGCUUUGGGCGGAAGCUGUUCUUUGUGCAUGUCAUGUGACAAAUAGGCUGCCUCCUUGGCCAGGUACACAGAAAUCUCCUUUUGAGAUUUUAUAUGGUGAAAAGCCAAAUGUGAAUUAUUUUCGAGUCUUCGAUUCUAUUUGUUAUGUACAUGUUCCGAAAUCGAAAAGAACUAAACUUGAUCCGAAAGCAAAAAAGUGUGUAUUUGUUGGCUAUGAUUCUUAUAGGAAGGGAUGGAGGUGUAUGGAUCCGGAUACAAAGAAGUUUACUACUUCGAGAGAUGUCGUGUUCGAUGAAGUAUCAUCUUUCUACUCCACUCAAAGAUUUGCUGCAGAAAAUAUUAUUCUUGAAGAUGAUGAUGAAAACUUGGAUGAGCUAUUUCCAAGAGUUAAUUUGCAACCAUUCAUUGAUGAUGAGUUGGAAAAUGAAUCUCCAACACCAACUCCAAGUCAAAAUGUUCAAUGACAUGAAGGUGGUUAGCAACAGAGUGAGGAGGUCUACUAGAGAAACGAGACAACCUGAGUAUCUCAGAGACUAUGAGGUGCAGCUUAAUCAUUGUAGUAUCACUUCUUGUUUCUUUGUUUGAGCGUUUGAUGAAGAACCAGUAAGUUAUGAGAAGCCAAAAGCCAUUCAAAAUGGGAGGCAGCCAUGAAAGAAGAAAUUGAAGCUUUAGACAAAAAUGAGACGUGGGAGUUGGUUCUUAAACCAGAAAAUUGUAAGCCGAUCACUUGUAAAUGGGUUUUUUGCGUGAAGAAAAAAUUAGAUGGCACCAUUGAUAGAUUUAAAGCUCGUCUGGUGGCUCGUGGUUUUUCUCAAAAUUAUGGAUUGGACUACGAGGAGACGUUUAGCCUAGUAGCAAAGAUGGUGACGGUGAGAUCGAUUAUUUUGCUUGCUGCGUUUAAAGGUUGGAGACUAUGGCAACUUGAUGUAAAGAAUGCUUUCUUUACGGAGAUUUAGAUCGUGAAGUAUUUAUGGAGCAACCUAUUGGCUUUGUCUCUAAGGAAUUUCAAAAUCGUGUUUGCCGUUUGAAGAAAGCGUUAUAUGGCCUUAAGCAAGCGCCACGAGCAUGGUAUGGUAAAGCUGCUCAAUAUCUCAUUUUUUGUGGCUUUAGAGUUUCUGAAUCAGAUUCUAGUUUAUUUAUAAAAUUGGAAUCAGGUGCACAUCUCUUGGUAUUAUUAUAUGUUGAUGAUAUGAUAAUAACUGGAGAUAAUGAAUCAGAAAUUUGUAAUUUGAGGAAUGACUUGUCUGUUCGUCUUGAGAUGAAAAUUUUGGGGGAGAUUGGAUGUUUUCUUGGUCUAGAAGUGGAAAAAUCAGAUCAAAGUUGUUAUAGCCCGAUUUUGGGUCUAGUCAGAACAGUGGUUUUGGGACCACAAAUUCAACAAAAAGAAAAUGGGUAAAAAAUAUUAUUAAUUUAGUAAGUAUAAGUUAAAUGUGAAGUUAGGAAAAUUUUUUAAAUACUGAAUAGUGCACUAGAAAUAAAUAUUAAAAUAAUUAGAAUCGAAAUGAGGUAUCAAGACCUCGGGGAUUUUAAACCGAGCCAUAAAUAUUUUUAUAAAUAUUUAUGGAGUGUUAAAAAGUUAGUAUUAAAGUUUCGUUAGGAAAUUUUAAAGUUCCGAUAAUUAAUUGAACAAAAAGGACUAAAUUGUAACAAAUGCAAAAUUUUGGGAAAUGAUUAAGUAGCUUAAAUGAUAAAAGGAAGAGGGCUUAAAAGGCAAAUAGACCCAAGGUUUAUUUGGGCUGGACGGCAAAGGCAUGAAAUCAGCAAGAAAGUAAGGAGAAUUAAGGGCAAAAUUGGAAUAUUGCAAAAUUUGCUUAAUAAAGUUAGGACCCAAGUGGAAUUAUCUAGAUUUCUCUUCAUUUUUCUGAAUUCUCAUCAGCAAAAACACCAUGGAAGGGCUUCUUCAAGCUGGUUCUUCAUAUUUUUACUACAAGUAAGUUCAAUUCUUGACUAUUUCUUGAAAUUUUUGUAUUUUUAUGACUUUUACAAUUAGGCUCACUUGUUAAAUUCAUUAGUUUUUGAUUUUAUGAAAGAAGUUGAAAGUUGAUAUGAAUAUGUGCUGGAAUUAUAUGAUGAUUUAGCAUGGAAUUAGAGCUUUAAAUUGUUCAUAUGCUGAUUUUAUUGAAAGAAUUGAAUAGAAAGUGAAUGUUUGGGACCUAAUAGUAAAAGAGUUUGAAGAUAGAAUUAUAUGUGGAAAUUCUGAAUUUCAAUAGUUGUGUAACAACUUAUAAUGUCUAGGUAAAGUAUUAAUUCAGAAAAUUGGAUUAAUUGAGGGGUUAAUUGAGAAAGGACCGAAUUGUAUAAACUGUAAAAUUUGGGGCAAAAUGGAAAUCAACAUUUUGCACUAAAGCAGUUUUGGACAGCAGCAGUAGUGUAACUUUGAAAAAUCACAAAAAAUUGUAGAGAUUGAAUUAGAGGAUGAAUAAAAUAUGAAAUUAAAUCUUAUUGAGUCUAGUUUCUUAUAAAAGAAACGGUGUGAGCAAUGAAAUUGUAAAUCAUGAGAUAUAAUAGAUUUUGUGAGACAAGGUCAGAAUGAAUUCGGGUUCCCCUGUUCUGACUUUGGAAAAUCAUUAAAAAUUUUACAAAAAUUAUUAUGAGUUAUAAUUUAUAUGGUUAGAAUCCUUAAUGAGUCUAUUUUUAUAAGAAACAAACAAAAACAGCAUCCGAAUUCUGUACAAUGAGAUAAUUAAUUUUUAGUGAAGAGUGGUCGGAACUGUCAGACAGCAAAACAGGGAAAAAUUUAAAGAAUAAACUGUACUAUUUGGCUAAACAAAAAAUUCUGAAAAUUUUAUGGAAAUAAUAUAUGUGAGUCUAGUUCCAGGUAAAAUUAACGGAUCUUAAUUUGGAGCUUUUUAGCUCCGGAUAAAAAUAAUUUAGUGACUCUAACUCAGACAGACAGCCUAAAUUUUUCAUACAAGAAAAUAGUGAAAGUAUGAAUAAUGUUGUUUAAAUGUGUUAUACACAUUAAGGAUGAGGAAUGGAGAGGAGGUGGAGGAAAAUUGGGAAAUAUAUGAAUGGUUUAUCAUGUUGUUAGUUCCAAAAAGAGUUAUGUUUCAAUACACUAGCUUGCAACUAUGGUUGAAUGAUAUGUUUAUAUCUUGUGUGAUGUGCAUAGGAAACAAGUGUGGAAAGAUAAUGAAAUAGUAAGUUCAUAUGGCUGAAAUUUAAUGGUUAAAUGUUAAUUCCAUGAAUUAUAUGAUGUAUGAUGAGAUAUUUUUAUUGUUGAAAUAAGAAUAAAAUAAAAGUGCGAAAGCUGAAUAAAUGAUCAAAUUGAGCGGAACGCCGGAUUUGAGUACUUCUGAUCAAGUGACAAAGUGAUAAGUGAUAGCUUUAGCUACACUUAUUUGAUCAAGAACAAGUGAUAAGCGGUGACAAAGUGAUAAGUGGUAGCAUUAGCUACACUUAUCUGAUCAAGUGAGAAAGUGAUAAGUGGUAGCAUUAGCUACACUUAUCUAAUCAAGUGAGAAAGUGAUAAGUGGUAGCCUUAGCUACACUUAUCUGAUCAAGUGACAAAGUGAUAAGUGGUAGCCUAGCUACACUUAUCUGAUCAGGGACAGGUGAUAAGUGAUCAUACGUAAGACCAUAGUUAUACUAUGGCAAAGUGAAAGUGAAGUACUCAAUUUUCCGUGACCGUUCCCUAAUUUGAUUAAGGAUGGUAAGUGACAAAUGAGCCCAAAAGAAUUAAAGUAAAUGGAUAAGUGGUAGUAUAUUUAUAUCAGGACGAUGUUGUUAUUCAAGCUAAAGUGAUAUUUUCAUUGCAAAAUUGAGAAUUUCAUAAAUGUGUUAUUGAAUGGUAUAAUCAAUAAACAUUGAGUUAAAUGGUAAAUACGUAAUAGUGUUGAACUUGAUGUCAUUGAAUUGUAUGUGAAUUAAAUGGAAAUUGCUAGUGAUAUGAUGUAAAUUGUGAGCAUGAGAAAUUGCGACUUGAAUGAAAUGGAAAUGAAGCAUUGAAUUGCAUGAGUAUGUAUCGGGUCUCAUAGGCCCUAAUUAUUAUGAUUAUAAUAUUUCGAGGAUAUAUUGUGAAAAGUUAUAGAAGCAUGUUAAUUAUUUUGAAAGUUUAAAUUUAUAUGAAAUUUUAUAACUCGGUUAAAUAUGCUUACAAGUGCAUAUGUUUUGGUGAUACCUCGUACCCUAUUUCGGCGUUGGAUACGGGUAAGGGGUGUUACAAGGUUACUUUGUUUCUCAAAAAGGCUAUGCAAGGAAUCUCUUGGAGCUUUUCGGUAUGGGGGAGUCGAAAGAAAAAGCUACUCCGAUGGAGCCGAAUUUGAAGUUGAAGAAAGAUGAUGGGAGGCCGUUGGAAGAUGCAAGGAAGUUUCGACAACUUGUUGGAAGCUUAAUCUAUUUGACCAUUACAAGGCCUGAAAUUUCAUACUCUGUUAGUGUUGUUUCUCAAUUUAUGCAAAAUCCAACAAUUAUUCAUAUGGAUGGAGCAAAGAGGAUUUUGCGUUAUGUUAAAGGAACUAUUGGUUAUGGUCUUCUAUACAAGAGAUGUGAUAGCUUUAUGUUGAGUGGAUUUACUGAUGCUGAUUGGGCUGGAGAUACAAACGAUCGUCACUCGACUUCGGGAUAUUGUUUCAGUAUCAAUUCAGCAAUGGUUUCUUGGUGUAGCAAAAAGCAAGGUGUUGUUGCUUUGUUGAGUAUCGAAGCCGAGUAUCUGGCAGCAACUAUGGCUGCACAAGAGUGCAUUUGGUUGAAGAGGUUGAUUGGAGACAUAUGCAAAGUUAAUUAUGCUGUAAAAAUCAAGUGUGAUAAUGAAAGUGCUAUUAAGCUUGCAUCGAACCCGGUUUUUCAUGCUCGAACGAAGCACAUCGAGGUUCGACAUCAUUUUGUUCGAGGAAAGGUUCUAAGUGAAGAGAUUGAGCUUGUAAACAUUCGCACCAACGAUCAAGUGGCUGAUAUUUUCACUAAGGCUUUGGUGAAGCCUAAGUUUCAUCAAUUUAGAGAUGCUCUUGGAGUUCUUGAUCGUAAGCAUGCACUAAGGGGGAGUGUUAAAAAUUAGUGCAUCUUACUAGAUUUUUUAAUUUACUUGUUUUCUUUAUCAAAUAAGUUGGUUCCUAUUUUAUAGGGAUAUGAUCAGAUUAUGUUUUGUUAGUUGAGAUUUUAGUGGGCUAUUAGUUGCAGGUUUUUUAGCUUUAACGUUACAUGUAGUUAAGCUAUUUAUAUGUCAUUUUAUCUAAUGUAAUUCUGUGUGUUUUUUUUUUAGUAAUCAAAAACAUUCUUCAAUACUUUGAGCUUUUCUUGUUAUUAUUUCUUUCAUUACCUCGGUCAUUCUUUUUUGUUUUACUCUCUACUAUCCAUUAUUAUCAAAAUUUCACAUCAAUUUCACAAUUUAUUUACUUUAGUUAUUAUGUACAAAAUUAACAACCAAACAUCACAAUUUAGUCAUUUUUCAUAAUUUAAGCUUAAAAUCUAUAAAUUUAACACCAAUUUCUUCAAGAAAUCAACCAUGAAAUCUAUAAAAAAAAUUUAACAGUUUUGCAAAUUGAUACAUAGGUUAUUUAAAUCAAACUCUCAUGACCUCAGAAACACAAAAAAAAUUAUACGAAAAUGAUUUAGAAAUGCAUACCAAUUGAGGACCGAAAGCUUGAAGCUCAAAAAUGGCUUUUCCCCUUGAGGUUUUAUGUUGAUUAGAUGAAGAAGAAGAAGAAAUAAAGAUGACAACUUGCACUAAGUCACCUUUAUAUACUUAGAUUAAAUCUUAAUUAAUCAAAUUUAAUUAAUUAAAUCUUAAUUAAUUAACCUUAAUCACAAUUAAUAAAAAUUGGUGGAUGUUAACAUCAUCCUACACUAUUUGAUAUAACCAAAUGAUCUAUUUACCAUUUUGAACCUUUAGCUAAUUAGAAAUCUAUAGCGAUAAGACUUUCAAAAUUUAGUCUCUGUAUCUUAAUUAAGCAAUUAAUAGACAAAGUUGAAGGUUUAAAUUUUAAUGUUCUAUUAUACCAACUCUGUAAAUAUUCAUAUUUAAUAUUUACAGACCUGAAUUACGAAAAUGAGAUUUUGAAAUUGUAUUUUCCAGUACCACUGAAAAUCGGACAAUUACGUAACCUAUUUGCACCAAUGGGCCAAACAUGGCAAAUACUUGACAUGUAUGUCUUAAUAUCCUCAUCUAUUCUCUUCAAUAUAAUAACAUCCAAUAAUUGUUCCAUCCACUGUAACUAUCACGAAGAUUAGAUUGACCAAUACAGCCUACAAUUUGAAGAAGCGCGAUAUUUUCAUUCUAGAGAAAGAUAUAAUUGAAACAAAAUUGAAAUAAAGAUUUCAAUACAGAAUCAACAGACAUUCCAGCUAAUACUUAUCAAUUAUUUGCAGCUUUAUUGCUCCAACUAAGAUGGUUUUUAGUCGAAUAUGGUAAAUGAAAUCAAUGAACACCAGCUACUUGAUGAACGAGUGAAUCAAAGUCCUGAUAUGUGCCGGCUUAUUGGUGAAAAAAUACAUGGGCUAGUUUUGCAGCAAUUCAUGAUCUUACAUUUUAUAACCUUUGCUUACAAUUAUUCACUGACUAAUCAUUCAAUGAAUGUAGGCCUCAAAUUUAGCCACUAAACUUUAUUCUUUAUUUUUAGAUACAUAUUAUUUGAUCACUUCAUACAGCCUAUUACUCAUAAUAACUUCCAAUUUCCCUUCUUUAGGUUAGUUGCAAAUGUACAGCUUUUUCUAGAAGAAGAAAAUUGUCAAGAGCCACCUGUUCAAGAGAGGCGCAAACAAAAUGUAAAAAUACCUGACCUACUUACGGUACAGCCAAGUAAUCAUGUCUUUCUAUGCUAGAUCAUUAAAUCAAUGACUACAAAUUUCAUGCCAUGGUCGUGUAUCAUUUAUGCCAUUGAUGCUGCUAUUUUCUAUUCUAAUGCAUAAUAGGGAUUUAGUGUUUUUACCGUUAAAAUUGUGUCCUUUAAUUUUGGCUCUUUUCAGUUGUUGAUCAUGUCCACCUAUGCUUUAUUUUACUACUAUUGCUUUCUGUAAUGAUAGAUGAUUGAAUCGGUAGAAUUUUAUUAAUCCUCAACAUGUUUUAUCUUGACAUAUGGAUCCUAAGCAUUCCUUGGAUUGUGCCCUUUUUGUUCAUUUAUUUUUUCUUGGAACCUUAUUACAUGUUGUACCACUCCAGCUUUUUGGAGACAAUGAAGACGACUAACUGCUGAAUUCUUUCUUCUGCAGAGGAACCAAUGGCACGAGACUCAAAAAAUCCUACUCUUUUUUAUACCUUCCUCACCUCUUUGUGACAUUAUAGCUGAAAAAUGAUGUAUGCUAAUACAUGAAAUGUUUCCUCUUGCCUUUCUUUUUGUAGUACUAAAACUACAAAUAGUGUUUGCAAAACUCUUUAGAGAAAAACAAAUGUCUGUAAAUCUCUUUACCCGUAAUCUUAUCUUUUCCUCAUUGUAAUAGUUGGAAAACUUUUUAUUUGAAAACGAUGUCAACUACUGGGAUAAGUUAUUGUAAGCAUCUUAAGUGUUUCAUAUUAAAAACAAACACUGUUAUUGUUUAUUUUGUAGUCUAAAUUAUGAUAAUUUCUGCACAAAAUUCACAUAAAUGGUUACCCUCCCGAAGCAGAGCGAGGGUGAUGCAUACUAGUUAUUAAGAAAACAGGACCUUGUAGGGCUUAACUGUUGAAUCAAGAAAGAAAUUUCUUUUAAUGCCUUCAAUUGUAACAUCCCGAUUUUGGGCCUAGUCGAAACAAUGGUUUCGGGACCACAAAUCCGAUGAGGAAAAUUUUAUUUUUACUAUAUUAUUAUGGCCUAUAAUUUCACGGAAAGAUUUCUUGAAAAUUUCGUUCAAAAAUUUUGACGUUAGGGCACUCAAUUUAGCCAAAAGGACUAAAUUGUAAAAAGUGCAAAAGUUGAGUUUUAUUGGUUAAAGGUACUUAAUUGCUAUGGAAUUAUAACUUAGGGGUCCUUAUAUGGUAAUUAGACCAUUAGUUAGUGAUGGACAAAAAUGAACAUAAGUGAAAUAGGAUUUUUUUUAUGUAAGGGUAUUUUAGUCAUUUAGUAAAUAAAUAGAAUUAAAAGGGAAAAAUAUGUAAAAAAAAUUGUGUUCAUCAUCUUUGCUAGGUGCCAAAAUUUGAAGGAAGCCAUAGCUAGGGUUUCUUCACUUUCUCAAGCUCAUAAUCGAGAAGAACGAAAUUUGGAGGUAGAUCGGGGAAAGAAAAAAAUUGAGGACUAAAGUGUUAGAUUUGAUCACAUUUUUGUACCGAGGUAAGUUUACAGUAAAUAAAUGCAAUAUUUCAAUAAUUAUUAUUAAUGCUGUAUUUUUUAGCAAUUAUGUAUUUAUUUCAUGAAUAUAUUUAAUGUUGACUCAAGUAUGAGAUGACAGAGAAUUAGUGACACAAGCCUCAUUGAAACACUAGGAAUGUAUUGGAUACAAAUGCCAUGACAUUUGGGUAAAGAGGUCCCAUGUAAGACCAUGUCUGGGACAUGGCAUUGGCACCGAGAUGAGAGGUCCCCCGUAAGACCAUGUCUGGGACAUGGCAUGGGCACCGAUAUGAGAACUCCCAUGUAAGACCAUAUUUGGGAUAUGGCAUUGGCAGUACAGGAAACAUCCCAUGUGAGACCAUGUCUGGGACAUGGCAUGGGCACCGAUAUGAGAACUCCCAUGUAAGACCAUAUCUAGGAUAUGGCAUUGGCAGUAUGGGAAACAUCCCAUGUGAGACCAUGUCUGGGACAUGGCUUUGGCAUGUUAUUAUCAGAUAUGAGACCCAAGUAUCCUUAUUAUUCCAAUGUGACUCAACGGGCUAGAAAACAGAUUAUGUUCUACGAAAGUUCAAGUAAAAGUAUAAUUAGCAACUUCAGGUGAGUUAUAAGAGUUAAGAACAUAUUAUGUUAUUAGUGAGAACCAAUAUUUUAGCAAGAGAAGAGUAAGUUGUAAUCUUAAGCUAUCUAAGUAGAUAAGUAAGUAAACAAGUAAAUGAGAGUCAGUAAAGAGAAAACUUAAGAACAUGAUACUUGUAUAUCAUUAUUUAUGUUAAAUGAUGUCAUUUAUUUAUUUGUAAACUUACUAAGCUUUAUGCUUACUUCUUUUAUUUCUUUUUCUUUCAUAUAGUAUUAUCAAGCAUAGUCGGGAUCUUGAAGACGUCGGAGAGUGUUCACACUAUCAACCACCACAACUCGGUAUUUUAAGACGAUAAAUAUUUUGGGCUAUGGCAUGUAUAGGGACUUGGUCAUUUCAAUUGUAUAUUCUUAAAAUAUGACCAAAAGAUGAUAUGUAAAUGCUUGAUGAUGAAUAGUUAUUAAAAUGGCUAAGUAUGAAGGUGUUUGUGGUUAUAAAUGUCUAGGUUAUAAAUUAUGCAUAGAAAUCAUGAAAGAGUAAAAAUUUGUAGUGAAUCAGUUUUGAGACAGCAGUAGUGACGUGAAUUUGAAAAAUCACCAAGGAUAGUAGAAAAUGAAUUAGAGAGUGGAUGAGAUAUAGAAUUAAAUCUUAUUGAGUCUAUUUUUAUAGAAAAAUAACAGUGUAGACAAAGAAAUGAUAUAUUCCGAGAUAUUUGCAUUUUAGUUAGACAAGGUCAAAGUUGUUUUCGGAAUCCCCUGUUCUGAAUUUGGAAAAUCAUUAAAAAUUGUAAAAAAAUAUUUAUGAGUUUUAAUUUAUAUGUAGAGAUUCCUUAUUGAGUCUAUUUUCUUUAGAAAGAAUUUAGAACACUAUAUGAAGUAUGUACAAUGAGAUAAUUUAAUUUUAGUGACAAGAGGUUAGGACAGUUGAUUAGUGAAACAGGGGAGACUUUAACUAAUAAACUGUACUAAUUGGCUAAACCAAAAAUUCUGAAAAGUUUACAGUAAAAAUUUAUAUGAGUCUAGUUUCAGGGAAAAUUUAUGGAUCUCAAUUUCAAGUUUCAUAGCUCGAGUUAUAAUUAAUUUAGUAACUAUUGUGCAAGUGAAUAGACUUACUAUGAACAGUGAAUUAACUUUUAAAACUAAAUUUUUAUGCCCCGAACUUUUAAGUUAGUCAAGUAACGCCUCAUGCUCGACUCCGGAAAUGGACUCGGUUAAGGGGUGUUACAUCAAUUUUUUUUAAAGCUGAUUUUUUUUUUUACGAAUUAAAGUUUUGAUUGUAUGUUAAUUGCUUGAGGGAAGGUCGGAUACUUUAUUAUCCCUAUUUUUAUUUGUUAUAUAUUUUAGCCAUAAUGAUUUUUUUGGCUCUACAACUUUACCAAAAAAAUCAUAUUAUCUUUCAUUUAAUUUUCAUCUCUUUUAACCCUUUAACUUGUAUUUUUUUAUCAAAUCACCCCAAAAUGGAUCGAAAACUUAACAUUUGUAAACUUUGAUGAUGUGGCAUACACAUUAAUUGUCACAUGGAUGACAAGUCAACAUUUUUUAAAAAAAACUUAAAAAUAUUAAAGAAAAUAUUUUUGAUAUUUUUAAUGAUUUUUUUAAUUAAAAAAGUUUUUAUAUAUUUUUAAUUUUUAAAAAUUAAUUAAACACAAACAUAGAAAUUCGCAUCUAUGUGUCACAGGCCACAAAUUAAAGCCUGCGACCAUUUCGCAUAGAACACCCCAUAGAGGUCAAUUUAUUAAACGUGGUUCAUUUGACCCGCAUGAACUGGCUCGAAUCGUGGAACCCGUAGAGAAACCCAUCUACUUUAAGCCUUGGUGGUCUAGUGAAAUACUCCAAUAAAACUAGAGUUACUAGGGUAAAUAAUGUAAAUCUUAAAUGGAUAAGAUUGUAUAGAGUUUAAAUUCCUUAUAACUCUCAAUUGUAGAUAAGCGGUAACAUUAAUCAUCGAUGUAACUCAAUCUGUAUCGUUGCUUCUAGGAAGCUCAACUAUAACUAGAGGUCUCCCUCUUCAUUUGUAAUCAUUCCAUUCAUAGUUGUGAAUAUAUUUGAGAGCAUUUACUCAAACACCUUGUGUGCAUUGCUUUUCUUUGGCUAUUCUGCUCUUUCGAGCUUCUGUCUUUGAGUGUCACAUCCCAAAAUUGGGCCUAGAAGAAAUAGGGGGAAAAUUGAGUUUUAAUUUUUUUUUAACAUAGGGUAAGGGAAGUAGAAUGCCUUAAAAUUAAUUUUUUGCUAUAAAUCUAAUAAGAAUGAGUUUGUUGGUUUAGUGCUAAGGUCAUAGCCUACCUAUAGGUUCCAAGUUUGAACCCCUUGGUGAGCAUUCAACCAAAAUAUUUUUAUUUUCUUGUUUUUACCGCACCAAAAGUGACGAAUUUUAAAAUAACCCAGCCCAAAAACUAUAUUUUUUUAAAAUUUAGUCCUUAAUUUAAAAUUUUUCCCAAACCUACAUAAAUUUUUAAAACCUAUUCCAAUUAGGAAAGAUAAGUAUUAUAAAUAAACAAUUUCAAAACAAACCCUAGAAUUUCAUCUAGCAAUUUUUCGAGAAAACAUCCAUAAACACUUUAUUUUCCAAAUCAAACUUUCAAGCGAAAGGAAUCGAAAUCUUCAAAAUCAUCCCUCAAGUAGAUCUUCAAUCUCUUCUCCAACACUAAGGUUUUAAGUCUUCAAAAUAGGUGUGGGAACUAAACCUAAAUCUUUGUGUAUAAUUGAAUCUAAUAGCAUGUAGAGAACCAGUAUUGGCGAACCCUAGGAAAACCCCCCUGUAUGUGCGAUCAUGUAGGUGCGAGCCUGUAGAUGCGAAACCCCUUACACAUGAAAACCCCAUGCAUGCGAACCCUUACGUGAAACCCCCCCUUUCAUGCGAACCCUGUAUGAAUACCAUGCAAACCCUAGGUUGUUAUGUGGAUACUCAUACUGUGAACACAUGUGCACAAACAUAUAGGAAUAUUCAUGUGAACCCUACUAUUAGAUGCGAACCCCCUUAUACGUGAAAACCCCCUUGCAUGCGAACCCUAGUUAGUAUACAUACGAGUCUCAUAUUUACAUGCGAACCACUACUAGUGCGAGUCAAUUAUAUGAUACCACAUGCGAACCCUACUAUUACAUGCAAACCUUUAUACAUGUUAUAUUCUAACUUUUUUUGUUAAAAUAGGUGAGACUUGUCUAGUAUUACAGACGACCCUACAUAUACCUAAUUUGCGAACUCAUAUGUUAAAAGUAUGCAAAACUAUCUAUGUUUGUUAUGUGAACUCACAUGUUAGCAGUAUGUGAACCUAUAUAUAUCAGUUAUGCCAACUCACAUGUUAGCAGUAUAUGAACCCAUAUGUCUGUUAUGCAAACUCACACGUUGGCAAUAUGUGAACCCUAUAUACACCUUUAUGCAAACUCACACAUUAACAGUAUGCGAACCCUAUAUACGCCUUUGUUGAUGUUAGUUCCCAUGCAUCUUGUGGUGCAGCAAUCGUGGCCAUGCAGGUCACAUGGAGAAAAGAAGCAGCACAUGAAGGCAGUAACUGGAGCUUGUGGAUGCUGUCCAAAUUCAACUUAUUUUGUUGGUUUGAUUUUAUAGUUUGUAACUUAGUUCUUUUGGAACUUUCUUGGUAAAACUUUCGAUGUAUUUUUUAUGUUGAUUGACUGAAAAUUCAGCAAAGCAACUUAUGCAAGCUAGUUUAGCAAUUUUCAAUGUAUUAAGUGGUGUUAGGUAAGUGUUUAGGUAGUAUUUUGACUUGUAAGCUUAACUCAUGUUUGAUAUAUGUAAUGGCAACUUGCCAAUGCCUUGUUAAUGAAAAAAUUCAGCUUGUUUUCAAUUUCUGUUCUUAAAAACAAAAAGGUUUCUACUUUGUUUCUUCUCCAAGUCACGAGGCUUGCUGACAAAGCAAAGCUAAAUCAGCUUGCUCACUGCCUUUGACUCCAACAGCCUUUAUACAAACUCACACGUUAGCAGUAUGCGAUCCUUAUAUACGCCUUCAUGCAAACUCAUACGAUUAGCAGCAUGUGAUCCCUAUAUUUAUGCGAACCCUUCUAAUAACAAAUAUGCGAACCUUAACUUGCGAACCCUAGGCAGGAACCCUACACUCGCAAAGCCUUCUUCUGAACCUGUACAUAUGCUAGAUAACCAAGCCUAUUAGUUUACGUUAAAUCACUGUACAUAUGAGAUUGUUUGUUUACUUGCACAAAUUAUAUGUGUAUUUACUAUUCGAUACAAGAGUACCUAUCGACCUUUUGAUGAGAAUUCAGAGAUUAAUGAUGAUAAUUCCAACAAUCGGUGGAAGAACAAGUUAAAUCGAGAAUUGGUGUAAUUUAAGGUAAUAAAGAUUAAAUUUUCAGUAAUAAAUAUAAAAUUGUUAUGGAAAGAAAUGAUGGGUAAAAAAAUGAGAGUUUUAAACAGAAGAGAGGAAAACUUCAAUUUAGGGUUGAAGAGGAACUAAAAAUCCAUGUGAAAUUAGGAAAAAAAUAUUAAAUACCUAGGAUUAAAAAAUUUGAGGGGGCUGAAUGGUAAAAUACCCUUUUUGCUUAAAAAUGAAAAGAAAUGGAAAUGGGGAUUGAGUUUGGCAUGACUUGAACCUUGGAAGCAAAGGAAAAAAUUGCAAAGGCCAUACCAUUUGGGUUGCUACCUACAUUUGGCAUAUUUUUACACUAUUUAAUAUAUAUCCUAGCUUAGUUUUGAUCAUAGGUUGUUGAAAAAAAAACAAGGGGUAAGAGUGUGGCUUCAACCUUAGUUCUCUAGUUAGUAUACUAAGCUCUUAACCAUUAAGAUUAAGGCUCAUCUCUUAGUCAAUUAAUUCAUCUAACUCUAUAUAUUUUGGUGUGUUACAUCUUGAAUUAAAAAAACCCAUAAAAUGCAUGUAGACUUGUAUUGCUUGGUACUUGGUAGUAUAUAUGUAGACUUGUAUGUUGAUUAAGCCACCUUAAUUAAGACCAAUGUGUUAGACUUGUCUAUGCAUUGAACAAUUUAGAAGAAAAUGAAGAAAAAGACUCUAAAAGCACUUGAAAACAGAUAAAACUCAUAUGUCAUUGACUAGUUAAAUGUGGUCACCCAUAAUAGACCCUGUAUUUGACUUUUUGUUGAGGGAGAUUGACUCCUUUGGGAGAAGUCUCCUGAGUGUUGUUUGUCAAGCAGUCAGGGUUGUCCUAAACAACUAAAGGUAUUGUCCCCAUGUCGAGAUUUUAUCCCUAGCCUCUGCAAAAUAAUCAUGGAGAAUAUGUGCGAGAGAAUUCAAACACCAACCAAUGCAUGUGUAGCCUUUACCUUGCCACCAUCUUUGGGAACCCAUAAGGAUAAAAUCCCAACGAGAGAAUAGUAUCAUCUAUUGAGGGGUCUGUCAACCCAAUAAAUGAAAUUUAAAUGCAUACUUUUUUUUUAAUGAAAGUAAAUAUCAUAUUUAAUUAGAGAAAAGCAAUGAAAAAUCCAACAAUAAAAUCCUUAGCAAAAGAUUAAAACACAAUUGUACCAUAAAUUAAAUAAGAAACUAAAAAAAUUCAAAUCUAACGAAGACAAUAACUUGAUUCCUCAAAGCCACCAUAAACAGUAAUUCAUACGAAGGCCUGUUGCUCAUUUUAUAGGUUUCCAUUUUGAUUUUGCAAAAGAAGUUUGAAUUCCGAAGCGAGCCUAGUACAUGAGAGAAAAUUGUCGAAACCGUCUUUUUGAAAACAAAAAUUUAGUUGUCGACUUUAAAAAUAAAACUGGAGUCGCCACCGAUCCUUUAUUAGGGUGUGAUCGGCUCACCUUAAAAAUUAUUUUGGUCUACGAGCUUUAAGAAAACGAGUCCGGGAGUAAGUUACGCAUGAGGAAGGGUUAGCACCCUCGUAACGCCCAAAAUCGGUACCAAAUCGAUUAUUUAAUGUCUUAGUGUCGUGGACUAAAAAGAAGUUAAAAAAACCAAAUGAUGAAAUCAGAAAAGGAUAAUCAAUUGUUCAAGACAUGUAAAGAAAUCGAGUCCCAAUACGUUAGGGUACAAUUUCUCAAAAUUCCCGAACUUUGAAUAUCGCUUUUAUUUUAUGCGAAAACAUUCAUUGUGAGAAAGUAACAUGCCACACCCAAUACGUUAGGACACGACAAGUUAAGUUCCAAAAAAUGAUUUUUAUACUCAUGCAUUUUGAAUAAAAAAUAUUCUCGAUUAUUUAAAAUUAACAAAGAAAAUCGGAACCCAAUACGUUAGGGCUCAAUUUUCUCAGAAUUCCAAAUACCGAAUUGUGCCUUUUAUUCGAAAAUUCUUAUUUCGAGAAGUCAAAAUAUCAUGACCAGUAAGUUAGGACUUGACAUUUUUUGAUUCCCGAGAACAAGCUUCUAUUUGAAAUUUGCAUGAAUUUAUUUCAAAAUAAAUACCUGGUUUUCUAAAUUCACCAAGAAAUAAUCGCAAUCCAGUAAGUUAGGAUACUGUUUUUCUCGAGAAUCAUGAAUGCCAAAUAUUUUGGAAUUUUAUAAAAUAUGAUGAUUUUAAUGCUUUGACAGAACCAAAAUAUAUUUUCUUUAAAAAGUGUAGAAAAAUACUAAUGUAUCACAUAAAAUCAAUAUUUUAAUUUUAAAUUAUAUGCAUAUAUGUAUUUUCAAAAUAUAAGUAUGAUACAUAAAUAAAUUUUGAAAAUAUAAGUAUGAUACAUAAAUAAAUUUUGAAAACAUGUAUAUGCACAUAUUAAAACAAGUAUAUAUAAGUAUACACAUAUAAAAUAAAAUAAUGAAUGAGAUAUGUAUAUCAAAAUAAAAAUUAUCAAAAUUUCUACAAAAAAAAAUCAUGUAUGUAUAUACGUAAUGAAAAUUGUAAAAAUAAAAAUAAAAAAUAUGCAGAUGUGUAUAUAUUUACAAAAAAAAAUUUAAGUAUACAUGCUUUAGUAAAACAGAAAUAAUAAUAGUAUAUGAAGAAAUUAGGAAAAUGUGUAUAUAGAUGUACAUAUAUAAAAAAAAUGCAAAAAUAUAUUUACAAUAAUUUUGAAGGGCGUACGUGUAUAUCAAUAUCUAUUUAUGCAUAUAUAUUAUAAAAUAUGAAAGAAUAUAUAACUAUAAUAGAAAUAUAAAUGUAUAUACGUAUAUAUGUAUAUAAAAGCUAAAAAAGAAAUAAUAACAAUAUAUAUAUAUAUAAAUAUGUAUAUGUAUUAGAGAAAUAUUUAAUAUAUAUAUCUAUUAGCAUACAUAUGCGUAUGUAUGUAAGUAUAAUUAUAAUACUAUAUAAUAUAAUAAUAAUAAUAAUAGUAAUAAUAAUAAUAAUAAUAAUAACAAAAACUACAAAAAAAACCUUAAAAAGCACCAUUAAGGAUUAAACUGAGAGCUAAACGAAGUUAAAAGGCCAAAUUUAAAAAUAGAAAACACCAGGAAGGACAAAGUGAUACGCGCGCCAUGAGAGGAGGACUUAAAAAACAAUUUUCCCAAGUCGCUGAAGCACUGUGCAGUGACAUGGAUUAAAUCGUCACGCGAGCAAAAUAUUUGGGCCGAAUUUAAAAAGGAAAAAAAACUUGAUUGAAACACGUAGCAAAAGGGGAAGGGCUAAAAUAUAUAACAAAAAAACACAAAAAGUCAAUCUGGUAAAUCGAUGUUGGGUACUCUAAUUUUAGGAUUCAGAAGGCUUAAGAGUGUUUUCGCAUCAAAAUCGUACUAGGUGUGUCCCCAAAACACAAAAAGUCAGGUUUCGAUAAAAGCCGAAAAUGCAUCCAGUCGAUGCCACACGGACGUGUGCCUGGUCGUGUGGCUAGCCGUGUGUGAGACACGACCUUGUGGUGGUGUGAGUGUAGCGGUAUGGGCCACACGGGCUAGGCCAGUCUGGGCAUAUAGGCCCACAAUUUUAAAAUUUUCCUUAAGGCCACAUGGUUCGUUUCGAAUGAUUGUGGACCUACCAUAGGGUCGGUAAUGGCUAAUCAAACACUAAAUUAUGUGAUAUGAUAUUUUGAUAGUCUGCAUUGUGUAGGAUAUCGAUAUGUACAUCUGUUCUAUUUAAGUAUAUAUAUGCUAUCUGUAUAUGAGCAUGUUAUGCAUAAUAUUACUGUAUCUAUUAUUUCUAUAUUCUGUAUCUGUGAUUGUGGUGGGUUUUGUAUAUGUAGAGGAAGUGAUCUGUAUGGUGACACUUCCCUUAUAUUCUGGCAGUUGAUUGUAUAUUAUCUGUAAUGUGUUGUAUUGACACUAUAUGGUGUGUAGGGAUGGGUAGGUGUUUUAAACCUCAUAUGGUGUGAUGGGAUGGCCGAAGAUGUUGUGUAGAGGAUGGGGGUAAGAUUCUACAUAUCUGUACUACUUAUCUCAUUCUGUUAUCUAGAUUUGGAAUGGAUAUAAGUCCGAAUCUGGAUCUGACUGUAUAUAAGACUUCUGUUUGUAUUGCAUGUCUAUUUUUGUUGGGUUACACACUGAGUUUAUGAAAGCUCACAUAUGUUUGUCUGUUCUAUUCAGGUCUAUAGACUUAGGCGAAUCAGUGUGACGGAGCCUCACAGUGACCACGAGAUCGUAAACUGUUUAAGAUUAUGGUUUUUAUUUAAUUUAAGGAUUAUUUCUAGAAGUUUGUAAUAAUUGGACUUUCUAGACUAUUUGACUUUUAUUUCAAUUUUGGAGGCAUUUUAACUUUUAUGGCCACGUUUGACCAAAAUCACGGUUUUACUAAAAUAAAGGAUUUUCUAAAUACAUGAAUUAGAUUUCCAAGAUUCAAUGCUUUUUGAAAACUUCGACCUUAGAUUAUGUAUUGGAAAAUUAAUUAAUUAAAUAACGCUUCUAGUAACAAAUAGUACACUUGGGGUAUUUAUCAAAUGACUAAAUAAAGCUUUAUCAAAAUAUCACUGUUUUCAAAACCAUUCCAUGUAACACUCUUGGAUUCAGCCACAAUGUCUAGGCCGAGAUUAGGGUGUUACAUUUAAUGCUAUCAGAGCCAGGUUGCAAAACUCAAGCUAUGAAUUUUGGGUUUCAAAAAUUAUAUUUUGAAAAAGAACAGGUUUUCAAAUAAUUUGGAUCAUUCUGAGUAAGUAUGUGGUACACUGAGUCUAUGGUAUUGAUCCUGUAAGUACUUUUGAAAUUAGAUAGAACUUUCUGAAAACAUUGUAGUUAGUACUUUCUAAAACUAUACUGAAUUAGUUAAAAAUAGAAACCUCUGAAAUAUGUUCAAACUUCUGCUAAUUUGAGCAUAAAAUAUCUGUUAAUAAAGAUUGGAACUGAUGCAUAAAAUUUUGUAAUGUAGAUAAAUUUGAAAAUAUACGAUGAGCAAUUGUGGAACUCACGGUCAUGGUAUUCGUGGGCGCGUAGGGUCGUAGGGGGCUGGAGCUGAGUCUUUUUCUCUGGGCAGUAUGCCAAACUUAGAUAUGAGUGAGACACCGGUUUCACCUGCCAUUGAGACAAGGUCUCAAAGUCGCUUGGCUAGGGACGACGCACUGUCUCAAGCCAUGUUGAGGGUUUUGGAGAGGGUCACUAGACCUCAUUCUGGAUCUGUGGGUCGAUAACUGAACGACUCCGAUCCAAUAGAGCUGAGCUGUUUAGGUGUGUCAUUGGAGUCACCCCUACUGUGGCCGAGUAUUGGUUGGAGGCCACUGAGAGGAUUAUGAACGACAUUGACUGUACUCCUAAGUAGAAACUUAAGGGUGCAGUCACUUUACUUUGUGAUGAGGCAUAUCAAUGGUGGUUGUCGAUUGAGGAGGGUACUCAACGGGACUGUCUGAACUGGGAUUAUUUUAAGACUACCUUCUAGGGGAAGUAUGUGGGUGCGAGCUAUGUUGAUGCUUGUAGGCGUGAGUUCAUGAAUCUCACGUAAUGUGAUAAAUCUGUGGCUGAGUACGAGGUUGAGUUUCUGAGGUUGAGCCGCUACGCUUGAGGCAUAGUGGCGACUGAAUAUGAGAAAUGCAUAUGUUUUAAGGAUGGCUUGAGGUAUAAUCUGAGGGUAUUGAUUGCUCCACAGAGGGAGCGAGAGUUUUCAGUUCUUGUGGAUAUGGUGAAGAUCGCCAAGGAGAUUAAAUGCAUAGAGCGCUAAAAUAGGGAUCAUGAGUGAGGCAAGAAUAAGAGGGAUUCAGAGCCCUCUAGUUCUGUUUAGAGGCCUAAGAAACAGGUCAGACCUGAUUGGCUUGUUAGAGUAGGGGUUCCUAUUGCUUCUACUAGGAUUUAGCCAUGUGGUGAUUGUUUUAGGCGCCAUUCAGGUGAGUGUUGGAGGAGGUUAGAGGCUUGCCUGAGGUGUUGGUAUUUGGAGCACCACAUUAGAGAAUGUCCACUCCAUACGGAUUAGAUGCAAGCUUCAGGACUGAGUUUUAUAUAACCUCAGAGGGCAGUUCAACAGCCACCUAGGGGCCGUGGUCCGACUAGGGGUGGUAAUGGUAUGGGCCGAGGACAAAGAGCACUGGGAAAAGGUGUUAGUCAAACUGAGGCAAGGCAGCCUGCACUGGUUUAUGUUGCUUGAUGCCAAGAGGAUAGAGACGCUCUUGAUGUGAUCACAGGUACGUUCUUUAUUUUUGGUGUUCCAUAUACUACUCUGAUAGACAUAGGUUCUACUCAUUCCUAUGUAGGUAGUACUAUUUCCAAAAAUUUAUUGAUUUCUGGUGAGGGUACUUCUAGUGAAAUUAUUGUACUGAGUCCGUUGGGGCAGUCUGUUCGAGUAAGUAGACUUUAUAGGAAUGUACAUUUGGAAGUACAAGGGAUUGUGUUUUUGGCAGAUCUGGUAAGGGUAGUUCUAGUGAAAUUAUUAUACUGAGUCCUUUGGGGCAUUCUGUUCGAGUAAGUAGACUUUAUAGGAAUGUACCUUUGGAAGUACAAGGGAUUGUGUUUUCAGCGUUUUAUUCACAUAAAAGCAGCAAAAUUUAGCGGCGUUGUCUACAGCGGCAUUUUUUACGGUGCUUGUGAAAGCGCCGCUAUAGGCCUAAAAACACCGCUAAAAGCUUGUUUUGCUGCAGUGAAUUAAUAUUAUUAUAAGUGUAUUUUCACCUUUUCAUACUUUUAUAUAAUCUUUAAGUAAAACGAUUGAAAAUUAUUAUUUGAGAAUCAAACACAAGAGUAACAAUAUUCAUAUAGAAAACGCUUACCACUCCACUAAUAAUCAUUUGUUGAUGUAUUUUUGGUAAAAAGACCCCUCCAAUCCCUCUUAAUUUCACAAUUGCUCAAAUUAGUCCCUCUCAUAAAAAUUGGAGCAAUUUAAUCCCUAUCAAUUUUGAAAGUGAGUAACUAAGGACAAUUAAUUAUGGUGUUAAAUUCUUCCAUCAAUUGUACAUAAUUUUGAUUGGUAUAAGAAUAAAUUUAGCCUUCAAUGUUUAUAUAUUUUGUCAUUUUGGCCAUAAUUUAAAAAAAAUUCAAGAAAUUGAACCUCAACAUUUACAUAUUUACACAAACGUUGCGGGAAAAUUUUGUUAAAUUAAGACCAAAUUGCAAGUGUAAGUUUUGAGGGCUAAAUUUAUUAUUAUACCAACCAAAAUCAUGUACAUUUUAUGGGAAAUUAACAUCCUAAUUAAUUAUUCUUAGUUACUCACUUUCAAAAUUAAUAGGGACUAAAUUACUCUGAUUUUUUUAGGGUGACCAAUUUCCUCAAUUUGGAAUUUGAGAGAGACUAUUGAGAUCUUUUACAUAUUUUUUUAUAAAUAUAUAUAUUUAAUAUAAAAUAUAUUUGUUCACACACAUCGUGAGUAUGAUAAAAUAUUUUUAUUGUUAAUUAGUUGGUGUCAAAAAUUAACUCGACGCCAACUCAAUAUUAAUGAUAACAAUAUGAUAAAUAAUUGAUUUAUUUAAUAUUCUUAAUUUAACAUAUUGAUAUAAAUUUUAAGACAUGCUUGUCUUGAAGAAUUGUGAUUAUACUUUUCGAGUAUUGACUCAGUUUUCCACAAUUGUGGGUCUCUAUUUAAGACAAACAAUUUCAACAUUUCUUCAUAUUGUUUAAUCCAAAUGCAUUAAGGAUUUUCUUAUAUCAUUGUUUCAAAAAUGAUAAAAAAAAACAACGUCGACAUUGAAUUUGCUGUUUCACAUUCAAUUUUUGGAGAAGUAGAAUCUUCUAACUUAUUUUCCAUCAACUUCACUUCAAUUUUCAAUCACAAUCAAUUGCAUUCAAGAGCACCACAUAUUUUUUGGAUGAAACAAACCUAUCAAUUUUAAGAUAAACGGGUCUUUAGGGUUAUUAAUUGAGGGCCUUUUCCACAAUUGUCAUCGUUAAGCAUUUUUCAAUCUUGUCUACUGUGAAUAUCGUUUUUAAGCAUUUUUCAUUGAAAUAACGAUUAAUAGACAAAUAAUAUUCAAGUAAAACAAUUUUUGUAUAUUGGUUUGAAAGGUUUUCUAAAUAGUACAAGGACCUGAAACAGAACCACUGGACAAAGCUAACCAAAUCUAAGAGUUGGAAAUAUUUGGGAAUGAAUAGUUUAAAUUGUGAUUAUUUCUUCGGGUUCCUGUCAAAGAUAUCAGCUGAGCAAGAAGGCAGGGUAAUGUGCCAAUGAUAGAACCUUGAUGAACAACGAGCAAAUGUCAACCUAAGCAUUAAAAGGGGAUCAUUCUCAAAAAAUGACAUUCUACAUGUAACGCCCCAAAAUUUUAAUUUUGGGUAUUGUGAAUGUAUGACACAAAUAUCUGUCUGCUUUAGUGGUUAUGUGUUUUGGGUGUGUUUGGGAGGUCUCAAGUUCAAGUCAAUACUUGGGCAAAUUUUGGUAAUUUUAUGAAUAAGCCCUAUCUCUGGUUAUAGGCUUUUAAGUAAAAGUUGGCAAAUAAUUAAUAGAAUGGGUCUGUUGGUCUAGUGGUUAAGUGGAGUGUUGGUGUGAAGAAGGUCAUGGGUUCAAAUCUUUGGGACGGCAAGGUAAGUCGUUUUACUCUCCAUCUUUCUGACGUUUUCUCUCCCCCAUGUCUGCCGAAUUUUUUUUCUUUCUUCUUUACUUGUUACUCGGUUAUCUUUUCUUUUCUUUCCUCUACUACUGUCGAAAUUCCCUUGUUUCCCCUAAACCAUUCUUUCCUCUUGAUUUCGUAGCUUUAAGCAGCACUUGUUCAAAUUUAGUAAGUUGUUGGGUAUCAUUUUAAGAUAUUAUUUUGUAUUCAAUAGUCUAAUUUUGGGGUGUUGACAGUAGCAUUUCACGAGGAUUAAGGCUCUCCUCGUGAUUUUUGCAACGUACCGAUUUUAAGUUUUGCGGUAAGUGUUCAUCAUUUUAUGGGUAAGUAUUUUGGUUUCGGGAUUUUAAUUACUCACAAGGUAAGACUGAUUAUGGUGUUAUUUGCUCAAUUAUACGCUUAGGAGUGCUCGGGGACUAUUUUAGCAUCAAACAAAACCAAGUGUGCACCCGAAUCGCAAAAAUAAGGGAUUCGGCGAAAAGCCGAAAUUGCUUGCUGUUUGGACAGCAGCAGUAGGCUAACUUUGAAAAAUCAGCAUAAAUUGUGGAAAUCGAAUUAGAGGAUGAAAAAAAUAUGAGAUUAAAGCUUAUUGAGCCUAGUUUCUCAUAGAAGAAACGGUGUAAGUAAUGAAAUUGUAAAUCGUGAGUUAUAAUAGACUUAGUGAGACAAGGUCAGAAUGAAUUUGGGUUCCCCUGUUUUGACUUUGGAAAAUUAUCAAAAAUUGGAGAAAAAUAAUUAGGGGUUAAAUUUUACAUGCUUAAACUAUUAAUGAGUCUAUUUUCAAUAGAAACAAAUGAAAAUGUCAUCCAAAUUUUGUACUAAGAGAUAACUCAUUUUUAGCAAAGAAGAGUCAAAGUUGUCAGACAACAGAAAAGGGAUAAGUUUAAAUAUUUUACUGUACUUAUUAGCUGAACCAAAAAUUUUGGAAAUUUAUGGUAGAAAGUUAAUUGAGUCUAGUUUCAAAGACAUCAAACGGAUCUUAAUUCGGAAUUCUGUAGCUCAAGAUAUAAAUUUAUGUUUAUCUUAUUAUCUUUCUUAUUUUAGAAUUGAUUACAUGAAAGUUAAUUGCUAAUAUUAUUAGUUAAUUAUUAGUUUUCUUCAAAUCAAAUUAAACCCCGAAAGGUAUCUCUUUUUUUAUAUUAGUUUUAGUUAUCCAUUAAAUUUGUUUCUUUGUAGUAAAAUUAAAUUAUAGAAAUAACAUUAAAAUUUUAAAUAAAAAUAAUUCACAAUAAUUUAUUAUUUAAAAAACGCCCUGAAAUUUAAAAUUAUUGCUAUAAAUAUAUCAUUAAAUUAUACAGAAUUUAAUUUUUCUUUCAAAUACUAAAGUUAAUAAGGAAAGAGAAUAUAGUACAUAUCAAUAAAACUAUUAAAAAAGAAAUAUUGUUUAAAAUCAAUAGCGUCUAAAAAUUGUCAGAAUGAAAUAUUUGAUUUUAUAAGAUUUCAUUACUCUAAAAAAAUAAAAUAUGACAAUGCUUAAAAAUUUUAUUAAAAAAAGUUUUAAAUUUUAUAUAAAAUUUUAAAAAAUAAAAAAUAGUACUAAAAAUUUUUAUAAGCAAAUUUAAAUAUUAAUUAGUAAAUUUUUUUGUAAUAUUUAUAUGUAUUUUCAUUUUUAUAAAUACUAUUAAAACUUUUUAAAAAAAAAUUGAAUGCUAUUUAAAAACAUUAUUAAAAAAUAAAAUAUUAUAUGAAAGUUAAAAUGACCUAAAAACAUAUUUUAAAAAUUUAAAUACUUUAUACAAUAUUUAAAACUGCUUAAAAUUUCUAAACCCUAAAAAAUAAAUAAAAUAUAAUUUUUUUCUAAGAAAUCAAUAAAAAUAUAUUUAUAAUUGAACUGUCAACAAAAUUGUGGGAAAUAUUUAAAUUUUAUGAAAUUUUAAACUUAAACUGUCAAUAAUAGAAAAUUGCCUGAGUGACUUGGGAUAAGAGGUUCAACAUUUCUGGAUCGCAUUGCAUUUAAGGCGGGUCUUUAGGGUUAUGCUUUAGUUUUUUAGAACAUUUUCCACAAUUUGCCAUCAUUACUUGUGAGUGAUUUGUGGGGUAAGAGGUUGAACACUUCUGGAUCACAUUGCAUUUAAGACUGGUAUCAUUCAUAAAUUAUAUAUCUACAACAAGAAUGGUAGCCUCUUAUAUUAUAUUCAUGUAUCUAUUUUGCAUCUUUCAUUAUAAUAUGAUUUAGUAAUUUUAAUAUUUUUAUAGAAUAAUAUGCUUUAAUUUUUUUUGUAUCAUUCAUAAAAAUUAUAAUAAACUUACAAAAUGAUUUAAUGAUAUUUAAUUAUUAACGGAAAAAAUUUAUAUCAUAUAUAUUCUGUAUAUAUUAAGAUUUUGAAUGAUUAAUUAUAUAUCUACAUAUUAUAAUAAAUUCAUCUUUCAAAAUUUUCCUAAACUAUAUUCAUAAUAUUAUAAAUAUAUUAUAUCAUAAAUAUUCUUUCAAAUGUUUUUUAAUGUUUAAUAAUAAGUUAAUUUAUAAAAUAUUCUUUCAAUAAAUUAACGUGAUGAGAUCGUUAGGUGCUUGGAUUUGGUGACGGGGACGAGGAGAAAAGGGAUGGAAGUGAAGAGAAAUGUUGGGAAAUUGAAAGGGUUAGCAAGGGAGGCCUCCGUGAAAGGUGGUUCUAUAGAUGUGAACCUUCAAGCUUUUGUGGAUGAUGUUGCUCAAGGUUGUUGCAAGUAAAUUUAAAAAUAUUUUUUUAAUUAUUUUUUGUUAAAAAAUAUUUUUUUCUAUGUAGCAUGCCACAUUAGCAUACUACCAUGUGGUAACUUCUAGUGAUUUUCGUAUGUAACAUUAGACAAAUUAAUCGUUAAAUCGUUCAACUGACAGAUUUCGUUAAAGGAAGAGGUCAAUUGAUUUUUUUGGAAUCAUUGAGUACUCAAUUGGUGCACUAUUUUCAUAAAGACUAAAUUAAUUUUUUUAAUUUGUUAUCGCUGAGGGCUACAGUAAUAAAAAAUUUUGAGGUAAAAUUAGAAUAACGUCCCAAAAAUCUUAUAUUUAAUUUGUAAAAUUUUACCAUUAAUAAGUAUUUGUUUUAGUGGUUAAGUAUUUGAGUCGUGUUUAUAAUAUCUUGGAUUCAAGUCCCUACGUGAAUGGAUUGUUUUUUUUGUUUUUAAUUUUUGCAUGGGUCGGGUAGGUGGUUGAGUUUGAGUCCAUUUCGAACUUUGGAAAAAGGUGGUUAGUUAUCUGAGAUGGGUUAGUGUUAGUAGAUUUGGAUUUGGUUUAUUUUAAAAUUUAUUAAUUAAUUUGUUAAAAAAUUAAAUUAGUUUUUUCCUAAUUUUUGGCUCACCAUUCUUUCUCUUGUUCUUCUUUAUUCUUUCUUUUUCUGCUACCUUUCAAAUCACGUCGAUUUGUUCCUAUUUUGCUUUUGAGUUUUUCUUUUCUUUCCUUUACGCUCCUCUACGAUCGUGUCUUAAUUCCUUCAUUAUUUUCUCGUUGUUGGCGUUGCUCGUUCGAGAGUGGGUUAGUUUCCGUUUUGAUGUGUUUUUACGAGGUUAGUAAAAGAAAUGCGUUAAUUUUUGGAUUAUGGAGUUGAUCGUUUUUAAUCAAUUCUCCAGUAAGUUGACUCCUUUGCUGUUGUUAUGUGCUAGGUUAAGAGAUUAAUUCUGAUUUGGGCCUGCGUGGUUGUGUAGAUUUUCCAUGUGAAUUCGUUUGGUAUUUUUAGGAUAAAUCAUUCUUUAAGUCGUAUUGCUACCAUCGCUAAUGUGAUGUUUUAAUUUAUGCAUUUAGGAUUUGGUAGUUUUAUGGGUGUUUUCGUAUAAAAAUCAAACCAAGUGUGUAACGAAAAACCCGACAACAACGAGCGACGAAAGUCAAAAAAUUGCACUGUCGACACCACACGGCCGUGUGUCGGGCCGUGUGACAAGCCGUGUUUCAGACCGUGUGCGACACACUGUUUGGGCUAGUUAAGCCGUGUGGAACACACAGGUGUGUGUGAGGACGUGUGCCACGCCAUGUGAGCCACACGGGCUGGCCAUUUAGGCCGUUUGAGACCAAAAUACUAAGGGCACGUUUGGUUUGCUGUAUUGGAUUAGAGGUGUAUUGGAUUAGAGGUGUAAUGGAAUAGAUGUGUAAUAGCAAAUCAACUGUUUGGUUGAAUGUAAUGGAAUAGAGGCGUAAUAGUAAAACUGUGUUUGGUUGAAUGUAAUAGAGGUGUAAUAGCAUAAUGGAGAAAACUAAAAUGACCAGAAUACCCUUAGCAUAAAUUUGUUUUGGUAAAUGAUUAUUGUUAUUGUUAUUUAAAUUUUAAUAAGAUUAUUUAUUAUCAAAAAUAAAUAAUUUAAUCAUAUUUAAACAUAAUUAUUAUUUAAUAUAUUUUAAUUAAAAUAUAUAAUUUAAUAAAAUUCUUAAUAAUUAGCAGAAAUUUGUUUUGGUAAAUUAUUUUAUUUAAAUUUUAAUAAGAUUAUUAAUAUCAAUAAUAAAUAAUUUACUCAUAUUUAAACAUAAUUAUUAUUAAAUAUAUUUUAAUUAAAAUAUAUAAUUUAAUAAAAUUCUUAAUAAUUAAUAUUCUUAUAUGAAUUUACUCAAAUCAUAAUAUAUGAUACUGUAAAAUAUAAAUUAAAAUAAUAAUUAUUAAAUAUAUUUUAAUUAAAAUAUAUAAUUUAAUAAAAUUCUAAUAAUCAAUAUUCUUAUAUGAAUUUACUAAAAUCAUAAUAUAUGAUACUAUAAAAUAUAAUUUGAAAUAAUUAAUAUUAAAUAUAUUUUUAUUAAAAUAUAUGAUUUAAUAAAAUUUAAAAUAAUUAUCUAGAUUCAAAUUUAAGAAUUAUUUACAUGAACAAAAAUAUAAUAUUUGUUUCUAAGUUAAUUAUUUUAAUAAAAUAAUUAAAUAUUUAUAUAACGGUGUUCUCAUCUUUUGGUAUUUUUAUAUGCAAUUUUAAAGAUUGAAUCCAAACUUAAAAGAAUAUUUAUUUGUAAGCAUUUCACCGGUUUACUUCAACUCAAUUAUUGAUUAAUUUUUAAUAAACAUAAAUUCAAUCACUAAUUCUCUUGGCUCCUCUGUUUCAAUAUAUGAAACAUGACUCAAUCACUAAUCCUCAUAACUCAAAGGUGAGCCAGAUGGUCCAUCAGGGGGUGCAGAAGCAGCAUGAGUCAAAGCAACUAUGGCAUUUUUCCAGAAAGAGGAGCCAAGAGAAUUAGUGAUUGAUCUUAACAAUGGCAGAUCAUUAAGAUCCCGGGUCUGGCUGUCCAACCGAUCAACAUAGACUACAACAUCGGGGGGACACUUCUUUAUGUAUUGCUUUAUAGAAGCUAGGACUUUGUGAUUGGCACCUUGCUCCAUGGCAGAAGAUUUCAAACCUGGGGUAUCAAUGAUUCUCAGUUUAACACCAUCUACCAUUCCAGUAAUCUCUUUCACUACUGUAGUGGCAGGUUCAAAUGCAUGAAUUGAGGUCUUUGACUCACCAAAGAUUGAAUUUAUUGUGGCACUCUUGCCCACCCCAAUCUUCCCAAGCACAAGCAUGUUUAUGGAGAAGCUUAAAUCAUCUUUACCCUCUGUUUCAAGUUCCAAAGCUUUCCUCUUCGCAGAAUCAACACUAAACAGUUCACUGGUUUGUCUCCUUGCAACAUGUGCCAGUCUAUAAAGAACCUGUGCUGCUAAAGAAUCUUCAGUAGAAAGUCCGAGCCUUUGAAGAAUCCUCAAAAAUUUGACUCUUAUAAGCUGUAACUUUUCCAAUUUUAUUUUAUCUUCUUCUGUCAAGUUGUUGUCAGAAUCUCCCCUACUUGUUACAGCAGGACUAAAUAUGUUAGGCCUGUUUGAUCGAGGUGCGGAUGUUGCAUUUUGCAGUGAGGAUCCUAAGCCUGCAGGACGUUCAACAGUGAAAAGCCUAGAUCCAUCUUGAGAGGUUAUAGUAAUGUUGCCGCCAUCAGAGCCAGCACCAGUUGCUGCUUUCAAGAGGGCUGCCAAAGCAGCAGAAUCAAAUAACUCCUUCCCCUCUCCUUCUUCAUCCGUAUCCCCUUCUUCAUCUGAAUCAACAGCAUUUGUCUGUAUAUGAUUAUGAGAAGUAUCAGCACCCGAGUGAGAACCAAUGGCAGAUCCUCGUUCUAGCUCCUCCAAGAAUUGCUUAGCAGCUUCAGCAUUCUUAAAGAACAUACUUUCAGCCUCUCCAUCAGUCUCUGAGCCUUCAUUCUAAUGCUGCUUCUCUUCCAUUUCACCUUCAAAACUAACUUUUCCAGCCACUGUAGUUUGCUCUACUGACUCAGGCCAAUGAGAUUCUUCUCCUGGCAGGGUUACUGACCUUUUGCUUUGAGAAUCACUAUCUAAAUUCUCUGUUUCAUGAGCUGCCAUUAUUUCUGUAGGUUGAGCAGAACUAUCCUUUGCCUGAAUUCCAUCUCCACCCCCUCCAUCUACUUUCUCAGCAAAUGCUUGUUCCAAAAUAUCUAUGAUCUCCUCAUCUUUGAGAUCAUUUAGCUCAGUCCCAGAAUUGUCUUUACCAAGCAUAACCCCACUGGCAAUAUCAGCUUUAUUCUCAGCAUCAACAGCCAACUCGUCUCCGCCGGAAAACUUCGAACCAUCAGCAUGAUUCAAGCCGUUAUCCAAGCUCGCAUUAUCGUCAACUGGAACCACCUCUGUCUCCUUCAUCACCAAUGUCUCAAUGCCUAAAGCAGCUCCAGUCAAAGGUUUCGCAUCGACAGCCAACUCCUCUUCGCCAGAAAAUUUCGAACCAUCGACUUCAACUACCUGAUGAUCUACUGUUUCUACAAUCAUAGGAUUGAAACCCUUAGCUCCACCAUCUAACACCAAAUUAUUCUCAAAAAUCCCAAUUCUACCUUCCUCUCCACUUUCCAUUGAUAAAACAGAUUGGUCGACUUCUCCAAUGGAACCCAUUUCCACCUUAUCGUCCUUUUCACCAUUACCAACACUAUCAACAUCAACCUUCCCCAUCGAACCCUCACCUCUAUAUUCCUCUAAACCAUUAUCGCCAUCCCCAAACGAGUCCUCAUUCAAAAUCACAUUCGAACCAUCAGAACCAACAAAAGGGGCAUCACUAACAUCCCUCACGGUCGGAAUUACUUCAUCAGGGUCAGCCAUAAAUGGCCUCUCGGGUACUGUUUCAAACUUCCCCUCACCAUUCUCGUUACUAUCAUUAGUUUUACCAUUCCCAUUAUCUUCCAAAGUACGUUCACUUACUGAACUAGUUACAAACUCAGAAUCAUCAUUCGAAGUUAAAGAAGAAGAAGAGGAAGAAGAACCUGGAGAGGUAGAGAGCGACUGAGAAGUGAUUUCCGGGGCAGAAAGCAAGGCGUCCAUGGUUGAAAGAGAGGAAAGGGAGAUAGAGAGAAUUGGGUUUUAGGAUAUGGAAUGAAUUUUGAGUGGCACACAGAGGGAGCAAAUCGGCAGAAAGGGUAAAACAGGGAGGGGAAACCGAAGGGGCAACUAAUCUGCAGAAAAGAGGGGGAUUAGAAAUCGGUGGUUUUCACCGAUUAGGAAGGUAAAGGAUUACACCCGUAUUAGAAAUACAUCAAACCAAACGAUGGAAUACAGUCGCAUUAGGUGGGGCCCACCGAUUAGGGGUGUAUUGGCUAUGCCAAUACACCCAACCAAACAUGGUGUAAAUUUUUCCCUAGGGUUAUACACAUCGUUAUGAUCGAUCGUAGGCCUUUCGUGGGGUCGAUAUAUAAUCAAAUAGACUGUAAAGUAUGAAAUCCGGUCAACUAAUAGUAUAAAUUCUGAUAUCUGUUCAUAUAUUUGAGAUGUUAUUUGUUCAAUAAACCUUGUAAUAGGCUAUGAGAAACUUGAGAAAUAUUAUGUAUGCUUUGUAUCUGUUAUGUCAUACAUGUAUAAUGUAUUAUGUCUGAUUUUGUUCUAUUCUUUUCUGUAUUUGCAUCUGGGGUGGGUUAUAUUAUGUGGAGGAAGCGUUUCUUUGAAUGGCGAUAAUUCGCCUAUUACACUGGCAGCUCAGCUACAAAUAUUCUGAAAAGUGUCAUAUCAACACUAAGUGGUGUGCAGGGCUGGAUGAGUGUUUCAUACCCCAUAUAGUGUGUUGGAAAGGUCGGAGAUAGUGUUAGCGGAUGGGGGUAGGAAUAUAUGUCUGUAUCUGUACUGCUCUAAUAUGAAUAUGUUCUGCUAAAUCUAUCUUAUACAAAAUAAAUAUUUAAAGUUAUUCGUUAUACAUUGAGUUUUGUAAACUCACUUUCUAUUUGUUUGAUAAUUUUAGGUAUUCCUCAGACUUUGGCAAAUCGGUGUGAAAGAACUUGGUUAAAUUGAUUUAGUUUCAUUAUCUAUUAUAAUUAAAUUUUGGGUUAUUGUGUUUCAUUAUUUUUGGACUGUUGGGAAUUUUUGGAUUGUUUUGGUUUUUGAGAUUUUAUUUUCAAUUUUUGCAUGAUACUAUUAAAAAUGUUUUAUUGGAAAUGUUUGUUUUCCUGCAAAACAACUAAUUUCAGACAAAUAAACUUAGUUUUCCAAACAUAAUGAUAUGAGAAUUUUCGCUUUUAAGUAUUCAUUUUAGAAAAUGUAAGCAAACAUCGUUUCAACUAUAAAGUUAAGUUAGAUGUAUUUUUCUCUUAAAUCGAGGUUUAAGUAAUAAAAGUUUACGACAUUUUUCCAAAUUUUACAAAAAAUUGGAUUUACAAUUGUUUUAUGUAACAUCUCCAGAUUUGGUCAUAACAUCUAGUCGGAUUUCGGGUGUUACAUUUAGUGAUAUCAGGUCAGGUUGCAAAACUCAGGCUGUGAACUUUUUGGUUCAAAAUUUUGUGAAAACUAUUUUUCGAGUAAAGUUUGUCGAAACCACUUUUUCGAAACAAAAAAUAGCGUCGACUUAAAAAAUGAAAAUUGGAGUCGCCACCAGUCUUUUUUAUUUAGGUGUGAUCGGAUCACCUCCUAAUUUAAUCAUUUAAAUAAAAGUUAAAAUUUACUAAAACGAUUAAUGGGUUUAAAAAACCUUUUUCUUUACAAACAUUAACAAUAAUAAACGAACAUCGAAGAAAUAGAAAAGAAAAAAGAAAUCGAAAAGAAAAAAAAUUAGAUUUCAAAUCACCUCUCAAAAAUUUAAUUGCUUUCUGAUUUCUUUGGUAUCUUUUUUUACUGAUUUCUUAUUGUUCGCGUAAAAAACUUACAAAGGUCUUUUCUUCCGUUUUAUAGGCAAAAUAUGAAAUAAAUAAAAAAAUACAAUAUAUGUUUUUUCUGUGUUGCUUUUCGUCCUAUUUGUAGGUACGAAGACCAGCUAGCGCUGUACAGAGGCGGUGCAGCACGUGCUUGGCUGAGGUGACUAGAGGCGUGCGGUGGCUGGGUCUGCUGUGUAGUUUAGGGUUUCUGUUGAUUUUUGGUUAUUGGGCUGGGGUUUAAUUUGGGCUUGGGAUUGUGUUUGAUUUUUAAUCUGUAAAUGGACUUUUUAAUAUUGGACUUUUAUUUUUUAUUUGGAUUAUUAUUAUUUUUUGUGUAUGCGGGUCCGGGCUCUACAAAGUUCAUUUCUGGAUUAAUCUGAAAAUUAAUUAUGUGAAGUACCGAGUCUCUGACGUUGAUCCUGUAAGUACUUCUGACUUAGAAAAAUUUUAGUUUAGAAAACUCUAAAAUGAUUAGAACUGUAGUUGGAUAGUUAGAGACAGAAACAUUUCUAUAAAUUCUUUUGAUAACUUUUUGAGUAUAAAAUAUCUACUAAUAAAUACUAAAAUUGAUACAUAAAAUUCAUAAUAUAGGUAAUAUAUACGAUGAGUACUCGUGGAACACAUGGACGUGGUAACCGUAGGCGUGGCAGGCGCCGAAGAGGGGCUCGAGCUGAGUCAUCCUCGAUAGGUACCUGAUAGGCUAUCGCUGGAGAGAGCAAUAGUCUUGAGAGAAGAAAUUUGAAGAUCGAAGUCGGAAUCUGACCUUUAAGGCCUUUAAUUGCUUGAAUAAUAAGCAUUUCCAAACUAAAAGGAUUACAAUUUCUUCAAGAAUUUGACCUGCAGACAUAGUUGAAACAUGAAGGUGUUAAAUUACCUAUUUUGUUAGUGUAAAUCAAAGAGGCUUUUUAUUUUUAUUUUUCGUUGUGAAAUAAUAUGGAUAUGUUAGAUUCUAAUCAUAUUUAAGUAUAUAUUAGUUCUUGAAGAGUUCUUAUUUUUGGUAUUUAUAUUGCAAAUAAUUUUUUUAAAUUAAGAAAAAAGGGGGGAGGGGCAAAUGUGUUUAAACUAAAGACAUCAAGGAGAGUUGUGUCAAAUUCCCAAUGCUUUUUGGAAUGAUCCCACUAAAUUGAUUAACAGACAAUUCCAAAAUUUGAAAAUUGCAGCAUUUGUCUAUACUUGAUGGAAUAGAACUUGAUAAUUCAUUUCUACUGAUCAAGUAAAGCUCUUUAAGCUUGGGAAGAUGGACACACAAAUCAUCAGGCAAGCCACCAGAAAGACUAUUAUCACGUAAAUGAAUCCUUUUCAAAGAAGAAAUGUUAAACAUGGUGCAACCUGGCCAGGUAAUUGAUAAAAUUUUGAUUUAAUCCCUUAAAAAAUAUAAAAAUAUAGACUAUUAAAAUGGUAAAAUUACAUUUUUACUAUUGUAAAAAUUACAAUUUAAUUUCACUCCUAAAAAGAUUUUCUGGCUUCGACCCUAAUAAAUUCUUUGGCAAAAGAUUAAAAUAAAAUUAUACCGUAAAUGAAAAAAGGAAACUAUAAGAAAAUCCAAUCUAACAAAGAAAAUAACUUGAUGUCCAAAAGCUACCAUAAACCGUAAUUCAUGGGAAGGCUUGUUGCUCAUUUUAUUGGUUUCCAUUUUGAUUUUGCAAAAGAAGCUUGAAUUUUGAAGAGAGCCUACUACGUGAGAGCAAAAGAAAAAAAAAUUGUUUAUUAAUUUUUAGGAAUACCGAAAUAUUAUAUAUAUGAUUAAAAAUGUUGAAUUAAAGAUAAAAUUAAGUGUGAAUUAAUAACCACAAGUGUACUUAUUACUCACCAUCUCUGUUAAAAAUGUUGGAUGUUGUUUAGCAACCUUUGUUUGAUUUUCUUCAGCUCAACCACAACAUCUUUCAUAUCUUUUCUUUCUUCUGGCAACUCAGCUGAACAAUUCAAAGCCAACUCCAUGAUAGAUGUAAUACAAUUUGCUUUAACGACAAUGUACUCAUCCUCUCUUCUUAAUAAAUCAACAUCUGCAAUUUCUAUCGCUCCUUUAGGCAAUGAACUUUCCAUCCAAUGCCUUAUACUCUCUUCUUCAACAAAAACAUUAUCAGUAGGCUUUUUCUUCGUGAAAGUUUCUAUAAGGACGACCCCAUAACUAUAGACGUCAGAUUUUAUAGAAACAAUUCCUGCUGAUCCAAAUUCUGCAUUCAAGUAUAAUUAGAACGUCAUUCAUCCUCAAUUAUUUCUAAAAUGCUUAUUCAAAUAUAUAUUCACAUCCACAUGAAACAAAAAUAUAAAAUGCAUAUUAGGAAAAUAAUCAUACAAAAAUAAAAAAGAAUUCACCUGGUGCCAUAUACCCGAUAGUUGCAAGAGUCAUGGUUUGCUUCAUUACUUCACCUUCCCCCAACAAUUUGGCAACGCCAAAAUCUCCAACAUGUGCAACCAUGUCUUCAUCUAGUAAAAUAUUGCUUGGUUUUAUGUCACAGUGAAUUAUAGGUGUUGGAUGUCCAUUGUGGAGGUGUUCUAUAGCUACCGCAACAUCUAUCAUUAUAUCGACCCUUUGUAUGAUAUCAAGGAAACAAUUUUCAGAAUGUAACCAUUUCUCAAGGUUUCCAUUAGACAUGUAAUCAAGCACCAAGGCUUUGAAGUCAACACUUGAGCAGCAAGUAAUGACCUUCACAAUAUUACGAUGAACUAUAUUACGCAUAGCAUCACAUUCAAUGUCAAAACUCCUAAAUGCUCCCUCUGUUUGCAAAUUGAAAACUUUUAUUGCAACUUCCAUUCCAUCUGAAAGCCUCCCUUUAUAUACAUAUCCAAAACUCCCUGAACCAAGCAUAUUGCUUUCCUCAAAUCCAUUAGUUGCUCGUGAAAGUUCAGCAUGUGAAAUUCUUCUCGGUGUCUUCAAAGACAACAAAUCAUCUUUAACUGGUAGAGUUGUACUCCUUUGGCAUCUUCUAUACAUAAUAGUUAAGACUAUUAGUACUAGGACAAUACCAAUUGUUGGUAAACCAUACCUAAAAGCAUGCAAUAUAAUCAUUUGGGAGUUUUUGUGGAUGUCAUUUUUGCAAGGUGGGACUAGCAAUCUAGGUGGACCACAAAGUGCACAAUUCUUCAUGAAUGAUGUGCUAGAAAAGUUUGAAAAACAUCCUUUGCUGGGAAUUUCCCCUUCAAGUCUAUUGAAAGACACAUUAAAAUACUUUAGAUAUAAAAGUUGUUCCAAAGAUUUGGGAAUGACUCCAGAGAAAUUGUUAUUGCAUAAAUCCAAGAAUUCCAAACUAAUCAACCCAUCAAAUGAUUCAGGGAUACGACCAUGUAGUAUAUUAUUUGAUAAAUCUAAUGAAACCAAAGUUUGAAGACCCCCAAAUGUGGAUAAGAUAUCGCCCAUGAGAAGAUUCCUUGAUAAAUUUAGUCUCAGUAGACUCCUAAAAUUUCCAACAUCAAUAGCAUGUGAAUUGUGAAGACGGUUUGAUGAUAAAUCUAUUUCUAAGAUAUCUUUAAGACUCCACAAAGUUGAGGGUAUUGUAGAACUCAAUUUGUUGGAAUCUAACCAAAGAUAUCUCAAAGCAGAAAUAUUACCUAAACAAGAGGGUAUGGAUCCAUGCAGCUUAUUCAACCCUAAAUGCAUCUCGUAUAGUCUCUCCAAACCACAGAGGCUUUCUGGGAUAGGCCCUCCUAAUUUAUUAGAGGAAAGAUCUAGACCUUGCAGAUUCCGCAGUCCUCCUAUUGAUGCUGGAAUGAAUCCACUUAAUUUAUUAUGGCCAAGUUCUAAAACCAAUAAGUUGGUUAAGUUACCUAUUUCCAUAGGAAUAAUGCCUUGAAGCUCACAAUUAUAGGCAAGAAAGAAUUGAAGGGAUUUUGAAAGGUUCCCGAUAUAAGUAGGAAGAACACCACUCAAUGGAUUUCCCGAAACUCCUAUGGCUUUCAAAUUCCUACAAUUCGUCAAAGAAGAAAGAAAGCUCCACUCAUGAUCAGUAGCAGAUCCUGUGAUCAAAUUAUUGUCAAAGAUUUUGAGCACUUCAAGGUGUUUUAAGCUGCCUAGCGUUUUAGGGAUUGGGCCAGAGAAUAAGUUAUGUGACAAGGAUAGAAUCUUUAGCAUGGAAGCAUUGGAGAUAGAGUUGGGAAUGUUUCCGCUAAGUUUAUUUCCCCACAAUAAAAGAAUCUCAAGCUUUGGAGCAUUGGUGAUGGGUGGUAAAUUACCUGUAAAAUAGCAUCUUUUAGUAUACAUAUUCACAAAAUAUAUAAUACAUUAAAAUAAAAACUGUAAAACUUUAAAUCAAUUAAGAAUAAAAUUUUGGCAUGGAAAAAUGUGAUGAAAUCAAUUAGAAAGUUGAGACAUAAUAAGAAGUUUUGAGUACUAAUUAGUCUUUGUGAUUUGUAUAGACAAAACAUAUAAUACACUAAUAAUUUUUUAAAAUAUUGUAAAACUUGAAAUAAAAUAAAAAUAAAAGUUUGGCAUGAGAAUGUGGCAUCUAAUCAAUCUUAAAAAUGAGACUCACACUGAAUAAUAAUUAGUUAUGAUUUGGGAAACAAAAAUGUUAAAGCCAUUGUUUUUAAUGUAAACUGGUAUGAUUCUUAUCUAUUGGGUUAAUUAUUUAUUUUUAUUAAAUUAUAGUGUAAAAUUUAAAUAUUAUUAUUUGCUCAAAAUUUUUGUAUUUUUCGUAUAUUUGAAAUUCAAUCUUUAUAUUUUUUAUUUUCUGUGAUUUAGUCUCUCUACUUUUUUUAUUAAAAAUUUUAGGUUCAUUUAUUAACACUGUUAAAAAGUUUUUGUAUUAGUAUGACAUUUUGAAAAAUAAAAUAAACUUGAUAUCUAUGUUUUUAAUUAUUCCAAAUAUUGUUUUACUAUUUCAAGAUAAAUUAUUUGUGUCUAGACCAAUAUCUUAAGAACUAUUGUUGCAUGUUUAAUUAUUCUAAAAAAUUAUUGAUUGAGUCUUAGCUUGAUUGGCAUGUGCAUUGUUGCCAAUAUAAGAGAAUGUGGGAUCAAAUAUGCUGAAGUUCAUUAUCCUCCUGUUAUGAAUUGGGGAGUUGGUAAAGUAUUAAAUUUUGAUAUAUUUUAAAAUAUUAAAAAUUUAUUAAAAUAUUUUUUAUAAAAAUCGGUUGUACCACAAUAUACAAUUUUAAUAUCAAAUUUUUAAUAUUUUUAAAAUAUUAGCGAAUAUAUACUUUAUUUCAAGUUACACAAUUUUUACUAGUUUUUAACUUUUUUUAAAAUUUUUAUCGUCUUUUAUAAUUUCUAAUAAUUUUUUACAAUAUUUAACAAUUUCUAACCAUUUUUAAUAAUUUUAUUACUUAUUAAAAAUUAACAAAUUAACUAUUUUUUAUUUUUUUAAAACAAUUAUAUAUUUAUAAUGUAGUUAUUUUUUUAUAAUUUUAUUUGAAAUUUUAAAGUUUUUUUGGUUUGUUUUCUAGAUGAUGAUGCCAUCAUGAUGUCAUCAUAUGCCACAUGGCAAUUUAUGAUUAGUUGAAUAUCUCAAUUUAUUUUUUUAAUGUCCAAUGGACUAAACCAAGAACACUUGAUUAUGUUAGAGACUACACUAGGAAUGUUUGAUAACAUUAGGUACUAAAGUAGGAAAAAAAAAAAAAGGAGCAAUACGAUGUAGGGAGUAAACUGUGCAUUAAGCCAUUAAAAAUAUAUCUAUAAUAUAUAUAAAUGCAUGGAUUUUGAGAAACUUUUGAAAUGAUAAUUAUAUAGUCUUUGUUUUUUUACUAUAUUAUUGAAUUUGUUAUUUUAAAUAUUUUUUUAUUACUUUUAAGAUUUAUCAUAUGUAUGGAUAAGAAUUUUGGUUUUACUAAAAUAUUUGGUUAAAUAAAUUCACUUCAUAAGAAGAUUUAGCAUCCUUGUAAAUAACAAUUUUGAUUCUAUUAAAAAAUUAUUUUAAAAUAUAUAUAAUAAAAUUUUAAAAUUUAUAUUGAAUUACUUUAUACUUAAAUUAUUAUUAGAAACUUUAUCAUACACAUACGUGUAUGAGAACUAUGUAUUUAGAACAUAAAUUUGUGUUUUAAAAUAACUUAUGAUAAAUAAUGAAAUGUAUAAUUUGAAACUAUUUAAUAAAAACACAUGGCUUAUCUACAAUAUUAAAAUAAAAAUAGCUUAAAUUGUAAGCAAAACAUAAUUUAAACAUAUGAAUACAUUAAAUUAAGAAUACUAAAUGAAUACAGUUAUUUAUGAUGGUGUUGUCUUCAAUUCCUAAGUUGGUGUCAAGUUAAUUUGUGACAUCAUAAAUUUAAGGUUUUAUGUAUUGAUGUGGAUUCAAAUAUCACCAUUUUUUUUAAAAUAAAAUUUAAAAUAAAUACAUUUUCCACAUUGGUUUCUUUUCUUCUACAGACAAAGGAUUUCUAAUGAUUUUUUUUUUAAAAAAAAUUACUUAUAUAAAAUAGAUUAGUUUAUGCAAUAAAAAUAAUUUCUUUUUUAAAGUUUAAUAGAAAUUAAAAAACAAAAAAAAAAUCAAUUCAUAUAAAGCUUAUUGUUUAUUAUCAGAUUAAAAUGAUAAAAGUAUACGAUAAACCCAUACUUGACGGAAUGUUACCAGAUAAUUCAUUUUUAUUCUAGUAAAGCCCUUCAAGCUUGAGAAUAUGUUGACACAUAUCAUUAGGCAAACUACCUGAUAGGUUAUUGUUGGAGAGAUCAAUGGCCUUCAGAGAAGAAAUGUUGAAGAUCGAAGUUGGAAUCUGACCUGUAAGGCCUUUAAUUUCUCUAAUAUUAAGCAGUUCCAAACCAAGAAGAUUACCGAUUUCCUCAGGAAUUUGAUCUGCACACAUAGUCGAAAAAUCAAGAUGUGAAACUACCUAUUUUGUUAGCAUAAGUCAAAGAGGUUUUCUUUUCUGUUCUACAUAAUUUGCAGAUGUUAGAUUUUAAUAUUUUUAAGCAUAUUUGUUUUCAUCAAAUUAACUAUUUUGAACUAUUUUGCCUUGAAUGAAAUAAAAUGCUCAUAUUUUUGUUAUCUAUUACUAAUCAAACUCUUUUAUAAAAAAAAAUACUUUAAACUAAAGAAACCAAGAAAAUUCAAUACCUUCUAAGUUAUUCAACUCCAAAUAUAAUUCUUUGAGUCGUGUCAGAUUUCCAAUACUUCUUGGAAUGAUCCCCCUCAAUUUAUUAUCGGAAAAUGCCAAUAUUUUAAGGUUGCUGCAUUUGCCCAUACUUGAUGGAAUGUUACCAGAUAAUUCAUUUUUAUUCAAGUAAAGCCCUUCAAGCUUGGGAAGAUGUUGACACAUAUCAUUAGGCAAACUACCUGAUAGGCUAUUGCUGGAGAGAGCAAUAGUCUUGAGAGAAUAAAUGUUGAAGAUCGAAGUUGGAAUUUGACCUGUAAAGCCUUUAAUUGCUUGAAUACUAAGCAUUUCCAAAUUAAAAAGAUUACCGAUUUCUUCAGGAAUUUGACCUGCUGACAUAGUCGAAACAUCAAGGUGUUAAAUUACCUAUUUUGUUAGUGUAAAUCAAAGAGGAUUUUUAUUUUUCUCGUUAUGAAAUAAUAUGGAUAUGUUAGAUUCUAAUCAUAUUUAAGUAUAUAUUAGUUCUUGAAAGAAAGAGUUCUUAGUAUUUAUAUUGCAAAUAUUUUUUUUAAAAUUUAAAAAAAGGGGGGGGGGCAAAUGUGUUUAAACUAAAGAGAUCAAGGAAAAGGCAUACCAUCUAGGUUAUUUAACCCCAAGUAUACUUGUUUAAGUUGUGUCAAAUUCCCAAUGCUUUUUGGAAUGAUCCCACUAAAUUGAUUAAUAGACAAUUCCAAAAUUUGAAGGUUGCAGCAUUUGUCUAUACUUGAUGGAAUAGAACUUGAUAAUUCAUUUCUACUCAAGUAAAGCUCUUUAAGCUUGGGAAGAUGGACACACAGAUCAUCGGGUAAGCCACCAGAAAGACUAUUAUCACGAAAAUGAAUCCUUUUCAAAGAAGAAAUGUUAAAGAUGGAAGAUGGAACCAGGCCAGAUAAUUGAUUGAAUCCCAAGUUCAAGAUCUCUAGAUUGGAUAAGUUGACAAGUGUUUGAGGGAUUGUGCCUGUGAAGUUAUUAUUUCUCAUUUCCAACCUUUGAACUCUGUGCAAGUUCCCAAGCCAUGAUGGAAUUUCCCCAUUAAGACGGUUGUAGCUUAAUCGAAUGAUCCUCAAACGAUGCAAUUGGCCCAAUUCUUUAGGCAGAUGGCCAUAGAAAUUGUUGUUGCUCAGGUCGAGAGAAAAUAGAAAUGAAAGAUUUCCAAGGUGUGGAGGGAUAGUACCCCUAAGAUUCAUGUUUGUAAGAUUCAAAGCUACAACUCUUUCAUGGAUGAUGUCACAAGAAACACCAGCCCACUUACAAACAGAGGUAGAGUUCGUCCAAUUGUUUGCCAACACAUUUUGAGGAUCGACAAUGCGAUCUUUAAACUCAAAGAGUGCAAACUGAUAGGAGUUGAGAUUCCGGACUGUCAUAGCCAAGGAAACAAUGGAACAUUGUAUGAAUAAAAGUGAAAGAAGAUGAAAGCAAGUGUUGUAGUUCAUGAUGGCAAGACGAAAUAAGCCAGGAAAAGGGAAGUUGAAUUGAUGAAGAAAUACCCAGCCAACAUGCUUAAAUAGGCUUCAACCCUUGCACACUUCUCAUACAUAAAGUUCACUGCCAUUACAACAAGAAAACUCGUAUCUCCAUUCAUACCUAUCCAUACUUUAUUUGACUAACUUUUCCCUAACAGGUGUUCAGUAAGGAGACAAAUCACUUUGGAGCUAUUCACCGACUUCUCCAACCUUGGUUUCAAACUCCUAGCCCAUCAAUUCACUUUAAUUGAAACGAUAUACACGAGUCUUUCGGCUUAUAUUUUUAACUUACUACUUCUCUUUUUAAUUUAUUUUUUGUUACUUCUCAUAAUAUUUUUUGAGAAAUCCAAUAUUCCAGUCUGAAAUUUCUUCAUUGCCACGUCUAUCUCCUCGGUAAGUUCGUGGCUAGGCGGCCCACUUUGGGGGCAGGAUUGUAAUUUUAGUUCUAUCCGACUCAUUUUACUAUUUAGAAAUAUAAAAGUAAUAUUAUAUUAAUUUUUAUAUUUUUAUAAAUUUAAAUUUAAAUUUAAUUUUUAAACAAUAAAACGAGUCAUUUUUAUUUGCCUAGGCUAAAUUGAAUCAGGAGUGAAAAAUUUUUUAAUCAUAAUUUACUAUUAUUUUAAUUAAUUAAAUUUUAAUUUACUAUAACUAGUAGUUGCAAAAAAAAUGACAUUCCUUUAGAAAAAUGAGAACUUAUGAAGCAUUCAAUAAGAGUUGUUGGAAUACAUGGUAACGAAACCAUAAUUCGAUAUAAAACUAUAUAAAUAAUGUAAGAUUUGUGAUACCUAAAUUGUUAUGUUUUCUAUAAAUAUAUGGAGAUUUUUUAUUAGGAAAUAAUUUUAUAUAUCAACAUUUGUUAUUUUCUUUUGAUAGAAAUUUAAUUAUGUUAUCUGUAGAAAAAAAUAUUUAUAGAAAUAUCAUUAGUAGAAAAUCAUAAAUUUGUGUGUGGCAAAAAAUUUUCACCACCAAGAAAGGGACAAAUUAAACAACUUGAAAGUCAUUGGUUGUUUAAAAUAUUAGAUAAUAAUUUUAGUGAAGAAUCAUUAAAAUUAUGACAAAAUAACCCUAGAUAUUGUAGUAUUAAAUUAGAAAAUCUCAAUAAUAUUAUUAGAGUAAAACCUAUGAUGUAUCUAAACAAGAUAUAGAAGAAUUUGAUAUACAAAUUAAGGGUAGAAAUCAUACGGAAAUAAUAAAAAACAAGAAAAAGCUAGUAUGGUCAUUAAUUAUAAAAGAUUAAAUCAAAAUAUUAUUUUUUGUAGUUACUUGAAUUAAUCAGGAUAAACAAAAAAAAAUAUUUUAGUAAAUUUGACUGUAAAUCAGGAUUCUAGUAAAUCAUGCUAACAGAAAAAUCUAAACCUUUAACAGCUUUUAGUGCACCCAAUGGACAUUAUUAAUGGAAAGUGAUGUCAUUUGAAUUAUGCGAUGCACCACAAAUCUUCCAAAGACAAAUGGAUUUUAUAUUUAAUAAAUAUAAAAAAUUAUGGGUAGUUUAUAUAGAUGAUAUUUUGAUAUUUUCAGAUACACUAGAAUUACAUAAGAAAUAUUUAAAUAUUAUUUCUUAAGAAUUCAUAAAAUAUAGAAUCAUAUUAAACCCUAAAAGUAUGGAGUUAGAAAAAAGAGAGGGAAUUUUUAUAAUAGUGGAAAUAAAAAAUUGUCCUCAAAAGAUUGAAGAAAAAAAGAAGUUACAACAAUUUGUAAUAUAUUCCUCCCAAAUUUUCAGUUGCAAAUUUAUUACAGAAUUUCUUUGCCGACAAUAAGAAAAGAGCAUAUUCACAUUUUCGUCGCAAUUUCAACUAACAACCAAUCUGUUUCCCACUUUCCUUUUUCGGCCAAUUUCAAACGUAACUGUUUUUCGAAUUUUCCUCUUUAUUUCAUUAAUAAAAUGAUCAAUCUAUUUGUUUUUUAAAUAUAUAAUUUUAUUAAUAUUUUUUAAUUAUAAUAUAAGAGUUGUUGUUUAUUUAUAGUUUUAUUACAUUAUUUAAUCUCUUUUUUAUAUCAAGUUUUUAAAAUUAUAAUAUAAGAUUUAUUUUAUCAAAUUGUGGCUUAUCAAAUGUUCAUCUAUUUUAAUAAUAACUUGAGUUCGAAUCAUUAUCAUACCAGAAAGAGUUCCCUUUAUUCUUUAUCGUAAAUUUUAUAAGAAAUUAUAUUUUAUUAUAAUACUAUAUGUGUUAGAAUAAUAUUUUAUUGUGGAUGCCCAUAAUUCUCAAAGUUGUAACCUUGAAUGUAGUAACCUCAAUGAAAUUAUGAGGCUUUUAUAUUGUAAUCAAGCCUCUAUCUAUUCUUUGUAUUCUUUGUAGAAAAUAUGAAGUUGAUUUUACUUUAUUAAAAAAUUUAAAAUAAAUUAUCUUGUUUUUUUUUAAAUGAGUUAACCAAAUUAGCAUAUUUAUUUUGAUCUAAAAUUAUCCAAAAUAAUAUAAAAUAUUAUAUUAAUAAAAUUAAAACUAUGAAAUAAUUUUUUUUAAAGAUUAUUAUUUACUUUUAUCAAACAAUACAAUUAUAUUCAGUACUUAUAUUUACUAGUUUACCAAACAGUUUUCCAAUAUGAAUUCAACACUUAUCAAAUUCAGUAUUAAAAAUUCAGUGCUUAAUUUUUUAGCACUUAACUUUUCAAUUCAUCAAGCACGUCUAAUUCAAUUUAUACAAUUCCCUAUUUGUAUCUCUAUGAAUUUAUAAAAUCCUUCUCGCAUUUAGUUGUUGGGAUCUUUAUAUGAAGAUAGAUGCUUUUAUUUUUUAUUGGUUCAUUUUUAAUUGUAUUGAUUUAUUUAAUUUUAAUUUUGAUUAAUAUAUAUGAUUAUUGUGGAAUGGGAGUAAAAGUAUUUACUUCUCAUAAACUUUGAAAUAUUCACCCUGUCUACAUAUUAAUUAUUGUAAAAUUUGAAUUGAAAUUAUGCCAUAAAAGGUGGAGGUUAGAAAACCUCUUAUUGAGACCUUAUAAUAUUUUGUAAUUUUUUGUGUUAUGGUAUAUAAAAAAAUAUCUAACCAUAGUGAUUGAUUAGUAAUAUAAAUUUGUUAUUUGUUAUGUUUAAUAUAUAUUUUAUUUAUACUUAUUCAUUUUAUUUUUAUAUGAGUAAAUGAAGUGUUUGAAGAUUCGAAAUUUUUAUCAUCCAUGUUGAAAAUAAGUGCAAAAGUGUAUAUUAUUUAAAAUAAAUUACGCAUUCAUUAAUGUUAUGUGAUAAAAUCAUUACAUUUUCUGAAGAACUAAUAUUGCAUCAAACUGUAAAAAGCUCUUGAAGAGCUAAUAUUUAUCUCCCUGUGAUGCAAAAUCUUGUAAAACAUGAUAUUAUUUUUCAAAUCAAGAAGAUUUAUGUUGAAGGAAAUAUUUAUGUGUUUUACAUUAAAACCAUGGAUAGAAAUGACAUGAGACACUCAUGUAUUUGCAUUAUAAAUAUUCCUUGAAGGAAUACACUUCACUUGUAUGAUUGACAUAUGAGAUAAUAGCAAGAAGUUUAUAGUGUUGGUAUGGCCGGCUAGACCAUCUCAAGUCAAUAAUGAUGCAAAAUAAUUUGAAGAGAAUUUAUAUGAUUUUAUUGAAGAAUGAGAAGUUAUUUUCAUUUUGAUAAUUGUCAUCAACAAUAGUUCUUUGGAAAAAAAAAUAUUGAACUAACAUCAACUAAAGUUAGAGGUUGGUUCAUGGUUGCAUUUUUUGAUGAUAUCCAAAUAAUAUAUGAGCUCAUGUAUCACAUGUAUGCAACCCAAAGUUUACAGUAUUAUUUCUUGAAAUAAUUUGAUUCUACACAAUCUCUAUAGCAUGCAAUUUGUGCUAACAACACUGGUGCAUUAUAUCCUAAGCUUGAUUUUCGUAGUUUUAGCUGAGAUAAUAUUAAGUUGUCUAUGCCUAUAUAUAUUAUACUUAAUGGUUAGCAAAAUUAUGCCUCCAUUUAAUUGCUUAACCAUUAAUAUAAGAAUAGCUUUAAAAUAAGCAUGUAAUUUUAUUUGCAUCGAGCCAACAUGUAAGAAAUAUUUGUCCCAUGAGAAUUAGCUUUUAUUUAUAAGCCAAUAGGUUUCAUUUAUGACUAUUUGGAUGUAAAAUAUCUAUUUUAUAUUCCACCAUAAUGCACUAAGAUGGACCAUCAAGUAUGAAGUUGAGAAAAAUUAGAAUUUUUAUUUGAUGGUAAAAGUUGAAAAGAGAUAUAUAUUUAUAAUUUUGAAAAAAAUAGUCAUGUUGCAAAUUUUCUCAGUAUUAGAGGGAGACAAGUUGGACAAAUACGUAUAAUUAUGUCAUCACUUUUUGUGAUCCCUCACUAAUCUUAUGUGCACAAAGUUUGAAGGAAAAAAAUAAUUUGCUAGACAUGUUUAGUGAUGACAUUUAGAGAUUGUAUAUAUUGGAUGAUACAUAUACCAGCUAAAAUGUUCCAAAUAAUUAUGCGUCCUAGAAGGACAAAGUGAUAAAAAUAAUUUUUGGGCACGCUAGAAGGAUGAAAAACUAGUUGGUUCUAUAAAUAAAAAAAUUCUUGACAGAAAAGAGUAAGAAAUGAAUAUGGCCACACGUUAAAGGAGACGAGUACUCAUGAAGAGACCCAAGGUAUAACUUUUAAUAAAACCCCAAAAGAGGUUCAAUACAUGAAAUUAUGAAUAUAAUAAGUGUAAUAACCAAAUUUUUCCCGGGCCCAAUGCCAAACAAAUAAAACCCAAACCAAAUAAAUAAAAUAAGAGUCCAAAUUAUAGUCCGUUAGGGCCCAAUUCAGACCAGCCCACUAUUCAAUCAGACCAGCCGAACAACAAAAAAAAACCUAGUAGCCCACAGCCCAACUAAGCCUAAAAAAUUUUCAGCAAAAGAAAAAACCCUAGCUGCCAUGCUAGCCGCUGCUCCUGCCCUAGCCUCUGCCCACUAUCGUACGCCACCUCUGCCAUCACCAUUAGCCUCUGACACCUGCAAAACAGCAAACAACAUGCAACAACAGAGAAGAAGACGACAAGCAAAAAACAAAUCACUAAAGGACAAAAAUAAUGAUAACAAAUAGCCUUAGUUUGGCUAUAAAAGCAAAAAAAAUGAAAACUUUGUACUUCUUUGGCAAGAUUAAUACAAAAAAGAAAAGAUUUGAACUUUUUAGGGUGAUAUUUCAUUUUUUUUUACGCUUUAGAUCUAUUUUUUUAUUUCAUCUUCAUCUACGAAAAUAAUAGAAAAAAGACUUUGAUUUCAAGGUGAUAUUUUGUUGUUUUUUUAGAUCUAGUGUUUUUUUAUUUAUUUUUAUCUACAAAAAUAAAAAAAGGAAAAGAGAAACGUACCUAAUUCACCCCGUGGCUCCGUCGACGGAAGUCCCAUCGCCAUCGUCGGAAUCGGGCUUAAAAGGGGAAGGUUUUUAUUUUUCUUUACUUUUUUUUGGAUUUUUCGUCUCAAGAAAUGGACUAAGGGAGGGGAAAUGGCCAAAAUGGUCUUUUUCCGAUGAACUCUGGCAACCACAUGUGGCAGUUAACAGUGCCGGUGCUCGGUGGCUGCGGUGGAGCCAUGGUGGUGUCCCAUGGCCGGAUCUAGAGAGGAAGCCUUUAAGAGGGAGAGAGUUUCUAACAUUUUUUUUAUUUUCUAAGGCAGAAAUGAAUUUUUGAAAAAAAAAAGUUGGGUUUUAUAAGUGCGUGAAAUGGCGCCAUUUUGCGCAAGUGCACAUCGACGUCGAAACGACAUCGUUUACCCCUUUACCCGCUUGCCCGAGUCUGGCUCGAUGAAGGUCCGCAUAUUUUCAUGCCUGAUGGGUUAUUUCCCUGCCCGAUCCUUCCGAUUUUGGGCUUCUUCUCAAUCUGGUCCUGAUCCUACUUUUUCCCGCCUUUUAAAUUGUACCAUUUAAUUUCAUUUCAUUUUCAACUCGGUCCCUCGGCUGACCAAAGGAAAUGAUGCGCAUAAAGUUAAGGGAUAUUUUCCCUUUCAAUCCCCAAUAUUUUUAGAGCGAUGCAUUUUAAUCCCUAACCUUUCAUUCCAAUCUUUUACACAUAUUAUUUCAUUUUAUUCGUUUAUUUAUUGACUUAUCAUUUUUACCCUCUUUUUAUACUUAAAAAUAUAUAUUAUUUACACUAUUACUUGCAUUUUUUUACUAUUAAAUUAUUAUUUUUAAUGUAUUAUAUUCCCAUUAUUUUACCAUUUUAUUUAUUUUGAUACUUUCAUGUCACAUUUAUUUAUUUUAAUAUUGCCAUUAUUUAUUUUAUUUUAUUCUUAUGUUUUUUAGUAUUUUAUUAUUUCUUUUAUUGUUCACGGUUUUUUUUUCAUGUUAUACAUUUUUAUCUUUCUAAUCAUGCAUUUUUCCUUUUUUUAUUUUGUUUUAGGUUACGUUAUUUAUUAUUAUUAUUAUGAUAAUAUUAUUAUAAUUAUAUUACCAUUAUUAUAGAAUUCCUUUAUUUGUAUAUUCCAUUAUAACUAUUAUUAUUAUUAGUAGUCUUUAACUCACUUCUAUUUUUAUUAUUAUUUUUUAGAAUAGUAGUCAACAUGCUUAUCCUUAUUGUUAUUUGGUGUUGUUCUUAUGAUUUUAUCAUCAUUAUUGUUGUAUUUCAUUUUUUGUUCACUCUUUAAAUAUUUUGUUCAUAUAGUUAUUUUACACUAUUGCAAUAUUGUUGCAUUACGCAUUAUGUUUCUUAUAUAAUAAUUAUUUCGCUUUCACGCGAUGUUCGAAUCAAUUAAACAUGAAUCUUCUCAAUUAUUACAUUAAUUGUUACUUAAGUUCAAAAAGAAAAUUUUCAAAAUAAGGCAAUAUUUUGCGUUUUGGAAAUUCGAGAAAUCAUACCCUAACUUACGAGGUUUCGAUUUUCUCGUUAAACUUAAAUAGCAAAAUAUUCUUUUAAAUUUCAAAAUGCAUGCAAUUUCAAUAAAAAUCAAAGGCAAGCUUAUUCUCUAAGGUUCCAAAUAUCGCGUCCUAACUUACGGGAUGUGACAUUUCGUUACCUCGAGACGAGUAGGUCUUCAACUCUCUUUUCGAUUUAUUCGAGCGUUUUUAAUAACAUUAAUAAAAAGGGAUCGUAUUUUAAAUUUCUAUUCAAGUUUUCAACCUUGGACAUUAAGACAUUACUUAAUCAACUAGGUACCACCUUUGGGUGUAUUGAGGGUGUGUUUUCUAGAUUUUGUAGACCAAAUAUUAUCGUUUUUAGUAAAUUUAAAUUUUUAUUAAAAUGAUUAAAUUACAAGUGUUGACACCAUUUUUUUGAUGAAAAACGGGGUCGACUUGGGUUUUAAAAAAAAUGAAAAACGGGAGUCGCCACCAAUCCUUUUUGAUAAGGUGUGAUUGGGUCACCUUGAAAAAUGGUUGUUUUUAAUAAAUGAUUUGAUUUUAUUAAAACAACGGUUUUGGUCCAUGAAAUUUAGAAAACGGGUUCGGGAGUCGAUUACGUACGAGGAAGGAUUAGCACCCUCGUAACGCCCAAAAAUUGGUACCUAGUUGGUUAGCUAAUGUCUUGAUGUCGAAAAUUGAGAACUUGGAAAAAAUUAAAAAUACGAUCCUUGUAUUAAAAUGAAAAUUUUAGGAAAAGGGGGGCAUACUUCACGCUAAUCGAGAAAGAGAAUCAUAUCCAGUAAGUUAGGACACAAUGUCUCGAAUUCCCGAUACGCGAAUGAAUGCCAAAAUUUUACUUAUUUAAAAGACAUUUUAGCCGUCUCGAAUUUAAAAAUGAAAUCACGACCAGUAAGUUAGGACGUGAUUUUUUAAAACUUGAGUUUGAAAAGAUUCGUGCAUCUAGAUUUAUCGUGAAAAUCAAUACCCAGUAAGUUAGGGUACGAUUUUCUUGAAUUUAAACACGAAAUGCCAUUUUUUAAAACAAAUUUUGUUAUAUCGAGUGAAAUAAAAACACAAAGUCGUAGUAAAAAAAUGUGUAAGCAAAUUACAUUGUUAUGCAUGGCAAAAUCAUAAUGAAUACAAAAGUAUAAAAAUGAUACGAGCAAUAACAACAAUAUAAAAUAAAUAAAAGUCAAACCUACAAUAAUAUUAAAUAACAAUGUAUAUAAACAAAUAAAAUUAAAACAUUCAUUCAAAAUAAUAAUGAAAAUGAAAUAAAUAAAUAGUAAAUACAAAAUAAAACAAUAGUAAUGAAUAAAAAUAAUAUAAUAUAUAUAUGUAUGUUAGAAUUAUAAAGUAUAAAAAUAUACGUAUGUGUAUAUAAGAAUAUGUAAGCAUGUAUAUACAUAGAUUAUAAAAUAUAGAUAUUUAUAUAAAAAUGAGUAUUUGUAUUAAAUAAGUUGAAAAAAAAUAUAUAUAUACCUACAUAUAUAUAAAAAAUUAUAUAAUAAUAACAAUAUAAUAAAACACAUAUAUCUAAAAUUUACAUAAGUAAAUAUAAAUAAAAACAUACUAAUAACAAUAAUAUUAAUAGUAAAAUGAUAAUACAUAAAAAUGAUGAAGAAAAUAAUAAAAAUGCUUAAAAGGGGACUAAAUCGAAGUAAGAACCAAAAAAAAGGGGCAAAAUCGAAAUAAAGACAAGAGGGACUAAAUUGUAACGCGCGCUGAAAGAGGGGGACCAACAGGGUAACUAAACCAAAGCCUCAAAACGCUGCUCUGUAAAGGACUGAAAUGAGACAAAAAUAAAAUUUUGUGGCCAAAUUGCAAAUAUGCGAAAAACUUCCAUGAAAUCGCUACAAAAUCAAAGGGACUAAUUGCGCAAAUAGACCCUUAAACAAAAACGCGCGGAUCCUUGGGUGCGGGUCGGGUCGACGUGCGGAUCCCCUCACCAAAACGGCGUCGUUUUGUGUUUAAUAUAAAUAUAAAAAAAGGGCUAAAAAAACAGUUUCAUCAUUUUUGUUGAAAAACUGAGAGAAACCUCUCUCUUUUUUCCCUUUCUCAGGCUCAGAUUCCGGAGAUGGCCCGGCCUAGGCUUCUGGCGAAUCUCCGCCGUAGAGCCACCGUGUGUGGCGGCCGGAGGUCCAAAAUCGGACCUUUUCGGUCCCUUUUUGAAACUAAGAAUCCCUAGGGUACGGAUCUGGGACCAAACCCCCGAAAAAAAGAAUCGGAGACCUAAAGAACGAGGGGAAACCGCUCGUCUUCUCUCCUCCGGCGCGGCGCAGGUAAGGUUUCUUUUUCCUUUAUUUAUAUUACGUAAAAAACAUACAAAAAGAAAAAAAAGAAAAUAGAGUUUAAAAAAAAUCUAAAACAGAAAUGAGAGAAAAUCACCUCUCAAGUUUUCUUGUUUUUUAUUUCUUUUUGCUAAUAUCUGUUUCUUCUUUUUACAAAAGUUGAUGGAAGAAGAAAAAAUUACAUUUUGUUGGCUUUUUAUAGCCGACUUCUACUACUGCCUGUGUUAUUUGCUCUCUGUUUCUUUGUUUUGUUUCUUCUUUGCAGGUGACGGUGCAAGUGGUGGUGGUGACGUGACCGUGGCAGUGGCGGUGUGAUGUUGGCGGCGGCGGCAGGCCAAAGGUCAAUAGGUGUGGAGCCUAGGGUUUUAGUUUUUGAAACCCUAGGCAGAUUUUUUUAGGGGAAUUGGGCCUUAGCUAUUGGGUCGUUCGGGUUUGGGCGUUGGGUUAGGCUAGUUGGGCUUUGAGGUUGGGUUGUUUUGUAAUGUGCUUUGGUGUUUGGGUUGGUAGGUGGUGGGUAAGGUUUAUUGUUUUGGGUUCUUGGGCCUGGUUCUGUUUGGUUAGGGUAAUGGGCCAUUUGGGUCUGGGCAUAAAAUUGGGCUAUACAACAAGGUGACCCGAUUACACCUCAUCAAAAAGGAUUGGUGGCGACUCCCAUUUUCAUUUUCAUUUCUUUUUAAAUCAAAGUCAACCCGUUUUUAAAAAAAUGGUUUCGACAAUAAGAUAUAUUGAUUAGUUAUGUCAUAACUAAAGAUGAUGGAGUUGACAAAAGGAAAUUGUAGUUAACAACGAAUAAUCUACGUAGAACAUUUCAAUAUUAUGGAAAAAUGAGUAUUUACCAACCUUCUUUUAGUCAAAUUAUGCAAGCCUAAAAUUUUUAGCUUAAUUUGAGUUUGUUGACUAUGUCUAAUUCAAGUUUUAUUAUUAAGGACUAAAUUGUAACUUAAAAAAAUUAGAAUACCAAUUUAAAGAGACAAAAAUUCAAAACCCCAAAACCCACAUGGGCAUGUGGGUAAGUGACACAGGCGUGUGGAGACUGGAGCUAUCACACACGGGCGAGUGGGACAGAAAAAUAUGAAAUAAAUUAAUCCACUUAAAUUUCAAACAACCAUGCUAUACUACCAAACCAAAUAAUGCUAGAAGCUUUGAAUAGGGGUGAAUCGAAAAAAAAAUAAAAGAAUUAGAAUUAAAUUAUAAAAUUUUCAGAAGUUAUCAUGUAUUAAUUUAUUAUUUUUUAAAGGGUCUUAAUAGAAUUUUUUUUCCAUUUUGGUUUGGCCAAUACCCCUGUCUACCUCUUUCAAUUUGCUUCAACCCUAAACCUAAUAUUCGAUUUGUUGUGGAAGUUUGACGCAUAAAAAUUUCUUUUUUAGAGGUUUAAAUUAUAAAUUUUUGAAAGUUUAAAAUAAAUUUUCAUUUUUAUUAACAAAAUAUAAAAGAAAAAAAACAUGUGUAGACAAACCAAGAAACCUUUGGGAUCAUACGGGUGAUUUUGAUGAUGUUAAUGGUUAUUUUGAUGGAGAGGGUGAAAAAGAAACAAAUGAUUCAUAUAUAUAAUAUAAUUAUGAAAUUCAAGCCAUAUAUUGUAUGUUUCAUCCAUAAAAAUUUCAUGGGAGGUCCGAAGGUAAUUAAAUGACUUGUAGGCUUGCUGAAUUUCUUUGAAAGGCCCAAUGGCAAUUUAACAUUCACAAAAUAAUCUCUAAAUACUGUAAAGACAAAAUCAAAUCCACAGCAGCAUUAGAGUUGAUUAAGCUAAGCAUUGGCAAAUAUUACUUUGAUUUUGCAUGCAAUAUUAGCAAAACCCCCUCUUACAUUAGAUAAACAACAUACUCCAUGAAACAUUGAUAGCCCAAAUACAAAUUUCAUCGACAAAAAAGUCUCUUUGUUUUGUAGAACAUGAUAGUAAAAAUGUGGAGUUUCGUUCUUCUUAUUGGCCUCCUUUAGUUUUCCUUGAUCAACAACCACUAGCCAAAAACACAAUUAGAUUAGAUUAUGAAUGAUACUGACAUUAUUAAAUAUAAAACACUCUAAAUAACUCUAAAUAAAUGGAAAGCAGCAAAUUACCUGACGAGGCAAGCUAGCUCAAUUAAGACCAUUGUGUUAUACUUGUCUCUGAAUUGAAAAAUUUAGAAGGAAAUAAAGAGAAAGACUUAGAAAAUAUUUGAAAACAGAUAAAACUUAUAUGUCAUUUAAAAUAAAAAUUUUGUAUUUAAGCCGUUUAAAAUUUUUAAGAUUUUUGAAAUUUUAAAAUGAUAAAGGUAAAAUUGUACUUUGGCACACCAAAAAUGAUAAAACUUUGAUUUAAUCCUUUAGAAAUUAUAAAAAUAUAGGCUAUUAAAAUGGUGAAAUUACCUUUUUACUAUAGUAAAAAUUACAAUUUAAUUUCACUUUAAGAUUUUCUGACUUCGCCCCUAAUAAAAUCUUUGGCAAAAGAUUAAAAUAAAAUUAUACCGUAAAUGGAAAAAGAAACAAAGAAAAUCCAAUCUAACAAAGAAAAUAACUUAUGUCCAAAAGCUACCAUAAACCGUAAUUCAUGGGAAGAGAGCAAAAGUAAAAACAAAUAGUUUAUAUGAUUAAAAUUCCAGAAUAGGUUAAAAAUGUUGAAUUAAAGAUAAAAUUAAGCGUGAAUUAAUAACCACAAGUGUACUCUUUACUCACCAUCUCUGUUAAAAAUGUUGGAUGUUGUUUAGCAACCUUUGUUUGAUUUUCUUCAGCUCAACCACAACAUCUUUCAUUUCUUUUCUUUCUUCUGGUAACUCAGCUGAACAAUUCAAAGCCAACUCCAUGAUAGAUGAAAUACAAUUUGCUUUAACAACAAAGUACUCAUCCUCUCUUCUUAGUAAAUCAACAUCUGCAAUUUCUAUCGCUCCUUUAGGCAAUGAACUUUCCAUCCAAUGCCUUAUAGUCUCUUCUUCAACAAAAACAUUAUCAGUUGGCUUUCUCUUUGUGAAAGUUUCUAUAAGGACGAUCCCAUAACUAUAAACGUCAGAUUUUAUAGAAACAAGUCCUGCAGAUCCAAAUUCUGCAUUUCAAGUAUAAUUAGAACAUCAUCAGUCCUCAAUUAUUUGAUAAAUCUAUGUAUAUCCACAUACACGAGAAACAAAAAUAUAAAACGCAAAUUAGGAAAAUAAUCGUACAAAGAUAAAAAAAGAAUUCACCUGGUGCCAUAUACCCGAUUGUUGCAAGAGUCAUGGUUUGCUUCAUUACUUCACCUUCUCCCAACAAUUUGGCAACGCCAAAAUCUCCAACAUGUGCAACCAUGUCUUCAUCUAGUAAAAUAUUGCUUGGUUUUAUGUCACAAUGAAUUAUAGGGGUUGGAUGUCCAUUGUGGAGGUGUUCUAUAGCCACCGCAACAUCUAUCAUUAUGUCGACCCUUUGUAUGAUAUCAAGGAAACAAUUUUUAGAAUGUAACCAUUUCUCAAGGUUUCCAUUAGACAUGUAAUCAAGCACCAAGGCUUUGAAGUCAACACUUGAGCAGCAAGUAAUGACCUUCACAAUAUUACGAUGAACUAUAUGAAGCAUAGCAUCACAUUCAAUGUCAAAACUCCUAAAUGCUCCCUCUGUUUGCAAAUUGAAAACUUUUAUUGCAACUUCCAUUCCAUCUGAAAGCCUCCCUUUAUAUACAUAUCCAAAACUCCCUGAACCAAGCAUAUUGCUUUCCUCAAGUCCAUUAGUUGCUCGUGAAAGUUCAGCAUGUGAAAUUCUUCUCGGUGUCUUCAAAGACAACAAAUCAUCUUUAAUUGGUAGAGCUGUACUCCUUCUUUGGCAUCUUCUAUACAUAAUAGUUAAGACUAUUAGUACUACGACAAUACCAAUUGUUGGUAAACCAUACCUAAAAGCAUGCAAUAUAAUCGUUUGGGAGUUUUUGUGGAUGUCGUUUUUACAAGGUGGGACUAGCAAUCUAGGUGGACCACAAAGUGCAUAAUUCUUCAUGAAUGAUGUGCUAGAAAAGUUUGAAAAACAUCCUUCGCUGGGAAUUUCCCCUUCAAGUCUAUUGAAAGACACAUUAAAAUACUUUAGAUAUAAAAGCUUUUCCAAAGAUUUGGGAAUGACUCCAGAGAGAUUGUUAUUGCAUAAAUCCAAGAAUUCCAAACUAAUCAACCCAUCAAAUGAUUCAGGGAUAUGACCAUGUAGUAUAUUAUUUGAUAAAUCUAAUGAAACCAAAGUUAUAAGACCCCCAAAUGUGGAUAAGAUAUCGCCCGUGAGAAGAUUCCUUGAUAAAUUUAGUUUCAGUAGACUCCUCAAAUUUCCAACAUCAAUAGCAUGUGAAUUGUGAAGAUGGUUUGAUGAUAAGUCUAUUUCUAAGAUAUCUUUAAGAUUCCACAAAGUUGAGGGUAUUGUAGAACUCAAUUUGUUGGAAUCUAAGUAAAGAUAUCCCAAAGAAGUAAUAUUACCCAAACAAGAGGGUAUGGAUCCAUGCAGCUUAUUCAACCCUAAAUACAUCUUGUAUAGUCUCUCCAAAUCACAAAGGCUUUAUGAGAUGGGCCCUCCUAAUUUAUUAGAGGAAAGAUAUAGACCUUGGAGAUUUCUCAUUCCUCCUAUUGAUGCUGGAAUCAAUCCACUUAAUUUAUUAUAGUCAAGUUGUAAAAGCAAUAGGUUGGUUAAGUUACCUAUUUCCAUAGGAAUAAUGCCUUGAAGCUCACACUCAUCGGCAUAAAAGUAUUGAAGGGAUUUUGAAAGGUUCCCAAUAUAAGUAGGAAGAACGCCACUCAAUGGAUUUCCUGAAACACCUAUUUUUCUCAAAUUCCUACAAUUCGUCAAAGAAGAAAGAAAGCUCCACUCAUGAUCAGUAGCAGAUCCUGUGAUCAAAUUAUUGUCAAAGAUUUUGAGCACUUCAAGGUGUUUUAAGCUGCCAAGCAUUUUAGGGAUUGGGCCAGAGAAUAAGUUUCGUGACAACUCUAGUUUCUUAAGCAUGGAAGCAUUGGAGAUAGAGUUGGGAAUGUUUCCGCUAAGUUUAUUUCUCCACAAUAAAAGAAUCUCAAGCUUUGGAGCAUUGGUGAUUGGUGGUAAAUCACCUGUGAAAUAGCAUCUUUUAGUAUACACAUUCAUUGAAUACCAAAUUCACAAAAUAUAUAAUACAUUAAAAUAAAAACUGUAAAACUUUAAAUCAAUUAAGAAUAAAAUUUUGGCAUGGAAAAAUGUGAUGAAAUCAAUUAGAAAGUUGAGACAUAAUAAGAAGUUUUGAGUAGUAAUUACUCAUGAUUUCUAUAGACAAAACAUAUAAUACACUGAUAAUUUUUUAAAAAAUAUUGUAAAACCUGAAAUAAAAUAAAAAAUAAAAGUUUGGCAUGAGAAUGUGGCAUCUAAUCAUUCUUAAAAAUAAGACUAACAUUGAAUAAUAAUUAGUUAUGAUUUGAGAAACAAAAAUGUUAAAGAUGUAAACUGGUAUGAUUUUUAUCUAUUGGGUUAAUUAUUUAUUUUUAUUAAAUUAUAUAUAGUGUAAAAUUUAAAGAUUAUUAUUUGCUCAAAAUUUUUGUAUUUUUCGUAUAUUUGAAAUUUAAUCUUUAUAUUUUUUAUUUUCUGUGAUUUAGUCUCUCUACUUUUUGAAUUGAAAAUUUUAAGUUUAUUUAUUAACACUGUUAAAAAGUUUUUGUGUUAGUAUGGCAUUUUGAAAAAUAAAAUAAAAUUGAUAUCUAUGUUUUUAAUUAUUCCAAAUAUUGUUUUACUAUUUCAAGAUAAACUUUUUGUGUCUAUACCAAUAUCUUAAGAACUAUUGUUGCAUGUUUAAUUAUUCUAAAGAUUUGUUGAUUGAGUCUUGGUUGAAGUGCAUUAUUCUCCUAUUUAUGAAUUGGGGAGUUGAUAAAGUACUUUAUUUUAAUAUAUUUUAAAAUAUUAAAAAUUUAUUAAAAUAUUUUUUAUAAAACUUGAUUGUACCACAAUAUACAAUUUUAAUAUCAAAUUUUUAAUUGUUUUUUAAAAAUAUUAGCGAAUAUAUACUUUAUUUCAAGUUACACAAUUUUUACUAGCUUUUAACUUUUUUUAAAAUUUUUAUCGUCUUUUAUAAUUUCUAAUAAUUUUUUAUAAUUUUUUACAAUAUUUACAAUUUCUAACAAUUUUUAAUAAUUUUAUUAUUUAUUUCAAAUUUAAAAAUUAACAAAUUUUUAUUUUUUUAAAACAAUUAUAUAUUUAUAAUGUAGUUAUUUUUUUAUAAUUUUUUUUUGAAAUUUAAAGAUUUUUUUGGUUUUUUUUUUCUAGAUGAUGAUGCCAUCAUGAUGCCAUCAUAUGCCACAUGCCUUCUAAUUUGUUGUCAUAUAGACAUAUUUCUUCGAGCGUAGUUGAAUUAAAAAUACUUGAUGGAAUCUGACCUGCACACAUAGUCGAAAAUUGAAGUGAAAAGCAUACCUUCUAAGCUGUUAAACUAAAAAUACUUUAAGCAUAUUUUAUUUUCCAUCAAAUUAACUAUUUUGCCUUGAAUGAAAUAAAAUGUUCUUAUUUUUGUUAUCUAUUACAAAUCAAACUCUUUUAUGAAAAAACUAUUUUAAAUUAAAGAAACAAAGAAAAUUCAAUAUCUUCUAAGUUAUUCCACUCCAAAUAUAAUCUUCAGUGAAGAAAUCUUGAAGAUGGAAGAUGGAACCUUACCAGAUAAUUGAUUGAAUCCCAAGCUCAAGGACUCUAGAUUAGACAUGUUAACAAGUGUUUCAGGGAUUGUGCCUAUAAAGUUAUUAUUUUUCAUUUUCAGCCUUCGAACUCCCUGUAAGUUCCCAAGCCAUGAUGGAAUUUCCCCAUUAAGACUGUUGUAUUUUAAUCGAAGGAUCCUCAAACGAUGCAAUUGGCCCAAUUCUUUAGGGAGAUGGCCAUAGAAAUGGUUUCUACUCAAGUCGAGAGAGAGUAGAAAUGAAAGAUUUCCAAGGUGUGGAGGGAUACUACCCCUAAGAUUCAUGCUUUUAAGUUUCAAAGCUAUAACUCUUUUAUGGAGGAUGCCACAAGAAACACCAAUCCAAUUGCAAACAGAGGUUGAGGCCGUCCAAUUGUUUGCCAAGACAUUUUGAGGACCGGCAAUGCGAUCCUUAAACUCGAGAAGUGCAAACUGAUCGGAGUUGAGAUUCCUGACUGUCAUACCCCAGCAAAGUCCGGAACAUGGUACGAAUAAAGCUAAAAGAAGAUGAAAGCAAGUGUUGUAGUUCAUGAUAGCAAGACGGAAUAAGCCAAGAAAAUAAAAAAAAGUAGGACAAGGGAAGUUGAGUUGAUAAAAUAGUUUGGAUGAUGAAGAAAAGCCCAGAGAGCAUGCUUUAAUAUGUUUUGAAGAAAUUUCAAAAUAAAUUUCAAAAUAAAUUUCAAAAUAAAAAUUUAAAAAGGAAAGCAAAGUUUUGAAGAAAUUUCAAAAUAAAUUUCAAGUCUUCUUCUUUAAAAAAUACGUACAAAGAGCGAAUUUUCAAAAUUUCUCCUAAAUUUUCUUCACAUUACUCCACAUAAUCCAUUAAAAAAACUUAAAAAAUAUAUUUUAUUAAUUACUAUACAUUCUUUUACUUUCAGAAUAAUAAAUUGUUUAAAAUUUGCUAUUAGUCCCUGUAAUUUAAAAGUUAAAAAAAAAAUUCAAUCCUCCUACUUUUCUAAUUUAAAAAUUCUAGUUCAAUCAAUUUUAAUUUUAAAAUCUUUGUAUAAAAGGUGUUUUUUUUUUGUGACCGAUCACACUUAACCAAUAUUUAAAAAUUAUUAAAAAAUAUUUUUUUUUGAAAUUUAAAGUGAUCUAAAAACAUAUUUUUAAGUACUUUGGACAGUCUAUUGUUGAUUUCCUUAUUAUAUUAAGUGUUUGCAAUCACUCCUAAUAUAUUGUGCUUGAGUUGUGACAAAGUCGAUCAUCAAAUUGCCAUAAUGAUCUAUUGAUGCUGAAAUUAAAGUUUUUGUUAUAUUGAUAGAGCUUGUCCUUCAACGCGUACAACGUGUUUGUUAUUUUUCUCCCUUCAAAUUGUAUGAUCUUAUUCAUUAAAUGAAUUAAUGAAUUUCCCUUUUAAAAAGAUAUAUUUUUAAAAAUUAAAUACUUUAUAAAAUAUUUAAAAAUUUGUAAGCCUUAAAACAAUCAACAAAAUAUUUUUGAAAUUUUAUAAAUAUAUUUUAAAAUUAUAGUAACGCUACAAAAUAUAUAUAUUUACUAAUUAUAUGCACCUUUUUUAUUUUUUUUCCUAACAUAUCAUUAUUUUCAACACUAUCGUAAUCCUGUUUUGAUAAUUCCCUUUCCAUACAUCCUUUUUCUACAUAGAAUUUCAAAAGAAAAUGUGAAUUAAUGUAAACGUGAGAAGACUUAAUUACAUUUAUUAGUUUAUCAAUCAAAACUUAAUUAGAAUCCAUCAAUAUUUCACACAUCAAAAACCCAAACAUAAAAUUCACUUUUAAAUUAUUUGAAGAUACAUUUGUAUUAUAGGAAAUGGAUUAAAUUAGUCUUUUAUUAUUAAAUGUAUUAUUUUAAUCUUUGUAUUAGGUAUGAAUUGUAUCUCCUAGAUUGAAGCCAAAGCUAUUCUUGAAAGACUGAAAUUAAGAUUCAGAUGUGUUGAGAUGGAAAGUGGCAACACAAUGUUGAUUGAAACUAUUUAUAACGGGUUGGCUACAAUAAGUAGUGCUGCCGAAGUAAGACAGAUUCACGAUUGGUGUUCCAAAAAUUGGGAAGUCAAAUUUCGACAUAUUCAACGAAAUGCCAAUAAAGUUGUUGAUUGCAUAGCUAAGGCAAAUGGAGGCGUAAUUGAGCAGCUGGUUAUCUUGGAAGAUCCUCUGCAUUAUGUGAGAUGCUAGCUUGAAGAAGAUAUUAGACAGUCACUAGUGACUGAUGAUAAUUUUCAUUUGGACUGAUGAGCGCUUAAUUUUCUAAGCUUAUGUUCAACAAAAAAAAAUUUAAAUACGUCUAAAUUGUAAUAGAGUUAACAUUUAGUGUUUAAAAAAUAUCUUAAAAAUUAUUUUUUUCCAAUUGCAGUUCAAUUCCACAAAUAUCGACGAUGAACCCGGACAUAAAAAUUACAGAAAAAAAAACACAUCUAUUAUCAAACCAGCAAUCCAUGUCUAAACUUAAAUUAACAAAAUUUGCCACACAACGCCCGGUACACUAUUAUAUAUCUAUACUAGAUUUAUUCUAGAUGCACAUGUUUUAUUAUAUUUAAAAAUUAAAAUGUAUGGUUGACUAAGUUUUAGUUGAGUUAGUAUUGAUAUUAUUGUCAGUGUAGGAAAAUGUGAGUUUAAUCACGCUCAAAUGUGUUUUAUCCUCCAAUUCAAGGGUUAGGAAAAGGUUAUUGAUAAUUAAAUUAUACCAACUUUUAUAAUAUUAAAAAAAAGGAUUUAUAAAUAAUAUAAGGAAAAGAAAAAAAGAGAAACAUAUUCAUAUUGAUGGGCUCUUUCAAUAUUAGACUUUUUUUUCUAUCACAAGUAAAAAUAUCAAAGGUGAUAAUAAUUAAAUUAUAAAAUUUAAAUUGAGAAAAUAGGGGAUAAAAUUUAUAAGUUUUAAAGUAUAAAGAAUGAAUUUAUAACUAACAACAUAUUUUAACCACAUAAUAAAAGUAGUUAUGGAGAGGAUCAUAUAAAAUGCAAAAAUGAAAUAAUAGAAAAGAAAUAAGUGUUGGGUAUAGUGGCAAUGUAUAUUAUACUUCUAAGGGGAGAUCAAGAUUUUAGACAAGGGAAGAAUUUUAAACCUGCUUUUUUCUCUAGAACUCAACGCAAACCUCAAAUUUAUCUUUUUAAAAGAAUUUAAAAAUAUCUAUAUAAAAGGUGAUUUUUUACCGAUCACACUUAACAAAAUUAAAAAAAAAUUGAAAUUUAAAGUGAUCUAAAAACAUAUUUUAAAGUGCUUUUGACCAUCUUGUGCUGAUUUCUUUAGUAAUUUGAUUUGUUCAAUAUAGAUUUUGGUGACUUAAAACAAAAUUAAUAAAAAAAUAUUUUAUCAGAUAUCUUUUUAAUGUUUAAUAAUAAGUUAAUUUAUAAAAUAUACUUUCAUUGGACACAGGGCCUCCAAGGCGGUGAACCACUAAUCAAAUUAAUUUUGAGAUACUUAAAUUUGUUUUCAUCAAUUAAGAAAUUAAAAAAAUUUGUUGAGACCUCAUGAUUAUGUUUUAUAAUUUCAGGCUUAUCAACUAUUUUGAAAAACAACAAAACGUCUUACACCAAAAACUAAAAAAAUAAAAACGUCGACAUUAAAUUUGUUGCCAUGCAAUCAAUUUUAAGAUGGUUUUUGGAGUUAUAUAUCACCUUAGCAUUGACUUACUUUUCUACACUUAGUCUUCUCCAACAAGUUAAAUAUUUCAAUUUUAACAACAUUGACAGGUCUUUGGGGUAGGGUCGAGCAAAACUCAAUAUAGGCUGAGUUGGCUCGGCCAAGUCGAGUCGACUUGUUCAAAUUAUUUAAAUUCGUAAUUUUUAAGGUGCAGUUAGAAUUUUUUGUUUUGAGAUGCUAAGAUUAAAAUAUUUCAGUUGCUAAAACAAAAUAUUUGUAUUUAAAAAGGCAUAAAUUAAAUAAUUAAGUUUUUCGAGUUUCCAUUUAAUCAAAGGUUAAAAGGACUAAAUUGAAGCUUUUUAUUUUUAAGAAAGGCUGAAUGACAAAUUGCCCAAAGCCAUGCCCCUAGCUAUACAACUAACUUCUCUAUGAUUAGUCCUUCGUUUGCUUUGGGUGAAAUCUUCCAACUAGCCUCAUCCUUGGUUUUACUUUCCAACAAUUAGUGUAUCACGAGUUUUGUUUUCUUUAAAAAAUAUUUGUGGAUAUUAGGAGAUAAUGAAAAUUAUUUUACUAUGAAAUUUUAAUAAAACUGGAAAAUAAGUAAUUUAUUUUAAGAGGUCGCAAUUAAACGUUAGAUUUCCAAUUUUUAAAUUUUAAUUUUUUUUUGACAAUUGCAUAAUAUUUUGAGUGUUGUAGGAAUGCCAUAAUAUAACCUUCCCUAAACAUAAUCGACUCUUGAGCAUGAUGGAUCCUAGAACUUCUCCUCUAUUCUCGUACCGCAAAUUGCUUCAAGUGUGGGUUCGAACAAUCACAAAUUAAACACAAAACCAGAAAUGAUUUAUUACUUUCAAUAGCAAGGUAAUUCUCUCUCAAUAGAAACCAAUAGAAGUGUAAUUCUUAGAAAAUAAAAUUUAUUUUUUGAAAAUAUAUUCUCACUACUUUCUAGCAGAAUAACAAUAUGUGAAACUUAUGUCUUGUGUUAAUAGCUCUACCAGUACUCUCUAUUUAUAGGGAGAGAUACGAGAAUCCUGGUUGAAUUAGUAAAACACGAAUAAUAUUUAUUUCAUAGAAAACAAUAUUCCACCCUAAGUAGAUCAAGUUUGUAUGACGCAUGGAUCAAAGCUCAAUCUAGGAGGAAAAAAAUAAAGGAAUUUUCUUUGUAAAGAAAAUUUGAGAUUGUACUAUUUUCAAAGUUAUAAAUAAAAUUAUACGCCAAAUUUUUAAGUCAAUUUCAACUCCAAUUUUGUAUGCACAAAUUUCUAGUACACUUGGUGGGACAUUCUUUGACUUUUAUCUAUUCUCUCAAAAAGUUAAAGUUCAAAGUUACAUUAAACUCAAAGAAGAUAAUCAUUAGUAAACCACCUCACAAGCCUGCUCAAACUAAUCCUACAACUCAUUCCACUUCAUCAUCAAACACCAAUGUUCUUGCUUAUCCUUAUGGAAUUAAACAGUCUCAUUUUCUGCAUUUUGGGUACACACCUGGUUUUAUUUGAUGCUAAAACAGUCCCCGAGCACUCCAAAGCCUAUAAUUGAACAAAUAAUACUAAUUUAAUCUUACAUAACAUGAUCCCAAAUUGAACUUGUAUCGAGGUUUUAACCCAUAAGUGACUAAACCUUACCUUCAACCGAGUGAACAGUAAUUCCCACACAAACUAAGACUCCGAUUGAAGAUUACGAGCCAUUGAAUCCUCCCCUAAUUGGCAUAAACAAAACACUUCAAAAGAAAGUCAACAAAUGGAGACAAAUCACUUAUCUAAAACUUACCGAACGAUCACAGACAAACGUGAAGCGACACGAGGCAGAGUGGGAAAAGAAAAAUCAAGAGGAUGAAGGGUGAAAGAGAGCAGAAAUUCGGUAGCAAUGAAGAGAAAAACGGCAAGAAAGUGGAGGGAUUUUGGGGAAAGUAAAAAAAAAGAUGAAUAGAAUAUUUGAUAACUACCCCAAUCCCUUAUUUCUCUCUAUCAAACUCCCCACUAAAUCCACUACUCAAAUUUUUAGUCCAUCUCAAACUCUCCUGGACGCACGAGCAAAAAAUAAUGCCCAUGCCAAAAUUUAAACAAAAGACCUCCUUCACACCAACACUCCACUUAUCCACCAGACCAAUAGGCUCAUUCUUUUAAUUAUUUUCCAACUUUUACUUAAAAGCCUACUGACCAAAGAUAGGGCUUAUUCAUAAAAAUACCAAAUUUUGCCCAAGACCUGGCUUGAACUUGGGACCUCCCAAACACACCCAGAACACAUAACCACUAAAGCAGACAUAAAUUUUGUGUCACACAUUCACAAUACCCAAAAUUAAAAUUUUAGGGCGUUACAAAAACACAUUAAAUAAUAUCGCAUAAAAUAAUCACAGUUAGAUAACAGUUCAGAAUGUCGAUUUUACAAUUUAACCACCAAUAGUAUCACAGUAUUCACAGUUGUAAUUUCAGAAUAUCAAAUUUCCACAUGAUUCACAAUAUUCACACAUAUAUAAAUAUAUCAUAAUAGAAUUCCAGAUUUGUAUGCACAUGAUUUAGAAGAUGCCAUACAAUUUUGGUUUUUAACAGAAUAAAUCCUACCCCACGUUACAUACCAUAAUGGGAGUUCCCCUAAACUCCCUUCUCCAACACACUAGGUUAUGGAUAAACCACUAUUGGUUCACAAAUAAUAACUGUCAUUUGGCUGUGGACACACAGCAAGUCCCCACAAUUGGAUUCUAGAUUUGGUUGUGGAUUCACAGCAAAAAAAUCCUACAAAUGAAGCCUGCUUUUGCCUGUAGAUUAUACAACAUAUACCCGCAGUUGGAAUCUGUCUUUGGCUGUGGAUGCAGUGUAACACCGCAAACUCGACCUGGACAUUAUGGCUGAAUCUUGAUGAUUUACUUUAACUCGCUAGAAAACCCACGAAUUUACUUUAAAAUCAUGUGGUUAAACUAGUGUUCACUUUGAUAAAUUGUUUUCCAGUUUUAGAGAAAUUUCUUGUUAAAACUGUUACUUUAUUACAAUAAAACAUUAAAGUAAUUGUAUCAUUUUGUAGUGGAAUCUACUAAGCUAUAAGGUUUUGAAAAUCGUGAUUUAGUUUGCAACAAAUCAUUUUGCAAAUAGAAAUUUAAUACUACUUAAUUUGGAAAAUCACGCUAAAACGAAAGCAAAGUCCAAAAUAAUUUACGGUUUGAAAUUCUAAAAAGCCCAAAUUAGACAUAAAGUCUAUUUAAACCAAUUUAUUGAAAGUGUAACACCCUAAACCCGGCCUAUAUGUUAUGGCCAAAUCUAGAUGUGUUACGAAAAAAAGUUUAUAAAAUGACUUCCUUGUUAUUGGCAAACCAUCGUAACCAUUAUUACUUAGUAUAUCUGAUUUGUUUGGAAAACUUAUUGAUAUACUUAUUUGAUUUAAAAUCGUUGCUCGCUUAUGCCUUUUUAUUAAACCAAAUAUUUUGCAGCGGAGUUUCUUUACAACAUCAUAUUUUGGAAAAUCAAAUUGUUUCUUGAAAAUCGUUAUUUUAGAAAAGUUUUCAUUUUCAGAAAAAUUAUUUUAUCAGUUGUUAUGCUGAGAAAACAAAAUAAAAUCCAAAACCAAAAAUAAUCGCAAAAAGUCUAGAGAGUCCCAAAAUGACAAUACUCUUAAAACUAGACAAGCUUAAACUAAUUUUAAAAGAAUGAAAUUUUACAGAAAUGUGGACACCACUGAGCUUCCGUCGCACCGACCCACCUAAAUCUGAGGGUUACUUGAACAGAACAAACAAACAGAGAGUGAGUUUUGAAACUUAGUGUCUAACGCAUAUAUAAACAAAAAUUCAGAAUCAAUCUCAUGCAGAACAGAUACAAGUGUAAACCUUUUAUAAAAUUAGAAUUGUACAGAUACAAAUAUGCAACAUCCUACCCUCAUCCUCUACACACCAACUCCGACCAUCCUAUCACACCACGUGGGGUAUAAAAUACCCAUCCAGCCCUACACACCGUAUAGUGUUUAUAUGACACUUUUUGGAAUAAUCGCAGCAGAGUUGCCAGUAUAUAUGCGAGAUAUCACCUCACAUAGAACACUUCCUCCUCAUAAUACAAAUCCCGCCUCAUAGCUAGAUACAGACAAAAUAUGAUGUAAAAUAAAUUAACAGAUACUAGAGUUAACAUAUCACGCGUGAGCGUAUAAUAGAUAUUACACAUGCUUAUGCAUAACAAAAUAGAUCAUACAUAUUGUAUUCCAUAAUACUCAUAUAAAUGUUAUUUACGUCAAUCUCAAUCUAACAGAGUAGCAGAUUUCAUGCUUUAACGCUUAUACCACACAUAUAGACCCUAUAGAAGGCCCACAGUCGAUCGAGACAACAUGUAUGUCGCUAGGGAAAAAAUUUGUAAUUUGGGCCCAUAUACAUGUAUGAGCCCACACACCCAAAAUGGCCUUGCCCAUGUGGCUCACCAACCUAGCACUCAGCCCAUACGGUCCAAAAUGGCCUAGGUCGUGUGUCACACACAGCCGCAUGUUGCACACAGCCUACCACAUAGCCAGUCACAAAACUGUUUGGAGUUGAAAAGCCCAAUUUUUGGCUUUCGUCAAUCAUCAUUUUCUUACGUUUUCAUUACACACCUGGUUUGAUUCUGACGCAAAAGCAACCCUAUGUCCACCGAAACCUAAAAAUAGCAUUCCAACGCCCAAUUUCAGUGAACAUUUACAAAACUCAAACAAAAACUAUCCAAAAACAUAGCCUCACAAUAGCAUCCAACGCACUCGCACACUUAUCGUCAACAAAUAGGAAACACCCAACACUCAAUUCGUUGGCGGAGCACCAAUUAUGAUAAUGCAAAAAUUUUAUGGAUUCUCAACACUAUCGAUCCGAAUGUAAGAUUGAUGCUUUCCAAUUAUGAUAAUGCGAAAAUUUUGUGGGAUGGUUUACAUGAAUUUUUUUUGUUGUCAACGAUCAACGUAUUCAAUAAUUAAAAUAAAAUAUUAGUCGUUUUUAGAAAACCAAGACUAUGAGUGUUGUAGUUUAUUUCAGUAAAUUAAAGGUUUUGUGGGAUGAACUAGAUAAUCAUGAACCAUUGAUUUGUUGCAAGUGUGGACAAUGUUUAUGUAACUUAGGGAAGGCGCAUGAACAAUGUCGUGAGCAUGAUUGACUUCAUCAAUUACUUCUUGCUCUCUAUUGUAAUUGUUAUGCUCAAACUAGGUUUACACUGUUUUACCAAGAUCCUUUGCCUUCCUUAAAUCAGGCAUUCCAACAAAUUACUUAGGAGGAACAUGUACGUGGAAUUACACUGAUUAAGGAAGAGAAGUCUGAUAUUUUAGGCUUUGCUAUGCGUACAGAGGGUCAUAACAAAGGCCGAGCUAAUUGUAUUGAUAAGUCAACCUUGUUGUGCACUCAUUGCCAUCGCAAAAGGCAUGAGAUGGCUACCCAUUUUGAAUUACAUAGCCACUUGGAUUGGCGGCUUAAGAAGUAUGGGAAGCCAGAGAAGAAAAGUGAUGAUCGUGGUGGUAAGACAAGUGCCACAUCUUCCACGUAAGUGUUUUAUUUCAAAGGAUCACAAUUAAACAUUAGAUUUCUCAUUUUUAAUUUUUUUAUUUUUUUAACAGCUACGUAAUUAACGAGUACCAAUUUUGGGUGUUGUAGGGGUUCUAUAACUUUCCCUAUAUGUAAUCGACUCUUGCACCCACUUUUUUUUCUCUAGAAUUCAAUGCAAACCUUAGAUUUAUCUUUUUAAAAGAAUUUUAAAAUCUCUUUAUAAAAGACGAUUUUUUUAGGUGACCAAUCACACUUAAGAAAAACAAAUCGGUGGCAACUCCUUUCUAAUAAAUGUAAAAAACUUUUUAAACAAAAUAAGGUUGAAAUAAUCUAGUUGUCGUUAUACUUUGAUAAAAUUUUAGAUUUAGUCCUUAUACUUAAAAGGUUAAAAAUUAAGUCUUGUUUUUAUUUAAAAAUCUUAGUCCUAUCGUUAAUAUUGUUUUUUUUUGUCAAAAUUUGUCAAGUUGACAUAUUAAUUAGGUUUCUCUUAUAUAUCGUGGUAUAUGACUAACACAAAAUAAACAAGUUGACAAAAUCUACAAAAAAUAUCAAAGAUGAUAAUAGUUUAAUUAAAAUUUUUAAAUUAAAAAAGUAAGGGAUUAAAUUUAUAACUUUUAAAGUACAAUGAAUGAAAUUAUUGAAAUACAAGAACUAACAACAUAUUUUAAAAUAUUACUAGUAAAUUAUAUAUCUACAACAAGAAUUGUAACCUCUUAUAUUAUAUUCUUGUAUCUAUUUUUGCAUCUUUCAUUAUAAUAUGAUUUAUUAAUUUUAAUAUUUUUAUAGAAUAAUAUGCUUUAAAUAGUUUUUUGUAUAAUUUAUAAAAAUUAUAAUAAACUUACAAAAUAAUUUAAUGAUAUUUAAUUAUUAACCAAAAAAAAUGAUAUCAUAUAUAUUAUGUAUAUAUUAAGAUUCCGAAUCAUUAAUUAUAUAUCUACGCAUUAUAAUAAAUUCAUCUUUCAAAAUUUUCCUUAUAAUUAAAGCAUAAAUUAUAUUUAUAAUAUUAUAAAUAUAUUUUAUCAUAAAUAUUCUUUCAAAUAUUUUUUAAUGUUUAAUAAUAAGUUAAUUUAUAAAAUAUUUUUUCAAUAAAUUAAUGUGAUGAGAUCGUUAGGUGCUUGGAUUUGGUGAAGGGGGAUGAAGAGAAAAGGGAUGGAAGUGAAUAAAAAUGUUGAGAAAUCGAAAGGGUUAGCGAGGGAAGCCGCCAUGAAAGGUGGUUCAAUGGAUAUGAACCAUCAAGCUUUUGUGGAUGAUGUUACUCAAGGUUGUUGCAAGUAAAUUAAAAAAUAUUUUUUUAAAUUAUUUUUUUGUUAAAAAACAUUUUUUAUUUUUUAUGUGGCAUGCCACAUUAUCAUAGUAUCAUGUGACAACUUCUGGUGAUUUCUGUCUGUAACAUUAGUCAAAUCAACAGUUAAAUCGUUCAACUCACAGUUUUUGUUAAAUGAAGAGGUCAAUUGGUUUUUUUGGAAUCAUUGAGUACUCAAUUGGUGCACUUUUAUCAUAAAGGCUAAAUUAAUUUUUUUAAUUUGUUAUUGUUGAGGGCUAUAACAAUAAAAAAAUUAAUGUAAAAUGAAAAAAAUGUUAGAGCUAAAUUUGUCAUUAUAACUAAAAUGUAAAACCAAAAUUUUUUGAAAAAUGAAAAAAAUGGAAAAUCACAAAUUCUAUCACUUAUGUUUGCUUAAAAUUAUAGUUUUGGUCACCAAUCUUUUGAAGUAAAUAUAUGGUCACCAAUAACUCACCUUAAAGUUAUACCCCUACGCAAGAAAGGAUUAAAUGACAUUGGAAUACCAUAAAACUUGUAUCUUUUUUUAUUCAUCUAAUACCAUUUUAACAUUUUCAUUUUAAAAAAUUGACAUAUCAUUUUGAAUUUGAUCUUUUUCAUGGUAUCUCAAAUUCAUUUAAUCUUUCCCUCUCUAAAAAAGCUAAUGUAACACAUUAAUGACAUCAUUUCAAACAAAGUUUUAGGUCAAAUUAUUCAUCUAGUCCUUGUAAUUGUUUUUAUAGGUGAAUUUCAUUAUUAUUCUUUUAUUUUCUUAGGCUUAAAUACACAUUUACCCCUAAUUUUAUCCCAUUCUCCUUAAUUGGUAUUUAUGGUUUAGAAAAUUUUAUAAAUAUAUUAUUUUUUAAGAAAUUAUAAGAAGAUUACAAAAAUUCCAAAAUAAUAUAAAAAAGCCAAGGAAAACCUAGAAAUUCAAAAAAAAAAAAAAAACGUCGACAUUGAAUUUGCUGUUUCACAUUCAAUUUUUGGAGAAGUAGAAUUUUCUAACUUAUUUUCCAUCAACUUGACUUCAAUUUUCAAUCACAAUCAAUUGCAUUCAAGAGCACCACAUCUGUUUGGAUGAAACAAACCUCUCAAUUUUAAGAUAAACGGGUCUUUAGGGUUAUAAAUUGAGGGCCUUUUCCACAAUUGCGGGUGAUUCGUUGAUAAUAACCUCAACAUUUCUGUAUCACAUUUCAAUUUUUAAUUUUUAGAGAGAUGAUUGGGUUACAAGACUGGUUUGAAGUGAAGAUAUUUCAAAAGAAGAUCGAAUACUCUACCAAUAGUCAUAAUUUAAAAUUCAGGUUAUGUUUCAUUUCAGCUAAGUUAAAUGUUAAGAUUGAGGUUAAACCUUUUAGAGGUUGCUCACAAAAGGAUCAAACCUUUAUAAAAUUGCCUAAAUGAAGGUUAAACCUUUUAAAAUAGACAAAUAAGGGCCUAACCUUUUAAAAGGUGUUCAAAUAAGGGUUUCUCAAACGUUGUAUAUCAGGUUAUGUGUUUUACUCUAAACACAUCGACAUUUACCUAUUUUUUCUAUAAAUUUGGUUGAAGUGCAUGAAAAAUCCUUAUUUGAGCACUUUUGUAAAGGUUAAUCUCUUAUUUGACCAUUUUGAAAGGUUUGAUCCUUAUAUAAGUAACCUCUAAAAGAUUGAGCACUAAUUUGACAAGUUUGAGAAAUAUCUAAAUUUGUUUUCAUGAAUCAAGAAAUUAAAAAAGAAAUGUUGAGAAAUAUUUUAGAGAUUCUUAGCUUUGACAAGUUCCCUCCACCAUCUCCCUGCCUCCAGUCCCACCUCUUCUCUUAUGCUCCUUCCAGCUUCUUGCCUUUUGUGUGUUGAAAAUUCAAAGGAACAAAAUAUCAACCUACAUCAUAAGGCACGAUCGCCAGAACUUUACUUUCUAGCCUGUCGAUCCGAUCCAAUCCAAUGAAAGAAGAACAAGGAGUCUUAAGAUCUGUCAACUUUAUUUCAUUUUCAUUUUCUUUGUCAUUUUCUAUGUUUCAUGUCGAAUACAAUGAAAGAAGAACAUAGAAAAAUGUGGCCUAUUUAUUUCCCAAUCAUCAUGAAAUUACUUGCCAUUGACUUAGAAUUUUCUCACCAAUUUUCAAGCAAUCUGACAUGAUUUCUCAAUCACAAUUAAUUGAAUUCAAGAUCUUUUUAGAUGACACAAACAUUUCAAUUUUAACACAAACCAAUAUUUCGGUUAUACUUCAGUGCUUGACAAGCACUUUCACAUUUGUGGGAUAAGAACUCUUAACAUUUUAGGAUCACAUUUAAUUCAAUUGCAUUUAAGACCUCAUGGUUUUAUUCUAUAAUUUCAGUCUUAUCAGCCUUUUCGGAAACAAUAAAACGUCGACAUUAAAUUUGUUGUUGAUGCAUUCAAUUUUUUGAGGGGUCUUUGGAGUUAUAUGUGACUUUAGCAUUGACUGACUUUUUUAUAAUUUAUCUUUUAUAAUAAGGUAAAUAUAUUAAUUUUAAUAACAUCGACAUGUUUUUUAGUAGGGUCGAGCAAAACCCAAUUAAAAUCGAUGAUAUUGGCUUAGUUGACUCGGUCAAGUCCAUUAGAUUGAUAAAAUCAUUUUUAAAAUCAGUUAUAAUGGAUAAAGGUAAUUAAUUAUCGAGUAAUGAAAUACAUAAUCAAAUCAAUUGAUUUUGUUAGAAACUAAAAGAAAAAGGGCUAAGCUGAAAAUUGAUUGCCCUUUAUUAAAAUUAACGAAUCUGUCUUUUACGUAUUAGAUAAUAUGAACAUCGCAUAUAUAAUAAGAAAAAUUACGUAUGAUUAUUUAUUAUCAUAAAAGGUUAGUUUAAAUUUAAAGUAAUCUAAUAUGUUUAUUGAACUUCAACUAUUAAAUAAAGUAUAAGCUAAAUAAGUAUAAAUAUUCUAGAAACCAUUUCUAACUGAUGAUAGGCUAAUUCGAUUAAUUUAUAAAAACUAGAUAGUAGGGUUAUAGUCCUCAAACUACACCUAAUUUAAUAACAUUUAUAUUUUUUUUAGCCUUAAACAUUUAUAGUUUUUGUUAAUUUGGUCCUUACUCUUUAAAAUUACAUAAAAAUUGCAAAAAAAUUAAAAAUUAAUUUUUAUCAUGAUUUUAAUAACAUUUAUAUUUUUUUUGUGGUUUGGUAACUUAUCAACUUGACUCUUACUUGUAACCAACUUUUCUAACCUUUUUCGUACCCUUAACCUAAGUCCCGUUACAAUUUCUAAAGACCUCUUGAUUGGUGUAUCAUCUCGAUUUGUUUUUAUAGUGGUGGAGAUUUGUUUUUUGUAGUGGCAUGAUUGCCAGAACUUUACUUUCUAUCCUGUCGAUCCGAUCCAAUGAAAGAAUAACAAAGAGUCUUAAGAUCUGUCAACUUUAUUUCAUUUUCAUUUUCUUUGUCAUUUUCUAUGUUUCUUGUCACAUACAAUGAAAGAAGAACAUAGAAAAAUGUUGCCUAUUUAUUUCCCAAUCAUCAUUCUAACAGGCCGAAUUAGCCCAGGCCCAAACAUUAAUAAAAUGUCCAGAUUACAAAAUAACCAACCAAAAAUUAAAAGCCCAAAAUAAUAAAAUAAAACCCAUUACAUUAACCCAAAACUCCAGCCCAAUUACAUUGAAGCCCAAAAAAAUAGUUUUUAGAAACCCCUAGGGUUUCUGGAACAAUCCGCGCCGCUCCUCCAUCCGCUUCUCCACGCACGCUGCACCUUUCCACGUGCGCCUCCAGCUGGCAGUGUACCUCCAAUGCAACAAACAAAGCAACAAGCAGCAAAAGAAAUGGAAAAACAACAAAAAAAAAAAGAAAGGAGCAACAAUGUAUAACAGAUUGAUAACAAAUAAUAGAAAAAAUAGCAGUAAAUAGGAAAAAAAAUUAAAAAAUAAUGAGGGUAAUUUCAUUUUUUUCUCUGUUUUGGCUAUAAAGAGAGCCGGUCAAAAUCUCUAAAGGGGGAUUUAGAAAUCAAUCAGAAAACAAGUAUUUUGUACCAACAAUUAGAGAAAAAAAAUACAAAAAUAGGGAUUGAAGGUUUUUUUUUCUUUCGUUUCGAUUUAUUUUAAAAUAGCAUAGAAAAUAAAAAGAAGGCUUACCUUGCGACGCCUUCAGAUCCUCUCGAAAAGGGGCUAAAAGGCCCUAUGUGGCACAGAUUUGACCACUGUUCACGGUGGAACCGCAGCGGAGGCGCAGAGGAUUGGCAUCAAUUUAGGCAGGGUUUGAAACCCUAGCAGAGAAAAAAUUAGGGUUGAUAGAUUUUUUUUAAAAAAAUGGCAAAAUGUUGUUUUAAAAAAUUUUGUUUUAAAAAAAAUUGUUGCUUUUAUAAAGGGUGUAAAACGGCGUCGUUUAGGGCAUGUUUCGAUGGCCCCAAAACGGCGCCUUAUAAGGCAACCCCCGACGACCCGACCUGCUCCAUGGGGGAUCCGCGUGGUUUUUGUUAAAUGGGUUAUGUCUAACCCUGGCCCUUCUACUUUUUAUACUUGUUUUAAUUUGAUCCUCUUUUUAUUUAUUUUUAUUUCUUUAAAUUAAGCCUGAUAAUUUUUUUCCAUUACAUUUUAAUCCUUAAUGAAACGGCGCGUUUUAGAGGAGAAGGGAAAAUUACCCUUCUAGUCCCUUCUUGUUAUUCGAGUGUUCAGAAGGGUCCUUUUUUGUUUAUUUUUUAUUUGCCCCAAAAUUUUGUUUUAAAGCUUAAUUUAGUCCUAUUUUGUUAUUUUAGCUAUUUUAUUAUUAGAUUAAUUAAUUUAAUAUUAUUAUUACUGCUAUUAUUUUACCCCUAUUAUUUAUAUAUUUAUUAUUAUAACUAUAUCAUUAAAUCAAUUAGUUUUUACAUUAUUAUUUCCAUUCUGUUUUUUAUUUACUUACUUAAAUACUUUAAAUGCAUUUAUUUUAUUUCUUAUUUUUUUAUGAAAUUUCAAAACUUUAGACUAUUUUUUUGUUACUAUAACCCUAAUUUCAUUCAUUUUAUAAUAGUUUUUUUUUAAAAUAUUUCUUAGAUUAAUUCCCUCGAUGUUAUUUUGUAUAUUUAUUUAUCUUUUUAAAUUUUCGAUAUUGUCUUAUUGUAUUAUUGUUGUUACUAUCAUUAUUCAUUAUUAUUGUUGAUUUUAUUCUUCUUUGAUUAAUGUUUAUGUUAGAGUAAUAGGUGUUAUGUGAUCAUUGUUAUUAUAUGUUAUAAUUUGUUGACACUCGUAUUGUAGUCAUUCGUCAGCUUAAUAUUUUGAGUAACAUUUUAAAUAUUACAUUAAUUUUGACCCAAAUGCAUAAUUUUUUAAUAAGUAAUAUUUCGUAUUGUGGAAUUUGAGAGAUCAUUCCCUAACUUACGGGGUCUCGAUUUUUUUGAUAAAUCUGAAUAUAAGAACUAUUUUAAAAAAAUACGUUUUAAAAUUAUCUCGGGAAUUUAAAAAGAAGCGUGUUCUAACUUACGGAAUAUGAUCUUUUUUUAAAAAUCGAGAUAAUCAAAUAUCUUUCAAAUAAAUAAACUUUUCGUGUUUAUUCUCGUUUUAGGAUUUAAGAUAUUGUGUCCUAACUCACGGGACACAAUUCUUUUUCUCGAUUAACGUGAAAUACGCCCUUUUUAAUUUUAUCUUUUUAAGUGAUUUUAACAAAAGGAUUGUAUUUUAAAUCUCUUCAAAAUUUUCAAUUUUUCGACAUUGAGACAUUAACUAAUCAAUUAGGUACCAAUUUUGGGCGUUACAAGGGUGUUAACCCUUCCUUGUACAUAACCGACUCCCGAACCUAUUUUUCUGAAUAUUAUAGGCCAAAAUUGUUUUAAUAAAUUAAACCCUUAAGAGGUGACUCGAUCACAGCUCAUAAAAAUUAUCGGUGGCGACCCUUGUUUUAAAAAAGGUGGUUUCAACAGCUUGGCGACUCCGCUGGGGACAAAAAUAAGAGUCAAGCCGCGAGUUGAUUAUUUCUUAUCUUUUUGUCAGAAAUUGUGAAUUCGAUUUAAAUUUAUGAUCUUUUCAUUGCAUUUUAUGGUCUGCAUCAUUUUUAUAUGCUUGCUUUACUACUUCGAGUCUUUUAAUCUUCGCAUAUUGUAUUGCAUAACCGUUCGGUUAUACCCUUUUAAGCGGGAGUGAGAAAUUAUUCUUUCGUGAGGUUUUCACCUUCGUAUAGGAUAGUGGAUUACUUUCAGGAUACAUCCAUACCUAUGUCUUCGUGAGAUUCUCAUCUCCGUAUAGUCAUAGGGAAAUGUAUUCCCCUGAACUGAACUCAGUCCGUAUGAGCCUAUAAUGGGUGAGGAUUGAGGAAUCUGCUGGUUCAGGUACCCUUUCUUUAGAACUAAACCGCAUGUAGUGAGCCCUAAGAGCAUACCCUAGGUAGAACCACUCCAAACCCCUAGUGGUCACCCAAAUAGGUGCUCUAUUUAUUUUUGCUUGCUUGUUUUUGCCUUGUACUAACCUAUUUGUUAUGGUUAUGAGUGCAUUGCAUUUUUAUCAUAAAAAAGAUGUGUUGAUUCACGUUCAGUUGCUAAAUAGAGAGCUUGUCAUGGAAAACGAAUUUCUUGAUAAAGUGGAAGACAAUGCGGUUGUCCGGAUAUGGUCCAAGAAAAUGUGAAGAAAGAAGGGUGAUAGUCUAAUGGAGGACUACACGACCUUGCUUUGUUGCCUGAUGAUUCAAGUUGACAAAGAUUAUUCGAGAGUCUUCAAUGUCCCGACCUUUUUAAAGAAGCUAACGAGCGUCACGAGGAUGAGCGAGUAAUGAGUUGCGGCCCGGAUCAAGCAAAAAAAAGAUAGAGGAGACACCCUUUUUGAAGAGUUCACGAGAUUUAUCUUAACAUCUAGACGAAGAAAAAGAUCAAUCUCUUUGCCUAGAGUAUGAGGGCAAAGCCGUAUAUAUCCGCUUUAUGUAAAUAAAUUUGUUUUCUAGUAAAGUUUUUCUAAUAGGAUUGAAUCAGAAUCAACGUCUCUUUUUGCAUUCAUUCCAUUCAUCUGCAUUGCAUUUCAUUGCAUCUAGAAUUUCACAAAAGGACCCUAAUUAAUCGAAAUUGUUAUAGCUACCUUGAAAAACUAACGAAAAUUUACCAAUUAAAUAUUCCUAUGGUACCCAUUGCAAAACUAAAGUAAUGGAUCAAAUAUUAGAAAGAUUAGAACAAAUGCUGAAGGAUAAACAUAACUGCUUUGGCUUAGGGUACAAGCCAGAUACAAGACAAAGAAGAAAUAGGAAAGGAGAACACGUUUGAGCGGGGAUGAGGUCAAAUGGGAGGGAUUAUUCAUCCCAGGCGAAGAAUGCCAAGAGAAGAAAAUAUUGAAAACAUGUUGGGAAACGUUCACAUCAAUGCCAUAUACGAAGAAGCAAUUGAAGGAGUGACCUUGUUAGAUAUCCGCCCUUAUGAACCUAAGAGUGUGCUAAACAAUUGGACUGCAGAAGAAAUUCUUGUAGUGUUUAGAGCUUACUCAUAGUAAUGUUCAGAACACACUUGUUGCUUUUAGCCUAGAAGUGAUAAGAAUCCCUCUGUGAAAUAGGCUCAUGUAUAAACAUCAUUAUUUUAAUGAAGUACAUCUUUGCAUUCAUUUUGAGCAAAUAUUCUUUUAUUCUUUUCAUACGAGUAAUUAUUUUGGAUUCUUUAAUUCUUUUGGGAUUUUCUUCCAAAAUCAUUCUUUUAUUACAUCCAUAAUCAUACUGUACAAAUAAUGUAAUAGCCUGAAUUUUCAGUGGUGUCGGAAUGGUGAUUCAAGAUCACUAAGUCUGACAAAUGAGUAGAAAAUAUUAUUAAUUUAGUAAGAAUAAGUAAAUGUGAAGUUAGGAAAAUUUUUGAAAUAGUGAAUAGUGUACUAGGAAUAAAUAUUAAAAUAAUUAAAAUAAAAAAUGAGGUAUCGAGACCUCGAAGAUUUUAAACCAAGCCAUAAGUACUUUUAGAAGUAUUUUUAGAGUGUCAUUGAGUUGGUAUUAAAGUUUCGUUAGAAAAUUUUAACGCUCGGAUAGUUAAUUAACCAAAAAGGACUAAAUUGAAAAUAGUGUAAAAUUUGUUAAAUUGUGAUUAAAUAGCUUAAGUGAUUAAAAAGGAGGGAUUUAAAAGGCAAUUAGGCCCAAAUUAUAUGGGCUGGACGGUUGGGUAAGAAAAAUCAGCAGAAUGUAAGGAGAAACAGGGGCAAAAUUGGAAACUUAACAAAUUAAACAUAUAAAACAAAGACAAAAGUGAAAAAUCUAGAGAUCUGCUCACAAUUUAUCAGCAAAAAUGCCAUAGGAGGUCUGAAAGAAGCUGGUUUUUCAUAUAUUUGAAUCAUGUAAGUUUAAUUCUUGAUUAUUUCUUCUAAUUUUUGUGAUUUUGAUACUUUUACAAUUAGGUCCAACUAAUUAUUUCAUUAGUUUUUGAUUUCAUGGCUGAUUUUGAAAGUUACCAUUGAUGAGUGUUGGAUUUUUAUGAUGAAUAAACAUGGAAUUAAAGCUUUAAUUUUGUUAUAUGAUGAUUUUAUUAAGUAAUUUUGAUAGAAAUUGAUUUUUGGGACCUAAUUGUGAAAAAGUUUGGAAUUAGGGUUUGGUGUUGCGGUUUUGAAUAUGAAAGUCUAUGUAGUAGUCUAAAAUAGUUGGAAAAGGUGUUAAUUGAGAAAAAUUAGAUCAAUUGAGGGGUUAAUUGAGUAGGACCAAAUUGUAAAAACUGUAAAGUUUGAGGUAAAAGUGUAAUUUCGAAAAUUUAAGGGCAUAAAUUGUGAAGUGAAUUAGAAUAGAAUUAUAUGCUGAUGAAUGAAUAAAUUUGUAUUUUAGAUCGAGAACCCGAAGCAAGCCGAGGAAAAGAAAAAGUAGUUGAUUAGUCCCUGAACUUUUACAAAUUCUGCAAAUCGACCCAGGUAAGUUCAUAUGGCUGAAAUUUAAUGAUUAAAUGUUAAUUUCAUGAAUUAUGUAAUGUAUGAUGAAAUGUAUUUAGUGUUGAAAUGAGAGUAAAAUAAAAAUGCGAAAAUCGAAUAAAUGAUCAAAUUAAGCGGAACGCCGGAUUUGAGUACUUCUGAUCAAGAGACAAAGUGAUAAGUGGUAGCUUUAGCUACACUUAUCUGAUCAAGUGAAAAAGUGAUAAGUGCUACACUUAUCUGAUCAAGAGACAAAGUGAUAAGUGGUAGCUUUAGCUCACUUAUCUGAUCAAGUGAAAAAGUGAUAAGUGCUAUACUUAUCUGAUCAAGUGACAAAGUGAUAAGUGGUAGCUUAGCUACACUUAUCUGAUCAGGGCCAAAUGAUAAGUGAUCAUACGUAAGACCAUAGUUAUACUAUGGCCAAGUGAAAGUGAAGUACUCAAUUUUCCGUAACCGUUCCUUAAUUUUGAUCAAGGAUGGUAAGUGACAAAUAGGCCCAAAGAAAUUAUGGUAAAAGAAUAAGUAGUAGUGAGUUUAUACCAAGGAACUCUCCAAAGAUUGUGGUUGACAAGUAAACUUAGUAAUGGUGUAUAUUGUAUAAGUGUACAAAUGUUUGGUAAGAUUUAUGUUUGUGCCUAUGAACUUACUAAGCUUUUCUAUAAGCUUACAUGUGUGUGUUUAUUGUUUUUCUAGAUUAACGUAUUUAUACAUUCGGAGGAUCGGAUCUACUUCGAGAAUCACACUAUCCAGAUAUACUCCGGUAGAUUUUGUUAAACAACUUUUUGGAUUUAUAUGGCAUGUACAUAGAAUUGAAGUAAAAAGUAAUAGAAUGAAUGACUGAGUAUGCAAAGUAAAUUUGAAUGUGAUGGUUGUGUUAGAUAUUGAAAAAUACAUGUUUUUAGUUUGAAAUGGUUGAUUGGCUGAACUUCGUUAGUAUUCAAGUGAAGUAGUUGAAAUACUGGAAUUGGUUGUGAUUUGAAAUUUGCAGGGAAGGUUAGAUAAAUAUAAAGGGGUUAUAUUGAUUUUUUUUAAAAAUUUCAAUGGAAUAAUUUUUGGACAGCAGCAUUGAUGUAACUUUUAAAAAUCACCAAAAAUAGUGGAAAUAGAAUUAGAAGUUGAAUGAGAUAUGAAAUUAAAUCUGAAUGAGUCUAAUUUCACAUGAAAGAAGUAGAAUAAGAAAAAGAGUUAUAUAUUUUUAGAUAUUUGAAUUUUAGUGAAACAGGGCAAGAAUGUUUUUGAAGUCCCCUGUUCUGACUUUAGAAAUUUAGUAAAAAUUGUACAAAAGGAAUUAUGAAUUAUAAUUUAUAUGUUUAAAUUCCGUAAUGAGUAUAUUUUAAGUAGAAAUAAUUGGAACCACCAUAUGAAGUCUUUGCAAUGAGAUAAUUGAAUUUUAGCGACAAGAGGUCAGGAUAGUCAAUUAGUGAAAUAGGGGAGACUUCAACUAAUAAACUGUAUUAAUUUGCUAAACCAAAAAUUCUGAAAAAUUUAUGGUGAAUAUACAUAUGAGUCUAGUUUGAGGGAAAAUUUACGGAUCUAAAUUUUUAGUUUCGUAUCUUGAGUUAUAAUUAUUUUAGUGACUACUGCGCAUGUGGACAGCUUUGUUGUGAAUGGUGAAAUUAAUUUUUAAAGUAAAUUUUUAUGCCCCGAACUUUUAAGUUCAGUCAAGUAACGCCUUAUGCUCGACUCCGGCAACCGUCUUGGGUAAGGGGUGUUAUAAAUAAUUAUUCUUAAAUUCAUACAUUCUUUGUAUAUUAUUUUGUACCUACAAUAGGUCCCUAGAUAUUAACAACAUGAGUGACGUUGCUACAGACUCAGAAUUUCCUUUUAAACAAGACAUGUGUUUAGAGGGAUCCCAUGGCUUUGAAGAUGACGUAGACUGUGGCUUAUCUCUGAAUUUGUUAAGGAUGGUAAAACAAGAGGAGAAGCAAAUCCUACCUCACAAGGAAUCAAUGGAAAUUGUGAGCUCAGAAGGGGGAAAAGAGGUGAAGAUUGAGACUAACAUUGCCACAAAGACAAAGCAUGACCUCGUUGAGUUACUCCAAGAAUUUAAAGAUGUCUUCGCAUGGUCAUACCAGGAUACUCCCGGGUUAAGUACUGGCAUUGUAGUACACUACCUUCUUAUAAAAGAAGAUUGCAAGCCAGUUUAGCAGAAACUCUGAAGGAUGAUGCCUGAUAUUGUGCUAAAAAUAAAAGAAGAAGUUAAAAAGCAAUUUGAUGUUGGGUUCUUACAAGUGGUUAAAUAUUCAGAAUGAGUAGCCAACAUCGUCUCAGUCUCUAAAAAAGAUGGGAAAGUACGAAUGUGCAUAGAUUACAGAGACAUGAACAAGGCCAGCCAAAAAGAAAAUUUCCCAUUGCCUCACAUUGACACUUUGGUGGAUAAUACAGUAGGCUACUCACUGUUUUCCUUCAUGGACGACUUCUCUGGAUACAACCAGAUAAAGAUGCAUCCCAAAAACAUGGGAAAGACUACAUUCGUGACCCUAUGGGGAAUGUUUUGCUAUAAAAUGAUGUCAUUCGGAUUAAAGAAUGUGGGAGCGACGUAUCAAAGGGAAUGGUAACCUUGUUUCAUGACAUGAUGUACAAGGAAAUCGAGGUUUAUGUUGGCGAUAUGAUUGCAAAAUCCAGAACAGAAGAGGAACAUGUGUAGGCCCUAAGAAAAUUAUUCUUAAGACUGAGAAAGUUCCAGCUCAAGCUUUCCAACGAAAUGCACAUUCAGAGCUAGGUUAGGAAAGCUGUUAGGCUUCACAGUUAGUGAAAAAGGAAUCGAGAUCAACCCAGAUAAAGUCAAGGCGAUACGAGAUUUACCUCUACCAUGCACUCAGAAGGAAGCUCGAGGUUUCCUAGGAAGACUGAAUUACAUUGCUCGAUACAUUUCACAACUAACCGAAAAAUGUGACACCAUAUUAAAAUAAAAAUAGAUUAAAUUGUAAGUAAAACAUAAUUUAAACAUAUGAAUACAUCAAAUUAAUAAUACUAAAUGAAUACAGUUAUUUAUGAUGAUGUUGUUGCCAAUUCCUAAUUUGGUGUCUAGUUAAUUUGUGACAUCAUAAAUUUAAGUGAUAAAUUUAAGGUUUUAUGUAUUGAUGUGGAUUCAAAUAUCACCAUAAUUUUUGUAAAUAAAAAACUAAUAAGAUAACUUAUAUUAAGUACGAAAGGGUAUUUUUAUAAUUUCUCUAAUCGAGUUGGUGCCCGGUUGACUCAUGACACUAACUCAAUCAGAAGCUUUAAUAAUAAUAUAGAUAUUCAUGUUAAAAAAACAAAAAAAAAGUACUUUAGUUCCAAAUAAUUAUAUAACAAGUAAAUUUAUAAUUGAUGAAUAAAUUUAUAAAUAAUAUAUUUAUAUGAUCUAAUAUAUUAUAUUUAUAUUAAUUAUAUAUCAUCUACAAACUUUGAAGAUCAAUUUAUUAAGUAAAAAUGAAAUUGUUAACACUAAAUCAAUUUUUAGAUUUUGUAUAGAUGAUUUAGUGAUGAUAAAAACAUUAUUAACACUAUUUUUUAAUUAACAAAAAAUUAGUGAUAUAUUUAAAUUAUAUUUAUCAUUUAUUAUUUUUAAUAAUAUUUUUUAAUUAUAUGAAGUAAAAUUAUAUUGUAUACUAAAUAUGGUACAUAUACUCUAAUUAUAACUUGAAAUUUUAUUAUAUAAAUUAAUAUAAAUUUGAAUAACAAAAUAAAAAAAAACUAAUUAGAAUAAUUUUAAAAAACAUUAUUUAAAAGUAGUUAAAAAUCACGUGCAACAGGUGAGAUCAAUGGUCUUUAGAGAAGAAAUGUUGAAGAUCAAAGUUGGAAUCUGGCCUAUAAGGCCUUUAAUUGCUUUAAUAUUAAGCAGUUCCAAACCAAGAAGAUUACCGAUUUCCUCAGGAAUUUGACCUGCACACAUGGUCGAAAAAUCAAUGUGUCAAACUACCUAUUUUGUUAGCAUAAGUCAAAGAGGUUUUCUUUUCUAUUCUACAUAAUUUGCAGAUGUUAGAUUUUAAUAUUUUUAAGCAUAUUUGUUUUCAUCAAAUUAACUAUUUUGAACUAUUUUGCCUUGAAUGAAAUAAAAUGCUCUUACUUUUGUUAUCUAUUACUAAUCAAACUCUUUUAUAAAAAAAAUACUUUAAACUAAAGAAACCAAGAAAAUUCAAUACCUUCUAGGUUAUUCAACCCCAAAUAUAAUUCUUUGAGUCGUGUCGGAUUUCCAAUACUUCUUGGAAUGAUCCCCAUCAAUUGAUUAUAGGAAAAUGACAAAAUUUUAAGGUUGUUGCAUUUGCUUAUACUUGACGGAAUGUUACCAUAUAAUUCAUUCCGACUCAAGUAAAGCCCUUCAAGCUUGGAAAGAUGUGACACAUAUCAUUAGGCAAGCUACCUGAUAGGCUAUUGUUGGAGAGAUCAAUGGCCUUCAGAGAAGAAAUGUUGAAGAUCGAAGUUGGAAUCUGACCUGUAAGGCCUUUAAUUGCUUUAAUAUUAAGCAGUUCCAAACCAAGAAGAUUACCGAUUUCCUCAAGAAUUUGACCUGCACACAUGGUCGAAAAAUCAAUGUGUCAAACUACCUAUUUUGUUAGCAUAAGUCAAAGAGGUUUUCUUUUCUGUUCUAUAGUAAUUUGGUGAUGUUAGAUUUUAAUAUAAUUCAGCACAUGUUUUUCAUCAAAUGAAAUAAAAAGUUUUUCCUUUUGUUAUCUAUUACAAAUCAAGCUCUUUUAUUAAAAAAAUACUUUAAAUUCAAGAAAUCAAGGAAAUUAAUUACCUUCUAAAUUAUUAAACCCCAAAUAUAAUUCCUGGAGUCGUGUUAGAUUUCCAAUACUUCUUGGAAUGAUCCCCAUAAAUUGAUUAUGGGGCAACAACAAAUUUUUAAGGAUGUUUCAUUUGCCUAUGCUUGACGGAAUGUUACCAGAUAACUCAUUGCUAUGCAAGUGAAGCCCUUCAAGCUCGGGAAGAUGUUGACACAUAUCAUUAGGCAAACUACCUAAUAGGCUAUUCCUGGAGAGAGCAAUAGUCUUGAGAGAAAAAUGUUGAAGAUCGAAGUCGGAAUCUGAUCUGUAAGGCCUUUAAUUGCUUGAAUAUUAAGCAUUUCCAAACUAAAAAGAUUACCGAUUUCUUCAGGAAUUUGACCUGCAGACAUAGUCGAAACAUCAAGGUGUUAAAUUUCCUAUUUUGUUAGUGUAAAUCAAAGAGGCUUUUUAUUUUUUUUCGUUAUGAAAUAAUAUGGAUAUGUUCGAUUCUAAUCAUAUUUAAGUAUAUAUUAGUUCUUGAAAGAAUGAGUUCUUAUUUUUGGUAUUUAUAUUGCAAAUAUAUAUUUUUUUAAAUUUAAAAGAAGGGAGGGGGCAAAUGUGUUUAAACUAAAGACAUCAAGGAAAAGGCAUACCAAGUAUAAUUGUUUAAGUUGUGUCAAAUUCCCAAUGCUUUUUGGAAUGAUCCCACUAAAUUGAUUAAUAGACAAUUCCAAAAUUUGAAGGUUGCAGCAUUUGUCUAUACUUGAUGGAAUAGAACUUGAUAAUUCAUUUCUACUCAAGUAAAGCUCUUUCAGCUUGGGAAGAUGGACACACAAAUCAUCGGGCAAGCCACCAGAAAGACUAUUAUCACAAAAAUGAAUCCUUUUCAAAGAAGAAAUGUUAAAGAUGGAAGAUGGAACCUGGCCAGAUAAUUGAUUGAAUCCCAAGUUCAAGAUCUCUAGAUUGGACAAGUUGACAAGUGUUUGAGGGAUCGUGCCUGUGAAGUUAUUAUUUCUCAUUUCCAACCUUUGAACUCUGUGCAAGUUCCCAAGCCAUGGUGGAAUUUCCCCAUUAAGACGGUUGUAGCUUAAUCGAAUGAUCCUCAAACGAUGCAAUUGGCCUAAUUCUUUAGCCAGAUGGCCGUAGAAAUUGUUGUUGCUCAAGUCGAUAGAAAAUAGAAAUGAAAGAUUUCCAAGGUGUGGAGGGAUAGUACCCCUAAGAUUCAUGUUUGUAAGAUUAAUCAAAGCUACAACUCUUUCAUGGAUGAUGCCACAAGAAACACCAACCCACUUACAGACAGAGGUAGAGUUCGUCCAAUUGUUUGCCAACACAUUUUGAGGAUCGACAAUGCGAUCUUUAAACUCAAAGAGUGCAAACUGAUCGGAGUUGAGAUUCCGGACUGUCAUAGCCAAGGAAACAAUAGAACAUUGUAUGAAUAAAAGUGAAAGAAGAUGAAAGCAAGUGUUGUAGUUCAUGAUGGCAAGACGAAAUAAGCCAGGAAAAGGGAAGUUGAAUUGAUGAAGAAAUAGCCAGCCAACAUGCUUAAAUAGGCUUCAACCCUUGCACACUUCUCAUACAUAAAGUUCGCUGCCAUUACAACAAGAAAACUCAUAUCUCCAUUCGUACCUAUCCAUACUUUAUUUGACUAACUUUUCCCUAACAAGUGUUCAGUAAGGAGAUAAAUCAGUUUGGAGCUAUUCACCGGCUUCUCCAAUCUUGGUUUCAAACUCCUAACCCAUCAAUUCACUUUAAUUGAAACGAUAUACACGAGUCUUUCGGCUUAUAUUUUUAAUUUAAUUUUUGUUACUUUUCAUAAUAUUUUUUGAGAAAUCCAAAUAUUCCAGUCUGAAAUUUCUUCAUUGCCACGUCUAUCUCCUGGGUAAGUCCGUGGUUAGGCAGCCCACUUUGGGAGCAGGAUUGUAAUUGUAAUUCUAUCCGACUCAUUUUACUAUUUAGAAAUAUAAAAGUAAUAUUAUAUUAUUUUUUAUAUUUUUAUAAAUUUAAUUUUAAUUAUAAUUUUUAAACAAUAAAACGAGUCAUUUGUAUUUGCCUAGUCUAAAUUGAAUCAGGAGUCAAAAAAAUUUUAAUCAUAAUUUACUAUUAUUUUAAUUAAUUAAAAUUUAACCUACUACAACUAGUAGUUGCAGAAAAAAUGUCAUUCCUUUAGAAAAACGAAAAUCCUUUAGAAAAAUGAGAACUUAUGAAGCAUUCAAUAAGAGUCAUUGGAAUAAAUGGUAACGAAAUCAUAAUUCAAUAUAAAGCUAAAAAAUGUACCAAUCUAUAUAAAUAAUGUAAGAUUUGUGAUACCUAAAUUAUUAUAUUUUCCAUAAAUAUAUGAAGAUAUUUUAUUAGGAAAUAAUUUUAUAUAUAAAAUUUUUUAUUUUCUUUUGAUAGAAAUUUAAUUAUGUUAUCUGUAGAAAAAAAUAUUUAUAGAAAUAUUAUUAGUAGAAAAUCAUAAAUUUGUGUGUGGCAAAAAAAAUUCACCACCAAGAAAGGGGCAAAUUAAACAACUUGAAACAAGUCAUUGGUUGUUUAAAAUAUUAGAUAAUAAUUUCAGUGAAGAAUCAUUAAAAUUAUGACAAAAUAACCCUAGAUAUUGUAGUAUUAAAUUGGAAAAUCUCAAUAAUAUUAUUAGAGUAAAACCUAUGAUCUAUCUAAACAAGAUAUAGAAGAUUUUGAUAUACAAAUUAAGGUUAGAAAUCAUGCGGAAAUAAAAAAGAAAAAAAAGCUAGUAUGGUCAUUAAUUAUAAAAGAUUAAAUCAAAAUAUUAUUUUUUUAUAGUUACUUGAAUUAAUCAGGCUAAACAAACAAAAUAUUUUAGUAAAUUUGACUGCAAAUCAGGAUUCUAGCAAAUCAUGAUAACAGAAAAGUCCAAACCUUUAACGGCUUUUAGUGCACCCAAUGGACAUUACCAAUGGAAAGUGAUGUCAUUUCAAUUAUGUGAUGCACCACAAAUCUUCCAAAGACGAAUGGAUUUUAUAUUUAAUAAAUAUAAAAAAAUUCUAUGUAGUCUACAUAGAUGAUAUUUUUUAUAUUUUUAGAUACACUAGAAUUACAUAAGAAACAUUUAAAUAUUAUUUCUUAAGAAUUCAUAAAAUAUAGAAUCAUAUUAAACCCUAAAAAUAUAGAGUUAGAAAAAAGAGAGAGAAUUUUUAUAAUAGUGGAAAUAAAAAAUUGUCCUCAAAAGAUUGAAGAAAAAAAGAACUUCCAACAAUUUCUAAUAUAUUCCUCCCAAAUUUUCAGUUUCAAUUUUAUUACAGAAUUUCUUUGCCGACAAUAAGAAAUUAAGAGCGCUCUUUAAGUUGAAUAUAGUCCGUCAGAUAUGGCUAUCUAUAACAUGGAACCUUUGGUUUUCAAGCUGAAUAGGAGAAUUGAUUCACUUGAUAAGUAUGAAAAAUUGAAACUGCUAAAUUUAAGUGCACUAACUCUGGAUAUCAUCAUUAUUUUUCUGUACAUUAAAGUACCUGUUUGAUAUGCGAUUUCUGCCUCAAACUAUCAACAUCUUUAACAUCCUUUUGCUAUAGUUAGCAUGGGUACUUCCUUUUAGAUUAACAGUUAGGUUUGAACUGUGAAUUAGAUUUCUGUGGCUGCUGGGAUUGAAGAAGUUAGUAUGCGAAUGACAUUGGACAAAUUUGGCAAAGUCUUCUCCAUCAGUGAAGAAAACCCCUUGGCGUAUGAAAAAUGUUCACCAUCUUAGACAUUUGUUUUCUUAUUGUAAGAAUAUUUUUAACAUUGUAACUUUUAACAUUAUUGUAAGAAUAUUUUGAAUUAUACUUCAGUUAUCAAUUUAUAUCAUAUAUCUUUUGUUGAAUUUGAAGUAUAAUUUAUAUUUGCUGUUUUUGGUUAGAUUUCAUGCUAUAGGAAGGGUUGUAUAUGGAUAGAAAUUGAAUGUUACAAAUCUGCCAAAGUUAGUGGCGUUUUUUCAUAAGAGCUGCUAAAGAAUGCUAUUUUUGGCGGUGUUUGUAAUAAAAGAGCCGCUAAAGGUCAUGUUCUUUAGCGAUGUUUGUGGGUAAAGCGCCGCUAAAGAUCAUGUUCUGUAGCGGUGUUUGUGGAUAAAGCGCCGCUAAAGAACAUGACCUUUAGCAGCGUAUUUUCACAUAAACGCCGCAAAAUUUAGCGGCUUUGUCUAUAGCGACUUUUUUUGCAGCGCUUUAAGUUUUAGCGGCGCUUUUAGGCCUAAAAAAGGGCCGCUAAAAGCCUGUUUUGCUGUAGUGAGCAUAUUUACAUUUUCGUCCCAAUUUCAACUAACACCCCAUCUAUUUCCCACUUCCCUUUUUCGGGCAAUUUCAACUAACACCUUCAUAUCAAACAUAACUAUUUUUCAAUUUUUCUUCUUUAUUUCAUUAAUAAAAUUAUCAAUCUAUUUGUUUUUAAAUAUAUAAUUUCAUUAAUAUUUUUUAAAUUAUAAUAUAAGAGUUGUUGUUUAUUUAUAGUUUUAUUACAUUAUUUACUCUCUCUUUUCUAUCAAGUUUUUUAAAUUAUAAUAUAAGAUUUAUUUUAUCAAUUUGUGGCUUAUCCAGUAUUCAUCUAUUUUAAUAAUAACUUGAGUUCCAGUCAUUAUCAUACCAGAAAGAGUUCCAUUUAUUCUUUAUCGUAAAUUUUAUAAAAAAAUAUACAUUUUAUUAUAAUACUAUAUGUGUUACGAAUAAUAUUUUAUUGUGGAUGCCCAUAAUUUUCAAAGUUGUAACCUCUAAUGUAGUAACCUUAAUGAAAUUAUGAGGCUUUUAUAUUGUAAUCAAGCCUCUAUUUAUUCUUUGUAACUUAAACAGAAGCAUAUUUUCUAUUAUAUUGAUAUUUUUUAUAGAUAUAUAUAUAUAUAUAAGGAAUCAAAUAAAAAGUUAUUUACCUUUCUAUUAUAUUGAUAUUUUCUAUUUGAUUUGUUCUUUUCUUUCACUAUUCCAUAAUAUAUUAUCAGUACGAUUUUAACCAAGAGUAACAUGUUAUUAGAUUGUGUCAAAAUUUUGUUGAGAAUCAUUAGAUUGUUUCCUUUUUCUUCUAUUUAGCCCCAAAUUGCACCCCUACACAAAAUUCAACAAAAACAUGGAAAAAUUAGUGGUGCACUCUCAUAAAUUAACCAAUUUAAUUACAUAAAAUAUGUAACUUUAGCAUUUUAUCAAUCAUGUUCUUUAGCGGCAUUUGUGGGUAAAGCGCCGCUAAAGGUCAUAUUCUUUAGCAGCGUUUGUGAUAAAAGUGCCACUAAAUAUCAUGUUCUUUAGCGGCGUUUGUGGAUAAAGCGCCGCUAAAGAACAUGACGUUUAGCAGCAUUUUUUUACAUAAACGUUGUAAAAUUUAGCGGCGUUGUCUAUAGCGACGUUUUUUGCGGUGCUUUCAAAUAGUUUUAGCGGCGCUUGUAGGCCUAAAAAAAUGCCGCUAAAAGUCUGUUUUGCUGUAUGAGCAUAUUUACAUUUUCGUCCCAAUUUCAACUAACACCCCAUCUAUUUCCCACUUCCCUUUUUCGGCCAAUUUCAACUAACACCUUCAUUUCAAACGUAAUUGUUUUUCGAUUUUUCCUCUUUAUUUCAUUAAUAAAAUUAUCAAUCUAUUUGUAUUUUAAAUAUAUAAUUUUAUUAAUAUUUUUUAAUUAUAAUAUAAGAGUUUUUGUUUAUUUAUAGUUUUAUUAUAUUAUUUACUCUCUUUUUUCUAUCAAGCUUUUUAAAUUAUAAUAUAAGAUUUAUUUUAUCAAAUGGUGGCUUAUCGAGUAUUCAUCUAUUUUAAUAAUAACUUGAGUUCCAAUCAUUAUCAUACCAGAAAGAGUUCCAUUUAUUCUUUAUCGUAAAUUUUAUAAAAAAAUAUAUAUUUUAUUAUAAUACUAUAUGUGUUAGGAAUAAUAUUUUAUUGUGGAUGCCCAUAAUUUUCAAAGUUGUAACCUCUAAUGUAGUAACCUCAAUGAAAUUAUGAGGCUUUUAUAUUGUAAUCAAGCCUCUAUUUAUUCUUUGUAACUUAAACAGAAGCAUAUUUUCUAUUAUAUUGAUAUUUUUUUAUAGAGAUAUAUACAUAAGGAAUCAAAUAAAAAGUUAUUUACCUUUCUAUUAUAUUGAUAUUUUCUAUUUGAUUUGUUCUUUUCUUUCACUAUUCCAUAAUAUAUUAUCAGUACGAUUUUAAUCAAGAGUAACAUUUUAUUAGAUUGUGUCAAAAUUUUGUUGGACUUCAAGUAUUGGAAUUUAAUUGUUUAAGUUAAGAAUCAUUAGAAUCAAUGGCUAUUUGAGAUAUGCUUGAGGAUGAUCUCAUUCUCUUCAUCACAAAGGUGGAGGUUAGAAAAUCUUUAUGUUUAAACAUUUAUAGCUUUAAAGUUAUUUUAACCUCUUAUUGUGACCUUAUAAUAUUUUGUAAUUUUUUGUAUUAUGGUAUAUAAAAAAAAUCUAACCAUAGUGAUUGAUUAGUAAUAUGAAUUUGUUAUUUGUUAUGUUUAAUAUAUAUUUUAUUUAUACUUAUUCAUUUUAUUUUUAUAUGAGUAAAUGAAGUGUUUGAAGAUUCGAAAUUUUUAUCAUCCAAGUUGAAAAUAAGUGCAAAAGUGUACAUUAUUUAAAAUAAAUUACGCAUUCAUUAAUGUUAUAUGAUAAAAUCAUUACAUGUUCUAAAGAACUAAUAUUGCAUCAAACUGUAAAAAGCUCUUGAAGAGUUAAUAUUUUACCUCCUUGUGAUACAAAAUCAUAUACAAUAUGAUAUUAUUUUUCAAAUCGAGUAGAUAUAUGUUGAGGGAAAUCUUUAUGUGGUUUACAUUAAAACCAUGGAUAGAAAUGACAUGAGAUACUCGUGUAUUUUUAUUAUAAAUAUUCCUUGAAGGAAGACACUUCACUUGUAUGAUUGACAUAUGAGAUAGUGGCAAGAAGUUCAUAGUGUUGGUAUGGUCGUCUAGAUCAUCUCAAAUCAAUAAUGAUGCAAAAUAAUUUGAAGAGAAUUUAUAUGAUUUUAUUGAAGAAUGAGAAGAUAUUUUCAUUUUGAUAAUUGUCAUCAAUACUAGUUCUUUGGAAAAAAAAUAUUGAACUAACAUAAAGUUAGAGGUUGGUUGCAUUUUUUGAUGAUAUCCAAAUAAUAUAUGAGCUCAUGUAUCACAUGUAUGCAACCCAAAGUUUACAGUAUUAUUUCUUGAAAUAAUUUGAUUCUACACAAUCUCUAUAGUAUGCAAUUUGUGCUAACAACGUUGGUGCAUUAUAUCCUAAGCUUGAUUUUCGUAGUUUUAGCUGAGAUAAUAUUAAGUUGUCUAUGCCUAUAUAUGUUAUACUUAAUGGUUAGCAAAAUUGUGCCUCCAUUUAAUUGCUUAACCAUUAAUAUAAGAAUAACUUUAAAAUAAGCAUGUAAUUUUAUUUGCAUAGAGUCAACAUGUAAGAAACAUUUGCCCCAUGAGAAUUGGCUUUCAUUUAUAAGCCAAUAGGUUUCAUAUGACUAUUUGGAUGUAAAAUAUCUAUUUUAUAUUCCACCAUAAUGCACUAAGAUGGUCCAUCAAGUAUGAAGUUGAGAAAAUUUAGAAUUUUUAUUUGAUGGUAAAAGUUGAAAAGAGAUAUAUACUUAUAAUUUUGAAAAAAAUAGUCAUGUUGCAAAUUUUUCUCAAUAUUAGGGGGAGACAAGUUGGACAAAUAAGGAUAAUUAUGUCAUCACUUUUUGUGAUCCCUCACUAAUAUUAUGUGCACAAAGUUUGAAGGAAAAAAGUAUUUGCUAGACAUGUUUAGUGAUGACACUUAGAGAUUGUAUAUACUAGAUGAUACAUAUACCAGCUAAAAUGUUCCAAAUAAUUAUGAGUCCUAGAAGGACAUAGUGAUAAAAAUAAUUUUUGGGCACGCUAGAAGGAUAAAAAACUAGUUCAUUCUAUAAAUCAAAAAAUUCUUGAAAGAAAAGAGUAAGAAAUGAAGCUGGCCACACAUUAAAGGAAACGAGUACUCAUGAAGAGACCUAAGGCAUAACUUUUAAUAAAACCCCAAAAGAGGUUCAAUACAUGGAAUUAUGAAUAUAAUAAGAUAUCUCGAUUAGUUAUAUCAUAACUAAAGAUGAUGGGGUUGAUAAAAGGAAAUUGUUGUUAACAACGAUAAUCUAAGUAGAACAUUUCAAUAUUAUGGUAAAAUGAGUAUUUUGAAUGAAAAUAUACUUGAAAGUAUUUAGAUGGGAACAACUCAUCAAAAUAAAUAGACGUUUCUAUUAUAACUUAUGAAAUGUGUCUCGGACAUGAAGUCCAAACAUUCGACAGGUGUAAAGCCAAGUGGAGUAUAUGUUAGCAUAAUAGUGAAAAAAUACAAAUCAUAAUAUAUAAAAUUGACUUGUAAGACAAACUUUCCCAAGACACUUGAUUUUGAUUAUGAAAAAUGAUUAAUUUGUGAUCUUAUCAAUUGAACAUACUUUGUAUAAUCAACAAAUUAUUAAUUAACCUCAUUUAACCAAUUUCCUUCAACACAUUUCAAAUCAAAUUAAUGUGUUGAGCACGCCCUUAACCCUUUUUCUUGAUUCAUUGCAUAGUCUAUUUCCAAGUACCAUAAUCAUCAACAUUUCAAUAUAUAAAGUCAUAACAUAAUGAAUCAUAGUUAGAAUUUUUUUUACCCUAUUAACCAAGUAUGGAACAAAAAUAAAAACCUAAUUUGUCAAGCUCAUUCAAUCAGCUUAUAUAUUAUAAGAAGAGCCUAAGUAUAAAUCCUAUACAUGAUUUCAAAUUCAACUAUUUAUAUUUGAGAUUCAAUUUAAAAUUCAUACUGAAAUUAUCAAAUUAACUCGUAAGCUACUCACGCUAAACAUUAAGGUACUCGAAUUCAAGUGGCUAGAUAUCAUAAACACUUUUAGCUUGUAAAACUAUUUCUAAGGGUCAGCCCAGAAUCAUGGUUGAACCCAAAAUCUGGUAACAAAAAUUUAAUUGAGCCAUCAGCCUAAAACAAAUAAGGCUUAAAAGGUUGGCACCCGAACAAUCAAAGAUAAACACCACCAUAUGCCACUCCCUGAAUCCGAUACAUACAAUAACACCCUUCACCACUUUUAUUCUUCUCCUUUUUUUUAACCUCAAUUUGGAUGGUCGCAUUUCUCUUUUUAGUGCUUUAUAGGGUUUGGGCUUUCAGAAUCCUCAGAGAUGCAAUUCAUGGAUCCCUCUAAGAAAUGCAAGCUUGAUGAAAAUGGUAUUAUUUCAACGGCAUCAGAACCUGACCCAAUCACCAAACUAACCCCACAAGAUGGCCGCAAGCUAAUCGAGCAAUUUAUCGUCGAUCAACUCCUUGACGUCCUCCAAGAUGCUGUUUGUUGUCACCUUGAUGUUCUUUCCGCCGUACACUCUAUUGCCGAUCAAGAUCCAUCUCAAAGGAAGCUUUUCAUCCGUGGUUGGGUUGGGAUACUACAACCCAACCCAACCCACAUUAGCAUACUACCAUGCGGUAACUUCUAGUGAUUUCUGUCUGUAACAUUAGACAGGUUAACAGUUAAAUCGUUCAACUGAAAGAUUUCUUUGAAGGAAGAGGUCAAUUGAUUUUUUUUGGAAUCAUUGUGUACUCAGUUGCAUUUAAGACGGGUAUCAUUCAUAAAGUAUAUAUCUACAUCAAGAAUGGUAGCCUCUUAUAUUAUAUUCAUGUAUUUAUUUUGCAUCUUUAAUUAUAAUAGGAUUUUUUUUGUUUAUUUAUAGUUUUAAUUAUAAUAUUUUUUAAAUAUGCCAAAGUAAAUUAUGUACCAAUUUUAAACUUCUCCUAGGUAAUUUAACGUAAGGGCAUUUAUGUUAUUUUACCACUUAUGAUAAAACUAACCUAAUUUUAGAUCUAAGUGUUUACCAACCUUCUUUUAGUCAAAUUAUGCAAGCCUAAAAUUUUUAGCUUAAUUUGAGUUUGUUUACUAUGUCUAAUUCAAGUUUUAUUAUUAAGAACUAAAUUGUAACUUAAACAAAUUAGAAUACCAAUUUAAAGAGACAAAAAUUCAAAGCCCCAAAACCCACACGGGCAUGUGGGUAAGUGACACAGGCGUGUGGAAACUGGAGCUAUCACACACGGGUGAGUGGGACUGAAAAAUAUGAAAUAAAUUAAUCCAUUUAAAUUUCCAACAACCAUGCUAUACUACCAAACCAAAUAAUGUUAGAAGCUUUGAAUAGGGGCGAAUCUUAAAAAAAAAUAGAAGAAUUAGAAUUAAAUUAUAAAAUUUUGAGAAGUUGUCAUGUAUUAAUUUAUUAUUUUUUAAAGGGUCUUAAUAGAUUUUUUUUCCCCAUUUUGGUUUGGCCAAUACCCCUGUCUGCCUCUUUCAAUUUGCUUCAACCCUUAGCCCAAUAUUCGAUUUGUUGUGGAAGUUUGACGCAUAAAAAUUCCUUUUUUAGAGGUUUAAAUUAUAAAUUUUUAUUAACAAAAUAUAAAAGAAAAAAACAUGUGUAGACAAGCCAAGAAACCUUUGGGAUCAUACAGGUGAUUUUGAGAUGUUCAUGGUUAUUUUGGUGGAGAGGGUAAAAAAGAAACAAAUGAUUCAUUAUAUAUGAUAUAAUUAUGAAAUUCAAGCCAUAUAUUGUAUGUUUCAUCCAUACAAAUUUCUUGUAGCAUUAAAUGACUCGUAGGCUUGCUGAAUUUCUUUGAAAGGCCCAAAGGCAAUUUAACAUUCACAAAAUAAUCUCUAAAUAGUGUAAAGACAAAUCAAAUCCACAGUAGCAUUAGAGUUGAUUAAGCUAAGCAUUGGCAAAUAUUACUUUGAUUUUGCAUGCAAUAUUGGCAAAACCCCCUCUUACAUUAGAAAAACAACAUAAUCCAUGAAACAUUGAUAGCCCAAUACAAAUUUCAUCGAGAAAAAAGUCUCUUUGUUUUGUAGAACAUGAUAGUAAAGAUGUGGAGUUUCGUUCUUCUUAUUGGCCUCCUUUAGUUUUCCUUGAUCAACAACCACUAGCCAAAAACACAAUUAGAUUAGAUUAUGAAUGAUACUUUCAACUAUGACAAUAUUAAAUACAAACCACUCUAAAUAACUCUAAAUAAAUGGAAAGCAGCAAAUUACCAGACGAGGCAAGCUAGCUCAAUUAAGACCAUUGUGUUAUACUUGUCUCUGAAUUGAAAAAUUUAGAAGGAAAUAAAGAGAAAGACUUAGAAAAUACUUGAAAACAGAAAAAAAAAUUAUGUCAUUUAAAAUAAAAAAUUUCUAUUCAAGCCAUUUAAAAUUUGUAAGAUUUUUAAAAUUUUAAAAUGAUAAAGGUAAAAUUGUACUUUGGCACCCCAAAAAUGAUAAAACUUUGAUUUAAUUAUUUAAAAAUUAUAAAAAUAUAGGCUAUUAAAAUGGUGAAAUUAUAUUUUUACUAUAGUAAAAAUUACAAUUUAAUUUCACCCCUAAAAGGAUUUUCUGGCUUCGCACCUAAUAAAAUCUUUGGCAAAAGACUAAAAUAAAAUUAUACCAUGAAUGGAAAAAGAAACUAAUAAAAUCCAAUCUAACAAAGAAAAUAACUUGAUGUCCAAAAGCUACCAUAAACCGUAAUUCAUGGGAAGGCUUGUUGCUUAUUUUAUUGGUUUCCAUUUUGAAAGAAGUUUGAAUUUUGAAGAGAGCCUACUACGUGAAAGCAAAAGAAAAAAAAAUAGUUUAUAUGAUUAAAAUUCCAGAAUAGAUUAAAAAUGUUGAAUUAAAGAUAAAAUUAAGUGUGAAUUAAUAACCACAAGUGUACUCUUUACUCACCAUCUCUGUUAAAAAUGUUGGAUGUUGUUUAGCAACCUUUGUUUGAUUUUCUUCAGCUCAACCACAACAUCUUUCAUAUCUUUUCUUUCUUCUGGUAACUCAGCUGAACAAUUCAAAGCCAACUCCAUGAUAGAUGAAAUACAAUUUGCUUUAACAACAAUGUACUCAUCCUCUCUUCUUAAUAAAUCAACAUCUGCAAUUUCUAUCGCUCCUUUAGGCAAUGAUCUUUCCAUCCAAUGCCUUAUACUCUCUUCUUCAACAAAAACCUUAUCAGUUGGCUUUUUCUUUGUGAAAGUUUCUAUAAGGACGAUCCCAUAACUAUAGACGUCAGAUUUUAUAGAAACAAUUCCUGCUGAUCCAAAUUCUGCAUUUCAAGUAUAAUUAGAACAUCAUUCAUCCUCAAUUAUUUCUAAAACGCUUAUUCAAAUAUCUAUCCACAUACACGUGAAACAAAAAUAUAAAAUACAAAUUAGGAAAAUAAUCAUACAAAAAUAAAAAAAAGAAUUCACCUGGUGCCAUAUACCCAAUAGUUGCAAGAGUCAUGGUUUGCUUCAUUACUUCACCUUCUCCCAACAAUUUGGCAACGCCAAAAUCUCCAACAUGUGCAACCAUGUCUUCAUCUAGUAAAAUAUUGCUUGGUUUUAUGUCACAAUGAAUUAUAGGUGUUGGAUGUCCAUUGUGGAGGUGUUCUAUAGCUACCGCAACAUCUAUCAUUAUGUCGACCCUUUGUAUGAUACCAAGGAAACAAUUUUCAGAAUGUAACCAUUUCUCAAGGUUUCCAUUAGACAUGUAAUCAAGCACCAAGGCUUUGAAGUCAACACUUGAGCAGUAAGUAAUGACCUUCACAAUAUUACGAUGAACUAUAUUAAGCAUAGCAUCACAUUCAAUGUCAAAACUCCUAAAUGCUCCCUCUGUUUGCAAAUUGAAAACUUUUAUUGCAACUUCCAUUCCAUCUGAAAGCCUCCCUUUAUAUACAUAUCCAAAACUCCCUGAACCAAGCGUAUUGCUUUCCUCAAAUCCAUUAGUUGCUCGUGAAAGUUCAGCAUGUGAAAUUCUUCUCAGUGUCUUCAAAGACAACAAAUCAUCUUUAACUGGUAGAGCUGUACUCCUUUGGCAUCUUCUAUACAUAAUAGUUAAGACUAUUAGUACUAGGACAAUACCAAUUGUUGGUAAACCAUACCUAAAAGCAUGCAAUAUAAUCAUUUGGGAGUUUUUGUGGAUGUCAUUUUUGCAAGGUGGGACUAGCAAUCUAGGUGGACCACAAAGUGCACAAUUAUUCAUGAAUGAUGUGCUAGAAAAGUUUGAAAAACAUCCUUUGCUGGGAAUUUCCCCUUCAAGUCUAUUGAAAGACACAUUAAAAUACUUUAGAUAUAAAAGCUUUUCCAAAGAUUUGGGAAUGACUCCAGAGAGAUUGUUAUUGCAUAAAUCCAAGAAUUCCAAACUAAUCAACCCUUCAAAUGAUUCAGGGAUAUGACCAUAUAGUAUGUUAUUUGAUAAAUCUAAUGAAACCAAAGUUAUAAGACCCCCAAAUGUGGAUAAGAUAUCGCUCGUGAGAAGAUUCCUUGAUAAAUUUAGUCUCAGUAGACUCCUAAAAUUUCCAACAUCAAUAGCAUGUGAAUUGUGAAGACGGUUUGAUGAUAAAUCUAUUUCUAAGAUAUCUUUAAGACUCCACAAAGUUGAGGGUAUUGUAGAACUCAAUUUGUUGGAACCUAACCAAAGAUAUCUCAAAGCAGAAAUAUUACCUAAACAAGAGGGUAUGGAUCCAUGCAGCUUAUUCAACCCUAAAUACAUCUCGUAUAGUCUCUCCAAACCACAAAGGCUUUCUGGGAUAGGCCCUCCUAAUUUAUUAGAGGAAAGACCUAGAAUUUGGAGAUUUCUCAUUCCUCCUAUUGAUGCUGGAAUCAAUCCACUUAAUUUAUUAUACCCAAGAUCUAAAAGCAAUAGGUUGGUUAAGUUACCUAUUUCCAUAGGAAUAAUGCCUUGAAGCUCACACUCUGUGGCAUGAAAGUAUUGAAGGGAUUUUGAAAGGUUCCCGAAAUAAGUAGGAAGAACGCCACUCAAUGGAUUUCCUGAAACAUCUAUUAUGCUCAAAUUCCUACAAUUCGUCAAAGAAGAAAGAAAGCUCCACUCAUGAUCAGUAGCAGAUCCUGUGAUCAAAUUAUUGUCAUAGAUUUGGAGCCAUACAAGUUGUCUUAAGCUGCCAAGCGUUUUAGGGAUUGGGCCAGAGAAUGAGUUAUCUCCCAAGUCUAGUUCCUUAAGCAUGGAAGCAUUGGAGAUAGAGUUGGGAAUGUUUCCGCUAAGUUUAUUUCCCCACAGUAAAAGAAUCUGAAGCUUUGGAGCAUUGGUAAUGGGUGGUAAAUUACCUGUAAAAUAGCAUCUUUUAGAAAACAUUCACAAAAUAUAUAAUACAUUAAAAUAAAAACUUUAAAUCAAUUAAGAAUAAAAUUUUGGCAUGGAAAAAUGUGAUGAAAUCAAUUAGAAAGUUGAGACAUAAUAAGAAGUUUUGAGUAGUAAUUAGUCCUUGUGAUUUGUAUAGACAAAACAUAUAAUACACUGAUAAUUUUUUUAAAAUAUUGUAAAACCUGAAAUAAAAUAAAAAAUAAAAGUUUGGCACGAGAAUGUGGCAUCUAAUCAUUCUUAAAAAUAAGACUAACAUUAAAUAAUAAUUAGUUAUGAUUUGAGAAACAAAAAUGUUAAAGAUGUAAACUGGUAUGAUUUUUAUCUAUUGGGUUAAUUAUUUAUUUUUAUUAAAUUAUAUAUAGUGUAAAAUUUAAAGAUUAUUAUUUGCUCAAAAUUUUUGUAUUUUAGGAUUUUAGGAUCGCAUUUAAUUCAAUUGUAUUUAAGACCUCAUGAAUUUAUUCUAUAAUUUGAGUCUUUUCAACCUUUUGGGAAAUAAUAAAACAUCGACAUUAAACUUGUUGUUGAUGCAUUCAAUUUGAUUUUUUGAGGGGUCAUUGGAGUUAUAUGUGAAUUUAGCAUUGAUUGACUUUUUUAGAAUUAAUCUUUUAUACCAAUUUAAUAACAUCGACAUGUUUUUGGGUAGGGUCGAGCAAAACCCAAUUAAAACCGAUGAAAUUGGUUUAGUUAACUCGGUCAAGUCCAUUAGAUGGAUAAAAUCAAUUUUAAAAUCAGUUAUUAUGGAUUAAGGUAAUUAAUUAUCGAGUAAUGAAAUACAUAAUCAAAUCAAUUGAUUUUGUUAGAAACUAAAAGAAAGUGGGAUAAGCUGAAAACUGAUUGCCCUUUUUUAGAAUUAAGGAAUCAGCCUUUUACAUGUUAGAUAAUAUGAACACCCCAUAUAUAAUAAGAAAAAUUAUGUACGAUUAUUUAUUAUCAUAAAUGGUUAGUUUAAAUUUAAAGUAAUCUAAUAUGUGUGUUGAACUUCAACUAUUACAUAAAGUAUAAGCUAAAUAUGUAUAAAUAUUCUAGAAACCAUUUCUAACUGAUGAUAGGCUAAUUUGAAAUUAAGAUUAAUAUAUAAAAACUAGAUAGUAGGGUUAUAGUCCUCAAACUACACCUAAUUUAAUAAAAUCUAUAGUUUUUAUAGCCUUAAACAUUUAUAGAUUUUGUUAAUUUGGUCCUUACUCUUUAAAAUUACAUAAAAAUUGCAAAAAUAUUUUAGAAAUACAAUUUUUUCGUAUUUUUAAUAACAUUUAUAGUUUUUUUUUUGGUUUGGUAACUUAUCAACUCGACUCUUAAUUGUAACCAACUUUUCUGAUUUUUUCGUACCCUUAACCUAAGUCCCGUUACAACUUUCUAAAGACCUCUUGAUUGGUGUAUCAUCUCGAUUUGUUCUUAUAGUGGUGGGGAUUUGGUUUUCAAGCAAGCCUAUGCUAAUCACAUUUUUCGUUCAACUAUUGAGCACACAGUACUUGAACCUUAAACACUUUGAGUGCUUUGAGUGAAUCUUAGUUAGGGUAUUGAUUAUUGUUGAGUUUGAAUUUUAGGUAAUUAUUGAGAUGGAGGAGAUGCCUAUUUUUUUGUGCUUUACAAAUUUCUGCUUAGAUUGCUUUUAUUCUUUAGUUUCAUGCUAGUUUCAAUUUCCAGUGCAUGAUUAUCUAUAGAUUAUUCAUAAGGCAUUGUCGGUGAAAACAAUAAAUUGAGGGAGAUUAACUUGAAAUAAAUUGAGGGAUAUUAACUUGAAUAAAGGUUGAGAAUUUUGCUUAAGGACAAACAAAUGCUUAAGUGUGGGGAUAUUUGAUAAGUGCUAAAAUUGAUAUGUUUUAACAUCAUUCUUAAUGUGUUUUUGGUUGAUUAUUCGAUGUUAAUGAUGCUCCUAAUCCUUACAAUUCGUGUUUUUAUGCUUAAUAGAACAUUUGGGAGGAAAAUGAGCUAAAAAUGAACGAAAACCUGAAAAUGGGGGCAAACUAUAGGACAUGGGCUGACCUAUUCCUCAUGACCGUAUGACUCACACGAUCAUGUGGUAGGUUGUGUCGAUUUCGUAGAUUUGCACUCUGAACUGUAAAAAAAGAAAAUUUUAGAUUUUUUGAGCAUUUUAAUACGUAUAUAUGAAAAAAAUAAGAAGAUAGGAGAGAACCUUCCUAGAAUAUUUAAGAAAACAACUCCAAAGACACUAUUGAAGUCGACUCUGAAGCAAAUUUUCCUCAAGAUUGAAGAUUCCCAGUUGGUUUCUUAAGAGAUUAUCAUGAGUUUCUUUAUUUCUUCUGGUUAUACUGCCCUUUGGAUGUUUUUAUUUUUAAGCAUGAACUAAUUUUCUAAAUACCGAAUUAGAGAGAUGAACCCUAUGAUAGAUUGUGACACCCCAAACCCAACCGGAUAGACCCGCCCGAAUUCAAAGCAUUUCAUUAGCCACCUAAGUGACUCUCCAGCUAACGACCACCCAAGACACACCUCGACCUUAUAACACCUCAAUCUUAUCUAAUUACUAGUUAUUUAUUAAUGUAGAAGUAAAUUAAUAUGAGCCAAUUUUAAACUUUUUCUAGGUAAUUUAACCUAAAGGCAAUUUUGUCAUUUUACCACCUAAUGUAAAACUAACCCGAUUUUAGAUCUAAGUGUUUACUAACCUUCUUUUAGUCAAAUUAUACAAGCCUAAAAUUUUCAGCUUAAUUUGAGUCCGUUUACUAUGUCUAAUUCAAGUUUUAUUAAUAAGGACUCAAUUGUAACUUAAACAAAUUAAAAUACCAAUUUAAAGAGACAAAAAUUCAAAACUCCAAAACCCACACGGGCAUGUGGGUAAGUGACAAGGGCUUGUGGGAUUGAAAAAUAUGAAAUAAAUUAAUCCACUCAAUUUUCCAACAACCAUGCUAUACUACCAAACCAAAAAAACACUUGAAGUUUUGAAUAGGGGCGAAUCUAAAAAAAAUUAGAAGAAUUAGAAUUAAAUUAUAAAAUUUUGAGAAGUUAAAAUAUAAUUUUAUCAUGUAUUAAUUUAUUGUUUUUUAAAGGGUCCUAAUAUAAUUUUUUUCCCAUUUUGGUUGGGCCAAUACCCCUGCCUGCCUCUUUAAAUUUGCUCCAACACUAAACCCAAUAUUCGAUUUGGAUUAACAACAACAUAUAGGUUAGUAUUUGUGGGAGUUUGACGAAUAAAAAUUCCUUUUUUAGAUGUUUAAAUUAUAAAUUUUUGAAAGAUUAAAAUAAAUUUGUAUUUUUUUAUUAACAAAAUAUAAAAGAAAAAAAAAUAUGUUUAGACAAGCCAAGAGAACUUUGGGAUCAUACAGGUGAUUUUGAGAUGUUAAUGGUUAUUUUGGUGGACAGCGUAAAAAAGAAACAAAUGAUUCAUUAUAUAUAAUAUAAUUAUGAAUUUCAAGCCAUAUAUUGUAUGUUUCAUCCAUAAAAAUUUCAUGGGAGGUCCAAAGGUAAUUAAAUGACUUGUAGGCUUGCUGAAUUUCUUUGAAAGGCCCAAAGGCAAUUUAACAUUCACAAAAUAAUCUCUAAAUACUGUAAAGACAAAUCAAAUCCACAGUAGCAUUAGAGUUGAUUAAGCUAAGCAUUGGCAAAUAUUACUUUGAUUUUGCAUGCAAAAUUGGCAAAACCCCCUCUUACAUUAGAAAAACAACAUAAUCCAUGAAACAUUGAUGGCUCAAUACAAAUUUCAUCGAGAAAAAAGUCUCUUUGUUUUGGAGAACAUGAUAGUAAAGAUGUGGAGUUUCGUUCUUCUAAUUGGCCUCCUUUAGUUUUCCUUGAUCAACAACAAUUAGCCAAAAACACAGUUAGAUUAGAUUAUGAAUGAUACUUUCAACUAUGACAAUAUUAAAUACAAAACACUCUAAAUAAAUGGAAAGUAGCAAAUUAAGACCAUUGUGUUAUACUUGUCUCUGAAUUGAAAGAUUUAGAAGAAAAUAAAGAGAAAGAGUUAGAAAAUACUUGAAAACAGAUAAAACUUAUAUGUCAUUUAAAAUAAAAAAAAUUUCUAUUUAAGCCAUUUAAAAUUUUUAAGAUUUUUUAAAUUUUAAAAUGAUAAAGGUAAAACUAUAUUUUGGUACCCAAAAAUGAUAAAACUUUGAUUUAAUUCUUUAGAAAUUAUAAAAAUAUAGGCUAUUAAAAUGGUGAAAUUAUAUUUUUACUAUAUUAAAAAUUACAAUUUAAUUUCACUUGCUAAAAGGAUUUACUGGCUUCGCCCCUAAUAAAAUCUUUGGCAAAAGAUUAAAAUAAAAUUAUACCGUGAAUGGAAAAAGAAACUUAAGAAAACCCAAUCUCACAAAGAAAAUAACUUGUCCAAAAGCUACCAUAAACCGUAAUUCAUGCGAAGGCUUGUUGCUCAUUUUAUUGGUUUCCAUUUUGAUUUUGCAAAAGAAGUUUGAAUUUUGAAGAGAGCAAAAGAAAAAAAUAGUUUAUUAAUUUUUUACGAAUACCGACAUAUUAUAUACAUGAUUAAAAUUCCAGAAUAGAUUAAAAAUGUUGAAUUAAAGAUAAAAUUAAGUAUGAAUUAAGAACCACAAGUGUACUCAUUACUCACCAUCUCUGUUAAAAAUGUUGUUUAGCAACCUGUGUUUGAUUUUCUUCAGCUCAACCACAACAUCUUUCAUAUCUUUUCUUUCUUCUGGUAACUCAGCUGAACAAUUCAAAGCCAAUUCCAUGAUAGAUGAAAUACAAUUUGCUUUAACAACAAUGUACUCAUCCUCUCUUCUUAGUAAAUCAACAUCUGCAAUUUCUAUUGCUCCUUUAGGCAAUGAACUUUCCAUCCAAUGCCUUACAGUCUCUUCUUCAACAAAAACAUUAUCAGUUGGCUUUUUCUUUGUGAAAGUUUCUAUAAGGACGAUCCCAUAACUAUAGACGUCAGAUUUUAUAGAAACAAUUCCUGCUGAUCCAAAUUCUGCAUUUCAAGUAUCAUUAGAACAUCAUUCACCCUCAAUUAUUUCUAAAAUGCUUAUUCAAAUAUAUAUCCGCAUACACAAGAAACAAAAAUAUAAAAUGCAAAUUAGGAAAAUAAUCGUACAAAAACAAAAAAGAAUUCACCUGGUGCCAUAUACCCGAUAGUUGCAAGAGUCAUGGUUUGCUUCAUUACUUCACCUUCUCCCAACAAUUUGGCAACGCCAAAAUCUCCAACAUGUGCAACCAUGUCUUCAUCUAGUAAAAUAUUGCUUGGUUUUAUGUCACAAUGAAUUAUAGGUGUUGGAUGUCCAUUGUGGAGGUGUUCUAUAGCUACCGCAACAUCUAUCAUUAUGUCGACCCUUUGUAUGAUAUCAAGGAAACAAUUUUCAGAAUGUAACCAUUUCUCAAGGUUUCCAUUAGACAUGUAAUCAAGCACCAAGGCUUUGAAGUCAACACUUGAGCAGCAAGUAAUGACCUUCACAAUAUUACGAUGAACUAUAUUAAGCAUAACAUCACAUUCAAUGUCAAAACUCCUAAAUGCUCCCUCUGUUUGCAAAUUGAAAACUUUUAUUGCAACUUCCAUUCCAUCUGAAAGCCUCCCUUUAUAUAC